AGACAGUGUCCAACAAUGAAGAUCUUCUCUCAAGGAGUCUUAGACACACCAAUGCUAAACAAAGUGAACGUCACCGAAGAAGAAAAAGAUGAUGAUGAUGAAGAUGAUGAUGAUGAAGGAUGUUGGGAAGGCAACCUCAAUGACACCAUAAAAAAAUUGUUCAAUGAAAUGGUGAGUAUCAAUUAAGUUUUGGUGCUAUUUAGCAAAUUAUUUUAUAGAAACUAAUGUGAUAUAAUAUGAUUGGUUGACUGAAAAUAUAUAAUAAUAAUAAUAAUAAUAAAUAAAUAAAUAAAUUAUGAGGACCAUGUAAUGUUUUUAUUUAACCAAUCAUAUUAUCUCGCAUUAGUUUAUACAAUAUUGUUUGUGCACAAGAGGUGGUGGUCCUAUCAUUACUCUAGCUUUAUUAUUCUUAUGGUGGCAAUGUAUGCUUGCUUACACGAGUAAUUACAAAAUGUGCAGAAUUCUAAAGAAGAUAUUGAGCCAACCCUUCAGGUACAGUGAAGAAGCUAUCUCGAACCAGGCCAAUCUCUUAUACAUGAUUUAGCUUGCUCGUUCUUCUGUACUUGAAUAAUUUGGUUCUACAUAUUUACAAUUUUUUGCUCAUGCUACAGACGUGCAAGACACUUUGGAUUUUGUUUGAUGCAUUCUCCGUUUAAAGAAAGGACUUGAAUUGAUUUUUCAUGUUUCAUGCAAUAUUCGAUUAGAUUCUGCCUAAAUUUCUGUAUUAUUCUCUUUUAAGCAUUUAAUUUCUAACCUCUCCUGAUAGAAGAUCCUUAGCCUAAGAAAACAGCAUAACAUUUGUGAAAAAGAAUUAAUUAUCUCACACCAGAUUAGAAAAAGAAAACAGCAUAACAUUCGAUUAGAUAAUAAAAUUAUCUCGACCACUGUUAAAAAGAAUUAAUCAGUCAAAUCUCACACCAGCACGCUUUAAAUUAAAAGAAUUUCGUGAAGUCAAGACCAUGUUAUAGAUCUCAUGGAAAGAAGUAAACCCGUAAUCUUUUUCACAGCAUCAUAAGAAAAACCGUUUUUUUUAAGUAUUUUUGUUAGCUGUCGAGUUUUAAUAGUAGUAGCUAUUAAACAAUAACAAUUAGUGUAUAUUAAAAAGUUGGAAACUGGUUGAUACCACUCGGGAAUCGAGCAGUUCACUUGUUUGCGAGUAGAAACCAACUUUACUACUAAUUACACUCCAAAAAUCACUAUUCUUCAUUUUUUAAUGCAAAAUUCCCAUUCGAAAACACCAAUGACUUUCAUUCAAAGUAAAUGAGAAAUUACAAUGAAAAUAGAAUCAAAAUACAUGUAUGUAUACCUAAAACAAAUGAUUUUUUUAAUUAAAAAAAAAACACAGUUGAGGUGAAAUGAAACCAGAGUCAUGAUAUCUCUGGUUCCAACUUUGGGACAACAGCAGACUUGAGUUCUAUAUGAGAAACACGUACAGCACCAAUCAGCCGCUCCGGUAAUUCAUCUGUAGUAUUUGCCUGCAUACAGAAGAGUAAGAUAAAGAAGACACACACGAAGCAUUAUACCAUUCUGAGAACAUUCAAGUAUGCAAAAAUGCAAAUUGCAGUGCAAUAUCUCAAAAUCAUGUCUUUUCCCUUGUGUCCAUUUAGAAGUGGGGGAAAAAAACAAUCAUACAUACCUGUACAAGGAAAGCCAUGUCAACCACCAAUGUCGUAACUACACCAAUUACAAGGCCCAAAACUCCAUUAGCAACAGUAGAAGAACCGAUGUCAACAUUAAUCUACAGAAAGAUGAACAAUGUUAAACCAUGUUAAUGGUAUCGGAUGCUAUUUGAAAGAUGAACAUCUCAUGUACUAUAGAAAUUCCAAGAGCAUUUACUUCUAAGUACUUGGGACCGCGAAUAUAGUUACAAUCAACUGCUUUACCCAAUAAGCAAGGGGUGCUUCCAACACUCUGGCGCACGAUCCAUGACCCCUGCAUGAUUCAGUGCUUAAAAUCAAGAACAAGUGCAAAACAAAUUCAAGAGGGUAAAAAUGGACAUGAAGUUUGAAGGUACAACCCAUCAAUACAUUUACACCUAAAUGCAUGCCUUCUUUGGACAAAUUGAAGUGUACCAUGCAGUAAAGGGUUAGUAUACGUUAAUAUAGUCCUAAUACAUGAAGGCCAAGAUGGAUACCUUAGGAACAGAUGGAAUAAGUUUCAACCUGCUAUUGCGAAACUCAUCAUCGCCAUCAACAAACCGUUGCAAAAGUGAUCCCAUAACCAAUUGCCUUGCGACUAAAUAAAAUACCAUACUAUAAUGUGUUGAUCCAGGAACCUGCAGAUGCUUAGGUUACAACUAUACAACCUCCCAAUACAAUAAGUUUGAAACUUAAUACCUUCUGAAAUGAAACAAACUUACUUGAAGAUUAAAGAUCAGUGAGAAAAGCCCAUUUUCGGAAGCAACCUACAUUUUUUAGAAGAGGGUCAGUGUGUUAUAGAUUCAAUGAACCAUGAGAAGUUAUUUACAUUGUAGUAUCUCACAGGCAGUAUUUUCUCCUAAUGCAUCAAUGGAAAAGGAAAAAUAAAAAGAAAAGAAUAGUUACUUGUGCAGCACAGCCUUGACGCCUAGCUACAUGGUCCAUUCUCUUUGUGUCUUUGAACCAAUCAACAGCAACAAGAUCCAUUAAAUGUUUUCCCGCAGGUAUCUGCAGUUACAAAUUGCACAAAGCACAAGAAGAGCCAACCAAACUACAUCAUAACCUGUCUACCUAGCCUAUGCAGGAUAUAUAAAUACCAUAACAAACAAACAAAAUAUGGGGGAACCUUUGUUUUGUCAUAACAAAAAUGCUUGCUACGAACUCUAAAGUUAUUUCCAUCAGAAAGUUUCCAGCAGUCACGAGCAUUAUCACAGUCAUCGUGUCGUAGAUUGCCCGAAAAACAAGACAAAUCAAUUUGAUCAGCCUGCUCUUCCUCUAGGGCUGCAACUAAUUGAAAUUUUUUUUUUUUUAAAAAAAAAGAUCAAUACCAUAAAAAUCCACUAGCCAAAUAUACAAAAAUGAAUACUUAUCAUCCACCUGUCCUCUUGAAAUCAUUCUCAAUCUUUUUUUCAUUUGCCUGAAAUCCCAAGGAAAAAUAUGUAACUAAUACUUCCCAUUCAUGAAUAUUGUCUAUCGUAUAAACAUGACAUUUUUAAUUGGAAUAAUAAAAUUAUUUAAUUAUUUUAAUUAAAUGUUAAUCCUACAAAUUAUUUUUGUUAAAUCUAGCAAGAAUAACUAAAAUUUCUUUAAGAUAUAUUUUGGUGGUAAAUUAAAAAAAAUUUAAUUAUUUGGCGGGAAUUAUUGAAAUUGGAGCCAUUUUUUUUUGUGGGAAUUGAAAUAUAUUCUUUAAAUUAUUACAUAAAUAGCAAAAUGUACAUACACACACAUAUAUAUAAUUCAUAUAUAAAAAUUCUCUAAUUUGUUCACAAGUACCAUAGAUUAUAAUUCAGUUAUGAAAUAAAAUAACUACAAUUAUUAUAGUUAAAUGAAUACUUCAUUAAUUCUUAAUUUGCUUCCUAACAUUAAAUGAACAACUUGAGUCAGCCACCUGAAUUAACCAGUAACAACGCCUGAGUCAACCAUCUGAAUAAACCAGCAACCCUAGCUGAUUCCAGCACCUGCAAUUAACGUCAGCACAACAGGAACAAUCUUAAAUCAACACCAAGAACAGACCAAACUGCUGUCAAAUGUCACAAAACCAAACAGUCUGCUACUGCCAUCAAAUGCAAGCAAACAUAUGCAACAAAACCAGAUGCAAGUGAAAUUCUGGAGAAUAUCGGAUAAACCAAACCAAAUGCAACACUUCUAGUAAUUAGACUAGAUGCAGUGUUCAAUUAAACUAAAUGUAGUCUCAUAUUACAUUCAAAAUUUCUAAAAGAAGCAGUGUUCCAUCAGAGAAGCACCAAAACCAAACCAAUCUAAUCCAGCAUAAUUACCAGCUCAACCCAAAACAAUUACACAUUAUAUUGACAUAUCAAAAUUCGCUAUCAAAACAUAGCCAAAUAAAUGAAAAUAAACUCAAAACAGACCCAAACCAACUGAUGUUGCAGCCCUAGUAGUCGUUGUCCGUUCCACUGCCAUGGGAGCGAGGGUAGGCUCCGUUGUCGAUGAGUGAGUAAGAUAAGGCUCCAAAUAAAUAGUUCCACCUCCUUUCUGCAAUUCAAAAAACAGAAAUUCAUAUAUGUAAAACUAUUAAAAAGUGUGAAACAACCUGUAAGUAUUCAACUUCUGUCAACUCAAUAGCACUUACUAAAGUUUUUAUACAGAAGAAAAAGGCAUUUUAAGUCCAAAAAAUUAGAAUUAUUGGUUGAACUCCAACUCCAUCAAUCCAUGCAACCAUCCAAUCUUUAACGAAAAAAUGAAGCAUAAUUAACCAGACAUCUGAAUCAGAAAGAUUGUGCUUUCAUUUGGCACGAGGUGUUGGAAACAACUUAACAAAUCUAGACACAAUCUAUAACCAUCAAGUCCAAACAAAAGUCAGGAUCUAAAAUACUUUGAAAAAUCAGAAAAGCAGUUUCAAUUUCUUUUUCAUCCAUUGUAAGCUCAAACUAAAGGUAGCCGCGCUACCUUUAAACAUCAUUUGGGCUUAUACAUGCGACAUUUGCUCAUGAACAACUAAAGUUGAAUAAGAUUUUUAUAUGAAACAGAAUAUAAAAAGUCAAAGUAGAAUAUGACAGGAGCUACAAUAUAUUAUUCAGCAUCAGCAUUAUGUAUAAAAUAAAUUUAGAGGCAUUAUAUUCAUUCACAAUCUUGCAGAGGUAACACCAGAUUAUGGCACGCAUCUCUUGAAUAGCAGAUAAAGGAGGAGAUGCAGUGGGAAGGUAGUAACUUGCUUGCAUGAGAACUAGAAAGUAAUAUCCCAAGAUCAAUUAUAGAUCUCAUAAAACAAAAACAGUGAGGCAAACACAAUUAUACAAUCCAUCUGUCAAAAGGCUAAGCAUAUGAAUAUACAAUCAACACCAUUCUUCCAAACGAAUAUAAAGUCAACACCAUUCUUCUAAACACAAACAAAGUUUGAACGUAUGACAGAUUUUUAGCUAUUUAAUAUUCCAUCAAAGAUAAUUAGAUAACACCUACCAAGGAUUUUUGAAAAGAAUGCAUUCUCAUCUUAAGCAGCAACCUCACCAGUAACACAUUUUCAUACCCUGUUUCCACCUCUGGUCGCACCACCAAAAAAAUUCAGUACUAAUUAGCUUCAACAGAAUCUGUUUUUUUUAUUUUUUAUUUUUUCCAAAAUAAACCUCCAUUCUUAUACAUAAAAUUAAAAUAUCAAUUAAAUACACAAAGUCUAUGCUUACUAGUAAAACACGUCCAUUUUUAGGUAGAGGCAGAUAAUAAAAGAAAAUUGAAACUGAGAUAAAAUAAGAAGAGCUUACUAGGUGCAUUUGAUCAACAAUCCAAUCCUCAACGAUGGAAUCGAUGCCAUCAAAUAAACAUGACUUAAUCUUGAAACCAUAAACUGCACUAAGCAUAGCACCAAAGCCAGAGCGUGACUAUAAAGAAGAAAAAUAAAAAGAAGGAAAAGAAGAAUUAAAUCAACAUGAAAUUCAACUGGAACAAUACAAAAUAUGAAAUUUUUAGCAAUCUUACUAGCGUUAGGGUUAAGGCUUACCAUAGAGAACUGGAUGGCGCUAACUAAAUGACAAGUUGAAACGGCAUCUGCAAUCGUAUUGAAUGACAUUGAACCGCGAGGUAGGGUUUAAAUGAAUACCGAGCAGAGAUAAAUUGGUGUGGUGAAUUAGGGUUUUGUGGCUACGUUUUAUUUCGAUUGAAAAAAGGAAUUUGAGCUUUUGCUUUAAUUCAACGGUGUCGUUAAUUUAAACAUUCAUUUUAGGUUGCAGUGGCCAGUGGAGAGAGGGGGAUUCAUUCAACGCUUAGCCAAAAUUUGGCUGUAAGUGUUGAUGUGUUUUAAGUUAUACAGAACGGUGUCGUUAAUUUAAACAAUACUGUUUUACAAUCUUAUAAGAUCACAAAACCUAAGCAUGACUUAUAUGUAUCAUUUAUUUAGGACGGUUAAGUUAUAAGUCAUGAAUAUGUCAUAUAUUCUGGACAUAUGAAUAUAUAUUAUGAAUCUAUCAUAUUUUUAUGACACAUUCGUGACACAAUGAUAUAUGUCAUCAAAUUUACGUCAUUAUUUAAUAUUUUUCUAGUGGUGUCAGAUUUUUGAAACAUUUUUGUUAAUAGCAAAAACUCUAAUCCUUUAGCAAAAGACUAAAAAUUAAAAAAAAAAUCUGUUUAAAUAUCAGUUGGCUCAUGAUCAACACUUCAAUAUUGUUUGUUGUAUUUUCUUUCUUUCUUUCUUUGUCAUUUUAUUAGAUUUUUUUUGUAUCAUAGUUUGUUUUGCUUAAGUAAUUGUUCAUUGUUUAUGUCUGUGUUCUUACUAACAGAGUAAAAGAUUUUGAGAGAAUGAAUUGCACCCUUUUCCAUUGAUUGUAAGACUUUUAUAUGCAGCAAUAUAUAUAACAACUGUGCCUAUUUUAAAGAGAUAAGAUAACAGAAAGAUAUACUUUACAUUUGAAUUAGUUUGAAUGAGUAAACUAGAUAGGUCCCAUAUUCUAAGAGGAGAAUCUGCUGACACUUACUGGCUUUUGAUAAUUUAUGGUUGGUUUUUUAUUCAGACCCUCGAAGUACCUUUUUGUUAAUAUUAAAACCUCUGAUCCUUAAGAAAGAAAAAAAAAUUCUCUAUUUAGUUAUUAGUUAGUUCAAGAUCAAUAUAGCGAUAUUGUUUGUGGUCUUUUCAUUCUCUAUCUUUCCCUCUAGUUCAUUUUAAUUUAUUUGUAUUCCUUUCUUUGACACUUGUAUUUAUAUAUAUAUAUUGUUAAGCAACAGGCAAUGGCUGUUGAAGGGUGUCUCCCUGCUUUUUCCAGCAUUGUAUCACAAGGUUCAAAAGCAUUAUUCGAACCGAUUAUGCGGCACAUAUCUUAUGUGUUCGAGUACCAAAGCUACAUAGAUGGGCUAAAAGAUUGAGUGAAGGAGCUGGAAUAUAUAAGAGAAAGGGUGCAAACGCUGGUUAGAGAGGCUACUCUACAAGGAGAUGAGAUUUAUAAGGGUGUCUGAGACUGGCUAAAUAGAGUUGCUGAAUUCAGUGAAGGGGUUGCAAAAUCCAUCAUUGACGAUAAAGAUAGAGCUAAGAUAGAGCUAAGACUGAGCAUGAUUGCAAAUGCACGAUUGCAAAUGCAUUGGAUCAAUUAAGAAGUUCCAAUCUAGGAGAAAUUCAAGGAAUGCGUGCAGAUGUAUAAACCUCCAUAAAAUUGUUACGACUUGAAGGAUUGUAUAUAAGCAUUAAAUUGAUCUAAUUUAAUUUGUAUGUAAACAUUAAAUUGUAUAUAAAUACACAGAACAGAACCAUAUCAGUGUUGGAAAAAAAAAAAAAAAGAAUCCAGAGUUAUAUAAAUUCAAUAAAAAAUUACUGAAUUUUUUAUUACUAACUUUGAACACUCUAAUUUCAAUAAAAAAAUUAUAUUACUAAAAUAGUCUUAAUUGAAUUUACUAUUAAAGACAUUAGAAUAACUCAACACUAAUAUUCUAAAAUAUAUUUCUCUCCAUAGUCUAAUCUAAUCCAUUCUAAGAAUCCUAUAGAAAAUAUAUUAUUUACUUUUUCCUUAUUAAACACAAAAACAUGUCAUUUUGUUGCUAACUAAAAUUUUGGAACUAACAACAGCAGAUUAACAAAAUUAUCAGAAAAAGAAAUCAAACAAGAUUUUAAUCGUCGUCAUCUUCACUCUUGUCUUUUUCUUUUUCUUCACACAUGUGGCUUGCACACGCAUUCCCCUCUCUCAUCCUUAGGGCCGCCCUUCAACAAUAUCCAAUCAUCGAUUAUAAUUAUUUAGAUUGACCAAAUCAAGCAUUGAUCAUAUAUUGGUUGAGGUUAGAAAUAGGCAGGCAGCAGCGAUAAUACUACUAAUUAAUAUCUCAUGAGAAUUUUAAAGAAAAAUCUAACGUUGUCAAAUUCGUUUGAUUUCAAUGAAGUCUUUCUCCUACUUAUACUUUCACAUAUUCUCUUUUAUUUCCAAAGUUAAGGUUAUGGAUGUUGUAGAGUAAAAAGAUGAGCAUUGCUAGGAAAGCAAUAAAAGGAAAUAAAUAAAAAUUAAAAAUAUAAAAAGAGUUAAGUCAUUUUUUUUUCUAUUAGUGUUUUUGUAUUUAAUAACGAAAGAUAAAAAUAAAGUAGAUAUUAUCUAUUGGAUUAUUAAAAUAACACAGGUAUAACACAUGUCAAAAUCUCGUUAUUAUAAUAUUAGAAAAGGUUAAAUUAGGAGAAUAUUCAAAUCGGCGAAAUAAUUAAUAAAUCGUAUUUAUUAAUCAUCCACCCAAUUCAUGCAUACCCAAAUGGCCGUCAACGAGCUAACCAAAUCCCAGCUUGUUGUAAUCUGGGUUGGGCUUUUUGGGCGAUAAUUAACUGCCCGAGCUGCUCAUCUACCCCAAUAGAGCCUAACAAAAAUUUUCGCCUAAGCUUCACAAAAAUGUUCAUAAAUCUUUUUUUUUUUGGUAUCAUAAAAACAUAAAUUUAUUUCAAACACUUUUGGAGCUUAAUAAAAAUUUCCCAACAUUUCAUCUGACAAAGGUAGUUUAAAAGUGUAUUCGUUAAAUUCUAAAAUACAUACUUAAAAUCUUUUAGUGAUAAUCUAAUUAUAAAUUAAGGGUCUAUUUGGGAUUGAGAUUGAACAGUUAAAAUGUUAUAGUUGUUGUAGUUUAGAAGUUAAGAUGAUUUGAUUUUACACUUAUAUGAUAAAAAAUUUAUUAUAUCUUUUCUAAUUUUAUCAAAAUUAUUAUUAAAAAAUUAUAUUUAUUAUAUACUAUUAACUUUUAUUUUAUACUUAAAACUUUUUUUUCUUACGGCAAAAGUUUUAGCACCUCAAUACCCAACCAAGUCUAAAACUGCACAAAUAUAAUUAUGAGUGCGAAUGUUAAAAUCUACACACAUUCGUACUUGAUAAUUUCAAUCAACAGUGUUACAAACUUAGUUAAAAUAUUAUAUCUGAAAUUAUUGAGGGAAAAAAAAAAAGAAAACGAAUGUUGUUUUCAUGAUAGUGACAUGUGUCGUGCACAUUUUGCUGUUGGCUCUUUGGUCUCUAAGACUCUAACCCAGCGAAUAGGUUGUUGUGUCCUCGUUGUUAGAUGCCCGAACCCAGCGCAAGAACUUUGUACGAUACAUGGUGCGUUUGGGAUUGAGGUGCUGUAGCUUUUAAGCUAUAGUUGAUGUGAAAAAAAAGCUGUAAUUAUGAAACAAAAGUUAAUAAUAUAUAGUAAAUAUAAAUUUUAAAUAAUAAUUUUGAUAACAUUAUUAAAAAUAUAAUAAAUUUUGUAUUAUACAAGUGAAAAACCAUAUCAACAUAGCUUAAAAGCUACAGCAGCUAGUGUUUACCAAACACUUUAGUGUUGUAGCUUUUAAGUUACAGCUACCCAACCUCAAUCCCAAACGCACCCACAAUAUAUUUUAUGAAAGUGAUGAUGUUGCCAAUAAAGAUGAGUAAUAAACCAAACGGCGUCGCUUCCCUAACCUGUUAGAAAUAUCAACGCCCAUUGUCGCCCUCUCGUUCCAUUUAUUCAUUUAGCCCGGUCAGGGGAUUGACGAAUUAAAUAAACAACAAUAAUCGUCCGAUCCCCGCAGAUUGCCACUCAUAUUUAAUCCAACGGCUAGGAUAUGAACCCCUCUAUAACUUUUAUUUGUCGAAUCAGCCGCUCUCUCUAUUAAAAUUAAUUUUUUUUUUACAACGGCCGACGAGUGCUGACGUAUCAGAGACGCUUCACCAAUCAAUAAAAAAAUCAAUUGAAAAGGACGGUAUAGUGAGUGGAAGAGAAAUGCCAAUGGCAGAUCAAGGGAUGAAGAUACGAGCUCACUUGCAACGUGGUAUAGUUCAUCAUGGCUUUCCUAUAAGUUCAGGUCCUUUGAAUACUUUCAAUGAUCUUAUUAGUCAGAAAUUCAACAAUAAUUUUUACUUUUUACAUCCAGGAACAGUUUUAAGCACAAGCAAAUCAGGUGGUCAAUAGGCCUCAUAUGUUAGCAAGGUCCCCGUUUUGGUCACUUAAGUCCCAUAUGUUAGGAAGACUCCCUUUUUAUUUUUGGUAUUACUUAUGAUAGCAAAUCCUCUUUUUUAGGCCUCUUUUUAGUUAGUAAUUAUCUUAUAAUGAAGAAUUUUGUAUUUUGUUACACAUUUUAUAUUUGAUAACCUUAAUAUUAAAGAUCUCUAAUUGAUAGUAUUAUCUAAUUGUUAAUUUAUUAUUAGUUUUUCCAAAAAAAAAUAAAUUCUUUAUCUAUUUAAAAAGGUUAAUUAAUUAACAUUAUAAAAAAUUUUGUGCUAUUCUCUAUACAGAAAAUUAUUACAUUUAUUACUUCACUUCUGAAUUAAAAAAAAAAAAAAGAUUUAUUGAAAUAAUAGUUCUAGAGGAAGUAAAAAAGAUAUCUUCUUGAUUAUUUUUCUUUUUUGAACAUUUUAACUAUCUUGUUGAUUGUUAAUAUUCAAGAUAUAGUUAAAAAUUGAUUGAAUUCUAAGCUCUUUUAUGUUUCUUUAGGUGUUGAAGCUGCUGAAUGUAAGGAGCCCUCGUAAAACAAUUCCCAUAACGCCCCUAAUACUCUAAGGUCGACCCUGUGUAUAUCAUAUUACUAAUAAUGUAUAUCAUAUUUUUAAUAGGUCUUCAUUUUAGGCUAAAGUACUUGAACAAUAGUUCCCAUGCACUUUGUGAUCUUAUUACAAAAUAUUAAACUAAAUAGCUGUGGAAGUAACAAAGAGGGCAACUUUUUACCAUAAUGUGAUGAAAAUAAUUCAUUUGUCAUCACGAACUAACCAAAUCAAAACAAAAAACUAAUUAUCAUAUGGUUCAAAUCUGUGCAACAAUGGUGCAUUUAAAAGGAAAUAAUGUACAGUUAAAAUUUGUGCUUGUAACAAGAACUCUUCUCUUCAAGCCAACAAUUCCACCUAGGAGAGGAAGUGUUUUAGGCGACACUUUCCAACUAAUGAAAGCAGUGAGCUCUCAAACUCUGUUAUCAUUUUCUACUACUUGAAAAAGAGAGAAAGAGAAACGAGAGGAAAAACAGGUCUCCUCUGUUUUCAUUUUGGUGAUUGCAAAUAAUAUUUUUUUUUACUUUUACUCUUUAUUUAUUUAAUUUUUAAAAAAAAACUUUUAGCUCAUUAGUUCUUGUUCUUGUUAAUGCGUCUAAUAACUUAUAUGAUGAUCUGAUCAUAUCCGUAACAUUAACAUACCCCCAUAAUCCGUUAUUUUAUAAUUAUAAAAUUUGAAGAUUCGGUCAUGCAAUUUUGUAUGAUGAACAGUGUGUUCAUUUUUUCUGUGAAACAUAAGAACAAUUUGUAAAUAAUGUCCAUGCGGACCUUGUAAUAGCGAAGCAUCAUUAUUGAUCUUACUUUGAUGAUCGCACUUUAGUUUCUUUUUAAAGUGCCUUUUGUUUAUUUUAUCGGCAUCCGCUUUUACAAAAGUUUUGGUCCUCGUUCAUUCAUCAAAGCUUCUACUUUUAUCUUUUAUUAGUAAUCUUACAAAAAGCUUAAUUUAAUUGGAAUCAUGUUCGAUAUGAAGAUUGUUUUACUUACUUCAGUAAUCUUUCAAUCAACCGAAUUUAUACUUGGUCAGUAGGACAACAGUGACCAAGUACAUAAUAUGAAAAUUCAUUUGUAUUGCUUACUCUAAUAAGCUCUUAAACUCACACAUUCCUCUGCAGUUACCAGUGAUCUUUUGCUCACUAAAAUUGUUAAUAUAUAUUCAAGGUGAAUAAAGAAACUCAUCAUCCCAGAUAAUUAAAGAGGUGAACUUGUUCUAAAUCCUUUAAUAAUUUCUAUUAAUAGCAUAUAUAAUCUCUAAUCCUUGAUCUUGGUAGUAGUUCUUUCUUAAUGUCCAAGAAAAAUAUCUCUCAUUUGUCUUAAUCUUGUCAUUUAAUUUUCUUGAAUUCUGAGUUAGUGUUUAUUGUUAAAUUCGGUUUUCGGUUAGUAGCUGUUGGUUAAUAGCUUCGGUUAAUCCUUGAAUUAAACAUAUUAAAAUCUAAUCAUAAACCCGCCUUUCCCUAUUUUACAACACCCUUUAUGUAAUAGUGACUUCAAAAGUGUAACAUAUUUUGAACAAUUGCAAGGAAAGAACAUAUUUGACACUUCACAAAACGGUAAAGAUAUAAGCUUCAAUUCUUGUCCAACAAAUUAAUAUAACUAACGUCAAUUGAUCAAUAAUUCAGUAACAAAAAGGGGCAGAUAUCCUAGUCUUUCUUUACUAAUGAAGCAAGCCAUUAAACUUCGAAAGCUAUUUCUAUUUCCACAUUCUUCAUGUACCAAAGCCAAAAAAAAAAAAAAAAAAGCAACAAAAAUUUGGAAGUAAUCAUCUUUAUUCAGCAGCAUGCAUAUUAAUUAAAACAUAUUCAAAAAGAAAUAUACAAUAUCAGGUCUGGAGACGAAAUGAGCCCACAGAGACUACCAAUAAUGUAACGGCUUGAUUAAAAAUAUUAAUCAAGCCACUACAUUAGAAGAACAAGAGUUAAUCAUGCAUAGUAAUUAAAAAUAUUUUUGCUAUCAUCCACCUGUUCUCUCUAAAUAGUUGUCCCUUUUUUUUUUCUUUUGCCUGAAAUUCCAAGCAAAAAUAUAAUUAGAAGAUCAAGAGUUAAGGGUUAAAAAAAUGGAAAAAGAGGGCUCCUCUGUUUUCAUUCCCCUGUUUUUCUGUUCGGUGAUUACAAAGAUUUAAAUCAAAAUUUAUGAUGCAGGCUACACGGCACCUGGUGGAAGACUGCUAGGGUUUACCUUUUAUUCUUAGUUAGAAAUUUAAUUUAGAAUUUGUAGUGUGCGCCUUAUAUAAGUAGGUUUCCUAAUAGUAAAAUUAAAUAAUCUAAGUUUAUGAUGCACUAGGAUAUGAUUGUGAUAAAUGAGCUUUUUAUGUAUCCUCUGAGGUUGAUCAUUAUUUUACUACAUUGAAGAUUCAGUUAUCUCUUUGUAAUACUCUGGACUUCACAUACUAAACAGAAUGGAGCAUUAUUUUAUCCCGCUAAAUCAGUUUUUUAUUUUUUUAAAAAAUAAUUCAUCAAACACUUUAUAGCUCUGGUUUUAAGUUGGUAAACACUUUAAGCCGCAACUUUAAAUUCAGUUUACGAGAAUCCCUAACAGUCACAGUGGCUGAACCUAUCCAGACUAAAACCAGAUCAUGAAAGCUUAUAUACACCAAGAGAUUUAUCUAGAAAGUACCGCCGGCAGCCAGUUCAUUCGUUUCUGAGUUUGUUUCCAGAAACCCGGAAACUCCCCUGUUUCUGCAAACAGGGCUUCUUUGUUUUCAGUCCCCUGUUUUUCCAUUUGGUGAUUGUAAAAAUUUAAAUCUAAAUUUUUGAUGCAGUCUACACGGCACCUGCUAGAUGAUUGUUAGGGUUUAUCGUUUAUUCUUAAUUAUGAAUUUAAUUUAGAUUCGUAGUGUGCGCCUUAUGUAAGAUUAAAUAGAAUAAUGUAAAAAACAAAAGAAAAAAAGGCCUUUCUUAAUUUUGACUUCAUAAUGUUGCAGCAACCGUCCUCUGUUAUCAUUCCCCUGUUCUUCAGUUUGUUGAUUGCAAAUAACAUUCUUUGUAUCUACUCUUUAUAUGUUUAUUUUUUAAUUUUUAAGUCAUCAAUUCUUGUUCUUCUUAAAGCGUGUAGUAAAUUAUAUGAUCAUCUGAUCAAAUCCCUCACAUUACAUACAGCAGAAUCUGUUAAUGGAAUUUAUUAUUUUAUCAUAAUUAAACAGAAGAUUUGUUCAUGCAGUUUUGUAUGACGAGGAGAUUUCAUUUUUCUGUCAAAUACAAGAACAAUUUGUAAAUAAUGUCCAUGAAAGCUUGAAUGAAGAAUGGCAUUUAAUAAUUUUAGAAGAAUAUUGGCUUAUAGAGCAUAUUAGUAGGGAUAAGAUUUGUAGGUGUCUGGUAACGGAAAAAGGAGAAAAAAAAUGGAGAGUGGAGGCAUUACUUUUAUCUCAUCCUUAACUUCAGUAAGUGGAGGAGAACAAAGGGGAAAAGAGGGGAGUGGGGCAUGACCUUAAAAGGAGGAUUUAUUUAUUUUUUCGGGGUCUGCAGGGCAUCUUUUUCUCUCUUCCUCUCAUGGAAAAUCCUUUCUUUUACACUCUAUUUCAUUUUUCUGCAAAUUACUCAAAAAGCUUUUGGUUUUUAAGGUAAUGUUUAUUAAGCCAUAUGAGUGGUAGCACAAGUUUUUUGGCAAAGGCCCAGAAACUAACUUGAGCGUCGGAGGGUUCACGCCGGAAAAACUUUCGGCGCCUUUGACCGUCUUCUAUGAUUUUAAGUAUUCGCAAGUUAAUCGCUAGUGGUUGCAGGACAUCUUGACGAUUGACCAAUCGAUUCUCUACCAAAUAAAUCUAAUGCUGGUGUAGAAGUCUGAUAUUAAGUCGCUAAUAGACUAGAUCAGAUUUGGGCAUCAACAUUUGGCACCGUCUGUGGGGAAUCGGUACAAAAAGCCAACUUCUUGUCUCUACCAAUUUUGCAUCCGGCCAAGCCAAAGGCAGAAUAUUAUCAUGCACAAAUUGAUAAGCUGGCUCAAACACGGAAGCCUAUCAAGGCUGGAUGGAAUGCUUACCUGUAAAGGUUUUGGCUUAUUUAUUGCUUUAAGUAUAUUGUUAUUAAAAUUCAAUUUCCAAUUGCUAUGAUGAUUGAUUUAUCAACUGAGAGAUGCUUGGAAAUUCUUUAAUAACAUGCAUGUUUCAAUACCGUGCAUGAUAUAUUUGCUGAAAUUGAAUAUUAUCCCUUGGAAUUCGUUGAUAAUGUUCCUUCACAAAAUUAGCUUGUUAGAAUGGGCUUCAUUCAUGAUUCAAGAUUACAUGCUAUUAUACUUGCAAAUGAAUUAAUUUAGUAUUUUCCAACAACAUGCUUGACAUAAUGUUAACAGUUCAGAUUUAUUAUGGCUAAUUAUUCAGCUUCGUUAUGGCUAAUUGGAUGUAUAAUGCUGCUACCAUCAUUAUUUUGCUGAUGUAUUUAUAUUUCUUGAUUGAUUGUUCUCUUUUCAUCGAACUCAAGAUAUAAAGUCUGUUCAAAAGAGCAAUCGAUUUGCGGUAUUAUCAAUGUUCAAUUUCUUAAAAUAAAGAUCACACAAAUUGUUAAAUUCAUUUGGUGGUAAGCAUAAAAAAUCCACGGAUCUUUGGUUUCUUCAAGAUAUUUCCUGCUGGUUUUACACCCCAUCAAUCAAUCAUGCAGCUAGUUUUCAUGUGAAGAAUAUGCAGGGAAAGUAUUUAGACAAUUCUGGUAUGAAACUCGGUUCAUUACAAGUUGAGGCAGAAUUGUUAAAAUUCAAAUCAGGAGCUGUUCGUUAAAUCGCCUCAAGGGAUAUGAAAGUUCAAAAGUGAGUUUGUUGCUGAUUACACUACAUACACUACAUAUAUGCUUGAGAGAAUGUUGCCCAGGAGCCAAGAUCUAAACCCAUGUUCUGUUUCAGUUUAUUCAAUAUAAGUAUCAAACUGAUUGAGAGCAUGAGUUAUUCUUAACCAUAGCUUUAUUAUAUUUUCGCAAAGAGAACAUUAGAAAUUAUGCAUAUAUACGCUGUCUUUUGAUAGUAGCUGUCAUCCACAUUGCACAAAUUCUCAUAAUCGUUAAUGAGUGUUGGAAGAAGUAUAAUUAGCAUAAUCUGGAUGAGGCCGAGUAUUGGUAUUUUGGCUGACUUUAAUAAUGGUUUUAAAACAAAACAAUUUUUUAUUGAUGAUGAGAAUUGAUAGGCAUGUCUUCAAGCUUCAAAGAAUUGAUGAAGUUGGAUUUUUGUUUCCUUCAUAUUUUAUUCGUUUUGUGCCCGUGUUAAAAUAUUGCAAGAAUAAUUCUAAGAAGGGAGCAAAGCAGAGUCAAGCUCGGGAUUUGUUUGAUGAAGUACUAAUGAAAUAAUGCAGAGCACAAUCUCAGGUGCACUUGUUCUAAAACCUCAGUUUUAUAUUUAUCCUUUAAAUCCACUACCUGACUUAAAAAAUCUGAUGGAUGGGGUUUUGACUUAUUAAGUCGUUAAUAGAAAAUAGUUAAGAUUACAUAUUAUAGAUUAUAUAGCAUAGUCAUAUAUUAGCACACAACAUGCUUGACCGAAGGAUUGAUGGAACUUGGGUUAGCAUGAGAUCGUAUUUCCUUGAUACAGUGAUAUGACUUUGCUUAAACUUUUAUGGUACCAUUUAUAUAAUAUGAUUUAUUUUAUAUAUAAAUUUUAAUAUCUUUAGUGUUGGUAAAUGGUGCUCUGCACCUUUAGCAAAGGUCUUUAAUAAUAUUGCUAACCAAAUAUUAUAGAUGGUAAUAAAAACACCAAGGAUGUUUAUCCAUCAAAGGCCCAAACAUAUAUAAAUAGCUAAAGCGCAAGUUGUAAAUGUGAGCUAUUUUCUGGACAAGUUAUAAGUUAUAAGUCCGAAAUUAAAUUUUUGAUGGUUAUCUAUAUUUAAGGAUUUAAAGCAAAAACCUCAAAUAAGAACACAUUGAAGGCACGCAAAGGCUCUAAAGUCUCAAAGCCUGUUUUAUGGUGAGACAGGAAGCCAAGUAUGCCAGGAUCUGCUCGACCAAGCGAAGGCGAGCAGACCAAAAAAGUUUCAAAAAUCUUCUAAGGCACGCAAAGGCUCCAAAGUCUCAAAGCUUGUUUUAUGGUGAGACAGGAAGCCAAGCAUGCCAGAAUCUGCUUGACCAAGCGAAGGCGAGCAGACCAAAAAAGUUUCAAAAAUCUUCUAAGGCACGCAAAGGCUCCAAAGUCUCAAAGCCUGUUUUAUAGUGAGACAGGAAGCCAAGCAUGCCAGGAUCUGCUGGACCAAGCGAAGGCGAGCAGACCACAAAAGUUCCAAAAAAGUUUCUAAGGUAAGCAAAGGCUCCAAAGUCUCAAAGCCUAUUUUAUGGCGAGACAGGAAGCCAAGCAUGCCAGGAUCUGCUGGACCAAGCGAAGGCGAGCAGACCACAAAAGUUCCAAAAAAGUUUCUAAGGCAAGCAAAGGCUUCAAAGUCUCAAAGCCUCCUUGAUGGCGAGACAGGAAGCCAAGCUCGCCAGAAUCUGCUCGACCAUGUGAAGGCGAGCAAAAAAUGAGAAUUCCAAAACAGUUUCUAAGGCAAGCAAAGGCUCCAAAGUCUCAAAGCCUCCGUGAUGGCGAGACAUGAAGCCAAGCUCGCCAGAAUCUGCUCGACCAUGUAAAGGCGAGCAGAGAACAAAAAUCCCAAGAAAGUUUCUAAGGCACGCAAAAGACUUCAAAGUCUCAAAGUCUGCUCGAUGGCGAGACAAGAAGUCAAGCUUGCCAGAAUCUGCUCAACCAUGUGAAGGCAAGCAGAAAGUUAAAAAAAAAAAAAGUGUACUUCAAGUAAAAGGCUUAUAGUCUCUAAACCUCCUCGCAGUGAGACGAAGUCAAAGUUUGCCUGCUCUUGCCCGACCAAGAUUAGGCGAGCAAGAGUUAUAUGAGUGAAAAAUAUUCUAAAGCAGAUAAAUGACUGAGUCUCAAAACCUACUUCAGGUGAGAUAAAUACGUGAACUUAUGAAACCUGCUUUACAUAAUUAUGCAAGUAGGAAAAUGGUAUAUUUAAAGGCAUGUAAAAGUUUAAAACUUGAAAUUUUUUGCUAAUAGUAAGGUUAAUUUUAGCAAUCCCGAGCCGAUUUAUGCCAACCACAUCGAGGUCACUUUAAAAUUCAUAUAGUUUCCAGUCUUGAUUCGUUAAAACUCUCAACAUUAGAAACUGGGGGACUGGUGUUUGGUAACGGAAAAAGGAGAAAAAAAUGGAGAGUAGAGGCAUUACUUUUAUCUCAUCCUUAACUUCCGUAAGUGGAGGAGAACAAAGGGGAAAAGAGGGGAGUGGGGCGUGACCUUAAAAGGAGGAUUUAUUUAUUUUUUCGGGGUCUGCAAGGCAUCUUUUUCUCUCUUCUUCUCAUGGAAAAUCCUUUCUUUUACACUCUAUUUCAUUUUUCUGCAAAUUACUCAAAAAACUUUUGGUUUUUAAGGCAAUUUUUAUUAAGCCAUAUGAGUGGUGGCACAAGUUUUUUGGCAAAGGCCCAGAAACUGACUUGAGCAUCGGAGGGUUCACGCCGGAAAAACUUCUGGCGCCUCUGACCGUCUUCUAUGAUUUCAGGUAUUCACAAGUUAAUCGCUAGUGGUUGCAGGACAUCUUGACAAUUGACCAAUCGAUUCUCUACCAAAUAAAUCUAAUGCUAGUGUAGAAGUCUGAUAUUAAGUCGCUAAUAGACUAGAUCAGAUUUGGGCAUCAACAGUAGGAUGCCUGAUAAAAGAUAAAGCAAAAGCUUGAAUGAAGAAUGACAUUUUUAGAAAGAAACUAAUGUGCAAUGUAAUAAUCAAAGUAAGAUCAAUAAUGACUUGAUCAGUUAUGCUUUUUAUUAUUUCAUUUAUUCUAUCCUAUCCCUACUAAUAUGCUCUAUAAGCCAAUAUUCUUCUAAAAUUAUUCUAGCACAACAUGUAUUUAUUCGUUAAAAACUUCAACUUAAUUAUUUCAUUACAGGAUAUGAAACACUGAGCCAUAAACUAGUGCUUUCUUCAACUUAAUUAUUCUCACUGCAUAUUUUUUAAGGCUUCGUCUUUUGUCUUGAUUCUGGACUUCAAAAUUAAAUCUUAAAAAUCGGGUAUAAUAGGGGUACGUGAUUAAGUCUUCCUCUUUUGCAAUUCACUGUUAUUACUCUCAUCAAUUCAUUCUUUUGAUAGCAGUUCUUACUUAAUAUCCGAAGCGAAUAGAGGAGGUCAUCGACUCUCUGAUCCCAUAUAAAUAAAGAGGUAUACAUGUUCUAAAUCCUUUAAUAAUAUCCUUUAAUAGCAGUUCUUACUUAGUUUUCAUCUACUUUCCAAGAAAAAAUUUCUCUGGUUUGUUUUAAUCUUGUCAUUGGUUUUGCUUGAGUUUCAAAUUAUUGUUCAUUGUUAAAGUCUGUGAUCUUAUUAUAUGGCUUUAGUUAAUUAAAAAAAAAGUCUGGGAUUUUAUUCAGACCCUUGAAACCUUUCAGUUAAUAGCAAAAACUCUAAUCCAUGAGCCCGGGGGGGGGGGGGGGGGGGGGGGGGGGGGGGGGGGGGGGGAAGAAAAAAGAAGAAGAAAGAAUUCCCUGUUUAAAUAUCAGUUGGUUAAAUGUUGUGUGUUUGCUGUCUUUUACUUGUUUGUUUGUUUUUCAUUUUAUUAGAUUUGCUUUUUACUUGAAGAUUAAAGAUGAGUAAGAAUUUUUUUUUUCUUUUCUGAAGCAGCCUACAAAUUUUAGAAUAGGGCUAAGAGUAAUUACAAAUUCAAUUAACCACAAAAAGUUAUUUAUAUUUAUCGCUUGUAAAAUUAAGUUUAUCAUCCCAAAUAGAGUUGUUUGCAUUAGAAGUUUUCUAGCAUUCAUGAGCUUUAUCAUCAUAUCACAAGAUUGCCUGAAAAACAAGAUAAAUCAAUUUGAGCAACUUGCUCUCUAUUGAUUUUUUUUUUUUUUUUUGCCUGAAAUACUAGGGAAAAUAUUAUAUAAGAACAAGAGUUAGAUGAAAAAAAAGUUAAAACAAGUUUUCUGUGUUUUCAUUCCCCCUGUUUUUUUGUUUGGUGAUUGAAAAUUUUAUAUCUAAAUUUUUAUGACUUCCCGUUGGGAUUUUAUUAAAUAAAAAAGAAUAUGUAAUUCUAAAUUUACCCUUACGCAUUGAGUGAUUAUUAUUACGUUCUCUUAAUAUUUGUUGGUGCAAUUUUGUGUGAUGUGAAUUUUAUGUUUCUGUUAACAUAAACCAAUUUGGAAAUAAGGCCACGUCGAACAAAUGAAACAACAAAAAAGCAUCGUUGGCAAUACAAAAUCAAACUUUAUUAUUAAUCAUUAUUUUGUUUUUGAAUAUGUAUAAAUCAAAUCAUAUACUGUUGAUCUUACUUUGAUAAUUUGGUGCUUAGUUUCUCUCAAAAAUGCUUUUAUAAAAGUUUUGGUCUUCAAUCAUUCAUCCAAGCUUUUGCUGAUCUUUUAUUAGGCAUAUACAUCGUGCUGUCACUUAAUAUUCAUUUCAAUUUCACAGUACACAAGCAACGUCUAUGCCAAAAUCAUUAAAGCACAAGCGGUAUUUAUUCCAUGAAAACUUUAUGAUUUCUUCAACUUAAUUGGGUCGAACAACAUUUUUUAAAAUACUUUUAUCACACUGCAUGCUUUGUUAAACCUCCGUCUUUUGGUAUUGAUUCUAACUUGAAAUUAAAUCUUUAAGUCUUUACAAGUUUAUUUCUUCAUGAAAGAAGUCAAUAAUCAAGUGCGUGUGAAUUAAACAAAAAAAAAAAAAAAGAUCAGUGAGAAAAGCCCUUUUUCUAAGGCAACCUACUGAUUUGAGAAUAGGACUCAACCACAAGAAAAUAUUUACGUUUGCUUUUAAGGAGUACAUGAUAGCUAUUAAACUUAAUUCAAAUUUAGUCAAUCAUCAAUCAACCAAUCCAACUAGUUCAAGUACAGAGUCAAUUGAACAAAUUCAUCACUUGCGUAAUUAAGCUUAUCUUCCGAAAUUGAGUUGUUUCCAUUAGAAAAUUUCCCGCAGUCACGAGUUACAAUCAUCAAAACAAGAUUAUUUAUAUAAGAACAAGAGUUAAAGGGAAAAAAAAAUGGUAAAGCAAGAUUCCUCUAUUUCCGUUCCCCUAUUUUUUUUUUUUUUUUUUUUUGUCUGGUGACUUAAAAUUUCAUAUCUAAAUUUUUAUAAUUUUCCAUCGACGUUUAUAUUUAAAUAAAGAAUUACAAAAAAAAAAAUUCUAAAUUUAUGCAUUGAAUGGUUAUUGUUAUGCUCUCUUAAAAUUGGGUACAAUAUCAUUUUCAUAGCGAAUAGAGUUAUUGACCACUUUGUUAAAAAUGAACAUGUUAUGUUUAUACGAAUAAAACAAAACACGGGGUGCACGCUUAAGUCUUGUUCUUUUACAAUUCAUUUGUAUUACUUACUCUGAUGAAAUCUUUACUCUGUUAGGAAAUUGGUGGGUGAAGCAGACACGCAGAUAAAGUGAAAUUGGGAAAAAAAUAAAGAACAAGCACAAAAAAUGGACACAAGAAAUUACGUGGUUCAGCUUUUAGCCUACGUCCACGGGCGAAAACAGGAGGAAAAUAUUUUACUAGUAAAAAUGAUUUAUAAGUAUUGUGGUAUUUUAGCUUACUACCCAAAAUCCUAAUACACUCAAACUCUCAAAUCACUAGACUCUUAAAAUCACUCUUUAAAUAAAGAAAAGAACUGAAGAACUCGAUGAUUUACAAAUGAAGGGAGCCAGCGGUUUUAUAGCCAAAAUUAGCUACCGUUCAUUUAAUAUUUAAUUAUUAUUAUUAUUUUAUUAAUUUUCCUUUUCUUUUCCUUCUUCGGUCUGACAUCUCUUUUUCUUCUCUCUUUCUUCUUUUUCUUCUUUCUCUUUUGUUUCUUUCCUUGGGCGGCAUCUACAUGGCCUUUAAUUUCCUUCAAUUUGGGUGGCCAUUUUGAAAUAUGUUAAUGAUGCUAAACCGCCCAUGACUUUGACAUUCUCCCACUUGGAGAUUAGAUUGAGAAUCAAUCAAUCUCCACAACAUCCUUUCUGCUUCGCCAUAAUCAUGUUGCCUACAUUUCUGCUAGGCCACAAGAGGAUCUACUCCAGAUAAACUUGUCAGCAUUUAUCGGCUUAGCCAAAACAUCUGCUAGGUUCUCCUUCGUAUGGAUUUUCUGUAAAUCCACAUUUCCAUCUUCCACUACUUCUCGAACGAAGUGAUACUGAACUCCUAUAUGCUUUGUCCUGGAAUAAAAGGCUGGAUUUCUUGCAAUGUGAAAGGCACUCUGACUGUCACAAAACACAGAAAUUUGCUCUUGUUUGUGCCCGAGCUCCUCCAAUAAUCUUUGUAUCCAAAUAGCUUCCUCGCAAGCUUGUGUAGCUGCCAUGUAUUCUGCUUCUAUUGUAGAUAAAGCCACAACAGUCUGCAGUUUCGAAACCCAGCUUACAGCUGCUCCCGCAAGUAUAAACACAUAACCAGUAGUGGAUUUUCUUUUAUCAAGAUCUCUUGCAAUCUGAUCCUCCGUAACAUAAUGCAACAUCUGAGGUUCAUUUGAUGUAUCUCAGAAUCCUCUUCACAACUAUCCAAUGCUCUCCACCGGGAUUCGCCAUGUAUCGACUGACUGCUCUCACUGCUUGUGCAAUGUCUGGUCUAGUACAUAUCAUAGCGAACAUUAAACUUCCCACUACUGAUGCAUACAGUACUCGAGACAUCUCCUUCCUCUCUGCUUCAUUGCUAGGACACAUACUUGAGGAUAAUUUGAAAUUAACAGGAAGUGGGGUAGAAAUUGACUUACAAUCUUGCAUGUUGAAGCGCCACAAGAUUUUCUUCAAGUAAUUCUUCUGCGAAAGCCAAAUCUUCCUGUUAUUUAUGUCUCGGUGAAUUUGCAUUCCUAGAAUCUUGUUUGCUGGUCCCAAGUCCUUUAUUUCAAACUCCCUAGCCAACUGUGCCUUCAAUUCUUGGAUUCGAUCUUUGUUAGGGCCUGCUACCAACAUGUCAUCCACAUACAACAGUAAAAUAAUGAAAUCAUUAUCUUCAAACCUUUUAUAAUAUGCACAAUGGUAUGAACUGAGUCUGUUGUAUCCAAGGCUCAUGAUAAAGGAAUCAAAUCUCUUAUACCAACACCUCGGCGCCUGUUUGAGACCGUAUAAAGAUUUGUUCAACCUGCAAACCAAGUUCUCUUUUCCCGUUUCUGCAAAACCUUCUGGUUGGAGCAUAUAUAUUUCUUCUUCAAGUUCUCCAUGAAGAAAUGUAGUUUUCACAUCUAACUGCUUUAAAUGUAGGUCAAAUGUAGCACACAUUGCCAAGACUACUCUGACUGUCGUGAGUCAAACCAUCGGCGAAAAUAUCUCGUUGAAGUCAAUACCUUCUUUCUGAGCAUAUCCUUUCACCACUAAUCUCGCACGAUACCGCUCUACUUGGUCAUUGCCUUCACGUUUGAUCUUGUAGACCCAUUUGUUUCCAAUGGCUUUUCUUCCACGUGGUAGUGGUACAAGUUCUCAUGUCUUGUUAUUAUGUAGAGCUUCAAUUUCUUCCUGCAUUGCUGUCAUCCACAAAGCAACAUCUGAGCUUUCUAAAGCUUCAUGGAAAGUUAAAGGCUCUCUAUCCUCUGUUAGAAGACAGUAUGCAACGUUGAUCUCUGUAACAUACUCCGAGUGCCACAUUGGCGGUCGUCUCUCACGAGUUGACCGACGAACUUCUGGAGCCUCGGACUCGACUAGUUUUUGUUUCUCGUGCUCUGGUUCUGCUUCAAAAGAAUCUGAAUCUUCUGGAUUAUUUUCCACAUAUACCUGUACAGUUUCUGACUUUUCUUUUACACUACUAUCAUCUUCAUUUUUCCUUUGCAGUUGAUCUUCUAUGAAGAUAACAUCUCUGCUGAUAACGAUCUUGUGGGCAGUGGGGUCUCACAGACGAUACCCCUUUACUCCAUCAGCAUAUCUCAAGAAGAUACAUCUUCUAGAUUUUGGAUCCAGCUUUGUUCUUUCUUGGGCAUUGUACAUCACGUACACAAGACAUUUAAAUGCAUGUAGGUAGGAAUAAUCAGCUGGCUUUCCAGUCCACAUCUCCAUCGUUGUCUUUAGCCCAAUAGCUGUAGAUGGCAACCGAUUUACUAUAUAACAAGCAGUUUUGGCUGCUUCUGCCCAGAAUGAAUUAGGUAGACCAGCAGUCCUCAACAUAGCUCUUAUUCUUUCUGUAAGAGUUCUAUUCAUCCGCUUCGCCACUCCGUUUUGUUGAGGAGUGUAUGCUACAGUGAACUGUCUCUGAAUACCUUCUUGCUUACAGAAAGCAAGAAACUCGCCGUCUGUAUACUCUCCACCAUUAUCCGUCCUCAAGCACUUAAUCUUUUUAGCAGAUUCAAGUUUCACCCGCGCUUUGUAUUCUUUAAACACUGGAAAUACAUCUGACUUUUUCUUAAUUAGAUACACCCAACAUCUUCUGGAAUAAUUAUCAAUGAAAGUCGCCAUGUACUUUGCACCUCCCAUGGAUAUAUCCGGUGAUUUCCAAACAUCAGAAUGAAUCAAGUCUAGAAUAUAUUUACUUCUAGAAUAGAUCUACUAAAUUUUAAUCUAUGCUGCUUACUGGUAACAUAAUGCUCGCAAAAAGGUAAACUUACCGAUUUAAGCCCUGGAAGUAAUUUUCGCUCAGAGAGAAUCUUCAAACAUUGUUCCGACAUGUGGCCAAGUUUGAGAUGCCACAUCAUCAUUAACUCUUCUCCAUUUGAUGCGACACAUGCAUCAGCCUCCUGUAGUGACUCUCCUUUAAGCAUGAAUAGAUUAGCACCGAUCUUUUCUGCCUUCAUCAAUACAAGCUCUCCUUUAACAAUCUUCAUAAUUUCAUUCUCCACAUGAGUUUUGCACCCAUAACUGCCUAUUUGUCCCAAAGACAAUAGAUUUUUCUUCAGGUCAUUGACAUGUCGUACCUCCCCAAUUGUGCGAAUUGUACCAUCAAAUAUUUUUAUUUUGAUAGUACAAAUACCAGCGAUCUCCAAGGCAUGAUCAUCUCCCAUAUAUACAGAUCCUCCUGAGAUAGGUUCAUAUGUCUAGAACCAUUCUCUCCGAGAGGUCAUGUGCCAGGUAGCUCCUGAGUCUAUAAACCAGACAUCAGAUAGUCGUUUUCUGCCUUCUGAAAUAGUUAUUGCCCCAGUGUAAAGAAUUUCGCUAUCAUCCGAGGUACUUGCUACACACCCCUGAGCAUUUGAUGACUCAGGUUCUUUAUCCUCUUUUCUCUUCUAGUUACUCCAACACUCUUUCUUGACGUGUCCUUUCUUGCCACAGUUGUAGCAUUUAACAUUAUUCUUACUUCUGGAUUUUGAUUUACCAUGAUUUUGACUCCCACUAGGGCCACGUUCCGUUGAUCUCCCUCUCGUCACCGAUAGCACCUCCGCUUGCUGCGAAAUUGCUUGUCUGUUUUCCUUAUUUUUCCGCCUGCUCUCCUCAUUUAAUAUGAAAGCUGCAACAUCGUCGAAAACUAGACUAUCCGCUGGAUUGUUGUUCGUUAGGUUGAUGAUGAGUUGAUCAUACGAAUUUGGUAGACUUUGAAGUACAAGCUCUGCAUGUUUAUUCUCCUCUAUAUUAUGACCCAACGUUGUGAGUUGUGAAAAUAGAGUCUUCAAGGUGUUGAUGUGGUCGAUCACCAUUGUAGAUUCCACCAUUUGAAGAGUAUAGAGUUUCCUCUUUAAGAAGAUUUUGUUGUGUAGUGACUUAGCCUCAUACAAUUUUGUGAGAGUAUCCCAUAUUUCCUUCGCUGUAUUUUUCUCUGCUACACUAGAUAAUACUCCAUCUGCAAGUGCCAAGUGUAGAUCAGAAAUGGCGUUGCCAUCUAUCUCGUUCCACUUGUCAUCAGUUAUCUCCAAAAGCCUUUCUCCAAUUACUGCUAAGCAAUUAUUUUUUCUCAAAACAGCUUUCAUCUUCAUUUUCCACAAUAAAAAAUUGUUUCCGUUAAAUUUCUCAAUUUCAUACUUUGCCGCCAUUUUAUUGAUAAAUACCGCACACAAGCAAGUGUACCACCUUGAAUAGUUGUGAGUAUGUGUGAGAAUGCACAACAGGAAAGUUCCCAGGAAACACUGGAGGGGUCACAAUGGUCCCACUUAAAACCCAGACUCCUUAAGUUCUUAUCGCCUUUGUGAUAGAACUUUCAUAGACAUGUACAAAACCACACAGUUGUUUUACUCACACCAUUAUUCCCUGCUUUGCACCGCAAAAUUCUUGGAUUGCUCCCACCGUUUUACGUGAAUAGUACCGUAUACGUGAACAGUGCCGUAUACGUGAAUAGUACCCCUUACGUGAACAGUACCCGACUCCAAAAAAUACAACUAAUAGCUCUGAUUCCACUAUUACAAAAUUGGUGAGUGAAGCAGACACGCAACUAAAGUGAAAUUGGAAGAAAAUAAAGAACAAGUACAAAAAAUGGACACAAAAAAUUACGUGGUUCAGCUUUUAGCCUACGUUCACAGGUGAAAACAGAAGGAAAAUAUUUUACUAGUGAAAAGAAGUUACAAGUAUUGUGGUAUUUUAGCUCACUACCCAAAAUCCCAAUACACCUAAACUCUCAAAUCACUAGACUCUUAAAAUCACUCUCUAAAUAAAGAAAAGAACUAAAGAACUAGAUGAUUUACAAAUGAAGGGAGCUAGCGGUUUUAUAGCCAAAAUUAGCUACUAUUCAUUUAAUAUUUAAUUAUUAUUAUUAUUAUUUUAUUAAUUUUUCUUUUCUUUUCCUUCUUCGGCCCGACAUCUCUUUUUCUUCUCUCUUUCUUCUUUUUCUUCUUUCUCUUUUGUUUCUUUCCUUGGGCGGCAUCUACUUAGGCCUUUAAUUUCCUUCAAUUUGGGUGGCCAUUUUGAAAUAUGUUAAUGGUGCCAAACCGCCCAUGACUUUGACAUACUCACAUUCCUUUGCAGUUGACAUUGAUCUUUUGCUUAUUCUUAUAUGUUCAAGGCCAAUAGUGAAGCUCCUUUCAAAAAAUAAAAAUAAAAAUAAAAUAGAGAAAUUGUGGGCUUUUAUUCAGACCCCUGAAACCUUUCUAAUAAUAUAAAAACUCUAAUCCUUGAGCAAAAGGUUAAAAAAAAAAAGAAUUCUCUGUUUAAAUAUCAGUUGGCUUAAGAUCAAUGUUGUUUGCCUCCUGUCUUUUCUUUGUUUUGUUUGUUUGUUUGUCAUUUUAUUAGAUUUGCUUUGUAUCUAAUUUUACUUGGAGAUUAAAGAUGAGUGAGAACUGCCCUUUCUUCUGAAGCAACCUACAAAUUUUAGAAUAGGGCCCAGAGUAUUAAAGAUUCAAUUAACCACAAAAAGUUAUUUACUUGCAUCACUUGCAAACUUAAGCUUAUCAUCCCAAAUUGAGCUGUUUGCAUUAGAAAUUUUCAUGCAUUCACGAGCAAUAUCAUCAUGUCACAAGAUAGCCUGAAAAGCAAGUUUCCUCUGUUUUCGUUCCUUUGUUUUCAUUCCCCUGUUUAUUGAUUUUUGUUUUUUUUUGGCCGGAAAUUAAGAAGAAAAAAUUGGUAAAACAAGUUGCCUCUGUUUUCAUUCCCCUGUUUUUUGUGGAAAGAAUAAAUCAAACUUUAUUUUUUUUUUAAUUUUAUAUUUUGGUUUUUGAAUAUGCAUAAAUCAAAUCAUAUAUUAUUGAUCUUACUUCGAUUAUUUGCUGUUUAGUUUCUCUCUUAAAUGCUUUUUGUGUGUUUCCGGUAUUUGCUUUUAUAGAAGUUUUAGUCCCGAAUCAUUCGUUGCAAUUCCGAUAGGAAUUGAGUAAGGCCUUCACCUUAAAACGGGGCUCAGGGGAGAGGGGAACCCCUCCCAAGGAUUUGCUUUAUGUUUUAUUAGGCAUAUACAUUGCUCUGUCAAUCAAUAUUCAUUUCAAUUUCACAGUACACAAGCAAUGUAUAUACCAAAAUUAUUCUAUGAAAACUUAAUUAUUUCUUUAGAAUAUAUGAAAACGUAGAGUUGUGAACUAGUGCUUUCUUCUUCAACAUGCGUCAACAGGGCAACAAUAACCAAAUACAUGAUAUAGAAAAGCGGUGCAUGACUAAUUCUUUUUCUUUUGCUUUAUGCACUAGUUUUGCAUUGUUUACUUCCCUUAAUAUCGAUGUUUUGCACUUAAUAAUAAUGUUUUAAUUGUGUUUUACUUUUGUAGGUGCAAUUCUAUUGAUUGGUGAUAAAAUUGAGCUAAAAGAUGAUGUUUAAGGAGGAUUGUUCUCUUGGAGAAAUUAUGAGCGUCAGAAGAACUUUGUUGAUAAGGCGUGGGCGCGUGCUGUCAACUGCGGACCUGCAGUUUUUAGUUUAACGUGUUUUGUAUUUUUGGUUAUUUUUGUAAUUACGAAUUUAAUAUUUCAGAUAUUAGUAUUUUAUUUUAAAUAGAAUUCUAAAAGAGAAGAGAGAGAGAGUAUUUAAGGGAGGAAUCUAUUGUGAAAAAGGGGGGAUUUGGAUUGGAGAAAAAGAAAGAAACCCUAGAUCUUAAUUUUUCUCUUCUCUCUAUGAAGAACUAAACCUAUUUUUCUGGUUGAAGGAUAAUGAAGCUUUGAUUCAUCACUACUGUGAGAUCUUUCUUGUGCUUUAAUUGUUUUAUUGCUUUUUGGGUAUUUGUUUAUUCUCUGAAUUAUUUUCAUGAUUAUGUUUGUUAAUUAGGUAAUUGGCCACUAUUUAAUUAUCAACUUAAUCUAUUGUCAAUUAAAGGAUUCAUCGUAUGAAGAAUUUAAUGUUUGUGACAAAUAACAUAGCAGAAAGUUGUGUUGUGAGAAUAAACAAUCUAAUUUAAAUGAAUCAUCAUAUGUGUUGAUUAGGAUUUGGGUCUCUCUGGUUUUUCAGGCUGUCAAUUGAUUAAAUCCUAUGAUCGUAUCUAGGGUUGUCUAUUGAUUAGGGAAAUAACCAACGGUCGUACCUUGGUUAUCGACUAGUUAAGGAGAGAUUGGCUAUUAGAGGGUCUCAGUAGCUAUAACCGGUCUAUUCAUAAGUAAUAAUAAUCUAUAUUUGAAUCAAUGAUCAGUAGUCGAAUCAAGCUGAGUUAAUUCCUUCAACCAGAGCUUUCUCCAAUUUGAAUUACAACUUUAAUUUACAUUCUCGUUAUUUUAAUUUGAUUUUUAUUAUUGUCAACAAUUCCCCCAUUUUACGUUUUACGUUUCAAAAGGAUUUAAAUAAUUACCGAUCUCUGUGGACACGACCCUGCUCAAUCACUAUACACAAUUUAUUUAGAGUAUGAAUUUAUUUUUGUUGGCUUCGACACCCAUCACAGGUCAUUGUUAUUGCUCUCAUCAACUCUUUUCUCACACAUUCCUCAGCAGUUACCUGUGAUCUUUUUCCUCUUUCAACUUGUUCUUAAAUAGAGAAGCUCACCAACUCUCUAAUCCCAGAUAAUUAAAGAGGUGCACGUUUUCUAAAUCCUUGACAUCUGCUCUUUCAUAAGUUCCAUCUACUUUCCAAGAAAAAAUUUUCUCUGGUUUGUUUUAAUAUUGUAACUUAUUUUGCAUGAGUUUUAAGUCAGUAUUCAUUGUUAAAGCCUGUGCUCUUAUUAUUUCUUUUGGUUAAUUUGCAUGCUCUUCCCCCCCCCCCCCCCCCCCCCGCCCCCGCGGCGGCGCCCCCCCAAAAAAAAAGUUUAUAGGCUUUUACUCAGACCCUUGAAACCUUUACUGAUAAUACCAAAAACUCUAAUCCUUCAACAAAAGAAAGCAAGAAAAAAAGGUCCUAAGUUUAUUGUCUUUUAUUUGGAUUUGUACCAAAAACUCUGAUCUGUUGGCUUUGUAUCAGUAUUGCUUGUUUGUUGUCUUUUAUUUCAUUAUUUGUAUCUAAGUUUAUUUCAAGAUUACAGAUCAGCAGGAAAAGCCCUUUUUCUAAAGCUAACUAUACAGAUUUUAGAAUAGGGCUCAACCACAUGAAAAUAUUUACGUUGUAAUAUCUCAUAUUAAUAAUCUAAAAGCAACCAAUCCAACAAGUUCAAAUUCAGUCAAUCAUAAAUCAACCAAUCCAACGAGUUCAAAUUCAUCACUUGCAAAAUUAAGUUUUCUUCCGAAAUUGAGUUGUUUCCAUUAGAAAUUUUCCCGCAGUCACGAGUUACAAUCAUCAAAACAAGAUUACUUGAUGCAUUAAUAAUCUUAUUAAAAAAAAUAUACCAACUGUUAAGGGUUAAAAAAAUUUAUUAAAUAAUUGCAUUAAUAUACCAACUGUUAAGGGUUAAAAAAAUGUGCCAUUUUGUAAUCCAUUUAAAUCAAAAUAGUAUGUUUAAUCGCAAAAAAAAUAACUACUGCCAUGAUGGAGCACAUAGAAUAAAAAUAAAACUUUUAGUUUUACUAAUCCUAAAUAUACCAAUUGUUAUCUCCAAAAAAGAAAAUUUUAUUUUUUAAAUUUUUAAAUCAUAUAUUAUACAAAUUUAACAUAUGUUCUAACAGUCGUCUGAUCCCUGCAGAUAUUAAUUGGGUUUAGGGUAAUCCUGUUUACAUAAAGAAUAUUGUUAAAUAAAUGUUUGUUAAUAUGGUUUCAGAUGAUGAUGAUGAGUUGCGACUGCCAAUCAUGCGUAAUAUCAUAAUAAUAUUAAAAACAAUUAUCCCAACAGGUUUCCCAGAAUAUGCUAUAUUAUUACAUAUUAAAGUUAAUUAUAAACUAAUAUAAAAAAAAAGCUCUGACAAAUAUUAUUUCUUGAAAAAUGAGAUGAUUCACCGCUGUUGUGUUUCAUGCUAAUUACUUUUCUCCGGAAAAAUAUUAUAAAUUAAAAUUUAACGAAAGUCUCAAUUUAUACGCUUAUAGCAUGUUCUAUAAUUUUUAUUUUUUAUAUAUAUAGUAUAAUUCAAGAAUUUAUACUGAGUAGAAGCAAAGAUCAAUCCCAUAUGUGGGUAACCAAAAUCCUUCAUAGAACAAGGCACUAUAAUAACCAAAACCAGCCCUUCGUUUUGGUGCCGAUUGAAAACAAUCAUAUUGUGAUUCGCAAAUUAAGUGAGAUUAGUGACCUCUCAACUCAAUCAAAUACUUGCCAAAUUCAUUUCUGAUCAUGCAUCUUACCCCCCCCCCCCCCCCCCCUCCUCUUUUUCGUGUAUAAAUUGAGCAUGGUGGCUUUGAAAAUUUUAAGAUUCUUGAUGAUUCCAAAAUGAGAAUAUCAAUUGUUAAGCCAAUAGUAGAUUAUUGACGUUUUAAAUUGAUAAAUAAACACAACUCUGAUUUUAAAAAGUUAUGAUAACAACUUUAAAAAUUUAAAUGUGGAUAUAAAAUCACCCAUAAUAUAACGAUAUGAGAUUGAAAUAAUUUAUUUAAAUAUAAAUCAUCCGAUGUAAUGAAUACAAAACCAACCAUCAAUUUAAAUUUUUAAAUAAUGACAUUGACAUGUGCUAUAAAUGAGUUCCAGGAAAUAAAUAUUAAUGUAAAUGAUAGCAACAGCUUCAUCCAUUAAUAUAAUUCUACUAUUAAGCAUGAAAUAUAUGACCAUCAACUUACAAUUGUAAUCAUUAAACUAGAAAUCAUUGAGUAUUACAUGAAAUCAUUAAUAUUGAACCUAAAAGAUAUAUGAAACUAAUGUUAAUAUGAAAUCUAGGACCAUUAACUUAAAAUUGUAAUUAGGAAAUAAAGCUUUACAUGAAAUCACUGUCAUUGAGCUUGAUAAUUCUACCAUUAAACAUAAAAUUAAUGCAAAUAGGAAGCAUAAGACCAUCAACUCAAAAAUUGUAAUCAUCAAAUUUUGAAUACCACAAAUUAAAUUUACUCUAUCUUUGUAAUGAAUACAUUCUACAGCCUUAAAAAAUACAUAAAUAAAGGGUUAUUUUAGCAUUUAUACAAGUGUGUAAAGUAAAUGUUGACUUUUAAAGUUGAUUCAAUAUAUAUAAACAACAUUAUUGAAUCAUUAUCUUUUUUUUUAUAAUCAUUAUUAAUAAACAUACUAUUUUGAUUAAAAAAAUAAAAUAGUGGAGCUUAAAUAUGUCUAAAAAUUUCAAAAUUAGUAAUAGAAUCAGUAGCGGUUCGAUCUCUAGACAACUUAGGUGGUUGCUUAGAGCCCUACUUUACAAGAAAAUCCUAUAAGAUGAUUAUUUUGUAUAUAAAAGAGGAAAGUGAAUUUAAAAGUCAUUAUUAUGCAUCUAAUUUAUUAUUAUUUUGUAAUUAUCUUUUCUCAAAUAAACUACCGAGUUCCUAUAAAGUUUAUUUAAUGUAGUACUUAGUAGUUUUAAUUCCUACAAAACCGAUAAAUUAAUAGUUUCAAUCCUAUAAAUUCGAUAUUUCAUUGUUAGAAUUAACAACUUAUAAUUAAAAAGUUUUAUAUUCAUUUUAAACCUCUAUAAAAGCCCCACAUUUUAUUACUUAUCCAUUAAAUUUUUCUUCUAACAAUGAAGACAGCAUAUGUUCUUCGUUUUUGAGAGAAAGAAAGAGAGAGGGGAAAAAAAAUCUUGCUUCCUCUACUUUCCACUCAAAAAAAAAAAGAAAAAAUCUAAUAGUUUUAUUCUAUUCUCUAUGGCUAUUAGUCAUUACUCAAAUCUUCAAAUAAUUAAUAUAAAGAUAAAGUUAAUUUAUGAUUUCAUCUCAAAUUUCAAAUUUCAGAUUUUAUUUUUUAUUAUUCUCUUAAUUAAUUGUAUUAUUUAUGUGUUCUUAUUUCUUUUUAAUACAUUCUUUUAUUCAUCUACUAUUUUUUGUGUGCUUUUUUUUUUCUAUUGUGAAAUAAAUAACUAUAUCAAAAAACUUUAGAAAACAGAAGAAUAAAAAAAUUAAUUUAAUGUAGAAAAGAAGUAGUAUAAAAGAUGUAAUUUGAGUUAAAAAAAAGUAAAAAUAUUAUAAUUGAAUUAAAAUUUCAAGGAUUGACAAUAGUGUAAUAUAAUUUUAUUUAAUAAUUUUACAUUUUAGAGAGUGUUUAAAGAAUUGAUUUUCAAUAAAUAUUAUAUAACUAAUGAGUAAUGAUAUAACCACAAACUCUUGUACAAACUUAUUUUGUACAAACUGAUGUGGCAUGAUAAGAUUGGUUGAAUUAAAUAUCACUUGGCUCACGUGAUUUGUUUUUAUUAUUUUAUAUUUUCAUUCAACGAAUGAAUUAAUACCAUGUCAGUUUGUACAAGAGUUUGUGGCUGUAUCAUCACUCAUAACUAAUAUACAUAUUUUUUGUCCUAAAUUUUAAGAAAAACUAAUUAAAACCAUUUGCCUAAGGCCUCAAAUAUGGUUGAGCCAGCCCUGAAUAGAAUAUAAAAGUACAUGAUAAAUAUUUAAAUUAAAACUCGAUAAAAGGUUAACAAAAACACACAUGUUGUUUUUUAGUGAGUUUAAUUUUUUUUUUUUUUUGGGAACAAAUUCAAAACGACAUCAUUUUGGAUGUAUUUUCAUUGGGAUUUGGUUCUUCAAUUAUUUUUCUAAUAGCAGAUCUCAAGAUUGUGUGAUUACAUCACAGCUUAACUUUUACAGUGAUCGAUUCCAAUAGCUCUCUAGUUGAAAUUUAAAUUAAUUAAAUAAAAAAUAACACGGCCCUUAUCAAUUUGACGAUGGUAUGGUGUAAAAACAUCCUCUUGAAAAUUAUGAGUCAUCCAAAAAGAUUAAUUUUUUUGGGAUAUCUUGAAUGGAAGUAAACAUAAUUUUAUGUUUUAUAAAAAGGUAAAACAUUAAGUAAUUAAUAAUAUAUCAAUAUUAAUUAAUAAGUUAUUUACAUUAGGCAAUAUUAUACGUUUGUGAAUUUAUUGGUCAUUUGUUUUUGUACAAUUAUUUCAUGACAUUAUAACGAUAUGAGAAUGACGAUUCAAACUAUCUUGAAUAUUGGAUAAUUGUUUUUUAAUUAACAUUUUGGGGCUGAAUUCAAUCGUGCAUAUAGACAAUUUUAUCUAUUAAAAGAAUUAAUUAUUAUGUUAAAAUUUAUUUUGGAAUUUAAUGACGAAGAAACUGUUUCUUAACUGGAGCUAUGGCUUUGGCCACGAGCUCCUCUGGUGUUAGAUUAUGAACCGGAACUCCGGUUGAAUUCGGUUGUGGUGGCGGUGAGUCCGCCGGAAAAAUCCGGAACUCACUGAGUUCGGAUGCGGACUCGGCCAUUAUUGAAAUAAUGACUAACUAAUUUACUUAGGAAUAAAGACAGAAUUUGGGGGAGGGAAAUUACCAAGCCUUUAAAUUUUUAUAAGUAAAUAGAAAAAGAAAUUCAAGAUGGCCAAAAUUUUUUUGCUGUAUGAGACCCCAAUUAAAGCGGGCAAAUUCCACUCAAACUUUAAAAGUUAGUGUGAGUAUAUAGGUUUGAUUAUUUUAACUUAAAACUUUGACCUAAUUAAACACAAAUUCAUAAUCAUUGUACUUCCAGACAUCAAGCGUGUAAUCAAAAUUCAGUUACUUUUUGUCUUGCAUUAAUUUAAUUGACCAAUAUAUAUUUCUUAAAUAAAUAAUAAUAGUUUGUAUUUUAAUUAAUGUUCCACUAAUCAUUUAUUGUCUCAUAAAUGAUAAUAAAUAAAUUUAUUAUUAAUUAUUUACAUACUAUUCUUACAACUUGAUCAAUGAACAACAUAUAACAUGCCACAUAAAAUAUCAGAGUAACUAAGAUAUAAACUAUGUAUUUCUUGGUCGAAUUGAGUAUCCGUAGCAUUAAAUGUAAAUCACUAAUUACUGCAAAGAUCAAACUUAUAUUUAAACGAGAGAUUUAACAUUAACUAAUACCAAAUAUUGGCGUUCAAUUACAACUUAUGAAAUACUCAACAUAGGUAAAACCACAGAAUCAUACGAUUCAUACGGUUCGUAUAAGCCUUUCGAGGCUAAUGCAUGUGUAGGCUUGAAGACAUCAUUACUAAGAGGCGGCUAAUAAUAUUAUAAUAUAAAAUACUGCUACUCAUGCAACUGGGUAGGAAGGUUUAGUGGCAAUGCCACAGAGACCUUCAGGUGCUUCAACAUCUCUGAGAAUCCUCAUGUAGCCGGCCUCACCCCAGCUCUCCCCCCAUGAAUUCUUAAUUAACCAAUACUUCAUUCCAUCUUCAGUUGCCCCAAAUCCAACGAUAGCAACAGCAUGAGAACACUGAGUUCCACAUCCUCCGUUAAAAAUACCGCCUUUGUAACUCUGGAAGUCUGGUCCACUUCCUUCAAUGCAAAUUGAUACUGGCUGCAUGGCUACAGCUUGGAGUAAAGCCUGCUCAUCAUUGGGUUUUACAUCUUCAAAGUUACUAAUUUUAGCAGCUGCCUUGACCUGUGCGUCUUCACAAGUCCCUUGGACUUCCUUGUAUGGAUAAUCCGCUUCUGAGGCAAUACCCUGGUUUUUUAUAAUAUAUUUAAAGGCAUUGUCCAUCCAACCGCCACCGCAUCCACGGUUACCAUCUAUGGAGCAGUCUAGUAUUUGCUGCUCCGAAAGUGGAAUAAGAUUACCACUACUAAUCUCAGUCACCCCUUCCACCGCCGCCACAGUUGAAAAUGCCCAACAGUCUCCUGCAUCGUACAUAUUAAGGAAAAAAAAAAAAAAAAGGCUUGAUUAAGUUACAUGAAACAUGCCCCAGCAGGGGUUUGGCAGACGGUUGUCAAGCUGUUUUUAUUAAUUAGCUGAUGGUCAACUGAGUUUGAGUUCUGAAAGAGGUUGGAGGCUAAAUAAUCUAUUAUAGUUACUUCAUAAAUAUUUAGUAUACGAUUUACUUACCACAUUGACCUUGGUUCUUAAUAGGAGUGACAGCUCCUUUCUCUCUCCAGUCCAUGCUAGUUGGAACGUCAGUCAGGUUUUGAUACUUGAAGGAUGCUGUUGUGGAUUGCCGUGAUGAAGAUGACUGGCUUGGCACCCUGUAUCCUGUAUAUGAAGCACGAAACUCCUCAUUAGUUAAGUCUGAAAAUUCAUUGGUGCCUAACUUGUACGUCCGAUUCGCCUCCUCAUUGGCUUUCUCAAUGUAUUCAAGGUUUUCUUUGAAUAUCUUAAACCGCUUUUCCUUCUCCAGGUCGUCCUUGUAAGUGCGCCCAUGCUCAGCCAUCCAUUUUUCAUGCUUCUCAACAAUGGAUGGUUCAUGCAGCGACCGGCCGGCGACCGACACCAUUUUAGAUGAAUAAGUCACCAGAAUGAUCAUAGACAGGGCAAUGAUAUCAAAGCUUUUCCCCAUAAUAAUUGGUAGGUAUUUGCAAGUUGAACAAGGUUGUUGUUUUUUUUUUUUUUUUUUUCCCUUCAAAUUAUAGAGGCUAGCUAGCCAGCUGGGGGUAAGUUGUGAAUACUUGAAGCACGCAUUGCAGCUCUAUAUAUAGUACUUGUAGAUAGUGGAUUUGUGCUCUCAACAUGGGUCGCGUACAAUAUUUGCCUAAUGCAUGAGACGUAUGCGUUGCGUUAGUCGUGCCCCAUACUUCACGAUUUUCAAUCAAGCUAAUUAGUAUGCGAAACCGGACAACCAAGUUAUUAUCAGUUAUCGCCGUGAUUCGCGUACUUCGUGCUUUUGAGGCUUGCUAGCAAUGACUUGACUAGCUUUUAGCGAAGUUACAAAAAGAAUUAUGAACUAAUUUGUAGAUGGACUUUUAUCGAUGAGACUUGCGGCGACGUGGAAAACAUUGGUGUCAUUUUUUUUUUCUUUCAUAAAUCAACUUAAAAAAAGGAAAAUUGGAUAAUAAUGUGAACUCAUUUGGACGGAGUAAAAUAAUUCUUACAAAAUCUACAAUGCAUCUAGCUAGGAUGAACUUUUAUAUAUCUGCGAUAUUAUGAAGAAAUCAUUACUAAUAUGCAUUACAUAAUAUGGCAUAAAAUAUGACACUAAUACUAGAAUUUCUUCCUUUAAGUGCCAAUUUGGUAGUUUAUCUUAACCUGUCAGUGACAACUGUUGUUUCAAGUGCACUUUUUGAGUCUUUAUGCAUACUAUAAUAUAUAGGCUUCAAUGGGGUCUCCUCGUAACUUUCUUGCCUAUCACCUUGAAUAUAAUCAUAACAUCCCGCCAAGUUAAUUUUUUUAGACCAUAGCACGUCAAAAUCUUUAAUGGAUAUAUUACUAAUAGAAUAAUGGUCAAUAUUCUAUUUUUACAUACGGUUUAAGAUAUCUAAUAAAUUGAUAUGGAUUUAAUUUCCUAAAUAGCAAAUUAGUGAAUUAUCAUAACUUUUUAAAAACUUAAAUUUGAUGUUAAAGAAAAGGAUAUAUAUAUUAACUUAUUGAUAUAAAUAAUGCUAAGUAUAUAUAUAUUUGCAGCCAAAAGUUAAAUAUGGUACAACAAUAAAAAAAGAUACUUUACACACUCAGUUAUAAUAAAUUAAUAUUUAUAACGAUAAUAUGACCCAAUACCCAUAUUGACCCAAUUACUAUCAUAAUAUUGUAUUAGGAUAUUAAAAUUCCACAAUAAUGGAGAUGACAUAAAAUUUGUUUAUAAAAAUGUACAAUACAAUAUUUAAAUUUUUUGCGGCUGAGAAUCGUGAGAACAGUAUGGUCAUCACAAUUAAUUGAUUGUGAGGAGAAUAAAGAGACCAUUACCAUAAUAGCUAUGCAUAAUUCAAUGGCCCGAGAUGGAUUGGCGGAUGGAAUCAAGAAUAAUUUGAUUCAAACUUAAGAAUAAUACAUUAUACAGAAUUACAGAUUGAGAUUAAAUAUACUCUCUUGUUUUUAUAAACAUGUGCAAAAUGCAUGCUUUCUCUUUCAUCUCUGCUUCAAUCCCACUUUAGGGUUUGUUUGUCAAAAGUAUUGUUUUUGAAAAAUAGAUAUUGUUUAAAGCAAAUAAAAUAAAGAUCAUUAAAAAAAUAUAACAACAUAAUGUUUAAUUGAUAAUGAUUUUUGCCAGUCUUAUGAAGGACUACAAAACCGAAUACAAAAUGCCAAAAUUUUGUAACUAGGAAUCAUACCAAAUAACAUAUUAAUUUAAAAUUUAAUUCUUACUUUUAAUUCUUACUUUUAACAUCUAUAUAUGUAUACAUAGAUACACGGUGGGUCCCUCCGAGCAUCGGAUGAUUUUUCGGGCAACGGACAUCUCAUAGAGUUAAGAUCGUCAUCAUCAUCGUCAUUAUACGAAUACAUUACUUUGAAGGAGCUUAUGUUGGACUCCAAUUUUAGGGGUGGCGGCAUUGCCAUUAUAAAUUCAAUAAGAACCACAGUGGACAAUUGUUACAUUUCGCAUUUCACUACCGCUGGCAUUUCCAUCCAAGAUGGCCACGAAACGUAUAUAAGAAAUUCCUUCAUCGGCCAACACAUCAACAUCGGCGGGGAUGAUCGCGAAAAGGAUUUCUCCGGCAUCGGAAUAAACAUCACGGGAAACGACAACGCGGUCACUGAUGUUGUUAUAUUUUCAGCAUCAAUUGGAGUAAUGGUACAGGGGCAGGCCAAUAUGCUGACGGGAAUACACUGUUAUAAUAAGGCUACUGACUUGGGAGGUACCGGCAUUUACAUCCGGGCACCAGCAUUGAUAAUAAAUUUACUUAUUACAAUGGUUCUCCGUGAAAUCUCCUCAAUGGGAUUUUAUGAGUUGAAAAUAAUGAAUUAUCAAUAUAAGCAAAAAUAUAUUUUUCAAUAUACAACUUAAUUUGCUCUUAAAAUAUUUUAAUAAUAACAAAAAUAUUCAUAUAUUGCAACACACAGAACAAAUAUGAAAUGCAUGAUAAAAUUAUAUAUUUUAAAACUAGAUAAAAGAUUAAUUAGAAAAUUAUAAAUUAGAAUUAGGAAGACUUACAACUUAUGGUCAGUGUUGAAAGACUAAAUAAUUAAUUUUACUUGAAUAAAAAAUAAAAAGAUUAAAAACUGAUCCAUUAACCAUUAUACUAACAUUUUGUUAUGAUUAUUUUUUAUUUUAAUAUUUGUUCUCGUGUCUUUAAUAAAGUUUCAUGAAAUGUUAAUAACUAAUUAAAUAAUUUAUAAUUAAAAAUAUAAAUUAGGGACAGUAUUAAAUAUUUUAAAAUUACUGGAGUCAAUUUUAAAUUUUACAAUUCAGCUGGGACAUUUUUCAUAAAUAACAAAUAAAAUACAUAUUUUUAGUAUAAUUAUAAAAAAAAAAAUUAAAAGCCAGCUGGGGCCUGUGCCCCACCUCGUCCCACGCUGGCUCCGUCCCUGUUAUUCGUUCCCUCUCACAUUUCCGGCACCGGCAUCAUCCCUUCCCCUCUUCACCAAUACCCUCUAUUCGAAAUUACUGAAAUACUCUCCUCAUCUCCACCACUACCACCACCACCACCAUGUUGUCAUGCACAGUCAAAUGCUUCAAGGCCUUCAAAACCCCUUUCAACCCGGGAACCCAAAACCCGACCCGUUUGUGCAGUCAUCGACGUUAUGAUGGGCUGGACGGCUGAUGUUUUCAAGAAUUUUGAAGGUCCCAUUGUUGGGUUCUUCACUUCUGGUGCUUGUUCAGCAGCGUGGAGUGUGCCAUGUAGCAGGCUCGCAUCCAAGAUGUCAAACCGGGAGAGGCCCAUUUACUUCCUGGGUUACCCAAGGAUAUGGCUUUAUUCGAAUCGGAGCUUAAAUACGGGCCUCACGGGCCCCUUCCUCGUGGUCCACUACCUUUGCGAGGUGCGCCCGGUUCAGAGAAAAUGAGUCCAUCGAACCCCGUGAUCAACCACACUGGAUGAAGGAAGUGGAGGAAUGGAUGGCUUUGAUGUUCAACACCUGUGAUGAUCUUGAGGGACCAUUUAUUAAUCAUUUAGGGGAGAUUAUCAAUUUUCCCCCUAUUGUAAUCAAUAUAUACUAUUUACCUCCUUCCUGUUUUUAUAAUGACCAAAAACCCCUCCUGAUAACAUAAGUUUAUAAUAUUAUCCUUAUUUUCAACUACUCUUUUAUUUAUAUUUAUUAUAAAUUAAAUAAAUCACAUGAAUAUAAAUUAAAUAAAAAAUUAAGCAUUAAAAAUAACAAAUAUAUGUUUUGAUAUGAGCAAAAAAAUCAAUAAUAUAAUUUUUUCUUGAACUUAUUUAUUUUUUGAAAAUUUUCUUAUAAUAAAUAUAUAAGAAAAUUAUUAUAAAAUGAUAAAAAACUAUUAUAAGAAAACUUGAAUGACAAUUAAAAAUUUAUUAUAAGAUAAUUAAAAAAAUAUUUUGCCUAUUCUUUUUACAUUUAAUUUUAAAAUAUUAUAAAUGUUUAUUAUAAGAAAAUAUUCACAAAAUAAAUAAUUACAAGAAAAAAUUAUUAUUAAAUUUUUUGCUCAUAGUAAAACAUAUAUUUCUUGUUUUUAAUACUUAAUUAUUUAUUUAUUUUUUAUUCAUGUGAUUUAUUUUAUUUAUAAUAAAUAUAAAUAAAAGAGCAAUUAAAAAUAAAAGUAAUAUUAUAAACUUAUACUGUCAAGGGAAUUUUUGGCCAUUAUAAAAAUAGUAAAUGAAUAAAUGAUAUAUAUUGAUUAUAGUAGGGGAAAAUUGGCAAUCUCCCAUUAUUUAGUCAAUCGAAUGGGAAAGCCAAUGUGGGGAGUAGGCCCAUUAUUACUUGAACAAUUUUACAAAUGGGGCGGGUUCAGUGCUUCGUGAUCGUGAGAUGAGAACCAAUCGGUGGAGUUCUAACAUGAACGAAGAUGAGAUCAUUCAAUGGUUGGAUUUGAAAUCAUGAGGAUCUGUGUUAUAUGUGUCAUUUGGUAUCGAAGUGGGUCCAAGUUAGAUGAGCAUUUAGUACUAGCCAAUGCUUUAGAAGUAUCAAAUGAACCAUUUAUUUGGGUAAUUCAAACUGGUGCUGGUAGAUUGGAUCCUCCGUGUCAUUUAACUGGCUUAGACAGACCAGCAGAAGGCAAUUAUUUUCAUAGUGGUUUGGGUAGUAAAGCCAGUAAAAAGGGAUUGAUAAUAAAUGGAUGGGCGCCACAAUUAUUGAUAUUGAAUCAUCAAUCAAUGGGUGAAUUUUUAUCUCAUUGUGGAUGGAAUUCAAUGGUAGAAGCAAUUGGUGUGGGGUUCCAAUUUUAGCAUGGCCAAUUAGAGAUGAUCAACAUUACAAUGCCAAAUUGGUGAUCAAUCAUCUAAAGGUGGGGUACAUGAUUUCUAAUGAUCAAUCAAAAUCGAUUCAAAAGAAUGAUAUAGUGAUUGGUAUAGAAAAGCUUAUGAGUGAUCAAGAGAUUAAAAAACGAGCUCACAUGCUUCGCCGUAUAUUUUAUCAGGGCUUUCCUAUGAGUUAUGUGGCUUCUUUGAAUGCUUUCAAAGAUCUCAUUAGCCAGAAAUCAGUCUAACAAAAAUAAUUAUUGUGUAUAUUAGGCUUUUGUUACAUUGGCUUGGGUGUAAAUAAAUCUACUUUAUCAAGAACAGACAUCUCAGCACCUAAAUAAUGUUAGGAAAUUGAGUUUCAUCCCAAGAUCACUCCAAGCAAUUUGUCAAGCAACAAAUUAACAAAAAAUUUAAAUGGAGAAUACAACAAUCACACAACACAAGAUUUACGUGGAAAACUCUAAAUUCGGAGAAAAACCACAGCCGUUGUCAAGAGACAACCAGAGAAAAAAUAUUCACUAUAUGGAAAAUUAUUACAACCACACUCUCAUAAAUAAUUUUCUCUCACCCAAGCCCCAAAUACAUAAUUGCGAAAAAUAUUCCUUAACAAAGCAAACCCGUAAUACCCAUAUUGAGGAGCCAAAUGCUCCUUCAAUAUAAAUACAUGCUUAAGAAUAUUUCUCUCCCAUGUUGGAAGCUCUCAAUGCUUCUCUUACAUAUUCUUGCUUCUCAAAUUUUGGGAUUUCUUCUCUGGGAUACAAAAAUGAGAGGGAGAACCCCUCUAUUUAUAGCCAAACUUUGGCUUCAUUUUCUCCCUUUUCUUCUUUGCAUGGGCGGCACCCACCCAUUUUUUCUUGUUCAAUGAUGGUGGCUAACUUGGCCACCCACCAUCUUUGAAUUCAGAGAUGAUGGCUCAACCACCCAUCAUUUUGGCUUCUUUUUUUAAAAUCAAUUUUCAACAAUCUCUACCAUGAUUAAAAAAAAAAAAUUUCAUAGUCACUACUACAAAACAUUGUCUUCACCAAUAGUUAUAAUUCUCAAUAUAAAGAAUUAUCACACUACACCAUAAUGAGUAUACCACUUAGAAUCAACUAUUCUAAGAUUUUUCUCGGCACAUGUCAAAAUAUCCUGCUGAAAUUUAUAGUGCAAUUCUCAUGCUUGGUUUCAAUGAGAAUUCUUCAGCCAUGACAUAACUUUUCCACCACACACGUUGCAUUUAUACCAAGCCAAUGCCCUCGUGCAAACUUGUGGACCCCACUGAUAAUAACAUGUUCUCUUUCAUGGUAACUUGGAGAUCUACAUGCCAAAAGAACUAAUCCAAUCUCUUAUCAAAAACAAAUUCACCAUCUGCGAGAAAUAUCAGUAUUUCUUUUACUGAUUCUGGAGUAAUUUGUCGAGCCCGCUCCACCUUCUUGACAAUUUUCUUGAGGCGCCAAAAUUGUCCACACCUUCAAAUCUUUGUGCAUACCAGAUUGGAUACACCUUUGACUUGAAUUCUCCACAAGCCAACAAAAAAUCAUUCUCCCAUUAAUUUUUUAACAACAUCAAACUCCACCAAGUUUGAAAAAUACCAGCUACUGACAUAUUUGCUUCAUAAAUGACCCUAUACUCUUCACCACGGACUAUUUAGAUUGGCUCCCACUGCUUCACAUGAACAGUACCGUAUACACGAACAAUAUCAUAUACGUGAAAUAGUAAUGUCUACGUGAACAGUACCCCGACAUCAAAACUUCAAUCAAUGGCUCUGAUACCACUGUUAGGAAAUUGAGUUUCCUUCCAAGAUCACUCCAAGCAAUUUGUCAAGCAACAAAUUAACAAAAAAUUUAAAUGGAGAAUACAACAAUCACACAACACAAGAUUUACGUGGAAAACUCCAAAUCCGGAGAAAAACCACAGCCGUUGUCAAGAGACAACCAGAAAAAAAAUAUUCACUAUGUGGAAAAUUAUUACAACCACACUCUCAUAAAUAAUUUUCUCACCCAAGCCCCAAAUACAUAAUUGCGAGAAAUAUUCCUUAACAAAGCAAACCCGUAAUACCCAUAUUGAGGAGCCAAAUGCUCCUUCAAUAUAAAUACAUGCUUAAGAAUAUUUCUCUCCCAUGUUGGAAGCUCUCAAUGCUUCUCUUACAUAUUCUUGCUUCUCAAAUUUUGGGAUUUCUUCUCUGGGAUACAAAAAUGAGAGGGAGAACCCCUCUAUUUAUAGCCAAACUUUGGCUUCAUUUUCUCCCUUUUCUUCUUUGCAUGGGCGGCACCCACCCAUUUUUUCUUGUUCAAUGAUGGUGGCUAACUUGGCCACCCACCAUCUUUGAAUUCAGAGAUGAUGGCUCAACCACCCAUCAUUUUGGCUUCUUUUUUUAAAAUCAAUUUUCAACAAUCUCUACCAUGAUUAAAAAAAAAAAAUUUCAUAGUCACUACUACAAAACAUUGUCUUCACCAAUAGUUAUAAUUCUCAAUAUAAAGAAUUAUCACACUACACCAUAAUGAGUAUACCACUUAGAAUCAACUAUUCUAAGAUUUUUCUCGGCACAUGUCAAAAUAUCCUGCUGAAAUUUAUAGUGCAAUUCUCAUGCUUGGUUUCAAUGAGAAUUCUUCAGCCAUGACAUAACUUUUCCACCACACACGUUGCAUUUAUACCAAGCCAAUGCCCUCGUGCAAACUUGUGGACCCCACUGAUAAUAACAUGUUCUCUUUCAUGGUAACUUGGAGAUCUACAUGCCAAAAGAACUAAUCCAAUCUCUUAUCAAAAACAAAUUCACCAUCUGCGAGAAAUAUCAGUAUUUCUUUUACUGAUUCUGGAGUAAUUUGUCGAGCCCGCUCCACCUUCUUGACAAUUUUCUUGAGGCGCCAAAAUUGUCCACACCUUCAAAUCUUUGUGCAUACCAGAUUGGAUACACCUUUGACUUGAAUUCUCCACAAGCCAACAAAAAAUCAUUCUCCCAUUAAUUUUUUAACAACAUCAAACUCCACCAAGUUUGAAAAAUACCAGCUACUGACAUAUUUGCUUCAUAAAUGACCCUAUACUCUUCACCACGGACUAUUUAGAUUGGCUCCCACUGCUUCACAUGAACAGUACCGUAUACACGAACAAUAUCAUAUACGUGAAAUAGUAAUGUCUACGUGAACAGUACCCCGACAUCAAAACUUCAAUCAAUGGCUCUGAUACCACUGUUAGGAAAUUGAGUUUCCUUCCAAGAUCACUCCAAGCAAUUUGUCAAGCAACAAAUUAACAAAAAAUUUAAAUGGAGAAUACAACAAUCACACAACACAAGAUUUACGUGGAAAACUCCAAAUCCGGAGAAAAACCACAGCCGUUGUCAAGAGACAACCAGAAAAAAAAUAUUCACUAUGUGGAAAAUUAUUACAACCACACUCUCAUAAAUAAUUUUCUCACCCAAGCCCCAAAUACAUAAUUGCGAGAAAUAUUCCUUAACAAAGCAAACCCGUAAUACCCAUAUUGAGGAGCCAAAUGCUCCUUCAAUAUAAAUACAUGCUUAAGAAUAUUUCUCUCCCAUGUUGGAAGCUCUCAAUGCUUCUCUUACAUAUUCUUGCUUCUCAAAUUUUGGGAUUUCUUCUCUGGGAUACAAAAAUGAGAGGGAGAACCCCUCUAUUUAUAGCCAAACUUUGGCUUCAUUUUCUCCCUUUUCUUCAUUGCAUGGGCGGCACCCACCCAUUUUUUCUUGUUCAAUGAUGGUGGCUAACUUGGCCACCCACCAUCUUUGAAUUCAAAGAUGAUGGCUCAACCACCCAUCAUUUUGACUUCUUUUUUUAAAAUCAAUUUUCAACAAAUAAUAUGUAAGCUUUUGUUAAUUGACUGCACUCGAUCAUUAAAAGUCUUACAAAGCAUGUAAAGUAAAAAAAUGGCACAUCCUCCAUCCGAAAGCAUCUAAAAUAAAAAGAUGGCACAUCCUCCAUCCGAAGUUUUUUACCAUUCGGCUUAAAUAUAUAGUCUCAUUUUUGGUAAUAAGCUCACAACAUGCAUAGGGAAGUUUUUAAUAGAUCUUCAUUCCCGUGGAUGUUGUGAGCUUAUUACCAAAAAUGAGACUAUACAGGUGUGGGACAAACAAAAAGGGAAGUUUUUUUUCCAUUCGGCUAAAUUUUAAUGUCACGCAAAAUAAUAUGUGAUCUUGAAUUCAUUUUAAUAUGAUAUCAACAUACGUAGGAAAUUCGUGAAUCAAGAAAUUUUGCAUGCCAGAGUCAGAGGAACAAUUAAAUAGAAUGCUUUUUAAGACAACAAUCACUGAUGAUCAUGUUUGCACACCAUCGGAGAGUACUGAAUAUCUACUAUCAGUCCUAUCUAAUUGAAAAAUGUACUGGUAGUUCGAUGAGUUUGUUUCCAUAGAAGCUACUAAAUAAAGAAAGGGAAAAAGAGUGGCUACAAAAAGGAGGAAAGUGGGAGGAGCUGUAAGGCUUUCACGGCAAAUUGAUUGCCUUGUUGAUGCUGUGGAAAUGGAGGUCGAACUCAAGAAGCAGAUCAUGGUACUAAUGUUCUUGAAGAUCAAGAGAUGGAGAGAUUGAAAAAUAAUAGUGCUGCAAGUGGAUAAUAUUAUAGUUAUAUAUUUCUUUACACAUGUAUAUAAUAUUAUAUUUCUAUGAAUUACUUUAUUACAAUAGUUUUGCGUACAUAAAAGUUUAUAUAGAGAUUAAAUUUUUGCAUUUUCUUUUUUGCAGUUAAGUUUAUUAAUCAAUUCAAGUAUUUGUGUAUAUUACGGACUACAUAACAAAUUUUUUAGUUAAAUAUAUUAUAGUUAAUUUUUAUUGCAAAUUAAAAUAGUUAAUAAAAAAUUAUUUAAAUAUGUAAUCAAGAAAAUAGAAUACGCUCUUCAAAAAUCCAAUGAAUAAGAAAAAUUAUUUAAAUAAUAAUAUUCUAAAUAAAUUACAAAUAAGUAAAUGAGUACAUUUUUGUCAUUUGCACAUGAACAUUAUACUUUUAAUUUUCACUUACCAGAUUUAUAUAGUAGAUUAUUUAAAAAUUGAUUGUCAAAUAAUCAUCAUUUACCAAACACCCGGCUAAAUUAUUCAUAAAAUUAAUUUUCUGAUAAUCAAGGUAAAAAUUAAUUAUUGGGAAGUAAAAGAAAUUCCAAACAUACCCUCAAUCAAUUAUAAGAGGGUUUUUAAUUAAAGAUACCUUAAAAGUAGGGUAUUUAGUUAAAUAUAUCACAUGCUUGAAAAUUAUCUAGAUAUACCUUUUUAUGUGGUACAUUGUUUAAAAUAUCCUUAAAAAAAUAUAUAAAACACACACAACUCGUCUCUAACACUCUUUACUUCUCACUCUUUUUAACUCCACACAACGAAAACUCACUCCACACUCAAAAUCACUCACGAACAGCUAAUGCAUUGAGAUUUUAAUUUGCAACUGGGUGCAUUAUUCAUCCCAUGAAUAAGGUAUUUGAAAUUUUUUUAUUUUGUGUUAUUUAUUCAUUUAAUUGACAUUAUAUUAUUUUUAGGGUUUUGUUUGGUUUGUGAUAAACACUAAAGCAACUCAUAUUUCAUUACAUUUGCAUCAUAUGACUGUUAUUUGAUGGAUUUUAUAACUACAUUCGUUAAAACCUGAAGUUGUUGCCAAAUUUUUUUUCUGCACCCGACAUACACGACAUCAGUCUUGUAUGUAUGGAUUUACAUAACUGUAGUCGUGCAAAUGUGCAAAAGAUUCCAAUUAUCAUGACACUUUAUCAUUCUAUUGGUGCAAAAAAUAUUUUUUUUUUCACUAUAUAUAUCCUUUUACUAUUACUGGACUAUAGUCGUGUGUGUUAAUAAGUUACACAACUACUAUCGUGUACGUAUGAACUUACAUACUAUAAUUGUGUAUAUAUGUAAAAUGUUCCAAUUGUUAUCAGAUCCCAACAUUUUUUUAAGAAGAAAUAUGUCCUCUGAUUAUUUAUUGAGUCAUAUAUUUUUGCAACUUACACGACUUUUGUCAUGUAUGUAUGAAUUUACACGACAACAAUCGUGCAAGUUUGGAAGAUAUAGUAGCUGUUAUGACACCUACCAUUCGGUUAGUACAAAGAUUACAGUUUUUUUUACUAAAUAUAUCAUCUGACUGUUUAUAGAACUAUAGUUGUGUAUUUUAGCAAGUUACAUAACUAUUGUCGUGUAAACUACCAAUUACACGACGUGAGUCAUGUAAAUAGGCAGACAGAUCCACACUUCGUUAUAUGCAUUGCUUGAUUUUAUUUUUGUAUUUGUUGUAUAAUCAACCGUUGUAUUAUUACAGAAAAUGACUUCAGUACGUGUGCCUAUUAUGUUUUGUGGUGAAUGGAUUGAGCAAAACGGCCAUUAUAGAUUUAAUGAUACAAAGGCAAGAGGGAUCAUAGUGCCAUAUUCUACAACGUAUGCACAAUUGAUAGAAAUAGUAUCUCGGGUUAUUUAAUAGGCAACCAAAUUACCAGAGGCUUAUACAAUAUGGACCGAGUGUUUGGGUUGAAAAUGCAAAAAAAUUAUGAUGAUUGUUAAACAACUUCUAUUGUAUUAUGACUUAUUUACGAUUCAAAUAAGUAUUGGAUUUAUGUUGUUUGAUAGGCAACCAGACUACAGUUAGUUUCAUUUAUUUGAAAUUUAAUAUGUUAAAGUUUAUAUUGAUUGUGUCAUCAAUAUAAUGAAUGUUUUAGUUGAUUUUUUAUUCUGUGUCCACAUACCCGAGUACAAUCGUGUAUUUUGGCUGUUACAGAACUGGUCAUGUUUAUUUACAAAUACUCGACUGCAGUCGUGUAUCUGUGCAAAUACCUGACUGCAGUCGUGUAUUUUCCUAUAGAGAGCUAGUCAUAUUUAUUUGUAAAUACUCGACUGUAGUCGUGUAUCUGUGCAAAUACCCAACUACAGUCGAGUAUUUUCUUACAGAGAGCUGGUCAAAUAUAAUUAUAAAUACUCGAUUGCAGUCGUGUAUCUGUGUAAAUACCCGAAUGCAGUCGAGUAUUUUCUUAUAGAGAGCUGGUUAUGUACAAUUGUAAAUACUUGACUGUAGUCGUGUAUCUGUGUAAAUACCCAAUUGCAGUCGAGUAUUUUCUUACUGAGAGCUAGUCAUGUAUAUUUGUAAAUACUCGACUGCAGUCAUGUAUCCGUGCAAAUAGCUAAUUGCAGUCGUGUAUUUUCUUACAGAGUAUUCCCUGACCAUAUAUGGCAAUCCUGUUACAUCACAUAGAUUGUACAAACUAUCUUCACUAUCAUUAAUAUAGUUAACAAAGAAAUAAAACAUAUUAAUGAUGUCAAGUUAUCUUUAAUGACAUCAAAUAUCAACAACAUCCUCAUUAUAACUAUCACAUCUCAUGGUCCAAAAAUGACACACCAAUAAAGUUUUUAAGGGUAGUACACUACAAAGUUUUUUUCCAUGACCUAUGCCCAAAUAAUUUGACAACCAAGGCUUUUCGAAAUUGUAUAACAUGAUCUUGUUUGCAAUAUGAAUUGACAUCAAGUCCAUGGGUUAGGACCUCCAAGUACCGCAACAAAUUCUCCACAAUCACCACUAAAAAAAGUAAAAUAAAUCAAUUGUUAAAAAUCAGCAUUCUUAUUAUUAUGUUCAAAACACAUUAUAUAUAUAGUACAUACCCUAAUUUUUGUUGCGGGAUGUCACACACUCGCACGAUGGGCCAAGGAAUUUUCGAUGUAACCUCAAUAUAGUCUGGAUGUGUUUCGUGAUACGCUAUCUUUUGAAGUACUAGAGGUAUCAUGUCUGCAACAGGCAGCAAUUGUCUCACUAAAACUUAAGUCUAUCAUGGAGUCAUAAAUAGAAAUCUUGCCACAAGAAAUUUAUAAUGCUUGCAGUAAUCAAAUGGCCUCAUAAAUAGAAAUCUUGCCACAAGAAUCCUUUGUUAAGUCUAUCAUGGAGUCAUUAAUUCAAUUAGAUUAAUCUCAGCAACAAGAAAUUUAUAAUGCUUGCAGUAAUCAAAUGGCCUCACAAUUCUAAACUAACUCUCCAUCCAUCAUUAAUCCUCUUGCUUCUUGAGCAAUUAAUGAAAAAUUAAAUUUAUCCACCCACUAUUUCCACUUCUAAGUAAAUAUAAUGUCAAUAGUCCAAAAUUAAAUUAUCUCGUACAAGUUUCCUAAAUAACAUCUUUCAAUAGUUGAAAAUAAGAAAUUAGAUAUAUGUAAUGCAUGUUUUUUUUUUUCAUUAAAACUAUAACCCAUAUCUCCACAUAAGCACAACUCCAAUACUUGAGCCUUUGUACCAAAUUUCCAGGUAAUUCAAGAUAGAUUCUAAUGUUACUAACAAAUCACACAAAUUAGCAAAGCAUAUAUUCGAUAAAAUCAUACUCAACAAGGUGUAACUGUCAAGUUUUUGAGUGGUAACUCACCUUUCAUUCGCCCAAUUUCAAUUCAAGGCAACAAAUUUAUGGGCUGGAACAAACGGCAACAGAGACAUAAAGUAACAGCAGCAAAGCGUCAUUGGCGUUAAUCUCAUCUAAUGGCGCAUCAGAGGGAUAGCAAUCGAGCCUGGCAAACAACUCUUCACUCUUUUUUGCUUGCUUGGAUUGGAUUCAAUCUUGAGGAAGGUUUGAAUUUGGCAAAAAUGGGUGUUGUGCACGCUAGUCGUGAGAGAGAAUUAGGGAUUGUGUUUUGUGACUGAUUGUGCAGGGUAAUUUGAAUGAUUUAGGUUUUUAAUUAGAGCAAUUUCGUAGCUGCACAUUAAAAAAGGUAUAUAUGGGGAAUUUUAGAGUAUGGGGGUGUUCUUAGAUAAAUACAUUUUUUUGGGGUAUGCCACGGAUAAAUCCCUGACUAUAAGAAGUUAUUUAAGUUGUACUAUUUAAUGGGUUUUAUUAAUAGUGAGCGCGUUUAUCAAAUAUAUAAAAAUAAAUAUUUUAGUUAUUAUCCACCUAUUCUCUUGAAAUCAUUCUCAAAAAUUUUUCGUUUACCUAAAAUUCCAAGUAAAAUAGAUAAAAGAAGAAGAGUUGGGGUAAAAACAAAUGGAAGGAAAAACAGGGCUCCCUGUUUUCAAAUUAUCUAUAAGUUACGAAAGGAGAAUGGUUCAGAUUAUCUUGAGCUCUGCGGUCAAACCGUCCAUCAGGCGGAUUCAGAUUUUGAAUUAUCUGUCAUAAUUUGGUUUCCCACUUAAGCAUGCUUAUCAUUGGUUUGAUAUUUGCUUUUUAAGACGACAAUCACUGAUGAUCAUGUUUGCACACCAUCUGAGAGUACUGAAUAUCUACUAUCAGUCCUAUCUAAUUGAAAAAUGUACCGGUAGUUCGAUGAGUUUGUUUCCUUAGAAGCUACUAAAUAAAGAAAGGGAAAAAGAGUGGCUACAAAAAGGACGAAAGUGGGAGGAGCUGUAACUGUAAGGCUUUCACGGCAUAUUGAUUGCCUUGUUGAUGCUGUGGAAAUGGAGGUCGAACUCAAGAUGCAGAUCAUGGUACUAAUGUUCUUGAAGAUCAAGAGAUGGAGAGAUUGAAAAAUAAUAGUGCUGCAAGUGGAUAAUAUUAUAGUUAUAUAUUUCUUUACACAUGUAUAUAAUAUUAUAUUUCUAUGAAUUACUUUAUUACAAUAGUUUUGUGUACAUAAAAGUUUAUAUAAAGAUUAAAUUUUUGCAUUUUCUUUUUUGCAGUUAAGUUUAUUAAUCAAUUCAAGUAUUUGUGUAUAUUACGGACUACAUAACAAAUUUUUUAGUUAAAUAUAAUAUAGUUAAUUUUUAUUGCAGAUUAAAAUAGUUAAUAAAAAAGUUAUUUAAAUGUGUAAUCAAGAAAAUAGAAUAUGCUCUUAAAAAAUCCAAUGAAUAAGAAAAAUUAUUUAAAUAAUAAUAUUCUAAAUAAAUUACAAAUAAGUAAAUGAGUACAUUUUUGUCAUUUGCACAUGAACAUUAUACUUUUAAUUUUCACUUACCAGAUUUAUAUAGUAGAUUAUUAAAAACUGAUUGUCAAAUAAUCAUCAUUUACCAAACACCCGACUAAAUUAUUCAUAAUAUUAAUUUUCUGAUAAUCAAGGUAAAAAUUAAUUCUUGGGAAGUAAAAGAAAUUCCAAACAUACCCUCAAUCAACUACAAGAAGUUAUUUAAGUUGUAGUAUUUAAUGGGUUUUAUAAAUAGUGAGCGUGCUUAUCAAAUAUAUAAAAAUAAAUAUUUUAGUUAUUACCCACCUAUUCUCUUGAAAUCAUUCUCAAAGUUUUUUCGUUUACCUAAAAUUCCAAGGAAAAUAUAUAAAGGAAGAAGAGUUGGGUUAAAAAAAAAAAAAUGAAGGAAAAACAGGCCUCCUCUGUUUUCAUUCCCCUGUUUUGAAAUUAUCUAUCAGUUACGAAAGGAGAGUGGUUCAGAUUAUCUUGAGCUCUGCGGUCAAACCCGUCCAUCAGGCGGAUUCAGAUUUUGAAUUAUCUGUCAUAAUUGGUUUCCCACUUAAGAAUGCUUAUCAUUGGUUUAAUAUAUUGCUGUUCCACUUGUUUAAUGAAUGGAUUCCCACCUACGCGUUUGCUUAUUAAAAGAAUAAAUCUUGCUUUUGCUUUUCUAGAGAAAUAAUGCAAUAUGCAAUUAUGCGUGAUGGUGCGCGUCCAUGUGAGAAAGUUGACGAAAGCUUCUUUUUCAGUAUUGCAAGUGCUAUCCACAGCGGAACUCCACAAUCGAAACCAUCAUUACGACAAUUUUUCUCUGUCGUUUCAAUUUUUAAUUGAAUAUAAAACAAGUAAGGUCAAAUAAAGUCUGGUCCACCAAUUUAAUCAGUAUGAACGUAUGGAUCCCAUCAUUAAUAUUAUAAAUAUGUGGGUCCUUUAAUUAUUACAUUAUAUGAUUAUUGUAUUAUUUAUAGAUUGCUUUAAUCAUGACAUAUUACGAAAGGAGAUUCCCCUUGGAAAAAAAAUAAAAAAGAGAUUCCCUCUUCGGCGACUGAAAAUAAAAGAAAUUAAGGGCUGCAUGAUUGAGUCUUCUUCUUUUGCAAAUCAUUAUCAUUACUCUCAUAAGCUCUCUAUAAUUACAUUCCUCUGCAGGUAACAUUAACUUUUUGCUCAUUAAAAUUGCACUUAAAUACUCAAGGCGAUUACAGAAGCUCAUCAACUUUCCAUAAUUAAACAGGAUUUCCACAACCUUCAAUUAAUUUCUUUUAAUAACAUAAUCUCUGAUGCUUGAUCUCUAUACAAUUUCUUUCUUAAUUUCCAUCCACUUUCCAAGAUAAAAUUUCUAUGGCUUGUUCAUUUAUCAUUUUUUUUUUGGGACACUUGAAGCACGUUUCUGUUAAUAGCAAAAACUCUGAUCCUUAAGAAAGAAGAAAAAAUGCUCUGUUCAUGUUUCAGUUGAUUCAAGAUCAAUUUUGCGAUACUGUUUGCCGUCUUUUUUUCUCUCUCUAGUUUAUUUUAAUUUAUUUGUAUUCCUUUCCCCUUUCUUUGACAUAUUAUUAGAUUUGUUAAGCAGCAGGCAAUGGCAGAAGUGGGUCUGGCUGCUUUUUCCAGCAUUGUAUCAGAAGGUUCAAAGUCACUGUUCAAACUGAUUAUACGGCAGAUAUCUUAUGUGUUCAAGCACCAGAGCUACAUAGAUGGCCUGAAAGAUCAAGUGAAGCAGCUGGGAUAUAGAAGAGAAACGGUGCAACAACCUGUUAAUCAUGCUAGACUACAAGGGGAUGAGAUUUAUGAGGGUGUCACAGACUGGCUAAAUAAAGUUGAUGAAUUCAUCAGUGAAGGGGUUGCAAAAUCCAUCAUUGAUGAUGAAGAUAGAGCUAAGAAGUCCUGCUUCAAAGGGUUGUGCCCCAACUUGAUUUCUCGUUACCAGCUUAGUAAACAAGCAGCAAAGGCCGCAGAAGCUGCCGCUAGUCUCGAGGGAAAAGGCACCUUCUCUAGUGUUUCCUACCGUCCUGCUCCAAAGAGUACAGAAUAUAUGCCAGUGAAAGAUUACGAGGCCUUCGAUUCAAGAACGAAAGUAUUUCAAGAUGUUGUGGAUGCGUUGAAGGAUGAUAGUUUCAAAAUAAUUGGGGUCUAUGGGAUGGGCGGCGUGGGUAAAACCACGCUAGUUAAGCAAGUUAGAAAGCAAGUGAUGGAAGAUAAGUUGUUCGAUAAGGUCGUUAUGGCUGAGGUAACACAGACACCAGAUCAUCAUAAAAUUCAAGACAAACUUGCUUUUGAUUUAGGCAUGGAAUUUGACUUGAAUGAGAAUGAAUUUCAAAGAGCUUCUCGACUGUGUCAAAGGUUGAAGCAAGAGAAGCGGCUCCUCAUUAUACUGGAUAAUAUUUGGACAAAACUUGAGUUCGAUAAAGUUGGAAUUCCUUAUGGGGAUGUUGAUGAGAAAGAUAGAGAGGACGAUCGGAGUAGACGCACAAUAAUAUUGACGUCUCGAAGUCGAGAUUUAUUGUGCAAUGAUAUGAAUUCUCAGAAAAAUUUCUGGAUCGAUGCUUUAUCCAAAGAUGAAGCAUUGCAGUUAUUUGAGAAGAUUGUGGGUGAUUCAAAAAAAACAUAUGAUUUUCAACCCACUGCAGAUGAGAUCGUUGAAAAAUGCGGGGGAUUGCCUGUUGCACUGAGAACAGUUGCAAGUGCUCUGAAAAAUAAGAGUCUUGCCAGUUGGAAGGAUGCAUUGAAUCAGCUAAGAAGUUCCAAUCUAAGAGAAAUUCGUGGUAUGGAUGCAGAUGUGUAUUCUUCCAUAAAAUUGAGUUACGAUUUCUUGGAAAGUGAUGAAGCAAAAUCUUUGUUCCUUCUUUGUACUCUGUUUGGUGAAGGUCAUCCUAUAUACGUACAUUACUUAUUGAGAUAUGGUAUGGGUUUGGGUCUAUUUAGAAAUGUUUACACAUUGGAAGCAGCAAGGAAUAGAGUGGAUGCAUUGAUCGACAGUCUAAAAGCUUCAUGCUUAUUGUUGGACGGUGAUGCUGAAGAUGAAGCUAAAAUGCAUGACGUCAUUCAUGUUGUUGCUGUAUCAAUUGCCGCAGAGAAGCUUAUGUUUAAUAUUCCAAAUGUUGCUGACUUUGAGAGAGAGAUGGAAGAGACAAUACGGAAAGGUCCAAUCGCUAUUUCCUUACCUUAUAGAGAUAUUCAAGAGCUCCCUGAGAGGUUGGAAUGUCCCCAACUCAAGUUAUUUUUUUUGUUUGCAAAGCAUGAUAGCUCUUUGCAAAUUUCACACCUCUUUUUUGAAGGGGCAGAAGAACUCAAAGUUUUAGACUUUACUGGAAUAUUUUUCUCUUCAUUACCUUCAUCACUUGGUUGCCUCAUUAACGUUCAAACAUUAUGUUUAGAUGGUUGCCGACUGAACGAUAUAGCAAUAGUUGGACAGCUAAAGAAAUUAGAGAUUCUCAGCUUUCGAGAUUCUGAUGUUAAGGAGUUGCCACUUGUAAUUGGACAAUUGACGAGAUUACAGUUGCUAGAUUUGAGAAAUUGUAGCAGCCUUGUGGUGAUAGCUCCAAAUGUCAUAUCAAAAUUAUCUCGAUUAGAAGAACUAUACAUUGGUAACAGCUUUUCACAAUGGGAGAAGGUUGAAGGAGGAAGUAACGCCAGUCUUGCUGAAUUGAAUGGGUUGUCAAAGCUAACUACUUUGGAGAUACACGUUCGGGAUGCCGAAAUUCUACCGCAGGAUUUGGUCUCUGUGGAAUUGCAAAGCUAUAGGAUAUGUAUAGGAAAUGAGUGGUGGAGCAGCCGGUCCGUUAAAUCUGGAUUAUCAAGAUUGAUGAAGCUCCAGGGGCUAGAAAAGUUUGGCAUUCUUUUGCAGAAUUACAGGAUGAAACUGUUGUUGGAGAGAACUGAAUAUCUCUAUCUAAAAGAACUGAAGGGUGUUCAGAAUGUUGUUCAUGAAUUAGAUGAUGGGGAAGGUUUUCCACGAUUGAAGCAUCUUCACGUAGAAAGUUGUUCUGAGAUUUUACACAUUGUCGGUUCAGUUGGACGGGUUCGUCGCAAAGUCUUCCCCUUGCUGGAGUCAUUGUCUCUUUGGUGUUUGAGCAAGUUGGAGACAAUAUGUGACAGCCAACUCACAGAAGAUCAAUCUUUCAGCAACUUAAGGAUUAUAAUAGUACGCGGCUGUGACAAAUUGAAGCAUCUUUUCUCAUUCUCCAUGGCCAAAAACCUACUGCGGCUUCAAAAGGUAGAAGUGUUAUUUGGCGGUGAUCUGGAAAUGAUUGUUGGUAAGUGUUGAAAUUAAGUACUGGUGGGAUUAUGGACUUCACCUCAAUUAUUUUGAAAAAAAAAAACGACAAAGAUUAAUUAUGUAUAUUGUUUUUGUUUGUUUAUAGGACCCGACAGGGAGAAACCAACAACUUCUUUGGGAUUCAACGAAAUCAUUGCUGAUGAUGAUACCGCUCCAAAGGUGAUAAUUUUCUGUACAAUAAUUAAUUGAUUAAUUUAUUAUCACGAUUAAUCUUCGAUCAUCAAAAGAAUAUUAUACUAGACGGUUGUACUUGAAGGAACAAAAAUGUACGGGUUUUCUUUGCAGGUUAUUCUUCCGAGCUUAGAGGAAUUGAAUCUCACGCUAUUAAGAAACAUGAAAAAAUUAUGGGCCGAUCAUAAUCAAGGAAUGUACUGUUGUCAAAAUUUAACAAAGGUGAUCGUGAGCAGUUGUGAUCGUAUGAAGUAUCUGUUUUCGUAUUCUAUGGUUAAUAGUCUUUUGCUACUCCAACAUCUUGAGAUAAGAGCUUGUAAGUCAAUGGAAGGGGUAGUCGACACCACGGGGUGGUCAGAAAGAGAUGAAGGACAUAUUCAUUUCCCUAAACUACACUCCCUCGAGCUCCAUUGUCUUCCAGAACUAACAAGCUUCGCCAAUACGGGACAUAUUCAUUCAGAUUUAGUUGUUGAAUUCCCUUCUUUGCUAGAACUCCGGAUUAGUGGUUGCAGUAAUAUGUUAAGAUUCAUCUCUACGAGCUCACCAGAAGACACCAUUCAUUCUGAAAUGCAACCUCCUCCUCUUUUUGACGAAAAGGUUUUUUUUUUUAAUAAAAAAAUUAAUUUUAGUCACAAUACUUAAUUUUUCUUUUCCUUGAGUCUUCAAAUUUAGUUAAUAUCCACCUCUAAUUUAGUUAUCAAUUGAUUAUGCCAUUAAUUGAUUAAUUAGUUAUUUAAUCUUUAACUGCCAGGUACGACUUCCUAGGGUGGAGGUAUUACUUAUGGAGAUGAUGGAUAAUUUGAGAAGAAUAUGGCACCACCAGCUUGCUUCGGAGUCUUUCAGCAAAUUGAAGAAUUUGGACAUAUGGUGGUGUGAUAACCUAAGAAAUAUUUUUCCUCCAUUGGUAAGGUUGCUGUAUUCAUUUCGAAUCUUUUUUCCCAGAUAAAAUUCAACCAUUUUUUAACCAUUUUUGUGUUUACAAAUGGUAUUCAGCCACUAAUUAUUUAUUUCAAGUAUUGUACUUCAAAUUAACCACCACUCUGAAAUCUACGUUUUAAGUCCGGUUUUCAAUUUAAUUGUUUUUGCUCAUAUCUUAAAAGUACGAUUUUCAAAAAUUAAAGGAUCGUCUCUCAUCUUAUAGGUUCACAAAUUCAUCUAUAUAUUUCUCUUUUCCUUAAUUCUUCACGUUUCGAUUGGAAAAAAAAAUAAAAGUCUUCAAAUUUAAUUAAUAUCUCUAGUUUAGUUACGAAUUGAUUAUGCCAUUAAUUAACCACAAAUUCAUGAUUAUUUACAACUGACCCUUGAUUGUAAAGAAAUUUCCUCGAGUCUGGAAGUACUUAAUAAAGAUCCACUUUACAGCAGUCCCUUGUUGACAGUAUUGGGAAAUCUUUUCCAAUUUUUUUUUCCAUUUUUAAAUAUACAUUAAAAAAAGGAACCAAGGAAAAGGGAAAAAUGGUUGAGUUUUUUUUUUUUUUUUUAAAAAAAAGGAAUAGUUGAAAUUUGCAAAUUUAUGCUUAAAAACUGAUAUCAAGAUGCAAAAGAAGUCUAAAAUAUUUAGAAAUUGCCUUAAAUUCUUUCUACGUUUCUAAUACUAAAUAGUGUAAAUGCAUUUUUAUUAUCUUUGUUUAUCUGGGUUUUAUUUAUUUAUUUAUCUUGUUCUAUUUUUGUUUAACAAAAAAUAUCUAGUAGACAUUUCAUAAUUUGUUAUGUUCAUAAAAUGUAUAAUUGUAUGAUUAAACAUACUUUGAACCUAGUUGAAUGAUAUUCUUACAUUUUUACUUUUUUAAUACACCACACAUGCACACACUUUUGCUUAUUUUCAGGUUGGAAUUCCUAGUAGUCUGGUGAAUCUUAAAGUAUCGGGUUGCCCAAAAUUAGAAGAAAUCGUAGGACAUGCUGGAGAAGAAGUGAAGGAGAAUCGUAUUGCUUUCAGCAAAUUAAAAGUUUUGAUACUUGAUGAUUUACCAACGCUUACCAGCUUUUGUUUGGAGAAUUACACUCUUGAAUUCCCAUCACUGGAACGAGUUUCUAUGACACAUUGUCCGAACAUGAAGAAUUUUUCUGACGGAAUCUUAUCCAUUCCAAAGCCAUGCAAAGUACAAGUGACUGAAAAGGAAGAGGGUGAACUGCACCAUUGGGAAGGCAAUAACCUUAAUUCCACUAUACAAAAGUGUUAUGAUGAAAUGGUAUGUGUUAAUCGAUUCACCCAAAUUGUUCAUGCAUCUCCCCUGCACUUGCACAUUUAAGCAUAUACACCUCCCUUGUAUAUAUAUUUUUAGAAGUUAAAACACAAAACAUGUAAGUUUAAUGUGUAUAUAUAUAAUGCCUUUCAAAAACAAAAUUGUAUAUAUCUGGUGCAAUUGUUUUGGUUUGUGCAGAUUGGAUUCCUUGAUAUAAACCGUUUGCAACUCUCGCAUUUUCCACGCUUGCAAGAAAUAUGGCAUGGCCAAGCACUGCCUGUCAGCUUCUUCAACAAUUUAGCAGAGCUGGUGGUGGAUGACGGCACGAAUAUGUCGAGUGCUAUUCCUGCCAAUCUGCUACGGUGCUUGAACAAUUUGGAAUGGCUGGCAGUGAGGAAUUGUGAUUCACUAGAAGAGGUGCUUCAUUUGGAAGAGCUAAGUGCUAAGGAAGAACAUAUAGGCCCCCUGUUUCCUAGGCUUUUAAGCCUAAAGCUCAUUGAUCUUCCAAAACUCAAAAGAUUCUGCAACUUCACUGGGAAUAUAAUUGAACUGCCUAAGUUGGAAUAUCUAAUUAUUGAGAAUUGCCCUGAUAUGGAAACAUUCACAUCCAAUUCUACAUUUGUACUGCACAUGACAGCAGAUAAUAAGGAACCUCAAAAAUUAAAAUCAGAAGAGAACCUCUUGGUAGCUAAUCAAAUACAAUAUCUCUUCGAUGAAAAGGUAAUCAUUAUUAUUAUUUUCCCUUCACUUUCGUUCGCACAUAUGUAAUUUCAUUAUAAUCAAAUCAAAUUUAAUGACUCAUCUUUUUGCACGUCGUCUUAAUUUAUAUCUGAUUUAACAAUAUAACCGCAGUUAUUAACUAACUUUAUAGUAUGAAUUAUAAAAAUGUCUGAAAUUAAUUGGAUGCCUGGUAACACGAGGUGAUGAACUAUACUAAUUAUGUGUGUAACAUCUCUGUUUUCCUAGCUAAUUCAUAUUGGAUUUAGCAUCAGAUUUCAUUUAUGUAUUUCAAAGGGUAAUCGAUUUGAUACUGAUAUUUGGGAUCCUACUGCAAAGCAUACUAAUAUGGAAAUAAAAUAUAAAAUGUCGUGAUUAAUCUUGUCCGUAAAAUAUGCAGGGGAAGACUGCAGAGAUUGGAUACAUAUUUUCAUUUACAACUUAAUUUUGUUGAUUUUCAGGUUGCAUUCCCUAAAUUGAGGAAGUUAAGGCUGUCUAGAUUACACAAAGUGCAGCAUCUCUGGAAGGAAAAUGCCGAAUCCAACAAAGUAUUUGCAAAUUUGGAAAGUCUAAAAAUAUCGGAAUGUAGUAAGUUGCAAAAAUUAGUACCACCUUCGUGGCAUUUGGAAAAUCUUGAGGCUUUGAAAGUAUCGAAGUGUCACAGGUUGAUAAAUGUGUUGACGCUCUCAGCAUCUAAAAAUCUAGUGAAUCUCGGAAGAAUGAAGAUAGUUGAUUGCAAAAUGAUGGAAGAAAUUAUACAGUCGCAGGUUGGAGAAGAAACGGAAGAUUGCAUUGUUUUUGGGAAAUUGAGGUACUUGGAACUUGACUGUUUGCCAAGCCUAACAAGCUUUUGUUUAGGUAAUUACGCUCUUGAAUUCCCGUCCUUGAAACAAGUAGUUGUGAGACAGUGUCCAAAAAUGAAGAUCUUCUCUCAAGGAGUCUUAGACACACCAAUGCUAAACAAAGUGAACGUCACCGAAGAAGAAAAAGAUGAUGAUGAAGAAGAUGAUGAUGAUGAAGGAUGUUGGGAAGGCAACCUCAAUGACACCAUAAAAAAAUUGUUCAAUGAAAUGGUGAGUAUCAAUUAAGUUUUGGUGCUAUUUAGCAAAUUAUUUUAUAGAAACUAAUGUGAUAUAAUAUGAUUGGUUGACUGAAAAUAUAUAAUAAUAAUAAUAAUAAUAAAUAAAUAAAUAAAUUAUGAGGGCCAUGUAAUGUUUUUAUUUAACCAAUCAUAUUAUCUCGCAUUAGUUUAUACAAUAUUGUUUGUGCACAAGAGGUGGUGGUCCUAUCAUUACUCUAGCUUUAUUAUUCUUAUGGUGGCAAUGUAUGCUUGCUUACACGAGUAAUUACAAAAUGUGCAGAAUUCUAAAGAAGAUAUUGAGCCAACCCUUCAGGUACAGUGAAGAAGCUAUCUCGAACCAGGCCAAUCUCUUAUACAUGAUUUAGCUUGCUCGUUCUUCUGUACUUGAAUAAUUUGGUUCUACAUAUUUACAAUUUUUUGCUCAUGCUACAGACGUGCAAGACACUUUGGAUUUUGUUUGAUGCAUUCUCCGUUUAAAGAAAGGACUUGAAUUGAUUUUUCAUGUUUCAUGCAAUAUUCGAUUAGAUUCUGCCUAAAUUUCUGUAUUAUUCUCUUUUAAGCAUUUAAUUUCUAACCUCUCCUGAUAGAAGAUCCUUAGCCUAAGAAAACAGCAUAACAUUUGUGAAAAAGAAUUAAUUAUCUCACACCAGAUUAGAAAAAGAAAACAGCAUAACAUUCGAUUAGAUAGUAAAAUUAUCUCGACCACUGUUAAAAAGAAUUAAUCAGUCGAAUCUCACACCAGCACGCUUUAAAUUAAAAGAAUUUCGUGAAGUCAAGACCAUGUUAUAGAUCUCAUGGAAAGAAGUAAACCCGUAAUCUUUUUCACAGCAUCAUAAGAAAAAUCGUUUUUUUUAAGUAUUUUUGUUAGCUGUCGAGUUUUAAUAGUAGUAGCUAUUAAACAAUAACAAUUAGUGUAUAUUAAAAAGUUGGAAACUGGUUGAUACCACUCGGGAAUCGAGCAGUUCACUUGUUUGCGAGUAGAAACCAACUUUACUACUAAUUACACUCCAAAAAUCACUAUUCUUCAUUUUUUAAUGCAAAAUUCCCAUUCGAAAACACCAAUGACUUUCAUUCAAAGUAAAUGAGAAAUUACAAUGAAAAUAGAAUCAAAAUACAUGUAUGUAUACCUAAAACAAAUGAUUUUUUUAAUUAAAAAAAAAACACAGUUGAGGUGAAAUGAAACCAGAGUCAUGAUAUCUCUGGUUCCAACUUUGGGACAACAGCAGACUUGAGUUCUAUAUGAGAAACACGUACAGCACCAAUCAGCCGCUCCGGUAAUUCAUCUGUAGUAUUUGCCUGCAUACAGAAGAGUAAGAUAAAGAAGACACACACGAAGCAUUAUACCAUUCUGAGAACAUUCAAGUAUGCAAAAAUGCAAAUUGCAGUGCAAUAUCUCAAAAUCAUGUCUUUUCCCUUGUGUCCAUUUAGAAGUGGGGGAAAAAAACAAUCAUACAUACCUGUACAAGGAAAGCCAUGUCAACCACCAAUGUCGUAACUACACCAAUUACAAGGCCCAAAACUCCAUUAGCAACAGUAGAAGAACCGAUGUCAACAUUAAUCUACAGAAAGAUGAACAAUGUUAAACCAUGUUAAUGGUAUCGGAUGCUAUUUGAAAGAUGAACAUCUCAUGUACUAUAGAAAUUCCAAGAGCAUUUACUUCUAAGUACUUGGGACCGCGAAUAUAGUUACAAUCAACUGCUUUACCCAAUAAGCAAAGGGUGCUUCCAACACUCUGGCGCACGAUCCAUGACCCCUGCAUGAUUCAGUGCUUAAAAUCAAGAACAAGUGCAAAACAAAUUCAAGAGGGUAAAAAUGGACAUGAAGUUUGAAGGUACAACCCAUCAAUACAUUUACACCUAAAUGCAUGCCUUCUUUGGACAAAUUGAAGUGUACCAUGCAGUAAAGGGUUAGUAUACGUUAAUAUAGUCCUAAUACAUGAAGGCCAAGAUGGAUACCUUAGGAACAGAUGGAAUAAGUUUCAACCUGCUAUUGCGAAACUCAUCAUCGCCAUCAACAAACCGUUGCAAAAGUGAUCCCAUAACCAAUUGCCUUGCGACUAAAUAAAAUACCAUACUAUAAUGUGUUGAUCCAGGAACCUGCAGAUGCUUAGGUUACAACUAUACAACCUCCCAAUACAAUAAGUUUGAAACUUAAUACCUUCUGAAAUGAAACAAACUUACUUGAAGAUUAAAGAUCAGUGAGAAAAGCCCAUUUUCGGAAGCAACCUACAUUUUUUAGAAGAGGGUUAGUGUGUUAUAGAUUCAAUGAACCAUGAGAAGUUAUUUACAUUGUAGUAUCUCACAGGCAGUAUUUUCUCCUAAUGCAUCAAUGGAAAAGGAAAAAUAAAAAGAAAAGAAUAGUUACUUGUGCAGCACAGCCUUGACGCCUAGCUACAUGGUCCAUUCUCUUUGUGUCUUUGAACCAAUCAACAGCAACAAGAUCCAUUAAAUGUUUUCCCGCAGGUAUCUGCAGUUACAAAUUGCACAAAGCACAAGAAGAGCCAACCAAACUACAUCAUAACCUGUCUACCUAGCCUAUGCAGGAUAUAUAAAUACCAUAACAAACAAACAAAAUAUGGGGGAACCUUUGUUUUGUCAUAACAAAAAUGCUUGCUACGAACUCUAAAGUUAUUUCCAUCAGAAAGUUUCCAGCAGUCACGAGCAUUAUCACAGUCAUCGUGUCGUAGAUUGCCCGAAAAACAAGACAAAUCAAUUUGAUCAGCCUGCUCUUCCUCUAGGGCUGCAACUAAUUGAAAUUUUUUUUUUUAAAAAAAAAAGAUCAAUACCAUAAAAAUCCACUAGCCAAAUAUACAAAAAUGAAUACUUAUCAUCCACCUGUCCUCUUGAAAUCAUUCUCAAUCUUUUUUUCAUUUGCCUGAAAUCCCAAGGAAAAAUAUGUAACUAAUACUUCCCAUUCAUGAAUAUUGUCUAUCGUAUAAACAUGACAUUUUUAAUUGGAAUAAUAAAAUUAUUUAAUUAUUUUAAUUAAAUGUUAAUCCUACAAAUUAUUUUUGUUAAAUCUAGCAAGAAUAACUAAAAUUUCUUUAAGAUAUAUUUUGGUGGUAAAUUAAAAAAAAUUUAAUUAUUUGGCGGGAAUUAUUGAAAUUGGAGCCAUUUUUUUUUGUGGGAAUUGAAAUAUAUUCUUUAAAUUAUUACAUAAAUAGCAAAAUGUACAUACACACACAUAUAUAUAAUUCAUAUAUAAAAAUUCUCUAAUUUGUUCACAAGUACCAUAGAUUAUAAUUCAGUUAUGAAAUAAAAUAACUACAAUUAUUAUAGUUAAAUGAAUACUUCAUUAAUUCUUAAUUUGCAUCCUAACAUUAAAUGAACAACUUGAGUCAGCCACCUGAAUUAACCAGUAACAACGCCUGAGUCAACCAUCUGAAUAAACCAGCAACCCUAGCUGAUUCCAGCACCUGCAAUUAACGUCAGCACAACAGGAACAAUCUUAAAUCAACACCAAGAACAGACCAAACUGCUGUCAAAUGUCACAAAACCAAACAGUCUGCUACUGCCAUCAAAUGCAAGCAAACAUAUGCAACAAAACCAGAUGCAAGUGAAAUUCUGGAGAAUAUCGGAUAAACCAAACCAAAUGCCACACUUCUAGUAAUUAGACUAGAUGCAGUGUUCAAUUAAACUAAAUGUAGUCUCAUAUUACAUUCAAAAUUUCUAAAAGAAGCAGUGUUCCAUCAGAGAAGCACCAAAACCAAACCAAUCUAAUCCAGCAUAAUUACCAGCUCAACCCAAAACAAUUACACAUUAUAUUGACAUAUCAAAAUUCGCUAUCAAAACAUAGCCAAAUAAAUGAAAAUAAACUCAAAACAGACCCAAACCAACUGAUGUUGCAGCCCUAGUAGUCGUUGUCCGUUCCACUGCCAUGGGAGCGAGGGUAGGCUCCGUUGUCGAUGAGUGAGUAAGAUAAGGCUCCAAAUAAAUAGUUCCACCUCCUUUCUGCAAUUCAAAAAACAGAAAUUCAUAUAUGUAAAACUAUUAAAAAUUGUGAAACAACCUGUAAGUAUUCAACUUCUGUCAACUCAAUAGCACUUACUAAAGUUUUUAUACAGAAGAAAAAGGCAUUUUAAGUCCAAAAAAUUAGAAUUAUUGGUUGAACUCCAACUCCAUCAAUCCAUGCAACCAUCCAAUCUUUAACGAAAAAAUGAAGCAUAAUUAACCAGACAUCUGAAUCAGAAAGAUUGUGCUUUCAUUUGGCACGAGGUGUUGGAAACAACUUAACAAAUCUAGACACAAUCUAUAACCAUCAAGUCCAAACAAAAGUCAGGAUCUAAAAUACUUUGAAAAAUCAGAAAAGCAGUUUCAAUUUCUUUUUCAUCCAUUGUAAGCUCAAACUAAAGGUAGCCGCGCUACCUUUAAACAUCAUUUGGGCUUAUACAUGCGACAUUUGCUCAUGAACAACUAAAGUUGAAUAAGAUUUUUAUAUGAAACAGAAUAUAAAAAGUCAAAGUAGAAUAUGACAGGAGCUACAAUAUAUUAUUCAGCAUCAGCAUUAUGUAUAAAAUAAAUUUAGAGGCAUUAUAUUCAUUCACAAUCUUGCAGAGGUAACACCAGAUUAUGGCACGCAUCUCUUGAAUAGCAGAUAAAGGAGGAGAUGCAGUGGGAAGGUAGUAACUUGCUUGCAUGAGAACUAGAAAGUAAUAUCCCAAGAUCAAUUAUAGAUCUCAUAAAACAAAAACAGUGAGGCAAACACAAUUAUACAAUCCAUCUGUCAAAAGGCUAAGCAUAUGAAUAUACAAUCAACACCAUUCUUCCAAACGAAUAUAAAGUCAACACCAUUCUUCUAAACACAAACAAAGUUUGAACGUAUGACAGAUUUUUAGCUAUUUAAUAUUCCAUCAAAGAUAAUUAGAUAACACCUACCAAGGAUUUUUGAAAAGAAUGCAUUCUCAUCUUAAGCAGCAACCUCACCAGUAACACAUUUUCAUACCCUGUUUCCACCUCUGGUCGCACCACCAAAAAAAUUCAGUACUAAUUAGCUUCAACAGAAUCUGUUUUUUUUUUUAUUUUUUAUUUUUUCCAAAAUAAACCUCCAUUCUUAUACAUAAAAUUAAAAUAUCAAUUAAAUACACAAAGUCUAUGCUUACUAGUAAAACACGUCCAUUUUUAGGUAGAGGCAGAUAAUAAAAGAAAAUUGAAACUGAGAUAAAAUAAGAAGAGCUUACUAGGUGCAUUUGAUCAACAAUCCAAUCCUCAACGAUGGAAUCGAUGCCAUCAAAUAAACAUGACUUAAUCUUGAAACCAUAAACUGCACUAAGCAUAGCACCAAAGCCAGAGCGUGACUAUAAAGAAGAAAAAUAAAAAGAAGGAAAAGAAGAAUUAAAUCAACAUGAAAUUCAACUGGAACAAUACAAAAUAUGAAAUUUUUAGCAAUCUUACUAGCGUUAGGGUUAAGGCUUACCAUAGAGAACUGGAUGGCGCUAACUAAAUGACAAGUUGAAACGGCAUCUGCAAUCGUAUUGAAUGACAUUGAACCGCGAGGUAGGGUUUAAAUGAAUACCGAGCAGAGAUAAAUUGGUGUGGUGAAUUAGGGUUUUGUGGCUACGUUUUAUUUCGAUUGAAAAAAGGAAUUUGAGCUAGGCUUUAAUUCAACGGUGUCGUUAAUUUAAACAUUCAUUUUAGGUUGCAGUGGCCAGUGGAGAGAGAGGGAUUCAUUCAACGCUUAGCCAAAACUUGGCUGUAAGUGUUGAUGUGUUUUAAGUUAUACAGAACGGUGUCGUUAAUUUAAACAACACUGUUUUACAAUUUUAUAAGUUCACAAAACCUAAGCAUGACUUACAUGUAUCAUUUAUUUAGGACGGUUAAGUUAUAAGCCAUGAAUAUGUCAUAUAUUCUGGACAUAUGAAUAUAUAUUAUGAAUCUAUCAUAUUUUUAUGACACAUUUGUCACACAAUGAUAUAUGUCAUUAAAUUUCUGUUAUUAUUUAAUACUUUUCUAGUAGUGUCAAAUUUUUGAAACAUUUCUGUUAAUAGUAAAAACUCUAAUCCUUUAGCAAAAGACUAAAAAUUAACAAAAAAAUUUCUGUUAAAAUAUCAGUUGGCUCAUGAUCAACACUUCAAUACUGUUUGUUGUAUUUUCUUUCUUUCUUUCUUUGUCAUUUUAUUAGAUUUUCUUUGUAUCAUAGUUUGUUUUACUUAAGUAAUUGUUCAUUAUUUAUGUCUGUGUUCUUACUAGCUUUUGCUAAUUUAUAGUUGGUUUUUUAUUCAAACCCUCGAAGUACCUUUUUGUUAAUAAUAAAACCUCUGAUCCUUAAGAAAGAAAAAGAAAUUCUCUAUUUAGUUAUUAGUUGGUUCAAGAUCAAUAUAGCCAUAUUGUUUGUGGUCUUUUCAUUCUCUAUCUUUCCCUUUAGUUCAUUUUAAUUUAUUUGUAUUCCUUUCUUUGACACUUGUAUUUAUAUAUAUAUAUAUAUUGUUAAGCAACAGGCAAUGGCUGUUGACGGGUGUCUCCCUGCUUUUCCCAGCAUUGUAUCACAAGGUUCAAAAGCAUUAUUCGAACCGAUUAUGCGGCACAUAUCUUAUGUGUUCGAGUACCAAAGCUACAUAGAUGGGCUAAAAGAUUGAGUGAAGGAGCUGGAAUAUAUAAGAGAAAGGGUGCAAACGCUGGUUAGAGAGGCUACUCUACAAGGAGAUGAGAUUUAUAAGGGUGUCUGAGACUGGCUAAAUAGAGUUGCUGAAUUCAGUGAAGGGGUUUUAAAAUCCAUGAUUGAUGAUAAAGAUAGAGCUAAGAUGUUCUGCUUCAAAGGGUUGUGCCCAAAUUUGAUUUCUCGUUACAAGCUUGGUAAACAAGCAGCAGAGGCCGCAAACGAAGCGGAUAAACUUGUGAAAAAAGGCGAAUUUAACAACUGUAAUCAUGUUUCCUACCGUCCUGCUCCAGAGAGUACAGAGUAUGUGCAAGUGAAAGAUUACGUAGCCUUUGAUUCCAGAAUGAAAGUAUUCCAAGAUGUUGCAAAGCAAGUUAGGGAAGAAAAGUUGUUCGAUGCGGUUACUUCCGGGGAUGUUGAUGAGAAAGAUAGAAAGGAUAAAAGUAUUCCAUUCAUUAACUUCCGGGGAUGUUGACGAUCAGAGACAAUGCAAAAUAAUAUUGACGUCUAGAAGUCGAGAUUUAUUAUUGUGCAAUGAUAUGAAAUCUCAGAAAAAUUCCUCGAUCGAUGCGUUAUCAAAAAAAAAAAAAAGAAGCAUUGGAUGGCGAUCGAGGAGUAUUCAACAAAAAUACUCCUCGAUCGUUGAAAGAUGCGGAGGUUUGCCUGGUGCACUGAGUACGAUUGCAAAUGCUCUAACAACUAAGGAUCUUGACCGUUGGAAAAAUGCAUUGGAUCGAUUAAGAAGUUCCAAUCUAGGAGAAAUUCAAGGAAUGCGUGCAGAUGUAUAAACCUCCAUAAAAGUGAGUUACGACUUGAAGGAUUGUAUAUAAACAUUAAAUUGAUCUAAUUUAAUUUGUAUGUAAACAUUAAAUUGUAUAUAAAUACACAGAACAGAACCAUAUCAGUGUUGGAAAAAAAAAAAAAAAGAAUCCAGAGUUAUAUAAAUUCAAUAAAAAAUUAUUGAAUUUUUUAUUACUAACUUUGAACACUCUAAUUUCAAUUAAAAAAAAUUAUAUUACUAAAAUAGUCUUAAUUGAAUUUACUAUUAAAGACAUUAGAAUAACUCAACACUAAUAUUCUCAAAUAUAUUUCUCUCCAUAGUCUAAUCUAAUCCAUUCUAGGAAUCCUAUAGAAAAUCUAUUAUUUACUUUUUCCUUAUUAAACACAAAAACAUGUCAUUUUGUUGCUAACUAAAAUUUUGGAACUAACAACAGCAGAUUAACUAAAAUUUUGGAACUAACAACAGCAGAUUAACAAAAUUAUCAGAAAAAGAAAUCAAACAAGAUUUUAAUCUUCGUCAUCUUCACUCUUGCCUUUUUCUUUUUCUUCACACAUGUGGCUUGCAGACGCAUUCCCCUCUCUCAUCCUUCGGGCCGCCCUUCAACAAUAUCCAAUCAUCGAUUAUAAUUAUUUAGAUUGACCAAAUCAAGCAUUGAUCAUAUAUUGGUUGAGGUUAGAAGUAGGCAGGCAGCAACGAUAAUACUACUAAUUAAUAUCUCAUGAGAAUUUUAAAGAAAAAUCUAACGUUGCCCAAUUUGUUUGAUUUCAAUGAAGUAUUUCUCCUACUUAUACUUUCGCAUAUUCUCUUUUAUUUCCAAAGUUAAGGUUAUGGAUGUUGUAGAGUAAAAAGAUGAACAUUGCUAGGAAAGCAAUAAAAGGAAAUAAAUAAAAAUUAAAAAUAUAAAAAGAGUUAAGUCAUUUUUUUUCUAUUAGUGUUUUUUUAUUUAAUAACGAAAGAUAAAAAUAAAGUACAUAUUAUCUAUUGGAUUAUUAAAAUAACACAGGUAUAACACAUGUCAAAAUCUCUUUAUUAUAAUAUUAGAAAAGAUUAAAUUAGGAGAAUAUUCAAAUCGGCGAAAUAAUUAAUAAAUCGUAUUUAUUAAUCAUCCACCCAAUUCAUGCAUACCCAAAUGGCCGUCAACGAGCUAACCAAAUCCCAGCUUGUUGUAAUCUGGGUUGGGCUUUUUGGGCGAUAAUUAACUGCCCGAGCUGCUCAUCUAGCCCAAUAGAGCCUAACAAAAAUUUUCGCCUAAGCUUCACAAAAAUGUUCAUAAAUCUUUUUUUUUUUUUGGUAUCAUAAAAACAUAAAUUUAUUUCAAACACUUUUGGAGCUUAAUAAAAAUUUCCCAACAUUUCAUCUGACAAAGGUAGUUUAAAAGUGUAUUCGUUAAAUUCUAAAAUACAUACUUAAAAUCUUUUAGUGACAAUCUAAUUAUAAAUUAAAGGUCUAUUUGAGAUUGAGAUUGAAAAGUUAAAAUGUUAUAGUUGUUGUAGUUUAGGAGUUAAGAUGAUUUGAUUUUACACUUAUAUGAUAAAAAUUUAUUAUAUCUUUUCUAAUUUUAUCAAAAUUAUUAUUAAAAAAUUAUAUUUAUUAUAUACUCUUAACUUUUAUUUUAUACUUAAAACUUUUUUUUCUUACGGCAAAAGUUUUAGCACCUCAACACCCAACCAAGUCUAAAAUUGCACAAUAAUAAUUAUGAAUGCGAAUGUUAAAAUCUACACACAUUCGUACUUGAUAAUUUCAAUCAACAGUGUUACAAAAUUAGUUAAAAUAUUAUAUAUGAAAUUAUUGAGGGAAAAAAAAAAGAAAAAGAAUGUUGUUUUCAUGAUAGUGAUGUGUCGUGCACAUUUUGCUGUUGGCUCUUUGGUCUCUAACCUAGCGAAUAGGUUGUUGUGUCCUCGUUGUUAGAUGCCCGAACAGUAGCGCAAGAACUUUGUACUAUACCAUAUAUUUUAUGAAGGUGAUGAUGUUACCAAUAAAGAUGAGUAAUAAACCAAACGACGUCGCUUCCCUAACCUGUUAGAAAUAUCAACGCGCUCUGUCACCCUCUCGUUCCAUUUAUUCAUUUAGUCCAGUCAGGGGAUUGACGAAUUAAAUAAACAACAACAGUCGUCUGAUCCCUGCAGAUCGCCACUCAUAUUUAAUCCAACGGUUGGGAUAUGAACCCCUCUAUAACUUUUAUUUGUCGAAUCAGCCACUCUCUCUAUUUAAAUUAAUUUUUUUUUUCAACGGCCGACGAGUGCUGAUGUAUCAGAGACGCUUCAUCAAUCAAUAAAAAAAUCAAUUGAAAAGUACGGUAUAGUGAGUGGAAGAGAAAUGCCAAUGAUAGAUCAAGGGAUGAAGAUACGAGCUCACUUAGAUGGGCGGAAAUUGACUGCUUGUAAAGUGACAGCCAAAUUUCUUGCAAGUCCUCUCCUCAUGAAGUUUUCUCUUGGAGACCUCAAAAGGAUGAGAGAGUACAGUCGAGCCGUCAUGACUCAUUAAGUCACUCCGGGGUGGGUGGUUAUUUUCACUGCUUUAUUGAGGGUCUGUAGCUGGUAGAUACAGAUUUAGUUUGGUCAGGGGCUUGGUGGGGGUGCUCUCUAAGAGGCUGAGACACCAAUUAAUUUACCCAUUAUUGUUCAAAACAACCUCCAACGGAUGGAUCCAGAAGAGCUUAUAAGGAGAUGCAGAGCAAUAAGAUUAAGUGAAGAGGAGGGAGGGAUAGUCUCUUUCAAGAUAAAAAUGAAGGCUAAGGGAGAAAAGAUAGCUGCGGGCUGUUUGGUCGGGAAAGUGCUCCACACAAGAAGGGUCAACACUGAAGGCUUAAAAAUGACAAUGCAGAGGGUGUGGAAAACUUCAAGGGAGGUCAAGAUAGAAAGUUUAGGGGAUAACACGUUUAUGUUUAGGUUUGGCUCAGAGGCAGAUAAAAGAAGUAUCAUGGUGGGGGGACUGUGGCAUUUUGAUAGAGCCCUUAUUGUGCUUACCGAACCAGCAGGAAUAGGGGAUAUAAAAAAGCAAGACUUUAGUCAUGUAUCAUUCUGGGUACAAAUCCAUGAUGUUCCCGUUAUGUGCAUGACUAAAGAAAUGGCCACCGAAUUAGGGGAGGUAAUUGGGAAAGUCGAAGAGGUAGAAACAGAUGCAACAGGGGAAUGCAUUGGACAGUUCCUAAGAUUAAGAAUUUCAGUGGAUGUUACAAAGCCGCUAAAAAAGAUAAUUGAGCUGGAACAAGAAGGGGAAGAGGAAGAGGAAGAGGAUAUCCCCAUGCGUGUGAUGUACGAAAGAUUACCUGACUUUUGCUUCUGUUAUGGGAGGAUAGGGCAUCAGUACAGAGAAUGUGCUCACUACAAAUCUCAAUCCAAAGAUGAAUUAGCUUAUGGUCCAUGGAUUAAAGCAACUACCACAACAGAGAGAUUAAGACAGAAUAUGGGAAGAGAUAGAUGGGAUUUUGAGCGUAACAAUUUCAAUCGAAAGAUCUCAACCCAGACAACAAUGGAAACAAGCAGAUACACGGUAGAGGAGGAGCAACACAGGAGGGGGGAAUCGGGUAACAGGUGGUGCCCAGACCAUCAGGAUCCGGGUAAGGAUUACUCGACUGAUGAAAUGGGUAUGGUUCAGAGGAUAGUUGGGACGCAAUUAAUGAAAGGGACUGAAACAGGCCGAAAGACCCCUGAAAAAUGCAACCUAGAUGCUGGGGAUAUAGUAUCUUGGGAUACGAAUGGGCAAGCAGAAAUGAGGGGAAAAAGGAAAGAGUAGAGAGAGGCAAGCCUUAAGUCAGAAAAAGCAAAGUUUCUUGGAAUGGCAAACGCGGGAACUUUUAAGAGGGAAGAAGUUGAUGACUUGGGGGAUGGGAAAAAGGGGGGAGGCAAACAAGAGGUAAUGGUGGGCUCGGCCCAUGUGGAAACUGAAGCUAAGAAUGCAGACAAUGGGAAUUGCUUGGAUAAAAUGAAGCACAGGAAAAAGAAAUGGAAGACACAAGCCCGAAAAAUAGAAAAUAAAGCAAGGAUAAAUGAAGCAAUCAUAAACUUAAAAAGGCCCAGCAGUGCUAUGGAGUGGGAGCACCCGGAAGCAAAAAAAUGCAAAAUAAAUAGCUGGCAGGGCGCUGAACAUUCAUCACAGCAUCAGGAAGUUACUACAACAGCUACUCAGCUAGUUUUCGAAAAUGAAGUCGGGGAUGCUUCAAAGGGGGCUCUGAAUGCUGCUCCUAAAAUAUCGGCGGAGGCUGGAAGACAGCCCUGCCGACAGCCAUGAAGCUAAUAAGCUGGAACGUUCGGGGGCUGGGGCAAGACCGAACGUUCCGAGAAGCCCAACAAAUCUUGCAGGAGCAUAGACCUCAACUUUUAUUUCUUUGCGAAACAAAGAUGACGUCGAAGCAAAUGCAAGAGAAAGUGAGUAAGAUGAAAAUUCAGAAUUGUUUUUCAGUUAGCCAUGAAGGAUUGGGAGGUGGGUUGGCAAUGUUGUGGAAUCCAGGGACAAUAGUAGAGAUAAAGUCUUUUAGUAAACAUCAUGUGGAUGCAGUGGUUUGUAACGAAAAUGGCAAUUAUUGGAGGUGUACGGGAGUGUAUGGCCAUCCAGAAUCAGAUUAGAAGAGACAUACUUUGGAGCUAUUAAGAAGGUUAGCUACUUUAUCUUCGCUGCCGUGGCUUUGUUUCGGAGAUUUCAAUGAGGUGUUGAACUUAAAUGAGAAAUUAGGAGGAAGAGAUAAGAGGAUUAAUAUAGUGAAUGAGUUUAGAGAAACUAUUAGGGAUUGUGAUUUAAAGGAUUUAGGAAGUAUUGGGUACCCGUUUACUUGGUCCAAUAGACGGUUUGGCCCUCACAUUAUAGAAGAAAAACUCGACAGAUUUUUGUGCAACAGCAAUUGGGGAAACAACUUCCAAGAAAAGGUUGGGCGGAAUUUAAUUUCUUGGAGCUCAGGUCAUAGUCCAAUCUUGAUGGAGGUGGUAGAAAAGAGGAAGGGAAAACGUUUUAUGAAAAGAACUUUCCCAAGAGUCCAUUAUGAAGAUAUGUGGAGCUCGUACGAGAAGUGCAGAGAGAUAGUGAGGCAGGAAUUGAGGGAGGUGAAUUAUGAGAAUGGUAGCAAUCCAAUUGAAAUCUUCAAGAAAAAAUCAAAGAUGUUGUUGGCUGAAUUAAAGAAUUGGAGCAAUGAAGAAUUUAGUGGGAGAGAAAAGAAGCUGGAGCAGUUGCAAAACAAGCUGAAGGAUAUUAAAAUCGGGCACAAUCAUGCUGUUAAUGGAGAGGAGAUUACAAAAGUAGAAAAUCAGAUAUCAUUCUUGACAAGGAAGUUUAUUGGAGGCAAAGAUCGAGGGCGGAUUGGUUGAGGCAGGGGGAUAAGAACACAAAAUUUUUUCAUUCGAAAGCCUCUGCGAGAAAGAGAAAGAACUGGAUAAGUGGGCUGGAAGAUGAGAAUGGCAAAUGGCUUGAAGAAGUUGACGAUGUAGAGCGGAUGCUAUGUGAGUAUUUCACUAAUAUCUUCACUACAACAAACCCAUCAUUAGGCCAGAUAAGCACAGCCUUAUCAAACCUGCCAGCCAAGGUUACAAGGGAGAUGGGGAGCUUCAUGGACCAGCCGUUUACAAAAGAAGAUGUAGCAGAUGCCUUAGCUCAAAUGUGCCCCACAAAAGCGCCGAGACCAGACGGGCUUCUAGUAGCUUUCUUCCAGAAACAUUGGGGUUCUGUGCAUCAAGAUGUUAUCACCACAUGCCUACAUGUUUUAAAUAAGGGAGGUAACAUUGCACCCCUGAAUCAUACAUAUUUAGCUUUGAUCCCCAAAGUGCAAAAGCCUAGAAAAGUGACUGAUUUCAGACCUAUUAGCUUGUGUAAUGUUAUAUAUAGGAUUAUUGCUAAAACGCUAGCUAAUAGGCUUAAGAAGAUUCUGCAUGUUAUCAUCUCCCCGACCCAAAGCGGUUUUGUACCCAAUAGACUCAUUACUAAUAAUCUUAUUAUAGGAUACAAGUGUCUUAAUAAGAUUAGACAAAGCAAGAGUAAAAGAAAUGGGCUGGUAGCUCUUAAACUUGAUAUUAGUAAAGCCUACGAUAAGGUUGAGUGGGAAUUUGUAAAAUGCACAAUGCAAAAACUGGGAUUUUCAGAAAAAUGGGUGAAGUUGAUCAUGAAUUGUAUCACUAUAGCAAGUUUCUCAGUGUUAAUCAAUGGAGUGGCAAAAGGCCUAAUCCAUCCUCAAAGAGGAUUGAGACAAGGCUGCCCCCUCUCCCCUUAUCUCUUUAUUAUGUGUGCAGAGGUGUUUUCGAACUUAAUGGUGAAUGCAGAAAAUCAAAAGCUCAUAAAUGGUCUGAAAUUCAGCAGAGAUCUAUCAGUCACACAUCUUCUCUUUGUCGACGAUAGUAUGAUCUUUACAAAGGCAUCAAUUAAUGAUUGUAGAAACUUAAGAAAGAUCUUUGACAAUUAUGCAGCAGCCUCAGGACAGGUUUUUAAUUUCGAGAAGUCCUCUAUGUUCUUUAGCAGCAGCACAAGCUCAGGUCAAAGGGAGGAAAUCAGAAGUAUUUUUGGUUUGAAUGUCAUUUCAAAACAUGAAAAGUAUCUAGGACUUCCAUCGAUGAUAGGGAGGAAAAAGACUAGCUUCUUUAACGACAUAAAACUGAGAGUGCUAAGCAAGCUAUCAAGUUGGCAAAACAAGUGUUUCUCAAGUCGGGGAAAAGAAAUACUCAUCAAAGCUGUGGCACAAGCAGUGCCUGCCUAUGCGAUGAGCGUAUUUAAAAUUCCCCAAGGGCUUUGUGAUGAUAUACAAAAGGCUGUAGCAAGGUUCUGGUGGGGAUCAUCUGAAAUUCAUAAAAGGAUUCAUUGGGCAAGGUGGGAGAAAUUAUGUUAGGCUAAGAUUAGGGGUGGUCUGGGUUUUAGGGACUUUUCAAGCUUUAAUCAUGCCCUUGUCGCCAAACAGGAGUGGAGGAUCCUACAUAAUCCUGAUGCUUUAAUGUCAAAAAUUUUAAAAGCCAAGUACUUCAAGCAUACUGAUUUUAUGGAGGCAAAAUUGGGGUCAAAUCCCCGGGGAGACAAGCGUUGCACAAGGGCUUAAGAUGGAGAAUAGGUAAUGGAAACCGGGUCUCAGUGUCCAGCAGGAAUCGAAUGCAAAAACUCGAAUGUUCCAGCAAUGUUCCUCACCAAAAUUUAGCAAAAAAUGUUGUAGUUGCUGAUUUUAUUGAUGACAAAAAUCAGUGGAUGGAGGAGAAGGUUGUGCAAUGUUUUCCUGAAGAGGUGGCACAAAGGAUUCUAAUAACCCUUCUGCCAAGAACUCCCCAGGAAGACCUGAUGAUUUGGCACUUUGAUAAGUAUGGCUAUUACUCAGUAAGAAGUGAAUACCAGGUGGCAGUUAGAAUGAAAUUCCCAGACAAUCCGGAGUGCUCUGAUAGCUCUAAAACUCAAUGGAAGGUAAUUUGGUCAAAUGAGAUUUCGGAAAAAAUAAAAAUUUUCAUGUGGAGAGCUGCUCAGAAUCUAUUACCCACAGCCAAUAAUCUAUGGAGGAAAAAUGUGGUGGGGAAUCCAGCUUGUCAAAGAUGUCAUUGUAAAAGUGAAAAUGUCACUCAUGUGUUAAUGGAGUGUAAGGCUGCUCGAAAAGUCUGGAAGUUGACAGAUUUUUACGAAGAUAUGAAGUUGUUGUCUCAGCAUGACAUACUGAGUAUGCUCCAAGAACUAGCAUCGAGAAGAAUGAAGAAAGAGAUUGAGCAGAUUUUUGCAAUAUGUUGGGCCAUUUGGUAUGCGAGGAACCGCUUUGUAAUUGAAGGAAAGCAGGAAGAGCCAAAACUGACAGCAGCUAGAGCUUCAGCUAUUGUGGAGUCAUAUAAGAGAAUCAAAACCCAAAACGGUCCAGCUAGAUCAAUUCAUUUUCAAAAUAACCAACAAAUUUGGACACCUCCUCCAGAGGGGAAGUAUAAAGUCAAUGUGGAUGCUGCGAUUCAAAUGGCACGUCUGAAGGCAGGGUUGGGGGCAGUGGUUAGGAAUUCCAAUGGAAAAAUCAUUGCUACAGCUGUUAAGAAGGUGUGCUUUCAGGGAACAGUGGCGAGCAUGGAGGCUGAAGCAGUCCUUUUUGGCAUUCAAGUUGCCCAGCAAGUAGAAUCUUUGCCCAUGAUUAUUGAAUCGGAUUCAACAGAAGUGGUGGAGCUGGUCUGGAGCAGGAAACGUAGCUCGACUGAAGUUUCUUGGACAGUAGAAGAAAUAAAACAACAGCUGCAGAUCUCGAAUGCAUGUCGAUUACAGUAUGUUCCAAGGAAGUGUAAUGCCAUAGCUCAUGCUAUAGCAAAAGUGGCUCUGGAUUUUGAGAAUUUUGUUAUAUGGUUGGAAGAUUUUCCAGUCCAGAUCAUGAUGUUACUCUCAAAUUUUAUCAAUUAGAAAGCUUUACCUUCUUAUCAAAAAAAAAAAAAAAAGCUCACUUGCAACGUGGUAUAGUUCAUCAUGGCUUUCCUAUAAGUUCAGGUCCUUUGAAUACUUUCAAUGAUCUUAUUAGUCAGAAAUUCAACAAUAAUUUUUACUUUUUACAUCCAGGAACAGUUUUAAGCACAAGCAACUCAGGUGGUCAAUAGGCCUCGUAUGUUAGCAAGGUCUCCGUUUUGGUCACUUAAGUCUCAUAUGUUAGGAAGACUCCCUUUUUAUUUUUGGUAUUACUUAUAAUAGCAAAUCCUCUUUUUUAGGCCUCUUUUUAGUUAGUAAUUAUCUUAUAAUGAAGAAUUUUUUUACACAUUUUAUAUUUGAUAACCUUAAUAUUAAAGAUCUCUAAUUGAUAGUAUUAUCUAAUUGUUAAUUUAUUAUUAGUUUUUCCAAAAAAAAUAAAUUCUUUAUCUAUUUAAAAAGUUAAUUAAUUAACAUUAUAAAAAUUUUUGUGCUAUUCUCUAUACAGAAAAUUAUUACAUUUAUUACUUCACUUCUGAAUUAAAAAAAAAAAGAUUUAUUGAAAUAAUAGUUCUAGAGGAAGUAAAAAAGAUAUCUUCUUGAUUAUUUUUCUUUUUUGAACAUUUUAACUAUCUUGUUGAUUGUUAAUAUUUACGAUAUAGUUAAAAAUUGAUUGAAUUCUAAGCUCUUUUAUGUUUCUUUAGGUGUUGAAGCUACUGAAUGUAAGGAGCCCUCGUAAAACAAUUCCCAUAAUGCCCCUAAUACUCUAAGGUCGACCCUGUGUAUAUCAUAUUAUUGAAAAAAAAUUGCUUCAAUACAGUAUGUGGUAAGGUUUAAUUUUAUAUGAAUUUAAGCUGAAGUUGGUACCUUUUAUUGUUUAAUACCAUGACAUCAGGUAAACUUUUAAUAGGUCUUCAUUUUAGGCGCAAGUACCCGAACAAUAGUUCCCAUGCACUUUGUGAUCUUAUUACAAAAUAUUAAACUAAAUAGCUGUGGAAGUAACAAAGAGGGCAACUUUUUACCAUAAUGUGAUGAAAAUAAUUCAUUUGUCAUCACGAACUAACCAAAUCAAAACAAAAAACUAGUGAUCAUAUGGUUCAAAUCUGUGCAACAAUGGUGCAUUUAAAAGGAAAUAAUGUACAGAUAAAAUUUGUGCUUGUAACAAGAACUCUUCUGUUCAAGCCAACAAUUCCACCUAGCAGAGGAAGUGUUUUAGGCGACACUUUCCAACUAAUGAAAGCAGUGAGCUCUCAUACUCUGUUAUCAUUUUCUAUUACUUGAAAAAGAGAGAAGGAGAAACGAGAGGAAAAACAGGGCUCCUCUGUUUUUAUUUUGGUGAUUGCAAAUAACAUUUUUUUUUACUUUUACUCUUUAUUUAUUUAAUUUUUUUAAAAAAACUUUUAGCUCAUUAGAUCUUGUUCUUGUUAAUGCGUCUAGUAACUUAUACGAUGAUCUGAUGAUAUCCGUAACAUUAACAUACCCAUAAUCCAUUAUUUUAUAAUUAUAAAAAUUGAAGAUUCGGUCAUGCAAUUUUGUAUGAUGAACAGUGUUUCAUUUUUCUGUGAAACAUAAGAACAAUUUGUAAAUAAUGUCCAUGCGGACCUUGUAAUAGCGAAGCAUCAUUAUUGAUCUUACUUUGAUGAUCGCACUUUAGUUUCUUUUUAAAGUGCCUUUUGUUUAUUUUAUCGGCAUCCGCUUUUACAAAAGUUUUGGUCCUCGUUCAUUCAUCAAAGCUUCUAAUUUUAUCUUUUAUUAGGCAUCUUACAAAAAGCUUAAUUUAAUUGGAAUCAUGUUCGAUAUGAAGAUUGUUUUACUUACUUCAGCCAUCUUUCAAUCAACCGAAUUUAUUCUUUUCUGACCUGGCAAUUAUUCAUGAAAAAAUACGUGCGUCAGUAGGACAACAGUGACCAAGUACAUAAUAUGAAAAUUCAUUUGUAUUGCUUACUCUAAUAAGCUCUUAACUCACACAUUCCUCUGCAGUUACUAGUGAUCUUUUGCUCACUAAAAUUGUUAUUAUAUAUUCAAGGUGAAUAAAGAAACUCAUCAUCCCAGAUAAUUAAAGAGGCGAACUUGUUCUAAAUCCUUUAAUAAUUUCUACUAAUAAUAGCAUAUAUAAUCUCUAAUCCUUGAUCUUCGUAGUAGUUCUUUCUUAAUGUCCAAGAAAAAUAUCUCUCAUUUGUCUUAAUCUUGUCAUUUAAUUUUCUUGAAUUCUGAGUUAGUGUUUAUUGUUAAAUUCGGUUUUCGGUUAGUAGCUGUUGGUUAAUAGCUUCGGUUAAUCCUUGAAUUAAACAUAUUAAAAUCUAAUCAUAAACCCGCCUUUCCCUAUUUUACGACACCCUUUGUGUAAUAGUGACUUCAAAAGUGUAACAUAUUUUGAACAAUUGCAAGGAAAGAACAUAUUUGACACUUCACGAAACGGUAAAGAUAUAAGCUUCAAUUCUUGUACAACAAAUUAAUAUAACUAACUUCAACCGUCAAUUGAUCAAUAAUUCAGUAACAAAAAGGGACAGAUAUCCUAGUCUUUCUUUACUAAUGAAGCAAGCCAUUAAACUUCGAAAGCUAUUUCUAUUUCCACAUUCUUCAUGCACCAAAGCAGCAAAAAGAAAAAAAAAACAACAAAAAUUUGGAAGUAAUCAUCUUUAUUCAGCAGCAUGCAUAUUAAUUAAACAUAUUAAAAAAGAGAUAUACAAUAUCAGGUCUGGAGACGAAAUGAGCCCACAGAGACUACCGAUAAUGUAAUGGCUUGAUUAAAAAUAUUAAUCAAGCCACUACAUUAGAAGAACAAGAGUUAAUCAUGCAUAGUAAUUAAAAAUUAUUUUUGCUAUCAUCCACCUGUUCUCUCUAAAUAGUUGUCACUAUUUUUUUUCGUUUGCCAGAAAUUCCAAGCAAAAAUAUAAUUAGAAGAACAAGAGUUAAGGGUUAAAAAAAUGAGGGCUCCUCUGUUUUCAUUCCCCUGUUUUUCUGUUCGGUGAUUACAAAGAUUUAAAUCAAAAUUUAUGAUGCAGGUUACACAGCACCUGGUGGAAAAUUGCUAGGGUUUACCUUUUAUUCUUAGUUACAAAUUUAAUUUAGAAUUUGUAGUGUGCGCCUUAUAUAAGUAGGUUUCCUAAUAGUAAAAUUAAAUAAUCUAAGUUUAUGAUGCACUAGGAUAUGAUUGUGAUAAAUGAGCUUUUUAUGUAUCCUGUGAGGCUGAUCAUUAUUUUACUACAUUGAAGAUUCAGUUAUCUCUUUGUAAUACUCUGGACUUCACAUACUAAACAGAAUGGAGCAUUAUUUUAUCCCGCUAAAUCAGUUUUUCAUUUUUUUAAAUUAAAAAAUUAUUCAUCAAACACUUUAUAGCUCUGGUUUUAAGUUGGUAAACACUUUAAGCCGCAACUUUAAAUUCAGUUUACGAGAAUCCCUAACAGUCACAGUGGCUGAACCUAUCCAGACUAAAACCAGAUCAUGAAAGCUUAUAUACACCAAGAGAUUUAUCUAGAAAGUACCGCCGGCAGCCAGUUCAUUCGUUUCUGAGUUUAUUUCCAGAAACCCGGAAACUCCCCUGUUUCUGCAAACAGGGCUUCUUUGUUUUCAGUCCCCUGUUUUUCCAUUUGGUGAUUGUAAAAAUUUAAGAUUAAAUAGAAUAAUGUAAAAAAAAAAAGAAAAAAAUGCCUUUCUUAAUUUUGACUUCAUAAUGUUGCAGCAACCGUCCUCUGUUAUCAUUCCCCUGUUCUUCAGUUUGUUGAUUACAAAUAACAUUCUUUGUAUCUACUCUUUUUAUGUUUAUUUUUUAAUUUUUAAGUCAUCAAUUUUUGUUCUUCUUAAAGCGUGUAGUAAAUUAUAUGAUCAUCUGAUCAAAUCCCUCACAUUAACAUACAGCAGAAUCUGUUAAUGGAAUUUAUUAUUUUAUCAUAAUUAAACAGAAGAUUUGUUCAUGCAGUUUUGUAUGACGAGGAGUUUUCAUUUUUCUGUCAAAUACAAGAACAAUUUGUAAAUAAUGUCCAUGAAAGCUUGAAUGAAGAAUGGCAUUUAAUAAUUUUAGAAGAAUAAUGGCUUAUAGAGCAUAUUAGUAGGGAUAAGAUUUGCAGGUGUUUGGUAACGGAAAAAGGAGAAAAAAAAAUGGAGAGUGGAGGCAUUACUUUUAUCUCAUCCUUAACUUCCGUAAGUGGAGGAGAACAAAGGGGAAAAGAGGGGAGUGGGGCAUGACCUUAAAAGGAGGAUUUAUUUAUGUUUUCGGGGUCUGCAGGGCAUCUUUUUCUCUCUUCCACUCAUGGAAAAUCCUUUCUUUUAUACUCUUUCAGUUUUCUGCAAAUUACUCAAAAAGCUUUUGGUUUUAAAGGCAAUGUUUAUUAAGCCAUAUGAGUGGUGGCACAAGUUUUUUGGCAAAGGCCCAGAAACUGACUUGAGUGUCGGAGGGUUCACGCCGGAAAAACUUUCGGCGCCUCUGACCGUCUUCUAUGAUUUUAAGUAUUCACAAGUUAAUCGCUAGUGGUUGCAGGACAUCUUGACGAUUGACCAAUCGAUUCUCUACCAAAUAAAUCUAAUGCUGGUGUAGAAGUUUGAUAUUAAGUCGCUAAUAGACUAGAUCAGAUUUGGGCAUCAACAUUUGGCACUGUCUGUGGGGAAUCGGUACAAAUAGCCAACUUCUUGUCUCUACCAAUUUUUCAUCCGGCCAAGCCAAAGGCAGAAUAUUAUCAUGCACAAAUUGAUAAGCUGGCUCAAACACGGAAGUCAAUCAAGGCUGGAUGGAAUGCUUACCUGUAAAGGUUUUGGCUUAUUUAUUGCUUUAAGUAUAUUGUCAUUAAAAUUCAAUUUCCAAUUGCUAUGAUUAUUGAUUUAUCAAAUGAGAGAUGCUUGGAAAUUCUUUAAUAACAUGCAUGUUUCAAUACCGUGCAUGAUAUAUUUGCUGAAAUUGAAUAUUAUCCCUUGGAAUUCGUUGAUAAUGUUCCUUUACAAAAUUAGCUUGUUAGAAUGGGCUUCAUUCAUAAUUCAAGAUUACAUGCUAUUAUACUUGCAAAUGAAUUAAUUUAAUAUUUUCCAACAACAUGCUUGACAUAAUGUUAACAGUUCAGAUUUAUUAUGGCUAAUUAUUCAGCUUCGUUAUGGCUAAUUAGAUGUGUAAUGCUACUACCAUCAUUAUUUUGCUGAUGUAUUUAUAUUUCUUGAUUGAUUGUUCUCUUUUCAUUGAACUCAAGAUAUAAAGUCUGUUCAAAAGAGCAAUCGAUUUGUGGUAUUAUCAAUGUUCAAUUUCUUAAAAUAAAGAUUACACAAAUUGUUAAAUUCAUUUGGUGGUAAGCAUAAAAAUCCACGGAUCUUUGGUUUCUUCAAGAUAUUUCCUACUGGUUUUACACCCCAUCAAUCAAUCAUGCAGCUAGUUUUCAUGUGAAGACUAUGCAGGGAAAGUAUAUAGACAAUUCUGGUAUAAAACUCGGUUCAUUACAAGUUGAGGCAGAAUUGUUAAAAUUCAAAUCAGGAGCUGUUCGUUAAAUUGCCUCAAGGGAUAUGAAAGUUCAAAAGUGAGUUUGUUGCUGAUUACACUACAUACACUACAUAUAUGCUUGAGAGAAUGUUGCCCAGGAGCCAAGAUCUAAACCCAGGUUCUGUUUCAGUUUAUUUAAUAUAAGUAUCAAACUGAUUGAGAGCAUGAGUUAUUCUUAACCAUAGCUUUAUUAUAUUUUCGCAAAGAGAACAUUAGAAAUUAUGCAUAUAUUCGCUGUCUUUUGAUAGUACCUGUCAUCCACAUUGCACAAAUUCUCAUAAUCGUAAAUGAGUGUUGGAAGAAGUAUAAUUAGCAUAAUCUGGAUGAGGCCGAGUAUUGGUAUUUUGGCUAACUUUAAUAAUGGUUUUAAAACAAAACAAAUUUUUAUUGAUGAUGAGAAUUGAUAGGCAUGUCUUCAAGCUUCAAAGAAUUGAUGAAGUUGGAUUUUUGUUUCCUUCAUAUUUUAUUCAUUUUGUGCCCGUGUUAAAAUAUUGCAAGAAUAAUUCUAAGAAGGGAGCAAAGCAGAGUCAAGCUCGGGAUUUGUUUGAUGAAGUACUAAUGAAAUAAUGCAGAGCACAAUCUCAGGUGCACUUGUUCUAAAACCCCAGUUUUAUAUUUAUCCUUUAAAUCCACUACCUGACUUCAAAAAUCUGAUGGAUGGGGUUUUGACUUAUUAAGUCGUUAAUAGAAAAUAGUUAAGAUUACAUAUUAUAGAAUAUAUAGCAUAGUCAUAUAUUAGCACACAACAUGCUUGACCGAAGGAUUGAUGGAACUUGGGUUAGCAUGAGAUCGUAUUUCCUUGAUACAGUGAUAUGACUUUGCUUAAACUUUUAUGGUACCAUUUAUUUGUUGAUUACAUAUUUUAUAUAAUAUGAUUUAUUUUAUAUAUAAAUUUUAAUAUCUUUAGUGUUGGGAAAUGGUGCUCCGCACCUUUAGCAAAGGUCUUUAAUAAUAUUGCUAACCAAAUAUUAUAGAUGGUAAUAAAAACACCAAGGAUGUUUAUCCAUCAAAGGCCCAAACAUAUAUAAAUAGCUAAAGCGCAAGUUGUAAAUGUGAGCUAUUUUCUGGACAAGUUAUAAGUUACAAGUCCGAAAUUAAAUUUUUGAUGGUUGUCCAUAUUUAAGGAUUUAAAGCAAAAACCUCAAAUAAGAGCACAUUGAAGGCACACAAAGGCUCUAAAGUCUCAAAGCCUGUUUUAUGGCGAGACAGGAAGCCAAACAUGCCAGGAUCUGCUCGACCAAGCAAAGGCAAGCAAACAAAAAAAGUUUCAAAAAUCUUCUAAGGCACGCAAAGGCUCCAAAGUCUCAAAGCCUAUUUUAUGGUGAGACAGGAAGCCAAGUAUGCCAGGAUCUGCUCGACCAAGCGAAGGCGAGCAGACCAAAAAAGUUUCAAAAAUCUUCUAAGGCACGCAAAGGCUCCAAAGUCUCAAAGCCUAUUUUAUGGUGAGACAGGAGCCAGGAUCUGCUCGACCAAGCGAAGGCGAGCAGACCACAAAAGUUCCAAAAAAGCUUCUAAGACAAGCAAAGGCUCCAAAGUCUCAAAGCCUAUUUUAUAGCGAGACAGGAAGCCAAGCAUGCCAGGAUCUGCUGGAUCAAGCGAAGGCGAGCAGACCACAAAAGUUCCAAAAAAGUUUCUAAGGCAAGCAAAGGCUCCAAAGUCUCAAAGCCUCCUCGAUGGCGAGACAGGAAGCCAAGCUCUCUAGAAGCUGCUCGACCAUGUGAAGGCGAACAAACAAUGAGAAUUCCAAAAAAGUUUCUAAGGCAAGCAAAGGCUCCAAAGUCUCAAAGCCUAUUUAUGGCGAGACAGAAAGCCAAGUAUGCCAGGAUCUGCUGGACCAAGCGAAGGCGAGCAAACCACAAAAGUUCCAAAAAAGUUUCUAAGGCAAGCAAAGGCUCCAAAGUCUCAAAGCCUCCUUGAUGGCGAGACAGGAAGCCAAGCUCGCUAGAAUCUACUCGACCAUGUAAAGGCGAGCAGAGAACAAAAAUCCCAAGAAAGUUUCUAAGGCACAUAAAAGACUUCAAAGUCUCAAAGUUUGCUCGAUGGCGAGACAAGAAGUCAAGCUUGCCAGAAUCUGCUCAACCAUGUGAAGGCAAGCAGAAAGUAAAAAAAAAAAAAAAAAGGGUACUUCAAGUGAAAGGCUUACAGUCUCUAAACCUCCUCGUAGUGAGACGAAGUCAAAGUUUGCCUGUUCUUGCCCGACCAAGAUUAGGCGAGCAAGAGUUAUAUGAGUGAAAAAUAUUCUAAAGCAGAUAAAUGACUAAGUCUCAAAACCUACUUCAGGUGAGAUAAAUACGUGAACUUAUGAAACCUGCUUUACAUGAUUAUGCGAGUAGGAAAAUGGUAUAUUUAAAGGCAUGUAAAAGUUUAAAACUUGAAAUUUUUUGCUAAUAGUAAGGUUAAUUUUUGCAAUCCCGAGCCGAUUUAUGCCAACCACAUCGAUGUCACUUUAAAAUUCAUAUAGUUUCCAGUCUUGAUUCGUUAAAACUCUCAACACUAGAAACUGGGGGACUGAUGUUUGGUAACGGAAAAAGGAGAAAAAAAUGGAGAGUGGAGGCAUUACUUUUAUCUCAUCCUUAACUUCCGUAAGUGGAGGAGAACAAAGGGGAAAAGAGGGGAGUGGGGCGUGACCUUAAAAGGAGGAUUUAUUUAUUUUUUCGGGGUCUGCAAGGCAUCUUUUUCUCUCUUCUUCUCAUGGAAAAUCCUUUCUUUUACACUCUAUUUCAUUUUUCUGCAAAUUACUCAAAAAGCUUUUGGUUUUUAAGACAAUGUUUAUUAAGCCAUAUGAGUGGUGGCACAAGUUUUUUGGCAAAGGCCCAAAAACUGACUUGAGCAUAAUAAACUAGUUAAUUAUUUCAUAAACUUCAACUUAACACUGAGCCAUAAACUAGUGCUUUCUUCAACUUAAUUAUUCUCACUGCAUAUUUGUUAAGGCUUCAUCUUUUGUCUUGAUUCUGGACUUCAAAAUUAAAUCUUAAAAAUCGGGUAUAAUAGGGGUACGUGAUUAAGUCUUCCUCUUUUGCAAUUCAUUGUUAUUACUCUCAUCAAUUCAUUCUUUUGAUAGCAGUUCUUACUUAAUAUCUGAAGCGAAUAGAGGAGGUCAUCGACUCUCUGAUCCCAUAUAAAUAAAGAGGUAUACAUGUUCUAAAUCCUUUAAUAAUAUCCUUUAAUAGCAGUUCUUACUUAGUUUUCAUCUACUUUCCAAGAAAAAAUUUCUCUGGUUUGUUUUAAUCUUGUCAUUGGUUUUGCUUGAGUUUCAAAUUAUUGUUCAUUGUUAAAAGUCUGUGAUCUUAUUAUAUGGCUUUGGUUAAUUAAAAACAAAAAGUCUGGGAUUUUAUUCAGACCCUUGAAACCUUUCAGUUAAUAGCAAAAUCUCUAAUCCAUGAGCCCCGGGGGGCGGGGGGGGGGGGGGGGGAAGAAGAAGAAAGAAUUCCCUGUUUAAAUAUCAGUUGGUUAAAUGUUGUUUGUUUGCUGUCUUUUACUUGUUUGUUUGUUUUUCAUUUUAUUAGAUUUGUUUUUUACUUGAAGAUUAAAGAUGAGUAAGAAAUUUUUUUUUAUUCUUUUCUGAGGCAGCCUACAAAUUUUAGAAUAGGGCUAAGAGUAAUUACAAAUUCAAUUAACCACAAAAAGUUAUUUAUAUUUAUCACUUGUAAAAUUAAGCUUAUCAUCCCAAAUAGAGUUGUUUGCAUUAGAAGUUUUCUAGCAUUCAUGAGCUUUAUCAUCAUAUCACAAGAUUGCCUGAAAAACAAGAUAAAUCAAUUUGAGCAACUUGCUCUUUAUUGAUUUUUUUUUUUUUUUUGCCUGAAAUACUAGGGAAAAUAUUAUAUAAGAACAAGAGUUAGAUGAAAAAAAGUUAAAACAAGUUCCUGUGUUUUCAUUCCCCCUGUUUUUUGUUUGGUGGUUGAAAGCUUUUAUAUAUAAAUUUUUAUGAUUUCCCGUUGGGACUUUAUUAAAUAAAAAAGAAUAUGUAAUUCUAAAUUUAUCCUUACGCAUUGAGUAAUUAUUAUUACGUUCUCUUAAUAUUUGUUCUUGCAAUUUUGUGUAAUGUGAAUUUCAUGUUUCUGUUAACAUAAACCAAUUUGUAAAUAAGGCCACGUCGAACAAAUGAAACAACAAAAAAGCAUCGUUGGCAAUACAAAAUCAAACUUUAUUAUUAAUCACUAUUUUUUUUUUGAAUAUGUAUAAAUCAAAUCAUAUACUGUUGAUCUUACUUUGAUAAUUUGGUGUUUAGUUUCUCUCAAAAAUGCUUUUAUAAAAGUUUUGGUCCUCAAUCAUUCAUCCAAGCUUUUGCUGAUCUUUUAUUAGGCAUAUACAUCGCGCUGUCACUUAAUAUUCAUUUCAAUUUCACAGUACACAAGCAACGUCUAUGCCAAAAUCAUUAAGGCACAACCGGUAUUUAUUCCAUGAAAACUUUAUUAUUUCUUCAACUUAAUUGGGUCGAACAACAUUUUUUAAAGUACUUUUAUCACACUAAACGGCUUUGUUAAACCUCCGUCUUUUGGUAUUGAUUCUAACUUGAAAUUAAAUCUUUAAGUCAUUACAAGUUUAUUUCUUCAUGAAAGAAUUCAAUAAUCAAGUGCGUGUGAAUUAAAGAAAAAAAAAAAAAGAUCAGUGAGAAAAGCCCUUUUUCAAAGGCAACCUACUGAUUUGAGAAUAGGGCUCAACCACAAGAAAAUAUUUACGUUUGCUUUUAAGGAGUAAAUGAUAGCUAAGCUAUUAAACUUAAUUCAAAUUUAGUCAAUCAUCAAUUAAUCAAUCCAACUAGUUCAAGUACAGAGUCAAUUGAACAAAUUCAUCACUUGCAUAAUUAAGCUUAUCUUCCGAAUUUGAGUUGUUUCCAUUAGAAAUUUUCCCGCAGUCACGAGUUACAAUCAUCAAAACAAAAUUAUUUAUAUAAGAACAAGAGUUAAAGGGAAAAAAGGUAAAGCAAGAUUCCUCUAUUUCCGUUCCCCUAUUUUUUUUUUUUUUUUUUUUUUGGUCUGGUGAUUUAAAAUUUUAUAUCUAAAUUUUUAUAAUUUUCCAUUGAAGCUUAUAUUUAAAUAAAGAAUUACAAAAAAAACCUAAUUCUAAAUUUAUGCAUUGAAUGGUUAUUAUUAUGCUCUCUUAAAAUUGGGUACAAUAUCAAUUUCAUAACGAAUAGAGUUAUUGGUUGUUGAAUAAUGAUGAGAUUAGAGAUUAUGCUGUGUCCUUCUUUUCAAAGCUCUAUUCCAAAGAGGAUGCAAUCUAUCAUCCAUACCAUGUUGUUAACGCCUUCCCAGUCCUUGAGGAAAGUCGAAUGCAAGCUUUGGGACAAGCAGUGGAGGAUGAGGAAAUUAAGAAUGUGAUCUUCAGCAUGAAGGCUUUGAAAGCCCCUGGAAUAGGCGGGUUGCAUGCUCUCUUUUACCAGACCCAGUGGCAUGUAGUGGGAAAAUCUGUCUGUAGUCUUAUAAAAGGUAUUUUUAAUGGCAACGAGAACCCUAAGGAGUUGAACAAAACUCUGAUUGUGUUGGUUCCUAAGUCGGAUAAUCCUAUUAGCCUUAAGCUUUUUCGUCCGAUUAGUCUUUGCCCGGUUAUCUAUAAAACUAUCACUAAGUUAUUAGCUAACCGGCUGAAAUCUAUCUUGCCUGACCUCAUUGGACCUACCCAGACUAGUUUUAUCCCGGGGAGACACAUAACGGAAAACAUAGUGGUUGCUCAGGAAGUUAUUCAUUUGAUGAGACGUAAGAAAGGGAGGAUUGGGCAGAUGGCCAUUAAGGUGGAUUUGGAAAAGGCGUAUGAUCGUUUAAGCUGGGAUUUUAUUUAUGAAACCUUGAGGGAGUUUGGAUUGCCUACUAUUUUGGUUCGGCUUAUUAUGGAAUGUAUUACAACGGCGACUAUGCAACUUCUAUGGAAUGGAGAAAUUACAGAGAUUUUUACCCCUUCUAGGGGUAUUAGACAGGGAGACCCCAUUUCCCCAUAUAUCUUUGUGUUAUGUAUAGAAAGGUUAAGCCAUGGAAUAAAUGACGCUGUGAAGAGAGGGCACUGGAAACCUAUUAAACUGUCUCGUGGAGGUACCUCUUUAUCUCACUUAUUUUUUGCUGACGAUCUUAUCUUGCUUGCAGAGGUUUCCUGUAGGCAAGCAAUGGUUAUAAUGAAGUGUUGAAUGUUUUUUGUAUGAGCUCUAGAGAGAAAGUUAGUAAAACAAAGACACAAGUUUUUUUCUCCCACAACAUAAAGUCUGCUGAGGCUAAGGAAAUUGGUGAUUCCUUGGGUUUUUCUGUCACAAAAAACCUAGGGAAAUAUUGAGGAAUGCCAAUUAUUCAUUCACGGGUUAAUAAGCUGACUUAUCAGGGAAUUUUGGACAAAGUGAACCAACGUUUGUCGGGGUGGAAUGCGAUACAUUUGUCCUUGGCGGGUAGGAUCACUCUCACUCAAUCGGUAAUCCAGGCAAUUCCUAUUUAUGCAAUGCAAACCACGAAGAUUCCGUUUGGUAUUCGGGAGAAAAUUGAUCAGGCUUGUAGGAGGUUUAUUUGGAGCGGGGCAGCAGACAAGAAGAAAAUCAGUUUGGUGAAAUGGGAUACAAUAUGUCAACUGAAACCUAGCGGAGGCCUUGGUCUUAAGCAGCUUAAUUUAAUGAAUGAUGCUCUGCUCAUGAAGAUUGGGUGGGUUUUAAUUGCUUCUCCAAAUAGUUUAUGGGUGAAGGUUCUCUUGUCUAAGUAUGGGCUGGCUCCUAAAGCCCUCCCCGGCACAUUACCUACGAAAUAUGGCUCUUACAUGUGGAAGGCUGUGGGAGGCAUUUGGCAUGAGGUUUUAAAAAGGAUCAAAUGGGACAUUGGAAAUGGCAACCGACUUAGAUUUUGGUGGGAUAAUUGGGUAACAGAGGAAUACCCUUUGUAUACUUUCGCUUUGCAGCCGAUACCUUUACAGCAGCUUGAGGAGUGUGUGGCGAGGUUUAUCACUGUUGAGGGUACUUGGAAUUGGCGGCUUUUUGAGAAUUUAUUUCCCCAUCAUUUACUUCUCAAAAUUGCAGCCACCAAGCCUCCCAGUGUAAAUGAUGAGGAUGAUUACAUGUACUGGGCAUAUUCUAAGUCAGGAGAUUUCACUACUAAUUCAGCAUAUAGGGCUUUGUCAAAAAUGGAGGUUCACAAUGAAGAAUCCUUUUGGCGCAUUCUUUGGCAGUGGAGAGGUCCCCAACAUAUCAAAACCUUUCUGUGGGUGGUGGGUCAAAAUAGACUUAAAACUAAAGUAGAACUUUUCCGGAGACAUAUUGUUGAUGAUAUGAGUUGUGCAAGGUGUGGCUGUGUUGUUGAAAAUACUCUUAAUGUGCUGCGGGAUUGCCCCAGUGCUAAGCAUGUAUGAUCGUCAUUGAUACCCCAUGGGAUUAGUCAUCAAUUUUUUAGUUUGAAUCUCCGAGAUUGGGCGUUAUAUAAUUUGAGGAACUUGUGGAAGUAUGAUGGUAUGUUUGACUGGCCGUGUCUUUUUGGGGUCACAGUUUGGAGGCUUUGGUUUUGGCGUUACCAAAAUCUGCAUAAUGGUGUUUUUACCAGCAAGAGUACUGUUGUAAUGGAUAUUAAGAUCUGUACAGAAGAAAUUCAAAAGGUUAAUCAGAGUUGUUUGGUUCCUGCUGCCAUGAAGAUUUAGAAAUAUUUUGGAUGGGUGACACCUACUUGGCCUUGUUUUAAACUCAACACAGAUGGAGCUCGUAAAAGUUCUGGUCUGUCUAGUACGGGUGGCUUGAUUAGAAACUGUUAUGGAGAGUGGAUAAUUGGUUUUGGAAUGAAUAUUGGUGUGGUUACCAUCAUUGGUGCUGAGUUAUGGGGCCUUUAUCAAGGGUUAUGUCUGGCUUGGGAUAAUGGAAUUCGGUAGCUUCAGGUGGAGGUUGACAGCCUUUGUGUUACUCGUUUGGUGGCGGAUGACGAGAUUAGGCCAAAUGCACAUGCUUCUCUUGUCAGGGGUAUUAUGUCAAAAGCAGCCAUCCAUCUAGAUGGUCAACAUUCAAAGAAGAGGAAUUUUGCAGCAAAUCAAAGAAAAUUCAUAAAGCUAGAUUGACAAAUGGAAGCCAUGCGGAUUGACGAAAUUGAAGCCAUAAUUGGUGGGCUAAAAUCGUUGAUUUUCUUGGCCACUAGUUUGCUAUAAAUAGAAGUGCAGAUGAAGAGCUUAUGCAUUCCAUUAAGAGAGAGCAAUUUAGCAUUUUGAGAGAGUUUAGAGAGCUUGAAAUUAUAAGCUCUUGUUAUUAGUGUUCUGAGAGUUUGGGUGUAUUGGGGUUUUGGGAAGUGAGCUAAAAUACUACAAUACUUGUAACUCCUUUUCACUAGUAAAAUAUUUCCUUCUGUCUUCGCCCGUGGACGUAGACUAAAAGCCGAACCACGUAAUUUUCUAGUGUCAUCUAUUGUGCUUGUUCUUUAUUUUAUUUCCAAUUUUAUUUUAGCUGCGGUCCUGCUGCACCCACCAAUUUCCUAACAGUGGUAUCAGAGCCAGGUUGUAUUUAUUUUUGGAGUCAGGAACUAUUCACGUAUACGGCGUACGGAACUAUUCACGUAUACGGCGUACGGCACUAUUCACGUAUACGGCGUACGGCACUAUUCACGUAUACGGCGUACGGCACUAUUCACGUAUACGGUAUACGGCACUAGUCACGUGAAACGGUGGAAGCGAUCCAAGAAUUUUAUGGUGCAAAGUAUGGAAUAGUGGUGUGAGUAAAGCAACUGUGUAGUUUUGUACAUGUCUAGGAAAGUUCUGUCACAAAGGCGAUAAGAGCUUAAGGAGUCUGGGUUUUAAGUGGGACCAUUGUGACCCCUCCAGUCUUUCCUGGGAACUUUCCUGGUGUGCAUUCUCACACAUACUCACAACUAUUCAAUGUGGUACACUAGCUUGUGUGCAGUAUUAUCAACAAAAUGGCGGCAAAGUAUGAAAUUGAGAAGUUUAACAGAAAUAAUUUUUCGUUGUGGAAAAUGAAGAUGAAAGCUGUAUUGAGGAAAAAUAAUUGUUUGGCAGCAAUUGGAGAAAGGCCCAUGGAGAUAACUGAUGACAAGUGGAACGAGGUAGACGGCAAUGCCAUUUCUGAUCUACACUUGGCACUUGCGGAUGGAGUAUUAUCCAGUGUGGCAGAGAAAAAUACGGCGAAGGAAAUAUGGGAUACUCUCACAAAAUUGUAUGAGGCCAAGUCACUACACAACAAAAUUUUCUUGAAGAGAAAACUCUAUACUCUUCGAAUGGCGGAAUCUACAAUGGUGACCGACCACAUCAACACAUUGAAGACUCUAUUUUCACAACUCACAAUGUUGGGUCAUAAUAUAGAGGAAAAUGAACGUGCAGAGCUUCUACUUCAAAGUCUACCAGAUUCGUAUGAUCAACUCAUCAUCAACCUGACGAACAACAAUCCAGUGGAGAGUCUAGUUUUCGACGAUGUUGCAGCCUCCGUAUUAAAUGAGGAGAGCAGGUGGAAAAAUAAGGAAAACAGACAAGCAAGUUCGCAGCAAGCAGAAGCGCUAUCGGUGACGAGAGGGAGAUCAACGGAACGUGGCCCCAGUGGGAGUCAAAAUCAAGGUAGAUCAAAAUCCAGAAGUAAGAAGAAUGUUAAAUGCUACAACUGUGGCAAGAAAGGGCACGUCAAGAAAGAGUGUUGGAGUAACCAGAAGAGAAGAGAGGGCAAAGAACCUGAGUCAUCAAAUGCUCAGGGGUGUGUAGCAAGUACCUCGGAUGAUGGCAAAAUUCUUUACAGCGAGGCAACAAUUAUUUCAGAAGGCAGAAAACGACUUUCUGAUGUCUGGCUUAUAGACUCAGGAGCUACCUGGCACAUGACCUCUAGAAGAGAAUGGUUCCACACAUAUGAACCUAUCUCAGGAGGAUCUGUAUAUAUGGGUAACGAUCAUGCCUUGGAGAUCGCUGGUAUUGGUACUAUCAAAAUAAAAAUGUUUGAUGGUACAAUUCGCACAAUUGGGGAGGUACGACAUGUCAACGGCCUGAAGAAAAAUCUAUUGUCUUUGGGACAAAUGGAUAGUCAUGGGUACAAAACUCAUGUGGAGAAUGGAAUUAUGAAGAUCGUUAAAGGCGCGCUUGUAUUGAUGAAGGCAGAAAAGAUCGGUGCUAAUUUAUUCAUGCUUAAAGGAGAAACACUACAGGAGGCUGAUGCGUGUGUCGCGUCAAAUGGAGAAGAAUCAACGAUGAUGUGGCAUCUCAAACUUGGCCACAUGUCAGAACAAGGCUUGAAGAUUCUCUCUGAGCGAAAAUUGCUUCCGGGGCUCAAAUCGGUAAGUUUACCAUUUUGCGAGCAUUGUGUUACAAGUAAGCAGCAUAGAUUAAAAUUCAGUAGAUCUAUUGCUAGAAGUAAAUGCAUUCUAGACUUGAUUCAUUCUGAUGUUUGGGAAUCACCGGAUAUAUCCAUGGGAGGUGCAAAGUACAUGGUGACUUUCAUUGAUGAUUAUUCCAGAAGAUGUUGGGUGUAUCCAAUUAAGAAAAAGUCAGAUGUAUUUCUAGUGUUUAAAGAAUAUAAAGCGCGGGUGGAACUUGAAUCUGAUAAAAGGAUCAAGUGCUUGAGGACAGACAAUGGUGGAGAAUAUACAGACGGAGAGUUUCUUGCUUUCUGUAAGCAAGAAGGUAUUCAGAGGCAGUUCACGGUGACAUACACUCCUCAACAAAACGGAGUAGCGGAGCGGAUGAACAGAACUCUUACAGAAAGAAUAAGAGCUAUAUUGAGGACUGCUGGUUUACCCAAUUCAUUCUGGGCAGAAGUAGCCAAAACCGCCUGUUAUAUAGUAAAUCGGUCGCCAUCUACAGCUAUUGGGUUGAAGACAGCGAUGGAGAUGUGGACUGGAAAGCCAGCUGAUUAUUCCUACCUACAUGCAUUUGGAUGUCCUGUGUACGUGAUGUACAAUGCCCAAGAAAGAACAAAGCUGGAUCCAAAAUCUAGAAGAUGUAUCUUCUUAGGGUAUGCUGAUGGAGUAAAGGGGUAUCGUCUGUGGGACCCCACUGCCCACAAGAUCGUCAUCAGCAGAGAUGUUAUCUUUAUAGAAGAUCAACUGCAAAGGAAAGAUGAGGAUGAAAGCACUGUAAAAGAAAAGUCAGAGAUUGUACCAGUAUAUGUGGAAAAUAAUCCAGAAGAUUUAGAUUCUUCUGAAGCAGCACCAGAGAACGAGGAACAAGAACCAGUCGAGUCCGAGGCUCCAGAAGUUCGUCGGUCAACUCGUGAGAGACGACCGCCAACGUGGCACUCGGAGUAUGUCACAGAGAUCAACGUUGCAUACUGUCUUUUAACGGAGGAUGGAGAGCCAUCAACUUUCCAUGAAGCUUUAGAAAGCUCAGAUAUUGCUUUGUGGAUGACAGCAAUGCAGGAAGAAAUUGAAGCUCUACACAAGAACAAGACAUGGGAACUUGUACCACUACCACAUGGAAGAAAAGCCAUUGGAAACAAAUGGGUCUACAAGAUCAAGCGUGAUGGUAAUGACCAAGUGGAGCGGUAUCGUGCAAGAUUGGUAGUGAAAGGAUAUGCUCAGAAAGAAGGCAUUGACUUCAACGAGAUAUUUUCGCCCGUGGUUCGACUCACAACAGUCAGAGUAGUCUUGGCAAUGUGUGCUACAUUUGACUUACAUCUAGAGCAGUUAGAUGUGAAAACUGCAUUUCUUCAUGGAGAACUUGAAGAAGAAAUAUAUAUGCUCCAACCAGAAGGUUUUGCAGAAACAGGAAAGGAGAACUUGGUUUGCAGGUUGAACAAAUCUCUAUACGGUCUCAAACAGGCGCCGAGGUGUUGGUAUAAGAGAUUUGAUUCCUUCAUCAUGAGCCUUGGAUACAACAGACUCAGUUUAGACCAUUGUGCAUAUUACAAGAGGUUUGAAGAUAAUGAUUUCAUCAUUUUGCUGUUGUAUGUGGAUGACAUGUUGGUAGCAGGUCCCAACAAAGAUCGAAUCCAAGAAUUGAAGGCACAGUUGGCUAGGGAGUUUGAAAUGAAGGACUUGGGACCAGCAAACAAGAUUCUAGGGAUGCAAAUUCACCGAGACAGAAAUAACAAGAAGAUUUGGCUUUCGCAGAAGAAUUACUUGAAGAAAAUCUUGCGACGCUUCAACAUGCAAGAUUGUAAGUCAAUUUCUACCCCACUUCCUGUUAAUUUCAAAUUAUCCUCAAGUAUGUGUCCUAGUAAUGAAGCAGAGAGGAAGGAGAUGUCUCGAGUACCGUAUGCAUCAGCAGUGGGAAGUUUGAUGUUCGCUAUGAUAUGUACUAGACCGGACAUUGCACAAGCAGUGGGAGCAGUCAGUCGAUACAUGGCGAAUCCUGGUGGAGAGCAUUGGAUAGCUGUUAAGAGGAUUCUGAGAUACAUCAGAGGAACCUCAGAUGUUGCAUUAUGUUAUGGAGGAUCAGAGUUUACUGUCAGGGGCUAUGUGGAUUCAGAUUUUGCAGGAGACCUUGAUAAAAGAAAAUCCACUACUGGUUAUGUGUUUACACUUGCGGGAGCAGCUGUAAGCUGGGUUUCGAAACUACAGACCGUUGUGGCUUUAUCUACAACAGAAGCAGAAUACAUGGCAGCUACACAAGCUUGCAAGGAAGCUAUUUGGAUACAAAGGUUAUUGGAGGAGCUCGGGCACAAACAACAGAAAAUUCUUGUGUUUUGUGACAGUCAGAGUGCCUUGCACAUUGCAAGGAAUCCAGCCUUUCAUUCCAGGACAAAGCACAUAGGAGUUCAGUAUCACUUCGUUCGUGAAGUAGUGGAAGAUGGAAGUGUGGAUUUGCAGAAAAUCCAUACCAAAGAGAACCUAGCAGAUGUUUUAACCAAGCCGAUAAAUACUGAUAAGUUUAUCUGGAGUAGAUCCUCUUGUGGCCUAGCAGAAACGUAGGCAACAUGAUUAUGGCGAAGCAGAAAGGAUGAUGUGGAGAUUGAUUGAUUUUCAAUCUAAUCUCCAAGUAGGAGAAAUGUCAAAAGCAGCCAUCCAUCUAGAUGGUCAACAUUCAAAGAAGAGGAAUUUUGCAGCAAAUCAAAGAAAAUUCAUAAAGCUAGAUUGACAAAUGGAAGCCAUGCGGAUUGACGAAAUUGAAGCCAUAAUUGGUGGGCUAAAAUCGUUGAUUUUCUUGGCCACUAGUUUGCUAUAAAUAGAAGUGCAGAUGAAGAGCUUAUGCAUUCCAUUAAGAGAGAGCAAUUUAGCAUUUUGAGAGAGUUUAGAGAGCUUGAAAUUAUAAGCUCUUGUUAUUAGUGUUCUGAGAGUUUGGGUGUAUUGGGGUUUUGGGAAGUGAGCUAAAAUACUACAAUACUUGUAACUCCUUUUCACUAGUAAAAUAUUUCCUUCUGUCUUCGCCCGUAGACGUAGGCUAAAAGCCGAACCACGUAAUUUUCUAGUGUCCUCUAUUGUGCUUGUUCUUUAUUUUAUUUCCAAUUUUAUUUUAGCUGCGGUCCUGCUGCACCCACCAAUUUCCUAACAUAUUAAGGAAUUGCUUAACAGAACCUGGCAAGUGCAGGUCAAGCAUGUUUACAGAGAAUCAAAUUUUGCAGCUGACUUUCCUGCAAACUCUGCUCUUUCACUACCUGUUGAAUUGCACAUUUUCAAUUCUCUUCCUUUAGGGGCUGGGUUUUGGAUUCGUCAUGAUUGUAUUGGGGUUUCACAACCCCGUUUUGUUUUGCCCUAGUCUAUGCUAGGCACGUCUUUGUACCAAAAAAAGAAGAGUUAUUGACCACUUUGUUAAAAAUGAACAUGUUAUGUUUAUACGUACAAUAAAACAAAACACGGGGUGCACGCUUAAGUCUUGUUCUUUUACAAUUCAUUUGUAUUACUUACUCUGAUGAAAUCUUUACUCACAUUCCUCGGCAGUUGACAUUGAUCUUUUGCUCAUUCUUUUAUAUUCAAGGCCAAUAGUGAAGCUCCUUUCAAAAAAUAAAAAUAAAAAUAAAAUAGAGAAAUUGUGGGCUUUUAUUCAGACCCCUGAAACCUUUCUGUUAAUAUAAAAACUCUAAUCCUUGAGCAACAGGUUAAAAAAAAAAAAAAAAAGAAUUCUCUGUUUAAUUAUCAGUUGGCUUAAGAUCAAUGUUGUUUGCCUCCUGUCUUUUCUUUGUUUUGUUCGUUUGUUUGUCAUUUUAUUAGAUUUGCUUUGUAGCUAAUUUUACUUGCAGAUUAAAGAUGAGUGAGAAAUGCCCUUUUUUUCUGAAGCAACCUACAAAUUUUACUUGCAUAUGUAAAGCCUUUGUUACUGAUUGCACUCAAUUGUUCAAUUAAAAGUCUUACCAUUUUAUUCUAUGAAAACUUAAUUAUUUCUUUAGAAUAUAUGAAAACGUAGAGUUGUGAACUAGUGCUUUCUUCUUCAACAUGCGUCAACAGGGCAACAAUAACCAAAUACAUGAUAUAGAAAAGCGGUGAAUGACUAAUUCUGUUUCUUUUGCAGGUCAUUGUUAUUGCUCUCAUCAACUCUUUUCUCACACAUUCCUCAGCAGUUACCAGUGAUCUUUUUCCUCUUUCAACUUGUUCUUAAAUAGAGAAGCUCACCAACUCUCUAAUCCCAGAUAAUUAAAGAGGUGCGCGUUUUCUAAAUCCUUGACAUCUGCUCUUUCAUAAGUUCCAUCUACUUUCCAAGAAAAAAUUUUCUCUGGUUUGUUUUAAUAUUGUAACUUAUUUUGCAUGAGUUUUAAGUCAGUAUUCAUUGUUAAAGCCUGUGCUCUUAUUAUUUCUUUUGGUUAAUUUGCAUGCUCUCCCCCCCCCCCCCCUCCCCGCGGCGGCGCCCCCCCCAAAAAAAAAGUUUAUAGGCUUUACUCCUUGAAACCUUUACUGAUAAUACCAAAAACUCUAAUCCUUCAACAAAAGAAAGCAAGAAAAAAAGGUCCUAAGUUUAUUGUCUUUUAUUGGAUUUGUACCAAAAACUCUGAUCUGUUGGCUUUGUAUCAGUAUUGCUUGUUUGUUGUCUUUUAUUUCAUUAUUUAUAUCUAAGUUUAUUUCAAGAUUACAGAUCAGCAGGAAAAGCCCUCUUUCUAAAGCUAACUAUACAGAUUUUAGAAUAGGGCUCAACCACAUGAAAAUAUUUACGUUGUAAUAUCUCAUAUUAAUAAUCUAAAAGCAACCAAUCCAACAAGUUCAAAUUCAGUCAAAUCUAAAAAAAAAUUGCUUUUAAGGAGUACAUGAUAGCUAUUAAACUUUGGUUAAAGAUCUUAUGAGGAAAAGUGAAAUUCAGUCGAUCAUAAAUCAACCAAUCCAACGAGUUCAAAUUCAUCACUUGCAAAAUUAAGUUUUCUUCCGAAAUUGAGUUGUUUCCAUUAGAAAUUGUCCCGCAGUCACGAGUUACAAUCAUCAAAACAAGAUUACUUGAUGCAUUAAUAAUCUUAUUAAAAAAAAAUACCAACUGUUAAGGGUUAAAAAAAUGUGCCAUUUUGUAAUCCAUUUAAAUCAAAAUAGUAUGUUUAAUCGCAAAAAAAAUAACUACUGCCAUGAUGGAGCACAUAGAAUAAAAAUAAAACUUUUAGUUUUACUAAUCAUAAAUAUACCAACUGAUAUCUCCAAAAAAGAAAAAUUUAUUUUUUAAAUUUUUAAAUCAUAUAUUAUACAAAUUUAACAUAUGUUCUAACAGUCAUCUGAUCCCUGCAGAUAUUAAUUGGGUUUAGGGUAAUCCUGUUUACAUAAAGAAUAUUGUUAAAUAAAUGUUUGUUAAUAUGGUUUCAGAUGAUGAUGAUGAUGAGUUGCGACUGCCAAUCAUGCGUAAUAUCAUAAUAAUAUUAAAAACAAUUAUCCCAACAGGUUUCCCAGAAUAUGCUAUAUUAUUACAUAUUAAAGUUAAUUAUAAACAACCAACAAAGUGUUGGCUCCACUGGCAAUGGAGUCCCCUUAAGUGGCUUGACUGGGUUUGCUCUCCAGUUCGAGUCGCAGGGAAGUCGCCUUUGUUGGGAGAACCUGUGCCUCCUGGUUCGAGCGGGGACUUCUAGUCUGGGUUGUGGUAGGGGCUUAAAGGUGCCUCCCACAGUUGGGGCCCUCCCCAGGAUACCUCGUGAUUAAUAUAAAAAAAAAAAGUUAAUUAUAAACUAAUAUAAAAAAAAAGCUCUGACAAAUAUUAUUUCUUGAAAAAUGAGAUGAUUCACCGCUGUUGUGUUUCAUGCUAAUUACUUUUCUCCGGAAAAAUAUUAUAAAUUAAAAUUUAACGAAAGUCUCAAUUUAUACGCUUAUAGCAUGUUCUAUAAUUUUUAUUUUUUAUAUAUAUAGUAUAAUUCAAGAAUUUAUACUGAGUAGAAGCAAAGAUCAAUCCCAUAUGUGGGUAACCAAAAUCCUUCAUAGAACAAGGCACUAUAAUAAUAACCAAAACCAGCCCUUCCUUUUGGUGCCGAUUGAAAACAAUCAUAUUGUGAUUCGCAAAUUAAGUGAGAUUAGUGACCUCUCAACUCAAUCAAAUACUUGCCAAAUUCAUUUCUGAUCAUGCAUCUUACCACCCACCCCCCCCCCCCCCCCCCCUCUUUUUUGCGUAUAAAUUGAGCAUGGUGGCUUUGAAAAUUUUAAGAUUCUUGAUGAUUCCAAAAUGAGAAUAUCAAUUGUUAAGCCAAUAGUAGAUUAUUGACGUUUUAAAUUGAUAAAUAAACACAACUCUGAUUUUAAAAAGUUAUGAUAACAACUUUAAAAAUUUUAAUGUGGAUAUAAAAUCACCCAUAAUAAAACGAUAUGAGAUUGAAAUAAUUUAUUUAAAUAUAAAUCAUCCGAUGUAAUGAAUACAAAACCAACCAUCAAUUUAAAUUUUUAAAUAAUGACAUUGAGAUGUGCUAUAAAUGAGUUCCAGGAAAUAAAUAUUAAUGUAAAUGAUAGCAACAGCUUCAUCCAUUAAUAUAAUUCUACUAUUAAGCAUGAAAUAUAUGACCAUCAACUUACAAUUGUAAUCAUUAAACUAGAAAUCAUUGAGUAUUACAUGAAAUCAUUAAUAUUGAACCUAAAAGAUAUAUGAAACUAAUGUUAAUAUGAAAUCUAGGACCAUUAACUUAAAAUUGUAAUUAGGAAAUAAAGCUUUACAUGAAAUCACUGUCAUUGAGCUUGAUAAUUCUACCAUUAAACAUAAAAUUAAUGCAAAUAUGAAGCAUAAGACCAUCAACUCAAAAAUUGUAAUCAUCAAAUUUUGAAUACCACAAAUUAAAUUUACUCUAUCUUUGUAAUGAAUACAUUCUACAGCCUUAAAAAAAAAAUAAAUAAAGGGUUAUUUUAGCAUUUAUAUGAGUGUGUAAAGUAAAAGUUGACUUUUAAAGUUGAUUCAAUAUAUAUAAACAACAUUAUUGAAUCAUUAUCUUUUUUUUUAUAAUCAUUAUUAAUAAACAUACUAUUUUGAUUAAAAAAAUAAAAUAGUGGAGCUUAAAUAUGUCUGAAAAUUUCAAAAUUAGUAAUAGAAUCAGUAGCGGUUCGAUCUCUAGACAACUUAGGCGGUUGCUUAGGGCCCUACUUUACAUGAAGAUCCUAUAAGAUGAUUAUUUUGUAUAUAAAAGAGGAAAGUGAAUUUAAAAAUCAUUAUUAUGCAUCUAAUUUAUUAUUAUUUUGUAAUUAUCUUUUCUCAAAUAAACUACCGAGUUCCUAUAAAGUUUAUUUAAUGUAGUACUUAGUAGUUUUAAUUCCUACAAAACCGAUAAAUUAAUAGUUUCAAUCCUAUAAAUUUGAUAUUUCAUUGUUAGAAUUAACAACUUAUAAUUAAAAAGUUUUAUAUUCAUUUUAAACCUCUAUAAAAGCCCCACAUUUUAUUACUUAUCCAUUAAAUUUUUCUUCUAACAAUGAAGACACCAUAUGUUCUCCGUUUUUGAGAGAAAGAAAGAGAGAGAGGGGAAAAAAAAUCUUGCUUCCUCUACUUUCCACUCAAGAAAAAAAAGAAAAAAUCUAAUAGUUUUUUUCUAUUCUCUAUGGCUAUUAGUCAUUACUCAAAUCUUCAAAUAAUUAAUAUAAAGAUAAAGUUAAUUUAUGAUUUCAUCUCAAACUUCAAAUUUCAGAUUUUAUUUUUUAUUAUUCUCUUAAUUAAUUGUAUUAUUUAUGUGUUCUUAUUUCUUUUUAAUACAUUCUUUUAUUCAUCUACUAUUUUUGUGUGCUUUUUUUUCUAUUGUGAAAUAAAUAACUAUAUAAAAAAACUUUAGAAAAUAGAAGAAUAAAAAAAUUAAUUUAAUGUAGAAAAGAAGUAGUAUAAAAGAUGUAAUUUGAGUUAAAAAAAAGUAAAAAUAUUAUAAUUGAAUUAAAAUUUCAAGGAUUGACAAUAGUGUAAUAUAAUUUUAUUUAAUAAUUUUACAUUUUAGAGAGUGUUUGAAGAAUUGAUUUUCAAUAAAUAUUAUAUAACUUAUGAGUAAUGAUAUAACCACAAACUCUUGUAUAAACUGAUGUGGCAUGAUAAGAUUGGUUGAAUUAAAUAUCACUUGGCUCACGUGAUUUUGUUUUUAUUAUUUUAUAUUUUUAUUCAACCAAUAAAUUAAUAUCACGUCAGUUUGUACAAGAGUUUGUGGCUGUAUCAUCACUCAUAACUAAUAUACAUAUUUUUUGUCUUAAAUUUAAGAAAAACUAAUUAAAACCAUUUGCCUAAGGCCUCAAAUAUGGUUGAGCCGGUCCUGAAUAGAAUAUAAAAGUACAUGAUAAAUAUUUAAAUUAAAACUCGAUAAAAGGUUAACAAAAACACACAUGUUGUUUUUUAGUGAGUUUGAUUUUAUUUUAUUUUUUUGGAACAAAUUCAAAACGACAUCAUUUUGGAUGUAUUUUCAUUGGGAUUUGGUUCUUCAAUUAUUUUUCUAAUAGCAGAUCUCAAGAUUGUGUGAUUACAUCACAACUUAACUUUUACAGUGAUCGAUUCCAAUAGCUCUCUAGUUGAAAUUUAAAUUAAUUAAAUAAAAAAUAACAUGGCCCUUAUCAAUUUGACGAUGGUAUGGUGUAAAAACAUCCUCUUGAAAAUUAUGAGUCAUCCAAAAAGAUUAAUUUUUUUGGGAUAUCUUGAAUGGAAGUAAACACAAUUUUAUGUUUUAUAAAAAGGUAAAACAUUAAGUAAUUAAUAAUAUAUCAAUAUUAAUUAAUAAGUUAUUUACAUUAGGCAAUAUUAUACGUUUGUGAAUUUAUUGGUCAUUUGUUUUUGUACAAUUAUUUCAUGACAUUAUAACGAUAUGAGAAUGACGAUUCAAACUAUCUUGAAUAUUGGAUAAUUGUUUUUUAAUUAACAUUUUGGGGCUGAAUUCAAUCGUGCAUAUAGACAAUUUUAUCUAUUAAAAGAAUUAAUUAUUAUGUUAAAAUUUAUUUUGGAAUUUAAUGACGAAGAAACUGUUUCUUAACUGGAGCUAUGGCUUUGGCCACGAGCUCCUCUGGUGUUAGAUUAUGAACCGGAACUCCGGUUGAAUUCGGUUGUGGUGGCGGUGAGUCCGCCGGAAAAAUCCGGAACUCACUGAGUUCGGAUGCGGACUCGGCCAUUUUAACUCAGGUUAAGAACUCCGUGAUGCGAGUGGCAAUGAGGGUUAUCUGUAGGGUUUAUAGCGGGUUUGGAAACAUUGGUCUUCGGUUUAGAUAUUUUUUAUUCCGUUAAAGAAGACGACUGAAACAACUUGCCGUUUAAUGAAAAUGACGUCGUUUAGUCGUAACGUUGUAAAAAAAUGAAUAAAAAAUAAAAAAUUACAUUGUCAGAAGUGGGAUUUGAACCCACGCCCUCUUUCGAAGACCAGACUUGAGUCUGGCGCCUUAGACCACUCGGCCAUCCUGAGUUUUUGAUGAGCCUGUCGACUUUCAAAAAUAUCUCCAAAUACUUUUAAUUAUAAUUACAUGACACUAUUAUUGACAAUAUAAUAUGGAUAUGAAAGUAAAAAAAUUUGAUUAAUAAAUUAUAACUAUCGUUCUACUAUUUUGUUCAAAAAAUAAUAUUAAAAAAAUAGAUGAAGAAUAAAAAUGCAUUAAAUUAUAUUGUUUAAUAUUAAUCAGUCACGGCUACUUGCGCUUAACUUUCCCUCUACGCCCAAAAUUUAGAACUUAGAAUAAUUUUAAUUAUUGAAAUAAUGACUAACUAAUUUACUUAGGAAUAAAGACAGAAUUUGGGGGAGGGAAAUUACCAAGCCUUUAAAUUUUUAUAAGUAAAUAGAAAAAGAAAUUCAAGAUGGCCAAAAUUUUUUUGCUGUAUGAGACCCCAAUUAAAGCGGGCAAAUUCCACUCAAACUUUAAAAGUUAGUGUGAGUAUAUAGGUUUGAUUAUUUUAACUUAAAACUUUGACCUAAUUAAACACAAAUUCAUAAUCAUUGUACUUCCAGACAUCAAGCGUGUAAUCAAAAUUCAGUUACUUUUUGUCUUGCAUUAAUUUCAUUGACCAAUAUAUAUUUCUUAAAUAAAUAAUAAUAGUUUGUAUUUUAAUUAAUGUUCCACUAAUCAUUUAUUGUCUCAUAAAUGAUAAUAAAUAAAUUUAUUAUUAAUUAUUUACAUACUAUUCUUACAACUUGAUCAAUGAACGACAUAUAACAUGCCACAUAAAAUAUCAGAGUAACUAAGAUAUAAACUAUGUAUUUCUUGGUCGAAUUGAGUAUCCGUAGCAUUAAAUGUAAAUCACUAAUUACUGCAAAGAUCAAACUUAUAUUUAAACGAGAGAUUUAACAUUAACUAAUACCAAAUAUUGGCGUUCAAUUACAACUUAUGAAAUACUCAACAUAGGUAAAACCACAGAAUCAUACGAUUCAUACGGUUCGUAUAAGCCUUUCGAGGCUAAUGCAUGUGUAGGCUUGAAGACAUCAUUACUAAGAGGCGGCUAAUAAUAUUAUAAUAUAAAAUACUGCUACUCAUGCAACUGGGUAGGAAGGUUUAGUGGCAAUGCCACAGAGACCUUCAGGUGCUUCAACAUCUCUGAGAAUCCUCAUGUAGCCGGCCUCACCCCAGCUCUCCCCCCAUGAAUUCUUAAUUAACCAAUACUUCAUUCCAUCUUCAGUUGCCCCAAAUCCAACGAUAGCAACAGCAUGAGAACACUGAGUUCCACAUCCUCCGUUAAAAAUACCGCCUUUGUAACUCUGGAAGUCUGGUCCACUUCCUUCAAUGCAAAUUGAUACUGGCUGCAUGGCUACAGCUUGGAGUAAAGCCUGCUCAUCAUUGGGUUUUACAUCUUCAAAGUUACUAAUUUUAGCAGCUGCCUUGACCUGUGCGUCUUCACAAGUCCCUUGGACUUCCUUGUAUGGAUAAUCCGCUUCUGAGGCAAUACCCUGGUUUUUUAUAAUAUAUUUAAAGGCAUUGUCCAUCCAACCGCCACCGCAUCCACGGUUACCAUCUAUGGAGCAGUCUAGUAUUUGCUGCUCCGAAAGUGGAAUAAGAUUACCACUACUAAUCUCAGUCACCCCUUCCACCGCCGCCACAGUUGAAAAUGCCCAACAGUCUCCUGCAUCGUACAUAUUAAGGAAAAAAAAAAAAAAAGGCUUGAUUAAGUUACAUGAAACAUGCCCCAGCAGGGGUUUGGCAGACGGUUGUCAAGCUGUUUUUAUUAAUUAGCUGAUGGUCAACUGAGUUUGAGUUCUGAAAGAGGUUGGAGGCUAAAUAAUCUAUUAUAGUUACUUCAUAAAUAUUUAGUAUACGAUUUACUUACCACAUUGACCUUGGUUCUUAAUAGGAGUGACAGCUCCUUUCUCUCUCCAGUCCAUGCUAGUUGGAACGUCAGUCAGGUUUUGAUACUUGAAGGAUGCUGUUGUGGAUUGCCGUGAUGAAGAUGACUGGCUUGGCACCCUGUAUCCUGUAUAUGAAGCACGAAACUCCUCAUUAGUUAAGUCUGAAAAUUCAUUGGUGCCUAACUUGUACGUCCGAUUCGCCUCCUCAUUGGCUUUCUCAAUGUAUUCAAGGUUUUCUUUGAAUAUCUUAAACCGCUUUUCCUUCUCCAGGUCGUCCUUGUAAGUGCGCCCAUGCUCAGCCAUCCAUUUUUCAUGCUUCUCAACAAUGGAUGGUUCAUGCAGCGACCGGCCGGCGACCGACACCAUUUUAGAUGAAUAAGUCACCAGAAUGAUCAUAGACAGGGCAAUGAUAUCAAAGCUUUUCCCCAUAAUAAUUGGUAGGUAUUUGCAAGUUGAACAAGGUUGUUGUUUUUUUUUUUUUUUUUUUUCCCUUCAAAUUAUAGAGGCUAGCUAGCCAGCUGGGGGUAAGUUGUGAAUACUUGAAGCACGCAUUGAAGCUCUAUAUAUAGUACUUGUAGAUAGUGGAUUUGUGCUCUCAACAUGGGUCGCGUACAAUAUUUGCCUAAUGCAUGAGACGUAUGCGUUGCGUUAGUCGUGCCCCAUACUUCACGAUUUUCAAUCAAGCUAAUUAGUAUGCGAAACCGGACAACCAAGUUAUUAUCAGUUAUCGCCGUGAUUCGCGUACUUCGUGCUUUUGAGGCUUGCUAGCAAUGACUUGACUAGCUUUUAGCGAAGUUACAAAAAGAAUUAUGAACUAAUUUGUAGAUGGACUUUUAUCGAUGAGACUUGCGGCGACGUGGAAAACAUUGGUGUCAUUUUUUUUUUCUUUCAUAAAUCAACUUAAAAAAAGGAAAAUUGGAUAAUAAUGUGAACUCAUUUGGACGGAGUAAAAUAAUUCUUACAAAAUCUACAAUGCAUCUAGCUAGGAUGAACUUUUAUAUAUCUGCGAUAUUAUGAAGAAAUCAUUACUAAUAUGCAUUACAUAAUAUGGCAUAAAAUAUGACACUAAUACUAGAAUUUCUUCCUUUAAGUGCCAAUUUGGUAGUUUAUCUUAACCUGUCAGUGACAACUGUUAUUUCAAGUGCACUUUUUGAGUCUUUAUGCAUACUAUAAUAUAUAGGCUUCAAUGGGGUCUCCUCGUAACUUUCUUGCCUAUCACCUUGAAUAUAAUCAUAACAUCCCGCCAAGUUAAUUUUUUUAGACCAUAGCACGUCAAAAUCUUUAAUGGAUAUAUUACUAAUAGAAUAAUGGUCAAUAUUCUAUUUUUACAUACGGUUUAAGAUAUCUAAUAAAUUGAUAUGGAUUUAAUUUCCUAAAUACCAAAUUAGUGAAUUAUCAUAACUUUUUAAAAACUUAAAUUUGAUGUUAAAGAAAAGGAUAUAUAUAUUAACUUAUUGAUAUAAAUAAUGCUAAGUAUAUAUAUAUUUGCAGCCAAAAGUUAAAUAUGGUACAACAAUAAAAAAAGAUACUUUACACACUCAGUUAUAAUAAACUAAUAUUUAUAACGAUAAUAUGACCCAAUACCCAUAUUGACCCAAUUACUAUCAUAAUAUUGUAUUAGGAUAUUAAAAUUCCACAAUAAUGGAGAUGACAUAAAAUUUGUUUAUAAAAAUGUACAAUACAAUAUUUAAAUUUUUUGCGGUUGAAAAUCGUGAGAACAGUAUGGUCAUCACAAUUAAUUGAUUGUGAGGAGAAUAAAGAGACCAUUACCAUAAUAGCUAUGCAUAAUUCAAUGGCCCGAGAUGGAUUGGCGGAUGGAAUCAAGAAUAAUUUGAUUCAAACUUAAGAAUAAUACAUUAUACAGAAUUACAGAUUGAGAUUAAAUAUACUCUCUUGUUUUUAUAAACAUGUGCAAAAUGCAUGCUUUCUCUUUCAUCUCUGCUUCAAUCCCACUUUAGGGUUUGUUUGUCAAAAGUAUUGUUUUUGAAAAAUAGAUAUUGUUUAAAGCAAAUAAAAUAAAGAUCAUUAAAAAAAUAUAACAACAUAAUGUUUAAUUGAUAAUGAUUUUUGCCAGUGUUAUGAAGGACUACAAAACCGAAUACAAAAUGCCAAAAUUUUGUAACUAGGAAUCAUACCAAAUCACAUAUUAAUUUAAAAUUUAAUUCUUACUUUUAAUUCUUACUUUUAACAUCUAUAUAUGUAUACAUAGAUACACGGUGGGUCCCUCCGAGCAUCGGAUGAUUUUUCGGGCAACGGACAUCUCAUAGAGUUAAGAUCGUCAUCAUCAUCGUCAUUAUACGAAUACAUUACUUUGAAGGAGCUUAUGUUGGACUCCAAUUUUAGGGGUGGCGGCAUUGCCAUUAUAAAUUCAAUAAGAACCACAGUGGACAAUUGUUACAUUUCGCAUUUCACUACCGCUGGCAUUUCCAUCCAAGAUGGCCACGAAACGUAUAUAAGAAAUUCCUUCAUCGGCCAACACAUCAACAUCGGCGGGGAUGAUCGCGAAAAGGAUUUCUCCGGCAUCGGAAUAAACAUCACGGGAAACGACAACACGGUCACUGAUGUUGUUAUAUUUUCAGCAUCAAUUGGAGUAAUGGUACAGGGGCAGGCCAAUAUGCUGACGGGAAUACACUGUUAUAAUAAGGCUACUGACUUGGGAGGUACCGGCAUUUACAUCCGGGCACCAGCAUGUUUUAAAAAAACCCAUUAUUGACAAUUAAUGUUGCAGGUCAUUAAUUUUUAAAAACAAUAACACAAAUGACCCAAUUAAUAUCUAAUAAAAUAUUUUUUUAUUAUCAUAUUUAAUACUAAUAUCAAUAUUAAAUUCAAAAAUCACACUUAUAUUAUAAAUAGCUUGAUUGUAGCAUAAACUUAAUGGGUAAUUGUACAAAAAUAUGUAUUUUGAUAUGACAAAAUACAACAAUUUGAUCAUUGCAAAUUAAAUCAUGGAUUUUUUUUUUAAUGAGUAAAUUACAUAAAUAUGUCUGAUUUUAUUAAAAUUUAGAUAAACAGUGAUCAAAUCAUAAACGUAACAUAUAAAUACAUAAAAUAUUUAUAUUAUAUUUACAUUUAAGUAACAUUUGAUAAUACCAAUUCUUUAAACUAAGACAUAUAAAUUAAGAUUUUUCUGAUCGUUAAAAUUUUGUAAAAACAAUUAUCUAAUAAUUUGACAAUUUUCAUCUUUUACAUUAUCCACAUUUGAAGAUUAUGUAUUUGUACAAAAAUAUCAAAAUUAACUUUGGAUAUGAAAGCUAUAAUGAUAUUUUUCAAUUCUUAAAAUUUAUAUUUCACAAAAUUAUGGAUUUAAAAAAAAAUUGGCACAAUAAAUUUAUGAUGAAUUAUAGUUUUAAUGGUUUACUCUUCCCUCAUAAAAUAAAAAUAAAACUGUUCAAAGAAGAUAUUAGAAGGUUUAUUGGAAUAUUUAAUUUGAUAUUAUAUUUAUUUGUAUUUAACAAAAAUUUGGAUCCAGCCAAAAGCCAAGAUAAUGGGCUAUUUUUUUUUUUACUUCGAGGAGGCUGCUGCACAAUGUAAGACAAGGUCACUCAACCGUUGCUGGUGAUGGAAGAAAUUAAGAGAUGUCUCUUUCAAUAAUUUGACAAGAAAAAUGAAUAUCUAUUUGUUUUCAAUUGGAACUUUGAAUGUACGCAUCAAGCUGACAUCACACGUAUUUUUAUUAAUUUUAUAUUUUUUUGGAUGAAUUAGCUAGAAGCUAGAAUGCCCCGUGAAUUAUUUUGGUUUCAAAAUUUGAUCCGGUUAAUUACAAUUAAGUGCAUCCAAAAGAUUACCAUCAAUUAAUUAGCUUGAGCUUGGGAAUUCUAAUUAAUAAUAGUAAAAUAUAUAUAAUAUAAUACUUGGAAUUAGCUUUGGAUUUGAUCUAACAUAUUUAUACAUACACACGCACGCGCGAUAUCAGCUAGCAAAGCAUGCACGAUUCACUUUAAUUAAUGAGUUGAAUCUUCAAAAAUUAAAUAUUGAUAAUUCUUUUUUUCUUUUUAAUAUUUAUAUAUCAUCUCACCGGCCGUGACAUUAUCAAUUUUUUUAUGUUUUAAAUUUUAUUAACAUCGGCCAGAACUCAAGCCUUCUCAAUUAAUAUGAUAAAAAAUUCGUCUAUUAUACUUGGCACGUUGUUGCCCUUGCUGCCUCUUCUGCAAACGAUGUCGUAUAUUUUAAUCAAAACAAAGAAUGUUGAUAAGACGCGGUUAAAUAUUAACAAUCUUUUUACUUAAAAUUAGUGAGGCCAGUUACUUCAUUCGCCACCUAAUACGCUACACUGCAGGGAAGGGCAAAACCGUCCGAAGUUGAUUCCAAUCCAAUCAAUUAAUUAACCUAAUCAUAUAUCAGCUAUUUAUUAUUGUGUUUUUCACAAAGGGUACUCUAGUUGACAAUUGGUGUUCUCUUUUCCUGUCAUUUUCCAAAUUUUUGGCCUUUUUGUUAGAGUAGUGAAGUUUCUUUCAAGGAUGUCUGCAUUCAUUGAAGGGAUUUUUUUUUUUUUAUGAGUAAUAGAAACAUAAUGUGAAUUUUGAAAAUAACUGCUUUAUUAUAAAAAAUUUUGAAUUGGUUAAAACAUUCUACAUUGUUUUAUACGAGAUUGAAAACUUUUUACUUAAUGUUUUACCUCUUCUAUUUUAAAAAAUUGUAAACCAUGAAAACAAUAGCUUGACAAUCAUGGAUUAAAUCAGAAAUUAAUUUUAAUAUUGGAUAUUUAUAAUUAACAAUUAACAAAUGAUAUCUUUACAGUGAAUUCUUUACAAUAAGUUAAUUUAUAUCAGUUCCACCGCAUUAGUUAACACCAAGAAUAGUCUUUUUAUAAAUUAACUAUUUUUGAAUUAUUAAGUUAUAAAUAGCUAUUUAUUAUGUUUGUACAAGAAAUAAUAUUUUUCCGGAGAAAAAUUAUAGAACAUAUGUUCUAACAGUCGUCUGAUCCCUGCAGAUAUUAAUUGGGUUUAGGAUAAUUUAAUAUUUUGUAAUCCUGUUUGUAACAUUUUAAUAAACACGGUUGAUGAACUACUUGUAAACCAAAUGAUAUCUCCUAAAAAUUUAUUGUUAAUAAUCAACAAUAACAUAAUAACAUUAUUUAUAAAUAACUCUUUUUUAAUAUCAAAGCCUCCACAUUUUUAGCAAAAUGUCAUAAAAAAAUAUACCAAUUUUUUUCUAUUAUACAAAUUUAAUUAAUCAGCGAUAUUCUCACUGUUUCUCCCUUGCAGCCAUUGAAUCCAACUAAUAUGCAUGGCAAUUGCCUAAAACUGAUAAGAAUUUUGCCCCUUUUUUUGGCAACAUGCAUUAUUAUCAUGACACCCUAACACGUGCGCAUUGCGUCACUGCUGGCUUCUGAAGGUUACUUUAAAGCUUCUAUAUAUAAGCGCACUCAUUCUGCAUAGAGACAUAUUUCGGUAUCAUAUGACUUUCUUCUUCAAAGCAAAAGAAAAGCAUUCAGGAAACCUCUAGAGUCUUACCUUCCUCGAUGGCCACAACGUAAGAAUUUGGUUUUUUUUUUUUUUUUUUGGAAUUUCAUAAUUAAUUAUGAUCAUUAUUUUAACGAUCAUGUGUCAUCUUUGAUAGAGCGCAAGAGAAUCUUCCUCCACCGUUGGAUUCGAAGGCCGAGCUACCACCUCUGUUCGAUGGAACUCCCAGGUUGUACAUUUCUUACUUGUGCCCAUUUGCUCAGCGUGCGUGGAUCACCAGGAACUACAAGGUUUUAUUUUUAUUUACUAUUUUUUUUUUUUUUUAUCACUGUUGACCCGUCUCUGCUUUCUAGGUUUAAUUAAAAUAAUAAUAAUAACAAUAACAGUAAUUUAUGGUUUAUUCGUUUCGCCUUUGUCGUAAUACUCUCUUUGAAUUUGACAACUUUUGGUGUGCUGCUGCAGGGAUUACAAGACAAGAUUAAGUUAGUUCCACUGAACCUCCAAGAUAGGCCCGCUUGGUACAAGGAGAAGGUUUAUCCUGUUAACAAGGUGAUGCUGAUGCUGAUGUGUGAUCAAUAAUAAUAUUUGAUUUUAUUUGAUUGAUCAUUUAAGUAAUUUGAUAGAUCAACAAUAUGUGCAUUCUUUUGGUUAACAUGGAGCUUAGAAUCUGCUGGGAAGAUUUUGAAUAGUAUUAGAAAGUUUCUGAAUAAUAAUUAGGAAUUUUUCUAAUCAAGGUGUUGAUAGACCAAUUCAGAUAUAGAAAAGGAAGAGGUUAGUUGUGUUUGGUAUUGAGGUAGGGCGGCUGUAAAUUAAAAGGUACAGAGUUAAAGUGUUUUGUAAAACUCUAAUAUUUCUACUAUUUUUGUCAAAAUCUUAAUUUAAAAUUCAUAUUUAUUACGCAUUUUUAACUUUUAUUUUAUAGUUACAGUUUUUUUUUUUUUUUUUGGGUCCGUGGCAGCUGUAGCUAAAAAAACCACAGCACCUCAAUACCAAAUAGCCUAAUUAUGUGACUCUGUGUCCUUAUGCCCCAUCUUUGAAAUUGAAAUGCUUGUAAUCUGUGCGGAGGAGUUCCUGAAUAAAAUUGGAAUGGUGUCUUUGUGCUUUGUGUGCCUAGUAAAAUCUUAACAUAUUCUGAUUUGAGCAAGUUGCUUGCUUGCAAGAAAACACAACGAAAGAAUUAAACUGAUUGUUACACUUUCGUGCAAGAUUAGGGAUCAUUGCUGGAGUUAUGAAGUAUAUUUACCUAUUAGAGUUCUUCUUGACAGGUUCCAGCACUGGAGCACAAUGGCAAAGUUAUUGGAGAAUCUCUUGAUUUGAUUAAAUAUGUUGACAGCAAUUUUGAAGGGCCUUCACUUUUACCUGAUGUAAGAUUUUUGCUGAUUACAUUGUUGCUUUUAAUAAAAGCUUCUCUCUCUCUCUCUCUCUCUCUCUCAACUUUGAGUAAAGUAAUGUUGUGAAAAUAUUGUAGGAUCCUGAGAAACGAAAGUUUGCUGAUGAACUGUUUUCCCACAUCGAUACCUUCACCAACGAUGUGUAUACUUCAUUCAAAGGAGACCCAGCAAAACAAGCUGGUAGGAUUUGAAACUUGCUUACUUGUUUAUAAUGGAAUGCAUUUUGAAUAUGUAUAUAUAUGUGCUGAACUCACGGAAAAAGUUUUAAUUUGUCACAGGUCCUGCUUUUGAUUACUUAGAGAAGGCCCUUGAUAAAUUUGAUGAUGGCCCGUUCUUCCUUGGACAGACGACUAGACAAUAAAGAAUAUUCUUAAAUACUAAGGCUACCAUAUUUAUUUGGAAAUAAAUGUUUGUUAAUAUUAAUAAACCCAUACAUUAAUAGAUGAUGUGUUGUGAAUACUGAUGACCAUACUGUUAUAAAUGAGAACAUAAAUUUAAUGUUAAAAUCACAUAUUAACAUCAUUGAAUACUGAUGUUUAAAAUAUUAGUAAAAUACUUAAAUAGCAAGUGUAUUAAUUAUUUUUUAUUAAUUAACAAUAUUUUACCAAUCAGAUCUCAAUUAUCUCAUCUUCUCUUAAAUAUUUCUGCCUCGUGUAGGUGUAUAUAUGGGUGUGUUUUAAGGUCUCCGUACGGGUUCUUGUCUUCACUGGCCUAUACAGAGGAAGCGGAGCGAAUAACGCAGUCCAAAGGGCUUGUGUUUUGCUUAAAUGAUGAGCCGGGCGUAUACAGAGUCUGGAUGCCGAAUGGUGAGACUCCGGGACUAGCCAUAUCAAGAGCCUUGGGUGAUUACUGUGUCAAGGACUAUGGCCUAAUCUCCGUGCUCCAUGUAACGCAAAGAAACAUAACAACACGAGACCAGUUUGUCAUUCUGGCAUCGGACGGGGUACGUAUCCACAUAUUGGAAUUAUCUUUUGAUCUGAACUAACGUCAAUGUUUGAAAGAUCAAUUAUGGAUUUUUCUUCAGGUUUGGGAUGUGAUUUCGAACCAAGAGGCGGUGGAGAUUGUUUCUUCAGUAGUGGAUAGGGAAAAGGCAGCAAAAAGAUUGGUGGAAUGUGCUGUUCGGGCAUGGAAAUAUAAGAAACGAGGCAUUGCAAUGGAUGAUAUUUCUGCCAUUUGUCUCUUCUUUCACUCUUCAUCGUCCCCUCAAAAGGUGGAGCACAAUUUGAAGGAUUCAAAACUGCAGGCUGGCAUUUGAAUGAAUUUGAAAACAAGGGCUGCUUCUUGGCUAUUGUGUCUGUUGCCAAAGCACUACUUGUAUGUAUAUAUAUGUCUGCGUUUAGGGAUGGUAAUUGUACCCGCAAACCCGCCCAAACCCACCCGCCAAAACCCGCCCGCUGUGGGUAAUUUUACCCGUUGCGGGCGGGUUUAGUAUUAUAAACUAAAACCCGCAUAUGGAUGCGAGUGGGUUUGGUAUUAACCUUAUAUCCGAUGGAUACCCGCAUGGAUAUCCACCAAACCCGCAAUAUUUUUUCCAAAUAUUUUUAAUUUAAUUUUAACCUAAAAAUGUAUAAAGAAAAUAAUGUCAUUAUUCAAAUUACCAAAUAGUCAAAGGCUCAAAGUUGUGUAUAUGUGUAUGUGACCCAUUUCCCAUUCUAAAGUCAUAAUCUAAAGAAAACUAAAGGCAUUUCCUUUCGAAUUUCCCUUCGAAUUAGGGCCCGUUUGGUAUUGUUUUUGAAUUCGUAUUUUCUGAGAAUAAAAAUGAAAAUGAAAAUGGUGUUUUGUAGUUGCUGUAUUUCGAAUUUAAGUAUGCGUCUGGUAUCAUUUUCUGUAUCCUAUAUUUUAAAACUGAAAACAGUAAUAUGCGUUUGGUAGAUACAGUUGAAAAUGAUAAAAACAGAGAAUAUGCGUUCGGUAAUACUUUUUUCAAAAACAGUUUUUACUAUUAAGCAAUUACGUCAUAUUUAUAAUUAUUUAGCUAAUACAUACACAAAUACAACAUAAUAAUUUAAAACAAAAUUAUUAUAAAAAAUUUACAUGAUGAUAAAGUUUUAGAAUUAACAUUAAUUAAAAAAAAUUACAUUGUCAUUGUUUUUACAUAAUAAUUAAGAUAUAUAUUACAACACAUGAUUUAAACAAAAUAAUUAUAAAAAAAAUACAUAAUAAACAUUAUACAUUACGUAUGUAAUCAUGCCACAUAGAAGCUGCAAUUCUAUCUCUUGUAGCACUCAUCUCGGCGACACUUGCUGGAGAUAAAUCAAUAUUAGUAAGUGGCCUACUAGUGUCUCCUUCUUCGUUGGUAACCAAAUCUUGCACAUCAAAGUCCCCAAAUAACCUAUCACUUGCAUUUUCUGGUCGAAUAAAGUUAUGUAAAGCGCAACAUGCAAUUAAAAUUAGACGUUGCUUAUGUAAACUAUAAUUAUGCCACUACAAGAAAAAUGAGAUUUAACAAUGUGUAAUGUACGUUGUUAAACACUUUCAACAGCGGGCAACCGCAUGCUGUUGAUCAAGAUGUUGUCUUUAAGGCUGUCUGUUUUAACAACAUAUAAAGAGUGUUGUUGAAAGUUAUUUACUUGUUGCUUAAAAGUUUUUAACCACAAGCUGUAAAUGUUGUCUUCUACUAUUUUAUUACAUAUCUUUUAAUAACAUGCAGAUGCAUGUUGUGAAUUAGUUUUUUUAAGUAAUUUAAUAUUUUUAACAUAAUAUAUUUUUAAAUUAAUUUGGAAGCUCUCAAACAAAUGCAUAAAAUACAAACUAAAAAACACGUAACAUAUAAUUAAAAAAAAUCCACUUUAUUAAUUGAAUAACAUUAUAGUAUUACAUUUUUUUUUUACAAUAUAAAAUAAACAAAAUGUCAACAACUUGAUCUAAACUCUUCAAAAGUUCAAGCUCUAUUGUGUAGUGUCCUCAGAAUAAAAAAAACAAGGGAAAAGCCAAUUUAAUAAAAUUCACCCUAUCUUCAUGAAACAACUGAAAUGAAUGCAUACUCAAUCCAUUAUAUCAACUAGGAAUGAUAUUUACUGCAUCCUGAGCACCACCAGCCUAGCCUGUUACAUCAAAAGCAAGCAAACUUAUCAUUAGCAUGCUCUCUUCUUUAAUUGGGUAAGAAAAGGACAUUUGGAUACAAAGUUUAGCGAAGGAUAAAGAAGUAUGAGUGCAAACCCUUGUGUGUAUGAAAUAGUACCCAGAAAAAUACUGAAAUAAAAAAAUAAGGUGAAAAUUAUAUAUCACCUGGAUAUUAAAAUAUCAACAUGCUUAUGAGCAAAUAGAGCAAAUUUCAGAGCAGUGAGAACCUCAAGUUUUUUCAUUAAUUAAUUAAGGAAAAUAAAGGAGUGCAAAAGAUAAUAGCACAUGUACAAAUUGCAAUGCUUUACCAAAUUAUUACAUUGUAAGCCUGCAAACUUGAAACCUUUCUAUUGAAGAGACACAGACAUGUUGCAUAUUAUGCACAAUCUCUGCCUGAAAUUACCAUGAAUGGUUCCAGAAAAGAAACCUCAAACUAUGGUUAAGGUUAUAGCUACUGGUCAGACCACAAACCUACAAUAAUUAGUAUUUAAUGCUUCCCCAAAAAAACAAAAAAAAAAACCUAAAAAAUGCUGCUACAUACUCUGAAUCCAAGUUUGCUUUUAUUUCUCUAUAUUUGCCUUUGAAAAUCUUAAUUAUAAUGCUUAUUCCGUCAACAUCUACUCAAUAAAGAACAAUAAAGAAGUAAAAAUAAAGAACCCAUCACUUUCCAAAUCCAAAAAUUUUCUCACUUUCUCACCAACAAAACAUCCUUUUUCUUUCUCUCAAAACCUCAUCUUCCCACUCAAACUCACUCAAUUUCAACUCAAAUUCCACCAAAAUUUACCUUUAAUUUGAAGAUGAGGCAGCUAAUUCGCCGUCUUUCUCGCGUCGCCGACUCCUCGUAGUACAGUCUCCGUGCUUGAACUUGAAGAAAGUAGCAGCAGCUCGAACUUGAAUAACAUCGGCAGCAGCAGCUCGAAAAUCGGUAGUUCGAUUACCACCACCUACUUAGCAAAAAUAAAAGCUGGAGCUAAUUCCUCACAAAAAGAAAAAAGUAAAAACCCACAUCCAAUUUCACCAAACAUAAGUAAACCCAGAAAAGAUUUAAAGAAAUUAAGAAAGAACAAUUGUUCACUAAAAUAAAAGAAAAUUAAAAGCUUACCAUACAAUGGGCGGGCAAGUGACAGAUCCGGGAGAGCAAAGACGGAGCAGCAGCAGCUAGACGGAGUCGUAGCAGCAGCGGUUACGGCGGAGACAGAGCAGCGGCAGUGGCUAGCACACCAAGAGCGACCAAGAGAGAGUGGAUUGGGAGAGAAAGAUGUUGGAUGAAGAUAAGGGGAGGGAGAGAGUGUAGAUUUACUGCAACUGGAUCUAGAAAAGUGAGGGGAAAGAGAGAGUUGCAGUGAACUGGAUUGAGAAAAGUGAGGGCUGCAGUGAAGAGAAAAGGAGGACGAGGGUCACGAUUUUCUUUUGUUUUUUAAUUCAUUUUUAGGUUUAGUUUGUGAUAUUUGAAGAACAUGUUUAAGUUGUUUUCAGUUGAGUAGUUAUAAUAAUGAAUCCGGAUUUUGUGUUUUGUAAUCUGUUUUUUGAAAUUAAUUGGCCGAACGUGUAUUAUAUGUGGAUUAUGAAAAAGAAAAUGAAAAUGUUGCGUGGAAAAGGGUACCGAACGGGCCCUUAGUAUUUGAAAAUAUUAAUCUUAAUUAUUAUUAUAGGCAUUGUGUUGGAUGGGUGCUUAUGUUGGUGAAUGAAAUGAAUAUCUUCUCUUGGAGCUUGUUUUAAAUGAUAAUAUGAAAUGUAAUUAUUAUUUUUAGAUACUAAUUUGUAUUUUUUAAAUGAAUUUGUGUAAUUUAUACUUAAAUUUGAGAAUUUGUGUUGGAUUGAUGUGGAAAUUUUAAUUUUUUAUUUACUUUGUUUAAAUAUAAAAUUGAGUAUGCUAUAUGGAAUUUGAGGUUAUUAUUAUAAAUUUAUAUAUUAAACAUUUGUGAUUUUAAAUACGGAAACUCGCAAAAAAUCUGCCGGGUACCAUUGCGGGUUUGGUAAUUGUUAAAACCCGUUGUGGGUGAGUUUUUUUAAAAAAAUUAAAACCCGCUGCGGGUUGCGGGUGGGUUUGGUAAUUUAAAUUUUGUGCGAGUUUGGGUUUGGUAAUGGCAAACCCGCUGCGGCCGGUACCCAUUACCAUCCCUAUCUGCGUUUUGUACGCGACAGUCUAAUAUAAAUUACACAGGAGAGAGCCCAGGAGUUCAAGUGACCCAAUAGUAACUUAACAUUGUUUGCAAUCCCUUGGUUGCAUCUUGUUUGCAACAUGAUGAUUUCAUUUUCAUGUAAUGGCAUUUACUAUCACCAAAUUGUACAUUUAUGUUGUGGCUAUUAUUAAAUUAUAAUAUAAACUACCCGAUAAUUAUUCAAUGCGUAUUUGUUAGUAACAUUUACAUUAGAAAACUUCAAAAUUUAUCUAAUGUGGUGGAGGAGAACUAAUAACAAAAGAAUGAAGAAAUGAGAUAAUAUAUUUACAUAGAAUCAUUAUAUAUUAUAAAUUUCCACAUGUUCUAAAAUAUGAAUUUGAUACAUGAUUAAAUUGAAACUAAAUAAUAAAUGUAAUAUAAUUCCACAAUUAAAUUUUAAAACGCGUGAACUUUCCACCUAAAAUUUUUUAUGGAUAACCAACCGUGAUUAAAUGUAAUUUUUUUUUUCAAGUACAAUUGAGAAACUCAAAAGAUAUAUGCAUAAUUUUACAUAAGGAUGAAAAUAUUCCAAACUUGAUUAAAGAAGAAUGCUUAAUAUAUGUAACUUGUACAUUAGUAAUGGUUUUGUAGGAAAGGGACAAAUGAAGACAAAAACAAAAUUACUCAUAAUUAAGGGGAUAAAUUAUAAAUAGGAAAAUUAUCAAUUGUAUACUUUAUUAUCAAAUUUACUACAAUACUUUUAGGGUAUAUCAGUCAUUCAUCUUAAGUUGACAAAAUAUAAUGUCGUUCACCAUACCUUAGUUGCCGUUUAAAUAUGAUGACGUUAGAGGGGUAAUAUGGUCUUUUCAUAUGAUACAAGUGAUAAUUUAAAGGUAUAUAAAUAAAAAAAAAUUGAUGACCAUGAAAUUAAUCUAUAUCAAGCAGCUUUUUGGAUGAUUCAUAAUUUUUUAUAAAUAUUAAUUUAUAAAUUGCAAUAAUGAUUUAGUGAUGGGUGUCGAAGCCAACAAAAAUAAAUUCCUACUCUAAAUAAAUUGUGUAUAGUGAUUGAGCAGGGUCGUGUCCACAGAGAUCGGUAAUUAUUUAAAUCCUUUUGAAACGUAAAACGUAAAAUGGGGGAAUUGUUGACAAUAAUAAAAAUCAAAUUAAAGUAACAAGAAUGCAAAUUAAAGUUGUAAUUCAAAUUGGAGAAAGCUCUGGUUGAAGGAAUUAACUCAGCUUGAUUCGACUACUGAUCAUUGAUUCAAAUAUAGAUUAUCAUUACUUAUGAAUAGAGCGGUUAUAGUUAUUGAGACCCUCUAAUAGCCAAUCUCUCCUUAACUAGUCGAUAACCAAGGUACGACCGUUGGAUAUUUCCCUAAUCAAUAGACAACCCUAGAUACGAUCAUAGGAUUUAAUCAAUUGACAGCCUGAAAAACUAGAGAGACCCAAAUCCUAAUCAACACAUAUGAUGAUUCAUUUAAAUUAGAUUGUUUAUUCUCACAACACAACUCUCUGCUAUGUUAUUUGUCACAAACAUUAAAUUCUUCAUACGAUGAAUCCUUUAAUUGACAAUAGAUUAAGUUGAUAAUUAAAUAGUGGCCAAUUACCUAAUUAACAAACAUAAUCAUGAAACUAAUUCAGAGAAUAAACAAAUACCCAAAAAGUAAUAAAACAAUUAAAGCAUAAGAAAGAUCUCACAGUAGUGAUGAAUCAAAGCUUCAUUAUCCUUCAACCAGAAAAAUAGGUUUAGUUCUUCAUAGAGAGAAGAGAAAAAUUAGAUCUAGGGUUUCUUUCUUUUUCUCCAAUCCAAAUCCUCUUUUUCACAAUAGAUUCCUCCCUUAAAUACUCUCUCUCUCUUCUCUUUUAGAAUUCUAUUUAAAAUAAAAUACUAAUAUCUGAAAUAUUAAAUUCGUAAUUACAAAAAUAACCAAAAAUACAAAACACGUUAAACUAAAAACUGCAGGUCCGCAGUUGACAGCACGCGCCCACGCCUUAUCAACAAAGUUCUUCUGACGCUCAUAAUUUCUCCUAGAGAACAAUCCUCCUUAAACAUCAUCUUUUAGCUCAAUUUUAUCAUCAAUCAAUAGAAUUGCACCUACAAAAGUAAAACACAAGUAAAACAUUAUUAUUAAGUGCAAAACAUCGAUAUUAAGGGAAGUAAACAAUGCAAAACUAGUGCAUAAAUUGCACUCUAACAUUUAGCCAAAAUUUAACAGGGAGUUAAUUUAAGAAUUAAAAUUAACAUGAUUUUGUUAAUAACAAAUGAUGUUUUUGUUAACUUAUAUAUGACUUGUGUGUGCAUGUGAAACAUUGGUGUUAUUACAUCAAAAUACUUGAUAUUAUUACAAAUGUUUCAGAUUAAAUUUUUAUUAGAAAAUUAUUUUAAAGUUACAAACUAACUUUAAAAUUGAAAUUGUCAAUUUAUUUGGGAUUAACUUAUUGUAAAGUCUAACGGAAAAUAAUUCUGAUAUGACAAUUAAAUUUUAUUAUAAACAAAUAGAUAUCUUAGAUGUUAUUUCAAAUUAAUUUUUAAUAAGUUCAUUUUCAGAUGUAAACUUGACCUUUAAUUAAAUCACAUAUUAACUGAGAAAUAUUGUUAAAAUAUGUUAAAUCUAAUGACUCGAGACAUCGAAUCAGAUGUGAUCAGAUCAUUCAGGAGGGUUCGGGUUCAGGGGUCUCAUCUCUUUUGGCCCUGCAUAUUGCUUGUUCCCUCUGUGCUAGCUUUUAGUAACUGAAAUAUAUCGCUGAUUGGCUGAUUUAAUUUGUACGUGCACCCGUUUUGCUCUUUUGGCAGUUCUGACUGACAGACAGACGUCUCUAGUGUACACUAUUCCUGCUGAGCUGUUUCAGAAUGAGAGAGAAAAAAUUGGCUGACAUUUCACAAUUAACACACACACACACACACUCCACUUUCUGCACUACUCGAUCGAGAAAUAAAAGGAGGUACGUGUCACCACUUUAUUUUAUUUAUUUUUUAUUUUUACCAAAUCCAUAUUAUUAUAUACUAUUAUUUGGUUCAUUCGUUUCCAAUUCUGCCCUUUGCCCCAUCUCUUUUACAAUGUCGCAUCAUUCUUUUUGGUACUAUAGUUAGUUAGUUUAUAUGCUAAUGCCUAGUCUAGUAGUUACCCGAUGUUUAAUUUAUUAUGGCGUAGAUACAGUUAGAGAUGCUCAAUGGGUCGGGCCAGUAAGUAAGGCCCAUGCGUGCUUAUGCUUGUGUUGUGUCAUGUCGAGAUUUAUUUAUUUUUUUUUUUGUUUAGGCCCGGCCUAACACACAUGCCGAUACAUGCCGUGCUAUGCCUAAGAAAAAAAGCUCACUAAGUUUUUUUUUUUUUAAAUUUUUUAAAGGGCAUACUAAACUGUUGGCGUAUUUUUUUCAAGUCUAUAUAUUUUUCUUAAGUCUAUACUUUUAUUCAAAUUUAAUAGAAUUAAAAAAUCAAAACUCAAGUUUAUAUUCAAUAAUAAUAAACUAAUAAUAGUAAGAAAAUGUAAUAUUUAAUAGAUCUAAGUUUGACCUCUUAGUAUUAUAAUUUUUUUAAUACUCAACAACAACAACAACAAUAAUAAUAAUAAUAAUAUUUUCUUAAGGGUUAACUUAAUUGUUAACUUAGAGUUACAUAGAGUCAUAGAUCAUAGUUCACAAUAAUAUUAAUGCAUAUUUAUAAAAUCAUUAUAUUUAUAAUUUUAUUCAUUAAAAUCAUGAUAUCAAUUAUUUAUUUAAUAAAUUAUAAAUAUAAAUUAAUUAUAAUAUUUUUUUAAACUAAGAAUUAAAUGAAUUUAAAAAAUUCAACUUCAAGUUAUUUAUAAAACAUAAAAUUUUAAGUUUAUUUUCAUUAAAAAAAAUAUAAUGUGCUUAUUGUGGGCAUUUUCAUCGUGCUGUGCUCAGUCCAUCUCUAAUCAUAUCAUAUUUUUAAGACUCUUGUGCUUAUAAUUCUAAGCCUGGCCCGACCCACAUCGUGCUCCACCGAAAUAAAUCUAUGACACUAAAGUGUUGAAUCUGAUAGAUAUAAAUGCCGAAGUUUUAUAAAUUAAACUUUUAUCACUUUAUUUUGUUAUAUCUGUUAACAAAGCAAAUGGAGAAUUUCAGGAUAAUGAUUUUUGUUUUAAAACUAAGGAACCACUUUUUUUAAGAAAAAGAAGCACUUAGCACUAACUAAUACCAAGUAUUUGAUGUCAUAACACCAAUUGACAAAUAUUAUCUUGCUCGAAAAAUUAUAACAAUAAUAUACAGCAUAUCUAAACUGGUAAUAUGUAUUGUAAAAAUUGGAAAAUGGUGGAGUAUUAACUCUCCAUUAAUGUUAAAAUUUAAAAUCAUAAAAUUUAAAAUUGUGCUCGUCACAAAGGUAUUCAAAAAUUUAUGUUAUAUAAUAAUUUAUAACACAAUACAAUUUAGUUGGUUCCGAUAAUUUUUUUUAUAAAAUAAAAUUCAAAUCAAACUGAACUGAGUUGGUUCGACUUUCGAUUCAAUUUCGUUUUGGCUUGGUUUUUCUUUUUAAACUGUAAAUUCCUCUAUAUUUUGUAUUUUUUUUUCUGUUUUUGAUUUUACGAAUUGACUUGUUUUUUUUUAAUUUUUGAAACAAAACCAAACCUCUAGUUAGCUUUUGGAUUUUUGGCAACAAUGAUUUUUUUAUACCCCUACUUCUGAUAUUAAAAUUUUGUAGUGUACGAAAUUGUAUUUUGUAGUUAUAUGUUGCCCUAAUUUAGGCUUGACUCUUAGGCAUUGACCUAUACAUUGUACUUAAACUUGAUUUUUUUGCAUAUAUUUGUGCCUAUAUACAUACGUAUUGAUGAUCAUUUUUAUCCUAACAAUACACGUUAUUAUUCUUUUUUUUUUUUAAAAAAGGAAUAUUCAUGUAAACUUUUUAAAAUAUUGUUAAGAGGAUAAUUCCAUCAACAAAAAAGACUACUGAAUAUUAGCCAAAUAGGUUGUUUUUAUUAAAAAAAUUACUUUCUAUAGAGAUAUGUGAGUAAUGAAAAUGUAUUUUGGGCAGCCUAUCUAGUACUCAAACUUUUCUACUUUUUAGAAGCAUUGAGUUUUUCUUUGGCUUUUUAUUGUAAUUUUUGAAUUCUGAGAAACUAGAAGGGACUUUCAUAGAAGUCAAAUUAAUACCUAUGCCUAUUGUGGUUAAUUAGCCCUUUAGAAGCAUGAUUACUUAAUUGCGUGCUUUAUUUUUCGUUUACUUUAUUAUUUUCGGUAAUUUAUUAAAUUAAUCUUUAAUUAAAUUUGGCUAAGACUUAGGUGGUGGAGAUAAAUCAAUCAUAUUUUUAUCUGUAUUAAUCUAUAGGUUAUAAUAUUAAUUGAUAUUAUAAUUUUUUUUUAAAAGAAAUUUAUUAAUCUAUGACCUAAAAAAAAUAUACCAACUGUUAAGGGUUAAAAAAAUUAGAAUUUUUCACGUAAUUCAAAUUUAUUUACUUUCUCCAAAUUCAUCUCAUACUUGAAAUUCCAAGGAAAAAUAUAAUUAGAAGAGCAAGAGUUAAGGGUUAAAAAAAUGGAAAAAUAGGGCUCCUCUGUUUUCAUUCCCCUGUUUUUCUGUUCGGUGAUUGCAAAUAUUUAAAUCAGAAUUUAUGAUGCAGCCUACACGGCACCUGGUGGAUGACUGUUAGGGUUUAUCUUAAUUUAUGAUGCAUUAGGAUAUGAUUUUGAUAAAUGAGCUUUUUAUGUAUCCUGUGAGGCUGAUUAUUAUUUUAUUACAUUGAAGAUUCAGUUAUCUCUUGGUAGUCUUGUGAAUCAAGCGGAUUUAGUUAGUAGUAGGUAAUACUCUGGACUUCACAUACUAAACGGAAUGGAGCAUUAUUUUAUCCCGCUAAAUCAGUUUUUUUUUUUUAAAUUAAAAAAUAAUUCAUCAAACACUUUAUAGCUCUGGUUUUAAGUUGGUAAACACUUUAAGCCGCAACUUUAAAUUCAGUUUACGAGAACUCCUAACAGUCACUGUGGCUUGGGUAGAAAUGAAUAUACUACCUUUGUUUCAUAAGUAAUGCUACCCAGGAAAUGUAGUUGAACCUAACCAAACUAAAACCAGAUGAUGAAAGCUUAUAUACACCAAGAGAUUUAUUCGUUUCUGAGUUUGUUUCCAGAAACCUGGAAACUCCCCUGUUUCUACAAACACGGCACCUGUGUUUUCAUUCCCCUGUUUUUCCAUUUGGUGAUUGUAAAAAUCUAAAUCUAAAUUUUUGAUGCAGUCUACACGGCACCUGCUAGAUGAUUGUUUGGGUUUAUCUUUUAUUCUUAAUUAUGAAUUUAAUUUAGAUUCGUAGUGUGCGCCUUAUGAAAGAUUAAAUAGAAUAAUGUGAAAAAAAAAGAAUGCCUUUCUUAAUUUUGACUUCAUAUUGUUGCAGUAACCGUCCUCUCUUAUCAUUCCCCUGUUCUUUGGUUUAGUGAUUGCAAAUAACAUUCUUUCCAUCUACUCUUUAUUUAUUUUUUUUUAAUUUUUAACUUAUUAAUUCUUGUUCUUCUUAAAGCGUUUACUAAAUUAUAUGAUCACCUGAUCAAAUCCCUCACAUUAACAUACAACAUAACCAACAAAGUGUUGGCUCUAAGUGGCUUGACUGGGUUUGCUCCCCAGUUCGAGUCGCAGGAAAGUCGUCUUUGUUGAGAGAAAUUGUGCCUCCCGGUUCCUGUGGGGACUUCUAGUAUGGGUUGUGGUACGGGCUUAAAGGUGCCUCCCACAAUUGGGGCCCUCUCCAGGAUACCUCGUGGUCAAGACAAAAAAAAAAAAAUACAACAUAAUGUAUUAAUGGAAUUUAUUAUUUUAUCAUAAUUAAAUUGAAGAUUUGUUCAUGCAGUUUUGUAUGAUGAGGAGUUUUCAUUUUUCUGUCAAAUACAAGAACAAUUUGUAAAUAGUGUCCAUGAAGGCUUGAAUGAAGAAUGGAAUUUAAUAAUUUUAGAAGAAUAUUGGCUUAUAGAGCAUAUUAGUAGGGAUAAGAUUUGUAGGAUGCCUGAUAAAAGAGAAAGCGAAAGCUUGAAUGAAGAAUAGCAUUUUUAAAAAGAAACUAAUGUGCAAUGUAAUAAUCAAAGUAAGAUCAAUAAUGACUUGAUCAGUUAUGCUUUUUAUUAUUUCAUUUAUUCUGUCCACAAAUCUUAUCCCUACUAAAAUGCUCUAUAAGCCAAUAUUCUUCUAUAAUUAUUAAAUGAAGAAGCGAAAGAUUGCAUUGUUUUCGGGAAAUUGGAGUACUUGGGACUUGACUGUUUGCCAAGCCUAACAAGCUUUUUAUUCAGGUAAUUACACUCUUGAGUUCCCGUCCUUGAAACAAGUACUUGUGAGACAGUGCCCAAAGAUGAAGAUUUUCUCUCAAGGAAUCAUAGGGACGCCAACGCUAAAUAAAGUGAAACUCACCGAAAAAGAAGAAGGAUGCUGGGAAGGCAACCUCAAUGACACCAUACAUAAAUUGUUCAAUGAAAUGGUCAGUAUUAAUUAACUAAGUAUUGGCGCUAACUACCAAAUUAUUUUGUAGAAAUGGAUAUGGUAUAAUAUGAUUGGUCGACUGAAAAUAUAUAAUAACAAAAAAUAAAUCAAGUGGUCCAUGUGAUGUUUUUGUUUAACCAAUCAUAUUAUGUCACAUUAAUUUAUACAUUAUUGUUUGUCUGACGGAGUUUAUAGUUGUAUCAUAACAUUUGCUUCUUUUUUCUUAUUGUUAUUAUUAUGGUAAUGUAUGCUUGCUUACACAUGUAUAAUUACAAACAUGCAGAAUUCUAAAGACAAGAUUGAGCCCACCCUUCAAGUAUAAAGAAGAAGCUAUCUCGACCCAGGCCGAUCUCUUAUAUAUGAUUCAACUCGCACGUUUUCCUCUACUUCAAAAUUUUGUUCCCAGAUGCAUUUAUAGCAUUUUGGUCAUGCUACAUAAUUGCAAGACACUUUGGAUUUGCUUGGUGCACACUGGUUAAGCGAGGGCUUGAAUUGAUGUUUCAUAUGCAUGCAAUAUUCAACUUCUAUAUUAUUUCUCCAAUUGGUAUUUUAAGCAUUUGAUUUCUAGCCUGAUUGACUGAUUCAAUUGAGGAUCUGUAGUUGAAGAAAACAGCACAAGACAAUGUUUAUUUCAUUUUUUUAUAGUAUUAUCAAAUAUAGUGUAUUGACAUUUAUUAAAAGGAAGUAAUCCGUCAAGCUGACCUUCUCAAACCAGCACUCUCUAAAUUAAAAGAAUCACGUGAAGUCAAGAUCAUGUUGUAGAUCUUGUGGAAAUAGGUAAACCCAUAUUCUUUACACAGCAUCAUAGGAAAAUCAAUUUUUCCAUUAGUAUCUAUGUUAAUGUUGAGCUUUAAUAGUAUUAGCUAUUCAACAAACACAGUUAUUGUGUAUAUUAAAAAGUUAGAAACCGGUUGAGUGACGGUUGGGAAUCAAUCAGUUCACUUGUUUGCUUGUGAGUACGACAUUUAGAGACCGAUUAAACAAUUUUAAAACUAUUACUCUCAGAUUCCAAAAAUAGUAAAUAAAGAAUCAGAAAAUUUCCUACUAGCUAUACUUAUGCAAAAGUCUCAUUUGGAAACAUCAAUGACUUUCAUUCAAAGAAAACAAUGAAAAUGGGAUCAAAAUACAUGUGUGUAUACCUAAAACAAAUGAUUUUUUUUUUCGGGUAUUAAAAAAAGUUGAGGUGCAAUGAAACCACAGUCAUGAUGUUUCUGGUUCCAAUCAGCCGUUCUGGUAAUUCAUCUGUAGUGUUUGACUGCAUACUAAAGAGUAAGAUAAAGAAGAGACAGAGGAGGCGUUUUACCAUUCUGAGAACAUUGCAGCACGCAAUAUCUCAAAUUCCGACGUGCUUCAUUUAAAAGUGCCCCCCCCCCCCCCCCCCCCCCCCCCCCCCCCCCCCCCCCCCAAAAAAAAAGAAGAGAACAAUCAUACGUACCUGUACUAGGGAAGCCACAUCAACCACCACUGUCGUAAUUACACCAAUUACAAAGGCCAAAACUCCAUUUGCAAUAGUAGAAGAACCGAUGUCAACAUCAAUCUACAGACAGAGGAACAAUGUUAAACCAUGUUAAUGGUAUCGGACGAGCUAUUUGAAAGGGGAACAUCUCAUGUAUGAUAGAAAUUCCUAGAGCGUUUACUUCUAAGUACUUGGGACCGCGAAUAUAAUUACGAUCAACUUCUUUUCCUAAUAAACAAGGGGUGCUUCCAACACUCUGGUGCACGAUCCAUGACCCCUGCAUGAUUUAGCGCUUAAAAUCAAGAGCAGGUGCAAAACAAAUUCAACAGAGUGAAAAAAGGUCAUUAAGUUAGAAGGUACAACCCAUCAAUACAUUUAUACCUAAAUGUACGCUUCCUUUGCACAAAUUGAAGUGUACCAUGCAGUGAAGGUUACGACAUGUUAACAAAGUCCUAAUACAUGCAGACCAAGAUGGAUAUCUUAGGGACGGAUGGAAUAAGCUUCAGCCUACUAUUGGGAAGAUCAUCAUCGCCAUCAACAAAUCGUUGCAGAAGGGAUCCCAUAACUAAUUCCCUUGUGACAAAUAAAAUGCCAUACUGUAAUGUGUUGAACCGGAAGCCUGCAGAUGUCUUACGUUACAACGAUCCAACCUCCCAAUACGACAAGUUUGAAACUUAAUACCUUUUGAAAUGAAACAAACUUAACUUGAAGAUCAAAAAUUAAUGAGAAAAGUCAUUUUUCGGAAGCAACCUACAUAUUUUAGAAUAGGGCUCAGAGUGUCACAGAUUCAACGAACCCUAGGAUCUCACAGGCAGCAAUUUCUGCUAAUCCGUCAAGGGAAAAAGGAAAAAUAAAAAGAAAAGAAUAGUUACUUGUGCAGCACAGCCUUGACGUCUAGCAACAUGGUCCAUUCUCUUUGUGCGCUUGAACCAAUCAACAGCACAAGCGCAAGAAGAGCCAACCAAACUACUUCAUAACAUGUCAAACUAGAACAUGCAGGAUAUAUAAAUACCAUAACAAACAACCAAAAUACGGGGGAACCUUUGUUUUGUCAUAACAAAAAUGCUUGCUACGAACUCUGAAGUUGUUUCCAUCAGAAAGUUUCCUGCAGUCAUGAGCAUUAUCACGGUCAUCGUGUCGCAGAUUGCCCGAAAAACAAGAUAAAUCAAAUUGACCAGCUUGCUCUUCCUCUAGGGCUGCAAGUAAUUGAAAAAAGAAAGAUUUAAGUCCAUAGAAAUCCAUUAAUGAGUACAUUAACUAAAUAUAUAAAAAUGAAUAGAUAAGUUGUCAUCCACCUGUUCUCUUGAAAUCAUUCUCAAUCUUUUUUUCAUUUGCCUGAAAUCCCAAGAAAAAUUUAUAAGAACAAGAGUUAUGAAAGAAGUUACUUGAAAAGGAUGAGGAUUCAAGCGUGAAUCAAACCUCUUGUUCAGACUCAGCUAAUUGAAAUUCUUCAUCCUCCUCAGAGUAUUCAUCCAUCAUCACAGAGUGUCUACCUGCAGCAAUUAACUGAUCAAGAGAUGAGCUCAGAUGAAUAGAUGAGUCUUGCAGGUUUCGGUUCUUAUAUGAAGAAACAGAAGCUGAGGCCAUAUUGACCAUGACAGGGAUUCUCGGAUGAGCACUCAUUUCAUCUGUUUGGCAAACCAUUCGCGGAGACCUGUCAUAAGAAGUAAACAACAUAACUCAAACAAAGUGUUUGUAUUGGAAAGAAACAAAAAAUUAAUAAAUAAACCCUCAAAAAAUCCUCUGAAAAUUGUGUUUAACUAGACCACUUUUCUAGCAGUUUGAUCUAUUAAAUGAACCAGAACAGCAGCCUUUUUAUUAUUUAUUUCACUUACUAUCUUAUAAAUCCUCUGAAAAUUACACCGCUACUCCAAACCAAGUUCCAUUAUCAUUUAUUUCAUUUUUUGUCUUAUACUAAAGCUAAAAGAAAAGAAAAGGUACAUCCACAUGUAUAUUUCAUUGGAGUUACUGCAUUUCGUUCUUUUAGCUUAUUCCUCAUUUUAUUAAAAUGAUAGAUCCCGCAUUAAAAAGGUGUCUUUAUAAAUAUGUGUAUGCAUGUGUAUAUUCCUUAGAAAAGGAGUGACAGAAAAUACAGUAACAAGCAAAGCAAGACUUAAAAUGGCCUCCCAGCAGAACCAUAUAAUCUACAACGGCAAAAAAUAAAUGUGAAAAACAAGUAACUUACCAGCAACCCUAUUUAACUAAGAAGACAGUGUUGCUAAAAUAUUGACACAUGACCAACAAGUCACCCUUUAGGUCAACCUGCAUAAGAUACUGAACCUGUGUUCUGGGCCUACCAUUUCGAGGUUCUUAAUGGGGAAAUGUCGAAUCCUCCACCUGAGAAAUCAGAAUACAGUCAGCAAGUGGUGCAAUUUGGCGUGAGUUGGUCACUUGUUAAUUCUCUACAUCAACCGAAGGAUAGAAAACUGACUCUCCACUUGAGCUCGUACAUACCCUGGUUGUGGACCACAGUUCUCAUCAUCCCUACAACGAAAUAACACAACUGCACAAUAACAAAACACAGCAUGUGGAAAUUUCUAGUGCCAGAAAAGAUAUAUUUAAUUUCAAGAAGUGGGGAAGCAAGAACCUUACCAUAAUUCCCAUCGUCAUUUCGACGCCAAUAACGCACAUAGCAAAGGUCCACAGAGGAAAGGAGGAAGAUUAAUUCAAUAAAAAGGAUAAAUUUCAGGGAAUUCCACUAUCCUCUGACUGAAAUAGAUAACCCAUGCAGUUUUGAAAUUCAUUUGAUCCCCCCUGAACUUUUAAAAUUGGCCAUAGAGCUCCCCCAAAAUCCAUAUGAACCUUCCCUGGUGAAUUUGUUAGAAUCAAGGGGAAGGCUUUAGACUAACUUCAAAACCAAGUUGUGGCCUAUAUAUUUAAGUCAUAUUGAGGAUGUUGAGAAGUCAAUAUUAGCCCAAAUAAGUCCACACCUAAAUUAAUUUGAUGUCAUUGCUUACAUCAAUUUAGUUAGGUGAAAAUUAGGUAUUUUUCCCAUGUUUAAUUUCAAUGGUUUAAAUUAGUUUGUGGUUAUUUUAAUGAGUGGUUUAGAUUGUUUCUUGUAAUCUAUAAAUACCUCAUUUGUAUUUGAGUUUUAUCAUUCAACAAUCAAAGCUUUAUUAUAAGCAUUUGAAAGCUUUCUCAAGAGUUCUUCUCUUUUUGCAAUUUUGUGAGAUUAUUCUAAAGAGAGUUUUUCUUCUUCUUGAUCAAUUGGAGUUUUUACUCUAUUUUGAUUCAACAUUUGGUAUCAGAGCAUUGGUUGUAAAGUCUCUUGAAAUUCCGAGUAUGCUCUGUGGUUGCAGUUUUGACUGAUCUUCCACAUCAGAAAAGAUUUCUUGAGAUUAUUGCUGGGGUUAUCACAAACCUUGAGAGGGAGCUUCUUUGUGUCAAGAGUAGUGUAUUACUCUGCACGAUAGUCACUCAAGCUUGUUCGGUGUAGUCAAAGUCUUGUCGAUACGAUGGGUGAUCUUCAAGUUGUUGGAGGAAUCAAGAAGCUCAACAACCAAAACUAUAACACAUGGGCAACGUGUAUAGAGUCUUACCUUCAAGGUCAAGACUUGUGGGAGGUUGUCGGUGGUAGUGAAGUUACACAACCGGCAGCAGAAGAUGCUAACGGCGUCUUGCGGAAGUGGAAAAUUAAAGCAGGCAAAGCAAUGUUUGCUUUAAAGACCACAAUAGAAGAAGAAAUGUUGGAGCACAUUCGGGAUGCUAAAUCACCGAAGGAAGCGUGGGACACCUUCGCUACACUCUUUUCGAAGAGGAACGAUACAAAAUUGCAACUUCUCGAGAAUGAACUUCUAUCAAUGGCGCAACGCGACAUGGCGGUUGCCCAAUACUUUCACAAGGUGAAGUCGAUAUGCCGCGAAAUUUCAGAAUUAGAUCCGACAGCUGCUAUUGGGGAAGCCAGGAUAAAAAGAAUAAUUGUCCAUGGCUUGAGACCCGAAUACCGAAGCUUUGUAGCCGCUGUACAAGGAUGGCCGACACAACCAUCACUUGUUGAGUUUGAAAAUUUACUGACAGGCCAAGAAGCUAUGGCCAAGAAAAUGGGAGGAGUCUCACUAAAGGGUGAAGAGGAAGCGCUUUACACCAACCAAAGCAGAGGUGGUUCAAGACAGCACAACAAAGGCGGAUCUAGAAAGACUGGUGAACAGACAAAAAGUCAUCAGGGAGGGAAUGGCUCUCGUCCAGGGGGAGCUUCGAAGAAUCGCGACAGUAAUAGAAAGUUCGAUGGUGAAUGUUACAAUUGCGGGAAGAAGGGCCACAUGAAGAGAGAUUGUUGGUCCAAAAAGAAGUCUACCGAAAGCAAUAUUGCUACUUCUAGUUCUAAAGAAGAUAGUGAAGAUAGCUGGGAUGCCGAAGCAUUACUCGCUAUGGAGGAAGAAGGAUUAGCUCUCACGGUAACAACACCAGAAAAGAUUAACUACGAGAAUGAUUGGAUCGUAGACUCAGGCUGCUCAAAUCACAUGACGGGUGAUAGACAGAAGUUAAAAAACUGUUCUGAGUACAAGGGAAAUCGUGUGGUGGUAACAGCUGACAACUCAAGGUUACCGAUAGCUCACAUCGGUAAAGCGAUCGUUACACCUCGAUAUAGUCCCAACCAAGUGCCACUUCAAGAUGUCUACCAUGUUCCAGGAAUGAAGAAAAAAUUGCUAUCCGUAGCUCAAUUGACAUCAUUAGGGCACUAUGUCUUGUUUGGUCCACAAAAUGUGAAGGUAUUCCGAGACCUAAAGAUCUCAGAAAAGCCUACGAUGGAGGGACGGCGAUUGGAGUCAGUUUAUGUGAUGUCAGCUGAGUCUGCAUACGUAGACAAGACAAGAAGGAAUGAGACGGCAGAUCUAUGGCACAUGCGGCUAGGUCAUGUUAAUUAUUCCAAGCUAAGUGUGAUGGUGAAGAAGUCGAUGCUUAAGGGACUUCCUCAACUUGACGUGAGAACAAAUACUGUUUGCGCGGGAUGUCAAUAUGGUAAAGCACAUCAAUUGCCAUACGAGGAGUCGAAGUUUAAAGCAAAGAAACCAUUAGAGUUAAUUCACUCUGAUGUGUUUGGACCCGUUAAGCAACCAUCAAUUGGCGGAAUGCGGUAUAUGGUUACGUUCAUUGAUGAUUUCUCCAGAUAUGUAUGGGCUUUCUUCAUGAAAGAAAAAUCUGAAGCAUUCUCAAAGUUCAAAGAGUUCAAAGAGAUAGUCGAAGGAGAAGUGGAGCAAAAGAUUCGUUGCUUGCGCACAGACAACGGGGGUGAGUAUAGCUCGAGAGAGUUUUCUCAAUACCUACGGGAAUGCCAAAUACGUCAUUAGUAUACUUGUGCUAAUACGCCACAACAAAAUGGUGUAGCAGAGAGGAAGAAUCGGCACCUUGCUGAAAUUUGCCGGAGUAUGCUACAUGCGAAGAAUGUACCUGGAAGAUUUUGGGCCGAAGGUAUGAGAACUGCAGCUCAUGUCAUCAACAAGCUUCCUCAACCAAGGUUGGAGUUUGUUUCACCCUUUGAGAAAUUGUGGAACAAGAAACCUACAGUUAGCUAUUUUCGAGUAUUCGGUUGUGUAUGCUAUGUAUUUGUUCCUGACCAUCUACGUAGCAAGAUCGAUAAGAAAGCAGUCAGAUGUAUCUUUGUGGGAUACGACAAUCAGCGAAAAGGGUGGAAGUGUUGUGAUCCAGUAAAUGGAAGGUGCUACACAUCACGAGAUGUGGUGUUUGAUGAAGCAUCCUCAUGGUGGACCUCAGAAACAGAAGUAUUGCCAGACUCGAAAGAAUUCGGAGACAUGCUACAACAAAAGAUGGAGGAGCAUACUGUCCAAAUUCAUCUAAGCUCAGCUGGAGAUCUAUGCGAUAGUGAUAGCGAACGAAGAGUAACUCUAAAUCCUUGGCAAUCUGGGGUGUAUCGACAACCAGAUGAAGAAGGUGUGCCUAGUGAAACAGAAGAAUCAACUCCAUUACGAAGGUCAACAAGAACCCGGAGGCCAAAUCCCAAAUACGCUAAUGCAGCCAUAGUUGAAGAAGCAACUGGAAUAGAACCUGAGACGUUCGAAGAAGCGUCACAGAGUUCUGAGUGGAUGACAGCUAUGAAAGACGAGAUCACUGCACUUGAGCAAAAUCAGACCUGGGAACUCGUGCCAAAGCCAAAAGAUGUGAAACCCAUAUCCUGCAGAUGGGUUUACAAAAUAAAGCACCGUCCAGAUGGGUCAAUCGAGAGGUACAAGGCUCGAUUGGUAGCUCGUGGUUUCUCUCAACAAUAUGAACUAGACUAUGACGAAACGUUUAGUCCAGUGGCAAAACUUACAACCGUCCGAGUCUUACUUGCACUUGCAGCCAACAAAAGUUGGAACUUGUGGCAGAUGGACGUGAAGAAUGCCUUUCUCCAUGGAGAGCUGGAUCGGGAGAUCUACAUGAUUCAACCGAUGGGUUUCCAGAACCGAGGUCAUCCUGAGUAUGUGUGUAAGCUGCGAAAGGCUCUCUACGGACUAAAACAAGCACCCAGGGCAUGGUAUGGCAAGAUUGCUGAAUUUCUAACUCAAAGUGGGUAUUCAGUAACAUCUGCAGACUCCAGCUUGUUUGCUAAAGCUAAUGGAGAAAGGAUAGCUAUUGUGCUCGUGUACGUAGAUGAUCUAAUCAUCACUGGAGAUGAUGUUGAAGAAAUUUUCCGAACAAAGGAGAACUUGUCAGUUCGUUUUCAAAUGAAAGAACUUGGACAACUUAAGCAUUUCCUUGGGCUAGAGAUUGAUCAGACGAAAGAAGGGAUAUUUCUUUAUCAACAGAAAUAUGCCAAAGAUUUGUUGAAGAAGUUUGGGAUGCUAGAAUGUAAGCCGAUCUCAACACCGAUGGAACCAAAUGCCAAGAUGUGUGCACAUGAAGGCAAAGACCUGGAAGAUGCAUCGAUGUAUCGACAAUUAGUGGGUAGUCUAAUCUACUUAACCUUGACUCGACCUGACAUUUCUUAUGCAGUUGGCGUGAUGAGUCGAUACAUGCAAAAUCCGAAGAAGUCUCAUUUAGAAGCGGUUCGGCGAGUACUCAUAUAUGUGAAGAGUACAAUAGACUAUGGUCUUCUAUACAAGAAAGGUGGAAAUUGCAAACUAGUUGGCUACUGUGAUGCUGACUAUGCAGGAGAUCACGAUACUCGCAGAUCAACUACUGGGUAUAUGUUUACCCUUGGAUCUGGAACGAUUUCUUGGUGUAGCAAGAGACAACCGACUGUGUCCUUGUCAACUACGGAAGCAGAGUACCGAGCAGCAGCAAUGGCAGCUCAAGAAAGCACGUGGCUGAUACAACUAAUGAAUGAUCUACAUCAACCAGUAGAUUAUGCAGUUCUGUUGUAUUGUGACAACCAAUCGGCAAUUCGGCUGGCGGAGAAUCCUGUUUUUCAUGCAAGAACUAAACAUGUGGAAGUGCAUUACCACUUUGUUAGGGAAAAAGUUCUGCAAGAAGAGAUUGAGAUGAGGCAAGUUAAGACAGAUGAACAAACUGCUGACUUGUUUACAAAAAGCUUGAGUGUUGGAAAGUUUGAACAUUUCCGUCGUCAGCUUGGCGUGAUUCAAAGAAUGGGGGCUAACAUUGAGGGGGAGUGUUGAGAAGUCAAUAUUAGCCCAAAUAAGUCCACACCUAAAUUAAUUUGAUGUCAUUGCUUACAUCAAUUUAGUUAGGUGAAAAUUAGGUAUUUUUCCCAUGUUUAAUUUCAAUGGUUUAAAUUAGUUUGUGGUUAUUUUAAUGAGUGGUUUAGAUUGUUUCUUGUAAUCUAUAAAUACCUCAUUUGUAUUUGAGUUUUAUCAUUCAACAAUCAAAGCUUUAUUAUAAGCAUUUGAAAGCUUUCUCAAGAGUUCUUCUCUUUUUGCAAUUUUGUGAGAUUAUUCUAAAGAGGGUUUUUCUUCUUCUUGAUCAAUUGGAGUUUUUACUCUAUUUUGAUUCAACAGAGGAAACAUAUGAGAUCAUUGCAGCAUGCAAUAUCCGAUAUGCACAUUGGAUUUAUAUAAAUAUAUAUAAUUAAAUUCUAAAUUUGAACUCUUAAAAUUAUUAUGUUAUUUGGAUUUAUCAAGAACUUACAUGUACAGUAGCUAUUAUGUUAGCAUAUGUAAGAAUAAUUUUAAUGCAUGCAGCAUUUAGAAGGUACUAAAGUGGAAACAAGAAUUUGCGCUUGCAACAAGAGGUGAUCCGUGCGUUCCCCAGUUUAGUAAUUAAAAAAAUCAAAAAAGAGAAGAAACAGGGCCUCUCUUUUCUCAUUCCCUUGUUUAAUAACAAUGAAAACAGAACAGAGGAUAAACAGAGGCUAUCUUUUCAUUCCCCUGUUUUUCUGUUUGGUGAUUUUUUUUCAGAGUAUGAUUAGUCGGCUGCUGAGUCAGCAGCCACGCUGGCAAGCCGUUGCUCUGUUUAGUUAUUUCCCGUUAAAAGUUUGUUAAGCUGAAUUGUAUUGAGUUCACGUGUUUGUUUCAUAUAGAAGGUUCCAGUGAGUAGCAUAAAUAUUGUUGUAUAUUGAACCAAAUAUAGAUUAAUAAGAUGGUUUUAGAUUCAUUCUAGCUACAUAAUUUUCUCUGUAUUUUUCCUUCACUUUCUGAGUAAACAAACAGGAAAAGCUUCUUUAACUUGGUAUCAGAGCUAGAUCCAAUGGCUCUAACGAACUCAAAUUCACAAUCUAAUACCAGUGCCAUAGCUUCUUUCACCUUCACUACACCAGUCAAAUUAGAUCGUACAAAUUACACGAUCUGGAAACAGCAGGUGCUCUCUUCAGUUCGAGGCAAUGGACUUUGAGUCUUAUAUCGAUGGAUCAAAGCUAUGUCCUGAUCAAUUUCUUUAACCUGGAUCUGAAGGCACUUCGUCAAUCUCUGAAGGUCAUGAAAAUCCAGAAUAUGCUGUGUGGAAACACCAAGAUCAGCUUCUGCUUAGCUGGAUUAUGUCAUCCACAACUGUUGAAAUACUCAGCCUUGUGGUAAGUUCCAAAACCUCCUUUGAAUUGUGAAAAAAAAUUACUUCAAUACUCCAUGGGCUGGCAUUUCGGUCUGCGGUGCCGUUUUCCUUCUUAUUCUCACCGUCAUCCAAGCUGUAUGCUCUGUUAUACAAGUGUUGUCUCAGCCCAAAAAUAUCUCGUGACGAAAACCUUCUAUGCGGUAUUUGUAUGUCGUUUUCGAGUUGCUGUUUUUUUUUUUUUAAUUUUAAUUUUUAUUCUGAAGUAAUUUUAUCAUGGAUUUGUUAAUUUUACUUGAAUGUUGAACAAGCCUUUACUUUUCUCUCUCUCUUUUUUUUUUUUUUUAAUGAAAUGAAAUAAAAGGUGGGGGUAUACCCUACAGAUUGUUCUCUCCACUCCAUAAUUAGUAUUGCUUUUACCACAUGAAAAAUUAAUGUUAAACGAUAAAUUUAUUUACUUGAAUAUUUUAAUUAUGUCAUGAACCAAUUGACAGGCUAAAGAAUUAACUUUCAAUUUUCAACAGUAUAAGAUUAAUAAAUAGCAUAAACUAAUUUUUAUUUUCAUUUAAAUUAAUCUAAUCCUACCAACUUCAUGUGGUUUUCAUAUUGGUUGGUUUCAUGUAUCACAAGAAUUGUUAGACACUGUUAAGGAAGCACACAUCAGUAGCAUAGACUGUAAAGCAGAGGAUAGCAGCAGCUCCAGCUUACAGUUAAGAGUUGAUGACAUGGCAUGCCAGCUGGCACCUGGUGGUUAUGUAAUCACUUGUUCACGUGAUAAUUAGUUGAAGUUGUUAUAGCUAGCUAGAAUUAGUUUUGUAAUUAGUUAACUAAUUGAGCUGAGCAUCAGUUGUGUAUAUAAGCAUCUCUGUGUACAGUUUCAUAAGUAAGUUUUAGAUGAAUAAAAUCGUGUGAGCAAAAAGCUUUCAGUUCUUAAAUUUUCUCAGCUUCCAAACAUCCUUUUUUUGAUUUCUUACUUGGUAUCAGAGCACUAAUGGCAUCUGUGAAUCUUGCCUCUUCCUUAAAUCAAGUUCAUAAUACCGCUGCACAUUCAACAACAGUCAAUUUCACUUUCAAUACUCCCGUUAAACUUGAUCAAUCAAACUAUUUGAUCUGGAGAUCUCAAGUGCUUGCUUCAAUUCGAGGAAAUAGACUUGAGAAAUUUAUCGAUGAGUCAAUCACUCCACCUCCUUCUCAUAUUGCUCAUAGAUAUGAUGAUGAGCUUAGAUCUGUGGAGAAUCCAGAAUUUGCAACCUGGAGAGCACAAGAUCAAAUACUUCUCGGUUGGCUUCUUUCAUCCAUGAGUGAAGGUAUCAUCAGUUUGGUGUUCAAUCUUGAGACUUCAUUGGAGGUAUGGAAAGCUGUUGAAACUCAAUUUGGAUCUCAAUCAAAGUCUAGGUUAUUACAUUUGAGAUAUUUGAUGAAUUCCACUAGAAAGGAUGAUCUUAAAAUGACUGAAUACUUCAUUAAAAUGAAAUCUAUUGCUGAUAACAUGGCUGUAGCAGGAAGUGCAUUAAGCAAUGAUGAUUUGAUUUUACAUGUACUCUCUGGUCUAGGUCCUGAUUAUAAUUCUGUUGCUACUUACAUCACUGGACAAGUAGGAACUGGAAAAAUGAAUGUUAAUGAGGCUUAUGCUAUGCUGUUAACUCAAGAGGCUAGGAUUGAUCAACAAACUCAUAUGCUUGCUAAUAUGGAUGUUAAACACAAUUUAGAAGCUAACUUUGCACAAAAUAGAGGACCUAAGAGAGGAAACUUCUCAGGAGGAAAAGGUUUUGGUAGUCUUGGAUAUAAUACAGGCUACAGUAAUGCUGGAAAUUCUGGAAAUAGUGGUUACAGAGGAAAUUAUGGAUCAUCUGGUUUUGCUGUUGGAAGUGCUGGAAAUAAUGGUUACAGAGGAAACUAUGGAGGAGGAGGAGGAGGAAACUGGAAUAAUAAUAAUGCUGUCAAUAAUGGCAAAACACCUGGAAAUCCUAAAUCUCAGUGGAAUCCUUCUAAGCCUACAUGUCAAGUUUGUCUCAAAAUAGGUCACACAGCUAAUGUAUGCUGGAAGCUGGAAGAAUUUAUUGCUUCAGGAGCUUAUAGACCACCUCCAAACAGGAAUCCGAAAUCUGCAUAUCUGGCAAACAUGGAAGGAUCAUCUGAUACAAAUUGGUACCUUGACAGUGGUGCCACUCACCAUCUCACAAAUGACAUGAACAAUAUGCAGAUUUCUGAAUCAUUUACAGGUACAUCUAAACUCAUUAUUGGUAAUGGUACUGGCUUGAAUAUUACACAUAUUGGAAAAGCUGUUCUGAGAUUGCACAACUGCACUGAUUCCACUGUGUUUAAACUAAACAAUAUACUUUUAGUUCCACAAAUAACCAAGAACCUUAUAAGCAUUUCUCAGCUAACCAAAGACAACAAUAUCACAAUUGAGUUUACUGACAAAUCUUGUUUUGUGAAGGACAAGGUGAAGAAUUUGAUCAUACUGCAGGGCAAGGCUGAAAAAGGCUUGUACAGAUUGCUAUUAGUGUCCUCAAAUAAAACUUCUGCUCAGUCUUCCUUUCAAGGUCAUGUUGCCAAUAUUGAGUCUUCUUUUCAGUCUUUUGUUCCUUUGUCAAUGCUAUCAACUGUCAAUCUCAGUCAGUCAAAUAAUCACUGCUUGCAAAAUGUGGCAGCAGAACCUUGUAUGAACUCUAAGUGUCUUUUAAGCACUUCUGUAUUACAUCAGAGGCUAGGUCAUCCUAACUCUAAGAUCUUAAACCAUGUAAUACAAUCUUGUUCCUCUUUCAAACCUAUCAAUGGAAAUAAAGAGUUUGAUUCAUGUGAUGCUUGUAAAUUUGGGAAAAUGCAUAGAUUACACUUUCCAGCAACUGAAACAAAAACAAAACAACCUUUAGCCAUUUUACAUACUGAUUUAUGGGGACCAGCUCCAGUGGUUUCCACACAAGGUUAUAAAUAUUAUGUGAGCUUUGUGGAUGAUUUUACCAGAUUCACUUGGAUAUUUCCCCUGAAAACCAAAGAUGAAACUCUUCAUGUGUUCAAAAUUUUCAAAGCUCAAGUUGAAAAACAAUUAGAACAGCCCAUUAAAUGUCUUCAAUCUGACUGGGGAGGGGAAUUCAGAUCCUUUAGCAAAUAUCUUCAAGAAGAAGGGAUAGAAUUUAGACACUCUUGUCCUUAUACACAUAACCAAAAUGGUUUGGUAGAAAGGAAACACAGACACAUCACUGAAUCAGGUCUUACUCUUCUUGCACAAGCUAAAUUACCUAUCAAAUUCUGGUGGGAUUCCUUUCAUACAGCAGCCUAUCUCAUUAACAGAUUACCAACACCUAUUCUAGCAAUGAAAACUCCAUAUGAAUCAAUCUUUCAUCAUCAACCAGACUAUAACUUUCUAAGAACAUUUGGAUGUUCUUGUUUUCCUUUUCUCAGAGAAUACAAUAACCAUAAAUUUCAUUUCCAUACUUCAAAGUGUGUCUUCUUAGGAUAUAGUCCUUCACAUAAGGGUUAUAAGUGUCUACAUUCAUCAGGCAAAAUUUAUAUUGCCAGUCAUGUAUUGUUUGAUGAAACCACUUUCCCUUACAUUUCAGAUCCAAAUUUUUCUUCCUUUUCUAAACACACUUCCUCUGAUUUUCAAUAUAAUCUUUUUCAAAGGUUUACUCUGUCAGUUCCUAAUAGCAUUCUGAACAGUCUUGAAGCUACUGCAGCAGAUCAAUUCCCUGUCAAUCAUUCUUUAUCAUCAAAUUCACCUCAAUCUCAGUCACCCACAAAUCAGACCUCUACAUCUUUGCCUUCACCUGCACCCCAGUCACCAGCACCACAAAUACCCUGCACAACACAAACAUCUCAGCCUAAACCUUCUACUUCCACCCAUCAUAUGAUAACCAGAGCUAGAGCUGGUAUUUUCAAACCAAAGACCUUUCUAACAACUCACAACAGCUUAGAACCAUCCACUGUCCCUGAGGCAUUAUCAGAUCCUAAAUGGAAAGAUGCAAUGCAAACUGAGUAUGAUGCUCUUAUUCACAACAACACUUGGACUCUUGUGCCAAUGUCUUCAACAUACAAGCUAGUUGGUUGUAAGUGGGUAUUCAGAACAAAGUAUAACACAGAUGGAACUGUCAGCAAGUAUAAAGCUAGAUUGGUUGCAAAGGGAUUUCACCAAACAGCAGGGGUAGAUUAUUCAGAAACUUUCAGUCCAGUGGUGAAGUCUUCAACAGUUAGAGUUAUACUCAGCUUGGCAGUUAUAAAAGGGUGGAAAGUCAGACAAAUUGAUGUAAAUAAUGCAUUCCUUAAUGGAGAUCUUUCUGAAAACGUAUAUAUGACACAACCAGAAGGCUUUGUAACUAAGGAAGAGUACAUCUGCAAACUCAAUAAAGCUCUCUAUGGUCUAAAACAAGCUCCACGAGCCUGGUAUGAAAAAUUGAAGGGUUGUCUAACUACUUGGCAAUUUCUUAAUUCAAAGGCUGAUACAUCUCUAUUCAUUAAACAUGAUACAAGGGGCUUAAUCAUAGUAUUGAUCUAUGUGGAUGAUAUUCUAGUCACUGGACCAGAUUCUGCUUUACUAGAGGAUUUUAUUGUUAAACUCAGUCAGACAUUUGCCUUGAAAGAUCUGGGAUUAGUUGCUUAUUUCCUAGGUGUUGAAGUUAGUUACUUUGAUGAAGGUAUGCAUCUAUCUCAAACAAAGUAUAUUAAAGACUUGCUGAGUAAAGCAUCUAUGGAGAAUUGCAAAGGGUCUGAUACUCCUCUUAGUACUGGUUUGAAGCUAGAAAGAAAUGUCAGGGGUCCUUUGGGUCAGGAGUUCGAAAAUCCAACACAAUACAGAAGCAUAGUUGGAGGGUUACAAUAUCUAAUUCUCACCAGGCCGGAUAUAGCUUAUUCAGUUCAUAAGCUCAGUCAAUACCUCAGUUCUCCUACUGUUCAGCACUGGUUAGCCUGCAAAAGAGUUCUUCGAUAUCUCCAGUCAACCAUCACCUAUGGUCUCUAUCUCAGAAAGGAAGCAACUCUGGAAAUUGGAAUAACAGGCUAUACAGAUGCUGACUGGGCUUGUGAUCUUGACGACAGAAAAUCAAUUGGAGCCUAUUGUAUAUACUUGGGUAACAAUCUGAUUUCAUGGUCUUCCAAAAAGCAAGCUAUUGUAGCAAAGUCAAGCACAAAAAGUGAAUAUCGAGCCCUGUCAGCAGCAUGCUCAGAAAUUUCUUGGUUGCAGUCUUUAUUUUCAGAACUCAACAUUGCUAAACUACCUACUCCAGUUCUUUGGUGUGAUAACCAAAGUGCAGGGGAGCUAGCUCGCAACCCUGUGUUUCACUCAAAAUCUAAGCACAUAGAGUUGGAUGUUCAUUAUGUUAGAGACAAAGUGCUUGGAAAAGAAUUGGAGGUUAGAUACAUUCCUACUGAAGAACAAGUAGCUGAUGUUCUGACUAAGCCCUUAUCUUUUUCUAAAUUCAGCUUUUUUAGAUCCAAGCUCAAUGUCGUUAGUAGACCUUUGAGCUUGAGAGGGGAUGUUAAGGAAGCACACAUCAGUAGCAUAGACUGUAAAGCAGAGGAUAGCAGCAGCUCCAGCUUACAGUUAAGAGUUGAUGACAUGGCAUGCCAGCUGGCACCUGGUGGUUAUGUAAUCACUUGUUCACGUGAUAAUUAGUUGAAGUUGUUAUAGCUAGCUAGAAUUAGUUUUGUAAUUAGUUAACUAAUUGAGCUGAGCAUCAGUUGUGUAUAUAAGCAUCUCUGUGUACAGUUUCAUAAGUAAGUUUUAGAUGAAUAAAAUCGUGUGAGCAAAAAGCUUUCAGUUCUUAAAUUUUCUCAGCUUCCAAACAUCCUUUUUUGAUUUCUUACUGACACUGACUAACUGAAGUAUAUGUUAAACAUCUCACAUGAAUAAUCGUCUAAGGAAAUUUAACUAUCUAAAACUAACCUUCUUAAUUUAAAUCUCAUCUACUAGUAAAAGUAGAACCCUUCUCCGUCAACUGAUCUUCCUCAUUAUAUAACAAAAGAUGCUUAGUGAAAUAUGAAAAAAAAAAUUGUUAUAAUAAUUAUGUCAAAGUGGUCAAGAUCCAGCCACUAGGCUUGAGGGCUUGGGUUCAAAGCCACAUAAACUCAUUUCAAUUCUUUAUUUUAUAAAUGUGGGAUUAGGGAUAGAUUUUUCUAUGACUAUUUGCUUAUAGAGUAAUUAAUUAGAACAGUAUUAUUAAUUUUAGUUGAAUAGUUGUAGAGUGUGCCAUGUGGCAGGCUCGCAUCAAAGAUGUCAAAUCAGGAGAGGCCUAUUUACUUCCUGGGGUACCUAGGGAUACGGCUUUAUUUGAAUCGAAUCUUAGACGUAGGCCUUGCGGGCCCCCUCCUAGUGGUCCACCACUUCUGCGGAGUGCACCCGGUUCAGGGAAAAUAGGUCCACUAGAACCCGCGCAAUCAACCACACUACAUGAAGGAAGUGAAGGGAUCGAGGGCGUUGAUGUUCUAACACAUGUAAUGAUCUUGAGGGACCAUUUAUUAAUUAUUUAGCCAAUCAAAUGGGAAAGCCGGUGUGGGGAGUGGGCCCAUUGUUACCUGAACAAUUUUACAAAUUGGUCAGUUCAGUGUUUCGUGAUCGUGAGACGAGAACCAACCAGCAGAGUUCUAACAUGACUAAAGAUGAGAUCAUUUAAUGGUUGGAUUUGAAAUCACGUAGAUCUGUGCUAUACAUAUAAUUUGGUACCAAAGUGGGUCCCAUCUUAGAUGAGUAUUCAGCCUUGCCAAUGUUUCAGAAGCAUCAAAUCAACAAUUUAUUUGGGUAAUUCAAACUAGUGCAGGUAGAUUGGAUCCUCCGCGUCAUUUAACCGGCUUAGACAGACCAGUAGAAGGCAGUUAUUUUUCCAGUGGUUUGGAGAGUAAAGUCGCUAAAAGGGGAUUGAUAAUAUAUGGGUGGGCGCCACAAUUAUUGAUACUAAGUCAUCAAUCAAUGGGUAGAUUUUUAUCUCAUUGUAGAUGGAAUUCAACUAUGCAAGCAAUUGGUUGUAGGCUUGGCAAUUUAGCCCGAUCCUAUUUUUGGUCCGAUUGAUCCGACUCUAAUUUUUAAGGCUUUGACCCGAAUUUUCAAGUUUAGGGUCGGGUUAGGGCCAAGAUUUUAAGGCCCAAACAAAUUUAUGGUCAGGGUCGGGCUUAAUGCCGACCUGACCCGACCCGACCCGACCCUAUUUAAAAAAAAAAAAACUAACACAAGUUAACACACGCACACAACACAUCCUCACAACAUCACACAUUGUGUGUUUUGAAUUUAAUUGCAUUGUAUUUUUAUUUGUAUAAGACAUGAGUUUUUUUUUUUUUUUAUGUUGGGUUGUUAAAUUGAAUUGUGUAUGACUAAAAUAGUUGUGGAAUUACAUUGUGUGUUUUUAAUUUAAUUGCAUUGUGUUUUUAUUUAUAUAAGACAUGAGUUUUAUUUUUUAUUUUUUAUUUUUUAUGUUGGGUUGUUGAAUUGAAUUGUGUAUGGGUAAAAUGGUUGUGGAAUUACAUUGUGUAUUUUUAAUUUAAUUGCAUUGUGUGUUUUUUAUGUUGGAUUUUGGAAUUGAUUUGUGUGGGGGGUUGAAAUAGUUGUGGAAUUGGUUGAAAUGGUUGUGGAAAGUGGAUUGAAUUGUGUUUGAAAUGGUUGAGUAAUUGCCGAAUUAGUUGAAAUGGUGGUGAGAAAUGGGAAUUAAAUGGUGGGGUUAACUAUUUCGGUAGGGUCGGGUUGAGCCCAAUCCGAUGUUGGCCCGAUUCGGGUCGGGCUCGGCCCGACCCUAACUAAAUAGUGUUCGGGCUUUUUUAAGGUUGGGUUUCAAAUUUUUUUGAUCAGGUCGGGUAGGGCUUGGCCAAGCCCGAGCCCGACCUGACAUUUUACCAUUCCUAAUUGGUUGUGGGCUCCCAAUUUUAGCAUGGCCAGUUAGAGGUGAUCAACAUUACAAUGCCAAAUUGGUGAUCAAUCAUCUCAAGGUGGGGACAUGAUUUCUGAUGAUCAAUCAAAAUCGAUUCAAAAGGAUGAUAUCGCGAGCGGUAUAUAAAAGCUUAUGAGUGAUCAAGAGAUUAACAAACGAGCUCGCUUGCUUCGCCGUAUAUUUAAUCAUGGCUUUCCAAUGAGUUCAGCGGCUUCUUUGAAUGCUUUCAAAGAUCUUUUUAGCCCUUUCAAAAAAAAAAAAAAAAAAAGAUCUUGUUAGCCAUAAAUCAGAUUAACAAAAAUAGUUAUCGUGUAUAUUAUUAACGAAAAGGCUUUGAUUCUGUUGGCUUGGGUGUAAAUAUAUCUACUUUAUCAAGAACAGACAUCUCAGCACCUACAUAAUACUAUAUGUAAGCUUUCGUUAAUUGGCUGCAUUCAAUCAUUAAAUCAGAAGUCUUUCAAAGCAUCUAAAAUAAAAAAGAUGGCACAUCCUCCAUCCAAACAACAAAAGCAUGGACUCGCAACGCUAGUCUUGCUAAUUAAUUAAUAAGUAGUCAUAUUCCACCGAGCAACAUAAUGUACAUCAAGUUGUUGGAGAGGCACCAUAUGCACAAAAUGUUGAUAUUGUUUAAUGUUUAAUAUUAUGGGGAAGUUUUUAAUAGAUCUUCAUUUCCCUUGCAUAUUGCGAGCUUAUAACCAAAAAUGGGACUAUAUAGUUGAGGGACAAACAAAAAGGGAAAAUUUUUUACCAUUGGCUAAAUUUUAAUGUCAAUAAUAUAGGAUCUGAAUUCACUUUAAUAUGAUAUCGACAUAUGUAUAAAAUUUCUUAAGUAAAUAGAUUUUGCAUAAAAGGUAUCGACCCAGAGUCAGAGGAAAAAUUAAAUGGAAUGUUUUUUAAUACAACAAUCACUGGUGACACUGUUUGGGCAUCGUUUGAGAGUACUAAAAUAUCUACUACCAACUCUAUUCUAGUUGAAGAAUGGACUUGUCGUUAGAUGAGGUUGUUCCCAUUGAAGCUAUUAAAGAAAGAAAAAGAAAAAGAGUGUCUGCAAAACGGAGGAAAGUGGGAGGAGUUGAAAGGCUAUCAAGGCAAAUUGAUCGCUUUGUUGAUGAUGUGGAAAUGGAGGUUGAAUUCAAGAAGAAGAAGAUUAUGGUAGUAAUGUUCUUGAAGGUCGAGAGAUGGAGAGAUUGAGAUAUAAUAGUGCAGCAAGUUUAAUGAGUGGAUAAUAUUAUGGUCAUAUGUUUUUUUUUACACACAUGUAUAUAAUAUUAUAUUUCUAUGAACUAGUUUGAUUACAAUGAUUUUAUGUACAUAAAAGUUUAUAUAAAGAUUAAAUUUUUGCAUUUCCUUUUUUGCACUUAAUUUAUUAAUCAAUUUAAUGAUAUGUUAGUAUUUGUUAUAUCACGAACUACAUAACAAAUUUUUUAGUUAAAAAAAUAUUGAAGUUAAUUUUAUUGCAAAUUAAAAUAGUUAAUAAAAAAUUAUUUAAAUAUGUAAUAAAGAAAAUAGAAUAUGCUCUUAAAAAAUCUUGUAAAUAAAAAAAGAUUUAAACAACAAUAUUCUAAAUAAAUUAGAACUAAGUAAAUAAGUAUAUUUUUGUCAUUGUAUGUGAACAUUUUACACUUUUAAUUUUCAUUUUCCAGAUUUGUAUAGUAAACCAUUUUAAAACUUAUUCUCAAAUAGUUAUCAUUUACCAAACACCUUACUAAAUUAUUUGUAAAAUUAUAUAUUUCUUUUUAGAAUCAAGGUAGAAGUUAGUUCUUAGAAAGUUAAAAAAAAAAAAAAAUCUCAAACAUACGAAUAUAUAAAAACCUCAAUCAAGCACAAGAAGUUAUUUGAGUUGUACUAUCUAAUAAUUUCUAUCAAUAGUGAGCUCGUUUAUCGAAUAUAUAAAAAUAAAUAUUUUAGUUAUUAUGCAAAAACAGUUCUAGUAAGUAUAUCUAUUUAUCAAAUAUGUCAAGCUCUGAUGCUCAGAUUCAGAUAUGGAUAGUCCCUUUUUUUGGUUAGGGACAUUUCUGUCCAUGCAUUGAAUUAUGCAAGCAAAUCACUCCUCAAAAUUACCAAUCUACCCUCAUCGUUACCUCUCACGUACCCAUAACCACAGUUACCCAUUCCUCUUUUCACUAAGGCACACAGAUUACAGGACAAUGCAGCGAUCCCAACCAAGAAUGCUUAGGAUAAAGACAGAGAGAUCAAAUAGAAUAAUGUAAAAAUUUAUUCAGUAAACCCACUAGAUUUGCUAGCAAAGUCGUACUUUCAGGCAAAACACCUACUUCUGGUUUAGGACAGGCUCCUCUGUUUUCAUUUCCCUGUUUUCCUAUUCGGUGGUUGCAAAAAUUUAUAUCUAAAUAACGAAUAGUACUUAUAGAGUUAAAAAUAAAAUUUGUGGUAAAAUUAAAAAAAAAAAGCAUCAGAGGUCCUGAUAUUAUCAUCCACAGAAAUAUGUUUAUUUGAACAUGGGCCGAAAUGGGCUAAAUAAAAAAUACGCAUUUAUGUCUAAUUAUAUAGUAAUUAAAUGCUGAAUUUGAACGUACACAAUUAUUCAAUUAUCUGGAUUUCGAAUCUGUGUUUAUUGAAAAUCCUAGUCUGAACACUAUCAGACAUUCGAGUAAAUACAUAAAGAGAUUGAUCAUUUAAUGUCGUUCUCAAUUUUGACUUUUUAAUGCUGCAGCAACCGUUACAUUUGCUAUACAAUUAUUCAAUUAUAACAUAAAGAGAGAUUGAAAAAAGGGAGAGAGAGGACAAACAGGGGCUCCUCUGUUAUCAUUCCCCUGUUUUUCAGUUUGGUGAUUGGAAGUAACAAUAUUUGCAUGUACUCUUUAUUUAUUUAUUUUUCAAUUUUUAACUAAUUAAUUCUUGUUCUUCUCAAAGCGUUUGGUAAAUUAUAUGAUAAUCUGAUGAAAUCUCUAACAUUAACGUCCGCAUAAUCUAGUAAUGAAACUUCUUAUUUUAUAAUAAUCAAAUUUAAGAUUUGUUCACGCAGUUUUGAAUGAUGAUGAGUUUUUAUUUUUCUGUUAAACAUAAGAACAGUUUCUAAAUAAUGUCCAUGUGGAAUUAGUAAUAACGAAGCAACAUUUGUGGACAGAACAAUUGAAAUAACAAAAAGCAUAACUGAUCAGGCCACUAUUGAUCCUAGUUUGAUGAUUGCACUUUAGUUUCUUUCUAAAAUGUCAUUCUUCAUUCAAGCUUUUGCUUUAUCUUUUAUCAGGCAUCUUACGAAGCUUUUCCCUACUAACAAGCUCUGUAAAUCAAUGUGCUUUUCAAUUUCGCAGGAUACAAGUAAUGUAUAUGCCAAACUUAUUCAAGCACAACAGGUACUUAUUCGUCGAAAACUUCAACUUAAUUAUUUCAUUAGAAAAUAUGAAACGCUUCGUAAGGUAUUUGGCCCGAUCCAUUUCUUGUAUCUGACUGCAUGCUUUAUUAAAGCUUCGUCUUUGUUCUUGAUUGGGAACUUCAAAAUUAAAUCUUAAAAAUCGGGUAUAAAAGGGGUGCUUGAUUAAGUCUUCUUCUUUUGCAAUUCAUUGUUACUGCUCUUUUCAGCAUUUUACUCACAAAUUCCUCUGCAGUUAACAGUGAUCUUUUGCUCACUACAAUAUAUUGUUCUUAAUAAUUUCUUUUAAUACCAGUUCUUCCUCAAUAUUCAAGGCGAAUAGAGAGCUCAUCAACUCUCUGAUCCCAAAUAAUUAAAGAGGUACACAUGCUCCUAAAUCCUCUAAUAACUUCUUUUAACAGCAGUUCUUAUUUAAUUUCCGUCUAUUUUCCAAGAAAAAUUUCUCCGGUUUGUUUUAAUCUUAUCAUUUAUGUUGCUUCAGUUGUAAGUUAUUGUUCAUUUGUAAGGUCUGUGUUCUUAUCACUAGCUUUGGUUAAUUUGAAUCUAUCUUCCCAAAAAAAAGGAAAAAAAAAAGAGGUUUUUAAAAAAAGCGCGGGUUUUUAUUCAAACUCUUAAAACCUCUCUGUUAAUAGCAAAGACUCUAAUCCUCGAGCCCGGGGGGAGUAAAAAAGAAUAAAGAAUUCUCUGUUUAAGUAUCAGUUGUCUCAAGAUCAAUGUUGUUUUUUUCUUUUUUUGUUAAUUUGUUUGUUAUUUUAUUAGAUUUGCUUUUUACCUAAUUUUACUUGAGGAUUGAAGAUGAGUGAGAAAUACCCUUUGCAAAAUCAAGCUUAUCAUCCCAAAUUGAGUUGUUUGCAUUAGAAAUUUUCUAGCAUUCACGAGCAUUAUAUAUCAUUCACAAGAUAAAUCAAUUUCAGCAACUAGCUCUUUAUUGAAAUUUUUUUGUUUUGGUUUGCCUGGAAUCCCAUAAAAAAAUAUUAAGUAAGAAAAAGAGUUAAGAUGAAAAACAGGUAAAAUAAAUCCUGUGUUUUCAUUCCCCCUUUUUUUUUUGUUUGGUGAAGAAAAUUUAUAUAUCUAAAUUUUUAUGAUUUUCCAUUGGGGUUUUAUUAAAUAAAAAAGAAUUAGAAAAUGUAAUUCUAAAUUUACCCUUCUGCAUUGAGAAAAUGUAAUUCUAAAUUUACCCUUAUGCGUUGAGUGAUUAUUAUUAUGUUCUCUUAAGAAUUGAUAGUGUAAUUUUGUGUGAUGUGAAUUUCAUGUUUCUGUUAACACAAACACAAUUUAACCAAGCAUCAUUUGUGGAAAGAACAAAUGAAAUAACAAAAAAGCAGCGUUGGCAAUACAAAAUCAAACCUUCUCUAUUUAUUUGUUUUUGUUUUUGUUCUUGAAUAUGCAUUAACCAAAUCAUAUAUUAUUGAUCUUACUUUGAUGAUUUGCUGUUUAGUUUCUCUCUCAAAUGAUAUUUGUGUGUUUCCGGUAUCUGCUUUAUGAAAGGAGCACUAAUCAUUAAAGUGCAUGCGGAUUAAAAAAAAUGCACAUAAUUAUUCUGUACAUGCGUCAAGAGGGCAACAAUAACCAAAUACAGGAUAUAAAAAGGGGUGCUUCAUUAAUGGUUUUUCUUCUGCCAGUCAUUGUUAUUUCUCUCGUCAACUCUUUUCUCACACAUUCCUCAGCAGUUACCAGUGAUCUUUUUGCUCUUUCAAGUUGUUCUUAAAUAUUCAAGUGAAUAGAGAGAGAAGCUCACCAACUCUCGGUGCACAUUUUCUAAAUCCUUUAAUAAUUUUUUUUUUUUUGAUAGUAGAAUCCCUGAUCCUUGAUCUUGACAUCUGUUCUUUCAUAAUUUCCAUCUAUUUUCCAAGAAAAAAAAUUUCUCUGGUUUGUUUUAAUAUUGAAUUUACUUUGCAUGAGUUUUAAGUUAUUGUUCAUUGUUAAAGCCUGUGCUCUUAUUAUAUUGCUUGUUUGUCAUUUUAUUUGAUUUACUUUAUAUCUAAGUUUACUUGAAGAUUAAAUAUCAGUAGGAAAAGCCCUUUUUCUAAAGCAACGUACAGAUUUUAGAAUAGGGCUUAGCCACAUGAAAAUGUUUACAUUGUAGUAUCUCAUAUUAAUAAUCUAAAAACAACCAAUCCAACAAGUUCAAAUUCACUAAAAUAAAAAGGAUUGCUUUUAAGGAGUACAUGAUAGCUAUUAAAUUUUGGUUAAAGAUCUUUCAGGCAGAAUUGAAAUUCAGCCAGUCAUAAAACAACCAAUCCAACGAGUUCAAGUACAGAGUCAAUUGAACAAAUUCAUCACUUGCAAAAUUAAGCUUAUCUUCAGAAAUUGAAUUGUUUCCAUUAGAAAUUUUCCUGUAGUCAUGAGCACUAUCAUCCAAACAAGACUACUUAUAUAGGAACAAGAGUUAAGGAAAAAAAAAUUGGUAAAACAAGAUUCCUCUGUUUUCAUUCCCCUGUUUUAUCCCUUGGUGAUUGAAAAAUUCCCUCUCUAAAUUUUUAUAAUUUUCCAUUAAGGUUUAUAUUUAAAUAAAGAGUUGAAAAAAAUCUAAUUUUAAAUGCAUGCAUUGAAUGAUUAUUAUUAUUAUAUUCUCUUAAAAUUGGUUACAAUAUCAAUUAAAUAACGAAUAGAGCUAUUGAUCCCUUUGUUAAAAAUGAUCAUGUGUUCUAUUUAUAUAAUAAAACAAAAGAUGGGGUCACACUUAAGUCUUUUUCUUUUACAAUUCAUUUGUAUUACUCACUCUCAUGAACUCUUUACUCACAUUCGUCUGCAGUUAAUAUUGAUCGUUUGCUCGUUCUUAUAUAUUCAAGGCCAGCAGUGAAGGUCAUUAACUCUUUAAUAAUUCAACAGGUACAUUUGUCCAAGAAAAAAUAGCUCUUGUUUGUUUUAAUCUUGUCAUUUAAUUUUCUUAACUGUUCAUUGUUAACUUCUUUGCUCUUAUGUAAUAUUAGCAAUGGUUAAUUUGCAUCCAUCUCACAAUUUUUUUUUUUAAAUUGUUGGUUUUACAUCCAGACCCUUGAAACCUUUUUUAAAAAAGUUGUUGGUUUUACAUCCAGGCCCUAGCUCAUUUUAAUUUAUUUGAAUCUAAUUUUUCCAACAGCUAAUAUAUAUAUAUAUAUAUAUAUAUAAGCAACAGGCUAGGCAAUGGCUGCAGACCUGGUUUCCGCUACUUUUUCCAGCAUUGUAACAGAAGAUGCAAAGGCAUUGUUCGAACCGAUUAUGCGGCAGAUCUCUUAUGUGUUCAAGUACCAGAGCUACAUAGAUGAGCUAAAAGAUCAAGUGAAGGGGUUGGAAGGUAUAAACGAAAUGGUGCAACAACAUGUUAAUCAUGCUACUCGACAAGGGGAAGAGAUUUAUCAGGUUGUCAAAGACUGGCGAAAUAGGGUUGAAUCUACGGAGGGGGUUGCAAAAUCUAUCAUUGAUGAAGAAGAUGGAGCCAAGAAGUCCUGCUUCAAAGGAUUGUGUCCAAAUUUGUUGUCUCGUUACAAACUCAGUAGACGAGCAGCAAAGGCCGCAAAAGAUGCCGCUAAUCUCAAGGAUGAAGGCUGCAAACUGAAGAGUGAUGUUUCCUACGAUCCUCCUCCAGAUAUCGAAGCACCUAGGGGCGGGAAAGAUAACGAGGCCUUUGAUUCAAGAAAGAAAGUAUUACAGGAUGUUAUGGAGGCGUUGAAGGAUGAUAAGCUCAACAUAAUUGGGGUCUACGGCAUGGGCGGCGUGGGUAAAACCACGCUAGUCAGGCAAGUUAGAAAGCAAGUGAUGGAAAAUAAGUUGUUCGAUAAGGUCGCUAUGGCUGAGGUAACAGAGAACCCAGAUCAUCAGAAAAUUCAGGACAAACUUGCUUCUGAUUUAGGCAUAAAGUUUGAGUUGAAUGAGAAUAUAUUCGACAGAGCAAAUCGACUACGUCGAGUAUUGAAGAAAGAGAAGCGGGUCCUGAUUAUAUUGGAUAACAUUUGGAGAGAACUGAAGUUCGAUGAAGUUGGAAUUCCUUCUGGGGAUGUUGAUGAGAAAGAUAGAGAGGAUGAUCAGAGAAGAUGCACAAUAAUAUUGACGUCUAGAAGUCGAGAUUUAUUGCGCAAUGAUAUGAAUUGUCAGAAAAUUUUCUGGAUCGAUGCUUUAUCGAAAGAAGAAGCAUUGCAAUUGUUUGAAAAGAUAGUAGGUAAUUCCGCAAAAGCAUCUGAUUUUCUACCUUUAGCAGAUGAGAUUGUUGGAAAAUGCGGAGGUUUGCCUGUUGCACUGAGUACAGUUGCAAAUGCUCUGAAAACUAAGGGGCUUGCCAUUUGGAAGGAUGCGUUGAAUCAGCUAAGAAGAUCGGAUGCAAGAGAAAUUCAUGGCAUGCAAGCAAAUGUGUACACCUCCAUAAAAUUGAGUCAUGACUUCUUGGAAAGUGAGGAGGCAAAAUCUCUGUUCCGUCUUUGUGGUCUAUACAGUGAAGGUCAUGCCAUACACGUACAUUACUUAUUGAGAUAUGGUGUGGGUUGGGGUUUGUUUGAAAAUGUUUACACAUUGGAAGAAGCAAGGAGUAGAGUGCAUCGGUUGAUCGACAACCUCAAAUCUUCAUGCUUAUUGUUGGACGGUGAUGCUGAAGAUGAAGCUAAAUUGCAUGACGUCAUUCAUGUUGUUGCCGUAUCAAUUGCCGCAGAGAAGCGCAUGUUUAAUAUUCCAAAUGUUGCCGACUUAGAGAAAAAGAUGGAAGAGACAAUACGGAAAGAUCCAAUUGCCAUUUCAUUACCCCAGAGAGAUAUUCAAGAGCUCCCUGAAAGGUUGCAAUGUCCCAAUCUCCAGUUAUUUUUGUUGUCUGCAGAGGGUAAUGGCCCUAUGCAAAUUUCAGACCUCUUUUUUGAAGGGACAGAAGAACUGAAAGUUUUAAGCCUUACUAGAAUUCCUUUCUCUUCAUUACCUUCGUCACUUGGUCGCCUCAUUAACCUUCAAACAUUGUGUUUAGACUGGUGCCAACUAGAAGAUGUAGCGGCAAUUGGACAGCUAAAGAAAUUAGAGAUUCUUAGCUUUCGAGAUUCCGACAUUAAGCAGUUACCACUUGAAAUUGGACAAUUGACGCGGUUACAAUUGCUAGAUUUGAGCAAUUGUAGGAGCCUUGUAGUGAUAGCAACAAAUGUCAUAUCAAAAUUUUCACGAUUGGAAGAACUAUAUAUGGGCGACAGCUUUUCGCAGUGGGAUAAGGUUGAAGGAGGAAGUACCGCCAGUCUUGCUGAAUUGAAGGGGCUGUCAAAGCUAACUACUUUGGAGAUACAAUUUUGGGAUGCCCAAAUUCUGCCGCAGGAUUUGGUCUCUGUGGAAUUGCAAAGAUAUAAGAUAUGUAUAGGAGAAGCGUGGCGCAUGUGGGGCGUUAAUUCUGAAACAUCAAGAAUGGUGGAGCUCGAUGGGCUAGAAAAUGUUAGCAGUCUUUUGGAGAAUUAUGGGACGAAAAUGUUGCUGAAGGAAGCUGAAGAGAUCCAUCUAAACGAACUGAAGGGUGUUCUGAAUGUUGUUCAUGAAUUAGAUGAUGGGGAAGGUUUUCCACGAUUGAAGCAUCUUCGUGUAGAAAGUUGUUCUGAGAUUUUGCAUAUUGUCGGUUCAGUUGGACGGGUUCAUUGUACAGUCUUUCCCUUGCUGGAGUCAUUGUCUCUUUGGUUUUUGAACAAGUUGGAGACAAUAUGUGAUAGCCAACUCACAGAAGAUCAAUCUUUCAGCAACUUAAGGAUUAUAGGAGUACAAUCCUGUCACAAAUUGAAGCAUCUUUUCUCAUUCUCCAUGGCAAAAAACCUACUGCGGCUUCAAAAGGUAGAAGUGUUUGUUUGCGAUGAUCUGGAAAUGAUUGUUGGUAAGUGUUGAAAUUAAGUGUUGGUGGAUUUAUGGACUUCGCCUCAAUUAUUUUGAAAAAAAAAAAACAACGACAAAGAUUAAUUAUGUGUAUUGUUUUUGUUUGUUUAUAGGACCCGACAGGGAGAAACCAACAACUUCUUUGGGAUUCAACGAAAUCAUUGCUGAUGAUGAUACUGCUCCAAAGGUGAUAAUUUUCUGUUCAAUAAUUAAUUGAUUAAUUUAUUAUCACGAUUAAUCUUCGAUCAUGAAAAGAAUAUUAUACUAGACGGUUGUACUUGAAGGAACAAAAAUGUAUGGGUUUUCUUUGCAGGUUAUUCUUCCGAGCUUAGAGGAAUUGAAUCUCGGGGAAUUAGGAAACAUCAAAAAAUUAUGGGCCGAUCAUAAUCAAGGAAUGUACUGUUGUCAAAUUUAACAACGGUGAUCGUGGGGGAUUGUAAUCGUCUGAAGUAUCUGUUUUCAUAUUCUAUGGUUAAUAGUCUUUUGCAACUCCAACAUCUUGAAAUACGGUCUUGUGAGUCAAUGGAAGGGGUAGUCGACACCACGGGGUGGUCAGAAAGAGAUGAAGGAAAGUUGAUUGAAUUAAAGGUUUUUCCUAAACUACACUCCCUGCAGCUCUAUCGGCUUCCAAAACUAACAAGCUUUGCAAACACGAGACAUAUUCAUUCAGAUUUAGUUGUUGAAUUCCCUUCUUUGCAAAUACUCAAGAUUGAUAGUUGCAGUAAUAUGUUAAGAUUCAUCUCUACGAGCUCACCAGAAGACACCAUUCAUUCUGAAAUGCAACCUCCUCCUCUCUUUGACGAAAAGGUUUUUUUUUUUAAAUAAAAAAAAAAUUAAUUUGUCCCAAUACUUAAUUUGUCUUUUCCUUGAGUCUUCAAAUUUAGUUAAUAUCCGCCUCUAAUUUAGUUAUCAAUUGAUUAUGCCAUUAAUUGAUUAAUUAGUUAUUUAAUCUUUAACUGCCAGGUACGACUUCCUAGGCUGGAGGUAUUACGUAUCGGGUUGAUGGAUAAUUUGAGAAAAAUAUGGCACCACCAGCUUGCUUCGGAGUCUUUCAGCAAAUUGAAGAAUUUGGGGAUAUGGUGGUGUGAUAACCUAAUGAAUAUUUUUCCUCCAUUGGUAAGGUCGCUGUAUUCAUUUUGAAUAAUUUUUUUUCAAAUUACAUCCAACAAUUUUUUAACCAUUUUUGUGUUUACAAAUGAUAUUCAGCCACUAAUUAUUUAUUUCAAGUAUUGUACUUCGAACCACCACUCUAUCUAUUUCUCUUUUCCUUAAUUCUUCACGUUUCGAUUGGAAAAAAAAAUACAAGUCUUCAAAUUUAAUUAAUAUCUCUAGUUUAGUUACGAAUUGAUUAUGCCAUUAAUUAACCACAAAUUCAUGAUUAUUUACAACUGACCCUUGAUUGUAAAGAAAUUUCCUCAAGUCUGGAAGUACUUAAUAAAGAUCCACUUUACAGCAGUCCCUUGUUGACAGUAUUGGGAAAUCUUUUCCAAAUUUUUUUUCCAUUUUUAAAUAUACAUUAAAAAAAGAACCAAGGAAAAGGGAAAAAUGGUUCAGUAUUUUUUUAAAAAAAGGAAGAGUUGAAAUUUGCAAAUUUAUGCUUAAAAACUGAUAUCAAGAUACAAAAUAAGUCUAAAAUAUUUAGAAAUUGCCUUAAAUUCUUUCUACGUUCCUAAUACUAAAUAGUGUAAAUGCAUUUUUAUUAUCUUUGUUUAUCUGGCUUUUAUUUAUUUAUUUAUCUUGUUGCUUUUUUUGUUUAACAAAAAAUUAUCUAGUAGACAUCUCAUGGUUUGUUAUGUUUAUAAAACGUAUAAUUGUAUGAUUAAACAUACUUUGAGCCUAGUUGAAUGAUAUUCUUACACUUUUACUUUUUUAAUAUACACACAUAUGCACACACUUUUGCUUAUUUUCAGGUUGGAAUUCCCAAUAGCCUAGUGAAUCUUAAUGUAUCGAAUUCCCAAAAAUUAGAAGAAAUCGUAGGACAUGUUGGAGAAGAAGUGAAGGAGAAUCGUAUUGCUUUCAGCGAAUUAAAAUUUUUGAUACUUGAGGAUUUACCAAGGCUUACCGGCUUUUGUUUGGAGAAUUACACUCUUGAAUUCCCAUCAUUGGAACGAGCUUCUAUGAUACGUUGUCCGAACAUAAAGACUUUUUCUCAAGGAAUCUUAUCCACACCAAAGCUGCACAAAGUGCAAGUGACUUUAAAGGAAGAGGGUGAAUUGUACCUUCGCGAAGGCAACCUUAAUUCCACUAUACAAAAGUAUUACAAAGAAAUGGUAUGUGUGAAUCGAUUCAUCAAAAUUGCUCAUGCAUCUCCCUUGAACUUGCACAUUUAAACAUAUACACCUGCCUUGUAUAUGUAUUUUUAGAAGUUAAAACACAAAACAUGUAAGUUUAAUGUAUAUAUAUCUAAUGCCUUUCAAAAAAAAAAAAAUUGUAUAUAUCCAGUGCAAUUGUUUUGGUUUGUGCAGAUUGGAUUCCGUGACAUAUGGUAUUUGCAACUCUCACAUUUUCCACGUUUGAAAGAAAUAUGGCAUGGCCAAGCACUGCCUGUCAGCUUCUUCAACAAUUUAUUUAAGCUGGUGGUGGAUGACUGCACGAAUAUGUCGAGGGCUAUUCCUGCCAAUCUGCUACGGUGCUUGAACAAUUUGAGAUGGCUAGAAGUGAGGAAUUGUGAUUCGCUAGAAGAGGUGCUUCAUUUGGAAGAACUAAUUAAUGCUGAGGAAGAACAUUUUGGCCAACUGUUCCCUAAUCUUUUCGGGCUAAGCCUCAUUGAUCUUCCAAAACUCAAAAGAUUCUGCAACUUCACUGGGAAUAUAAUUGAACUGCCUAUGUUGUGGAGUCUGACUAUUGAGAAUUGCCCUGAUAUGGAAACAUUCAUAUCCAACUCUGUAGUGCACGUGACAACAGAUAACAAGGAACCUCAAAAAUUAACAUCAGAAGAGAACUUCUUGCUGGCUCAUCAAGUACAACCUCUCUUCGAUGAAAAGGUGAUUAUUAUUGUUAUUAUUAAUUUUUCCCUUCACUUUCGUUCGCAUAGAUGUAAUUUCAUUAGAAUCAAAUCAAAUUUAAUGACUCAUCCUUUUGCAUGUCGUCUUAAUUUAUAUCUAAUUUAACAAUAUAACCGCAGUUAUUAACUAACUUUAUAGUAUGAAUUAUAAAAAUGUCUCAAAUUAAUUAGAUGCCUAGUGACAGGAGGUGAUGAACUAUAUCGAUGCGUGUUACAUCUCUGUUUUCCUAGCUAAUUCAUAUUGGAUUUAGCAUCAGAUUUCAUUUAUGUGUUUCAAAGGGUAAUCGAUUUGAUACUUAUAUUUGGGAUCCUACUGCAAAGCAUACUAAUUUGGAAAUAAAAUAUAAAAUGCUGUGAUUAAUCUUGUCCAUAAAAUAUGCAGGGGAAGACUGCAGAGAUUGGAUACAUAUUUUAAUUUACAACUUAAUUUUGUUGAUUUUCAGGUUGCAUUCCCUAAAUUGAGAUGGUUAGAGCUGUCUAGAUUACCCAAUGUGUUGCAUCUCUGGAAGGAAAAUGCCGAAUCCAACAAAGUGUUUGCAAACUUGAAAAGUCUAGAAAUAUUUUAAUGUAGUAAGUUGCAGAAAUUAGUACCAGCUUCGUGGCAUUUGGAAAAUCUUGCGACUCUGGAAGUAUCGAAGUGUCAUGGGUUGAUAAAUUUAUUGACGCUCUCAACAUCUGAAAGUCUAGUGAAUCUUGAAAGAAUGAAGAUAACUGAUUGCAAAAUGAUGGAAGAAAUUAUACAGUCGCAGGUUGGAGAAGAAGCGGAAGAUUGCAUUGUUUUCAGGAAAUUGGAGUACUUGGGACUUGAUUGUUUGCCAAGCCUAACAAGCUUUUGUUUGGGUAAUUACGCUCUUGAGUUCCCGUCCUUGGAACAAGUAGUUGUGAGACAGUGUCCAAAAAUGAAGAUCUUCUCUCAAGGAGUCUUAGACACACCAAUGCUAAACAAAGUGAACGUCACCGAAGAAGAAAAAGAUGAUGAUGAAGGAUGUUGGGAAGGCAACCUCAAUGACACCAUAAAAAAAUUGUUCAAUGAAAUGGUGAGUAUCAAUUAAGUUUCGGUGCUAUUUAGCAAAUUAUUUUAUAGAAACUAAUGUGAUAUAAUAUGAUUGGUUGACUGAAAAUAUAUAAUAAUAAUAAUAAAUAAAUAAAUAAAUUAUGAGGGCCAUGUAAUGUCAAAAGCAGCCAUCCAUCUAGAUGGUCAACAUUCAAAGAAGAGAAAUUUUGCAGCAAGUUGGAAAGGAAAAGGAGCACACGGGCUUGGCAUUUAAAAGAAGAAGUUGGCAACUACUUUGAAAUAUAUACAUAUAUAUAUUAAUUUAAUAGCCAUUUUUUGGCUAUAAAAUGAAGAGCUUCCUCAUUCAUUUUCAUUCAAUUCCAUCGAGAGAAAUCUUUCUUUCUUUGAGUGUUGAGAGUUUUCAAGAGUUUAAUAAACUCUUGAGUGUCUAGUGAGUGAGAGAUUGGGUGUAUUGGGGUUUUGGGUAGUGAGCUAAAAUCUUACAAUACUUGUAAUCCUUAUUUCACUAGUAAAAUAUUUUCUUCUGUCUUCGCCCGUGGAUGUAGGCUAAAAGCCGAACCACGUAAUUUUUCGGUGUCCUCUAUUGUGCUUGUUCUUUAUUUUAUUUUCAAUUUUAUUUUAGCUGCGGUCCUGCUGCACCCACUAAAUUACUAACAGUGGUAUCAGAGCCAUUGGUUGUAUUUUUGGAGUCGGGAAUUGUUCACGUAUUCACGUAUACGGCGUACGGCACUAUUCACGUAUACGGUGUACGGCACUAUUCACGUAUACGGCAUACGGCACUAUUCACGUAUACGGCGUACGACACUAUUCACGUAUACGGUACUAUUCACGUGAAAACGGUGGAAGCGAUCCAAGAAUUUUGCGGUGCAAAGCAGGGAAUAGUGGUGUGAGUAAAGCAACUGUGUGGUUCUGUACAUGUCUAGGAAAGUUUUGUCACAAAGGCGAUAAGAGCCUAAGGAGUCUGGGUUUUAAGUGGGACCAUUGUGACCCCUCCAGUCUUUCCUGGGAACUUUCCUGGUGCGCAUUCUCACACAUACUCACAACUAUUCAAGGUGGUACACUAGCUUGUGUGCAGUAUUAUCAACAAAAUGGCGGCAAAGUAUGAAAUUGAGAAGUUUAACGGAAAUAAUUUUUCGUUGUGGAAAAUGAAGAUGAAAGCUGUAUUGAGGAAAAAUAAUUGUUUGGCAGCAAUUGGAGAAGGGCCUAUGGAGAUAACUGAUGACAAGUGGAACGAGGUAGACGGCAACGCUAUUUCUGAUCUACACUUGGCACUUGCGGAUGGAGUAUUAUCCAGUGUGGCAGAGAAAAAUACGGCGAAGGAAAUUUGGGAUACUCUCACAAAAUUGUACGAGGCCAAGUCACUACACAACAAAAUCUUCUUGAAGAGAAAACUCUAUACUCUUCGAAUGGCGGAAUCUACAAUGGUGACCGACCACAUCAACACAUUGAAGACUCUAUUUUCACAACUCACAACGUUGGGUCAUAAUAUAGAGGAAAAUGAACGUGCAGAGCUUCUACUUCAAAGUCUACCAGAUUCGUAUGAUCAACUCAUCAUCAACCUGACGAACAACAAUCCAGUGGAGGGUCUAGUUUUCGACGAUGUUGCAGCCUCCGUAUUAAAUGAGGAGAGCAGGCGGAAAAAUAAGGAAAACAGACAAGCAAGUUCGCAGCAAGCAGAAGCGCUAUCGGUGAUGAGAGGGAGAUCAACGAAACGUGGCCCCAGUGGGAGUCAAAAUCAGGGUAGAUCAAAAUCCAGAAGUAAGAAGAAUGUUAAAUGCUAUAAAUGUGGCAAGAAAGGGCACGUCAAGAAAGAAUGUUGGAGUAACCAGAAGAGAAAAGAGGGCAAAGAACCUGAGUCAUCAAAUGCUCAGGGUUGUGUAGCAAGUACCUCGGAUGAUGGCGAAAUUCUUUACAGCGAGGCAACAACUAUUUUAGAAGGCAGGAAACGACUUUCUGAUGUCUGGCUUAUAGACUCAGGAGCUACCUGGCACAUGACCUCUAGGAGAGAAUGGUUCCACACAUAUGAACCUAUCUCAGGAGGAUCUGUAUAUAUGGGAGAUGAUCAUGCCUUGGAGAUCGCUGGUAUUGGUACUAUCAAAAUAAAAAUGUUUGAUGGGACAAUUCGCACAAUUGGAGAGGUACGACAUGUCAACGGCCUGAAGAAAAAUCUAUUGUCUUUGGGACAAAUGGAUAGUCAUGGGUACAAAACUCAUGUGGAGAAUGGAAUUAUGAAGAUCGUUAAAGGCGCGCUUGUAUUGAUGAAGGCAGAAAAGAUCGGUGCUAAUCUAUUCAUGCUUAAAGGAGAAACACUACAGGAGGCUGAUGCGUGUGUCGCGUCAAAUGGAGAAGAGUCAACGAUGAUGUGGCAUCUCAAACUUGGCCACAUGUCAGAACAAGGCUUGAAGAUUCUCUCUGAGCGAAAAUUGCUUCCGAGGCUCAAAUCGGUAAGUUUACCAUUUUGCGAGCAUUGUGUUACAAGUAAGCAGCAUAGAUUAAAAUUCAGUAGAUCUAUUGCUAGAAGUAAAUGCAUUCUAGACUUGAUUCAUUCUGAUGUUUGGGAAUCACCGGAUAUAUCCAUGGGAGGUGCAAAGUACAUGGUGACUUUCAUUGAUGAUUAUUCCAGAAGAUGCUGGGUGUAUCCACUUAAGAAAAAGUCAGAUGUAUUUCUAGUGUUUAAAGAAUACAAAGCGCGGGUGGAACUUGAAUCUGGUAAAAAGAUCAAGUGCUUGAGGACAGAUAAUGGUGAAGAAUAUACAGACGGCGAGUUUCUUGCUUUAUGUAAGCAAGAAGGUAUUCAGAGGCAGUUCACAGUGGCAUACACUCCUCAACAAAACGGAGUAGCGGAGCGGAUGAACAGAACUCUUACAGAAAGAAUAAGAGCUAUGUUGAGGACUGCUGGUUUACCCAAUUCAUUCUGGGCAGAAGCAGCCAAAACCGCCUGUUAUAUAGUAAAUCGGUCGCCAUCUACAGCUAUUGGGUUGAAGACAGCGAUGGAGAUGUGGACUGGAAAGCCAGCUGAUUAUUCCUACCUACAUGCAUUUGGAUGUCCUGUGUACGUGAUGUAUAAUGCCCAAGAAAGAACAAAGCUGGAUGCAAAAUCUAGAAGAUGUAUCUUCUUGGGGUAUGCUGAUGGAGUAAAGGGGUAUCGUCUGUGGGACCCCACUGCCCACAAGAUCGUCAUCAGCAGAGAUGUUAUCUUUGUAGAAGAUCAACUAUAAAGAAAAGAUGGAGAUGAUGGCACUGUAAAAGAAAAGUCAGAGACUGUACCAGUAUAUGUCGAAAAUAAUCUAGAAGAUUCAGAUUCUUCUGAAGCAGCACCAGAGCACGAUGGACAAGAACCAGUCGAGUUCGAGGCUCCAGAAGUUCGUCGGUCAACUCGUGAGAGACGACCGCCGGCGUGGCACUCGGAGUAUGUCAUAGAGAUCAACGUUGCAUACUGUCUUCUAACAGAGGAUGGAGAGCCUUCAACUUUCCAUGAAGCUUUAAACAGUUUAGAUGUUGCUUUGUGGAUGACAGCAAUGCAGGAAGAAAUUGAAGCUCUACACAAGAACAAGACAUGGGAACUUGUACCACUACCACACGGAAGAAAAGCCAUUGGAAACAAAUGGGUCUACAAGAUCAAACGUGAUGGCAAUGACCAAGUGGAGCGGUAUCGUGCAAGAUUGGUGGUGAAAGGAUAUGCUCAGAAAGAAGGUAUUGACUUCAACGAGAUAUUUUCUCCAGUGGUUCGACUCACAACAGUCAGAAUAGUCUUGGCGAUGUGUGCUACAUUUGAUCUACAUCUUGAGCAGUUAGAUGUGAAAACUGCAUUUCUUCAUGGAGAACUUGAAGAAGAAAUAUAUAUGCUCCAACCAGAAGGUUUUGCAGAAACAGGAAAGGAGAACUUGGUUUGCAGGUUGAACAAAUCUCUAUACGGUCUCAAACAGGCGCCGAGGUGUUGGUAUAAGAGAUUUGAUUCCUUCAUAAUGAGCCUUGGAUACAACAGACUCAGUUCAGACCAUUUUGCAUAUUAUAAGAGGUUUGAAGAUAAUGAUUUCAUUAUUUUGCUGUUGUAUGUGGAUGACAUGUUGGUAGCAGGUCCCAACAAAGAUCGAAUCCAAGAAUUGAAGGCACAGUUGGCUAAGGAGUUUGAAAUGAAGGACUUGGGACCAGCAAACAAGAUUCUAGGGAUGCAAAUUCACCGAGACAGAAAUAACAGGAAGAUUUGGCUUUCACAGAAGAAUUACUUAAAGAAAAUCUUGCGACGCUUCAACAUGCAAGAUUGUAAGUCAAUUUCUACCCCACUUCCUAUUAAUUUCAAAUUAUCCUCAAGUAUGUGUCCUAGCAAUGAAGCAGAGAGAAAGGAGAUGUCUCGAGUUCCUUAUGCAUCAGCAGUGGGAAGUUUAAUGUUCGCUAUGAUAUGUACAAAACCGGACAUUGCACAAGCAGUGGGAGCAGUCAGUCGAUAUAUGGCGAAUCCUGGUGGAGAGCAUUGGAUAGCUGUGAAGAGGAUUCUGAGAUACAUCAGAGGAACCUCAGAUGUUGUAUUAUGUUAUGGAGGAUCAGAGUUUACUGUCAGGGGCUAUGUGGAUUCAGAUUUUGCAGGAGAUCUUGAUAAAAGGAAAUCCACUACUGGUUAUGUGUUUACACUUGCGGGAGCAGCUGUAAGCUGGGUUUCAAAACUGCAGACCGUUGUGGCUUUAUCUACAACAGAAGCAGAAUACAUGGCAGCUACACAAGCUUGCAAGGAAGCUAUUUGGAUACAAAGAUUAUUGGAGGAGCUCAGGCACAAACAACAGAAAAUUCCUGUGUUUUGUGACAGUCAAAGUGCCUUGCACAUUGCAAGGAAUCCAGCCUUUCAUUCCAGGACAAAGCACAUAGGAGUUCAGUAUCACUUUGUUCGUGAAGUAGUGGAAGAUGGAAGUGUGGAUUUACAGAAAAUCCAUACUAAAGAGAACCUAGCAGAUGUUUUGACCAAGCCGAUAAAUACUCAUAAGUUUAUCUGGAGUAGAUCCUCUUGUGGCCUAGCAGAAACGUAGGCAACAUGAUUAUGGCGAAGCAGAAAGGAUGGUGUGGAGAUUGAUUGAUUCUCCAUCAAAGCUCCAAGUGGGAGAAAUGUCAAAAGCAGCCAUCCAUCUAGAUGGUCAACAUUCAAAGAAGAGAAAUUUUGCAGCAAGUUGGAAAGGAAAAGGAGCACAUGGGCUUGGCAUUUAAAAGAAGAAGUUGGCAACUACUUUGAAAUAUAUACAUAUAUAUAUUAAUUUAAUAGCCAUUUUUUGGCUAUAAAAGGAAGAGCUUCCUCAUUCAUUUUCAUUCAAUUCCAUCGAGAGAAAUCUUUCUUUCUUUGAGUGUUGAGAGUUUUCAAGAGUUUAAUAAACUCUUGAGUGUCUAGUGAGUGAGAGAUUGGGUGUAUUGGGGUUUUGGGUAGUGAGCUAAAAUCUUACAAUACUUGUAAUCCUUAUUUCACUAGUAAAAUAUUUUCUUCUGUCUUCGCCCGUGGAUGUAGGCUAAAAGCCGAACCACGUAAUUUUUCGGUGUCCUCUAUUGUGCUUGUUCUUUAUUUUAUUUUCAAUUUUAUUUUAGUUGCGGUCCUGCUGCACCCACUAAAUUACUAACAUGUAAUUUUUUUAUUUAACCAAUCAUAUUAUGUCGCAUUAGUUUAUACAGUAUUGUUUGUGCACAAGAGGUGGUGGUCAUAUCAUUACUCUAGCUUUAUUAUUCUUAUGGUGGCAAUGUAUGCUGGCUUACACGAGUAAUUACAAAAUCUGCAGAAUUCUAAAGAAGAGAUUGAGCCAACCCUUCAGCUACAGUGAAGAAGCUAUCCCGAACCAGGCCAAUCUCCUAUACAUGAUUUAGCUUGCUCGUUCUUCUGUACUUGAAUAAUUUGGUUCUACAUAUUUACAAUUUUUUGCUCAUGCUACAAACUUGCAAGACACUUUGGAUUUUGUUUGAUGCAUUCUUUGUUUAAGAAAGGACUUGAAUUGAUGUUUCAUGUUUCAUACAAUAUUCGAUUAGAUUCUGCCUAAAUUUCUGUAUUAUUCGUUCAAUUGGUCUUUUAAGCAUUUGAUUUCUAACCUCUCCUGAUAGAAGAUCAUUAGCCGAAGAAAACAGCAUAACAUUUGUGGCAUUAUCAGAAUAAGAAUAUUUUUUAGUAUAGUAAAAUUAUCUCGACCACUGUUAAAAAGAAUUAAUCAGUCAAACUGACCUUCUCACACCAGCACGCUUUAAAUUAAAAGAAUUUCGUGAAAUCAAGACCAUGUUAUAGAUCUCGUGGAAAGAAGUAAACCCGUAAUUUUUUUCACAGCAUCAUAAGAAAAAUCAUUUUUUUAAAGUAUUUUUGUUAGCUGUUGAGUUUUAAUAGUAGUAGCUAUUAAAUAAUAACAAUUAGUGUAUAUUAAAAAGUUGGAAACUGGUUGAUACCACUCGGGAAUCGAGCAGUUCACUUGUUUGCGAGUAGAAACCAACUUUACUACUAAUUGCCUUGUGACAAAAUAAAAUACCAUACUAUAAUGUGUUGAACCAGGAACCUGCAGAUGCUUAGGUUACAACUAUACAACCUCCCAAUACAAUAAGUUUGAAACUUAAUACCUUCUGAAAUGAAACAAACUUACUUGAAGAUUAAAGAUCAGUGAGAAAAGCCCUUUUUCAGAAGCAACCUACAUUUUUUAGAAGAGGGUCAGUGUGUUAUAGAUUCAAUGAACCAUGAGAAGUUAUUUACAUUAUAGUAUCUCACAGGCAGUAUUUUCUCCUAAUGCAUCAAUGGUAAAGGAAAAAUAAAAAGAAAAGAAUAGUUACUUGUGCAGCACAGCCUUUACGCCUAGCUACAUGGUCCAUUCUCUGUCUUUGAACCAAUCAACAGCAACAAGUUCCAUUAAAUGUUUUCCUGCAGGUAUCUGCAGUUACAAAUUGCACAAAGCACAAGAAGAGCCAACCAAACUACAUCAUAACCUGUCUACCUAGCCUAUGCAGGAUAUAUAAAUACCAUAAAUAAGUACCAUAAAUAACAAAUAAACAACAUAUGGGGGAACCUUUGUUUUGUCAUAACAAAAAUGCUUGCUACGAACUCUAAAGUUAUUUCCAUCAGAAAGUUUCCAGCAGUCACGAGCAUUAUCAUGGUCAUCGUGUCGUAGAUUGCCCGAAAAACAAGACAAAUCAAUUUGAUCAGCCUGCUCUUCCUCUAGGGCUGCAACUAAUUGAAAAUUAAAAAAAAAAAAAAAAAGAUCAAUACCAUAAAAAUCCACUAAUGCGGACAUUAGCCAAAUAUACAAAAAUGAAUACUUAUCAUCCACCUGUCCUCUUGAAAUCAUUCUCAAUCUUUUUUUCAUUUGCCUGAAAUCCCAAGGAAAAAUAUGUAACGAAUACUUCCCAUUCAUGACUAUAGUCUGUUGUAUAAACAUGACAUAUUUAAUUGGAAUAAUAAAAUUAUUUAAUUAUUUUAAUUAAAUGUUAAUCCUACAAAUUAUUUUUGUUAAAUCUAGCAAGAAUAACUAAAAUUUCUUUAAGAUAUAUUUUGGUAGUAAAUUAAAAAAAUUUAAUUAUUUGGCAGGAAUUAUUGAAAUUGGAGCCAUUUUUUUUGUGGGAAUUGAAAUAUAUUCUUUAAAUUAUUAUAUAAAUAGCAAAAUGUACAUACACACACAUAUAUAUAAUUCAUAUAUAAAAAUUCUCUAAUUUGUUCACAAGUAUCAUAGAUUAUAAUUCAGUUAUGAAAUAAAAUAACUACAAUAAUUAUAGUUAAAUGAAUACUUCAUUAAUUCUUAAUUUGCUUCCUAACAUUAAAUGAACAACUUGAGUCAGCCACCUGAAUUAACCAGUAACAACGCCUGAGUCAACCAUCUGAAUAAACCAGCAACCCUAGCUGAUUCAAGCACCUGCAAUUAACAUCAGCACAACAGGAACAAUCUUAAAUCAACACCAAGAACAGACCAAACUGCCAUCAAAUGUCACAAAACCAAACAGUCUGCUACUGCCAUCAAAUGCAAGCAAACAUAUGCAACAAAACCAGAUGCAAGUGAAAUUCUGGAGAACAUCGGAUAAACCAAACCAAAUGCCACACUUCUAGUAAUUAGACUAGAUGCAUUGUUCAAUUAAACUAAAUGUAGUCUCAUAUUACAUUCAAAAUUUCUAAAAAAGGCAGUGUUCCAUCAGAGAAGCACCAAAACCAAACCAAUCUAAUCCAGCAUAAUUACCAGCUCAACCCAAAACAAUUACACAUUAUAUUGACAUAUCAAAAUUCGCUAUCAAAACAUAGCCAAAUAAAUGACAAUAAACUCAAAACAGACCCAAACCAACUGAUGUUGCAGCCCUAGUAGUCGUUGUCCGUUCCACUGCCAUGGGAGUGAGGGUAGGCUCCGUUGUUGAUGAGUGAGUAAGAUAAGGCUCCAAAUCAAUAGUUCCACCUCCUUUCUGCAAUUCAAAAAACAGAAAUUCAUAUAUGUAAAACUAUUAAAAAGUGUGAAACAACCUGUAAGUAUUCAACUUCUGUCAACUCAAUAGUACUUACUAAAGUUUUUAUACAGAAGAAAAAGGCAUUUUAAGUCCAAAAAAUUAGAAUUAUUGGUUGAACUCCAACUCCAUCAAUCCAUGCAACCAUCCAAUCUUUAACGAAAAAAUGAAGCAUAAUUAACAAGACAUCUGAAUCAGAAAGAUUGUGCUUUCGUUUGGCACGAGGUGUUGGAAACAACUUAACAAAUCUAGACACAAUCUAUAACCAUCAAGUCCAAACAAAAGUCAGGAUCUAAAAUACUUUGAAAAAUCAGAAAAACAGCAAAAUAUCAGUUUCAAUUUCUUUUUCAUCCAUUGUAAGCUCAAACUAAAGGUAGCCGCGCUACCUUUAAACAUCAUUUGGGCUUGUACAUGUGACAUUUGCUCAUGAACAACUAAAGUUGAAUAAGAUUUUUAUAUGAAACAGAAUAUAAAAAGUCAAAGUAGAAUAUGACAGGAGCUACAAUAUAUUAUUCAGCAUUAGCAUUAUGUAUAAAAUAAAUUUAGACGCAUUAUAUUGAUUCACAAUCUUGCAGAGGUAAUACCAGAUUAUGGCACGCAACUCUUAUAUAGCAGAUAAAGGAGGAGAUGCAGUGGGAAGGUAGUAUCUUGCUUGCAUGAGGAUUAGAAAGCAAUAGCCCAAGAUCAAUUAUAGAUCUCAUAAAACAAAAACAGUGAGGCAAACACAAUUAUUGUGAACAAUUAUUCAUAGAACCACAUACCAGCAACAAGAUCAGAGUCAUCUGUGUAUAUAUCGAUUCCCCAUAGCUGACUGCCUCUGACCUAAACAUAAUGAACUUACAUAACUAAGAAGUAGAGUCAUAAAAUAUGCAGCUGUAACAGCUAUCAAUAAAUUUCCAGACAAAUGGAAUUUGAUCUGUAAGGCUAUAACUAGCAACACUUCAAAAUAAUUUGAAGUAGCAUGAUCUUACUUUAAGGAUCAAUACUACAAUCUUUCAGAAAAAUUAAAGUCUAAGCAAAAUUAAAACCUUAAACAUACUAAAAUCUGGUAAAUAGACCUACAGGAAUUCCAAUGACCUCCAAAAUAUUUGAAAGAAAAAUUAAUUUACAGCAAAAAAUGUUAAAAGAUUUGUAAAAUGGAAGCCCAUACUACUAUUCAAAUUACAAAUGAGGAAAGGGAGCUGGCCAUUAAAUGAUAAAGGCAUGCAUAAAGAAAUACAAAUAAUAUGCCCAUAAAGACGUCCACUCAAGCGUUAUAAGCGGCUUUAUGCAAAGGAAAGCCAAUUAGUUAACAAUAAAUGAAUUUCAAGGUGCAAUAAUUAAACUCCCUGAUCAGCACAUAUAAGGUUCAUGCAUUUCUACAAAACAUGUAAAUCAUAAGAACUUUUUUGGUCCAAAUGCUAACCAAUAAUUAAGUAGAUUAUCAAAGUUGUCACAGAACAAGCACCACAUUGAUUGCUAUGCAAAAGAUGAAAGUAAAAGUUAAUACUUUAUUUUAUUUUACUUUUCGAGAGUUUUGAUCAUCAUGUGCAAAAUAGUAGUAUAACUUGCUCAGUGUUAUCUCAAAAAGCUUGCUUAAAAUACCUAUUAGCACCAGUCCAAGUAGUCAAAUAAAUCCUUAUCUAUCCAUUCAUCUCUGACCUUGCCAAAAAGAUUUAAAUGAGCAUCUAUAUUCUCACUCCAAUCUUUCACAAUCAUGGGCUUUAUCUUUAGACCAGUUCUUCAAUAUCCCUUCCACUGUGAGCCCCUCGAAAACCUUGUAAAUUGAAUCACAUUUGUCGUCAGUUUCAAAUCCAUGUGUCAAAAGGCUAAGCAAAUGAAUAUACAAUCAACACCAUUCUUCCAAACGAAUAUACAGUCAACACCAUUCUUCCAAACGAAUAUACAGUCAACACCAUUCUUCCAAACACAAACAAAGUUUGAACGUAUGACAGAUUUUUAGCCAUUUAAUAUUCCAUCAAAGAUAAUUAGAUAACACCUACCAAGGAUUUUUGAAAAGAAUGCAUUCUCAUCUUAAGCAGCAACCUCACCAGUAACACAUUUUCAUACCCUGUUUCCACCUCUGGUCGCACCACCAAAAAAAAAUCAGUACUAAUUAGCUUCAACAGAGUCUAUUUUUUUAUUUCUUUUUUUUUUCAAAAUAAACCUCCAUUCUUAUACAUAAAAUUAAAAUAUCAAUUAAAUAAAAAAAGUCUAUGCUUACUAGUAAAACACGUCCAUUUUCAGGUAGAGGCAGAUAAUAAAAGAAAAUUGAUACUGAGAUAAAAUAAGAAGAGCUUACUAUGUGCAUUUGAUCAACAAUCCAAUCCUUAAUGAUGGAAUCGAUGCUAUCAAAUAAACGUGACUUAAUCUUGAAACAUUAAACUGCACUAAGCAUAGCACCAAAGCCAGAGCGUGACUAUAAAGAAGAAAAAGAAGAAUUAAAUCAACAUGAAAUUGAACUUUUGUUUUAUCUUCCACAAGCAAGAAAUUCAACUGGAACAAUACAAAAUAUGAAAUUUUUAGCAAUCUUACUAGCAUUAUACACAAAUCUCAAUUCACGACAAAUAGGGGAAUGAAUCACUAACAUCACCCAAUUCAUAUAUUCAAAUAAUGUAUCCCCACUCCUAACAAGCAACGUGCUACCACAGUCGAUUAGUUGUUAGGGUUAAGGCUCACCAUAGAGAACUGGAUGGCGCUAACUAAAUGACACGUUGAAACGGCAUCUGCAAUCGUAUUGAAUGACAUUGAACUUUUUCAGCUUCGUCGGUUGCGAAUGUGAGACCUUGGCUUAGGGUUCUAUACAGUGUUGUUGAUGCUUAAAUCUGCUCGCCUUUUGACCGACCAGAUUCUUUCACCAACAUUUGUGUUGUCAACUGCUGCUCGGACCACUGGGGUUGGAAUUGCCCUCCUUCCUCUUACUAGACCUGCGUUCACCAAAAAUGGAUCAGAGACGCCGGUGGUUUUGCCGGCGUAAACCCUCCGAUGCCUAAGUUAGCACAAGGUAUUUACGGGAAAACGGUGUAAUUUGGAUUCAAGAAGGGCUUAUAACUUGUUUCGAAGUUUGUAAGGAAAAGGCAUGAUUGCAAUUUGGCAGCGUUUUCCCUCUCUUCAUUUUUUUUGUCCUUUUCUUCAUCGAUUUCUUCUCCUUUUAUAGCCGUUGUCCCAUGUUCCCGUUUGGCUUUCAUCCCUCUUUUUUCGGAUGGUGGCAGCCCCUCAACGGACUCUAACUGCUACAUCAUGGGCAAACGUGGGGUCUCGCAUUACUCGCAACGGUUCUGGGAGAAGCGUAACUACCAUGAUUCUGUGGGAUCGUGUUCCCGCUUUUUCGGGGGAUGGGUAUCGGCUCGGUAUAUACCUCUGGUCGGUAUACUCCCCUGGUUGUACUCGUCUCUGGUCGGACCAUACUUGUCCCUGUGUUCUGCUCGUACCAUUUGGUUAAGGUGAUCCAUGCCGGCAUGGAAAUAGAAGCAUGGCCGACCUGGUGCGUAGCAUGGCCGACCUGGUGCUUUUAUUUACUUAACACCAGUCCCCCAGUUUCUGGUCUUGCGAGUAAAAUGAGUUAAGAGUAGAAACUGAUGGUUGAAUCUUACCAGCCCGGGGCUUCUCAUCUGGUCUUCUGUCAUUCCGGGACGGACCUGAGGUACCAUUCUUGUUCUGGGGGGAUUCUGACCUGAGCAUGGGCCUUAAUAAGCAUGUCCAUUGCAUAUAUGGACUUGCAUCUAGCCUGGCCUCUUGUAACGGUUAGUGACGUGGCGCUUCUCGACUCUUCGUAUUUGAAAUUUGAAACGACGGGCUAUCCGUCCUCGAUAUAUGGGGGGUGAGCUGGCAUAUCCCAUCACUUAAACGCUUCCAUUUCCCCCUUUUCGUUUCAAAUCCCUAGACUGGAGUCAUCAUCAUCUUGUUAUUCGUUUCUCCGCCGUUAAUCAAAUUUUUCUCUGAACUUUGCUCACACUUCCAGCGUCCAGAGUAUCCAUUUGGUGGGUGUUUUCUCUGUCACGGCAGCGCUAUCAGUGUCAGUCUAUUCCAGGUAUAGCCUUUAACCUCUUCUUUGGCUGUUGUUGAUUGGGUUCUGUGUUGCCCCUUUUUGUAUUCGUGUACUUGGGUUUGUUUUGGUUUCCUUUUGGGAUUCCGGUAUGUCGAAUCGGAGAAGGCAGUUGAUUGUAGAUGAGGGUGACGAAGGAACAGAGGAUUCACGCCUUAAUGUUUCAAUACCCACUGAAUUUUUACAUCCCUCUAGUACUGUAGGCUUCUCCCAUGGGAGGGAUACCCUUGAGUACCCACGUCCCUUGUCCAUUUCAUCUUCCCCUGAGCUAGGGCUUGUAGGAAAUAGAGGGGGACCUGCGUCGGGCUCUGGUGAGAACCACAGUUCUGGUGGGGUUGGGGUCCUUGAAGAAGUGGGUAAUAGUGAGGGAAGCAGCUCCGAGCCGAGCCGACCUCCUAAGAAAAGAAACCUUGGGCAUAGGGUGGAGGCGAAUUCUUACCCUAUCGACCAUAUAGCCUGUGCCACCACCCAAACUGACCUGUUCAAGCUUAGGAACCUCUACAACAUUCCUAAGGAGGUUCUUCUUGUAGUUCCUAGGAAGGGUGAUGUUCCUAGUCGGCCUCUGCGGGGGUAUGUGACGAUGCACCUGGAGAGUUUCAAACUAGUAGCUCGGCUGCCCCUUCAGCGUUAUUAUGCCAAGAUAUUGGGGGCCAUGCACCUGGCCCCAGGUCAGCUACACCCAAACGGGUGGAGGGUCCUCUCGGCUAUGUUUGUGUUGUGGGAGAGAUGCGGGUCGGAGGAGCCUUCCCUUGUUGAAGUGAAGCAUUUGUAUCAGCUGCGGAGCAGCCCAAGGGAGGCAGGCUGGUACUACUUCAUGUCCAGUUCUGCGAAGAGAAAGCCCAUUACCGGUUUCCCCUCCUCGUGCAAAAAUUGGAAGAACAAAUUCUUAUUUGCUGGGGGAAAUUGAUGUUCAGCAGUCCGUUCGUUGGGUGGUGAUAUUUACCUUCCAACGCAAUUUGUCACCCCAGGUCGUUCAUUUUUUGCCUGUAUCCUUUCUCGAAUUGCCACUUAUUGGGUUCUUUAACCUUGUUUGUUUUUUCAGAAUCGUGGGGUUUGGUUAAGGAUCUCGAAGACCGGCCUUUGCUUCAGGUGGAAACUGCUCUGGUGAACGCGUCUACUUGUCAAGACCUCCUGUCACCAACAAGCUUGGUCGGUUCGGGCUUAGUAGAUAUUGCCGCAGGAAUGGAUAACAAGAUCCUUAACGCGAUGAGCAGAAAACGUGGUCGGGCUCCGAGUAGCUCCAGCAACCCUCCUCCUCCUCCAAAGAAACCCAGCGUCGGUCCUUCCAAGGCGCCUGUUCCUGCUCUGCCCCCUCCUCCACCUCGUAAGAGUGGUGGGGAGAAAACCUCCGACAAGAGUCCUGAGGUCAGCUUGCAGUCAGGGGACCGAUCUUCUCCUCUUCCAUCUCGGGAUCAAGGUGACUACCUGAGCCCUUAUCAGAAGGAUUAUAAAAAAUCGGUUGGGCCCAAGAUGGUGAAGGACAUCGAGAGCAUGAACCUCUCUGAGUUAGCUGCUUCUGUUCAAAGAGUCUCAUUCAGGCUGGCCACAAUGGUCUCGUGCUACAAGACCGGAUCCGCGCGCCAUGAGAAGAAGCUUCAAGCUGACAAUCAGGAGUUGAAGAAGAAAGAUGAAUCUGCUGACCGCUCCAAGGAGAAACUGGCCGAGUUGAACAAGCAGAUUACGGAGCUGGAGGAGAAAAUUGCAGUUGCUGAGUCCACUGCCUCCAAGUUUGAGGGUGAGCUGGGUGGCCUGAAGUCGGACCUUCAGGUAGCUCAAAGUGAAAGAGAUACUUUGAGGACCGCCCUUGAGGGAAAAAUCAAAUCCCUGAACGAGCAGCUGGCUGAGGGGAAAGGUAAAUCCGCCGAUGUGGACGAUCGGUUGGAUGCCGAGUAUGACUCGGGGGUUGCUUUCUCCUAUAAGUGCAUUAUGUCUGUGCUUCAGGGAGAAUAUCCCGAGCUGGACAUGAGCAAGUUGGAGGCUGGAGUGCAGCGAUAUAUGGCAGAGGUCGGUCAGGCGAACAAGGAGCAGGGUGAGCAGGAUCAGGUGGAGGCUCCUUUUGAUGGGAUGCAAGAGGGGGAAGCUGGGGGACGCACUUUCGAAGUGGGUCAAGGGUCCAUGCCUCCUCCUCCCGGUAUUGCUGAUCUCCCACCUCCUGAUGUUGCUGAUCCCUUACUUCCCGAGCUCGCUGAUCCUUCGGCUGCUGGAACCGUUGACUCUGCUAAGCUUUGAGCCUAUUUUUGUAUAAACUCUAGAUUUGCAUUUGUUUUGUAAACAAUUGAACAUUUAUAAAUUUUUAGAUGCUCUUUAUUUGCUUUCUUGCCCGGUUUUUGCUCAUAGAUUGUUUCUGAAAAACAAUUGGACAACUUAUCUGAUUUUGCCUGCUGGUUCUUUAGUGAGCCGAGCAGGAGUAGGCAUUUGUUUGCCUUAGUAAGAUUUCCAUAAAAUUGGUUACUAGUCUUUAUUGACCGAGCAGAAUUAGGCACUUACUUGCCUUAGUAGGAUUUUUGUAGGAUUAGCUGCUGGUCUUUCUUUGACCGAGCAGAGGUAGGCACUUAUUUGCCUUAGUAGAAUUUUCGUAGAUUAGCUGCUGGUCUUUCGUUGACCGAGCAGAUGCGGGCACUUACUUGCCUUGGUAAGAUUUUCGUAGGAUUAGCUACUGGUCUUUCUUUGACCGAGCAGAGGUAGGCACUUAUUUGCCUUAGUAAAAUUUUCGUAGAUUAGCUGCUGGUCUUUCGUUGACCGAGCAGAUGCGGACACUUACUUGCCUUGGUAAGAUUUUCGUAGGAUUAGCUGCUGGUCUUUCUUUGACCGAGCAGAGGUAGGCACUUAUUUGCCUUAGUAGAAUUUUCGUAGAUUAGCUGCUGGUCUUUCGUUGACCGAGCAGAUGCGGGCACUUACUUGCCUUGGUAAAAUCUUCGUAAAUUUAGCUGCUGGUUUUUCGUUGACCGAGCAGAAGUAGGCACUUGCCUUAGUAAAAUCUUCGUAAAUUUAGCUGCUGGUCUUUCGUUGACCGAGCAGAAGUAGGCACUUGCCUUAGUAAAAUCUUCUUAAAUUUAGCUGCUGGUUUUUCGUUGACCGAGCAGAAGUAGGCACUUACUUGUCUUAGUAGAUCUUUUUAAUGGACUUAUUGGCCAGGGGAUUUCAUGCUGAAUUCAUCUUUAUUGAACUUUGAAUGCGUUACAGAAAUACAGAAUAUAUGCAUAUGCAACAAGCCAUCAUGCGUUUGAAAGGAAUAACUUAUCAAAAUGAAAAUUAAUAGGGCACUUUGCUUACUGGAAGUACUUUUUCAAGUGCUCGGCGUUCCACGACCUCUUCACCUCUCGUCCGUCUGGAUACGCCAGCUUGUAGGCUCCCGGUCCAGUUGCUCGUAUCACCCUGUACGGGCCUUCCCAUUUCGGGCCAAGAGCUCCAUGGUUGGGAUCCCUGGUGUUUUGGUUCACCUUCCUAAGCACCCAAUCUUCUGUUCGGAACUGCCUCACGCGUACGUUUUUGUUGUAAUAACGCGUGACCCUUUGCUGACAUUGGACCACCUUCUGCGAAGCCCGUUCCCUUUUCUCCUCCAGCAGGUCCAGGCUCAAGCAGAUCUGCUCGCCAUUUAUUGCUUCGCCCAAUUCUGAUCCGACCUUAACCACUCUGCUAGGGUCACUCCUGCUUACAACAACUUCCUCCAGCUUCUCAACAGGUUCUUGGCGACCGUUUUUUGAAUCCCCUCGGUUAUCUAGAGAGGUAACUUGCAGUGUUUCCUUGGCCGCUGUAGCAUAGCAGCUCCUGGCCAUUCUCUGGUCGCCCUUUACUACACCCACAACUCCAUUUAUUCUGUAUUUCAGUGCCAGAUAAUGUGUGGACAUUACACAUUGGCUUAUUCUCAUGAACGGUCUCCCCAAUAUCAUCUGGUAAGGACUUCUUUCCUCUACCACGACAAAGUCUAGCAUCAUCGUUCUUUCAAAUGGCUUUGUCCCCACAGUAAUCGGGAGUUCAAUGACCCCCAUGGGAGUUAAUCGUCCCCCUCCAAACCCCUUCAAGGAUGUGUUCGUCCGCUCCAGCUUUAAGUCUGAAAUCCCCAUAUCAUCUAGGGCCGACUUAAACAGAAUAUCGACUGAGCUGCCCGUGUCCACCAGUAUUCGCCUUACUUCUGUACUAGCUACCAACGCUUUAAUCACCAGUGCAUCCUCAUAAGGAUACAAAAUGCCCUCUUCGUCAUCCUCCGUCCACAUAAUGGGCACUUGCCGCACUCUUGCCUUCUUGGCUGCUGGCAAAUUUAGAAGCACCUCUUUGCCAGUCAUGGCGUACCUCCCAUAGUUCUUCCGUGCUCUAUUUGAAUCCCCGACCAAUGUUGGCCCUCCUGCUAUCACACGGAUGGUCGGCUGUUCACGUUCCAGAUCCCUCUCAACUCCUUCAUCCCGUGUGUACUGUGAUUCCAUGGCAGGGGACAUUCCAUCUACAUACUCGUCCAAGUAUCGGUUCCUCACUAAAUCCUCCACCUGAAUCUUCAGGUCACGACAUUGGCUGAUAGUGUGACCAUGAGUGUCGUGGAACUUGCAGAAUCUGCUCUUAUCCCGUCGAUGAGUCGGUUUUGUUAUUGGGGCUGGAAGGUACAGCAGGCCUCGUCCUUCGAUCCUCUCAUACAAUUUCUCCAUGGAGAUCUUUAAUGGAGUGUACUGUCUAUAUGCCAAGCUCUGGUCUACUAGCUGAACUGCUCGGCUAUCAUGAACGUCUCCUCGGGUUGGUAUAGCCGGUAGCUGCUCUAGUCGUCCAGACCUGUAAUUAGUUGCACUUAAUCCUCUGGGAGUGCUGUGAUAAGGGUAGGCAGCCAUCUGCCUGAAUUCUCGCUGUCGCUCUGGGAUCGGGGGGCGCAGAGGUUGAGCCCGGCUGUGUUGGAACUGUUGUGAUCUCGGAGCUAUGGGAUAAGGGCGGGACCGAGCUGAUGUUCCGCCCCUUACUGAGGACUCCCCAGCUCGCUUUCCCGACCCGCUCCCACUUGGAGUUCUUCUUUCCUUUCGUCUCAGCUCCUCCAACUGUUCACUCUUUAUCCUUGCCGAUUUUUCUUCUUCGAUUUCGAUGUCUCUCUUUGCCUGCUCAUACCCUGCUGAAUAACUCUGCACUAGGGGGCUCCUCAGGUUAUUCCAUAGCCGGCCUAUCCUCACACCCUCCUUUAAUCCCCUCAAUGCCUGCGGGUGAUUGAAAGCUCCCAAAUCAAGUACGGCUUGGUGGUAUCGCUUUACAAAAUCCCGUAGGGAUUCAUGCUCCUCCUGUUUUAUCCCCAUCAGUUCCAUCAUGUCAUCCUCUGGGGCUGCUGCUCCUCGGAACUGCUCGGCCAACUCCUGGCACAUCUGCUCAUACCCCUUUAUACUUCCUCGGGAUAGCUUGCGGUACCAUUCUCGGGCUCGUCCCUCUAGUGUCAACGGGAACACCCGGCACCUCUGAGCUGGUGUCAGCCCCUGCACACCCGUCAUGUCGUUGAAACGCUCGAUGUGCACCAGCGGGUCACUUCGCCCGGAGUAUUUGAGGUCGGGGAAGCGGAAAUCUCUUGGGAUUAUGAUACCCAUGAUCUCAGUUGAUAACGGAGAUUCUUCAUCUAGCAUUAUCCUCCAGCUCGGGGGCUUUCUCUUGCCCUGUUUCCUCGACUCUACGCCUCCAGAGGUUGGAUUCUGCUCCAACUUCAUCUCUUCCCACGGGGGUUUCACAAUCCCUUCUCCGCUCAUCCCUCAGCUCAAACAAUAUGGCCGCGAGAGUCUCCAUUUGUUUCUCCAUCCGCUCCAGUCUAUCUUGCAUCAUCCUCUCUCGGGCUUCAUUUGCAAUUUCCCGAAGAGUGAUUGUCUCCCCAGCUUCGUUAUCCUCCCUCAAGGCGUCCUUCCUCGUCACAUCCAUGUCUAACCGUUCGUCGUUUCUCCGGUAACUCCUAAUUCGGUGGUAGCUUUUUAUCCAGCUCCCCACAGACGGCGCCAAAAUGUUGAUGCUUAAAUCUGCUCGCCUUUUGACCGACCAGAUUCUUUCACCAACGUUUGUGUUGUCAACUGCUGCUCGGACCACUGGGGUUGGAAUUGCCCUCCUUCCUCUUACUAGACCUGCGUUCACCAAAAAUGGAUCAGAGACGCCGGUGGUUUUGCCGGCGUAAACCCUCCCAUGCCUAAGUUAGCACAAGGUAUUUACGGAAAAACGGUGUAAUUUGGAUUCAAGAAGGGCUUAUAACUUGUUUCGAAGUUUGAAAGGAAAAGGCAUGAUUGCAAUUUGGCAGCGUUUUCCCUCUCUUCAUUUUUUUUGUCCUUUUCUUCAUCGAUUUCUUCUCCUUUUAUAGCCGUUGUCCCAUGUUCCCGUUUGGCUUUCAUCCCUCUUUUUUCGGAUGGUGGCAGCCCUUCAACGGACUCUAACUGCUACAUCAUGGGCAAACGUGGGGUCUCGCAUUACUCGCAACGGUUCUGGGAGAAGCGUAACUACCGUGAUUCUGUGGGAUCGUGUUCCCGCUUUUUCGGGGGAUGGGUAUCGGCUCGGUAUAUACCUCUGGUCGGUAUACUCCCCUGGUUGUACUCGUCUCUGGUCGGACCAUACUUGUCCCUGUGUUCUGCUCGUACCAUUUGGUUGAGGUGAUCCAUGCCGGCGUGGAAAUAGUAGCAUGGCCGACCUGGUGCGUAGCAUGGCCGACCUGGUGCUUUUAUUUACUUAACAAGUGUUAUAGAGAGAGGCUCAGAGUUGAUUCAUUUUAGGUUGCAGUGGCCAGUGGAGAGAGAGGGAUUUAUUCAACGCUUAGCCAAAAUUUGGCGGAAGUGUUGAUGUGUUUUAAGUUAUAUAAAACGGUGUCGUUAAUUUAAACGGCACUGUUUUACAAUCUUAUAAUUUCACAAAACUUAAGCAUGACUUAUAUGUAUCAUUUAUUUAGGACGGUUAAGUUACGUCAUGAAUAUGUCAUAUAUUCUGGACAUAUGAAUAUAUAUCAUGAAUCUAUCAUAUUUUUAUGAUACAUUCGUGACACAACGAUAUAUGUCAUAAAAUUUCUGUCAUUAUUUAAUACUUUUCUAGUAGUGUCAUAUCUUUAAAACCUUUCUAUUAAUAGCAAAAACUCUAAUCCUUUAGCAAAAGACUAAAAAUUUAAAAAAAAAAAUUCUGUUUAAAUAUCAGUUGGCUCAUGAUCAACACUUCAAUACUAUUUGUUGUAUUUUCUUUCUUUCUUUCUUUGUCAUUUUAUUAGAUUUGCUUAAGUAAUUGUUCAUUGUUUACGUCUGUGUUCUUACUAGCUUUUGAUAAUUUAUGGUUGGUUUUUUAUUCAAACCCUCGAAGUACCUUUCUGUUAACAGCAAAACCUUUGAUCCUUAAGAAAGAAAAAGAAAUUCUCUAUUUAGUUAUUAGUUGGUUCAAGAUCAAUAUCGCGAUAUUGUUUGCGGUCUUUUCAUUCUCUAUCUUUCCCUCUAGUUCAAUUUAAUUUAUUUGUAUUCCUUUCUUUGACCCUUGUAUUUAUAUAUAUAUAUUGUUAAGCAACAGGCAAUGGCUGCAGAAGGGUGCCUCCCUGCUUUUUCCAGCAUUGUAUCACAAGGUUCAAAAGCGUUAUUCGAACCGAUUAUGCGGCACAUAUAUUAUGUGUUCGAGUACCAGAGCUACAUAGAUGGGCUAAAAGAUCGAGUGAAGGAGCUGGAAUAUAUAAGAGAAAGGGUGCAAAUGCUGGUUAGAGAGGCUACUCUACAAGGAGAUGAGAUUUAUAAGGGUGUCAGAGACUGGCUAAAUAGAGUUGCUGAAUUCAGUGAAGGGGUUGCAAAAUCCAUCAUUGAUGAUAAAGAUAGAGCUAAGAUGUUCUGCUUCAAAGGGUUGUGCCCAAAUUUGAUUUCUCGUUACAAGCUUGGUAAACAAGCAGCAGAGGCGCAAACGAAGCUGACAAACUUGUGAAAAAAAGGCGAAUUUAACAUAUGUAAUCAUGUUUCCUACCGUCCUGCUCCAGAGAGUACAGAAUAUGUGCAAGUGAAAGAUUACGUAGCCUUUUAUUAUAAUAUCUUUUCACUCUAUUAACUUAAAAAAAGAUUGACUUCAAAUGUUAAAAAUGUAACAGCGUAUACAUUUUAUAAUAAUUUCAAUAUUUAAAAAAUAUUUGAAUACUUUACAAUCUUAUAUUAUAUUAAACUAAUUUUAUAAUAUAUAGAAACAUAAUAGUAAAAUAAAUAUAUAAAAUUUUAAGUUAGGCUUAAUAUUAUUUAAAAUAAUUUAAAUAUCAUUAAUACAUGAGAUAUAUUAUAUUAAUUAUAAAUUCUAUUUAAUCUAAAUAUUUAUUUAAAUUUUUUAUACUAAAAAUAGAUAUAUUAUUAAAAUAAAUAUAACAACUAACAUUUUAAAAAUUAAUACUGAAAUUAAAAUUAUAAAUUAUAUUAAUCUACUAAAAAGAUUAAUCUAUUUGACACUCGCAGCGGACAAUGAGGUCACGGCAUAGGACAACUUCUUUUGAAAAAAAAAAAAAUCAAAAUCAAAGUCAUUGAAGUGCGUUUGAUGAUUUGCUGUGUAGCUUCUCUCUCAAAUGCUUUUCGAGUGCCUCUGGUAUCUGCUUUUAUAUAAGCUUUUGUCUUUAAUCAUUCAUUCAAGCUUUCGCUAAGAGUGAUGCAGCACAGCACGUAAAUAUAGAAGCAUUGACAGCCGUAGUCAGGAGCUCUUCGGUAUUUGAAGCAAGAAUGGUUGUUUGGCUUUGUGCAUUGAAAGAGAAAAGAAAAUAGAAUGACUAAUUUCAAUAAUACAAUUUAAUUAAUUAAUUUAAAAUAAUAAGCAUAUAAUAAUGAUGAAAUUAAUUAAUAAAAAGAAGAAAAUGAAAAUUGCACGUGCUAUUAGCAUAAACCAAUUGCCGGAAUGAGGUCACUUUGUAGACAAAUGAUUCUGGAAUCAGAACUUGGGCCAGCUUUGGGUUAUGGAUCCAAAAUAAAAAUAAGGUGGGCCACAUGGUCUCUUAUGAUCAAUAAAAAUCGAUUGAAAAGGAUGGUAUGGUGAGUGGAAGAGAAAUGUCGAUGGCAGAUCAAGGGAUGAAGAUACGAGCUCACUUGCAACGUGGUAUAGUUCAUCAUGGCUUUCCUAUAAGUUCAGGUCCUUUGAAUACUUUCAAUGACCUUAUUAGUCAGGAAUUUAACAAUAAUUUUUAUUUUUUUACAUCCAGGAACGGUUUUAAGCAUAGGAAAAUUAGGCCUAUAAUAGCAAAUCUUCUUUUUUAGGCCUCUUUUUAGUUAGUAAUUAUCUUAUAAUUAAGAAUUUUUAUACACAUUCUAUAUUUGAUAACCUUAAUAUUAAAGAUCUCUAAUUGUUAAUUUAUUAUUAGUUUUUCCAAGAAAAAAAUUAAAUUCUUUAUCUAUUUAAAAAAGUUUAUUAUUUAACAUUAUAAAAUUUUUUGCGCCAUUCUCUAUAAAGAAAAUUAUUACAUUUAUUGGUUCACUUUUGAAUUAAAAAAAAGUUUAUUAAAUAAUAAUUCUAGAGGAAGUAAAAAAGAUAUCUUCUUGGAAAUGUUUCAAACCCAUGUGUUUGGAUCUGUUUGAUAAUUUGUCGAAUUUGCCCACAUAUGAAAUUAGUAUGAUUUUACAGGUUAUAUUAUUUAAUUGGCUAUUUCAUUAAAAAAAAAAAAAAACACACACACACACACACACACAAGGAUUUUUAUUUGAUGGUAGAAGUUAAGUUGUUUUUCAGUGAUAAAUAAUGUUGUUAACCAAAUUUAAUUGACAUUCUACGUGGCAGUAAUUCAAUUUUAUAGAAGCACGUGGAUUAAAGGACAAAAACACAUCCAGUAUUUAAUAUUGGAUAUGAAUAUGGAUUUUAUCCAUAUAGAUAUGGAGAUCUACGGAUAUUUUAUUUUUAUUAUAUAAAACUAAUAAUAUAAAAUAGUUAAAAUUUCAAUAUCAAAUUUGAUUAUUAAACUAUUUAUAUUAGUAAUAAUAUAUAUAUAUAUAUAUAUAAUGAAAUGGCCGUCCGGUGGCCGGCAACGGAGGUCCGCGAAGUCUCUUCAUUCUCCUGUUAAGUAAUAAAAAAAAUCAAAACAGAGGAGAAACAUGGCCCUCUUUUCAUUCCCCUGUUUGAUAACAAUAAAAACAAAACAAAGGAGAUACGUGGACUCUCUUCUCAUUCCCCUGUUUUUCUUUUCGGUUUGGCGAUUUUAAAAUUUGAUAUCUACACUCAUUAAAAAAAGAAAAAAAAAAGUUAUUCCAAGAUGAUUUUCUAUUUUCAUAUAGACGUUUAUUUAUUAACCAAAAUUUAAAAAGUGUAAUUCUAAACUUAUCCUUGUGCUUUGAUCUUGGAGGGAUUUUUCAUUUUUUCUACACUGGUCUUAUCAAUUAAUGAUGAAAGUUCUUAUCAUUAAUUGCUUUGGAAAUGAGCAAGCACGGUAUGACCCCUAAGAGAAUUUAUUAAUUGGACAAGUUAUAUAACACCUUUGAUAUGGCUCCUAGACAUGUAUGCAAUUUGUAUCUUUUAGUUUUGCUUUUAAUUCUUUUUUAAUUAAAUGAGUCCGGAUUAGGUCAGUGGCAGAUAAAAGAGUCGGUUUUUCCAUUACUAAGCUUUUCAUGGAUGAAAAUUUUAUUUAUUUUUUUGGUUUUAAAGGUUCUCUGUGAAUGCCAUUAGAAAUGAGAUUGACUAAUUCAAGCUUCCUUUUUCCCCUUAGCAUCCAAACGUGUGAGGCAAGGGCAACUAAUGAGUCCCUUGUGAUGAGAACCUUUGUCUAAGCAAAAGCAGAGGUCAAUUGCUAAUACCGUAAUGUUAUUACUUUCAGUGCUUAAAUUGCUCCAUAAGCUUGCAUUUUAAAGUCUUUGUCUUAAUUUCUGUGGUAUACUGGUUAUGAGACCUCCUGCCAAGUUCAAGUUUCUUGAUGUCUUAUAAUUCCAUUUGUUGUGGUGGUUACUUUGUCAUAGAACUGACUGUUAAAGGCCAUCAAUCAGCUCUGUUUUGUAUUUGUGUACGUUUUUUUUCGUAUAAUGAUCAAUCAAAUGUUAGCCCUUAGAUUGCAUCCAAUAUUUAUUGAUUGUCUUUAAUUAGGAUAUAAACUAAAUUCAUAAGACAUUCCCUUAUUGAUAUUCAUUCCAACACGUCCUAGUCUUUUGCCUUGUAGAAAUGCUUGUGGUUGAAGAGCUUUACACAGAAGCUGUCGUCAGUACUGCGCGGAAAUUGAUUAUAUUGAAUCAGAAAACUUGACUAGGUAAGGUCUAUGUGCAUGAGAAUACUUGGAAAAUCUUCACAAUACUGAGGGCCGGAUCUGCACUCUUUCCUCUAUAUGUGUCUUCAAUAUCAAUGGCUCAAAUACAUGUGUUAUGGUCUUUUAAUAUAAAAUACCAUUAUCUCAUGCGUUAUGGUCUUAUCCUUGUAUUCUUAAAAACUAUAUAAAAUACCAUUAUCUCUGCUUUUGUAGCUAUUGAAUUCGACUUUCACAACAUAAAUAUUUAUUUAUGUUAAUGUGUAUAAUUUUGAAAAUUAUAUGCAUUGUUAAUGUGUAUUAUUGUCUAAUAUUUGGAUUUUAUUAAUUUACAACUGCUAUAACUUAAGGCCUCUUCAAACAUAAUGUGAGUCCCACCACGUGUUAAAUUUUUUACAUUAUUUUUGAAGGAACUAUAAGUUACAGCAGCUGUAACUUAGCAGCACCUCCAAUAUUUUACUUUACUUCCCCUAAUAUUUUACUUGUACUUUUAUAUCUUUACAAAACAAUACCAACAAGACAAUAAUGUAUGAAAUAAAUAAAUAAAGAACUGACAACGAAAUUAGGCCUAUCAUUAAUUUCUCGUGGCGUGAACUCUUGACAAUUCUCCCAUAUCCCACCUGAAGCUCUCGCGUGGUGUGAACGCUUGACGAUUCUCCCAUAUCCCUCCAAAAAUUUGUCAUAUUACGAAAAGCAAUGUCAAUUCAAUGUCGUCUCCAUUAAUCAUAGUGGCAGAUAGGACUAGAAUUUGUUGAAACCCCCGGACUUAUUUUUCCUUUUGAAAAUAAUUUUGUAGAAUCUCAUAUCGUGAAUAACAGACAAUGAGACUCUUUUUUUUAACUAUAAUAUUUUUUUUUAAAUUAUUAACUAAAAAAAUAAUUUUAAUAUUUUUAUAAUAAAUAUAAGUAGGAUAUUAAAAUAAAUAUAAUAAUAUUUAUAUAUUAAAAUAAUUUCAAUACCAAAAAAUAUUUUAAUAUUUUACAAUCUCGUAUUCUAUUAAACCAAAUUAUAAUAAAUAGAGACAUAAUAUUCAAAUAAAUAUAUAAAAAUUUAAAUUAUUUUCAACAUCAUAUAAAAUAACUUUAAUAUUAUUAAAACAUGAGAAAUAUUAUAUUAAUUAUAAAAACUAUUUAACCCAAGGAUUUGUUUAAAAUUUUUAUAAUAAAUAUAUUAUUAAAAUAAAUAUAUUAAAUUACAUUUUAAAAAUUAAUUAUUUAAAUUAUACAUACUAGUCUACUAGAAAAUUUAAACUAUUUAAAUCAUAUAUACAUUUAGUAAAAAAUUUUGAAGUCAUUUUUUUUUAUGUGGCUACCAUAAGAGUACUAUAGUCAAAAAGGGUAUUGGUGUUCUUUAUUAAAAUUUUGGGGUCUACAUGACUAUUUUCUAAAAUUUUAAGGGUGUCAUUUUAUUUUUGGAAAAAAAUAAAAAUUUCAUUUAAACGGCUAAAAUGGUGAAUGAUGGUUGUCGAAGCCAACAAAAAUAAAUAGAUACUCUAAAUAAAUUGUAUAUAGUGAUUGAGCAGGGUCGUGUCCACAUAGAUCGGUAAUUAUUUAAAUUCUUUUAAAACAUAAAACAUAAAAUGGGGGUUUUGUUGACAAUAAUAAAAAUCAAAGUAAAAAAACGAAUGCAAAUUAAAGUUGGAAUUCAAAUUGGAGAAAGCUCUGGUUGAAGGAAUUAACUCAGCUUGAUUCAACUGCUGAUCAUUGAUUCAAAUAUAAAUUAUUAUUACUUAUGAAUAGACCGGUUAUAGCUACUGAGACCCUCUAAUAGCCAAUCUCUCCUUAAUUAGUCAAUAACCAAGGUACGACCGUUGGUUAUUUUCCUAAUCAAUAGACAACCCUAGAUACGAUCAUAGAAUUUAAUCAAUUGACAGCCUGAAAAACCAGAGAGACCCAAAUCCUAAUCAACAAACACAUACGAUGGUUCAUUUAAAUUAGAUUGUUUAUUCUCACAACACAACUCUUUGCUAUGUUAUUUGUCACAAACAUUAAAAUCUUCAUACGAUGAAUCCUUUAAUUGACAAUAGAUUAAGUUGAUAAUUAAAUAGUGGCCAAUUACCUAAUUAACAAACAUAAUCAUGAAAAUAAUUUAGAGAAUAAACAAAUACCCAAAAAGCAAUAAAAAAAUUAAAGCAUAAGAAAGAUCUCACAGUAGUGAUGAAUCAAAGCUUCAUUAACCUUCAACCAGAAAAAUAGGUUUAGUUCUUCAUAGAGAGAAGAGAAAAGUUUAGAUCUAGGGUUUCUUUCUUUUUCCAAUCUCCCAUUUUUCACAAUAGAUUCCUCCCUUAAAUACUCUCUCUCUCUUCUCAUCUAGAGUUCUAUUUAAAAUAAAAUACUAAUAUCUGAAAUAUUAAAUUCAUAAUUACAAAAAUAACCAAAAAUACAAAACACGUUAAACUAAAAACUGCAGGUCCGUAGUUGACAGCACGCGCCCACGCCUUAUCAACAAAGUUCUUUUGACGCUCAUAAUUUCUCCAAUGGAACAAUCAUCCUUAAACAUCAUCUUGUAACUCAAUUUUUGCACCAAUCAAUAGAAUUGCACCUAUAAAAAUAAAACACAAGUAAAUCACUAUUAUUAAGUACAAAACAUCGAUAUUAAGGGAAGUAAACAAUUCAAAACUAGUGCAUAAACUGCACUCUAACAGUGAAUAGUACAAUGCUACAGUGGGCGUAAAUGGAAGGUAAAAAGCACUCAAAAUGACCAACAGUCUAAUGCCUCAGCAGGGACAUAAGGUCAAAGUUUGUUACAUGUGGUUAGGGCCAUUUAGUCUGUGAGUGGGUCCUGCGUGUCAUUUUUGGGCAUUUCAUCUUCUUUAGCAUUGAAGAUUAAAUGUUGCCGAUAUUUUCAAAAUUUUGGAAGACCCAUCACACUUUUGGAUGGUUGUCAUUAUUUGAUAUUAUCAUUAUAUGACGAAAUAAAAUUGGAUGUAACACUUGUUUCGCGUUGUGUGAACUUUUGACAAUUCCCCCAUAUCCCCCAAAAAUCUUUCGCCAUUUUGGGAAGAUGCCAUUUAUUUUCAUUUUCAUCAUUGAUAGUGGCAGAUAAUGGGUUCGGGGACAUACUAUAAAUUAUUAUGACCCAUGGACUUUUCUAAUUUUUUUCCCUUUGGAUAGUUGUCGUUAUUUGAUAUAAGGAGAUAGAGAUAAAGUUUUUUAAUCAAAUGCCCAUUUUUUUUACCUUUGGAUAGUUGUCGUUAUUUGAUAUAAGGAGAUAGAGAUAAAGUUUUUUAAUCAAAUGCCCAUUUUAUUUAACAUGGAAGAAGAUCUUUAAACUCUAAGUGAGGCUAUCACUUCAACUGAUGCAGCCCUCAAGAAAGAGGUAACAAGUGAUGAGAUAGACUCAUUAUUGUCUAAUCAAAAAAGGACAUCAGUAGAUGUAUCAGGAUCUUAAGUUAGAUUGGAAUUUGAUACAUUGUUGCUGGUAACAUUGGUUCAAACCUUUAAAGCGAGGUUGGAUGCAAAAUGGUUUACACCAAAGAAGUGAUUUAGGAAGUUAAUUAACGUUAUUUUAGAUAAUUUAUAAUUCUAGAAUAUUUAUUAUUUUAUGAUUUUCUAUUUUAGUUUGAGUCAAUUAUGGUAUGUAUCUUAAUCUUUUAUUUCCAUUAUAAUUAUGAUUUAAAUUUUCUUUUUAGGUUAAUUUAGGAAAGUGGAUUUCUUUUAUUAUAAAUAAAGAUGUCUGUAAUAAAAAAAAAUAAAGAUGUCUUGUCAUUAUUUUCAAAACUUCAAGUUCAAUUAUUAAAUAAAACCCCUCUUUUAUAAUUUCCUCUAAGAUUAUUUAUCAAAAUCUCUCUUGUAGAGUCGUUUGGAUUAGAGUGUCAUCUAAUCUCGUAUUACGCGUUAUUAAAAAUCGCAUUGAGUCAUUUGGAUUAGAACAAUAUCUAAUCACGCUUCGAAUAGAGCGUAAGCUAAUUGCAUUGGCUUGGUCCAGUAUUAGAACGAUAUCUAGUGUUUCUUACCCUAUAAUUCUGCUUCCGCUACGCCUCGCUCCAUCAAUUCGUAUCAAAGCGAUUCUAUGCGAAUCACACAUCGUUCCUAGAUACACGAUACCCAUCCAAACCAAAUCCAUCAAAAAAAAAAAAAUUUACAAAUUUGAAAACCCUACCCGUCACAUCAACCUCCACCGCCGCCCACACCGCCGAUCAGCCAGCCAACACCACCACAAACCUCACUAGCCACCGUCGACCAAGCCUCAGUCAUCGCUGCCUCAACGGCCGCUUGAACAGCCGCAAAUCACCAACGCAAACCCGCGGCUCCACCAAGCAACCCACCACCAUUCAGCCACUUUCUCCAUCAGCCACCUCCACCAACAAACUCGCCGGCCUCCGUUGGCCAAAAACCAACCAACUUCAGCCCUUGAUCGCCGCCCGCUGUCACCAGACGAAACGACAACCCACGAGUGCUUCCUACACGCGCCGCCACCAAAACACCUUGUUUUUCCGUCAAUUUACACCACCACCAUAAUCCCUAGCAGUCGGCAACCGUAAAUCCAGUCUUCUGCCACUGUAAGGCCGCCAUAAACCAAAAGCCACAUCACCAAAAUCAACCGCCAAUUCAAGUCGGAUUUCCCCCAAUUCAAGUUGCUGAAUAUAAAAAGGACUCAUGAAAAUUACUAAAGUUUCAAAUAUUGUUAUUCAGCAACCACUUUUAGGUUACAUUAGUUUCAACCCAAAUUUUAUAUAAAUAAUUUAUAACUCCCAUUAUUAUUAUAAAAAAAAUUGUAGCAAUUGUGGUUAUAUCACAUGAAAAAAAAAAAUUCUAAUUAAAGAAAUUGACAUUAUAACUUAAAAGGAUAGUUGCUCUUUUAAUCAUUAGAAUUUAUGUCAAUUAUCCAGCUUAUCAUUGCAUUCUUAAAAACUAUAUACAAUACCAUUAUCUCUGCUUUUGUAGCUAUUGAAUUUGACUUUGACAAUAUAAAUAUUUAUUAGCAACAACUUAAAAUUCAAACAAAUCUAAUAUGUAAUGUAUGAAAUACAAAUAACAAUUAAACAAAUUUUGAUUAUUUAAUAUUAAGAUAUAAUCACAUUAAUAUCAUAAGGAUAUGUGGUACUCAAAUAAUCUUUUAAAAAUCAAACCCAAAUUAUAUAUUAUUAAUAUGUAUUAUUAUCUAAUAUUUAGAUUUUGUUAAGUUACAACUGCUGUAACUUAAGUCUCUUAAAAAAUAUGUGGGUCCCACCACCUAUUAAAUUUUUUACAUUAUUUUUAAAAAAAUUAUAAGUUACAUCAGUUGUAAUGUAAAAGCCCCCCUAAUAUUUUACUUUACUUUUAUACCUUUAGAAAAACAAUAAUGCAUGAAUAAAUAAAGAACUGACAACAAAAUUGGGCCUAUCAUUAGUUUCUCGUGGUGUGAACUCUUAACAAUCCUCCCCUAUCCCACCUAAAGCUCUCGUGUGGUGUGAACGCUUGACAAUUCUCCCAUAUCUCUCCAAUAAUCUGUCAUAUUGCGAAAAGCAAUGUCAAUUGCAAUGUCGUUUCCCAUUAGUCAUAGUGGUAGAUAGGACCAGAAUUUUUUGAAACCCCUGAGGCCCUGAACUUGUUUUUCCUUUUGAAAAUAAGAAAAGGACACCCGUCUGGAGAAAUAAUUUUGUAGAACCUCAUAUCUUGAAUAACGGACAAUAAGAUUUUUUUUAAAUUAGAUAUUUUUUAAAUUUAUUAACUAAAAAAAUUAACUCUAAUAAUUUAUGAUAAAUAUAAAUAGGAUAUUAAAAUAAAUAUAAUAAUAUAUACAUAUUAAAAUAAUUUCAAUAUCUAAAAAUUUUAAUAUUUUACAAUCUCGUAUUCUAUUAAACCAAAUUAUAAUAAAUAGAGACAUAAUAUUCAAAUAAAUAUAUAAAAAUUUAGGUUAUUUUCAAUAUCAUAUAAAAUAAUUUUAAUAUUAUUAAUACAUGAUAAAUAUUAUAUUAAUUGUAAAAUCUAUUUAACCUAAGGAUUUAGUUAAAAUUUUAAAAUAAUUACAAAUAUUUUAUAAAUACAAAUAAAUUAAUUUACAUUUUAAAAAUUAGUAUUGAAAUUUAUUAUUACUUGGACAAAUUAACACCAAAAUUAAUAUCUAUGCAAUUUGUGUCAUUUACUUUUGCUUUGUAAUAUUUUUUAAAUGAGUCCCGAUUGGUUCAUUGGCAGAUAAAUGAGUCGGUUUUUCUGUUUUUAUUUUAUUUUAUUGUUUUUGAAAAUGGUUUUUCUGUUACGAAGCUUCUCAUGGAUGAAUUUUUUUUUUAAUUUGGGUAAUUUUUAAUUGGGUCCUAAUUAUUUCUAGAAAAAAAAUUCAGAGACCAAAAGUUUACUAAAUGAAUGAAUUAAAUCCUUUUAAGUGCAAAUUUAUGUCAUUCAAGCCCUUAACCCAAUUCUUCCGUUAAAAAAAUUAGUGAAAAUGUUAAGUUAAAUAUAAAAAGACAGGUAUACCCUUAUAAUCAUAUUAGUGAUUUAAAAUACAAUUUUAGCCUUGGACAUUAUUUUUUUUUUCAAUCUAACAACCUAUUUAUCAAUUUGAGUAUUUGAAAACACUAAACGAAUAUCUUUCGCCAAUUUUUAUAAAAAUUCAAAUAUAAAGAGUGAAUUAUACAUGAAAAUGUAAUUUGCUAUCCAUAUAAUUUCAUCACAUCAAUAAAAAUAUGAUAAUUGUUAAACUAAAUAACAUAUGUAUUGAAUAUAAUAUUAAAAAAAACACAAUAACAUUCGGUCUAAAAAUGAAAUUAAAAGUAUGAAAGUCAAUUAAAUUCAAACUAACAAAUACCUUAACAAUACUAAAGUAAACUGAAAUUUAAACACAAAAAAUAGUUAAUUGUCUUCUGAACUCUAUAAUGGAGAAUUAAAUGCCAACCCAAGGUGAAAUUGUACUAUCCUACUCCCUGUUAACUAUGAUAAGUUCUUCAUUUUGAGGUUGAGGUACAAUCCACAAUAGUUGUGUAUACAGUCCCACUAGUUGAGUGACAUUGAUUGAAGCCUAACUAGCUUGUUUUGGAACUAUUGCCAAUUGAUUGUUCAUUGACAUCUACUUCUUGAGAUUGUGGGUUAGUUUCAUGCUAUUCAAAAAAGAAAAAAAAAACAUCAAUUUCAUUAAAUAAAAAAAAAAGAAUCAAUCUAUUCAAUAUAAUUCCACAAUCAAAUCAAACAUAUAUAGCUAGUCAUGUUUUAUUAGCUGCAUACACAUCACUAGGAUCACCAAGUUAUUAAUCCAUUUGAUAACAUAACAAAAAAAAAUAUAAUGAGAUUCAAUUACAAAAUCAGACCUGUGUGGUUGAUGAAGUGAUAUCACUUGCCUGUGCACAAAAAAAAAAUCACCAAGUUUUAAGCAAUUUAAUGAAAAAGAACAAAAAACAAUCCUUUAGAAUUAAAUUUUCAAAAUCAUAUUAAACACGUCCACUUGAUUAAGUCUUAUUUCUUCCUUACACACAACCAAUAUCACCAAGUUUUAAGCAAUAUCUAGUGCAAAAGAAAAAAAAUCCUUUUGAAUUUAAUUAUAAAAUAUAAUUAAAUUAAACCAAUGCACUUGAUGAAGUCCUAUUGCUUCCCUGCACAACAUGAAGAUCAAUAUUUGUUAACUUCACCAAACGAAAUUUAAAAAACAAAAAUGACUCUUAUAUUAUACCUUUAUGGUUCUUGUGGUUUUUGGAAAAUUAGGGCAGCCCCUUUUGUUGUGCCCAAGAUGUCUGCAAGCACCACAUUUGAUAAUAAACCGUUUAUUAGUUAGUUUGGCCUCACCAAUGUCUUUUGUUCUUUUCUUUUUCGGUCUACCAACUGGAGCCUUUAUGUAAGGUGGUCCAACCUUCACAGGCACCACAACAUCAGGUGAAGGUUCAUCUUCCACUUUAGGCCAUGCACACUCAUAAGGAAUAGGAUUUAUAGUCCCUAUGUAUGUCAUCAUAAAAAAUUCAUUGGUCAGAUAAUGAUGCACAUAAUCUUCACGUUGCCCUCCUUUAUUAAAAAUAGCAGCUACUGAAUGUUUGCAAGGCACUCCACUAACUUGCCACAUCUCACAUUCACACGUACCAUCUAUAAUAUGUACUAGGAAAUUUCUAUAGCCAUCUUGACAACAUUCAAACAACUCCUCUCUACCUCCAAAGACCUUAAUUCUCCUUGUCUCAUUUGAGGAUUGAUUUGGUCUGUCUCUAGCAUAUGGGGUCAAACGGUCUUGCCAAGUUUCCCCUUGUUGAUAUUUUUCCAAUAUUCUCACCAUUAGUUGUCUACGAAUAUGCUCAAGAAUGGUUAGGACAAGCUUGUCCCUAACCUCAUCCACCCACUUAUUAAAAGAGUCAAUCAUGUUGUUUGUAACAUGGUCAAAUUUCACAUGGUGAUCAAACCCGCUUCUAGACCACUGUGCAGAUGGUAUUUUUCUCAACUAUUCACAACAAUUUUAGUCUUUAGCCCUAAUUUGACUCAUUGCCCUCUCAAAGUCAUACUGAUUUACAGCCCUAUAAGCUUUCCAAAAUAACCCCAUGACAUUCAAACCAGGAAACUUACACUUCAAAUUGGCAAAGAUAUGCCUAGCACAAUAUCUAGUACUAGCAUUAGGCUAAUAUUUUUCCAGUCCCUAUAAAAGACCUUUUUGUCUAUCACUAAUAAUAGUCACAUGCCUAUGAUCAUCAUCCCUAAUGAAUUCCUACAGCAAAGAUAAAAAAUAACCCCAACUAUCAUAGUUCUCUGCCUCACAUAUGCAAAAAGCCAGCGGAAAAAUUCCACUAUCAACAUCUAAUGCAACAACAAAUAACAAUACUCCCUUGUAUGGCCCCUUCAAGUGACACUCAUCCAAUCCUAUGAAAGGUCUACACCCAGUUAGGUACCCCACUUUAAGUGUAGGAAAUGACAAAAAAAAAAAAAAACUUUGAAAACCUAGGCUAUUUGACUAUGGCCUAUCAACCUUUACCUUGACACAAGCACCUUUAUUCAUUUUCAUUAGAAUGUGAGCAUAUUUCAAAAGCUUUCCAUAGCAAGUAAUGUGGUCAGCACCUCGGUUUUUUAAUGCAAUUUUUUUGCCCUGUAUAGUUUUUGUUUGUCACAUUCAAUCCCAUGUUUAUCUUUUAACUCACUCCUUAUAACAUUUACACCAACUCCUAGGUUAGUUUGAAUAAGUUCAGCACAACUUUAGCUAUCCAAAGUGCUGUUGCAUCUUUGUUAACUGAUUUAAUAUGGCAAUCAUGUUUCCCUUUAAUAUACCUAACUUUAAAAGUUAUCCCAUCAACCAUCGAUGAAGCAUGAAAUUUCCAAGUUCAUUUUGGAUUGACACAAUAACAAGUAUACUUAACACCAUCAUUUUUAAUCCUAUUUAACUCAAAAUCCUCUUGGAUUGCAUAUUUCACCAUAACCUCUCUUAAUAAUGCAACAGAUUCAAAGGUAUUUCUUACUUUUAGACUAACUGAACCAUUUAGUUUUGGUUUCCACUCAUUAUCAAUAAUGGAUUCAUACAUAUGUGAGAGACCAUUCUCUUCAUCAAAUGAGUGCACUCCGAUAAAGCCAUCCUCACUAAAUUUUUCAAACUUAUCAGUACCCAUACUAACACCUAUAUUGAUAGGACUUUUAGAUCCUAUUACAACACUUUCAUGACAUGAUUGACCACCUAACCCAGUGUGCACCUCAAACUCAAUAACAUGCCAACUAUUAGUAAAGAACUCCUAAAAAACCGAAUACAAUUCACUAUCAUUUGAAAUUAGCUUCCUCUGCCUACUUGUAGUCCAUGGUAACACAACAGAAAUUUCAAUCAAAUCCAUUUCGUUGUGUCCAUAUUUAACCAUGACUUCUAGAAUUUCAUGAAACAACCUAAUACUCUUAUAUUCCUAUGGGUUCCUAUAUCCUAUCUCAUACACUGCCCCAUUAAUUUUAACCAACAAAAAAAAGGUAACAUGGCUACCUGCAUCAAUUUUAAACAAAAGGUAUUGCAUCAAAAAAUGGCUAAACUAAUACAAUUUUAUUUAGCAAAGAAUAAAAAAACUCAACCUAAAUGAAAUAUACAUGUAAUUCAGUUAAAAAAGGUACAAAAGCAAAUUCAAUCUAAUACAUAUAAAAAUAAAAAUUGAAAAGAAAAAAUAACCCAGCAAAUAUAGAGAAUUUAGUCUAAUAUAUAAAAAUUACCACUCAUAAUAACACAUAGAAUUCAAUUUUACAUGAACAAAGAAGCAAAUACAACGAAUUCAAUCUUAUUAAUAUAACGAUACCAAUUAGUUGAAAUGAAAUAUUGUACAUAUACAACAACUCAAGAAAGCAAAUAAAAUAAGCUAAAUAAGUUCAAUAAAUACAUAUAUAAAUAUGGUGUAUUUGUUCUAUUUAUUAUAUAAAGAGCAAAUUAAAAAAAGUAUAUUAAAUACAACAUUCAAUAAAAAAAUCCACCAAUAAUUAAACAUAGUUUGUCAUUUAGAAAAAUAGACUUGAAAAACCUAAUUUUUCACAAAGAUCACUAAAUAUGGAAACAAUUUUUUCAGAAAAUGCUUGCAAAAAUCACUAAAAAAUUAGAGUUACUAACUUUGAAACUCAGGUUCUCUCCAACACUUGAACUCAACCAAUGCUAACAAAUCUUUGGUCAAAAUCACAAUAGAUUUAUACAACAUGUUUUGCGCCAUCCCACGUUCUCUCAAUCUCUCCUCUCACACGAAGAAUACGGCAGUUUCUAUAGUAUUUUUUUUUUUCGUUUGAAAGAACUUUAACUUGGUUAGGUUAAUUGACUUUGCUUUAAACUAUUGCCACCUGUAAGCAAACUAUUGCCACCUGUCAAAAAUAAAAGAAUGAGGAAGGGUUCAAUUGUUCUUUUACUAAAAUGUCCUCAAUGUUGUUAAUAUCUCUAACGGACGAGUUAAGUUAAGGACUUGAAUGACAUUACUUUGUACUUGAAAGGAUUUAAUUGAUUUAUUUAGUAAACUUCUGGUUUUUGAAUUUUUUUCUAAAAAUAAUGAGGGCUUAAUUAAAAAUUACCCUUUAAAUUUUAUAGAUUCUCUGCGAGCGCAGUUAGAAGUACCAAGUUUUGUUAGGUAGAAGGGUAUUUAAGUAAAUCUGCCCACAAUGAAGAAUAGUUCAGAACAGUUGAGGAAGCAUGAGAAUACUUGAGGAAAGCCUGAUAAGAAUUACGGCCGGAUCUGCACCCUUUCCUCUAUAUGUGUCUUCAAUAUAAAUGGCUCAAAUAUAUGCGUUAUGAUCUUUUAAUAUUUCGCCUCUGAUAUUGCCCACAUUGCUUACUGCAACACAUAAAGCACUUCGUUUACCCCAAAUCCUGAUAGGGAAGUAUAAAUAUAUGCUUCCGAAAUAGCGCAACUCUCCAUAAUUAUUUAAUAUGCCUCUCAAUGAAGCAAUCACCUUCAUUUACAACUCUGCGAUUAUUAAUCCUACAUACACGUGUUUCUUUUGUCUCUAAAAGUAUUCUCAAUUAAUUUACAUAAUUUAAUAUAAUAAGUACCUAAGACUAGACAAAUUUUCAUUACAAUAAAAUGAAUAAAUUAUAAUAGUAUUGACACAAUAAUGUCAAUAAUAAAAACUUUAAGAAGCCUAUAAAUUUUAAAAUAUGACUCAGAGUGCUACAAUGAACCACAACAAGUUAUUAUAUGAUCUAUAAUCAAUAUUCUAAUGAUAACAGAGUUCCUCUAUUUUCAAUCCCCUACUUUUCUAUUUAGCGAUUGUCAAAUUUUAUAUCUAAAAUUCUUCUAAUUUUACACUAAGGUUUAUUUUUUUAAAAAAAAAGGGGCAGGAGAAAGAGGCUAGAGAGUAUUAAAAAAUGUCAUUCUAAAUUUUCACUUGAGCGUGGUGUGAUUUUUAUCAUUUUUUAAAAUUGGCCAUUUAUAUUGAGUAAAUAAAAGAAUGAAUAGACGUUUGGACCACUUCUUUUCUGUUAUAAUAAAACAUGAGAUGUCUUCUCUUGAUGCUUUCGUCACAAAAGAAUAUGUUUAUGUCAUCAUAGGCUUAAAUGGGGUAAGUAAAUUAAGAUCGAGGACAAGUUUGUUUAAGCACUAAAGUCGCUAAAUAAAAGAAAGGCUCAUAUAAAAAUUACCUAAAGCACCAAAUAUUGUUAUUCAGCUACUUCUUUUAUGUUACAUUAUUUUCUACGCAAAUUUAUAUAAAUAAUUUAUAACUCCCAUCAUUAUUAAAAAAAAAAAAAACUGUAGCAAUUGUGGUUAUAUCACGUGGUGUGAUUGUUGUGAAAAUUUUAAUAUACUCGCAAGCGCACGAAUCUAGAAAUAGAGUAGUGGUAACGAGGUCGAUCCCACAGGGAUUGAUAAAAAGUCUAAUUUAAAUCUAAAAUUAAUAUUACUCCUAACCUAGUUGAGCAAAUUGAGUUUUUAAGAAAAUUAAACCAAUUAAACUAAGGAAGCAAUUAAAAUAAAAGAGAAUUCAAUAAGAUAGAAAUUACCAAGGUUUCAGAAUCCACCACUAUUCAACUAGUAAUUAUCUAAUUAUUAAUUAAUCCCCAAUUUUAGAGUGACAACUCGAAAUCAAUCUAUGUCAUCUCAUAGAUAUAACAAUUAAGCCCAAGUAAUUAAAUCUAAUGUAGGUUCUUUUUCUGCUUAAUAAUAUGACAUCUAAGCAUCCCAUGUAAACAUAUUGAAUAACAAAGAGUCAAAGUUUUCCUAAGCACUCUAUGUAAACAAUUUAAUGAAAGACAUAAAAUCAAAGAUAAUCAUGUAUAAACUUUAUAGAUCCAAGCAUAGAAUUAAUCGAAUAUUAAUCCUAACAAUCAAUAAUGCAUGACAGAAUUGAUGAAAAGAUUUUAAUAACAUCCAAUUAAUCAUGUGAAAUAAAAACCAUAAUUAUCAAAGAACAUAUAUAGGGAAUUAAUUAAAUAAAAAGAGAUAAUUAUUUCAUUGAAUAGGGUUUCAUCCUUAACCUCAGUAUAAGAGAAUUAGUUAGACAUACUUGAAUUGGGAACAACAAAAAAAAUAAAAUCACCCAUGGAAACCGAACUGCUGCUGCCCAACCUUGCGUCUUGCGUCUGCCGAAUUCUCCUUCUCCUUUCGUUUCUGUCCAGCAGCUCCCUUUUAUAUUGCUUGGCCACGGAAUCCUAUUGUGAUUCUAAUAACUAAACCAACUCUUACAAGCUAAAGCUCUAAGCUUGCCACGUAAUUGAAAACAAUAAAAGCCAAAAGCUAUUGAUUUCCUUCCUUUAUUCUACUUUGACUUUCCAUUCAAAGGCUUAAUUAAAAGCUUUGUUUUUAUGUGCUGCCCACUUUAGCUUUAACUUUCAUCUUUGUUUGCACGAGCAUGGAGAAUUCAAUUUAUUGGAUUCGGCUUCUUCCACAUGCACGUAUGUCUAAUUGGUUCCAAAUCAAUUAAUCUUUAAUGCUUACAAAUUGAACUCCUUUAUGCUCUUUUUAUCCAUAAUCUCCAAUUAAUUCCCUAUUCAAUAAAAUAAUUCAAUUAAUUAAAAAUAACAAAUAAAAAUAACUAGCAAUUAAAUAAUUAAGGGUAAAAUAUGUAUAUAAAUUAUGCUCAUCAAAUACCCCCAAACUUAGAUUUUGCUAGUCCUCGAGCAAAACUAAAAAAAAAAAAAAACAAAAAUAAAAAUAAUGAAACAAAAAGUAAAUCCGAACUAAACCACUUUCGCAGGUAAUCGCGAUUGCAUUUAGCGUAUGCAACAAGCCUUUAAACCCCUAGGCGGCCCUAGUGGACGAGUUAUAGUCUCGUGAGGGCUUCAGUGAUGAUACCCACAAACAUCAUUUUUCAAAGAAUUAAAAUAAAAAUAAAAUGAAAAGAACAACAAGCUUUAAACAAAACAUGAAGAUAGCCUCAAAGAUUGCAUAAAUUAUAUAGCUCAAAGAAAAUUUCAAAUAUUGGCAAAGUUCUAACUUUAAUUCAAUAAUCAAUCCCAUCUCUCUUUCGAUUCUUGUAGUGUGUGUGUGUGAAAUCAAUUCAAUCAAAUCCAUUCCCAAAAUCCUCAAUAUCAAUAGCCUUCGCCUCAAACAAAGAAAAGAGUAGAUCAAACUAAUCUUAUCAUCUUGAUCUCCAAUUUUUUUUUUCAGGCUUUUAUGUGCAUUUUCUUUUGAUUUUUUUUUUUUAGCACAUGCACUUGAUUUUUUUUUCUUUUCCUUUUCUUUUUUUUUUGUUUUUUUUUCUUAACCAUAGUCAGGAGCUUUCACUCUACCCCUUAAGGUAGCCUUCUUCUCAUGGUAGAUUAUCCUCUACAUACUUGUGGUACAUAGGCCCAAAUUACUCAAGGAUAACUUCACUCUUAAGGGUUAUAGGUAGCUAUUUCUGACUUUGGCGCCUGUGUAUACUAAUUUGUAUUGUGGAGAUAAGAAUCAAGACAAACAGUCAUUUACUCUAUCUAAAAUUCUCAACUCAGGCUGUGUCAAUUUCAAAUUUCAAGCCAAAAUUAUAAAAGAACUGAUAUUAGUGCUCAUAGUUUAAAGAAUCUCAAUCAAGAGGAAUUAACACAAGAAUCAAGUAUAAACUAAGACAAUAUUCAACCCUUUCUAAAAACCAUAUUCAUUGUCAAUCAAGUUCUUAUCAUUGGCUUUUCACAUAAAAACAAAAAGAAAAAAAAAAACAAAACAUUUUUUUUUGAAUUUUUUUUAAUAACAAACAAAACACACGCUAUUCCCACCCCUAAAUUUAUUCGGAACAUUGUCCUCAAUGUUUCAUAAACAAAAGAUAUGCAUGCAAACAAAUGAAAGAGAAAUAAUAAUAAUAAUAAUAAUAACAAUAAUAAUAAACAUAAAUAAUAAAAAGAAAGUUGGAGAGAACACACCUGGAUGGGCUGGGAAAGCUUAAAAGAAAAUGCCAAAUGAAAAGAAAACAUUAAAAUAUAUAUAUAUAUUAGAAAAGAAAAUAAAUAAAGAAAAGAAAACCGACUAUUAAAAUAAAACAAGAGUGUAAAGAUGAACUUAAUUAAUCCUGAUAAACAGGAUCAUCUAAAAGUAUCUCCUCAACUUCUGGUGUUUUUAAUUCUAAAAAUGGUUUUAAUCUUUGACCAUUCACCUUAAAUAAAUCACCAUUUUUAGGAUUUUCAAUUUCAAUUGCUCCAUAAGGGAAGAUAGUACGAACUAUAAAAGGAUCAGACCAUCGAGAACGUAACUUACCUGGAAAGAGAUGCAAUCGGGAAUUAUAUAAAAGUACUUUCUGACCUGGUGUAAAGGCUUUUCUCAAAAUAUGUUUGUCAUGAAAGACUUUCAUUCGCUGUUUAUAAAUCUUGGCAUUCUCAUAUGCAUCAUUCCUGAUCUCUUCAAGUUCUGCUAGUUGUAAUCUUCUCUUGGACCCAGCUUGCUGCAUGUCAAAAUUGAAUUUCUUGAUAGCCCAAUAUGCACGAUGCUCCAACUCUACUGGCAGAUGACAUGCUUUUCCAUACACAAGUCGAUAAGGUGACAUCCCAAUUGGUGUUUUAAAAGCAGUUCUAUAUGCCCACAAUGCAUCAUCAAGUCUCAAAGACCAAUCCUUUCUAUCUGGCCUAACUGUUUUCUCUAGAAUCUGCUUGAUCUCUCUAUUAGAAAUCUCUACUUGGCCACUGGUUUGAGGAUGAUAUGGGGUGGCAACCUUAUGUGUAAUGGAAUAUUUGUCCAAAAGAGUUUUGAAAGGUUUAUUACAAAAAUGGGUACCACCAUCACUAAUGAUUGUUCUAGGAAAACCAAAACGAGACAGAAUAUUACUCUUCAAGAAUUUCACUACAACCCUAUGAUCAUUGGUUUUGCAUGGAAUAGCUUCAACCCACUUCGACACAUAGUCCACUGCAACCAAUAUAUAUUGAUAACCAAAAGAUGGAGGGAAAGGUCCCAUGAAAUCAAUACCCCAUACAUCGAAGAUCUCAACCACAAGAAUAGGAUUGAGUGGCAUCAUGUUCCUCUUUGAAAUGCUACCCAUACGUUGGCACCUAUCACACAAAGAACAGAAAACAUAAGCGUCAUGAAAAAGAGUAGGCCAAUAAAAACCACACUGUAAAAUUUUUGUUGCUGUCUUUUUAGCACUAAAGUGGCCUCCGCAAGCUUGUUCAUGGCAAAAUGAGAUAACACUUUGAAUUUCAUUAUCGGGAACACAUCACCUAAUAAUCUGAUCAGCACAAUAUUUAAAUAAAUAGGGAUCAUCCCAAAAGAAGUCUUUCGCUUUAGAUAAGAACUUUGUUCUAUCUUGCUUAGUCCAGUGCUCUGGGAUUUGACCUGUAGCAAGGUAAUUAACUAUAUCAGCAAACCAUGGUACAACAUUUACACUCAUAAGUUGCUCAUCUGGGAAAGACUCAUUCAAAGGUAAAGAUUCUGGAAUAAAUUUAAGAUCAAGGCGAGAUAAAUGAUCCGCCACAACAUUUUCAGAACCUUUUUUAUCUCUAAAUUCAAUGUCAAAUUCUUGUAAAAGCAACACCCAACGAAUCAAUCUUGCCUUAGCAUCUUUCUUAGUAAACAAAUAUUUUAAAGCAGCAUGAUCAGUAAAAAUAAUCACUUUACAACCUAUAAGAUAAGAUCUGAAUUUAUCAAGUGCAAAUACCACAGCUAGCAUUUCUUUUUCUAUAAUUGAAUAGUUCAACUGUGCAUCAUUGAGUGUCAUACUAGCAUAAUAAAUCACAUAAGGCACACGAUCUAAUCUUUGUCCUAAAACUGCUCCUACAGCAUAAUCAGAUGCAUCACACAUAAUUUCAAAAGGCAAAUCCCAAUUAGGUGGCUGAAUGAUAGGUGAAGAAGUCAAUAAUUUCUUAAGGUUUGCAAAAGCAUCAAGACAAGAUUCAUCAAAGAUAAAAGGUGCAUCCUUAACAAGUAAAUUGCAUAAGGGUCUAGAAAUUUUACUAAAAUCUUUAAUGAAUCUUCUAUAAAAACCAGCAUGUCCAAGGAAAGAUCUUACUUCUUUUACGGAUUUGGGAUGUGGAAGAUUAGAAAUUAAAUCCACCUUAGCUUUGUCGACUUCUAUACCUUUGCUAGAAAUUAUAUGACCAAGAACAAUACCUUGUUUUACCAUGAAGUGACACUUUUCCCAAUUUAGAACCAAGUUCUUUUCUUUACAUCUCUGCAAAACUAAUGUUAGAUGCUGCAAACAUUCAUCAAAAGAAUCUCCAUAAACAGAAAAAUCAUCCAUGAAUACUUCAAGAAAUCUCUCAACCAUAUCAGAAAAAAUACUAAGCAUGCAUCUUUGAAAAGUAGCAGGUGCAUUGCAUAAACCAAAUGGCAUUCUCCUAUAUGCAAAAGUUCCAAAUGGACAAGUAAAAGUAGUUUUCUCCUGGUCCUCUGGAGCUAUAGGGAUCUGAUUAUAACCUGAAUAUCCAUCUAGAAAACAAUAAAAAUCAUGACCUGCAAGUCUAUCAAGCAUUUGAUCAAUAAAUGGAAGAGGAAAAUGAUCUUUUCUUGUGAAUGAAUUUAAUUUUCUAUAAUCAAUGCAAACACGCCAACCUGUAGUUACUCUAGUGGGAAUUAAUUCAUUAUUAGCAUUAGUAACUACUGUAACACCAGAUUUCUUAGGAACAACUUGCACAGGGCUAACCCAAGAGCUAUCUGAAAUAGGAUAAAUAAUUCCUGCAUCUAAUAAUUUGAUUACUUCAGCUCUUACCACUUCUUUCAUGUUAGGAUUUAGCCUACGUUGCAUUUCCCUAAUAGGUUUAGCAUUUUCUUCAAGAUGAAUACGAUGCAUGCAAUCUACUGGAUUAAUACCUUUAAUAUCAGCGAUGGUCCAUCCUAUUGCCUCCUUAUGCUCUUUUAGAAUAUCUAACAAUUUACCUUUUUGCUCAAGAUCGAGGGAAGAAGAAAUAAUAACAGGUAGAGUGUCAGAUUCUCCCAAGAAUGCAUAUUCCAGAGUGUCAGGCAGUGCUUUGAGUUCCAAUUUUGGUGGUGCCUCCGCAGAUGGGCCAAUUUUCUUCUCAGAAUGAGGCAGUAGUUCUGACUUUGUCUUCCAUUUAAUUGUGUCCGUAAUUAGAGGUGCAUCAAGUAAAGCGUUGAUUUCUGCAAUUGCACUGUCAUCAUUAAAAGAUAAAUCAGAAUGAGUUAGACAUGCCUCUAAUGGAUCAUCAUUAUGGUUAGAAAUGAAUGAAUCUUCUACUAAUUCCUCUAUCAUAUUCGCUUCAACAAAUUCAUCUUCUUCUUGUGGCUGCUUGGUAACAUUAAAAAUAUUCAAUUCCAUGGUCAUAUUACCAAAAGAUAACUUCAUGUUUCCAUUCCUGCAAUUAAUAAGAGCAUCAGCUGUAGCUAAGAAAAGGACGACCUAGAAUAACUGGGGUGUGUUUCUUAGGAUCAUGUACAUGCUGAAUAUCAAUAACAAUAAAAUCAACAGGAUAAUAAAAUUUAUCAAUCUGUAUCAACACAUCCUCUAUAAUACCACGAGGUAUUUUCAUUGAUCUAUCAGCAAGUUGCAAAAUAAUAGGAGUUGAUUUUAACUCACCUAAUCCAAGUUGCAUGUAAACAGAAUAAGGCAAGAGAUUAACACUAGCACCCAAAUCCAAUAAUGCUUUAUCAAAACAUUGGUUUCCUAUAACACAUGAGAUAGUAGGAGAACCUGGAUCCUUAAAUUUUGGUGGCAUUUUACAUUGGAGUAAGUUGCUAGUUUGUUCAGUUAAAAAUGCCUUUUUAGUGACAUGUAAAUUUCUCUUUUUCGUGCAUAAAUCUUUUAAAAACUUUGCAUAUGAAGGAACUUGCUUAAUAGCAUCGAGUAAAGGGAUGUUUAUACUUACCUGUUUGAAUAUUUCCAUAAUCUCACCUGUUGAAGUCCCUUUCUUUACCUUUGUUAACCUUUGAGGAAAAGGAGCCUUGCGAAUGUAAGCUGGCGGGCCACUCUCUUCUGGAUCAUUUGUUGAUGAGUCUUGUGAUGGAACUGGAUCUGAAGAAGUAGGCUCAGAUGUCUUCCUUGUUUGAACCUCUACUUUGUUGUCAAAUAAUUUUCCUCUUCUCAAGGUCAUAAUAGAUUUUGCUUCUUCAUGCUGAUGGCUCGAACUCGAUCCAACUUCAUGCACUCCUUUAGGAUUGGGAAUUGAUUGACUUGGGAAUUUUCCUUUUUCUCUCUCAGCUACAGUAGUUGCUAAUUGACCCAAUUGAUGUUCAAGUUUUAGAAUAGCUUGAGUGUUUGACUGAAAAGCUUGUUGGGUUGACUGAAUGAAACUUUGAAGUGUAUCCUCUAAAGAAGGCUUUCUUUGUUGGGGUGCAACAAAUUGAGACAUAGGUUGUUGGGCAUGAGGAUGUACUUGGUUAGGAGGGACAAAUUGUUGAUUGGGCAUGUUAAAUUGUUGCCCUCCUUGGUUUGACAAAGGUUGAUUUUGUUUCCAAGAAAAAUUAGGGUGAUUCCUCCAAUUAGGAUUAUAUGUGGAUGAAUAUGGACUAUUGGAGGUUUUCUCAUAUGAUUGUAAGGCAUGUACCUGCUCAGAAUAAGCAUCUGGAUAGACUGGUAAUGAUGGACAAUUUUGUGCUGUAUGAGACAAGUUAGAACAAAUAGCACAAACCUCAUUAGCUACACUAGGAUGAUGAUUUAUGGAUUGGUUCAUAACUAAGGCAUCUACUUUCCUAGAAAGUGUAGCUAGAGUGGAUUUCAUAUCUAAAUCAUCCUUAACUUCAUAUAGCCCCUUUCUAGAAACUUGAGAUGAUUUUUCCCUUUGAUUUGAAAAAUCCCACUGUUGAGAAUUUUCAGAAAGUGAAUUAACGAAAUCCCAUGCUGCCCCUUCAUGUAAGUUCAAAAAUCUCCCACCAUUCAUAGAUUCCACCAUAUGACGAUUCGACAUGGUUAAACCGUUAUAAAAGCAUUGUAUAAGUCUCCAUUUCUCAAAACCAUGAUGGGGACACUUAAGGAGUAAAUCAUUAAAUCUUUCCCAACACUCAUAAAAUUGCUCACCAUCUCUUUGAUAAAAAUCACUUAUCUCUCUCCUAAGGGCAUUUGUUUUAGACAUAGGGAAAAACUUGGUGAGAAACUUAUUACUCAAUUCAUCCCACGUAGUAAUAGACCCAGCAGGAAGUGAAUUCAACCAAGCUUUUGCUUUGUCUUUUAAUGAGAAAGGGAACAUACGAAGCCUAAUUGACUCAUCAUUAAAAUUUUGAAAACGAAAUGUAGAGCAUAUGUCAAGAAAUUCCUUAAUGUGCAAAUAUGGAUCCUCUCUCUCUAACCCAUGGAAGGAUGGCAAAAGUUGAAUGACAGAGGGCUUAAGUUCAAAGUGUGUUGCUGUAGUUUGUGGCAACACAAUACAAGAUGGUUGGUUGGCUGCAAGUGGUGAAAAAUAUUCUCUAAGGGUUUUCUCUGCUUGCACUGGUGGGAGUAUUGGCAAUAGUCUAUUUGGGUCAUCCAUCACUUCUAAAGAACUAGUUUGACUACUAUCAAUUUUUGACUCUCUUUUAACCAAACGAUUUGUUGAAUCACGUUCCCAAACACUCAUAAACUAACUAGACAAGGAAAGAAAGAGAAAUAAAAUAAAAUAAACCAACAAAAAUGAGAAUAAACGAAAUUUAAAAAUAAAAGAAAUCAAACAACCAAACAAUGAAUUUAAAAUAAAAUAAAAUUAAAAUUAAAAUUAAAAGUUUUUUUUUGUGUUUUUUUUUAAAAAUAAAAAUUGAAUAAAUAAAAUAAAAGACAACCUAAAUUAUAACUAGUGGAAGAAUCAAAUUAACCUAGAUUAAACUGACUUUCUAGCACAAUCCCCGGCAACGGCGCCAAAAACUUGAUGUGAAAAUUUUAAUAUACUCGCAAGCGCACGAAUCUAGAAAUAGAGUAGUGGUAACGAGGUCGAUCCCACAGGGAUUGAUAAAAAGUCUAAUUUAAAUCUAAAAUUAAUAUUACUCCUAACCUAGUUGAGCAAAUUGAGUUUUUAAGAAAAUUAAACCAAUUAAACUAAGGAAGCAAUUAAAAUAAAAGAGAAUUCAAUAAGAUAGAAAUUACCAAGGUUUCAGAAUCCACCACUAUUCAACUAGUAAUUAUCUAAUUAUUAAUUAAUCCCCAAUUUUAGAGUGACAACUCGAAAUCAAUCUAUGUCAUCUCAUAGAUAUAACAAUUAAGCCCAAGUAAUUAAAUCUAAUGUAGGUUCUUUUUCUGCUUAAUAAUAUGACAUCUAAGCAUCCCAUGUAAACAUAUUGAAUAACAAAGAGUCAAAGUUUUCCUAAGCACUCUAUGUAAACAAUUUAAUGAAAGACAUAAAAUCAAAGAUAAUCAUGUAUAAACUUUAUAGAUCCAAGCAUAGAAUUAAUCGAAUAUUAAUCCUAACAAUCAAUAAUGCAUGACAGAAUUGAUGAAAAGAUUUUAAUAACAUCCAAUUAAUCAUGUGAAAUAAAAACCAUAAUUAUCAAAGAACAUAUAUAGGGAAUUAAUUAAAUAAAAAGAGAUAAUUAUUUCAUUGAAUAGGGUUUCAUCCUUAACCUCAGUAUAAGAGAAUUAGUUAGACAUACUUGAAUUGGGAACAACAAAAAAAAUAAAAUCACCCAUGGAAACCGAACUGCUGCUGCCCAACCUUGCGUCUUGCGUCUGCCGAAUUCUCCUUCUCCUUUCGUUUCUGUCCAGCAGCUCCCUUUUAUAUUGCUUGGCCACGGAAUCCUAUUGUGAUUCUAAUAACUAAACCAACUCUUACAAGCUAAAGCUCUAAGCUUGCCACGUAAUUGAAAACAAUAAAAGCCAAAAGCUAUUGAUUUCCUUCCUUUAUUCUACUUUGACUUUCCAUUCAAAGGCUUAAUUAAAAGCUUUGUUUUUAUGUGCUGCCCACUUUAGCUUUAACUUUCAUCUUUGUUUGCACGAGCAUGGAGAAUUCAAUUUAUUGGAUUCGGCUUCUUCCACAUGCACGUAUGUCUAAUUGGUUCCAAAUCAAUUAAUCUUUAAUGCUUACAAAUUGAACUCCUUUAUGCUCUUUUUAUCCAUAAUCUCCAAUUAAUUCCCUAUUCAAUAAAAUAAUUCAAUUAAUUAAAAAUAACAAAUAAAAAUAACUAGCAAUUAAAUAAUUAAGGGUAAAAUAUGUAUAUAAAUUAUGCUCAUCAGUGAUCUUUUGACAAUUCUCCCACAUCCCACCAAAAACUCUCACGCGGCAUGAACUUUUGACAAUUCUCCCAUAUCCCACCAAAAAUUUGUCAUAUUGCGAAAGGCAAUGUCAAUUGCAAUGUCAUUUCCAUUAGUCAUUGUGGCAGACAAUGGAGGUCCCGAGAUAGGACUAGAAGUUUUUGAAACCCUGAACUUAUUCUUACUUUAUUUUUUCUUUUGAAAAUGAGAAAAGGACACUUGUUUGAGGAAAUAAUUUUGUAGAACCUCAUAUCGUGAAUAGGGGAUAAUAAGACUUUUUUUUUUUUACUUUACUGCAAUACUCUGUAAUUUUAUUAAUUUUAUAUUUUAUAAUAAAUAUAAAUGUGAUAUUAAAAUAAAUGUAAUAAUAUAUACAUAUUAAAAUAAUUUGAUAUUGAAAAACAUUUUAAUAUUUUACAAUCCCAUAUUAUAUUAAACCAAACUGUAAUAAAUAGACAUAAUAUUAAAAUAAAUAUAUAAAAGUUUAAAUUAUUUUGAAUAUCAUAUAAAAUAAUUUUAAUAUUAUUAAUAAAUUAGAAGUAUUGUUGAGGUUAUGGGGCCCCAACAAUUCUUCUUUGCGCUUGUGGGUGUAACAUCCUUCUGUGUAAUUCCAUUGAGGUGGCAGUAAGGUUACCUAGGGCGUAACUGCCCGGCCCAUUGGCACAAUUACAAAUGUGUGCAGCCCCUCAUGUCCAUCCACCGCUUAGUGUGGGGCUCUGCGCUUCCAUUGUAUAAGAAAAUAAAGUUGCACCUUGGCUAUCAGCUUAAGCUUUUAGCCCAAUGGUAAGCGCUUGAUCCUAACAAGUAUUACAUUAAUUGUAAAAUCUAUCUAAUCCAAGGAUUUAUUUAAAUUUUUUAUAAUAAAUUAAAAAUAUAUUAAUUAACAUUUUAAAAAUUAAUAAUGAAAUUAAUUAUAUAAGUUAUACAUAUUAGUCUACUAGAAAAAUUUAAACUAUUUCAAUCAGAUUUAUAUUUAGUGAAAAUUUUUGAAGUUAAUGUUUUUGGUUAUCAUCUACUAAGAAUCUUGUAGUUAAAAGGGGUAUUGACAUUCUUUAUUAAAAAAUUGAGGUCUACAUGACUAUUUUUUAAAUUUUAAGGGUGUCAUUUUAUUUUUGAUGAAAAUAAAAUUUCAUUUAAGUGGCUAAAAUGGUGAAUAAUACAAUGUUACAACUGGCAUAAAUGGAAGGUAGGAAACAAUCAAAAUGACCAAUAGUCUAACGCCACAGCAAGGACAUAAGGUCAAAAAUCCCCUUAUUAAUUAGUAAAAGAGAGUCCUUUGUGCUUAUAAAUAGUAAGGGCGGGCAAAAUCGGAUACAGAUCAAAUUCGGAUUAAUCUGAUAAAUUUCAGAUUGUUUGAAUUGAUAAAAAAAGUCAUCCAAAUGUAAUCUAAACUUUUGUAUGUGUAUAUAUACAUACUUGUUAUAAAUUAAAGUUGCAAAAGUCUUUAAGCAAGGCCAUUCAUAGUAAGUUUCAAAUUUUUAGGUUAAUUAUGUAACUUCAUUAUGCGGGCCAUGCAUAAAGCCCGUAGGUCUAGGCGGGACUGACCUGAGUUUUUUUACCAAUCCUACACAUGACGGGAGGUGUUAGGAAUAACAUCCCGCAUCAAUUGAGUAUUGAACUUGGGUUCAGUAUAUAAGAUUUGGACAACUCUAAACUCUUGAGCUAACUUACUAGUUUUUGGAUUGAGUUAAGCCUGUACGCUGCAAUAUUACAAAUUAGUCUUUCGUUACCAUUACUUAUUUUUUGUAUUGUUUAAAAUUAACACAAUAAAUGACCUUUCAUCCCAAAAGAACUAAAGUAAUCAUUUCGCAUUGUUACGGCCGUAUCUACACUCUUUCCUCUAUAUGUGUCUUCAAUAAAUAUAUGCGUUAAUGAUCUCUCAAUAUUUCGCAUCCGAUAUUGCCCACAUCGCUUACCACAAUAUAUUCACUUUACAAACAGAGUUUGCAACCCAAUUACUAAUAGAGGAAUAUAAAUAUGUACUUGUCAAUGAAGCAAUCACCUUUAUUUAGAAAUUUUUUAUUAUUAAUCCUACGUACACACACUUCUUUUGUCUCCAAAAAUAUUCUUAAUUAAUCCACACAAUUUAAUAUAAUAAAUACCUAAGAUUACAUAAAUUUUCAUUACAAUAGAAUAUAUAAUUUAUAAUAUUAUUGAUACAAUGAUGCCAAUAAUAAAAAUCUUAUAAACCUUACAAAUUUUAGAAAAUGGCUUAGAGUGUGAUAGGUUGAAUGAACCACAACAAAUCAUUUUCAUUAUAGUACCUAUGAUCAAUAUUCUAAUACAAAUUUUACAUUUCCCUAUAUUUUCUGUUUGGUGAUUGUCAAAUUUUAAGUCUAAAAUUUUUCUAAUUUUACCGUGAGGUUUAUGUUUUAAAGAGAGAGAGAGAGAGAGAGAGAGACUCAAAGAGAAAUAAAAAAUGUAAUUCUAAAAUUUUACUUGUGCAUUGUGUGAUUUUUACCAUUUUUGCAGUUGGCCAUUUGUAUUGAAUAAAUAAAAUAAUAAAUAGACUUAUGGACCACUUUUUUCUGUUAUAAUAAACAUCAGAGGUCCUUUCUUGAUGUUUUCAUUCCAUAUGAAUAUAUUAUAAUUUUAUUGAUACAGUAAUGUCAAUAAUAAAAAUCCUAACAAACAUACAAAUUUUAGAAUAUGGAUUAAAGUGUUACAAGUUGAGGGGAUCACAAGUUAUUUAUACUGUAAUGUCUAUGAUCAGUAUUUCAAUGAUAUCAAGGUUUCCCCUGCAAUUUUUGUUUGGUCAUCGCCAAAUUUUGUAUCUAAGAUUUUUCUAAUUUUACACGACAUUUAUUUAAAAAAAGAAAAAGAGAAAGAGAGACGCGGAGAGAAUUAAAAAUGUAAGUCUAAAUUUUCGCUUGUGUGUUAUGUGAAUUUUACCAUUUUUAAAGUUGGCCAUUUGUAUUGAAUAAAAAAGUAAUUGUUGAAUCUGGUUCGUUAGCUAUUCUUUGAUCAAGAACCAGAUCCUCCCAAGAUUCUCAGCCAAGAUUAAUCAGGAUGCAAUAUCAGCUUAGAUCAACUUCAGAGAAUCAACUAAACCCAAUAAGACUCGUAACAAAAAGGAUUAAUUACAAACUUAGAAACCAAAACCAGCAAGAAAACCAAUCACACAAAACAGAGCACAAGCUUUAACGUGGUUCAGCCAUUAAUGGCUUACAUCCACGAGUGAAUUCCUCAGACAGCUUUAUUGAAUGAUUCAAGAAGUUUGUUACAGAGAUUCUAAGAACAAGAACAAGUAAGACACUUCCUCUUUGAUUUCCCUCAAUCUCUAUCACGCACGAUUACCUCCAAACCAGAAGGCUGCAGCUUAUAUACCAGUCUUGUAACAGCUCUAACAACCCAGAUUGCACAGCUCCUUGACACGUGUACUAUGGGUCUGUUAUUUAACGAACUCAGCUUCAGCUAACUAUCACGUGAAGAACCCGUGACUCCACUUAAGUUGAGCAUAUCCAAAACGCACUCAUGUGUUGCCGUUUCGGAACCAGGAUUGGUUGUGCUUCUCACGUGAUCACUUAAAGCUUCUGAACACUACUGGAAACGCUGUCGUUUGCUGGCAAAGGUGUUUGAAUUCACCUUUCAGCCAACAGUAAUGAAUAGACUUAUGGACAACUUUUUUCUAUUAUAAUAAAACAUUUUCUUCCCCUGAUGUUUUUCAUUCCACAAGAAUGUGUUUGUCAUAAGGGGUCCAAAUGGGGUAAAUAAAUUGGGAUCAAGGACAAGUCUGUUUAAGUGUUGAAAUUGCAAGAAGACCUCAUUAAAAAAUUGCCUAAAGCCCCAUUAUUGUUAUUCAACUAUUACUUUCAUGUCACAUUAGUUUCCACACAGACACUUAUACAAAUAAUUUAUAACUCCAUCUUUAUUUGGGAAAAAACUGUAGCAAUUGUUGUUAUAUCACAGGAAAAUUUUCCAAUUAAAAAUAUAAUAAGAAUUAAUUACAAAUUUUUUAAUAAAUAUCAAUAUAAUUUAAUGGUUUAAUUUUUUUGGUAGAUCAAUAUAAUUUAAAAAAUUAAUAGCAGUAUUACUUUUUAAAAUGCAAAUUAUUAUAAUUAUAUUAAUAAUAUAUUUGUAUUUAUUAUAAAAUUUAUUUUAAUAAAAUCUUAAUUUUUUUUAAAUAUUUGUAUAUAUUGUUAUAUUUUGUUAUAAUAUUAUAUUUAUAUUUAUUAAAAUAUAAGAGUCAAUAUUUUUAAAUUAAUUAAGAUAAAAAGUAUUAUAAUAAAAAAAAAUUCUUUUAUUAAAAAUAUAAUCAUUCUCCCAAACUUAUCCUUGUCCCUUUUUGAAAGGAAAAAAUAAAUUAGAAAAGUCUAUGGUCAUGAUAACAUCUAGCCUUGUCCCGUGGGACAUGGCUACGGUGCAGAAGCUGCAAGUAACAGCUUCGAGCUUUCCCAUUUCCAUCACCUUGUAUUGGGACCUCUUUCUCUCUCCUCUAGCACCCGUGGAAGUUCCCCAUUGGCCGCUGUUACUUACAGAAGCCGUAACAUAGACUUCCCCCGUCCCGUGAUGUCCAUUGUCUGCCACUAUGAAUAAUGGCAAUGACAUUGCAAUUGAAACAUUGAAAAGGUAUUUUCGCAAUAUGACAAAGUUUUUGUUAGGAUAUGGGAGGAUGUCAAAAGUUCACACUACGUUCAUUAGCAUUAGAUCUAAUUUUAUUUCGUCAGUUCCUUAUAUAUUUAUUUCAUUUAUUUCAUGGGUCCCUCUAUGAUGCUGUAAUUAUUUUACAGCAUCAAUAGUGUAAGCAAUAUUAACCAUUAGAUUUUAUCAACAAUGUAUAUUAUAUUUAUUAAUAAAAAAAUAACAUAACCGGUUAACAGGGGUGAGCUGUUGGAUCGUGGAGUUGGUAGAAGUAUGCGAAAUUUCAAUGACGACCCCUACAGUUUUAAAAAUUCUCACAUGUUUCACUUGAAUAGCAUAUUCAGAAGAAUAACACAAAAUUUAAUAAAAUAUAUGAUUUCAAUGAAAUAUAUGAACAUGCAUAUGAAACCCACAUUCAUAGAAAUGUUUCAUUAGACUUUUAACGUUUAUCUUACCUAUGUAUCCUAAACCAUUCAUUAUCAACUUUUCGUAAUUUUAUUAAAUAGAAAUUUCAAGCAAAACAAGAAAGAGUGACAAUAUGUAAUUAAUUUGAAGAUUUAAUAUAAAACUCACAAUUGCUAAAAUAGUGCUUAAAUUAUAUCAUUAAUGUUAUAAGAUAAUUUGAUUAUCAUGUAACCAAACUAAUUUCAAAAUUUAUUUUGAAAGCAUGCAAAACUAAUUUCAAAAUCUAUUUUGAGAGCAUGCAAAUGGAUGUAGUCUCCACUAUGUGAUUUUUUUAUUCUAAUUUAUGGCCAUGGGAGAGAAUUGGAAGAUCCAUAUUUGUCCAAUAGUGAAAUAUAAAUAAUAGCCCGUCAAUUUCUCAUGUAGUAUAUUUCAUUGGCUUAUUAGCUUACAAAACUAUAUACAAGUGUUAAACAUUGGACUACUGCAUGAAAUGUCAUGUGAUAUAUUUCAUUUGACCUUAGAUUAAUUAAAUGCCUAUAAAUGGUUUACAACAUUAAUCUAAAAAUUAAUUUUCACUGAUAUUUAUAUGUGACAUAUCAAUUCAUAAUAUAUCAGGGUAAUUACGAUUUUAAUUUCCCUUCUAUUAAUAAAUAGGGGUAGAAAGAAGUACUCAAUAUGUGUGUGUGUGUGUGUGGGGGUAUCAAUUCAUGUCUUAAUGAAUACAAGAAAAAUCACAUCUACUAAUUUAACAUAUGCCUUUCUAUAAUAGUGUUUGUAAAAUAUAUUUUAUUUGCUAUACUUUGGAAGACGUGUAGUAUAUUAUUUUAUAAUUCGUUUUGUAAUUUACAGAAAACGUGUUUAACAUGUUUUAACUUUUAUUACUAUCAAAUAGAUUCUGUUUAAUACAUUUUAUAAUUUGAUUUAAGGUUUAGGCUCACCAAACAUACAUUACACCUAUACUAUUAAAAUGAAAAUGAAAAUCGGGGCUACAAAAUGAUACUGAACAUACCCUAAGUUACUUGGAGUGUUAGUUUAGAAAUAAGUAUCACUGUAGGCUUAAAUUUAUGGAACAACUUUUCAGGACUGUUGGUCUUCCUCCAUUAGCUUAAUUUAGGUCUGUAUUUUCAUUUUUUUUUAAAUGGCGCAAGAUGAUGAUGAUGAUGAAAUUGUGCUAUUUGUAAUGAUGCUCCUUCGUAUUCAAUAAGAAUCAUAUGCAUAUUCAAUAGUGAAAAUAUGAUAACUCUAUCGUAAUUUGAUCAUAUUACAAUACAAUUGAUUACUAAAAAAUGUCUUUAUAUUUUUUUAUUACAUUUUACAUUAAAGUUGUAGCACAUUAUAAAUGCAAAGCUUAAUGUUUAAUAACAUAACACUUCAACAAAAUCAACAUCUUAAGUAUGAUGUAUGAUAUAGAAUAUUGAAAUAGUUAUACCUAACACUCACAACAAUUUAUAAAAAUUUAUAGUGUUUUAUUUACAAUAUCUUUUCUAAUUAUAUAUGUAUUAAUAUCUAUCUUAAAGUCAAUUUUUGGAUUAGUAGAUUUUAAUAAAUCCAUUGGUAUAGAUUAAUAAUAACUUAAUAUUAAAAAAAUUAAUUAUACAUGUUAUUUUAUUAAUUACACUUAUUUUAAUAUUUUAUUUGUAUCAUAUGAUAUUUAUUAUUAUUUUUAUCCUAUUACUAUAUGUAUAUUUAUUUAGGUUGUGUAAAUCAAAACGUAUAAUAGUCAUUUAUGAAAAUUAAGGGGUCUGUAUUACCAUUUAUGAAACUAAGUGGAUCUAUAUGACUAUUUGAGCAAACCUUGGGAUGUGUGUGGCUUUUUCUCAAAUUAAUAUUAAUUUAAAAUUAAAAAAAUAUUUACCAACAACUUGUAGACUACGUGCUACAUUUUCAUUAAUGAUUUAAUUAUCCAUUAUAUUAAAUGGAUGAUUGAGAUUAAAAUACUUAAAACUAAUAGUCCACAUUAAUCCCAGUAUCAAUAUUGUAAAAAUACAUACAGUAUCAUAAAGAAAUCCUUAUUUCAUACAUAACUGUUUUUUUUCUUUGGUUUUUCUUUUUCCAAAACAUAAAUAGACCAAGCACAUCUCCAAAUCGGGUUGGAGCGGAGAUUCUAACCCUACGAUGGCCAUAUUAAAAUUUAAAUUUUUUUAAUUUAUUUUUUUCUUUUAUAGCUACAUCUCAAUAUUUGAAAAAAUGAUUAUACAGAUCUAUAUAUUUUUAAUAAGAGAUAUUAAGAUGCUCUUUUUUUACUAUAACACCUACUAGUUCUAUUAACUCAAAAAAUUACCAACAAAGUGUUGGCUCCACUGGCAAUGGAGUCCCCUUAAGUGGCUUGACUGGGUUUGCUCUCCAGUUCGAGUCGCAGGGAAGUCGCCUUUGUUGGGAGAACAUGUGUCUCCCGGUUUGAGCGGGGACUUCUAGUCUGGGUUGUGGUACGGGCUUAAAGGUGCUUCCCACAGUUGGGGCCCUCCCCAGGAUACCUCGUGGAUAAGACCAAAAAAAAAAACUCAAAAAAUUGACUUCAAUAUUAAUACAUAUAUUUUAAAAUUAUUUUAAUAUUUUUAAAAAAUAUGAAAAAAAAUUUAAUACUUUACAAACUUAUACUAUAUUAAACUAAAUUUUAUAAUAAAUAGAAACUUAAUAUGAAAAUAAACGUCUAAAAAUUUAAAUUAUUUUCAAUAGCAUAUAGAAUAAUUAUAAUAUUAUUAAUACCUAAGAUAUAUUAUAUUAAUUAUAAAUUCUAUUUAACACAAAUAUUUAACUAAAACUGUUAAUUGCAAUUUCUUUUGAAAACAAUAGAUCAAAUCAUUAAAGUGCAUGUGAUGAUGAUUUGCUGUUUAAUUAUUUCUUUAGAAUAUAUCCAAACGUAAGGUUGUGAACUAGUGCUUUCUUCAACUUAAUUGGGUCCAACAAUACACCGCAGCUUCCUCUUUUGGUCAUUCCAAGUUUAAUUCUUAUGAAAGAAGUUACUACUGAUUUAAGUGCAUGUGAAUGAAAAAAAACAAAUACAUAUAAUUAUUCUAUACAUGCGUCAACAAGGCAACAGUAACCAAAUAAAUGAUAUGAAAGGGGGUGCAUGAUUAAGUCCUUUUCUUAUUCAAUUCAUUGUUAUUAUCCUCAUCAACUCUUUUCUCACUUAUUUUUCAGCAGUUACUGUUCAUAGCAUUGUUAUUAUUCUCAUCACUCAUUAAAAUUAUUCUUAAAUAUUCAAGGCCGAAAAGAGAAGCUCAUCAACUGUCUGAUCCCGGAUAAUUAAAGAGGUGAACUUGUUCUAAAUCCUUUGAUAAUUUCUAUUAAUAGCAUAAUCUCCUUGAUCCAAGAAAAAACAUCUCCUGUUUGUCUUAAUCUUGUCAUUUAAUUUUCUUGAUUUAGGUUACUGUUCAUUGUUAACUUCUGUGUUCUUUAGCAUUUGUUAAUUUGCAUCCCUCCUCUAAAAGUCUCUAAAAAAGAAUGUUGCUUUUCAUUCAUACCCUUGAAACCUUUCAGUUAAUAGCCAAAACUCUAAUCUUUCUUUCUCUUCCUCUCAAAAAUGUGCCAAAAAAUGUGCCAAAAAAGUGAAUCCAAUUUUUUCAACAGCAAAUAUAUAUGUACACACACACACAUAUUGUUAAAAAGUGCAGAAAAGCCACUCAAAAACGUGGAGAAAAAUCACUCAAAUUUAUACAAGCGUCAACAGGGAAACAGUAACCAAAUACGUGAUACAAAAAGGGGUGAAUGAUUCUGUCUUUUCCUUUUGCAAGUCGCUGUUAUUACUCUCAUCAACUCCUUUCUCACGCAUUUCUCAGCAGUUACCAGUAAUAUUUAAAAUCGCUGUGUAGGUAUGCAAAAGUUCGGUAAGUGCACUAAUAAUUAUUUGCCAGAAAAAAAGUAGUUGCGUCAAUGAUAUAUUAAUCUUUAGUUGAAUUGACAUCCAGGAACCCAAUUGAGUUGCUUAAUGAUUAAUUAAUUAAUCAAUUUAUAAUAUAUUAAUCUUUUUAGUUGAAUACUUAAAAUCUUAGACCCUAAACAAUAAAUUAUUUGAGCCAUAUAAAAGAGAAAUUAUCAUUCAAUUUUUUUUUAUUUGUAGCUUAUAAAAGAGAAAUUAUCAGUCAUUUACUCAAAGUUUAUUCAAUUAUUAAAAUUAUUAUAAAAAUUUAAAUUUAUUUAAUUUUACACCCAAUGUAUGUAAUUUGUAUUAAAUAUCCGUUAAAAACAUAAAGUUAUUCUUUCAAAGUCACAAAAUAGGAGCGAACACAAAAUUGUAGUGGUGAUUAUGUUUUGGGAGUAACUUUAUCUUUUUAGUAAACAGUUGAUACACAUUGUAAUAAUGGGUAUAAAAUUAAAUAUAUUUAAAUUUUUAUAACUUUUUGGAAAAUAAGAUAAUUCUUAGGUGGAUAAUUAAAAAUUUUUCUUUUCAAAAUAUUUUGAAAACAAUACCAAAUGUACCAUAUCAUUGUUUAUUUACACUAUAUAUAUAUAUAUAUUAACUCAUUCUUAUCCACAAUCUGUCAAUGAAAUAAUUAUUGACACUCAUAUUUGAAAACUUUCGAAAAGAUAAAAUCCAAUAUGAAAGGUGAAACGUUAUAAUCAUAGUAACUAGAAAAUGGAUUGAUUUACAAAUAUCAAUUUAAACAAUUUUCAAGUUGAUCGACAAUUUAAGUAGAUUGACAAAGAUUGAAGUAAUUACUGUUGGUGAUUGAUUGACUUUGUCCUUAUCCUCGCCGCCUUCUUAUCAAAAGUCGAGUGUCAAUUGGGCCAGGGCUUCUGAUUGCAACUAAUAGACUUCAUAUACGCAUAAUGGUCCCUACGUACAUACGUACCAAUAUUUGAUUGAAAAAGGGAUGCGUGCUUAAUGCUCAAGUCGUCUUCUUUUGGAAAUUCAUUGUUAUUACUCUCAUCAACUCGUUACUCGCAUUCCUCUUUAGUCAACAGAGAUCCUUUUGCUCAAUAAAAUUUUUCUUCUAUAUUCAAGGUGAAUACAGCAGCUCAUCAACUCUGAUCCCAGACAGGUAAAGAGGUGCACUUGUUCUAAGACCUUUAAUAUUCUUUUAGUAGCAGAAUCUCUGAUACUUGAUCUUCAUAGCGGUUCUUUCUUAAUUUGCAUCAACUUUCCUAGGAAAAAAUUCUCUGGUUUUUCUUAAGUCAUAUAAUUUAUUUUUCUUAAGUCAUAUCAUUUAUUUUUAGCAGCAGAAUACUUGAUCUUGAUAACGGUUCUUUCUUAAUUUCCAUCAACUUUCCUUGAAGGAUACCUUUUUGUUAAUAGCGAAACCUCUGAUCCUUAAGAUGGAAAAAGAAAUUCUCUAUUUAGAUAUCAGUUGGUUCAAGAUCAAUAUCGCGAUGUUGUUUGCAGUCUUUUCUUUCUCUGUCUUUCCCUUUAGUUCAUUUUAAUUUAUUUGUAUUCCUUUCUUUGACAUAUUAUUAGAUUUGUUAAGUAGCAGGCAAUGGCAGAAGUGGGUCUGGCUGCUUUUUCCAGCGUUGUAUCAGAAGGUGCAAAGUCACUGUUCAAACCGAUUAUACGGCAGAUAUCUUAUGUGUUCAAGUACCAGAGCUACAUAGAUGGCCUAAAAGAUCAAGUGAAGCAGCUGGGAUAUAGAAGAGAAACGGUGCAACAACCUGUUAAUCAUGCUAGACUACAAGGGGAUGAGAUUUAUGAGGGUGUCACAGACUGGCUAAAUCAAGUUGAUGAAUUCAGUGAAGGGGUUGCAAAAUCCAUCAUUGAUGAUGAAGAUAGAGCUAAGAAGUCCUGCUUCAGAGGAUUGUGCCCAAACUUGAUUUCUCGUUACAAGCUUAGUAAACAAGCAGCAAAGGCCGCAGAAGCUGCCGCUAGUCUCGUGGGAAAAGGAAACUUCUCUAAUGUUUCCUACCGUCCUGCUCCAGAGAGUACAGAACAAAUGGAAGUGAAAGAUUACGAGGCCUUUGAUUCAAGAAUGAAAGUAUUUCAAGAUGUUGUGGAGGCGUUGAAGGAUGAUAAGCUCAACAUAAUUGGGGUCUACGGCAUGGGCGGCGUGGGUAAAACCACGCUAGUCAAGCAAGUUGCAAGGCAAGUGAUGGAAGAAAAGUUGUUCGAUAAGGUCGUUAUGGCUGAGGUAACACAGACCCCAGAUCAUCAGGAAAUUCAAAAGAAACUUGCUUCUGAUUUAGGCAUAAAGUUUGAGUUGAAUGAGAGUAUAUUCGACCGAGCGGAUCGAUUGCGUGAAAGAUUGAAGAAAGAGAAGCGGGUCCUCAUUAUAUUGGAUAAUAUUUGGAAAAAACUCGAGUUCGAAAAAGUUGGAAUUCCUUCCAGGGAUGUUGAUGAUAAAGAUAAAAAGGAUGAUCAGAGACGAUGCACAAUAACAUUGACGUCUAGAAGUCGAGAUUUAUUGUGCAUUGAUAUGAAUUCUCAGAAAAAUUUCUCGAUCGAUGCUUUGCCACGAAAAGAAGCAUUGCAGUUAUUUGAGGAGAUAGUGGGUGAUUCAACUAAAAUAUCUGCUUUUCAAAGUAUAGCAAAUGAGAUCGUUGAAAGAUGCGGAGGUUUGCCUGUUGCACUGAGUACAGUUGCAAAUGCUCUGAAAACUAAGGAGCGUGACUUUUGGAAAGAUGCAUUGAAUCAGCUAAGAAGAUCGGAUGCAAGAGAAAUUCAUGGCAUGCAAGCAAAUGUGUACACCUCCAUAAAAUUGAGUUAUGACUUCUUGGAAAGUGAGGAGGCAAAAUCUCUGUUCCGUCUUUGUGGUCUAUACAGUGAAGGUAAUGUCAUACAAGUUUCUGACUUAUUGAGAUAUGGUGUGGGUUGGGAUUUGUUUGAAAAUGUUUACACAUUGGAAGAAGCAAGGAGUAGGGUGCAUCGGUUGAUCGACAAUCUCAAAUCUUCAUGCUUAUUGUUGGACGGAGAUGCUGAAGAUGAAGUUAAAAUGCAUGACGUCAUUCAUGUUGUUGCCGUAUCAAUUGCCGCAGAGAAGCGCAUGUUUAAUAUUCCAAAUGUUGCCGACUUGGAGAAAAAGAUGGAAGAGACAAUACGGAAAGAUCCAAUUGCCAUUUCUUUACCUUAUAGAGGUGAUCAAGUGCUUCCCCAAAGAAUGCGAUGUCCCCGUCUUGGGCUAUUUUUGUUGCAUAGGAAGGGUCUUUGCUCUAUGCAAGUUUCAGACCACAUUUUUGAAGGGACGGAAGGACUCAAAGUUUUGGAUCUUGCCAGAAUUCACUUCUCUUCAUUACCUUCAUCACUUGGGUGCCUCAUUAACCUUCAAACAUUGUGUUUAGACUAUUGCCGACUAAAAGAUAUAGCAAUAGUUGGACAGCUAAAGAAAUUAGAGAUUCUCAGCCUUGUAUAUUCCGAUAUCAAGCAGUUACCACUCGAAAUUGGACGAUUGACGCGGUUACAGUUGCUAGAUUUGAGCAAUUGUCGGAGCCUUGAGUUGAUACCACCAAAUGUCAUAUCAAAAUUAUCUCGAUUAGAAGAACUGUUUAUGCAUAACAGCUUUUCACAGUGGGAUAAGGUUGAAGGAGGAAGUAAUGCCAGUCUUGUCGAGUUGAAAGCGUUGACAAAGCUAACUACUUUGGAGAUAGAAGUUCCGGAUGCCGAAAUUCUGCCGCCGGAUUUUGUCUCCGUGGAAUUGGAAAGAUAUAAGAUAUUUAUAGGAAAAAUGUCUGUCCGACGGCUCGUCGAAUCUAAAACAUCAACAUUGAUGGUGCUCAAGGGGCCAGAAAGAGUUAGCCUUCUUUUGGGGAAUGAUGGGACGAAAAUGUUGCUGAAGAGAACUGAAGAUCUCCGUCUAUACUCACAGAAGGGUGUUCAGAAUAUUGUUCAUGAAUUAGACAAUGGGGAAGGUUUUCCACGAUUGCAGCAUCUUCUAGUAACAGACUGUUCUGAGAUUUUACAUAUUGUCGGUUCAGUUGGACGGGUUCGUUGCAAAGUCUUUCCCUUGCUGGAGUCAUUGGAUCUUAUUGAUUUAACUAAUUUGGAGACGAUAUGCUGCAGCCAACUCAGAGAAGAUCAAUCUUUCAGCAACUUAAGGAUUAUAAACGUAGAUUCCUGUCCAAAAUUGAAGUAUCUCUUCUCAUUCUCUAUGGCUAAAAACCUAUUGGGGCUUCAAAAAGUAAAAGUGAGAAAUUGCGAUGAAUUGGAAAUGAUGAUUGGUAAGUGUUUAAAUUAAUUAUUGGUAGGAUUAUUGACAUUGACUCAUUCUUUUUUUCUUUUUCUUUUUUUUUUGGGUGAAAAAACAACGGAUGUUUAUUAUAUAUUGUUUUUGUUCAUUUAUAGGGCCCGACAUGGAGAAACCAACAACUACUGAGGGACUCACAGAAAUCAUUGCAGAGGAUGAUCCUAUUCACAAGGUGAUAAUUUUCUGUUUAAUAAUUAAUUAAUUAAUAUUUUAUCGCGAUUGAUCUUCAAUCAUCAAAAGAAUAUUAUAUUAGAAGUUGUAGUUGAAGGAACAAAAAUGUACGGUUUUGCUGUGCAGGUUACUUUUCUACGCUUAGAGGAACUGAAACUUGACGGUUUAAAAAACAUCAAAAAAUUAUGGCCCGAUCAAUUUCAGGGAAUGUAUUGUUGUCAAAAUUUAACAAAAGUGACCGUGGAAAGGUGUUAUCGUCUGAAGUAUAUGUUUUCAUAUUCUAUGGUUAAUAGUCUUUUGCAACUCCAACAUCUUGAGAUUAUUAAUUGUUGGUCAAUGGAAGGGGUAGUCAACAACACCGCGGGGGGGUUAGGAGGAAGAGAUGAAUUAAAGGUUUUUCCUAAACUACACUCCCUGCGGCUCCAUUGCCUUCCAAAACUAUGUAGCUUCACCUCACCAGAAGACGUCAUUCACACUGAAAUGCAACCUCAAUCUUUCUUUAAUGAAAAGGUUUUUUUUUUUUUUUUUAAAUUAAUUUUAUUUUCAAUAGUUAAUUUCUUCUUUCGUUGAGUCUUCAAAUUUAAUUAAUAUCCAUCUCUAAUUGCAUUGAAUUUUUAACUUCAGGUACGACUCCCAAGUCUGGAGGUAUUACAUAUUAGUGAGGCGGAUAAGUUGAGAAAAAUAUGGCACCACCAGCUUGCUUCGAAGUCUUUUAGCAAAUUGAAAAAAUUGGAGAUAUCUUGGUGUAAUAAUCUAUUGAAUAUUUUUUCUCCAUUGGUAAGAUUGCUAUAUUCAUUUUGAAUUUUUAUUUCAAAUAACAUUCAACAAUUAUUUUAAUCAUUUUUGUGUUUACAAAUAAUUUUCAUUCACAAAUUAUUUAUUGCAAGUAUUGUACUUCAAACUUCUGGAGGGAAAAAAAGUAGUGUACUUCAAAUCACCAUUCUGAACUCUGCAUUUUCAAUCUAAUUUAUAGGUUCACCUGCAUUAAAGUCAACAAUAUAAUUGUUUUAAACACGAUUUAACAGCAUAAUAUAAUUCAAUUUAAUUUUUUUUUCUUAAAUCGUAAUAAAUAAGAUUUUCAGAAAUUAAAAGAUACUUAGUUACUCAGCUUUUAAGUUCACAAAUUCAUAUAUAUUUCUCUUGUCCUUGGGUCUUUAGAUUUCGAUUUUAAAAAAAAUAAAGAAAAGUGUUCAAAUGUAGUUAGUAUCUCUAGUUUAGUUAUGAAUUGAUUACGCCAUUGAUUAAGCACAAAUUCAUGAUGGUCAUUUUGAAUCGACCGUUGAUUAAAAAAAUUCCUCAAAUAUUCACUCUAUAACAAUCCCAUGUUGAUGGCGUUGGGAAGUGUUUUCCAGAAAUGUUUUCCAUUUUUAAAAGCAUGAAUAUCGGGAAAAAAAAAAAAAAAGAGAAAUACAACGUUUUAGUUUAGUUAUUUUAAAAAUAGGCAUGUUUGAAAAUUAAAAAUUUUUAAAAACUAGCAUCAAGAUGAAAAAUGAAUUUAUAAUAUUUAAAAAUUACCUGAAAUUCUUUCUCCGUUCCUAAUACUAAAUAGUGUAAAUGCAUUUUCAUUAUCUUUGUUUUUCUGGACUUCUAUUUAUUUAUUUAUUUUUGUUUUAAUUUUUUCCUUUUUUUCUUUAACAAAAAAUAUCUAGUAGACAUUCAUGAUUUGUUAUUUUUCAUAAAACAAUUGUAUGAUUUUGACAUACUUUGAAUCUAGUUGAAUGCUACUCUUUAUUUUAAGGUUGGAAUUCCUAGUAGCCUGGUGAAUCUUGAUGUAUCAUACUGUGAAAAAAUAGAAGAAAUCAUAGGACAUGUUGGAGAAGAAGCGAAGGAGAAUCGUAUUGCUUUCAACGAAUUAAAACUUUUGGUACUUGAUCAUUUACCAAGGCUUACCAGCUUUUGUUUGGAGGAUUACACUCUUGAAUUCCCAUCAUUGGAACGAGUUUCUAUGACAUGUUACCCGAACAUGAAGACUUUUUCUCAGGGAAUCGUAUCCACACCAAAGCUGCACGAAGUGCAGGUGAGUAAAAAGGAAGUAUUAAGUUUUAUAUGAAACUGUGAUGUUGUUUGGUUACUAAGAAAAUAGGAAGAAAGAAAACUUCUGUAAGCUGAGAAUUCUGUUAUUAUUGAUCUAAUGAAUCUGGAAAUUACAAGCCUUUUUAUAUGUGCAUAGAAGAUUCUACACACAUUGCACACACGCACAGUUUACUACUAACAACCUCUAUAACAACCUUUAGCUGACUCAGCUGCCAUGUCAGCAUACUCAUUAACUAACUAAUUCUAUUCUUAACAGGAAGAGGGUGAAUUGCGCCGUUGGGAAGGCAACCUUAAUUCCACUAUACAAAAGUGUUACGAAGAAAUGGUAUGUGUUAAAUCGAUUCGUCGAAAUUACUUAUGCAUCUCCCUUGCACUUGCACAUUUGAACAUAUAAGUUUAAUGUAUAUAUAUAUCUAAUGCCUUUCAAGAAAAAAAUUUAUAUAUAUCCAGUGCAAUUGUUUUGGUUUGUGCAGAUUGGAUUUCGUGACAUACAGGAUUUGCAACUCUCACAUUUUCCACGUUUGAAAGAAAUAUGGCAUGGCCAAGCACUGCCUGUCAGCUUCUUCAACAAUUUAGUACGACUGGUGGUGGAUGACUGCACGAAUAUGUCGAGUGCUAUUCCUGCCAAUCUGCUACGGUGCUUGAACAAUUUGGAAUACCUGGCAGUGACGAAUUGUGAUUCACUAGAAGAGGUGCUUCAUUUGGAAGAGCUAAAUGCUGACAAAGAACAUAUAGGUCCCCUGUUUCCUAGGCUUUACAGUCUAAGGCUCACUGAUCUUCCAAAACUCAAAAGAUUCUGCAACUUCAUUGGGAAUAUAAUUGAAAUGCCUGAGUUGGAGAAUCUAACUAUUGAGAAUUGCCCUGAUAUGGAAACAUUCAUAUCCAACUCUGUAGUGCACGUGACAAUAGAUAACAAGGAACCUCAAAAAUUAACAUCAGAAGAGAACUUCUUGCUGGCUCAUCAAGUACAACCUCUCUUCGAUGAAAAGGUGAUUAUUAUUAUUAUUAUUAUUAUUAUUCCCUUCACUUUCGUUCGCAUAGAUGUAAUUUCAUAAGAAUCAAGUCAAAUUUAAUGACUCAUCUUUUUGCAUGUCAUCUUAAUUUAUAUAUGAUUUAACAAUAUAACCGCAGUUAUUAACUAUCUUUAUAGUAUGAAUUAUAAAAAUGUCUGGAAUUAAUUGGAUUCCUGGCAACACGAGGUGCUGAACUAUAUUAAUUAUGUGUGUUAAUUCAUAUUGGAUUUAGGAUCAGAUUUCAUUUAUGUGUUUCAAAGGGUAAUCGAUUUGAUACUUAUAUUUGGGAUCCUACUGCAAAGCAUACUGAUUUGGAAAUAAAAUAUAAAAUGCCGUGAUUAAUCUUGUCCAUAAAAUAUGCAGGGGAAGACUGCAGAGAUUGGAUACAUAUUUUCAUUUCCAACUUAAUUUUGUUGAUUUUCAGGUUGCAUUCCCUCAAUUGAGAUGGUUAAACCUGUCUAGAUUACACAAAGUGCAGCAUCUCUGGAAGGAAAAUGACGAAUCCAACAAAGCGUUUGCAAACUUGGGAAGUCUAGAAAUAUCGGAAUGUAGUAAGUUGCAAAAAUUAGUACCACCUUCGUGGCAUUUGGAAAAUCUUGCGACUCUGGAAGUAUCGAAGUGUCACGGGUUGAUAAAUUUAUUGACGCUCUCAGCAUCUGAAAGUCUAGUGAAUCUUGAAAGAAUGAAGGUAGCUGAUUGCAAAAUGAUAGAAGAAAUCAUACAAUUGCAGGUUGGAGAAGAAGUGAAAGGCUCCAUUGUCUUCGAGAAAAUGAACUACUUGACACUUGAUUGUUUGCCAAGCCUAACAAGCUUUUGUUCGAGUAAUUACACUCUUCAAUUCCCAUUCUUGCAAAAAGUAGUUGUGAGACAGUGCCCAAAGAAGAAGAUUUUCUCUCAAGGAGUCGUAGACACACCAAAUCUAAACAAAGUGAAACUCACCGAAGAAAAAGAUGAUGAUGAUGAUGAAGAAGAUGAUGAUGAUGAAGGAUGUUGGGAAGGCAACCUCAAUGACACCAUAAAAAAAUUGUUCAAUGAAAUGGUGAGUAUCAAUUAAGUUUUGGUGCUAUUUAGCAAAUUAUUUUAUAGAAACUAGUGUGACAUAAUAUGAUUGGUUGACUGAAAAUAUAUAAUAAUAAUAGUAAAUAAAUAAAUUAUGAGGAGCAUGUAAUGUUUUUGUUUAACCAAUCAUAUUAUGUCGCAUUAGUUUAUACAAUAUUAUUUGUGCACAAGAGGUGGUGGUCAUAUCAUUACUCUAGUUUUAUUAUUCUUAUGGUGGCAAUGUAUGCUUGCUUACACGAGUAAUUACAAAAUCUGCAGAAUUCUAAAGAAGAGAUUGAGCCAAUCCUUCAGGUACAGUGAAGAAGCUAUCCCGAACCAGGCCAAUCUCUUAUACAUGAUUUAGCUUGCUCGUUCUUCUGUACUUGAAUAAUUUGGCUCUACAUAUUUACAAUUUUUUGCUCAUGCUACAGACUUGCAAGACACUUUGGAUUUUGUUUGAUGCAUUCUCCGUUUAAGAAAGGACUUGAAUUGAUGUUUCAUGUUUCAUGCAAUAUUCGAUUAGAUUCUGUCUAAAUUUCUGUAUUAUUCGUUCAAUUGGUCUUUUAAGCAUUUGAUUUCUAACCUCUCCUAAUAGAAUAUCAUUAGCCGAUGAAAACAGCAUAACAUUUGUGGUUGUGGCAUUAUCAGAAUAAGAAUAUUUUUUAGUAUAGUAAAAUUAUCUCGACCACUGUUAAAAAGAAUUAAACAGUCAAACUGACCUUCUCACACCAGCACGCUUUAAAUUAAAAGAAUUUCAUGAAGUCAAGACCAUGUUAUAGAUCUUGUGGAAAUAAGUGAACCCGUAAUUUUUUUCACACCAUCAUAAGAAAAAUCAUUUUUUUUAAGUAUUUUUGUUAGCUGUUGAGUUUUAAUAGUAGUAGCUAUUAAACAAUAACAAUUAGUGUAUAUUAAAAAGUUGGAAACUGGUUGAUACCACUCGGGAAUCGAGCAGUUCACUUGUUUGCGAGUAGAAACCAACUUUACUACUAAUUACACUCAUACCAAAAAUAGUGACGAAAGAAUCAGGGAAUUUCCUAUUCACUAUUCUUCAUUUUUUAAUGCAAAAUUCCCAUUCGAAAACACCAAUGACUUUCAUUCAAAGUAAAUGAGAAAUUACAAUGAAAAUAGAAUCAAAAUACAUAUAUGUAUACCUAAAACAAAUGAUUUUUUUAAUUAAAAAAAAAAUACAGUUGAGGUGAAAUGAAACCAGAGUCAUGAUAUCUCUGGUUCCAACUUUGGGACAACAGCAGACUUGAGUUCUAUAUGAGAAACACGUACAGCACCAAUCAGCCGCUCCAGUAAUUCAUCUGUAGUAUUUGCCUGCAUACAGAAGAGCAAGAUAAAGAAGACAAACACAGAAGCAUUAUAUCAUUCUGAGAACAUUCAAGUAUGCAAAAAUGCAAGUUGCAGUGCAAUAUCUCAAAAUCAUGUCUUUUCCCUUGUGUCCAUUUAGCAGUGGGGGAAAAAAACAAUCAUACAUACCUGUACAAGGAAAGCCAUGUCAACCACCAAUGUCGUAAUUACACCAAUUACAAGGCCCAAAACUCCAUUAGCAACAGUAGAAGAAUCGAUGUCAACAUCAAUCUACAGAAAGAUGAACAAUGUUAAACCAUGUUAAAGGUAUUGGACGCUAUUUGAAAGGGGAACAUCUCAUGUACUAUAGAAAUUCCAAGAGCAUUUACUUCUAAGUACUUGGGACCGCGAAUAUAGUUACAAUCAACUGCCUUCCCCAAUAAACAAGGGGUGCUUCCAACACUCUGGCGCACUAUCCAUGACCCCUGCAUGAUUCAGUGCUUAAAAUCAAGAACAAGUGCAAAACAAAUUCAAGAGGGUAAAAAGGACAUAGUUUGAAUCUGAAUCCAAAUCCAUUAAUCCAGAGUUCAUAGCUUGGAUGAAGACUGAUCAACUUCUGUUGAGUUGGAUGAUGUCGUCGAUACAGCAAAAUCUACUUGCUACUGUGAUUGACUCCACAACUUCAAAACAGCUUUGGGAGACUCUUACUAGUAUGUUUAUUUCUUAAUCACAAGCUAGAAUCCAAACACUUAGAAUGCAGAUUCAAACUAUUAAGAAAAGUGCAAUGCAUAUGUCUGAUUACUUUGCAAAAGUAAAACGUAUAGCUGAUACUUUAGCUCUAGCUGGAAAACCUGUUGAGUUAAGUGACCUUGUGAUGCAUGUAUUAACCGGUCUUGAUUCAUCAGAUUAUGAAUCUUUAGUCACAGCUAUUUUAGCUCGAGGUGAGAAGAUAACAUUAGAUGAACUAUAUCCUUUGCUGUUGAAUCAUGAAAAUAGAGUUGAGCAAAAGAAAGGAAAAAUUGCUGGUGAUGUGAUGCACAAUAUAACAGCAAAUAUUGCUCAGAAGAACUCAUGCUGGAAAGAAUAAUGGCAAUUUUCAAAAAAAUUAUGGAAAUAAUUCUGGAGGUGGAAAUAAUUCUAGGUAUGGAGGUUUUAAUGGAUAUGGAUAGGGUCAGUUUAAUAAUGGUGGUAAUUCCUUUGAAAUUGUUUGUCAAAUCUGCUUAAUACCUGGUCAUGCAGCCAAUAGAUGCAAAAAUAGGUACAAUUCAUCUUUUGUUCCACAAAGAAACUAUGGCAGAGGUAAUAUGAAUGGUGUCAGAGGUUUUAAUCAAGGGCAAUAUGGUAGAGGAAGAGCUUUUAAUGGUAAUGGUGGCAGAGGUUUUGGAGGUUUUGGUUUAAAUGCCGGUUUUGGCUAUGCACCCAGGGGUUUUGGCUAUCAAGGAAAUAUAGUGUAUCCAGAUAGGAAUCCUUCUGCUUAUUACUCAUUCACCCUUGGACCAUCUACUUUUGUUUCUGGUCAAGGAAAUAAUAAUCCUGGACAGUCAAGUGCUUCAUCUUCCUCAGCUAUGCCUUCUUCACUUCCACCAGAACACAUUGAAGAUCCUUCAUGGUAUAUUGAUAGUGGAGCAACAAAUCACAUUACAAAUUAUCUAGGUAAACUUCUGGAUUCACAAGUUUAUACUAGUACUGAAAAAUUGUUUGUUGGAGAUGGAAAUGCAUGAGCUAUUACACAUGCAGGAUCAGUUGUGCUAAAUACUUCAACUUCUAAACCUUUAAGAACCAUCUUCUGCAUGUCCCUUUUAUUACUAAGAAUUUGCUUAGCAUUUCAAAAUUAUUGGCUGACAAUCCAGUUAUUGUUGAAUUUCUUGGUGAUUUGUGUUUUAUAAAGGCUAGGAACACAGGGAAAAUUUUACUUGAAGGUGUUGCUAAAGGUGACUUGUAUAGAGUCUCUUCACAUGUUGCUGCUCAUUCAGUCUUUCUCAUUUCAGUUGGUCAAAAUAAAACUCACUCUCUUUGCUUGUUCUCCUGUUUUCAAUUCUGAUCAGCUCACUGCUGUUAGUUCUUAUGAAUUGAAUAAAAAGUCAUGUCUGUCAGUUGUUACAAAGAGUUCUAUUGAUGUAAAUCUUCUUCAUAGAAGAUUAAGACACCCAGCAUCUUAUACUCUCAAAACUAUACUCAAAACUUGUAACAACUCUACUGCUUAUAAUAAAAUUGAAAGCUUGAAAUUUUGUUCAGCAUGUCAAUAUGGGAAAAAUCAUAUGCUGCAUUUUGAUUCAGUUGAAACAAAAACUUCAGCACCCUUACAAGUGAUAUAUGCAGAUCUUUGGGGUCCUUCUCAUGUCUAUUCUACCCAAGGAUAUAAUUACUACUUAUCAAUCUUAGAUGAUUAUAGUAGAUUUACCUGGAUAUUUCCAUUGUCAGCCAAAUCUGAUGCUCUUGAAGUGUUUACCAAUUUCAAAAUUUUUAUUGAAAAGCAUCUUCAACUUCAAAUCAAAACUGUCCAAACUGACUGGGGAGGAGAGUUCAGAACACUUUCCUCAUUACUCACUGCUUCUGGUAUCCAUUUUAGACACCCUUGCCCACAUAUUCAUCAUCAAAAUGGAAGAAUUGAGAGGAAACAUAGACACAUAGUUGAUGUAGGUCUGACCUUAUUAGCUCAAGCACAUUCACCACUCAAAUUUUGGUGGAAUGCAUUCCACACAGCUGUCUAUUUGAUAAACAGACUUCCAACUCCAGUUCUAAACAACAUUUCUCCUUUCCAAAAGUUAUUUCAUCAUCAACUAGAUUAUUCAACACUUAAAACCUUCGGUUGUGCUUGUUAUCCAACACUCAGACCAUACAAUAGACAUAAGUUUGAUUUCAGAACUGCCAGAUGUAUAUUCAUUGGCUACAAUUCACAACACAAGGGAUAUCAGUGUCUUCACUCUUCUAAGAGGGUUUACAUUUCAAAUCAUGUCACCUUUGAUGAAAAUUCUUUUCCUUGUGAGUCUGGAGCAGAUUUUUCUUCACUCUCUUCAAGUUGUCAGUCAACAAAAAACUAUAAGUCUUCUUUCAAUUCCUCUGUUCCUUCUGUUACUCAGUUACAAGCACCUUUAGCAGCAUCAUCAGAACACCAUCAAAAUGUUCAUCAUUUAGAUGCUCCUACUCCCUCACCAAAUUCUACUCCACUUUAUUUUUCUGAUAAUUCCAACUCAGCUUCUUCUUCUUCACCACCACAUAAUUCACCUCCACAUACAUUGCCACAACCUGCAUCAACUGGUCAUCCAAUGAUAACCAGGUCAAAAGCAGGUAUUUUCAAGCCAAAAAUUUAUUUGUCAGCUUUAUUAGCCCAAAAAUCAGAACCAACUUCUGUUUCCCAAGCACUUUCUGAUCCUAUGUGGUAUAAGGCUAUGCAAGAAGAGUAUCUAGCACUUAAAACUAAUCACACCUGGGAUUUAGUUUUACCUGCUACUCCAGUGAAGAUAGUUGGCAGCAAAUGGGUGUUUCGAAUAAAGUAUAACUCAGAUGGUUCAGUUUCAAGAUAUAAAGUCAGGCUUGUUGCAAAGGGGUUUCAUCAGACACAUGGGAUUGACCAUACAUAAACUUUUAGUCCAGUGGUUAAAGCUUCAACUGUUAGAGUUAUUCUUAGCUUAGCAGUAUUGAAUCAAUGGGUGAUUAGGCAAGUAGAUGUUAAUAAUGCCUUUCUAAAUGGCAUUUUAAUUGAAGAGGUGUACAUGGCUCAACCUGAAGGUUUUGUUGACUCAACUAAACCUAAUCAUAUCUGCAAGCUGAAUAAAGCUUUGUAUGGCUUAAAACAGGCACCCAGAGCCUGGUUUGAUAGAUUCAAGGAUGCAAUGAUCUCUAAACAGCAUUUCCAACAUUCAAGGUCUGAUAACUCUCUGUUUCAUGCCUGGAACAGUGGUCAUCUAACUCUUGUUUUGGUCUAUGUUGAUGAUAUUAUCAUCACUAGUUCCAGUCCAACACUAAUUCAGCAAGUUAUUCAGAGUAUGAAUCAAGCCUUUGCUUUAAAAGACAUGGGGGAACUUAGCUAUUUUCUGGGGAUUGAAGUCAGCAAGUCUUCAUAAGGGGUUUCCUUGACACAAGCAAAGUAUAUUACUGACAUUCUAGAUAAACAUGGCAUGACAGAUUGCAGUCGUGUGCCUACUCCAAUGUCUACUGGUUAUUAUCUCACAAAAGAAUCAGGAGAGCUAAUUGAUAAUGUUUCUCAAUAUAGGAGUGUUAUAGGAGCUCUUCAAUAUGUUACUCUUACCAGACCUGACAUUGCUUUCUCUGUAAACAAGCUAAGUCAAUUCCUUUCAAGUCCUAGAACACAACAUUGGGAAGCAUGCAAAAGGUUAUUGAGGUACUUAAAAGGCACUAUACAUCUUGGGCUGCAAUUUAAUAACAAAGGAGCUUUGCAACUACAUUGUUUUUCAGAUUCUGACUAGGCUUGUGAUCGUGAUGAUAAGAAGUCACUGGUUGGCUUUGCUGUUUACCUAGGCCUUAAUCUAGUCUCAUGGUCAUCAAAGAAACAAGCUGUUGUUUCCAGGUCCAACACAGAGGCUGAGUAUAGAUCUCUUGCUCAUGCUGCUUCAGAGGUUCCCUGGAUACAAUCUUUACUUGGUGAACUUAACAUCAAAUUGAGCUCUACUCCUAUGAUGUGGUGUGAUAAUCAAGAAGCAAUUGCUUUAGCUUACAAUCCAGUCUAUCAUGCUAAAACUAAGCAUGUCGAAUUGGAUAUACAUUUUAUCCGAGAUAAAGUUACUGCUAAAGAGAUUGAAGUAUGUUUUGUGCCCAGUCAAGAUCAAACAGCAGAUGUGUUGACUAAGGCUUACUUUCAAACAGUUUAGUUACUUAAGAAGCAAGCUGAAUGUUCAUCCUAAACAUUUCAGCUUGAGGGGGGAUGUAGUGAAUUGAAUGAAGUUGGAGCAAAGCAUGAUGUUGCUGUGUAGCUGACUGUAGCAGAUCAACUCACUAGGCUGACCUGGCAAAGUUAGUUAGCUGGUUGAGCUGAUGUGUCAAAUUAGUUAUGCAGCAAAUGGUUAUGUGAUGUAAAAAACUUGUGUGUGUGUUGAGCAAAUUGUAGCUUAAUAUAAAUAUCAGUCUGUAUUCAUUUAGUUGUAAUGCUAGAGUAAUAAAGGUUCUACAAACUUCUUUACAGCGCUUUCUUUUAUUUUCUUUCAUUUUCUAGCUUGCCAAACAAUACAAAACUAAGUUUCUUUCGGAAAAGGAAAAAUAAAAAGAAAAGAAUAGUUACUUGUGCAGUACAGCCUUGACGCCUAGCUACAUGGUCCAUUCUCUGUGUCUUUGAACCAAUCAACAGCAACAAGAUCCAUUAAAUGUUUUCCCGCAGGUAUCUGCAGUUACAAAUUGCACAAAGCACAAGAGCCAACCAAACUACAUCAUAACCUGUCGACCUAGCAUAUGCAGGAUAUAUAACUACCAUAACAAACAACCAAAAUAUGGGGGAACCUUUGUUUUGUCAUAACAAAAAUGCUUGCUACGAACUCUAAAGUUAUUUCCACCAGAAAGUUUCCAGCAGUCACGAGCAUUAUCACAGUCAUCGUGUCGCAGAUUGCCUGAAAAAUAAGAAAAAUCAAUUUGAUCAGCCUGCUCUUCCUCUAGGGUAGCAACUAAUUGAAAAUUAUAAACCAAAAAAAAAAAUCAAUACCAUAAAAAUCCACUAAUGAGGACAUUAGCCAAAUAUACAAAAAUGAAUACUUAUCAUCCACCUGUCCUCUUGAAAUCAUUCUCAAUCUUUUUUUCAUUUGAUGGCAGGAAUUAUUGAAAUUGGAGCCAUUUUUUUUGUGGGAAUUGAAAUAUAUUCUUUAAAUUAUUACAUAAAUAGCAAAAUGUACAUACACACACAUAUAUAUAAUUCAUAUAUAAAAAUUCUCUAAUUUGUUCACAAGUACCAUAGAUUAUAAUUCAGUUAUGAAAUAAAAUAACUACAAUAAUUAUAGUUAAAUGAAUACUUCAUUAAUUCUUAAUUUGCUUCCUAACAUUAAAUGAACAACUUGAGUCAGCCACCUGAAUCAACCAGUAACAACGCCUGAGUCAACCAUCUGAAAAAACCAGCAACCCUAGCUGAUUCAAGCACCUGCAAUUAACAUCAACACAACAGGAACAAUCAUAAAUCAGCACCAAGAACAGACCAAACUGCCAUCAAAUGCCACAAAACCAAACAGUCUGCUACUGCCAUCAAAUGCAAGCAAACAUAUGCAACAAAACCAGAUGCAAGUGAAAUUCUGGAGAAUAUCGGAUAAACCAAACCAAAUGCCACACUUCUAGUAAUUAGACUAGAUGCAGUGUUCAAUUAAACUAAAUGUAGUCUCAUAUUACAUUCAAAUUUUCUAAAAAAACCAGUGUUCCAUCAGAGAAGCACCAAAACCAAACCAAUCUAAUCCAGCAUAAUUACCAGCUCAACCCAAAACAAUUACACAUUAUAUUGACAUAUCAAAAUUCGCUAUCAAAACAUAGCCAAAUAAAUGACAAUAAACUGAAAACAGACCCGAACCAACUGAUGUUGCAGCCCUAGUAGUCAUUGUGCGUUCCACUGCCAUAGGAGCGAGGGUAGGCUCCGUUGUUGAUGAGUGAGUAAGAUAAGGCUCCAAAUCAAUAGUUCCACCUCCUUUCUGCAAUUCAAAAAACAGAAAUUCAUAUAUGUAAAACUAUUAAAAAGUGUGAAACAACCUGUAAGUAUUCAACUUCUGUCAACUCAAUAGCACUUACUAAAGUUUUUAUACAGAAGAAAAAGGCAUUUUAAGUCCAAAAAAUUAGAAUUAUUGGUUGAACUCCAACUCCAUCAAUCCAUGCAACCAUCCAACCUUUAACGAAAAAAUGAAGCAUAAUUAACAAGACAUCUGAAUCAGAAAGAUUGUGCUUUGAUUUGGCACGAGGUGUUGGAAACAACUUAACAAAUCUAGACACAAUCUAUAACCAUCAAGUCCAAACAAAAGUCAGGAUCUAAAAUACUUUGAAAAAUCAGAAAAACCGCAAAAUAUCAGUUUCAAUUUCUUUUUCACCCAUUGUAAGCUCAAACUGAAGGUAGCGGCGCUACCUUUAAACAUCAUUUGGGCUUAUACAUGUGACAUUUGCUCAUGAACAACUAAAGUUGAAUAAGAUUUUUAUAUGAAACGGAAUAUAAAAAGUCAAAGUAGAAUAUGACAGGACCAACAAUAUAUUAUUCAGCAUUAGCAUUAUGUAUAAAAUAAAUUUAGAGGCAUCAUAUUCAUUCACAAUCUUGCAGAGGUAAUACCAGAUUAUGGCACGCAACUCUUGAAUAGCAGAUAAAGGAGGAGAUGCAGUGGGAAGGUAGUAACUUGCUUGCAUGAGAACUAAAAAGUAAUAUCCCAAGAUCAAUUAUAGAUCUCAUAAAACAAAAACAGUGAGGCAAACACAAUUAUUGUGAACAAUUAUUCAUAGAACCACAUAGCAGCAACAAGAUCAAAGUCAUCUGUGUAUAAAUCGAUUCCCCACAGCUGACUGCCUCUGACCUAAACAUAAUGAAAUUACAUAACUAAGAAGUAGAGUCAUAAAAUAUGCUGCUGUAACAGCUAUCAAUAAAUUUCCAGACAAAUGGAAUUUGAUAUGUAAGGCUAUAACUAGCAACACUUCAAAAUAAUUUGAAGUAGCAUGAUCUUACUUUAAGGAUCAAUACUACAAUCUUUCAGAAAAAUUAAAGUCUAACCAAAAUUAAAACCUUAAACAUACUAAAAUCUGGUAAAUAGACCUAUAGGAAUUCCAAUGACCUCCAAAAUAUUUGAAAGAAAAAUUAAUUUACAGCAAAAAAUGUUAAAGAUUUGUAAAAUGGAGGCCCAUACUACUAUUCAAAUUACAAAAGAGGAAAGGGAGCUGGCCAUUAAAUGAUAAAGGCAUGCAUAAAGAAAUACGAGCACCACAUUAAAUGAUAAAGGCAUGCAUCGAGAAAUACAAAAAAUAUGCCCAUAAAGACGUCCACUCAAGCCUUAUAAGCGGCUUUAUGCAAAGGAAAGCCAAUUAGUUAACAGUAAAUGAAUUUCAAGGUGCAAUAAUUAAACUCCCUGAUCAGCACAUUUAAGGUUCAUGCAUUUCUACAAAACAUGUAAAUCAUAAGAACUUUUUUGGUCCAAAUGCUAACCAGUAAUUAAGUAGAUUAUCAAAGUAGUCACAGAACAAGCACCACAUUGAUUGCUAUGCAAAAGAUGAAAGUAAAAGUUAAUACUUUAUUUUAUUUUACUUUUCGAGAGUUUUGAUCAUCAUGUGCAAAAUAGUAGUAUAACUUGCUCAGUGUUAUCUCAAAAAGCUUGCUUAAAAUACCUAUUAGCACCAGUCCAAGUUGUCAAAUAAAUCCUUAUCUAUCCAUUCAUCUCUGACCUUGCCAAAAAGAUUUAAACGAGCAUCUAUAUUCUCACUCCAAUCUUUCACAAUCAUAGGCUUUAACUUAGACCAGUUCUUCAAUAUCCCUUCCACUGUGAGCCCCUCGAAAACCUUGUAAAUUGAAUCACAUUUGUCGUCAGUUUCAAAUCCAUCUGUCAAAAGGCUAAGCAAAUGAAUAUACAAUCAACACCAUUCUUCCAAACGAAUAUACAGUCAACACCAUUCUUCUAAACACAAACAAAGUUUGAACGUAUGACAGAUUUUUAGCCAUUUAAUAUUCCAUCAAAUAUAAUUAGAUCACACCUACCAAGGAUUUUUGAAAAGAAUGCAUUCUCAUCUUAAGCAGCAACCUCACUAGUAACACAUUUUCAUACCCUGUUUCCACCUCUGGUCGCACCACCAAAAAAAAUUCAGUACUAAUUAGCUUUAAUAUGUAAAUUUUCGCUUAGUUUAAGCUAGGGUUUUCUUUCGAUUGAAACAGAGGAAAGCUUUUGGGUUAUUAAAGUGAAAGAUAUGGAAUAAUACAAAAAAUUAUUGAAGUGAAAGAGCAGGAAUACAAAAAAUCAGCAGAUGAGAUCGUUGAAAGAUGCGGAGGUUUGUAUAUAAAUAUUAAAUUGAUCGUUGAAAGAUGUAUAAACCUCCAUAAAAUUGAGUUACGACUUGAAGGAUUGUAUAUAAACAUUAAAUUGAUCUAAUUUAACUUGUAUGUAAACACUAAAUUGUAUAUAAAUACACAAAACAGAACCAUAUCAGUGUUGGAAAAAAAAUAAGAAUCCAGAGUUAUAUAAAUUCAAUAAAAAAGUAUUGAAUUUUUUAUUACUAACUUUGAACACUCUAAUUUCAAUAAAAAAAAUAUAUUACUAAAAUAGUCUUAAUUGAAUUUAAUAUUAAAGAUAUUAGAAUAACUCAACACUAAUAUUCUCAAAUAUAUUUCUCUCCAUAGUCUAAUCUAAUCCAUUCUAAGAAUCCUAUAGAAAAUCUAUUAUUUACUUUUUCCUUAUUAAACACAAAAACAUGUCAUUUUGUUGCUAACUAAAAUUUUGGAACUAACAACAGCAGAUUAACUAAAAUUAUCAGGAAAAGAAAUCAAACAGGAUUUUAAUCGUCAUCAUCUUCACUCUUGCCUUUUUCUUUUUCUUCACACAUGUGGCUUGCACACGCAUUCCCCUCUCUCAUCCUUAGGGCCGCCCUUCAACAAUAUCCAAUCAUCGAUUAUAAUUAUUUAGAUUGACCAAAUCAAGCUUUGAUCAUAUAUCGGUUGAGGUUAGAAGUAGGCAGGCAGCAACGACAAUACUAAUUAAUAUCUCAUGAGAAUUUUAAAAAAGAAUCUAACGUUGCCCAAUUCGUUUGAUUUCAAUGAAAUCUUUCUCCUACCUAUACUUUCGCAUAUUCUCUUUUAUUUCCAAAGUUAAGGUUAUGGAUGUUGUAGAGUAAAAAGAUGAACAUUGCUAGGAAAGCAAUAAAAGGAAAUAAAUAAAAAUUAAAAAUAUAAAAAGAGUUAAGUCAUUUUUUUUGUCUAUUAGUGUUUUUGUAUUUAAUAACGAAAGAUAAAAAUGAAGUAAAUAUUAUCUGUUAGAUUAUUAAAAUACAUACUUAAAAUGUUUUAGUGACAAUCUAAUUAUAAAUUAAGGGUCUAUUUGAGAUUGAGAUUGAACAGUUAAAAUGUUAUAGUUGUUGUAGUUUAGAAGUUAAGAUGAUUUGAUUUUACACUUAUAUGAUAAAAAAUUAUUAUAUCUUUAUUAAUUUUAUCAAAAUUAUUAUUAAAAAAACUAAAUUUAUUAUAUACUAUUAAUUUUUAUUUUAUACUUAAAAUUUUUUUUUUCUUACGGCAAAAGUUUUAGCACCUCAAUACCCAACCAAGUCUAAAACUGCACAAUAAUAAUUAUGAGUGUGCAUGUUAAAAUCUACACACAUUCUUUAAUUUCAAUCAACAGUGUUACAAACUUAGUUAAAAUAUUAUAUCUGAAAUUAUUGAGGGGAAAAAAAAAGAAAAAAGAAUGUUGUUUUCAUGAUAGUGACAUGCGUCGUGCACAUUUUGCUGUUGGCUCUUUGGUCUCUAACCUAGCGAAUAGGUUGCUGUGUCCUCGUUGUUAGAUGCCCGAACCCAGCGCAAGAACUUUGUACGAUACCAUAUAUUUUGUAUGAAUUUAAGCUGAAGUUGGUACCUUUUAUUGUUUUAUAUCAUGACAUCAGGGAAAUUUUUAAUAGAUCUUCAUUUUAGGCUAAAGUACCCGAACAAUAGUUCCCAUGCACUUUGUGAUCUUUUUACAAAAUAUUAAACUAAAUAGCUGUGGAAGUAACAAAGAGGGCAACUUUUUACCAUAAUGUGAUGAAAAUAAUUUAUUUGUUGUCAUCACGAACUAACCAAAUCAAAACAAAAAACUAACUCAAAUCUGUGCGUCUAGUAACUUAUAUGAUGAUCAUUAGAUCUUGUUCUUGUUAAUGCGUCUAGUAACUUAUAUGAUGAUCUGAUGAUAUCCGUAACAUUAACAUACCCAUAAUCCAUUAUUUUAUAAUUAUAAAAAUUGAAGAUUCGGUCAUGCAAUUUUGUAUGAUGAACAGUGUUUCAUUUUUCUGUGAAACAUAAGAACAAUUUGUAAAUAAUGUCCAUGCGGACCUUGUAAUAGCGAAGCAUCAUUAUUGAUCUUACUUUGAUGAUCGCACUUUAGUUUCUUUUUAAAGUGCCUUUUGUUUAUUUUAUCGGCAUCCGCUUUUACAAAAGUUUUGGUCCUCGUUCAUUCAUCAAAGCUUCUACUUUUAUCUUUUAUUAGGCAUCUUAUAAAAAGCUUAAUUUAAUUGGAUUCAUGUUCGAUAUGAAGAUUGUUUUACUUACUUCAAUCUUUCAAUCAACCGAAUUUAUUCUUUUCUGAUCUGGAAAUUAUUCAUGAAAAAAUAGGCGCGUCAGUAGGACAACAGGGACCAAGUACAUAAUAUGAAAAUUCAUUUGUAUUGCUUACUCUAAUAAGCUCUUAAACUCACACAUUCCUCUGCAGUUACCAGUGAUCUUUUGCUCACUAAAAUUGUUAAUAUAUAUUCAAGGUGAAUAAAGAAACUCAUCAUCCCAGAUAAUUAAAGAGGUGAACUUGUUCUAAAUCCUUUAAUAAUUUCUAUUAAUAGCAUAUAUAAUCUCUAAUCCUUGAUCUUGAUAGUAGUUCUUUCUUAAUGUCCAAGAAAAAUAUCUCUCAUUUGUCUUAAUCUUGUCAUUUAAUUUUCUUGAAUUCUGAGUUAGUGUUUAUUGUUAAAUUCGGUUUUCGGUUAGUAGCUGUUGGUUAAUAGCUUCGGUUAAUCCUUGAAUUAAACAUAUUAAAAUCUAAUCAUAAACCCGCCUUUCCCUAUUUUACGACACCCUUUGUGUAAUAGUGACUUCAAAAGUGUAACAUAUUUUUGAACAAUUGCAAGGAAAGAACAUAUUUGACACUUCACGAAACGGUAAAUAUAUAAGCUUCAAUUCUUGUACAACAAAUUAAUAUAACCAACAUCAACCGUCAAUUGAUCAAUAAUUCAGUAACAAAAAGGGACAGAUAUCCUAGUCUUUCUUUACUAAUGAAGCAAGCCAUUAAACUUCGAAAGCUAUUUCUAUUUCCACAUUCUUCAUGUACCAAAGCCAAAAAAAAAAAAAAGCAACAAAAAUUUGGAAGUAAUCAUCUUUAUUCAGCAGCAUGCAUAUUAAUUAAAACAUAUUCAAAAAGAGAUAUACAAUAUCAGGUCUGGAGACGAAAUGAGCCCACAGAGACUACCAAUAAUGUAGUGGCUUGAUUAAAAAUAUUAAUCAAGCCACUACAUUAGAAGAACAAGAGUUAAUCAUGCAUAUUAAUUAAAAAUAUUUUUGCUAUCAUCCACCUGUUCUCUCUAAAUAGUUGCCACUUUUUUUUUUCGUUUGUCUGAAAUUCCAAGCAAAAAUAUAAUUAGAAGAACAAGAGUUAAGGGUUAAAAAAAUGGAAAAAUAGGGCUCCUCUGUUUUCAUUCCCCUGUUUUUCUGUUCGGUGAUUACAAAGAUUUAAAUCAAAAUUUAUGAUGCAGGCUACACGGCACCUGGUGGAAGACUGCUAGGGUUUACCUUUUAUUGUUAGUUAGAAAUUUAAUUUAGAAUUUGUAGUGUUUGCCUUAUAUAAGUAGGUUUCCUAAUAGUAAAAUUAAAUAAUCAAGUUUAUGAUGCACUAGGAUAUGGUUGUGAUAAAUGAGCUUUUUAUGUAUCCUGUGAGGCUGAUUAUUAUUUUAUUACAUUGAAGAUUCAGUCAUCUCUUGGUAGUCUUGUGAAUCAAGCGGAUUUAGUUAGUAGUAGGUAAUACUCUGGACUUCACAUAGUAAACGGAAUGGAGCAUUAUUUUAUCCCGCUAAAUCAGUUUUUUUUUUAAUUAAAAAAUAAUUCAUCAAACACUUUAUAGCUCUGGUUUUAAGUUGGUAAACACUUUAAGCCGCAACUUUAAAUUCAGUUUACGAGAACUCCUAACAGUCACUGUGGCUUGGGUAGAAAUGAAUAUACUAGCAUAAGUAAUGCUACCCAGGAAAUGUAGUUGAACCUAACCAAACUAAAACCAGAUGAUGAAAGCUUAUAUACGCCAAGAGAUUUAUUCGUUUCUGAGUUUGUUUCCAGAAACCCGGAACCUCCCCUGUUUCUACAAACACGGCACCUUUGUUUUCAUUCCCCUGUUUUUCCAUUUGGUGAUUGUAAAAAUCUAAAUCUAAAUUCUUGAUGCAGUCUACACGGCACCUGCUAGAUGAUUGUUUGGGUUUAUCUUUUAUUCUUAAUUAUCAAUUUAAUUUAGAUUCGUAGUGUGCACCUUAUGAAAGAUUAAAUAGAAUAAUGUGAAAAAAAAAGAAUGCCUUUGUUAAUUUUGACUUCAUAAUGUUGCAGUAACCGUCCUCUCUUAUCAUUCCCCUGUUCUUUGGUUUAGUGAUUGCAAAUAACAUUCUUUUCAUCUACUCUUUAUUUAUUUAUUUUUAAUUUUUAACUCAUUAAUUCUUGUUCUUCUUAAAGCGUUUAGUAAAUUAUAUGAUCACCUGAUCAAAUCCCUCACAUUAACAUACAACAUAACUAACAAAGUGUUGGCUCCACUGGCAAUGGAGUCUCCUCAAGUGGCUUAACUGGAUUUGCUCUCCAGUUCGACUCGCAAGGAAGUCGCCUUUGUUGGGAAAACUUGUACCAAAAACUCUGAUCUGUUGGCUUUGUAUCAGUAUUGCUUGUUUGUUGUCUUUUAUUUCAUUAUUUGUAUCUAAGUUUAUUUGAAGAUUACAGAUCAGCAGGAAAAGCCCUUUUUCUAAAGCUAACUAUACAGAUUUUAGAAUAGGGCUCAACCACAUGAAAAUAUUUACGUUGUAAUAUCUCAUAUUAAUAAUCUAAAAACAACCAAUCCAACAAGUUCAAAUUCAGUCAAAUCUAAAAAAAAAUUGCUUUUAAGGAGUACAUGAUAGCUAUUAAACUUUGGUUAAAGAUCUUUUGGGCAAACGUGAAAUUCAGUCAAUCAUAAAUCAACCAAUCCAACGAGUUCAAAUUCAUCACUUGCAAAAUUAAGUUUUCUUCCGAAAUUGAGUUUUUUCCAGUAGAAAUUUUCCCGCAGUCACGAGCACUAUCAUCAAAACAAGAUUAUUAACAUAAGAACAAGAGUUGAGGAAAAAAAUAUCUGUUUAUAUGGACACGGGGUGCACGCUUUAAGUCUUGUUCUUUUACAAUUCAAUUGUAUUGCUUACUCCCAUAAACUCCUUACUCACAUUCUUCUGCAGUUAACAGUGAUCUUUUGCUCAUUAAAAUUUUUCUUAUAUAUCGAAGGCCAAGAGUGAAGCUCAUAAACUCUGUGAUCCUAGAUAACCGAAGAGGUGCGUUUGUUCUAAAUACUUUAAUAAUUUCUUUCAAUCGCAUAAUUUCUAAUCUUUGAUCUUGAUAGCAGUUGUUUCUUAAUGUCCAACAAAAACUAUCUCUUGUUUGUCUUAAUCUUGUCAUUUAAUUUUCUUGAGUUUUAAGUUACUGUUUAUUGUUAACUUCUGUGUUCUUAUGCAGUAUUAUUAAUGGUUAAUUUGCAUCCAUCUUCCAAAAAAGUUUUCUUUCUUCAUAAAAUUGUUGGUUUUCCAUUCAGGCCCCUGAAACCUUUUUCUAAAAAGUUUUUUGUUGUCGUUUCUUUCUUUUUCUUCCCCGCUAGUUCAUUUAAUUUAUUUGAAUCCAUUUUUUUUUCAACAGCCAAAAACUAGAUAUUUAUAGUUAAGCAACAGGCAAUGGCUAUAGAAGCGUGUCUGGCUUUUUUAACCAACUGUGUAUCAGAAGGUGCAAAGUCACUGUUCAACCCUAUUACACGGCAGAUAUCUUAUGUGUUCAAGUACCAGAGCUACAUAGAUGAGCUAAAAGAUCAAGUGAAGCAGCUGGGAUAUAAGAGAGAAAUGGUGCAGCAACCAGUUAAUCAUGCUAGGCUACAAGGGGAUGAGCUUUUUGAGGGUGUCACAGACUGGCUACAUAGCGUUGAUGAAUUCAUCAGUGAAGGGGUUGCAAAAUCCAUUAUUGAUGAUGAAGAUAGAGCUAAGAAGUCCUGCUUCAAAGGAUUAUGCCCAAACUUGAUUUCUCGUUACAAGCUUAGUAAACAAGCAGCAAAGGCGGCAGAAGCUGCCGCUAGUCUCGUGGGAAAAGGCAACUUCUCCAAUGUUUCCUACCGUCCUGCUCCAAAGCGGGCAGAACAUAUGCAAGUGAAAGAUUUCGAGGCGUUUGAUUCAAGAAUGAAAGUAUUUCAAGAUGUUGUGGAGGCGGUGAAGGAUGACAAGGUCAACAUAAUUGGGGUCUAUGGGAUGGGCGGCGUGGGCAAAACCACGCUGGUCAAACAAGUUGCAAACCAAGUGAUGGAAGAUAAGUUGUUCGAUAAGUUCGUUAUGGCCGAGAUAACACAGACCCCAGAUCAUCAUAAAAUUCAAGACAAACUUGCUUUUGAUUUAGGCAUGGAAUUUGACUUGAAUGAGAAUGAAUUUCAAAGAGCUUCUCGACUGUGUCAAAGGUUGAAGCAAGAGAAGCGGCUCCUCAUUAUACUGGAUAAUAUUUGGACAAAACUUGAGUUGGAUGCGGUUGGAAUUCCUUCUGGAGAUGUGGAUGAGAAAGAUAGAGAGGACGAUCGGAGAAGACUCACAAUAAUAUUGACGUCUAGAAGUCGAGAUUUAUUGCGCAAUGAUAUGAAAUCUCAGAAGGAUUUCUCAAUUGAAGUUUUAUCAAAGGAAGAAGCAUUGCAAUUGUUUGGAAAGAUAGUGUGUAAUUCUGCAAAAGCAUCUGCUUUUCAACCUUUAGCAGAUGAGAUCGUUGAAAAAUGCGGAGGAUUGCCUGUUGCACUGAUUACCCUUGCAAAAGCUUUGAAAAAUGAGAGGCUUGACACUUGGAAGGAUGUGCUGCGUCAGCUAAGAAGUUCCAAUGCAAAAGAAAUUGAUGGAAUGGAAAGAAAUGUGUACAUCUCCAUAAAAUUGAGUUACGACUUACUGGGAAAUAAGGAAGCAAAAUCUCUGUUCCUUCUUUGUGGUCUAUAUACUGAAGGUGAUGUCAUACACGUUUCUGACUUAUUGAGAUAUGGUAUGGGUAUGGGCUAUUUUAAAAACGUUUACACACUGGAAGAAGCAAGGAGUAGAGUGCAUACGUUGAUCGGUAAACUCAAAUCUUCAUGCUUAUUGUUGGACGGUGAUGCCGAAGAUGAAGUUAAAAUGCAUGACAUCAUUCAUGCUGUUGCUGUAUCAAUUGCAGAAGAGGAGCUCAUGUUUAAUAUUCCAAAUGUUGCCUACGUGGAGAAAAAGAUGGAAGAGACAAUACGGGAAGGUCCAAUAGCUAUUUCUUUACCUUAUAGAGAUAUUCAAGAGCUUCCCGAAAGGUUGGAAUGUCCCCGUCUCGAGUUACUUUUGUUGUUUUCAAAGCGUGAUAGCUCUUUGCAAAUUUCAGACCUCUUUUUUCAAGGGACAGAAGAACUCAAAGUUUUAGAUUUUACUGGAAUAUUUUUCUCUUCAUUACCUUCAUCACUUGGUUGCCUCAUUAACGUUCAAACAUUAUGUUUAGAUGGUUGCCGACUGAACGAUGUAACUAUAAUUGGACAGCUAAGGAAAUUAGAGAUUCUCAGCUUCCGAGAUUCUGAUGUUAACGAGUUGCCACUUGUAAUUGGACAAUUGACGAGAUUACAGUUGCUAGAUUUGAGCAAUUGUAGCAGCCUUGUGGUGAUAGCUCCAAAUGUCAUAUCAAAAUUAUCUCGAUUAGAAGAACUAUAUAUUGGUAACAGCUUUUCACAGUGGGAGAACGUUGAAGGAGGAAGUAACGCCAGUCUUGUUGAGUUGAAGGGGUUGUCAAAGCUAACUACUUUGGAGAUACACGUUCGGGAUGCCGAAAUUCUACCGCAGGAUUUGGUCUCUGUGGAAUUGCAAAGCUAUAGGAUAUGUAUAGGAAAUAAGUGGUGGAGCAGCUGGUCCGUUAAAUCUGGAUUAUCAAGAUUGAUGAAGCUCCAGGGGCUAGAAAAGUUUGGCAUUCUUUUGCAGAAUUACAGGAUGAAACUGUUGUUGAAGAGAACUGAAUAUCUCUAUCUAGGAGAACUGAAGGGUGUUCAGAAUGUUGUUCAUGAAUUAGAUGAUGGGGAAGGUUUUCCACGAUUGAACCAUCUUUCUGUAAAAAGUUGUUCUGAGAUUUUGCAUAUUGUCUGUUCAGUUGGACGGGUUCGUCGCAAAGUCUUCCCCUUGCUGGAGUCAUUGUCUCUUCGUCGUUUGAUCAAUUUGGAGACAAUAUGUGACAGCCAACUCACAGAAGAUCAAUCUUUCAGCAACUUAAGGAUUAUAAAAGUAUCAGACUGUCACGAAUUGAAGCAUCUUUUCUCAUUCUACAUGGCCAAAAACCUACUGUGGCUUCAAAAGGUAGAAGUGUUUUUUUGCGAUGAUCUGGAAAUGAUUGUUGGUAAGUGUUGAAAUUAAGUGUUGGUGGAUUUAUGGACUUCGCCUCAAUUAUUUUGAAAAAAAAAAAAGACAACGACAAAGAUUAAUUAUGUAUAUUGUUUUAGUUUGUUUAUAGGACCCGACAUGGACAAACCAACAACUUCUUUGGGAUUCAACGAAAUCAUUGCUGAUGAUGAUCCUGCUCCAAAGGUGAUAAUUUUCUGUUCAAUAAUUAAUUGAUUAAUUUAUUAUCACGAUUAAUCUUCGAUCAUCAAAAGAAUAUUAUACUAGACGGUUGUACUUGAAGGAACAAAAAUGUACGGGUUUUCUUUGCAGGUUAUUCUUCCGAGCUUAGAGGAAUUGAAUCUCAUGUCAUUAAGAAACAUCAAAAAAUUAUGGGCCGAUCAUAAUCAAGGAAUGUACUGUUGUCAAAAUCUAACAAAGCUGCACGUGGUCGGUUGUCAUCGUAUGAAGUAUCUGUUUUCAUAUUCUAUGGUUAAUAGUCUUGCGAAACUCCAACAUCUUGAGAUAAGCUAUUGUGAGUCAAUGGAAGGGGUAGUCGACACCACGGGAUGGUCAGAAAGAGAUGAAGGAAAGUUGAUUGAAUUAAAGGUUUUUCCUAAGCUACACUCCCUGCAGCUAGAAUGGCUUCCAAGACUAAGUAGCUUUGCCAAUAUGGGACAUAUUCAUUCAGAUUUAGUUGUUGAAUUCCCUUCUUUGCUAAACCUCAUGAUUGGUUGUUGCAGUAAUAUGUUAAGAUUCAUCUCUACGAGCUCACCAGAAGACACCAUUCAUUCUGAAAUGCAACCUCCUCCUCUCUUUGAUGAAAAGGUUUUUUUUUUUUUUUUUAAUUAAAAAAAAUAAUUUUAGUCACAAUACUUGAUUUGUCUUUUCCUUGAGUCUUCAAAUUUAGUUAAUAUCCGCCUCUAAUUUAGUUAUCAAUUGAUUAUGCCAUUAAUUGAUUAACUAGUUAUUUAAUCUUUAACUGCCAGGUACGAGUUCCUAGGUUGGAGGUAUUAUAUAUUGCGUGGAUGGAUAACCUAAGAACAAUAUGGCACCACCAGCUUGCUUCGGAGUCUUUCAGGAAAUUGAAGAAUUUGGAGAUAGAAGAGUGUGAUAACCUAAUGAAUAUUUUUCCUCCAUUGGUAAGGUUGCUGUAUUCAUUUCGAUUUUUUUUUUCAAAUAACAUUCAACAAUUUUUUAAUCUUUUCUGUGUUUACAAAUGAUAUUCAGCCACUAAUUAUUUAUUUCAAAUAUUGUACUUCAAACCACCACUCUAAAAUCUACGUUUUAAGUCUAGUUUUUAGGUUCACCAGCAUUAGAAUCAACAAUAUAAUUUUUUUAAACACGAUUCAAUAGCAUAAUAUAAUUCAAUUUAAUUGUUUUUGCUCAUAUCUUAAUAAGUACGAUUUUCAAAAAUUAAAGGAUAGUCACUCAUCUUAUAAGUUCACAAAUUCAUCUAUAUAUUUCUCUUUUCCUUAGUUCUUCACAUUUCGAUUGGGAAAAAAAAAAAGAAAGUCUUCAAAUUUAAUUAAUAUCUCCAGUUUAGUUAAGAAUUGAUUAUGCCAUUACUUAACCACAAAUUCAUGAUUGUUUACAACUGACCCUUGAUUGUAAAGAAAUUUCCUCGAGUCUGGAAGUACUUAAUAAAGAUCCACUUUAUAGCAAUCCCUUGUUGACAGUACUGGGAAGUCUUUUCCAAAUUUUUUUUUUCCAUUUUUAUACAUACAUAAAAAAAAGGGGACCAAGGAAAAGGGAAAAAGAGGCAUUUUAGUUGAGUUUUUUUUAAAGGAAUAGUUGAAAUGUGCAAAUUUAUGCUUAAAAACUUAUAUCAAGAUGCAAAAUAAGUCUAAAGUAUUUAGAAAUUGCCUUAAAUUCUUUCUACGUCCCUAAUACUAAAUAGUGUAAAUACAUUUUUAUCAUCUUUGUUUAUCUGGCUUUUAUUUAUUUAUCUUGUUACCUUUUUUGUUUAACAAAAAAUUAUCUAGUAGACAUUUCACAGUUUGUUAUGUUCAUAAAACGUAUAAUUGUAUGAUUAAACAUACUUUGAGCCUAGUUGAAUGAUACUCUUACAUUUUUACUUUUUUAAUAUACACACACACACACACUCUCUCUGCUUAUUUUCAGGUUGGAAUUCCUACUAGUCUGGUGAAUCUUUAUGUAUGGAACUGCAAAAAAUUAGAAGAAAUCGUAGGACAUGCUGGAGAAGAAGUGAAGGAGAAUCGUAUUGCUUUCAGUGAAUUAAAACUUUUGGAACUUGAUGAUUUACCAAGGCUUACCAGCUUUUGUUUGGAGAAUUACACUCUUGAAUUCCCAUCAUUGGAACGAGUAUUUGUGACACAUUGUCCGAACAUGAAGACUUUUUCUCUGGGAAUCUUAUCCACACCAAAGCUGCACAAAGUGCAAGUGACUGUAAAGGAAGAUGGUGAAUUGCACCAUCGGGACGACAAUCUUAAUUCCACCAUACAAGAACACUAUACAAGAUCUCAUGGAAAUAAGUAAACCCGUAAUUUUUUUCACAGCAUCAUAAGAAAAAAUCAUUUUUUUUUUAGUAUUUUUGUUGGCUGUUGAGUUUUAACAGUAGUAGCUAUUAAACAAGAACAAUCAGUGUAUAUUAAAAAGUUGGAAACUGGUUGAUACCACUUGGGAAUCGAGCAGCUCACUUGUUUGCGAGUAGAAACCAACUUUACUACUAAUUACACUCAUUCCAAAAAUAGUAACUAAAGAAUCAGGAAAUUUCCUAUUCACUAUUCUUCAUUUUUUAAUGCAAAAUUCCCAUGAAAAUGGGAUCAAAAUACAUGUAUGUAUACCUAAAACAAAUUAUUAUUUUUAAUUAAAAAAAAACACAGUUGAGGUGAAAUGAAACCAGAGUCAUGAUAUCUCUGGUUCCAACUUUGGGACAACAGCAGACUUGAGUUCUAUAUGAGAAACACGUACAGCACCAAUCAGCCGCUCCAAGACACACGAAGCGUUAUGCCAUUCCGAGAACAUUCAAGCGUUAUAUCUCAAAAUCAUGUCUUUUCCCUUGUGUCUGUUAAGGAAGCACACUGAGCACGUGUGAACUAAGAGUAGCUGCACGAUAAGCAUGUGUUAGUUAAAGAAGUAUAUGCCAGCUCAGCCAAUUAGUUAAGCAGGCUUUUGAUUCUGUUAUAGUUGUGUACCUUGCUUUAAUUCUGUUUUUAUGAUGUAAGCAACGAGUAUAAACACUGCUACGUUUGUCAUUUGUAUGUUAUGGAAAGAAAAGAAAUCCAGAAUAUUCUAUUUCACUUUCUCAUGAAUUUUCUGAGCUUCCAAACAAAAUUAUCAGUUCAAUUUUAAGCUUUUCAACAGUGUCCAUUUAGACGUGCAAAAAAAACAAUCAUACAUACCUGUACAAGGAAAGCCAUGUCAACCACCGACCGAUGUUGUAAUUACACCAAUUACGACAAGGCCCAAAACUCCACUAGCAAAAGUAGAAUAACAUCUAUGCCAACAUCAAUCUAUAGAGAGAUGAACAUGUUAAUGGUAUCGGACGAGCUAUUUGAACGGGAAACAUCUCAUGUACUAUAAUAGAAAUUUUAAGAGCAUUUACUUCUAAGUACUGGGGACCGCGGAUAUAGUUACAACCAACUGCAUUUAGAAACAAAAAUUUGCGCUUGCGACAAGAGCUGAUCUCUUCAUUCCCCUGUUUAGUAAUAAAAAAAAAUCAAAAUAGCGGAGAAACAGGGCCCUCUUUUCAUUCCCCUGUUUGAUAACAAUAAAAACAAAACAGAGGAGAAACGUGGGCUCUCUUUUCAUUCCCCUGUUUUUCUUUUCGGUUUGGCGAUUUUAAAAUUUUAUAUCCACAUUCAUUAAAAAAAAAAAAAAAAGUUAUUCCAAAAAGAUUUUCUAUUUUCAUAUAGACGUUUAUUUAUUAACCAAAAUUUAAAAAGUGUAAUUCUAAACUUAUCCUUGUGCUUUGAUCUUGGAGGGGUUUUUCAUUUUUUCUACACUGGCCAUAUCAAUUAAUGAUGAAAGUUCUUAUCCUUAAUUGCUUUUGAAAUGAGUGAGCACGGUAUGACCCUUAAGAGAAUUAAUUAAUUGGACAAGUUAUAUAACGCCUUUGAUAUGGCUCCUAGACAUGUAUGCAAUUUGUAUCUUUCCUCAAGUAUGCAUGAGAAUACUUGAGGAAAGCUUCACAAUAGUUACGGCCGGAUCUGCACUUCACAAGUCCUAAUAGGGAAGUAUAAAUAUAUGCUUCUGGAACAGUGCAACUCUCCAUAAUAAGUACCUAAGAAUAGACAAAUUUUCAUUACAAUAGAAUGAUAAAUUAUAAUAAUAUUGACACAAUGAUGCCAAUAAUAAGAAUCUUAACAAAUCUACUAAUUUUAGAAUAUGGCUUAGAGUGCUACAAUGAACCACAACAAGUUAUCGAUAUUAUAAUAUCUAUAAUUAAUAUUCCAAUAAUAACUGGGGCUCCUUUGUUUUCAUUCCCCUACUUUUCUGUUAAGUGAUUGCCAAAUUUUUAUAUCUAAAAUUCUUCUAAUUUUAAACUAAGGUUUAUUUAGAAAAAAAAAGGGAGAGAGAGAGAGAGACUCGAAGAGCAUUAAAAAAUGUAAUUUUUAAUUUUCACUUAAGCAUUGUGUGACUUUUAUCAUUUUUUAAAGUUGGCCAUUUGUACUGAAUAAAUAAAAUAAUGGAUAGACUUAUGGACCACUUUUUUUCUGUUAUAUUAAAACAUGAGAUGUCUUUUCUUGAUGUUUUCAUCACACAAGAAUCUGUUUAUGUCAUCAUGCAUCAUGGGUUUAAAUGGGGUAAAUAAAUUAAGAUCGAGGGCAAGUUUGUUUAAGUUCUAAAGUUGCUGAAUAUAAAAAGGGCUGAUAUGAAAAUUACCUAAAGUUUCAAAUAUUGUUAUUCAGCAACCACUUUUAGGUUGCAUUAGUUUCUACACAAAUUUUAUAUAAAUAAUUUAUAACUCCCAUUAUUAUUUAAAAAACUGUAGCAAUUGUUGAAAAAAAAUUCUAAUUAAAGAAAUUGACAUUAUAAUUUAAGGGAUAGUUGCUGUUUUAAUCAUUAGAACUUAAGUCAAUUAUCCAGCUUAUCCUUGUAUUCUUAAAAACUAUAUAAAAUACCAUUAUCUCUUCUUUUGUAGCUAUUGAAUUCGACUUUCACAACAUAAAUAUUUAUUAGCAACAACUUAAAAUUCAAACAAAUAUAAUAUGUAAUGUAUGAAAUACAAAUAAUAGUUAAACAAAUUUUGAUUAUUUACUAUUAAAAUACAUUCACAUUAAUAUCUUAAGGAUAGGUGGUACUCAAAUAAUUUUUUAAAAAUCAGACCCAAAUUAUAUGCAUUGUUAAUAUGUAUUAUUGUCUAAUAUUUGGAUUUUGUUAAGUUACAACUGUUGUAACUUACGAUCUCUUCAAAAAAGAAAAUUGAGUCCCACCACCUAUUAAAUUUUUUACAUUAUUUUUUAAAAGACUGUAAGUUACAUCAGUUGUAACUUAACAGCACCCUUAAUAUUUUACUUUACUUUUAUAUCUUUACAAAACAAUACCAACAAGACAAUAAUGUAUGAAAUAAAUAAAAUAAAUAAAUAAAGAACUGAUAGCGAAAUUAAGUCUAUCAUUAGUUUCUUGUGGUGUGAACUCUUGACAAUUCUCCCACCUAAAACUCUCUAGUGGUGUGAACUUUUGACGAUUCUCCAAAAAUUUGUCAUAUUGCAAAAAGCAAUGUCAAUUGUAAUGUCAUUUCCAUUAGUCAUAGUGGCAGAUAGGACUAGAAAUUGUUGAAACCCAUUGACUUAUUUUUCUUUCUAAAAAUAAGAAAAGCACACCCGUCCGGGGAAAUAAUUUUGUAGUACCUCAUGUCGUGAAUAAGGGACAAUACGAUCCUUUUUUUAUUAUAGUAUUUUUAAAUUUAUUAACUAAAAAAUUAAUUCUAAUAUUUUAUAAUAAAUAUAAGUAGGAUAUUAAAAUGAAUAUAAUAAUGUAUACAUAUUAAAAUAAUUUCAAUAUCUAAAAAUAUUUUAAUAUUUUAAAAUCUCGUAGUCUAUUAAACCAAAUAAUAAUAAAUAGAGACAUAAUAUUCAAAUAAAUACAUAAAAAUUUAAAUUGUUUUCAAUAUCACAUAAAAUAAUUUUAAUAUUAUUAAUACAUGAGAAAUAUUAUAUUAAUUGUAAAAUCUAUUUAACCUAAGGAUUCAUUUAAAAUUUUUUGUAAUAAUUACAAGUAUUUUAUAGAUACAAAUAUAUUAAUUCACAUUUUAAAAAUUAAUAUUGAAAUUAAUUAUUUAAAUUUUAUAAAAAAUUUUGAAGUCUUUUUUUUUUUUUUGGCUACCAUCUACUAAGAGUAGUAUUAUGAUCAAAAGGGGUAUUGGUAUCCUAUAUUAAAAAUUUGAGGUCUACGUGACUAUUUUUCUAAAUUUUUAGGGUAUCAUUUUGUUUUUGACAAAAGUAAAAUUUCAUUUUUGACAAAAAUAAAAUUUCAUUUAAAUGGCUAAAAUGGUGAAUAAAAUAAUACUACAGUGGGCGUAAAUGGAAGGUAAGAAACAAUGAAAAUGAAUAGUCUAAUGUCACCACAGGCACAUAAGGCCAAAGUUUGUUACAUCUGAUCAAGGACAAUUUAGUAUGUGGAGUGGGUCCUGCGUGUCAUUUUUUGGGCAUCUACCUUCUUCAGCAUUGAAGAUUUGAUGUUGACGACAUUUUAAAAAUUUGGAAGACCCAUCAUACAUUUGGAUGGUUGUCAUUAUUUGAUAUUAUCAUUAUCUCGUGGUGAUCCUAUUAUUUAUGUGGCAAAAGAGGUAAUUAAAUAAAAUUUAAUUGGAUGUAACACUUGUUUCGCGUUGUGAACUUUUGACAAUUCCCCUAUAUCCCUCCAAAAACUUUCGUCAUUUUGCCAAGAUACCUAACGAUUGUAAUGUAAUUUUCAUUAUUCAUAGUGCCAGAUAAUGGAGGUCCAGGAACGGACCAGAAAUUAUUGCUACCCGUGGACUUUUCCAAUUUAUUUUUUUUCUUUUGGAUGGUUGACGUUAUUUGAUAGGAGGACGAGAUAGAGAUAGAGUUCUUAAUCGAACACCCGUUUUAUUUAAUGGGGAAAUUAUCAUUUCACCACUACUCUUUUGCCUUAUGCUCAUUCAAUUACUACAAAAUUUUAACAUGUUCUCUGCACUACUUUUCUUUUUUAAAUUUGUAUCAAUUACUCACUUUUAUACUAACACCAUUAAAUAAUUUAAACAAAAUAAUAAAUUUACCCCUAAAUAAAUUAAAAGACCAUUUUAUUUUAUAAAAACUUAAAAAAUAAAAAAUAAAAAUUAUAAUUAUAAUUAUAAAAAUACCCCUAAAUUUAAUAAAGAAAUAAAUCCCCAAAUUAGAAUUUUUAUUUUAAUAAAAAUUAUAAUUAUAAAAUAAUUGCAAAAUUUUGGGAUUUAAUAAACAUCCCCUAAAAUAUUAAAUUUUGGGAUUUAUUUUUAAUAAAUAAAUUUAGUUAUUUUAAUAAAAUUUUACAAAAUUAUAAAUUUGUAAUAAAAAUAAGCUGAGCGCCUCUAUUUUGGAUUAUUUUUUAUUAAAUUUAGGGGUAUUUUUGUAAUUCUAAUAUUUUUUUUCAAAGCUUUUAUAAGAUAAAAUGGCAUUUUAAUUUAUUUAGGAGUAAAAUUAUCAUUUCGUUUAAAUUAUUUAACAGUAUUAGUGUAAAAGUGGCUAAUCGAUUCAAAUUUAAAAAGAAAGAUAGUGCAGAAAACAUGUUGAAAUUUUGUGGUGGUUAAAUGAACAUAAGUCAAAAGAAAGAUGGUAGAAUGAUAAUUUCCCUAUUUAAUAUGGAAGAAGAUCUUUAAACUCUCAGUGAGGCUAUGGCUUCAACAGAUGCAGCCUUGUGGAAAGAGGCAACAAGUAAUGAGAUAGACUCAUUAUUAUCUAAUCAACUAGAUGCAUCAACAAGAUCUUAACUUAGAUUGGAACUUGAAGCAUUGUUGUUUGAAACAUUGGCUCAAGCCUUUAGAGCGAGGUUGGAUGCAAAAUGAUUUACAACAAAGAAAGGAAAAAAUAAAUUUACUAAUUUACAAAAUAAAUUUAGUAAAUUAAUAAAGUCAUUAUAUGAUCUUAAAUAAGCACUAAAGCAACAGCAUGAAAAUUUUGAUUCUAUGAUCAUGUUGCAUGGAUUUUAACAUAAUAACGAUGAUAAAUGCAUUUAUUCUAAAUUAAUGGAUAAAUAUGGUAUGAUAAUUUUCCUCAUUUGAGAAAGAAUUCUUAAAUAAUGUCCCAUAUUAAUUAGUAAAAGAGAGUCACUUGGGCUUAUAAGUAGUAGAGAUGGGCAAAAUUGGAUGCAGAUGAUAUUCGGGUUAAUAUGAUCAGAUUUUGGAUUGUUCGGAUUGAUAAAAAGUCAUAUGAAUGCAAUAUGAACUUGCAUCCAAUCCGAUUAUGUACGGAUCAUAUUCAAAUUGGAUGAAUAGUGCAGAUUAAUUUGGAUUCGGAUCAGAUCGAUAAUAUCAAACUGAAAUCGGAAUCAGAUGUGUUCGAAUAAAUCAGAUGAAUUUCAAUCACUUGCAAGUUGAAAUACAAAAUUGAAAAAUCAUAGAAAUUAAGAAAAAAAUGCAGCAAGCUAGCAAAUGGAAGAACAAAGGCAAAAAAUUAUAUUAUAAAUUAAUCGUAAAAAGGUGCUAUUAGCAAUUGUUGCACAAUGCGAAAAUGUCCUGGAACUCGCUGUGUAGACAUGCAAAAGUUCCGUAAGUGCAUUAACAAUUAUUUUCCAAAAAAAGGUUGUUGCGUCAAUAUUAAAGGAAUUGACAUCCAGGGACCCAGUUUAGUUGCUUAAUGAUUAAUUAAUUAAUCAAUUUAUAAUAUAUUAAUCUUUUAAGUUGAAUACUUAAAAUCUUAGACCCCAAACAAUAAAUCAUCUGAGUAAUAUAAAAGAGAAAUUAUCAUCCUAUUUUUUAUUUGACUUCUUGUAGCUUAUAAAAGAGAAAUUAUCAGUCAUUUACUCAAAGUUUAUUCAGUUAUUAAAAUUAAUAUAAAAUUUAAAUUUAUUUAAUUUUACACUCAAUGUAUGCAAUUUGUAUUAAACAUCCGUUAAAAACAUAAAGUUAUUCCAUCAAAGUGACAAAAUAGAAGCGAACACAAAAUUGUAUUGGUGAUUAUGUUUUAAGAGUAAUUUUAUCUUUUUAGUAAACAGUUAUCCACAUUGUAACAAUGGGUAUAAAAUUAAGUAUAUUUAAAUUUUUAUAACUUUUAGGAUAAUAAGAUAAUUUUUAGGUGGAUGACUGAAAAUUUUUCUUUUCAAAAUAUUUUGAAAACAAUACCAAAUGUACCAAAACAUUGUUUACUUACACUCUAUAUAUAUAUAUAUAUAUAUAUAUAUAUAUAUAUAUAUUUAAUUUCUUAACUCAUUCUUAUCCUUAUUCUUGCUAACAUAUCCACAAUCUGUCAAUGAAAUUUACUUUUAUAAAUUUGAAGAUUCUUUCAUGCAAUUUUGUACGAUAAUGAGUUCUCAUGUCUCUGUUAAAAAAGAAUUCGUAAAUAAUACAAAUGAAAAAAAAACAAAAAGUAGCAGGGCUGGCAAUACAAACCAUAACUUUUUUUCUUUGAAAUAUGCAUAAAUAAAGUUAAUAGUGAUGUGUCAGCACGAUCUUGAGAGCACGGCUUGGAGUCUCAAUAAUUAUUGACACUCAUAUUUGAAAACUUUUGAAAAGAUAAAAUCCAAUAUGAAAGGUGAAAUGUUAUAAUCAUAGUAACUAGAAAAUUGAUUGAUUUACAAAUAUCAAUUUAAACAAUUUUCAUGUUGAUCGACAAUUUAAGUAGAUUGACAAAGAUUGAAGUAAUUACUGUUGGUGAUUGAUUGACUUUGUCCUUAUCCUUGCCUUCUUCUUAUCAAAAAUCGAGUGUCAAUUAAAUUGGGCCAGGGCUUCUGAUUGCAACUAAUAGACUUCAUAUACGCAUAAUGCUCCCUACGGACAUACGUACCAGUAUUUGAUUGAAAAAGGGAUGCGUGCUUAAUGCUCAAGUCGUCUUCUUCUGGAAAUUCAUUGUUAUUACUCUCAUCAACUCGUUACUCACAUUCCUCUUUAGUCAACAGAGAUCUUUUGCUCAAUAAAAUUUUUCUUCUAUAUUCAAGGUGAAUACAGCAGCUCAUCAACUCUGAUCCCAGACAGGUAAAGAGGCGCACUUGUUCUAAAACCUUUAAUAUUCUUUUAGUAACAGAAUCUCUGAUACUUGUUCUUCAUAGCGGUUCUUUCUUAAUUUCCAUCACCUUUCCUAGGAAAAAAUUCUUUGGUUUUUCUUAAUCAUAUCAUUUAUUUUUCUGAAGUCAUAUAAUUUAGUUUUAGUAGCAGAAUACUUGAUAUUGAUAGCGGUUCUUUCUUAAUUUCCAUCAACUUUCCUUGAAGGAUACCUUUCUGUUAAUAGCAAAACAUCUGAUCCUUAAGAUAGAAAAAGAAAUUCUCUAUUUAGGUAUCAGUUGGUUCAAGAUCAAUAUCGCGAUGUUGUUUGCGGUCUUUUCUUUCUCCGUCUUUCCCUUUAGUUCAGUUUAAUUUAUUUGUUUUCCUUUCUUUGAUAUAUUAUUAGAUUUGUUAAGUAGCAGACAAUGGCAGAAGUUGGUCUGGCUGCUUUUUCCAGCAUUGUAUCAGAAGGUGCAAAGUCACUGUUCAAACCGAUUAUACGGCAGAUAUCUUAUGUGUUCAAGUACCAGAGCUACAUAGAUGAGCUAAAAGAUAAAGUGAAGCGGCUGGAACAUAAAAGAGAAAGGGUGGAAAUACCCGUUCAUCAGGCAACUCAACAAGGAGAUGAGAUUUAUAAGGAUGUUGCAGACUGGCUUAAUAGCGUCAAGGAAUUCACUCAGGGAGCUGCAAAAUCCAUCACUGAUGAUGAAGAUAGAGCUAAGAAGUUCUGUUUCAAAGGAUUGUGCCCAAACUUGAUCUCUCGUUACAAGCUCAGUAAACAAGCAGCAAAGGCUGCAGAAGCUGCCGCUAGUCUCGUGGGAAAAGGCAACUUCUCCAAUGUUUCCCACCGUCCUACUCCAAAGCUGGUAGAACAUAUGCAAGUGAAAGAUUUCGAGGCCUUUGACUCAAGAAUGAAAGUAUUUCAAGAUGUUUUGGAGGCGUUGAAGGAUGAUAAGCUCAAGAUAAUUGGGGUCUACGGGAUGGGCGGCGUGGGUAAAACCACGCUUGUCAAGCAAGUUGCGAAGCAAGUGAUGGAAGAUAAGUUGUUCGAUAAGGUCGCUAUGGCUGAGGUAACAGAGAACCCAGAUCAUCAGAAAAUUCAAGACAAACUAGCUUCUGAUUUAGGCAUAAAGUUUGAGUUGAAUGAGAGUAUAUUCGACAGAGCAAAUCGACUAUGUGGAGUAUUGAAGAACAAGGAGCGGCAUCUCAUUAUAUUGGAUAAUAUUUGGAGAGAACUGGAGUUCGAUAAAGUUGGAAUUCCUUCCAGGGAUGUCGAGAAAGAAAGAAUGGAUGAUCAGAGACGAUGCACAAUAAUACUGACGUCUAGACGUCAAGAUUUAUUGCGCAAUAUUAUGAAUUCUCAGAAAGAAAUCCAGAUCGAUGCUUUAUCAAAAGAAGAAGCAUUGCAUUUAUUUAAGAAGAUAGUGGGUGAUUCAAUGAAAACAUUUGCUUUUCAAUCUAUAGCAGAUGAGAUCGUUGAAAGAUGCGGAGGACUGCCUGUUGCACUGAUUACACUUGCAAAAGCUUUGAAAAAUGAGAGGCUUGACACUUGGAAAGAUGUGUUGAAUCAGCUAAGAAGUUCCAAUGCAAAAGAAAUUGAUGGAAUGGAAAUAAAUGUGUACAUCUCCAUAAAAUUGAGUUACGACUUAUUGGGAAGUAAGGAAGCAAAAUCUCUGUUCCUUCUUUGUGGUCUAUUUAGUGAAGGUCAUGCUAUACCAGUUUCUUCCUUAUUGAGAUAUGGUAUGGGUAUGGGCUAUUUUAAAAACGUUUACACACCGGAAGAAGCAAGAAGUAGAGUGCAUACGUUGAUCGGCAAACUCAAAUCUUCAUGCUUAUUGUUGGACGGUGAUACUGAAGCUAAAGUUAAAAUGCAUGACGUCAUUCAUGCUGUUGCUGUAUCAAUUGCAGAAGAGGAGCUCAUGUUUAAUAUUCCAAAUGUUGCCGACUUGGAGAAAAAGAUGGAAGAGACAGUACAGGAAGGUCCAAUUGCUAUUUCUUUACCUUAUAGAGGUAUUCAAGUGCUUCCUGAAAGGUUGCAAUGUCCCUGUCUUGAGCUAUUGCAUACGGAGGGUGAUGGCUCUAUGCAAGUUUCAGACCACCUUUUUAAAGGGACGGAAGGACUCAAAGUUUUGAAUUUUAAUCGAAUUCACUUCUCUUCAUUACCUUCAUCACUUGGUUGCCUCAUUAACCUUCAAACAUUGUGCUUAGACUAUUGCCGACUAAAAGAUAUAGCAAUAGUUGGACAGCUAAAGAAAUUAGAGAUUCUCAGCCUUGUAUAUUCCGAUAUCAAGCAGUUACCACUUGAAAUUGGACGAUUGACGCGGUUACAGUUGCUAGAUUUGAGCAAUUGUUGGAGCCUUGAGUUGAUACCACCAAAUGUCAUAUCAAAAUUAUCUCGAUUAGAAGAAUUGUUUAUGCAUAACAGCUUUUCACAGUGGGAUAAGGUAGAAGGAGGAAGUAAUGCCAGUCUUGUCGAGUUGAAGGGGUUGUCAAAGCUAACUACUUUGGAGAUACAUGUUUCGGAUUCCGAAAUUCUGCCGCUGGAUUUUGUCUCUGUGGAAUUGGAAAGAUAUAAGAUAUUUAUAGGACAAAUGUCUGUCCGGUGGCUCGUCGAAUCUAAAACAUCAACAUUGAUGGUGCUCAAGGGGCCAGAACAAGUUAGCCUUCUUUUGGGGAAUGAUGGGACGAAAAUGUUGCUGAAGAGAACUGAAGAUCUCCGUCUAUGCUCACAGAAGGGUGUUCAGAAUAUUGUUCAUGAAUUAGACGAUGGGGAAGGUUUUCCACGAUUGAAGCAUCUUCAUGUAAAAAGUUGUUCUGAGAUUUUACAUAUUGUCGGUUCAGUUGGACGGGUUCGUUGCGAAGUCUUUCCCUUGCUGGAGUCAUUGGAUCUUAUUAAUUUAACUAAUUUGGAGACGAUAUGCUACAGCCAACUCAGAGAAGAUCAAUCUUUCAGCAACUUAAGGAAAAUAAACGUAGAUUUCUGUCCAAAAUUGAAGUAUCUCUUCUCAUUCUCUAUGGCCAAAAACCUAUUGCGGCUUCAAAAAGUAAAAGUGGAAAACUGCGAUGAUUUGAAAAUGAUUAUUGGUAAGUGUUGAAAUUAAUUAUUGGUAGGAUUAUUGACAUUGACUCAUUCUUUUUUUCUUUUCUUUUUUUUUUUUUGGUGAAAAAAACAACGGAUGUUUAUUAUAUAUUGUUUUUGUUCAUUUAUAGGGCCCGACAUGGAGAAACCAACAACAACUCAGGGAUUCACAGAAAUCAUUGCAGAGGAUGAUCCUGUUCACCAAGUAAUAAUUUUCUGUUUAAUAAUUAAUUAAUUAAUAUAUUAUCACGAUUGAUCUUCAAUCAUCGAAAGAAUAUUAUAUUAGAAGUUGUAGUUGAAGGAACAAAAAUGUAUGGUUUUUCUUUGCAGGUUACUUUUCCACGCUUGGAGGAACUGAAACUUGUCAGUUUAACAAACAUCAAAAAAUUAUGGCCCGAUCAAUUUCAUGGAAUGUAUUGUUGUCAAAAUUUAACAGAAGUGACCGUGUUCGGUUGUGAUCGUCUGAAGUAUCUGUUUUCAUAUUCUAUGGUUAAUAGUCUUGGGCAACUCCAACAUCUUGAGAUACGAAAUUGCUGGUCAAUUGAAGGGGUAGUCAACACCACGGGGUUAGGAGGAAGAGAUGAAUUGAAGGUUUUUCCCAAACUACACUACCUGUCGCUCCAUUGGCUUCCAAAACUAAGUAGCUUUGCCUCACCAGAAGACGUCAUUCACACUGAAAUGCAACCUCAAUCCCUCUUUGAUGAAAAGGUUUUUUUUCAUUGAAUUUUUAAAUUCUCUUUUCGUUGAGUCUUCAAAUUUAAUUAAUAUCCAUCUCUAACUGCAUUGAAUUUUCAACUUCAGGUACGACUCCCAAGUCUGGAGGUAUUACAUAUUAAGAGGCUGGAUAAGUUGAGAAAAAUAUGGCACCACCAGCUUGCUUCGAAGUCAUUUAACAAAUUGAAAAAAUUUGAGAUAUCAGGGUGUCAUAAUCUACUGAAUAUUUUUCCUCCAUUGGUAAGAUUGCUAUAUUCAUUUUGAAUUUUUAUUUCAAAUAACAUUCAACAAUUAUUUUAAUCAUUUUUGUGUUUACAAAUAAUUUUCAUUCACAAAUUAUUUAUUGCAAGUAUUGUACUUCAAACUUCUGGAGGGAAAAAAAGUAGUGUACUUCAAAUCACCAUUCUGAACUCUGCAUUUUCAAUCUAAUUUAUAGGUUCACCUGCAUUAAAGUCAACAAUAUAAUUGUUUUAAACACGAUUCAACAGCAUAAUAUGAUUCAAUUUAAUUGUUUUUUUUCUUAAAUCCUAAUAAAUAAGAUUUCCAGAAAUUAAAAGAUACUUAGUUACUCAGCUUUUAAGUUCACAAAUUCAUAUAUAUUUCUCUUUUCCUUGGGUCUUUAGAUUUCGAUUUUAAAAAUAAAAUAAAGAAAAGUGUUCAAAUGUAGUUAAUAUCUCUAGUUUAGUUAUGAAUUGAUUACGCCAUUGAUUAAGCACAAAUUCAUGAUGGUCAUUUUGAAUCGACCGUUGAUUAAAAAAUUUCCUCAAAUAUUCACUCUAUAACAGUCCCAUGUUGAUGGCGUUGGGAAGUGUUUUCCAGAAAUGUUUUCCAUUUUUAAAAGCAUGAAUAUCGGGAAAAAAAAAAAUGGGAAAUACAGCGUUUUAGUUUAGUUAUUUUAAAAAUAGGCAUGUUUGAAAAUUAAAAAUUUUUAAAAACUAGCAUCAAGAUGAAAAAUGAAUUUAGAAUAUUUAAAAAUUACCUGAAAUUCUUUCUCUGUUCCUAAUACUAAAUAGUGUAAAUGCAUUUUCAUUAUCUUUGUUUUUCUGGUCUUCUAUUUAUUUAUUUUUGUUUUAAUUUUUUCCUUUUUUUCUUUAACAAAAAAUAUCUAGUAGACAUUCAUGGUUUGUUAUUUUUCAUAAAACAAUUGUAUGAUUUUGACAUACUUUGAAUCUAGUUGAAUGCUACUCUUUAUUUUCAGGUUGGAAUUCCCAAUAGUCUAGUGAAUCUUAAUGUAUCAUACUGUGAAAAAAUAGAAGAAAUCAUAGGACAUGUUGGAGAAGAAGCGAAGGAGAAUCGUAUUGCUUUCAACGAAUUAAAACAUUUGGAACUUGAUCAUUUACUAAGGCUUACCAGCUUUUGUUUGGAGAAUUACACUCUUGAAUUCCCAUCAUUGGAACGAGUAUCUGUGACACAUUGUCCGAACAUGAAGACUUUUUCUCAGGGAAUCGUAUCCACACCAAAGUUGCACGAAGUGCAGGUGAGUAAAAAGGAAGUAUUAAGUUUUAUAUGAAACUGUGAUGUUGUUUGGUUACUAAGAAAAUAGGAAGAAAGAAAACUUCUGUAAGCUGAGAAUUCUGUUAUUAUUGACCUAAUGAAUCUGGAAAUUACAAGCCUUUUUAUAUGUGCAUAGAAGAUUCUACACACAUUGCACACACGCACAGUUUAAUACUAACAACCUCUAUAACAACCUUUAGCUGACUCAGCUGCCAUGUCAGCAUACUCAUUAACUAACUAAUUCUAUUCUUAACAGGAAGAGGGUGAAUUGCGCCGUUGGGAAGGCAACCUUAAUUCCACUAUACAAAAGUGUUACGAAGAAAUGGUAUGUGUUAAAUCGAUUCGUCGAAAUUACUUAUGCAUCUCCCUUGCACUUGCACAUUUAAGUAUAUACACCUGCCUUGUAUAUAUAGUUUUAGAAGUUAAAACACAAAACAUGUAAGUUUAAUGUAUAUAUAUCUAAUGCCUUUCAAAAAGAAAAAAAAUUGUAUAUAUCCAGUGCAAUUGUUUUGGUUUGUGCAGAUUGGAUUUCGUGACAUAAUGCGUUUGCAACUUUCGCAUUUUCCACGUUUGCAAGAAAUAUGGCAUGGCCAAGCACUGCCUGUCAGCUUCUUCAACAAUUUAAGAGAGCUGGUGGUGGAUGACUGCACGAAUAUGUCGAGUGCUAUUCCUGCCAAUCUGCUACGGUGCUUGAACAAUUUGGAAUACCUGGCAGUGAGGAAUUGUGAUUCACUAGAAGAGGUGCUUCAUUUGGAAGAACUAAUUAAUGCUGAGGAAGAACAUUUUGGCCAACUGUUCCCUAAUCUUUACGAGCUAAAGCUCAUUGAUCUUCCAAAACUCAAAAGAUUCUGCAACUUCACUGGGAAUAUAAUUGAACUGCCUAAGUUGGACAAUCUAACUAUUGAGAAUUGCCCUAGUAUGGAAACACUGCCUGUCAGCUUCUUCAACAAUUUAAGAGACCUGGUGGUGGAUGACUGCACGAAUAUGUCGAGUGCUAUUCCUGCCAAUCUGCUACGGUGCUUGAACAAUUUGGCAUGGCUGAAAGUGAGGAAUUGUGAUUCACUAGAAGAGGUGCUUCAUUUGGAAGAGCUAAGUGCUAAGGAAGAACAUAUAGGCCCCAUGUUUCCUGAGCUUUCCCUGCUAGGGCUCAUUGAUCUUCCAAAACUCAAAAGAUUCUGCAACUUCACUGGGAAUAUAAUUGAAAUGCCUAAGUUGGAAUAUCUCAUUAUUGAGAAUUGCCCUGAUAUGGAAACAUUCAUAUCCAACUCUGUAGUGCACGUGACAACAGAUAACAAGGAACCUCAAAAAUUAACAUCAGAAGAGAACUUCUUGCUGGCUCAUCAAGUACAACCUCUCUUUGAUGAAAAGGUGAUUAUUAUUAUUAUUAUUAUUUUUCCCUUCACUUUCGUUUCAUAGAUGUAAUUUCAUUAGAAUCAAAUCAAAUUUAAUGACUCAUCUUUUUGCACGUCGUCUUAAUUUUUAUAUGAUUUAACAAUAUAACUGCAGUUAUUAACUAUCUUUAUAGUAUGAAUUAUAAAAAUGUCUGAAAUUAAUUGGAUGCCUGAUAACACGAGGUGAUCUAUUAAUUAUGUGUAUUACAUCUCUGUUUUCCUAGCUAAUUCAUAUUGGAUUUAGCAUCAGAUUUCAUUUAUGUGUUUCAAAGGGUAAUCGAUUUGAUACUUAUAUUUGGGAUCCUACUGCAAAGCAUACUAAUUUGGAAAUAAAAUAUAAAAUGCCGUGAUUAAUCUUGUCCAUAAAAUAUGCAGGGGAAGACUGCAGAGAUUGGAUACAUAUUUUCAUUUACAACUUAAUUUUGUUGAUUUUUAGGUUGCAUUCCCUCAAUUGAGUUGGUUAACGCUAUCUGGAUUACACAAAGUGCAGCAUCUCUGGAAGGAAAAUGACGAAUCCAACAAAGCGUUUGCAAACUUGGCAAGUCUAGAAAUAUCGGAAUGUAUUCAGUUGCAAAAAUUAGUACCACCUUCGUGGCAUUUGGAAAAUAUGUGGGGACUGGAAGUAUCGAAGUGUCACGGGUUGAUAAAUGUGUUGACGCUCUCAGCAUCUAAAAAUCUAGUGAACCUUGAAAGAAUGAAGAUAGCUGAUUGCAAAAGGAUAGAAGAAAUCAUACAGUCGCCGGUUGCAGAAGAAGCGAAAGAUUGCACUGUUUUCAAGAAAUUGAAGUACUUGACACUUGAUUGUUUGCCAAGCCUAACAAGCUUUUGUUUAGGUAAUUACGCUCUUGAAUUCCCGUCCUUGAAACAAGUAGUUGUGAGACAGUGUCCAAAAAUGAAGAUCUUCUCUCAAGGAGUCUUAGACACACCAAUGCUAAACAAAGUGAACGUCACCGAAGAAGAAAAAGAUGAUGAUGAUGAAGGAUGUUGGGAAGGCAACCUCAAUGACACCAUAAAAAAAUUGUUCAAUGAAAUGGUGAGUAUCAAUUAAGUUUUGAUGCUAUUUAGCAAAUUAUUUUAUAGAAACUAAUGUGAUAUAAUAUGAUUGGUUGACUGAAAAUAUAUAAUAAUAAUAAUAAUAAUAAAUAAAUAAAUAAAUAAAUUAUGAGGACCAUGUAAUGUUUUUGUUUAAUCAAUCAUAUUAUGUCGCAUUAGUUUAUACAAUAUUAUUUGUGCACAAGAGGUGGUGGUCAUAUCAUUACUCUAGCUUUAUUAUUCUUAUGGUGGCAAUGUAUGCUUGCUUACACGAGUAAUUACAAAAUCUGCAGAAUUCUAAAGAAGAGAUUGAGCCAACCCUUCAGGUACAGUGAAGAAGCUAUCCCGAACCAGGCCAAUCUCUUAUACAUGAUUCAGCUUGCUCGUUCUUCUGUACUUGAAUAAUUUGGUUCUAUAUAUUUACAAUUUUUCGCUCAUGCUACAGACUUGCAAGACACUUUGGAUUUUGUUUGAUGCAUUCUCCGUUUAAGAAAGGACUUGAAUUGAUGUUUCAUGUUUCAUGCAAUAUUCAAUUAGAUUCUGCCUAAAUUUCUGUAUUAUUCGUUCAAUUGGUCUUUUAAGCAUUUGAUUUCUAACCUCUCCUAAUGGAAGAUCAUUAUCUGAAGAAAACAGCAUAACAUUUGUGGCAUUAUCAGAAUAAGAAUAUUUUUGAGUAUAGUAAAAUUAUCUCCACCACUGUUAAAAAGAAUUAAUCAGUCAAACUGACCUCACACCAGCACGCUUUAAAUUAAAAGAAUUUCGUGAAGUCGAGACCAUGUUAUAGAUCUCAUGGAAAGAAGUAAACCCGUAAUUUUUUUCACAGCAUCAUAAGAAAAAUCAUUUUUUUUAAGUAUUUUUGCUAGCUGUUGAGUUUUAAUAGUAGUAGCUAUUAAACAAUAACAAUUAGUGUAUAUUAAAAAGUUGGAAACUGGUUGAUACCACUCGGGAAUCGAGCAGUUCACUUGUUUGCGAGUAGAAACCUACUUUACUACUAAUUACACUCAUACCAAAAAUAGUAACUAAAGAAUCAGGAAAUUUCCUAUUCACUAUUCUUCAUUUUUUAAUGCAAAAUUCCCAUUCGAAAACACCAAUGACUUUCAUUCAAAGUAAAUGAGAAAUUACAAUGAAAAUAGAAUCAAAAUACAUGUAUGUAUACCUAAAACAAAUGAUUUUUUUAAUUAAAAAAAAAACACAGUUGAGGUGAAAUGAAACCAGAGUCAUGAUAUCUCUGGUUCCAGCUUUGGGACAACAGCAGACUUGAGUUCUCUAUGAGAAACACGUACAACACCAAUCAGCCGCUCCGGUAAUUCAUCUGUAGUAUUUGCCUGCAUACAGAAGAGCAAGAUAAAGAAGACACACACAGAAGCAUUAUAUCAUUCUGAGAACAUUCAAGUAUGCAAAAAUGCAAGUUGCAGUGCAAUAUCUCAAAAUCAUGUCUUUUCCCUUGUGUCCAUUUAGCAGUGGGGGAAAAAAACAAUCAUACAUACCUGUACAAGGAAAGCCAUGUCAACCACCAAUGUCGUAAUUACACCAAUUACAAGGCCCAAAACUCCAUUAGCAACAGUAGAAGAAUCGAUGUCAACAUCAAUCUACAGAAAGAUGAACAAUGUUAAACCAUGUUAAAGGUAUUGGACGCUAUUUGAAAGGGGAACAUCUCAUGUACUAUAGAAAUUCCAAGAGCAUUUACUUCUAAGUACUUGGGACCGCGAAUAUAGUUACAAUCAACUGCCUUCCCCAAUAAACAAGGGGUGCUUCCAACACUCUGGCGCACUAUCCAUGACCCCUGCAUGAUUCAGUGCUGAAAAUCAAGAACAAGUGCAAAACAAAUUCAAGAGGGUAAAAAGGAGAUAAAGUUUGAAGGUACAACCCAUCAAUACAUUCACACCUAAAUGCAUGCCUUCUUUGUACAAAUUGAAGUGUACCAUGCAGUAAAGGGUAAGUAUACGUUAAUAUAGUCCUACUACAUGAAGGCCAAGAUGGAUACCUUAGGAACAGAUGGAAUAAGUUUCAACCUACUAUUGCGAAAUUCAUCAUCGCCAUCAACAAACCGUUGCAAAAGUGAUCCCGUAACCAAUUGCCUUGUGACAAAAUAAAAUACCAUACUAUAAUGUGUUGAACCAGGAACCUGCAGAUGCUUAGGUUACAACUAUACAACCUCCCAAUACAAUAAGUUUGAAACUUAUACCUUCUGAAAUGAAACAAACUUUCUUGAAGAUUAAAGAUCAGUGAGAAAAGCCCUUUUUCAGAAGCAACCUACAUAUUUUAGAAUAGGGCUCAGUGCGUUAUAGAUUCAAUGAACCAUGAGAAGUUAUUUACAUUGUUGUAUCUCACAGGCAGUCUUUUCUCCUAAUGUAUCAAGGGAAAAUGCUAGUGAAUUGAAUGAAGCUAGAGCAGAGCAUGAUGUUGCUGUGUAGCUGACUUUAGCAGAUCAACUCACUAAGCUAACCUGGCAAAGUUAUUUAGCUGGUUGAGCUGAUGUGUCAAAUUAGUUAUGCAGCAAAUGGUUAUGUGAUGUAACAAACUCGUGUGUGUGUUGAGCAAAUUGUAGCUUAAUAUAAAUAUCAGUCUGUAUUCAUUCAGUUGUAAUGCUAAAGUAAUAAAGGUUCUACAAACUUCUUUACAGAGCUUUCUUUUAUUUUCUUCAUUUUCUAGCUUGCCAAACAAUGCAAAACUAAGUUUCUUUCAUGGUAUUAGAGCCAUAAAUGGCGAAUACAGUUCAAAAUAACAACUCUUUUAGUUUUGUUACGCCUGUAAAGCUAGACCAAAACAACUUCAUUUUAUGGCGGGCACAAAUUUUAGCAUCGAUCAAAGGAAACGGUCUGGAAGGGUUUAUCAAUGGUGAUCAAGAAUGUCCUGAGCAGUUUCUUUCUUCUGGAAACAACAAUGGAGCUGAAAUUUUUACUGAAUCUGAAUCCAAAUCUAUUAAUCCAGAGUUCAUAGCUUGGAUGAAGACUGAUCAACUUCUGUUGAGUUAGAUGAUGUCGUCGAUACAGCAAAAUCUACUUGCUACUGUGAUUGACUCCACAACUUCAAAACAGCUUUGGAAGACUCUUACUAGUAUGUUUAUUUCUUAAUCACAAGCUAGAAUUCAAACACUUAGAAUGCAGAUUCAAACUAUUAAGAAAGGUGCAAUGCAUAUGUCUGAUUACUUUGCAAAAGUAAAACGUAUAGCUGAUACUUUAGCUCUAGCUGGAAAACCUGUUGAGUUAAGUGAUCUUGUGAUGCAUGUAUUAACUGGUCUUGAUUCAUCAGAUUAUGAAUCUUUAGUCACAGGUGUUUUAGCUCGAGGUGAGAAGAUAACAUUAGAUGAACUAUAUCCUUUGCUAUUGAAUCAUGAAAAUAGAGUUGAACAAAAGAAAGGAAAAAUUGCUGGUGAUGUGAUGCACAAUAUGACAGCAAAUAUUGCUCAAAAGAACUCAUAUGCUGGAAAGAAUAAUGGCAAUUUUCAAAAAAAUUAUGGAAAUAAUUCUAGGUAUGGAGGUUUUAAUGGAUAUGGAUAGGGUCAGUUUAAUAAUGGUGGUAAUUCCUCUGAAAUUGUUUGUCAAAUCUGCUUCAUACCUGGUCAUGCAGCCAAUAGAUGCAAAAAUAGGUACAAUUCAUCUUUUGUUCCACAGAGAAACUAUGGCAGAGGUAAUAUGAAUGGUGGCAGAGGUUUUAAUCAAGGGCAAUAUGGUAGAGGAAGAGCUUUUAAUAGUAAUGGUGGCAGAGGUUUUGGAGGUUUUGGUUUAAAUGCUGGUUUUGGCUAUGCACCCAGGGGUUUUGGCUAUCAAGGAAAUAUGGUGUAUCCAGAUAGUAAUCCUUCUGCUUAUUACUCAUUCACCCCUGGACCAUCUACUUUUGUUUCUGGUCAAGGAAAUAAUAAUCCUGGACAGUCAAGUGCUUCAUCUUCCUCAGCUAUGCCUUCUUCACUUCCACCAGAACACAUUGAAGAUCCUUCAUGGUAUAUUGAUAGUGGAGCAACAAAUCACAUUACAAAUGAUCUAGGUAAACUUCUGGAUUCACAAAUUUAUACUAGUACUGAAAAAUUAUUUGUUGGAGAUGGAAAUGCAUUAGCUAUUACACAUGUAGGAUCAGUUGUGCUAAAUACUUCAACUUCUAAACCUUUAAAAACCAUGUUCUUCAUGUCCCUUUUAUUACUAAGAAUUUGCUUAGCAUUUCAAAAUUAUUGGCUGACAAUCCAGUUACUGUUGGAAUUUCUUGGUGAUUUGUUUUUUAUAAAGGCUAGGAACACAAGGAAAAUUUUACUUGAAGGUGUUGCUAAAGGUGACUUGUAUAGAGUCUCUUCACAUGUUGCUGCUCAUUCAGUCUUUCUCAAUUCAGUUGGUCAAAAUAAAAUUCACUCUCUUUGCUUGUUCUCCUGUUUUCAAUUCUGAUCAGCUCACUGCUGUUAGUUCUUAUGAAUUGAAUAAAAAGCCAUGUCUGUCAGUUGUUACAAAGAGUUCUAUUGAUGUAAAUCUUCUUCAUAGAAGAUUAGGACACCCAGCAUCUUAUACUCUCAAAACUAUACUCAAAACUUGUAACAACUCUACUGCUUAUAAUAAAAUUGAAAGCUUGAAAUUUUGUUCAGCAUGUCAAUAUGGGAAAAAUCAUAUGCUGCAUUUUGAUUCAGUUGAAACAAAAACUUCAGCACCCUUACAAGUGAUAUAUGCAGAUCUUUGGGGUCCUUCUCAUGUCUGUUCUACCCAAGGAUAUAAUUACUACUUAUCAAUCUUAGAUGAUUAUAGUAGAUUUACCUGGAUAUUUCCAUUGUCAGCCAAAUCUGAUGCUCUUGAAGUGUUUACCAAUUUCAAAAUUUUUAUUGAAAAGCAUCUUCAACUUCAAAUCAAAACUGUCCAAACUGAUUGGGGAGAAGAGUUCAGAACAUUUUCCUCAUUACUCACUGCUUCUGGUAUCCAUUUUAGACACCCUUGCCCACAUAUUCAUCAUCAAAAUGGAAGAAUUGAGAGGAAACAUAGACACAUAGUUGAUGUAGGUCUGACCUUAUUAGCUCAAGCACAUUUACCACUCAAAUUUUGGUGGAAUGCAUUCCACACAGCUGUCUAUUUGAUAAACAGACUUCCAACUCCAAUUCUAAACAACAUUUCUCCUUUCCAAAAGUUAUUUCAUCAUCAACCAGAUUAUUCAACACUUAAAACCUUCGGUUGUGCUUGUUAUCCAACACUCAGACCAUACAAUAGACAUAAGUUUGAUUUCAGAACUGCCAGAUGUAUAUUCAUUGGCUACAAUUCACAACACAAGGGAUAUCAGUGUCUUCACUCUUCUAAGAGGGUUUACAUUUCAAAUCAUGUCACCUUUGAUGAAAAUUCUUUUCCUUAUGAGUCUGGAGCAGAUUUUUCUUCACUCUCUUCAAGUUGUCAGUCAACAAAAAAUUAUAAGUCUUCUUUCAAUUCCUCUGUUCCUUCUAUUACUCAGUUACAAGCACCUUUAGCAGCAUCAUCAGAACACCAUCAAAAUGUUCAUCAUUCAGAUGCUCCUACUCCCUCACCAAAUUCUACUCCACUUUAUUUUUCUGAUAAUUCCAACUCAGCUUCUUCUUCUUCACCACCACAUAAUUCACCUCCACAUACAUUGCCACAACCUGCAUCAACUGGUCAUCCAAUGAUAACCAGGUCAAAAGCAGGUAUUUUCAACCCAAAAAUUUAUUUGUCAGCUUUAUUAGCCCAGAAAUCAGAACCAACUUCUGUUUCCCAAGCACUUUCUGAUCCUAUGUGGUAUAAGGCUAUGCAAGAAGAGUAUCUAGCACUUAAAACUAAUCACACCUAGGAUUUAGUUUUACAUGCUACUCCAGUGAAGAUAGUUGGCAGCAAAUGGGUGUUUUGAAUAAAGUAUAACUCAGAUGGUUCAGUUUCAAGAUAUAAAGUCAGGCUUGUUGCAAAGGGGUUUCAUCAGACACAUGGGAUUGACCAUACAGAAACUUUUAGUCCAGUGGUUAAAGCUUCAACUGUUAGAGUUAUUCUUAGCUUAGCAGUAUUGAAUCAAUGGGUGAUUAGGCAAGUAGAUGUUAAUAAUGCCUUUCUAAAUGGCAUUUUAAUUGAAGAGGUGUACAUGGCUCAACCUGAAGGUUUUGUUGACUCAACUAAACCUAAUCAUAUCUGCAAGCUGAAUAAAGCUUUGUAUGGCUUAAAACAGGCACCUAGAGCCUGGUUUGAUAGAUUCAAGGAUGCAAUGAUCUCUAAACGGCAUUUCCAGCAUUCAAGGUCUGAUAACUCUCUGUUUCAUGCCUGGAACAGUGGUCAUCUAACUCUUGUUUCGGUCUAUGUUGAUGAUAUUAUCAUCACUAGUUCCAGUCCAACACUAAUUCAGCAAGUUAUUAAGAUUAUGAAUUUGCUUUAAAAGACAUGGGGGAACUUAGCUAUUUUCUGGGGAUUGAAGUCAGCAAGUCUUCACAAGGGGUUUCCUUGACACAAGCAAAGUAUAUUACUGACAUUCUGGAUAAACAUGGCAUGACAGAUUGCAGUCCUGUGCCUACUCCAAUGUCUACUGGUUAUUAUCUCACAAAAGAAUCAGGAGAGCUAAUUGAUAAUGUUUCUCAAUAUAGGAGUGUUAUAGGAGCUCUUCAAUAUGUUACUCUUACCAGACCUGACAUUGCUUUCUCUGUAAACAACCUAAGUCAAUUCCUUUCAAGUCCUAGAACACAACAUUGGGAAACAUGCAAAAGGUUAUUGAGGUACUUAAAAGGCACUAUACAUCUUGGGCUGCAAUUUAAUAACAAAGGAGCUUUGCAACUACAUUGUUUUUCAAAUUCUGACUGGGCUUGUGAUCGUGAUGAUAAGAAGUCAGUGGCUGGCUUUGCUGUUUACCUAGGCCCUAAUCUAGUCUCAUGGUCAUCAAAGAAACAAGCUGUUGUUUCCAGGUCCAGCACAGAGGCUGAGUAUAGAUCUCUUGCUCAUGCUGAUUCAGAGGUUCCCUGGUUACAAUCUUUACUUGGUGAACUUAACAUCAAAUUGAGCUCUACUCCUAUGAUGUGGUGUGAUAAUCAAGAAGCAAUUGCUUUAGCUUACAAUCCAGUCUAUCAUGCUAAAACUAAGCAUGUCGAAUUGGAUAUACAUUUUAUCCGAGAUAAAGUUACUGCUAAAGAGAUUGAAGUAUGUUUUGUGCCCAGUCAAGAUCAAACAGCAGAUGUGUUGACUAAGGCUUACUUUCAAACAGUUUAGUUACUUAAGAAGCAAGCUGAAUGUUCAUCCUAAACAUUUCAGCUUGAGGGGGGAUGUUAGUGAAUUGAAUGAAGUUGGAGCAGAGCAUGAUGUUGCUGUGUAGCUGACUGUAGCAGAUCAACUCACUAGGCUGACCUGGCAAAGUUAGUUAGCUGGUUGAGCUGAUGUGUCAAAUUAGUUAUGCAGCAAAUGGUUAUGUGAUGUAACAAACUUGUGUGUGUGUUGAGCAAAUUGUAGCUUAAUAGAAAUAUCAGUCUGUAUUCAUUCAGUUGUAAUGCUAGAGUAAUAAAGGUUCUACAAACUUCUUUACAGCGCUUUCUUUUAUUUUCUUUCAUUUUCUAGCUUGCCAAACAAUACAAAACUAAGUUUCUUUCAGAAAAGGAAAAAUAAAAAGAAAAGAAUAGUUACUGUUGAAAAUAAAGAUUCAAAGUUAUGAUUUCUUUGUAAUCUAGGCUAUUUUAGGAAUAAGUUAAAUUAUAAUGGGAAGAUUCAUUAGGAUUUUUUCCAGAUUUUGUUUCCUAUUAUUUAGGAAAGGAUAGAUGUAGUCUCCUAUUUUCUCUCCUAUUUUGCUGUAUAUAUUCCCUGUACAUACUGUUCUGGAAAGUAAGAAAAAGAGGAACCAAUUCACAUUUUUCUUCAUGGUAUCAGAGCCUGGCUCUAAACCCUAGUUCUCCUAUCAGCCGCCAUUUCCUUCUUCUCUCAUAAAUUGAACAAUCUACCUUCCUUCCUCUCCCAUCAAUUGUAUUCUCUGUGGCAAAAUACGGGAUGGCUUCCUCAUCAACCUCUGUUACAGUAUCACAGUCUAAAGGAAACGUGGAGACUGCAACUCAUGGUGGAAUUGAUUCUUCACCGAUCUUAAUUACCAGUCAUAAAUUGAACGGCCACAAUUAUCUCCAGUGGUCACAAUCUGUCAUGAUGUUCAUCUGUGGCAAGGGUAAGGAUGAUUAUCUCACGGGUGAGGCGGCCAUGCCAAAGGUAUCAGACCCUAGUUUCAAAAGGUGGAAGUCAGAGAACAACAUGAUCAUGUCAUGGCUUAUCAAUUCCAUGAACAAUGAUAUUGGUGAGAAUUUUCUUCUGUUUGGGACUGCAAAGGACAUAUGGGAUGCUGCAAAGGAAACCUAUUCUAGCUCUGAGAACACAUCAGAGUUAUUCCAGAUUGAAACCAUCCUCCAUGACUUCCGCCAAGGAGAACAAUCUGUCACUCAGUACUUUAAUACUCUGACUAGGCAUUGGCAACACCUUGAUCUAUUUGAAACAUACCCUUGGAAGUGCACCGACGAUACAACCUUGUACAAGAAGAUUGUGGAACAGAAGAGAACGUUUAAAUUUCUCCUCGGACUCAAUAAAGAUCUUGAUCAGGUUAGGAGCCGUGUACUCGGGACAAAGCCUCUACCACGCCCUCGUGAAGCCUUUUCUGAAGUUAGGCAUGAAGAAAGUAGGAAAAAGGUGAUGAUGGGGUCAUCAGAACCAACACUGGACGCCUCUGCACUUGCUGCCCGUGCAUCCAACUCUGUAGGGGUUAGUGAAAAUCGUACAAAGAAAGAAAGACCAUGGUGCGAUCACUGUCGUAAGGCAGGCCACUAUAAGGAGAGUUGCUGGAAAAUUUAUGGCAAGCCUGCUGAUUGGAAACCUCGUUCCAAAGGUGACCGUGAAUCUCGUGCUCAUGCAGCAUCCACCACGGACAAUCAGGCCCUACCCGAGCCAAAUCCAUUCAGCAAGGAGCAAAUGGAGAUUCUUCAAAAGCUUUUCGAUCAAGCCACUUUGAACUCCAAUGCAGGGACAAGUCUAGUGGCUCAGAAAGAGACUCAUUCAGCAUUUGCAGCCACUAAUGGAGCAAGCAAACCUUGGAUAAUUGACACUGGUGCUUCUGAUCACAUGACUGGAGAUGCCUCAAUGUUGCAGGAUUAUAAAGCUAGCAUCAACAGCACUUCAGUCUGGAUCGCAGAUGGCUCUCACACAAAAAUAGCAGGGACAGGUUCCAUCAGACUCACUAAGGAGUUACACCUUAAUUCUGUACUUUAUGUGCCUAAUUUGGCUUGCAAUUUACUUUCAAUCAGUAAAUUCACUCGUGAUCAGAAUUGUGUAACUAAAUUCUAUCCAAAUAUGUGCGUUUUUCAGGACUUGGAUUCGCGAAGACGAUUGGCAGUGCUGAGCUAUGUUCUGGACUCUAUCUACUCAAAAGCGAUCAAUCCUCCUUCAUACAAGAUUCGAGAGCAAACUGUGCCAAGUCCAAUAGUCUGUCAACUAGUUAUCCUCAUUCUAUUGUUAGUCCAAAUGUCAAUAACGAUAGUGAAAUUGUUCUGUUACACUAUCGAUUAGGUCAUUCUAGUUUCAUGUAUCUCGCAAAAAUUUUUCCCAAUCUAUUCAUCAAUAAAAACCCUUUAUCAUUUCAUUGUGAAAUUUGUCAAUUUGCAAAACAUACUCGAAAUGUUUAUUCAAGUGUUAAGUAUAAGCCUUCUCGUCCAUUUGCUUUAAUUCACAGUGAUGUGUGGGGUCCCUCAAGAAUUAAAAAUGUUUCUGGGGCUCGCUGGUUUUUGUCAUUUGUGGAUGAUCAUACUCGUCUCACUUGGGUGUUUCUCAUGAAAAACAAAUCCGAAGUUAGUCAAAUCUUCCAAAACUUUAACGCCAUGAUUCAAACCCAAUUCAAUACCAAAAUCCAAGUCCUUAAAACCGACAAUGCCAAGGAAUAUUUCAAAGACUCCCUCAGCUCAUAUCUUCUCCAUCAAGGCAUUCUUCACAUCAGUUCUUGUGUUGACACCCCGCAACAAAAUGGGGUCGCUGAACGCAAAAACAGACACCUUCUUGAAGUGGCUCGCUGUCUUUUGUUCUCAUCUCAUGUUCCUAAUUUUUUCUGGGGUGAAGCUGUUCUCACUGCAGCCUACUUAAUCAACCGAAUGCCUUCUAGAGUCUUGGGGUUUCAUUGCCCAAGAAAAGUUCUUCUCAAUUUCUUUCCACACACUAGGAUUGUUUCAGCAGAUUUACCACAAAAAAUAUUCGGUUGCACAGCAUAUGUCCAUGUUCACUCUCAACACAGGACUAAACUUGAUCCCCGAUCUCUCAAGUGUAUAUUUUUAGGCUAUUCUCCACAUAAAAAAGGAUACAAAUGCUAUUCUCCUCAUACCAGAAAAAUAUACAUUUCCAGAGAUGUAACAUUUGUUGAAAACCUGCCUUUAUAUUCCAAAACUGUUGUUCAGGGAGAGAGUAUGAGCGAACAUCAGCCUUGGGAAUCUUCUUGGCAAUCUUGGCUGGAAACCCCUCAUGAAAACCCUCAUAACUCAACCACCACACAUGAUCAAUCUAUCCAACAGCCACAAUCAGCAAUCCUCCCAACAUCUUCACAACCUUUUGAGUCAUCUGAGUCCUCCCAACCACAAUCAGCCGAGUCACCCCGUCAUCCAUCAGCCCAUCAACUACAGCCUCUAAUCUCACCUCUUCCACAGCUUGCUGUUGAUAAUCUUAAUGUUUAUAGGAGGAGAAGAACUGGAGAGCAGAUAGAGCACAGAACUCAGCCACAUGUCCAAGAAACUGAACCAAAUCCAAGCUCUUAUGAAGACAACACAGGUAUGGAUAGUCUUGCCUCGGUUGAGUUCAUGGUUCCAAGUGUGGAUGAUUCUAAUAAAUCAAUUGCAGAAAGAAAGGGGGUUCAAAGUUGUACCACUCAUCCAAUUGCCAAAUAUGUCUCAUAUGAUGGUUUGUCCCCAUCAUACCGAGCCUUUGUUUCUUCUUUAGAUAAUCUACAUGUUCCCAACAAUAUACAAGAGGCUCUCGGUCAUCCUGAGUGGAAGAGAGCUGUUCAUGAAGAAAUAAAUGCUCUUGAGAAAAAUGAUACAUGGGUUAUAACAGAUCUUCCUGCAGGGAAACGACCAGUUGGAUGUAAGUGGAUUUUUACUGUUAAAUACAAGGCAGAUGGAAGUGUUGAGAGCCUCAAAGCUCGUCUUGUAGCUAAAGGGUUCACACAGUCAUAUGGGAUUGAUUAUCUUGAAACCUUUGCUCCGGUUGCGAAGCUCAACACCAUUAGAAUCUUGCUCUCCUUAGCAGUAAAUCUAGAUUGGUACUUAUACCAACUAGAUAUAAAAAAUGCGUUUCUCAAUGGCGAUCUUGAAGAAGAAGUGUUUAUGGAAGUUCCCCAGGGUCUUGAUCUGAAUCUUACUAGAAAUAAAGUGUGCAAGCUCAAGAAAUCUUUGUAUGGGCUUAAACAAUCCCCUCGAGCAUGGUUUGAUAGAUUUGCGAAGGCAGUUGUGAGACUUGGUUACACUCAGUGUCAGGCAGAUCACACUUUAUUCCUCCGAACAUCACAAGCAAAGAAGAUCUCUCUCCUAAUCGUAUAUGUUGAUGACAUCAUUCUCUCAGGAAAUGAUGAGGAAGAACUGCAGAAGUUGAAGAAACAGCUAGCUCAGGAAUUCGAAGUUAAAGAUCUAGGGAAUCUGAAAUAUUUUCUUGGGAUGGAGGUGGCAAGAUCUAGGAAGGGAAUUGUUGUCUCCCAAAGGAAAUACACCCUGGACUUACUAAAGGAGACUGGUAUGAUUGGGUGCAAACCAGUAGAUACUCCUAUGGAUCCCUACAAGAAACUAGGCUCAGUUGAGAAUAGUGUUCCAGUCAAUAGAGGGAGAUAUCAAAGACUGGUUGGUCGUUUAAUUUAUCUCUCACAUACCCGUCCGGACAUAGGCUUUGUUGUUAGUGUUGUGAGCCAAUUCAUGCACAAUCCUACAGAGGAACACAUGGAUGCAGUCUUUAGAAUUUUGAAGUAUCUAAAGAUGACACCUGGAAAAGGAUUGUUUUUCAAGAAAUCAGAAUAUAGGAAUAUUGAGAUCUACUCUGAUGCAGACUGGGCUGGAGACAUCACAAAUAGAAGAUCAACAUCUGCUUACUGUUCCUAUGUCUGGGGAAAUCUAGUAACCUGGAGGAGUAAGAAACAAUCAGUUGUAGCUAGGAGUAGUGCAGAAGCAGAGUUCAGAGCUUUGGCAAAUGGAAUCUGUGAAGGAAUUUGGAUAAAGCGUGUACUCAAGGAACUCGGUGUGUGCAGCCCUUCAUCCAUUCUAAUGAGGUGUGACAAUCAAGCAGCAAUCAGCAUCGCAAAAAACCCAGUGCAUCAUGAUCGAACCAAACAUGUCGAGAUUGAUAGGCACUUCAUCUCAGAGAAGGUCACUAGUGGAAGUGUGGAACUAAAGUACAUUCCAACUAGACAACAAAUUGCAGACAUCCUUACUAAAGCACUGCCAAGACCUAACUUUGAAGACUUAAGUAACAAGCUGGGUUUGUAUGAUAUACACACACCAGCUUGAGGGGGAGUGUUGAAAAUAAAGAUUCAAAGUUAUGAUUUAUUUGUAAUCUAGGCUAUUUUAGGAAUAAGUUAAAUUAUAAUGGGAAGAUUCAUUAGGAUUCUUUCUAGAUUUUGUUUCCUAUUAUUUAGGAAAGGAUAGAUGUAGUCUCCUAUUUUCUCUCCUAUUUUGCUGUAUAUAUUCCCUGUACAUACUGUUCUGGAAAGUAAGAAAAAGAGGAACCAAUUCACAUUUUUCUUCAGUUACUUGUGCAGUACAGCCUUGACGCCUAGCUACAUGGUCCAUUCUCUUUGUGUCUUUGAACCAAUCAACAGCAACAAGAUCCAUUAAAUGUUUUCCCGCAGGUGUCUGCAGUUACAAAUUGCACAAAGCACAAGAGCCAACCAAACUACAUCAUAACAUGUCGACCUAGCAUAUGCAGGAUAUAUAAAUACCAUAACAAACAACCAAAAUAUGGGGGAACCUUUGUUUUGUCAUAACAAAAAUGCUUGCUACGAACUCUAAAGUUAUUUCCACCAGAAAGUUUCCAGCAGUCACGAGCAUUAUCACAGUCAUCGUGUCGCAGAUUGCCGGAAAAAUAAGACAAAUCAAUUUGAUCAGCCUGCUCUUCCUCUAGGGUAACAACUAAUUGAAAAUUAUAAACCAAAAAAAAAAAAUCAAUACCAUAAAAAUCCACUAAUGAGGACAUUAGCCAAAUAUACAAAAAUGAAUACUUAUCAUCCACCUGUCCUCUUGAAAUCAUUCUCAAUCUUUUUUUCAUUUGCCUGAAAUCCCAAGGAAAAAUAUGGAACUAAUACUUCCCAUUCAUGACUAUUGUCUGUCAUAUAAACAUGACAUUUAAUUGAAAUAGUAAAAUUAUUUAAUUAUUUUAAUUAAAUGUUAAUCCUAUAAAUUAUUUUUGUUAAAUCUAGCAAGAAUAACUAACAUUUCUUUAAGAUAUAUUUUGGCGGUAAAUUAAAAAAAAUUAAUUAUUUGGCGGGAAUUAUUGAAAUUGGAGCCAUUUUUUUGUGGGAAUUGAAAUAUAUUCUUUAAAUUAUUAUAUAAAAAGAAAAAUGUACAUACACACACAUAUAUAUAAUUUAUAUAUAAAAAUUCUCUAAUUUGUUCACAAGUAUCAUAGAUUAUAAUUCAGUUAUGAAAUAAAAUAACUACAAGGAAAAAUAUGUAACUAAUACUUCCCAUUCAUGACUAUUGUCUGUCAUAUAAACAUGACAUUUAAUUGAAAUAGUAAAAUUAUUUAAUUAUUUUAAUUAAAUGUUAAUCCUAUAAAUUAUUUUUGUUAAAUCUAGCAAGAAUAACUAACAUUUCUUUAAGAUAUAUUUUGGCGGUAAAUUAAAAAAAAUUAAUUAUUUGGCAGGAAUUAUUGAAAUUGGAGCCAUUUUUUUGUGGGAAUUGAAAUAUAUUCUUUAAAUUAUUAUAUAAAAAGCAAAAUGUACAUACACACACAUAUAUAUAAUUUAUAUAUAAAAAUUCUCUAAUUUGUUCACAAGUAUCAUAGAUUAUAAUUCAGUUAUGAAAUAAAAUAACUACAAUAAUUAUAGUUAAAUGAAUACUUCAUUAAUUCUUAAUUUGCUUCCUAACAUUAAAUGAACAACUUGAGCCAACCACCUGAAUCAACCAGUAACAACGCCUGAGUCAACCAUCUGAAAAAACCAGCAACCCUAGCUGAUUCAAGCACCUGCAAUUAACAUCAACACAUCAGGAACAAUCGUAAAUCAGCACCAAGAACAGACCAAACUGCCAUCAAAUGCCACAAAACCAAACAGUCUGCUACUGCCAUCAAAUGCAAGCAAACAUAUGCAACAAAACCAGAUGCAAGUGAAAAUCUGGAGAAUAUCGGAUAAACCAAACCAAAUGCCACACUUCUAGUAAUUAGACUAGAUGCAGUGUUCAAUUAAACUAAAUGUAGUCUCAUAUUACAUUCAAAGGUGAAAACACUGUAAAAAAAAAUACAGCCAAAACAAUUGUUUACUUUUAAGUUCUAACAAAGCGUAACAGUCCAAAACCAAAACAUCUUAACUACCAAGCAAACAUCUAACAUAAUUAUUAAAAUUAAAAAGGAAAAAACAUAGGAAUCUCAGUUCUUAUACAUUUUGUAUGCAUUUAGUAAGCACACGCACAUAGACCAUCUAUGCAUAACCUUCUUCUAGCCCACCUGCAGAUGUCACAGAGAAGAGACAUUUUUUGCAGCUUGAAGUGCUCCAAUUGCUUUGUGAAGGUCCAAUUGUAAGCCUAAAUAUUGAAUCCAUGAGUCCAUAUAAUUGAAGGCUGGUGGCGACUUUUGAGUACAAAUCAAGAGAGAGUGAAGUGUGAAUUUCUGCAUGGCCCAUAACUUCAUCCACGUAGCUAUUCACUUCUUUGCAGUGAAAAGUUCCUUAAUCCUGGCACUAAUGUUGGGCAUCAUUUUGAUUUUUCAAGCCCUUUUAGAACACUUAUUGAUUUAGGAAAUUAAGGGAGCCAUUGAAAGGUGACUAAAACGGAGUGAGUUAGGGGUCCUACCUCUCUGUAGGGCUCUCGAAUCGCGGGAAAUGAGCUCCAUUGUGACCUUCAUUUCCUCCUUUUCGGAAAAAUUAGUUCAUGGCGCUUACGAUGUGAGCAAUUACUCUUUCUGGUGUCCUGAUGGUUGAUAACAGAGACUUUCAGCCUCGCUGCCUCAGGUAAGCUUGAUGGGAGGACCAGAUGUCAUACAAAAAAUAAAAGCUUUCUUUUCUCGGUAAAAGCAUGCGCAUUUUUCUGUAAGUGGGGAAGAGGCCGCGCCGUCAACACUGCAUCGGUGAAGAUGGGUGGUGGUUGUUGGUGGAGAAACGGAGGGAGGUGGCGAUUCUGAGACUUGUUGCGAUUUAGGGUUGGCCGGUUGGGUUUGGGGGAAAUUGGGUAAAGCAAAAUGCAUUUUUGUUGUUAUAUAUAUAUAUAUAUAGAUAUAUAUAUAGUAGUUGGAUUAGCUAAAAGACAAAAAAAUUUAAAUUUUACUACACUACAUGAUAAAAUACAGUGCAUUGGAGUAUGUGUUUAUUUUGUCUUUUAACUAAUCCCUGAUUGGAAAACUACUAUAUAUAUAUAUAUAUAUAUUUUUUUUUUACUUAAUAAAAAAGUGGGCACGGGUCCGGGUUCCGGAUUCUUGGUGCUGUGACCGGACCCGUGCCCGGAUCCGCUUUUUCCAUGCAUCCGAUCCGGGUUUUACCCGGACCGUAUGCACCAGGUCCAGUCCGGAUCCGGUCUGAGCGGGCUUUUCUGCCAUCUCUACAGUGGAGAGAGGGAUUAAUUCAACGCUUAGCCAAAAUUUGGCUGCGAGUGUUAAUGGGUUUUAAGUUAUACAAAACGGUGUCGUUAAUUUAAACGGCAUUGUUUUACAAUCUUAUAAGUUCACAAAACUUAAGCAUGACUUAUAUGUAUAAUUUAUUUACGAUGGUUAAGUUAUAAGUCAUGAAUAUGUCAUAUACUCUGGACAUGAAUAUAUAUCACGAAUCUAUCAUAUUUUCAUGACACAUUCGUGACAUAACGAUAUAUGUUAUAAAAUUUCUGUCAUUAUUUAGUAUUUUUCUAGUAAUGUCAGGUCUUUAAAACCUUUCUAUUAAUAACAAAAACUCUAAUCCUUUAGCAAAAGACUAAAAAUUUUAAAAAAAUCUGUUUAAAUAUCAGUUGGCUCAUAAUCAACACUUCAAUAUUGUUUGUUGUAUUUUCUUUCUUUCUUUUUUUGUCAUUUUAUUAGAUUUGCUUUGUAUCAUGGUUUGUUUUGCUUAAGUAAUUGUUCAUUAUUUACGUCUGUGUUCUUACUAGCUUUUGAUAAUUUAUGGUUGGUUUUUUAUUCAGACCCUCGAAGUACCUUUUUGUUAAUAGCAAAACCUCUGAUCCUCAAGAAAGAAAAAGAAAUUCUCUAUUUAAUUAUUAGUUAGUUCAAGAUCAAUAUCGCAAUAUUGUUUGCAGUCUUUUCAUUCUCUGUCUUUCCCACUAGUUCAUUUUAAUUUAUCUGUAUUCCUUUCUUUGACACUUGUAUUUAUUUAUAUAGAUUGUUAAGCAACAGGCAAUGGCUGCAGAAGGGUGUCUCCCUACUUUUUCUAGCAUUGUAUCACAAGGUUCAAAAGCAUUAUUCAAACCGAUUAUGUGGCACAUAUCUUAUGUGUUCCGAGUACCAGAGCUACAUAGAUGGGCUAAAAGAUUGAGUGAAGGAGCUGGAAUAUAUAAGAGAAAGGGUGCAAAUGCUGGUUAGAGAGGCUACUCUACAAGGAGAUGAGAUUUAUAAGGGUGUCAGAGACUGGCUAAAUAGAGUUGCUGAAUUCAGUGAAGGGGUUGCAAAAUCAAUCAUUGAUGAUAAAGAUAGAGCUAAGAUGUUCUGCUUCAAAAGGUUGUGCCCAAAUUUGAUUUCUUGUUACAAGCUUGGUAAACAAGCAGCAGAGGCCGCAAACGAAGCUGAUAAACUUGUGAAGAAAGGCGAAUUUAACAUUUGUAAUCAUGUUUCCUACCGUCCUGCUCCAGAGAGUACAGAAUAUGUGCAAGUGAAAGAUUACGUAGCCUUUUAUUAUAAUAUCUUUUCACUCUAUUAACUUAAAAAAGAUUGACUUCAAUAUUAAAAAUGUAACAGUAUAUACAUUUUAUAAUAAUUUCAAUAUUUAAAAAAUAUUUGAAUACUUUACAAUCUUAUAUUAUAUUAAACUACAUUUUAUAAUAAAUAGAAACAUAAUAUUAAAAUAAAUAUAUAAAAUUUUAAGUUAGGCUUAAUAUUAUUUAAAAUAAUUUAAAUAUCAUUAAUACAUGAGAUAUAUUAUAUUAAUUAUAAAUUCUAUUUAAUCUAAAUAUAUAUUUAAAGUUUUAUACUAAAAAUAGAUAUAUUAUUAAAAUAAAUAUAACAACUAACAUUUUAAAGAUUAAUACUGAAAUUAAAAUUAUAAAUUAUAUUAAUCUACUAAAAAGAUUCAUCUAUUUGACACUAGCAGCGGACAAUGAGGUCACGGCAUAGGACAAGCAGUUAUCGUGACCCAUGGACUUUUCUACUUCUUUUGAAAAAAAAAAAAAUAUCAAAGUCAUUGAAGUGCGUUUGAUGAUAUGCUGUGUAGCUUCUCUCUCAAAUGCUUUUCGAGUGCCUCCAGUAUCUGCUUUUAUAUAAGCUUUUGUCUUUAAUCAUUCAUUCAAGCUUUCGCUAAGAGUGAUGCAGCACAGCACGUAAAUAUAGAAGCAUUGACAGCCGUAGUCAGGAGCUCUUCGGUAUUUGAAGCAAGAAUGGUUGUUUGGCUUUGUGCAUUGAAAGAGAAAAGAAAAAAGAAAGACUAAUUUCAAUAAUACAAUUUAAUUAAUUAAUUUAAAAUAAUAAGCAAAUAAUAAUGAUGAAAUUAAUUAAUAAAAAGAAGAAAAUGAAAAUUGCACGUGCUACUAGCAUAAACCAAUUGCCGGAAUGAGGUCACUUUGUAGACAAAUGAUUCUGGAAUCAGAACUUGGGCCAGCUUUGGGUUAUGGAUCCAAAAUAAAAAUAAGGUGGGCCACAUGGUCUCUUAUGAUCAAUAAAAAUCGAUUGAAAAGGAUGGUAUAGUGAGUGGAAGAGAAAUGCCGAUGGCAGAUCAAGGGAUGAAGAUACGAGCUCACUUGCAACGUGGUAUAGUUCAUCAUGGCUGGCUUUCCUAUAAGUUCAGGUCCUUUGAAUACUUUCAAUGACCUUAUUAGUCAGGAAUUUAACAAUAAUUUUUAUUUUUUACAUCCAGGAACGGUUUUAAGCAUAGGCAAAUUAGGCCUAUAAUAGCAAAUCCUCUUUUUUAACAAUUAAACAAUUAGGAAGUCUCCCUUUUUUAUUUUUGGUAUUACUUAUAAUAGCAAAUCUUCUUUUUUAGGCCUCUUUUUAGUUAGUAAUUAUCUUAUAAUUAAGAAUUUUUAUACACAUUCUAUCUUUGAUAACCUUAAUAUUAAAGAUCUCUAAUUAAUAGUAUUAUCUAAUUGUUAAUUUAUUAUUAGUUUUUCCAAGAAAAAAAUUAAAAUCUUUAUCUAUUUAAUACUUCAGUUUUUUUUUCGUCAGUGGCAGAUAAAAGAGUCGGUUUUUCCGUUACUAAGCUUUUUAUGGAUGAAUUUUUUUUUAUAAUUUCUUUGUUUUAUAGGUUCUCUGUGAAUGCCAUUAGAAAUGAGAUUGACUAAUUCAAACUUCCUUUUUCCCCUUAGCAUCCAAACGUGUGAGGCAAGGGCAACUAAUGAGUCCAUUGUGAUGAGAACCUUUGUCUAAGCAAAAGCAGAGGUCAAUUGCUAAUACCGUACUGUUAUUAGUUUCAGUGCUUAAAUUGCUCCAUAAGUUUGCAUUUUAAAGUCUCUGUCUUAAUUUCUGAGGUAUACUGCUAAUGAGACCUCCUGCCAAGUUCAAGUUUGUUGUGAUGGCUACUUUGUCAUAUAACUGACUGUGAGAGGCCAUCAAUCAGCUCUGUUUUGUAAUUUUGUACCUUUUUUUUUCAUAUAAUGAUCAAUCAAAUGUUAGCCCUUAGAUUGCAACCAAUAUUUACUGAUUGUCUUAUAUAGGAUAUAAACUAAAUUCAUAAGACAUUCCCUUAUUGAUAUUCAUUCCGACACGUCCUAGUCUUUUGCCUUGUAGAAAUGCUUGUGGUUGAAGAGCUUUACAGAGAAGCUGUCGUCAGUACUGCGCGGAAAUUGAUUAUAUUGAAUCAGAAAACUUGACCAGAUAAGGUCUGUGUGCAUGAGAAUACUUGAGGAAAGCUUCACAAUACUGAGGGCCGGAUCUGCACUCUUUCCUCUAUAUGUGUCUUCAAUAUCAAUGGCUCAAAUACAUGUGUUAUGGUCUUUUAAUAUAUAUAAAAUACCAUUAUCUCAUGCGUUAUGGUCUUAUCCUUGUAUUCUUAAAAACUACAUAAAAUACCGUUAUCUCUGCUUUUGUAGCUAUUGAAUUCGACUUUCACAACAUAAAUAUUUAUUAGCAACAACUUAAAAUCCAAACAAAUCUAACAUGCAAUGUAUCAAUUACAUAUUAUGAUUAAACAGAUUUUGAUUAUUUAUUAUUAAAAUAUAUUCUCAUUAAUAUCUUAAGGAUAGGUAAUACUCACAUAAUUUUUUUAAAAAUCAAACCCAAAUUAUAUGCAUUGUUAAUGUGUAUUAUUGUCUAAUAUUUGGAUUUUACUAAUUUACAACUGCUAUAAUGUACGGCCUCUUCAAACAUAAUGUGGGUCCCACCACGUGUUAAAUUUUUUACAUUAUUUUUGAAGGAAUUGUAAGUUACAGCAGCUGUAAAUUAGCAGCACCUCCAAUAUUUUACUUUACUUCCCCUAAUAUUUUACUUGUACUUUUAUAUCUUUACAAAACAAUACCAACAAGACAAUAAUGUAUGAAAUAAAUAAAAUAAAUAAAUAAAGAACUGACAACGAAAUUAGGCCUAUCAUUAAUUUCUCUUGGUGUGAACUCUUGACAAUUCUCCCAUAUCCCACCUAAAGCUCUCGCAUGGUGUGAACGCUUGACGAUUCUCCCAUAUCCCUCCAAAAAUUUGUCAUAUUGCGAAAAACAAUGUCAAUUCAAUAUCGUCUCCAUUAGUCAUAGUGGCAGAUAGGACUAGAAUUUGUUGAAACCCUUGGACUUAUUUUUCCUUUUGAAAAUAAUUUUGUAGAAUCUCAUAUCGUGAAUAACGGACAAUGAGACUCUUUUUUUUAACUAUAAUAUUUUUUUAAAAUUAUUAACUAAAAAAAUUAAUUUUAAUAUUUUAUAAUAAAUAUAAGUAGGAUAUUAAAAUAAAUAUAAUAAUAUAUACAUAUUAAAAUAAUUUCAAUACCAAAAAAUAUUUUAAUAGUUUACAAUCUCGUAUUCUAUUAAACCAAAUUAUAAUAAAUAGAGACAUAAUAUUAAAAUAAAUAUAUAAAAUUUUAAAUUAUUUUCAAUAUCAUAUAAAAUAACUUUAAUAUUAUUAAAACGUGAGAAAUAUUAUAUUAAUUAUAAAAACUAUUUAACCCAAGGAUUUGUUUAAAAUUUUUAUAAUAAAUAUAUUAAAUUACAUUUUAAAAAUUAAGUAUUUAAAUUAUACAUACUAGUCUACUAGAAAAUUUAAACUAUUUAAAUCAUAUUUACAUUUAGUAAAAAAUUUUGAAGUCAUUUUUUUUUUUGUGAAUACCAUAAGAGUGCUAUAGUCAAAAAGGGUAUUGGUGUUCUUUAUUAAAAGUUUGGGGUCUACAUGACUAUUUUCUAAAAUUUUAAGGGUGUCAUUUUAUUUUUGAAAAAAAUAAAAAUUUCAUUUAAACAGCUAAAAUGGUGAAUAGUACAAUGCUACAGUGGGCGUAAAUGGAAGGUAAAAAGCAAUCAGAUUUUGAUUAAACAUGCAAUGUAUGAAAUAUAUAUUAUAAUUAUACAGAUUUUGAUUAUUUAAUAUUAAAUUAUAUUCACAUUAAUAUCUUAAGGAUAGUUAAUACUCAAAUAAUUUUUCAAAAAAUCAAACCCAAAUUAUAUGCAUUGUUAAUGUGCGUUAUUGUCUAAUAUUUGGAUUUUGCUAUGUCACAACUACUGUAACUUAAAGCCUCUUCAAACAUAUGUCGAUCCCACCACGUGUUAAAUUUUUUACAUUAUUUUUUAAGGGAUUGUAAGUUACAACAGCUUAACUUAGCAGCACCCUAAUAGUUUAUUUUACUUUUAUAUCUUUACAAAACAAUGCCAACAAGACAACAAUGUAUGAAAUAAAUAAAAUAAAUAAACAAAGAUCUGACAGCAAAAUUAUGGCUAUCAUUGGUUUCUUGUGGUGUGAACUCUUGACAAUCCUCCCCAAUCCCAUCCAAAACUCCCGCGUAGUGUGAACAUUUGACGAUUCUCCCAUAUCCCUCCAAAAAUUUGUCAUAUUGCGAAAAGUAAUGUCAAUUGCAAUGUCGUUUUCAUUAGUCAUAGUGGCAAAUAGGACUAGAAUUUAUUGAAACCCCUCGACUUAUUUUUCCUUUUGAAAAUAAUUUUGUAGAACCUCAUAUCGUGAAUAAAAGACAAUAAGACUCUUUUUUUUAAUUAUAAUAUUUUUUAAAUUUAUUAACUAAAAAAAUUAAUUUUAAUAUUUUAUAAUAAAUAUAAGUAGGAUAUUAAAAUAAAUAUAAUAAUAUGUACAUAUUAAAAUAAUUUCAAUACCUAAAAAUAUUUUAAUAUUUUACAAUCUCGUAUUCUAUUAAACCAAAUUAUAAUAAAUAGAGACAUAAUAUUCAAAUAAAUAUAUAAAAUUUUUAAUUAUUUUCAAUAUCAUAUAAAAUAAUUUUAAUAUUAUUAAAACAUGAGAAAUAUUAUAUUAAUUAUAAAAUCCAUUUAACCCAAGGAUUUGUUUAAAAUUUUUAUAAUAAAUAUAUUAUUAAAAUAAAUAUAUUAAAUUACAUUUUAAAAAUUAAUUAUUUAAAUUAUACAUACUAGUCUACUAGAAAAUUUAAACUAUUUAAAUCAUAUAUACAUUUAGUAAAAAAUUUUGAAGUCAUUUUUUUUUUGUGGCUACCAUAAGAGUACUAUAGUCAAAAAGGGUAUUGGUGUUCUUUAUUAAAAUUUUGGGGUCUACAUGAUUAUUUUCUAAAAUUUUAAGGGUGUCAUUUUAUUUUUGGAAAAAAAAAUUCAUUUAAACAGCUAAAAUGGUAAAUAGUACAAUGCUACAAUGGCGUAAAUGGAAUGUAAAAAGCAAUCAAAAUGACCAACAGUCUAACGCCUCAUCAGGGACAUAAAGUCAAAGUUUGUUGCAUGUGGUCAGGGCCAUUUAGUCUGUGAGUGGGUCCUGCAUGUCAUUUUUGGGCAUUUCAUCUUCUUUAGCAUUGAAGAUUAAAUGUUGACGACAUUUUCAAAAUUUUGGAAGACCCAUUAUACUUUUGGAUGGCUGUCAUUACUUGAUAUUAUCAUUAUAUGAUGAAAUAAAAUUGGAUGUAACACUUGUUUCGCGUUGUGGGAACUUUUGACAAUUCCCCAUAUCUCCUAAAAAUCUUUCGCCAUUUUGGGAAGAUGCCAUUUAUUUUCAUUUUCAUCAUUGAUAUUGGCAGAUAAUGGGGUCCGAGGACAGACCAUAAAUUAUUGCGACCCAUGGACUUUUCUAAUUUUUUUUUUUCCUUUGGAUAGUUUUCGUUAUUUGAUAGAAGGAGAUAGAGAUAAAGUUUUUUAAUCAAAUGCCCAUUUUAUUUAACAUGGAAGAAGAUCUUUAAACUCUAAGCGAGGCUAUCACUUCAACAGAUGCAGCUUCAAAAAAGAGGUAACAAGUGAUGAGAUAGACUCAUUAUUGUCUAAUCAAACAAGGACAUCGGUAGAUGUAUCAGGAUCUUAAGUUAGAUUGGAAUUUGAUACAUUGUUGUUCGUAACGUUGGUUCAAACCUUUAAAGCAAGGUUGGAUGCAAAAUGGUUUACACCAAAGACGUGAUUUAGGAAGUUAAUUAACGUUAUUUUAGAUAAUUUAUAAUUCUAAAAUAUUUAUUAUUUUAUGGUUUUCUAUUUUUGUUUGAGUCAAUUAUGGUAUGUAUCUUAAUCUUUUAUUUCCAUUAUAAUUAUAAUUUAAAUUUUCUUUUUAGGUUAACUUAGGAAAGUGGAUUUCUUUUAUUAUAAAUAAAGAUGUCUGUAAUAAAAAAAAUAAAGAUGUCUUGUCAUUGUUUUCAGGACUUCAAAUUCAAUUAUUAAAUAAAACUCUUUUUUUUAUAAUUUCCUCUAGUAUUAUUUAUCAAAAUCUCUCUUAUAGAGUUAUUUAAAUUAGAGUGUCAUCUAAUCUCGUAUUACGCGUUAUUAAAAAUCUCAUUGAAUCAUUUAGAUUAAAACAAUAUCUAAUCACGCUUUGAUUAAAGCGUAAGUUAAUUGUGUUGGCUUGAUCCAGUACUAGAAUGAUAUUUAGUAUUUCUUACCUUAUCAAUUCCACUUCCGCUACGCUCGCUCCAUCAAUUGGUAUCAAAGCAAUUCUGUGCGAAUCACACAUCUUUCCUAGAUACACCAUACCCAUCCAAACCAAAUCCAUCAAAAAAAAAAAUUACAAAUUUGAAAACCCUACCCGUCAGACCAACCCCCACCGCCGCCCACCACCGCCAAUCAGCCAGCCAACACCACCACAAACCUCACUAGCCACCGUCGACCAAGCCUCAGUCAUCGCUGCCUCAACCGCCGCUUGAACAGCCGCAAAUCACCAACCCAAACCUGCGGCUCCACCAAGCAACCCACCACCAUUCAGCCACUUUCUCCACCAGCCACCUCCACCAACAAACUCGCCGGCCUUCGUUGACCAAAAACUGACCGACUUCGGCCCUUGAUCGCCGCCCUCUGUCACCACACGAAACGACAACCCACGAGUGCUUCCUACACGCGCCGCCACCAAAACACCUUCUUUUUCCGUCAAUUUACACCACCACCAUAAUCCCUAGCAGUCGGCAACCGUAAAUCCAGUCUUCCGCCACUGUAAAGCCGCCAUAAACCAAAAGCCACAUCACCAAAAUCAACCGCCAAUUCAAGUCGGAUUUUCCCCAAUUCAGGUUGCUGAAUAUAAAAAGGACUCAUGAAAAUUACCUAAAGUUUCAAAUAUUGUUAUUCAGCAACCACUUUUAUGGUACAUUAGUUUCAACCCAAAUUUUAUAUAAAUAAUUUAUAACUCCCAUUAUUAUUAUAAAAAAAAAUUGUAGCAAUUGUGGUUAUAUCACAUGAAAAAAAAAAUCUAAUUAAAGAAAUUAACAUUAUAAUUUAAGGGAUAGUUGCUCUUUUAAUCAUUAGAAUUUAUGUCAAUUAUCCAGCUUAUCCUUGCAUUCUUAAAAACUAUAUACAAUACCAUUAUCUCUGCUUUUGUAGCUAUUGAAUUUGACUUUGACAACAUAAAUAUUUAUUAGCAACAACUUAAAAUUCAAACAAAUCUAAUAUGUAAUGUAUGAAAUACAAAUAAUAAUUAAACAAAUUUUGAUUAUUUAAUAUUAAGAUAUAAUCACAUUAAUAUCAUAAGGAUAGGUGGUACUCAAAUAAUCUUUUAAAAAUCAAACCCAAAUUAUAUGCAUUAUUAAUAUGCAUUAUUGUAUAAUAUUUAGAUUUUGUUAAGUUACAACUACUAUAACUUAAGUCUCUUAAAAAAUAUGUGAGUCCCACCACCUAUUAAAUUUUUUACAUUAUUUUUGAAAAAAUUACAAGUUACAUCAGUUGUAACUUAACAGCACCCCUAGUAUUUUACUUUACUUUUAUACCUUUACAAGAACAAUAAUGUAUGAAAUAAAAAAAAUAAAUAAAUAAAGAACUGACAACGAAAUUAGACCUAUCAUUAGUUUCUUGUGGUGUGAACUCUUGACAAUCCUCCCCUAUCCCACCUAAAGCUCUCGCGUGGUGUGAAUGUUUGACAAUUCUCCCAUAUCCCUCCAUAAUAUGUCAUAUUGCGAAAAGCAAUGUCAAUUGCAAUGCCGUUUCCCAUUAGUCAUAGUGAUAGAUAGGACCAGAAUUUUUUGAAACCCCCGAGGCCCUAAACUUGUUUUUCCUUUUGAAAAUAAGAAAAUGGCACCUGUCUAGAGAAAUAAUUUAUUAGAACCUUAUAUCAUGAAUAACGGCCAAUAAGACUUUUUUUAAAUUAUAAUAUUUUUAAAUUUAUUAACUAAAAAAAUUAACUCUAAUAAUUUAUGAUAAAUAUAAAUAGGAUAUUAAAAUAAAUAUAAUAAUAUAUAGAUAUUAAAAUAAUUUCAAUAUCUAAAAUAUUAAUAUUUUACAAUCUCGUAUUCUAUUAAACCAAAUUAUAAUAAAUAGAGACAUAAUAUUCAAAUAAAUAUAUAAAAAUUUAGGUUAUUUUCAAUGUCAUAUAAAAUAGUUUUAAUAUUAUUAAUACCUGAGAAAUAUUAUAUUAAUUGUAAAAUCUAUUUAACCUAAGGAUUUAGUUAAAAUUUUAAAAUAAUUACAAAUAUUUUAUAAGUACAAAUAAAUUAAUUUACAUUUUAAAAAUUAAUAUUGAAAUUAAUUAUUUAAAUUAUAUAUAUUAGUCUUCUGGAAAAUUUAAAUUAUUUAAAUCAUAUUUACAUUUCGUAAAAAAUUUUAAGUCAAUUUGUUUGAUUACCACCUGCUAAGGGUAUUGUAGUCAAGGGGAAUAUUGGUAUUCUUUAUUAAAAAUUUGGGAUCUACAUGAUUAUUUUUCUAAAUUUUAAUGGUGUCAUUUUAUUUUUGACAAAAAUAAAAUUUCAUUUAAACAACUAAAAUGAUGAAUAAUACAGUGCUACAGUGGCGCAAGUGGAAGGUAGGAAACAAUCAAAAUGAACAGUCUAACGUCACAGCAGGCAUAUAAGGCCAAAGUUUGUUACAUCCCAAUACAAAAAGUUUGAAACUUUGCACCUUCUGAAAUGAAACAAACUUACUUGGAUAUUGGUGAUCAGUGAGAAAAGCCCUUUUUCAAAAGCAACCUUAGGGUACCGAGUGUUACAGAUUCAAUGAACCACAAAUACUUAUUUACAUUGUAGUAUCUCAAAGGCACCGAUUUCUUCUGAUCCGUUAAGGAAAACAAGAAAAAUAAAAAGAAAAGAAAAAGGGUACUUGUGCCACACAACCUUGACGCCUAGCUACAUGGUACAUUCUCUUUGUGUGUUUGAACCAAUUAACAAUAAUGGUGCCUUUACUUCUUGGACUGGAGAAUCGAAAUCCGAAAUCGAAAUCAUUAAUGAUGUUUACUUCAUAAAAUGGAGGCUGGGAUCCGAAUCAGAACUAUGGGGACCACCCAAAUUAGGAGUGAGGAAUGGAAGAUUGAUUCCUAAGGAAGGUGGUGGGAAUCAAUCCCCCAUUCCCAAGAUUGAUCAUUUUGCCCCCUCUCACAAACUAUAAAAUAUCUAUUUUGUCCUCAAUUAAAAAAUUAUUAUGAUUAAUUAAUAUAUGUUUAUAAUUUAUUAAUAUAACUAUUCUAAUCAAUUUAUAUAUAUUUUAAAUAUAUUAUUAUUAAAUAAUUAAUAUAUUAUUAUAAUUAAUUAAUAUAUUUUGAAUUUUUAUUAUUAUCGUCAUCAUCAUCAUUAUUAUUGUUAUGAAUGAUAAAUUUUUUUACAAUUAAUUAGUAUAUUAAUAUAUUAUUGACAAUAAUUAAUAAUAAUAAUAAUUUUUGAAUAAAUAAAUAAAUAAAAUUAAUUACUGAAUUUGAACAUUUUACAAUUAUUCUAUUAUUUGGACUUAUCGAGAACUUACAUGCAGCGUAGCUAGUUUGCUAGCAUAUGUAAGGUUUAAUUUGAAUGCAUGCAGCAUUGAGAAGAGACAACGCAGAAACAAAAUUUCCGCUUGCAAUCUUUUCAUUUCCCUUUUUAAUAACAAGCAAAAUAGAGGAUAAACAGGGACUUUGUUUUAAUUCUCCUGUUUUUCUGUUUGGUGAUUUUAAAAUUUUAUGUCUAUAUUUAUCAAAAAAAGUUAUCCAAAAUUAUUAUCUAUUUUUGAUACACGUUGAUUUAUUAAAAAAAAAUUAAAAACUUCAUUUCUAAAUUUAUCGUUGUGCUUUGACCUUGGGGUGGUUUUUUUCUGUUUUUUUACGUAGGCCAGAACCUUAAUGAAGAAAGUUUUCAUCGUUAAUUGCUUUUGACCUAGGAGAAUUUAUUCUUGGACAAAUUAACACCUUUGUCUUUUGAUGCGGCUCCUAGAUAUCUAUGCAAUUUGUGUCAUUUACUUUUGCUUUGUAUUCUUUUUUAAAUGAGUCCCGAUUGGUUCAUUUGCAGAUAAAUGAGUCAGUUUUUCUGUUUUUAUUUUUUGAAAGACGGUUUUUCUGUUACGAAGCUUUUCAUGGAUGAAUAUUUUUUUUUUAAUUUUAUAGAUUCUCUGCGAGUUUUGUUAGGUAGAAGGGUAUUUAAGUAUUUUCAUUUCAUAUUUUGACAUUUCCUUGACCUUUGAAGUAUUGAAUCAUUGUGCAGGUAUUUAAGUAAAUCUGCCCACAAUGAAGAAUAGUUCAGAACAGUUGCGGAAGAUAAAUGGCUCAAAUAUAUGCGUUAUGAUCUUUUAAUAUUUCGCCUCUGAUAUUGUCCACAUUGCUUACUGCAAUAGAUAAAGCACUUCGUUUACCCCAAAUCCUGAUAGGGAAGUAUAAAUAUGUGCUUCCGAAAUAGUGCAACUCUCCAUAAUUAUUUAAUAUGCCUCUCAAUGAAGCAAUCACCUUCAUUUACAAUUCUUCGAUUAUUAAUCCUACAUACACGUGUUUCUUUUGUCUCUAAAAGUAUCCUCAAUUAAUUUACAUAAUUUAAUAUAAUAAGUACCUAAGACUAGACAAAUUAUCAUUAUAAUAGUAUUGACACAAUAAUGUCAAUAAUAAAUGCCUUAACAAACCUAUAAAUUUUAGAAUAUGGCUCAGAGUGCUACAAUGAACCACAACAAGUUAUUAUAUUGUCUAUAAUCAAUAUUCCAAUGGUAAUAGAGUUUUUUUAUUUUCAAUCCGCUGCUUUUCUGUUUAGCGAUUGCCAAAUUUUAUAUCUAAAAUUCUUCUAAUUUUAUAUCUAAAAUUCUUCUAAUUUUACACUAAGGUUUAUUUUUUCAAAAAAGGGGGGGGGGGGGGGGGGGGGGGGGGGCAGGAGAGAGAGACUUAGAGAGUAUUAAAAAAUGUAAUUCUAAAUUUUUACUUGAGUGUUGUGUGAUUUUGAUCAUUUUUUUAAAGUUGGCCAUUUAUAUUGAAUAAAUAAAAUAACGAAUAGACGUUUGGACCACUUCUUUUCUGUUAUAAUAAAACAUGAGAUGUCUUCUCUUGAUGUUUUCGUCACAAAAGAAUAUGUUUAAUUAUGUCAUCAUAGGCUUAAAUGGGAUGCCUUUUCUGUUAUAAGAUCGAGAACAAGUUUGUUUAAGCACUAGAGCCGCUAAAUAAAAGAAAGGCUCAUAUAAAAAUUACCUAAAGCACCAAAUAUUGUUAUUCAGCUACUUCUUUUAUGUUACAUUAGUUUCUACGCAAAUUUAUAUAAAUAAUUUAUAACUCCCAUCAUUAUUUAAAAAAUAAAAACCAUAGCAAUUGUGGUUAUAUCAUGUGGUGUGAUCUUUUGACAAUCCUCCCACAUCCCACCAAAAACUCUCACAUGGCGUGAACUUUUGACAAUUCUUCCAUAUCCCACCAAAAAUUUGUCAUGUUGCGAAAGGCAAUGUCAAUUGUAUUGUCAUUUCCAUUAGUUAUAGUGGCAGACAAUGUAGUCCCGGGAUAAGACUAGAAGUUUUUGAAACCCAUGGACUUAUUCUUACUUUAUUUUUUCUUUUGAAAAUGAGAAAAGGACACCCGUUUCGGGAAAUAAUUUUGUAGAAUCUCAUAUCGUGAAUAAGAGAUAAUAAGACUUUUCUUUUUUACUUUACUGCAAUACUCUUUAAUUUUAUUAAUUUUAUAUUUUAUAAUAAAUAUAAAUAUGAUACUAAAAUAAAUGUAAUGAUAUAUACAUAUUAAAAUAAUUGGAUAUUGAAAAAUAUUUUAAUAUUUUACAAUCCCGUAUAAUAUUAAACCAUAUUAUAAUAAAUAGACAUAAUAUUAAUAUAUAUAUAAGUUUAAAUUAUUUUGAAUAUCAUAUAAAAUAAUUUUAAUAUUAUUAAUAAAUCAGAAGUAUUACAUUAAUUGUAAAAUCUAUUUAAUCCAAGGAUUUAUUUAAAAUUUUUAUAAUAAAUUAAAAAUAUAUUGGUUAACAUUUUAACAAUUAAUAAUGAAAUUAAUUAUUUAAGUUAUAUAUAUUAGUCUACUAGAAAAAUUUAAACUACUUCAAUCAGAUUUACAUUUAAUGAAAAAAUUUGAAGUUAAUUUUCUUUUUAUCAUCUACUACGAAUCUUGUAGUUAAAAGAGGUAUUGACAUUCUUUAUUAAAAAUUUGAGGUCUACAUAACUAUUUUUUUUUUUAUUUUAAGGGUGUCAUUUUAUUUUUGACAAAAAUAAAAUUUCAUUUAAAUGGCUAAAAUGGUGAAUAAUACAAUGUUACAGCUGGCGUAAAUGGAAGGUAGGAAACAAUCAAAAUGACCAACAGUCUAAUGCCACAGCAAGGACAUGAGGUCAAAAAAUUCCCUUAUUAAUUAGUAAAAGAGAGUCACUUGGGCUUAUGGCGGGCAAAAUCGGAUAUAGAUCAGAUUCAAAUUAAUCCGAUAAAUUUGAUAUUGUUUGCAUUGAUAAAAAAAGUCACCCAAAUGCAAUCUAAACAUGUGUGUGUGUGUAUACAUAUUUGUUAUAAAUUAAAGUUACAAAAGUCUUUAACCAAGGCCAUUCAUAGUAAGUUUCAAAUUUUUAGGUUAAUAUCUGUAACUUCAUCAUGCUGGCCAUAAAUAAAGCUUGCAGGUCUAGGCGGGAUUGACUCGAGUUUUUUUGCCAAUCCUACGCAUGACGGGCGGUGUUAGGAAUAAUAUCCUGCAUCAAUUGAGUAUUGAACUUGGGUUCAGCAUAUAAGAUUUGGACAACUCUUAACUCUUGAGCUAACUUACUAAGUUUUGGAUUGAGUUAAGCAUGUAUGCUUCAAUAUCACAAAUUAGUCUUUCGUUACCAUUACUUAUUUUUUCUAUUGUUUAAUCCUAACACAAUAAAUGACCUUUCAUCCCAAAAGAACUAAAGUAAUCAUUUUAGACGAAUUAAGACACCAUAAAGUAAAUCUGCACACUAUGAAAAAUACUUUGGAACAGUUAAGGAAGCGUGAGAAUACUUGGGGAAAGCUUCAUAAUUGUUACGGCCGGAUCUACACUCUUUCCUCUAUAUGCAAUAAAUAUAUGCGUUAAUGAUCUCUCAAUAUUUUGCAUCCGAUAUUGCCCACAUCGCUUACCACAAUAUAUUCACUUUAUAAACAAAGUUUACAACCCAAAUACUAAUAGAGAAUAUAAAUAUGUACUUGUCAAUGAAGCAAUCACCUUUAUUUAGAAAUUUUUUAUUAUUAAUCCUACGUACACACACCUCUUUUGUCUCCAAAAAUAUUCUUAAUUAAUCCACACAAUUUAAUACAAUAAAUACCUAAGAUUACACAAAUUUUCAUUACAAUAGAAUAUAUAAUUUAUAAUAUUAUUGAUACAAUGAUGCCAAUAAUAAAAAUCCUAUAAACCUUACAAAUUUUAGAAAAUGGCUUAGAGUGUGACAGGUUGAAUGAACCACAACAAAUCAUUUACAUUAUAGUAUCUAUGAUCAAUAUUCUAAUGAUAAUAGGGCUCCUCCAUUUUCAUUUCCCUACAUUUUCUGUUUGGUGAUUGUCAAAUUUUAUGUCUAAAAUUUUUCUAAUUUUACAGUGAGGUUUAUUUUUUAAAGAGAGAGAGAGAGAGACUCAAAGAGAAUUAAAAAAAAUGUAAUUCUAAAAUUUUACUUGUGCAUUUUGUGAUUUUUACCAUUUUUUAAGUUGGCAAUUUGUAUUGAAUAAAUAAAAUAAUAAAUAGACUUAUGGACCACUUUUUUCUGUUAUAAUAAAAAUCAGAGGUCCUUUCUUGAUGUUUUCUUUCCAUAUGAAUAAAUUAGAAUUUUAUUGGUACAGUAAUGUCAAUAAUAAAAUUCCUAACAAACAUACAAAUUUUAGAAUAUGGAUUAAAGUGUUACAAGUUGAGUGGAUCACAACAAGUUAUUUAUAUUGUAGUGUCUAUGAUCAGUAUUUCAAUGAUAUCAAGGGUCCUCUAUUUUCUUUCCCUUGCAAUUUUUGUUUGGUCAUCGCCAAAGUUUAUAUCUAAAAUUUUUCUAAUUUUACACUGACAUUUAUUUUUUUUUUAAAAAAAAGAGAAAGAGAGACACGGAGAGAACUAAAAAAUGUAAAUCUAAAUUUUUGCUUGUGCGUUAUGUGAUUUUUAUCAUUUUUUAAGUUGGCCAUUUGUAUUGAAUAAAAAAAGUAAUAAAUAGACUUAUGGACCACUUGUUUUUUUAUUAUAAUAAAACAUUUUCUUCUCCUGAUGUUUUUCAUCUCACAGGAAUAUAUUUAUCUCAUCGUGGGCCCAAAUGGGGUAAAUAAAUUGGGAUCAAGGACAAGUCUGUUUAAGUGUUGAAAUUGCAAGAAGACCUCAUAAAAAAAAUUGCCUAAAGCCCCAUUAUUGUUAUUCAACUAUUACUUUCAUGACACUUACACAAAUAAUUUAUAACUCCAUCUUUAUUUAGGGAAAAAACUGUAGCAAUUGUUGUUAUAUCACAGGAACAAAUUCCAAUUAAAAAUAUAAUAAGAAUUAAUUGCAAAUUUUGUAAUAAAUAUCAAUAUAAUUUAAUAGUUUAAUUUUUUUUGGUAGAGUAAUAUAAUUUAAAAAAUUAAUAUUUAAAAAAAUAAUAUCAGUAUUACUUUUUAAAAUGCAAAUUAUUAAAAUUAUAUUAAUAAUGUAUUUUUAUUUAUUAUAAAAUUUAUUUUAAUAAAAUCUUAAAUUUUUUUAAAUAUUUGUAUAUAUUGUUAUAUGUUAUUAUAAUAUUAUAUUUAUAUUUAUUAAAAUAUAAGAGUUAAUAUUUUUAAAUUAAUAAAGACAAAAAGUAUUAUAAUAAAAAAGAAUUCUUUUAUUAAAAAUAUAAUCAUUCUCCCAAACUUAUCCUUGUCCCUUUUUGAAAGGAAAAAAUAAAUUAGAAAAGUCUAUGGUCAUGAUAACUUCUAGCCUUGUCCCGUGGGACAUGGCUACGGUGCAGAAGCUGAAAGUAACAGCUUCGAACUUUCCCAUUUCCAUCACCUUGUUGAUGGUUGUUGAAGCCAAUAAAAAUAAAUUCCUACUCUAAAUAAAUUGUGUAUAGUGAUUGAGCAGGGUCGUGUCCACAGAGAUCGGUAAUUAUUUAAAUUCUUUUGAAACGUAAAACGUAAAAUGGGAGAAUUGUUGACAAUAAUAAAAAAUCAAAUUAAAAUAACAAAAAUGCAAAUUAAAGUUGUAAUUCAAAUUGGAGAAAGCUUUGGUUGAAGGAAUUAACUCAGUUUGAUUCGACUACUGAUCAUUGAUUCAAAAAUAGAUUAUUAUUACUUAUGAAUAAACUGGUUAUAGCUAUUGAGACCCUCUAAUAGCCAAUCUCUCCUUAACUAGUCGAUAACCAAGGUACGACUAUUGGAUAUUUCCCUAAUCAAUAGACAACCCUAGAUACGAUCAUAGGAUUUAAUCAAUUGACAGCCUGAAAAACCAGAGCGACCCAAAUCCUAAUCAACACAUAUGAUGAUUCAUUUAAAUUAGAUUGUUUAUUCCCAUAACACAACUCACUGCUAUGUUAUUUGUCACAAACAUUAAACUCGUCAUACGAUGAAUUCUUUAAUUGACAAUAGAUUAAGUUGAUAAUUAAAUAGUGGCCAAUUACCUAAUUAACAAACAUAAUCAUGAAACUAAUUCAGAGAAUAAACAAAUACCCAAAAAGUAAUAAAACAAUUAAAGCAUAAGAAAGAUCUCACAGUAGUGAUGAAUCAAAAAUUCAUUAACCUUCAACUAGAAAAAAUAAGUUUAGUUUUUCAUAGAGAGAAGAGAAAAAUUAGAUCUAGGGUUUCUUUCUUUUUCUCCAAUUAAAAUCCCCCCUUUUUCACAAUAGAUUCCUCCCUUAAAUACUCUCUCUCUCUUCUCUUUUAAAGUUCUAUUUAAAAUAAAAUAAUAAUAUUUGAAAUAUUAAAUUCGUAAUUACAAAAAUAGCCAAAAAUACAAAACACAUUAAACUAAAAACUGCAGGUCCGCAGUUGACAGCACGCGCCCACGCCUUAUCUAUAAAGUUCUUCUGACGCUCUAAAUUUCUCCAAGAGAACAAUCAUCUUUAAACAUCAUCUUAUACCUCAAUUCUAUCACAAAUCAAUAGAAUUGCACUUACAAAAGUAAAACACAAGUAAAUCAUUAUUAUUAAAUGCAAAACAUCGAUAUUAAGGGAAGUAAACAAUGCAAAACUAGUGUAUAAAUUGUACUCUAACACUUGUAUUGGGACCUCUUUCUCUCUCCUAUAGCCCCCAUGGAAGUUCCCCAUUGGCUGCUGUUACUUACAGAAGCCGUAACAUAGACUUCUAGCCAUGUCCCGUGAUGUCCAUUGUCUGCCACUAUGAAUAAUGGCAAUGACAUUGCAAUUGAAACAUUGAAAAGGUAUUUUCGCAAUAUGACAAAGCUUUUGUUAGGAUAUGGGAGGAUUGUCAAAAGUUCACACCACUUGAAACUAGAAUUAGAUCUAAUUUCAUUUAUUUCAUAAAUUAGAAAAGUCUAUGGUCGUGAUAACUUCUAGCCGUGUCCCGUGAUGUCCAUUGUCUGCCACUAUGAAUAAUGGAAAUGACAUUACUAUAAUAAAAUGACAUUGCAAUUCCAAUAUGCAAUUGAAAAGUCUAUGGUCGUGAUAACUUUUGUAAUAUGACAAAGUUUUUGUUGGGGUAUGAGAGGAUUGUCAAAAGUUCACACACCACAUGAAACUAGUGUUAGAUCUAAUUUUAUUUCGUCCGUUCCUUAUAUAUUUAUUUCAUACAUAUAUGUCUUAGGGUGAUAUUGUUUUGUAAAGAUAUAAUAGUAAGGUACUAUAAAAAGAAAAGAACUGUGUGUAUACUUCCCAGUGUAAUAAUUAUAUGUAGAAGAAAACUAACAAGAGGAAAAAUGACAAAGAGCAAGGCGCUGGUUGUUGGGAGAAGAGGACAUGUCGGCAGAGGAUAGAGAAGCCAAUCUUAGCCUUGUUGAUUGAGGGCUCAUCUUCUGAUCAUCGUAGCCUUGUUGGAGCUGUCAAACAAGUCGAUGUUGUCAUUUAAGGAGCCACAACAUUUUGAUGCUGCUUAAACUUGUUGGGGCCAUCAAAUAAGCUGUAAAUAUUAAGGUACGUAAGCCUUAAUUUUUAUGUAAUUUUAAUUUCAGAUCCAAAAUUGCAUGCAAGCCAUUAAUUUCUUUCCUUUUUUAUUUUUGAUUUGAUGAGGUGCUUGAUUUGGUCGGGUGUGUAUUUUUUCUUUGUUCUUUUUUUUUUUAAAACAUAAAUCUCCAAAUCGGGUUGGAGCGGGGAUUCUAACCCUACGAUGGCCAUAUUAAAAUUUAAAAUUUUUUAAUUUAUUUUUCUACAUCUCAAUAUUUGAAAAAAUGAUUAUAUAGAUCUAUAUAUUUUCAAUAAGAGAUACUAAGAUACUCUUUUUUACUAUAACACCUACUAGCUCUAUUAACUCAAAAAAUUAGCUUCAAUGUUAAUAUAUAUAUUUUAAAAUAAUUUUAAUAUUUUAAAAAAAAUGAAAAAAAUAUUUUAAUACUUUACAAGCUUAUACUAUAUUAAACUAAAUUUUGUAAUAAAUAGAAACUUAAUAUAAAAUAAAUGUCUAAAAAUUUAAAUUAUUUUCAAUAGCAUAUAGAAUAAUUAUAAUAUUAUUAAUACCUAAGAUAUAUUAAAUUAAUUAUAAAUUCUAUUUAACACAAAUAUUUAACUAAAUUUUUUAUAAUAAAUAUAAAUAUAUUAUUAAAAUAAAUCUAAUAAUUAACAUUUUAAAAAAUAAUACUGAAAUUAAUUUUUUAAAUUAUACUAACACUAGUUUCACGCUGUGCGAACUUUUGACAAAAACUGUUAAUUGCAAUUUCUUUUGAAAACAAUAGAUCAAAUCAUUAAAGUGCAUGUGAUGAUUUGCUGUUUAAUUAUUUCUUUAGAAUAUAUCCAAACGUAAGGUUGUGAACUAGUGCUUUCUUCAACUUAAUUGGGUCCAACAAUACACUGCAGCUUCCUCUUUUGGUCAUUCCAAGUUUAAUUCUUCAUGAAAAUCUUAGACACUAAUACAAGGAUAUCGAAUCCAAAAUUAUAAUAAUACAUGUAAUUAUUCUAUACAUGCGUCAACAAGGCAACAGUAACCAAAUACAUGAUAUGCAAAGGGGGUGCAUGAUUAAGUCCUUUUUUUAUUCAAUUCAUUGUUAUUAUUCUCAUCAACUCUUUUCUCACUUAUUUUUCAGCAGUUACCAGUGAUCUUUUUGCUCUUUAAAAUUAUUCUUAAAUAUUCAAGGCUAAAUAGAGAAGCUCAUCAACUAUCUGAUCCCGGAUAAUUAAAGAGGUGAACUUGUUCUAAAUCCUUUGAUAAUUUCUAUUAAUAGCAUAAUCUCCUUGAUCUUGACCGCAGUUAUUUCUUAAUGUCCAAGAAAAAAAUAUCUCCUGUUUGUCUUAAUCUUGUCAUUUAAUUUUCUUGAUUUAAGUUACUGUUCAUUGUUAACUUCUGUGUUCUUGUUAUUAGCAUUUGUUAAUUUGCAUCUCUCCUCUAAAAUAGUUUCUAAAAAAGAAUGUUGCUUUUCAUUCAUACCCUUGAAACCUUUCAGUUAAUAGUCAAAACUCUAAUCUUUCAGUUAAUUUAUUUGAAUCCAAUUUUUUCAACAGCAAAUACACACACACAUUGUUAAGCAACAGCCAAAAAAGUGCAGAAAAACCAGUCAAAUUUAUACAUGCGUCAACAGGGAAACAGUAACCAAAUAGGUGAUACAAAAAGGGGUGAAUGAUUCUGUCUUUUCCUUUUGCAAGUCGCUGUUAUUACUCUCAUCAACUUCUUUCUCGCACAUUUCUCAGCAGUUACCAGUAAUAUUUAAAAUCGCUGUGUAGAUAUGCAAAAGUUCCGUAAGUGCAUUAAUAAUUAUUUGCCAGAAAAAAAUAGUUGCGUCAAUAUUAAAGGAAUUGACAUCCAGGGGACCCAAUUUAGUUGCUUAAUGAUUAUUUAAUUAAUUAAUUUAUAAUAUAUUAAUCUUUUAAGUUGAAUAAUUAAAAUCUUAGACCCGAAACAAUAAAUCAUCUGAGGCAUAUAAAAGAGAAAUUAUCAUCCUAUUUUUUCUUUUUUCUUUUUAACUUCUUGUAGCUUAUAAAAGAGAAAUUAUCAGUCAUUUACUCAAAGUUUAUUCAAUUAUUAAAAUUAUUAUAAAAAUUUAAAUUUAUUUAAUUUUACAUCCAAUGUAUGCAAUUUGUAUGAAACAUCUGUUAAAAAUAUAAAGUUAUUCGUUCAAAGUGACAAAAUAGAACCGAACACAAAAUUGUAGUGGUGAUUAUGUUUUAGGAGUAACUUUAUUUUUUUAGUAAACAGUUGAUACACAUUGUAAUAAUGGGUAUAAAAUUAAAUAUUUUUAAAUUUUUAUAACUUUUUGGAUAAUAAGAUAAUUCUUAGAUGGAUAAUUGAAAAUUUUUCUUUUCAAAAUAUUUUGAAAACAAUACCAAAUGUACCAAAACAUUGUUUACUUUCACUCUCUCUCUCUCUCUCUCUCUCUCUCUAUCUAUCUAUCUAUAUAUAUAUAUAUAUAUAUAUAUAUAUAUAUAUAUUAUUUCUUAACUCAUUCUUAUCCUUAUUCUUUCUAACAUAUCCACAAUCUGUCAAUGAAAUUUACUUUUAUAAAUUUGAAGAUUUUUUCAUGCAAUUUUAUACGAUGAUGAGUUCUCAUGUUUCUGUUAAAAAAUAAUUCGUAAAUAAUACAAAUGAAAAAAACAAAAAGUAGCAGGGCUGGCAAUACAAAACCAUAACUUUUUUUCUUUGAAUUUUGCAUAAACAAAGUCAAUAGUGAUUUGUCAGCACGAUCUUGAGAGCACGGCUUGGAGUCUCAAUAAUUAUUGACACUCAUAUUUGAAAACUUUCGAAAAGAUAAAAUCCAAUAUGAAAGGUGAAACGUUAUAAUCAUAGUAACUAGAAAAUGGAUUGAUUUACAAAUAUCAAUUUAAACAAUUUUCAUGUUGAUCGACAAUUUAAGUAGAUUGACAAAGAUUGAAGUAAUUACUGUUGGUGAUUGAUUGACUUUGUCCUUAUCCUUGCCUUCUUCUUAUCAAAAAUCGAGUGUCAAUUAAAUUGGGCCAGGGUUUCUGAUUGCAACUAAUGGACUUCAUAUACGCAUAAUGGUCCCUACGUACAUACGUACCAAUAUUUGAUUGAUAAAGGGGGUGCAUGCUUAAUGCUCAAGUCGUCUUCUUUUGGAAAUUCAUUGUUAUUACUCUCAUCAACUCGUUCCUCACAUUCCUCUUUAGUCAAAACCUGUAAUAUUUCUUCUAUAUUCAAGGUGAAUACAGCAGCUCAUCGACUCUGAUCCCAGACAGGUAAAGAGGUGCACUUGUUCUAAAACCUGUAAUAUUCUUUUAGUAGCAGAAUCUCUGAUACUUGAUCUUCAUAGCGGUUCUUUCUUAAUUUCCAUCAACUUUCCUAGGAAAAAAUUCUCUGGUUUUUCUUAAUCAUAUCAUUUACUUUUCUUAAGUCAUAUCAUUUAUUUUUAGUAGCAGAAUACUUGAUCUUGAUAGCCAUUCUUUCUUAAUUUCCAUCAACUUUCCUUAAAGGAUACCUUUCUGUUAAUAGCGAAACCUCUGAUCCUUAAGAUAGAAAAAGAAAUUCUCUACUUAUGUAUCAGUUGGUUCAAAAUCAAUAUCGCGAUGUUGUUUGCGGUCUUUUCUUUCUCUGUCUUUCCCUCUAGUUCAUUUUAAUUUAUUUGUAUUCCUUUCUUUGACAUUUUUAUUCAUUUUAUUCAUAUAUAUACAUAUAUUGUUAAGCAACAGGCAAUGGUUGCAGAAGUGGGUCUGGCUGCUUUUUCCAGCAUCGUAUCAGAAGAUGCAAAGUCACUGUUCAAACCGAUUAUACGGCAGAUCUCUUAUGUGUUCAAGUACCAGAGCUACAUAGAUGGCCUAAAAGAUCAAGUGAAACAGUUGGGAUAUAAAAGAGAAAGGGUGGAAAUACCCGUUCAUCAGGCUACUCAACAAGGAGAUGAGAUUUAUAAGGAUGUUGCAGACUGGCUUAAUAGCGUCAAGGAAUUCACUCAGGGAGCUGCGAAAUCCAUCACUGAUGAUGAAGAUAGAGCUAAGAAGUUCUGUUUCAAAGGAUUGUGCCCAAACUUGAUUUCUCGUUACAAGCUCAGUAGACAAGCAGCAAAGGCCGCAGAAGCUGCUGCUAGUCUCAUGGGAAAAUGUAACUUCUCUAAUGUUUCCUACCGUCCUGCUCCAAAGCGGGCAGAACAUAUGCAAGUGAAAGAUUUCGAGGCCUUUGAUUCAAGAAUGAAAGUAUUUGAAGAUGUUGUGGAGGCGUUGAAGGAUGAUAAGCUCAAGAUAAUUGGGGUCUACGGGAUGGGCGGCGUGGGUAAAACCACGCUAGUCAAGCAAGUUGCAAGGCAAGUUAUGGAAGAUAAGGUGUUCGACAAGGUCGUUAUGGCUGAGGUAACACAGACCCCAGAUCAUCAGGAAAUUCAAAAGAAACUUGCUUUUGACUUAGGCAUGAAAUUUGGCUCGGAUGAGAAUAAAUUCGAAAGAGCAGAUCGAUUACGUGAAAGAUUGAAGAACGAGAAGCAGGUCCUCGUUAUAUUGGAUAAUAUUUGGAAAAAACUCGAGUUCGAAAAAGUUGGAAUUCCUUGUGGGGAUGUUGAUGAGAAAGAUACAAAGGAUGAUCAGAGACGAUGCACAAUAAUAUUGACGUCUAGAAGUCGAGAUUUAUUGCGCAUUGAUAUGAAUUCUCAGAAAAAUUUCCCGAUCGAUGCUUUGCCACCAAAAGAAGCAUUGCAGUUAUUUGAAAAGAUAGUGGGUGAUUCAACUAAAAUAUCUGCUUUUCAAAGUAUAGCAAAUGAGAUCGUUGAAAGAUGCGGAGGUUUGCCUGUUGCACUGAGUACAGUUGCAAAUGCUCUGAAAACUAAGGAUAGUUACUUUUGGAAAGAUGCAUUGAAUCAGCUAAGAAGAUCGGAUGCUAGAGAAAUUCAUGGCAUGCAAGCAAAUGUGUACACCUCCAUAAAAUUGAGUUAUGACUUCUUGGAAAGUGAGGAGGCAAAAUCUCUGUUCCGUCUUUGUAGUCUAUACAGUGAAGGUAAUGUCAUACAAGUUUCUGACUUAUUGAGAUGUGGUGUGGGUUGGGGUUUGUUUGAAAAUGUUUACACAUUGGAAGAAGCAAGGAGUAGAGUGCAUCGGUUGAUCGACAACCUCAAAUCUUCAUGCUUAUUGUUGGACGGUGAUGCUGAAGAUGAAGUUAAAAUGCAUGACGUCAUUCAUGUUGUUGCCGUAUCAAUUGCCAGAGAGGAGCGCAUGUUUAAUGUUCCAAAUGUUGCUGACUUGGAGAAAAAGAUGGAAGAGACAAUACAGAAAGAUCCAAUUGCUAUUUCAUUACCUCAUAGAGAUAUUCAAGAGCUCCCUGAAAGGUUGCAAUGUCCCAAUCUCCAGUUAUUUUUGUUGUAUACGGAGGGUAAUGGCCCUAUGCAAGUUUCAGACCACUUUUUUGAAGGGAUGGAAGGACUCAAAGUUUUACAGUUUCCUGGAAUUGGCUCUUCUUCAUUACCUUCAUCACUUGGUCGCCUCAUUAACCUUCAAACAUUGUGUUUAGACUGGUGCGAACUAGCAGAUAUAGCGGCAAUUGGACAACUAAAGAAAUUAGAGAUUCUCAGCCUCGCAUAUUCCAAUAUCAACCAGCUACCAGUUGAAAUUGGACAAUUGACGCGGUUACAAUUGCUAGAUUUGAGCAAUUGUUGGUGGCUUGAGGUGAUAGCACCGAAUGUCAUAUCAAAAUUAUCUCAAUUAGAAGAAUUGUAUAUGGGUAACGGUUUUUCAGGGUGGGAGAAGGUUGAAGGAGGAAGUAAUGCCAGUCUUGUCGAAUUGGAGAGGUUGACAGAGCUAACUACUUUGGAGAUAGAAGUUCCGGAUGCCGAAAUUCUGCCGCCGGAUUUUGUCUCUGUGGAAUUGCAAAGAUAUAAGAUACGUAUAGGAGAUGGGCCCGAAGAUGAGUUUGACCCAUUGCUCGUCAAAUCUGAAGCAUCAAGAUUGAUGAUGCUCAAGGGGAUAAAAAAAGUUAGCAUUCUUCAGGAGAAUGAUGGGACAAAAAUGUUGCUGCAGAGAACUGAAGAUCUCUGGCUAGAAACAUUGGAGGGUGUUCAAAGUGUUGUUCAUGAAUUAGACGAUGGGGAAGGUUUUCCACGAUUGAAGCGUCUUCUCGUAACAGACUGUUCUGAGAUUUUACAUAUUGUCGGUUCAGUUAGGGUUCGUUGCGAAGUCUUUCCCUUGCUGGAGGCAUUGUCUCUUAUGUUUUUAACUAAUUUGGAGACGAUAUGCUACAGCCAACUCAGAGAAGAUCAAUCCUUCAGCAACUUAAGGAUUAUAAACGUAGAUUCCUGUCGAAAAUUGAAGUAUCUCUUCUCAUUCUCUAUGGCCAAAAACCUAUUGCGGCUUCAAAAAGUAAAAGUGGAAGACUGCGAUGAUUUGAAAAUGAUUAUUGGUAAGUGUUGAAAUUAAUUAUUGGUAGGAUUAUUGACAUUGACUCUUUCUUUUUUUCUUUUUCUUUUUUUGGGGAAAAAAACAACGGAUGUUUAUUAUAUAUUGUUUUGGUUCAUUUAUAGGGCCCGACAUGGAGAAACCAACAACAACUCAGGGAUUCAUAGAAAUCAAUGCAGAGGAUGAUCCUGUUCACCAGGUAAUAAUUUUCUGUUUAAUAAUUAAUUAAUUAAUAUAUUAUCACGAUUGAGCUUCAAUCAUCGAAAGAAUAUUAUAUUAGAAGUUGUAGUUGAAGGAACAAAAAUGUAUGGUUUUUCUUUGCAGGUUACUUUUCCACGCUUGGAGGAACUGGAACUUGUCAGUUUAACAAAUAUCAAAAAAUUAUGGUCCGAUCAAUUUCAGGGAAUAUAUUGUUGUCAAAAUUUAACAAAAGUGACCGUGUGGAGUUGUCAUCGUCUGAAGUAUUUGUUUUCAUAUUCUAUGGUUAAUAGUCUUGGGCAACUCCAACAUCUUGAGAUUCGUAAUUGCCGGUCAAUUGAAGGGGUAGUCAACACCACGACGUUAGGAGGAAGAGAUGAAUUUAAGGUUUUUCCCAAACUACACUACCUGUCGCUCCAUUGGCUUCCAAAACUAAGUAGCUUUGCCUCACCAGAAGACGUCAUUCACACUGAAAUGCAACCUCAAUCCCUCUUUGAUGAAAAGGUUUUUUUUCAUUGAAUUUUUAAAUUCUCUUUUCGUUGAGUCUUCAAAUUUAAUUAAUAUACAUCUCUAAUUGCAUUGAAUUUUUAACUUCAGGUACGACUCCCAAGUCUGGAGGUAUUAAAUAUUAGUGAGGCGGAUAAGUUGAGAAAAAUAUGGCACCACCAGCUUGCUUCGAAGUCUUUUAGCAAAUUGAAAAAAUUGAAGAUAUCUGGGUGUAAUAAUCUACUGAAUAUUUUUCCUCCAUUGGUAAGAUUGCUAUAUUCAUUUUGAAUUUUUAUUUCAAGUAACAUUCAACAAUUAUUUUAAUCAUUUUUGUGUUUACAAAUAAUUUUCAUUCACAAAUUAUUUAUUGCAAGUAUUUUACUUCAAACUUCAGGAGGGCAAAAAAGUAGUGUACUUCAAAUCACCAUUCUGAACUCUGCAUUGUCAAUCUAAUUUAUAGGUUCACCCGCAUUAAAGUCAACGAUAUAAUUGUUUUAAACACGAUUUAACAGCAUAAUAUAAUUCAAUUUAAUUGUUUUUUUCCUUAAAUCCUAAUAAAUAAGAUUUUUAGAAAUUAAAAGAUACUUAGUUACUCAGCUUUUAAGCUCACAAAUUCAUAUAUAUUUCUCUUUUCCUUGGGUCUUCAAAUUUCGAUUUAAAAAAAAAUAAAAGAAAAGUGUUCAAAUGUAGUUAAUAUCUCUAGUUUAGUUAUGAAUUGAUUACGCCAUUGAUUAAGCACAAAUUCAUGAUGGUCAUUUUGAAUCGACCGUUGAUUAAAAAAAUUCCUCAAAUAUUCACUCUAUAACAGUCCCAUGUUGAUGGCGUUGGGAAGUGUUUUCCAGAAAUGUUUUUCCAUUUUUAAAAGCAUGAAUAUCGGGAAAAAAAAAAGGGAAAUACAGCGUUUUAGUUUAGUUAUUUUAAAAAUAGGCAUGUUUGAAAAUUAAAAAUUUUAAAAAACUAGCAUCAAGAUGAAAAAUGAAUUUAGAAUAUUUAAAAAUUACCUGAAAUUCUUUCUCCGUUCCUAAUACUAAAUAGUGUAAAUGCAUUUUCAUUAUCUUUGUUUUUCUGGACUUCUAUUUAUUUAUUUUUAUUUUUUCUUUUUUUUCUUUAACAAAAAAUAUCUAGUAGACAUUCAUGGUUUGUUAUUUUUCAUAAAACAAUUGUAUGAUUUUGACAUACUUUGAAUCUAGUUGAAUGCUACUCUUUAUUUUCAGGUUGGAAUUCCCAAUAGUCUAGUGAAUCUUGAUGUAUCAGACUGUGCAAAAAUAGAAGAAAUCAUAGGACAUGUUGGAGAAGAAGCGAAGGAGAAUCGUAUUGCUUUCAACGAAUUAAAACUUUUGGAACUUGAUGAUUUACCAAGGCUUACCAGCUUUUGUUUGGAGAAUUACACUCUUGAAUUCCCAUCAUUGGAACAAGUUUCUAUGACACAUUGUCCGAACAUGAAGACUUUUUCUCGGGGAAUCUCAUCCACACCAAAGCUAUACGUAGUGCAAGUGACUGAAAGGGAAGAGGGUGAACACCAUUGGGAAGGCAAUAAGCUUAAUUCCACUAUACAAAAGUGUUACGAAGUAAUGGUAUGUGUUAAUCGAUUCACUUUACGAAGUAAUGGUGUUACGAACACCAUUACGAAGUAAUGGCAAUAAGCUUAAUUCCACUAUACCACAUUUAAACAUAUACACCUGCGUUGUAAAUAUAUUUUUAGAAGUUAAAGCACAAAACAUGUAAGUUUAAUGUAUAUAUAUAUCUAAUGCCUUUCAAAAAAAGAAAUUUAUAUAUAUCCAGUGCAAUUGUUUUGGUUUAUGCAGAUUGGAUUCCGUGACAUAGAGCAUUUGCAACUCUCACAUUUUCCACGCUUGAGAGAAAUAUGGCACGGCCAAGCAGUGCCUGUCAGCUUCUUCAACAAUUUACGACAACUGGCUGUGGAUGACUGCACGAAUAUGUCGAGUGCUAUUCCUACCAAUCUGCUACGUUGCUUGAACAAUUUGAGAUGCCUGGAAGUGAGGAAUUGUGAUUUAAUAGAAGAGGUGCUUCAUUUAGAAGAGCUAAAUGCUAAGGAAGAACAUAUAGGCCCCCGGUUUCCUAGGCUUAACAGACUAAGGCUCAUUGAUCUUCCAAAACUCAAAAGAUUCUGCAACUUCACUGGGAAUAUAAUUGAACUGUCUGAGUUGGAGAAUCUAACUAUUGAGAAUUGCCCUGAUAUGGAAACAUUCAUAUCCAACUCUGUAGUGCAUGUGACAACAAAUAACAAGGAACCUCAAAAAUUAACAUCAGAAGAGAACUUUUUGCUGGCUCAUCAAGUACAACCCCUCUUCGAUGAAAAGGUGAUUAUUAUUAUUAUUAUUAUUAUUAUUAUUAUUUUCCCCUUCACUUUUGUUCGCACAGAUGUAAUUUCAUUAGAAUCAAAUCAAAUUUUAUGACUCAUCUUUUUGCAUGUCAUCUUGAUUCAUAUAUGAAUUAACAAUACAACUACAGUUAUGAACUAACUUUAUAGUAUGAAUUAAAAAAAUGUCUUAAAUUAUUUCGAUGACUGGUAACAUGAGGUGAUGAACUAUAUCAAUUAUGCUUGUCGCAUCUCUGUUUUCCUAGCUAAUUCAUAUUGGAUUUAGUAUCAGAUUUCAUUUAUGUGUUUCAAAGGGUAAUCGAUUUGAUACUUAUAUUUGGGAUCCUACUGCAAAGCAUACUAAUUUGGAAAUAAAAUAUAAAAUGCCGUGAUUAAUCUUGUCCAUAAAAUAUGCAGGGGAAGACUGCAGAGAUUGGAUACAUACUUUCAUUUACAACUUAAUUUUGUUGAUUUUCAGCUUACAUUCCCUCAAUUGAAGGAGUUAAAGCUAUCUAGAUUACACAAAGUGCAGCAUCUCUGGAAGGAAAAUGACGAAUCCAACAAAGCGUUUGCAAACUUGAAAAGUCUAGAAAUAUUUGAAUGUAGUAAGUUACAGAAAUUAGUACCAGCUUCGUGGCAUUUGGAAAAUCUUGAGGCUUUGAAAGUAUCGAAGUGUCACAGGUUGAUAAAUUUGUUGACGCUCUCAACAUCUAGAAGUCUGAUAAUUCUUCAAAGUAUGACGAUAGCUGAUUGCAAAAGGAUAGAAGAAAUCAUACAGUCGCCGGUUGCAGAAGAAGCGAAAGAUUGCAUUGUUUUCAAGGAAUUAAAGUACUUGGGACUUGAUUGUUUGCCAAGCCUAACAAGCUUUUGUUUAGGUAAUUACGCUCUUGAAUUCCCGUCCUUGAAACAAGUAGUUGUGAGAGAGUGUCCAAAAAUGAUGAUCUUCUCUCAAGGAGUCUUAGACACACCAAUGCUAAACAAAGUGAACGUCACCGAAGAAGAAAAAGAUGAUGAUGAUGAAGGAUGUUGGGAAGGCAACCUCAAUGACACCAUAAAAAAAUUGUUCAAUGAAAUGGUGAGUAUCAAUUAAGUUUUGGUGCUAUUUAGAAAAUUAUUUUAUAGAAACUAAUGUAAUAUAAUAUGAUUGGUUGACUGAAAAUAUAUAAUAAUAAAUAAAUAAAUAAAUUAUGAGGGCUAUGUAAUGUUUUUGUUUAACCAAUCAUAUUAUGUCGCAUUAGUUUAUACAAUAUUGUUUGUGUACAAGAGUUGUAAUGUAUGCUUGCUUACACGAGUAAUUACAAAAUGUGCAUAAUUCUAAAGAAAAGAUUGAGCCAACCCUUCAGGUACAGUGAAGAAGCUAUCUCGAACCAGGCCAAUCUCGUGUACAUGAUUCAACUUGCUCGUUCUCCUGUACUUGAAUAAUUUGGUUCUAAACGCAUUUACAACUUUUUUGUCAUGCUAUAGACAUGCAAGACACUUUGGAUUUGUUUGAUGCAUUCUUUGUUUAAGGAAGGACUUGAAUUGAUGUUUCAUGUUUCAUGCAAUUUUCAAUUAGAUACUGUUUAAACUUCUGCAUUAUUCAUUCAAUCGGUGUUUUAAGCAUUUGAUUUCUAACUAGUCCUGAUAGAAGAUCAUUAGCUGAAGAAAACAUCAUAACAUUUGUGGCAUUAUCAGAAUAAGAAUAGUUUUAUGAGUAUAGUAAAAUUAACUAGACCAUUAUUAAAAGGAAUUAAUCCGUCAACUUUAAGUAAACUUUAGAUGAUGGUUCUGACCUAAACCAUUUUAAUGCUUGGCAAAAUCACAUCCUGAGCAUAGAGUAAAGAAAGUGGCAUACAUGGUAAUCAACUUCAAGAAGCUCUUCGAAAUGCAUAAUACUGUUGGGGAGAAAAGAAAAAGAAAGAAUACAAAUAAAAAGAAGUCACACAUCAUCAGCAGUUUUUCGGGAACACAAAAAUGUUAUAAUAACUUUUCUUGAUUGCCACCCACAUGCUAAACUGAUCAAAUACAAAACAGGAUACAGAAAAUCUCUAACCUUUUUGGCACUGAAGAAGACGCCAGUGCUUUCAAAAGAAAAUGCUUGAUUGUUGGCAUUCUGGUUUGAAAAAUAUGAGUCCAAUUCCUGUGUCCAGUCAUGUACCAAAUCAGGACGACGUGCAAGUCAUACAAAGAUGACAAAAAUACAGUAUAAAUUGCGUCAAACCAAUUCAAGUCAAUUGGAGAAGUAAAUCAAGGACCAUUUGCAAUAGUUGUUCUCCACAUCAAAUUUGGGUGUCCAUCGUCUUCAUCCUCUUGUGCACUGAACCUGAGAGUCCACGAGAAAUACAUAUAAAAAUUAGGCAUGAUUGAAAUUGAUAGUAGUACAAAAUGGAUAUAAACAUCACGAUGAACAAAUUAAAUUGUUCCCUGUCAGACAAAUCCAACCUGCAAGCUUAAGCUCUUAAGCUAGACCAAAUCACACUGCAAAUAACAAGACAUAAGGCCAAAAAAAGAUAAUAUGUAUCAUUCAUAUGCUUCGCCCUAUAGAAAUGAUUUGGGCCAUAGGUCAAUUAUGUUAAAAGCAGCGAUACUAAACCCAAAAGAAGAGAGGUGAGGCGAGGGAGUGGUGGGUUUUUUUUUUUUUUUUUUCAUUUAUAUAUUUUUACCUUAAACCAAAUGACCGGUUUUACAGGUUUCUGGUUGUUUCAAAUUUUUUUAUUGCUUAAUAAUGAAACAAAUCUCAGCCAUUAGAUCACUCCAUUUAAUCCAAUGGUCAGUUUUUGUGCAUGUAUCAGAUGCACGCAUGUAUUGUAGCCGCCCCAUUUUCCUUUUUAGUUGCAAAACCUCGUUCGAAAGCAACAAUGACUUUCACUCAAAGUAAAUGAGAAAUUACAAUGAAAAUGGGAUCAGAAAAAGGUUGAGGUGAAAUAAAACCAAAGGGAUGAUGUUUCUGCUUUCCAGCUUUGGGAAACGGCGUGGAUGGAGCACGUUCAAUACGAAAAACUUCAUUAGCUCACGCGCUGCUCAGCUGAUUCUUAACAGAAAAUGAUUUAGUGGAAACGGCGUGGAUGGAGCACGUUUAACAUAUCAGUUUAAGUAACCACGUGAGAAAGCAUGUGAUGAAGGUUGUUCCGAGUUCGUUGAAGGUUGUUAACCACGUGUCAAAACAAAGUGUUCAUACUGGAAAGAAACAAAAUAUUAAUAAAUAAACCAUUAAAAAGAUUAUCUGAAAAUUAUGUUUAACUAGGCCAAUUCAAUUAUCGAGCAGUUUGAUAUAUUAAAUGAGCUAGAACAGUAGCCUUUUAAUUAUUUCACUUACUAUUAUCGAACAGUUUUAUAUCAUUCCCUAUCUUAUAGUAAAGGUAAAAGAACAGAAAAGGUAUAUUGCAUUAGAGUUCGUGUACUUCUACCUUUUAGUUUAUUCUUCAUUUUAUUAAAAUGACAGAUUCCUCAUUAAAAAAGGUCACUCUACAUAGUAUGUGGGUGUAUGUUCUUUUAAAAAGGACUGAGAGAAAAAUAAAUGUGAAAAACAAGUAACAUCUGAAGAAGAAAGUGAUGCUGACACAUUAACGACCACUUGAUUUUGUAGGGACUGCACAUAAUUGAUAAUUUCAUCCAACAUGAGACCUUUCCAAUUACCUAAUUUUAUACCAAACAACAUGAAGUUUAUAAGAAAUAUUAAAAACACAAAAACUCGUUAUUUGUUUUAAGACAGGAAAAAGUGAAUAAAAAACAAUAACAAAAAAAAGAACUCAAAUUACUUAAUUACCAUAGCUAUGAACAAGUUUUUGCAAAAUUUUCAUCCUCUCACUAACUUUCUCUCUUCUUACCUAAAACCAAAUAAUGACAAGACAACUGCCCAUUAGACUAUGACAAAAGUUGGAAAUUAAAAUAAUAUAGUAGGUUAUUUUGGAUAAAAUUAGAAAAAGAAAGUUUGAAUUUGUAUUAAUAUACUCACCCUUUCUGUUAACCCCUAUUUGAAGGGCCGAAAGAGUAGUAACAGUAGCAAAAAAUUCAAAUAAUAGAAAUCAGAGUGCCCACUACAUAUAAAUGGAUCUAAAGAAUAGAUUAUAUAAUAGCUUGUUUCUUAUGAAUGAUACAUGUGAUUCCACAGAUAAAAAGAAAAUAAAAAUCAAGUAUGUGAAUUAAAAAAAACACCUAACCAAUAGGGGUUAGUGAGAUAUUUUAGCUAAAUAUCAGUUGACAGAAUCUGACCCACAAUAAAAAUUGCUAUCUUUUCACAAUGGGAAUCUGAAUUAUAAAAUUACUGAACAAAACUUUUAACACCUACAAGUCCAAAUAACAUCAAAUAAAAUGCCUAACCAGCUGUUAAAUAUAAAAUGUCCAUGUAGGACUAAAGCCCUGUGGCUAAUCCUUCAAAGUUCCAAGCAACAAUAUGAUAAAAACAUAAUGCAUAAUAUAUAAGGAGCUUAUCUGUAAAACUUCCAUACAAUACUUAUCAUAUUAAACAAUGUACAUAAUGAAAUAUUGGCUUAUUUCUACAGAAUAUUACGAUCUAAGUACACCAAUUUCUCAAGCAAUGCCAUAUAGAAAGAUACCGAAGAAAAAAGGAAAAUAAAAAAUCGAAGUAUGUUAGUUAUGAUUUCAACUUUUGAACUAAAAGUCUGUGACAAAUUUUGCUUCGGGAAAUACUAACAAACACUUGAGAAAAACUAAAGUGUAUCACACUUGAACCGUAUAUAAAGCACAAGAAUAAAAACAACAAGGGGCAAAAAGAGGCUAGAUGUAUCAUCUUCAUUAGUUAAACAACAUAAAUAGAAUCAAAAUAUUAAUGCAUACACCAAAACCUUCAAAAUUCUCUAAACAUUCAAUUUUUUUCAGAGUAAGAAAAUAAAUUUAUAAGAAAUCGAGAAUGCGUAUUUGUUGCGGUAUUUUAUCAAGCAAUUAGCAUGCAGCAAUGUAAAUGACAAUUAAAACAUGUAAAUCUCUGUACUUUGAAAGCUCACCUUCGUUAUUCAUCCAAAGAGAAUAUAUAGGGCAUGUAAGCUCCUUCUUUGAUAUUUAUCCCUAUCGUUCAAUUAUUUUGUUUUCAUCAAAUUCCGUUAGCUCAAGUGGAGACAAAGCAAUACAAAUGGUGCAUUUAGAAGGUACAACUUUAGAAACCGAAUUUGUGCUUGCAACAUAGGAGAAACAGGGGCUCUCCUUCCAUUUUCCUGGUUUUGUGUUUGGUGAUUUUAAAAUUUUAUAUCUAUAUUUACGAAAAAAGAAAAGAAGUUUUCAAAACUAUUUUUUUUAUACAAGUUCUGUGUCAACUCAAAAAUUGCUCAUGACCAAAAAACAUCUAUGGUUCUUCAGUUACUCAAAAAUUCCUCGUUUUUGAGUUACUUUUUUUUUUUUUUUUAAUUUUUAUUCUCAAGUAAUUUUAUCAUGGAAUUGUUAAUUUUUAUUGAAUGUUGAACAAGCCUUUAUUUCUUUUCUUUCCCUUUUAAUGAAAUUAAAUAAAUGGUGGGGAUAUACCCUACAAAUUAUUGUCUCCACCCCAUAUUUAGUAUUGCUUUUACCACAUGAAAAAUUAAUUUUAUACGAUAAAUUUAUUUACUUGAAUAUUAAACCAUAUCAUGAACCAAUUGACAGGUUGAAGAAUUAACUUUCAAGUUUCAACAUUAUAAGAUUAAUAAAUAGCAUAAACAAAUUUUUAUUUUCAUUUAAAUUAAUCUAAUCCUACCAACUUCAUUUGGAUUUCAUAGUUGUUGGUUUCAUGUAUCACACGAAUUGUUAGGCACCAACUAACACAAGUAUAUGUUACUCAAGCAUCUCACUUGAAUAAUAGUCUAAGGAACUUUGAUUCGGAUGGUAGAUAUUUAACUAACUAAAACUAACAUUCUUAACUCAAAGCUCAUUUACUAGUAAAAGUAGAACCUUCUCCGUCAGCUUAUCUUGUUCAUUAUAUAACAAAAGAUAUUUAGUGAAAAAAAAAAAUUGGAGGGGGGGGGGGGAGGGGGAGACUAUGAUAAUAAUUAUGUUCAAGAUCUAGCCGCUAGGGAUAGAUUUGGCUAUGACUAUUUGUUGAUCCAGUAAUUAAUUUGAACAAUAUUGUUAAUUUUAGUUGAAACUGGAAUGAAUUUUGUGAAAGAUGCUUUCUCAUAACUAACCAACUAAAACUAACAAUCAAAUUAUCAAAAUCAGAGCUCAACUACUAGUAAAACUAUAAAAGUAAAACACUUGCUUCUCCAUCAAGUCAUCUCUUUAUAUAUAACAAAGAAUGUUUUAUGAAAGAUGGCAAAAGCAGUCAAUAACAAUUAAGUCUCAAAUAAUUCAUAAAAGAUGUCAAGCUCUGUUGCGAAUGCUGCUGAGGCUGAGAUUUGGAUUGUCCCAUUCUUCGGUAAGGGACAUAUGUUUCCAUGCAUUGAAUUAUGCAAGCAAAUCACUUCUCGUAAUUACAAAUCUACCCUCAUUAUUCCCUCUCACGUUUCCGCCACCAGCAUCACCCCUUCUUUUGUUCACCAAUACCCUCUAUUUGAAAUUACUGAAAUACCCUCCUCAUCUCCACUACUACCAUCGCCUCCUUCUUACCUCCAUGUUGUCAUGCACAACCAAAUGCUUCAGGGUCUUCGAAACCUCCUUUCAACCCGGAACCCGAAAGCCGACCUGUUUGCGUAGUCAUCGGCGUUAUGAUGGGCUGGACGGCUGAUGUUUUCAAGAAUUUUGAAGUUCCCAUUGUUGGGUUCUUCACUUCUGAUGCUUGCUCAGCAGCUGUGGAGUGUGCCAUGUGGCAGGCUCGCAUCCAGGAUGUCAAACCGGGAGAGGCCCAUUUACUUCUUGGGUUACCCAAGGAUGUUGCUUUAUUCCAAUCAGAUCUUAAACGCAGGCCUCACGGGUCCCUUCCUGGUGGCCCACAACCUUUGUGAGGUGCACCCGGUUCAGAGAAAAUAGGUCCAUCAGAACCGAGUGAUCAACCACACUGGAUGAAGCAAGUGGAGGGAUCGAUGGUGUUGAUGCUAGUGUGGGGAGUGGGCCCAUUGUUACCUGAACAAUUUUACAAAUCGACCGGUUCAGUGCUUCGUGAUUGUGAGAUGAGAACCAACCGGCGGAGUUCUAACAUGACCAAAGAUGAGAUCAUUCAAUGGUUAGAUUUGAAAUCAUGUGGAUCAGUGUUAUACAUGUCAUUUGGUACCGAAAUGGGUCCCACCUUAAAUGAUUAUUCAACAUUAGCCAAUGAUUUAGAAGCAUCAAAUCCACCGAUUAUUUAGGUAAUUCAAACUGAUGUAAAUAGAUUGGAUCCUCCACGUCAUUUAACCAGCUUAUUUUCAUAGUGGUUUAGAUAGUAAAGCCGGUAAAAAGGGUUUGAUAAUAGAUGGAAUGGCACCACAAUUAUUGAUGCCGAGUUAUCAAUUAAUAGGUGGAUUUUUAUCUCACUGUGGAUAAAAUUCAACUGUAGAAGCAAUUGGCUGUGGGGUCUCAAUUUUAGCAUGGGCAAUUAGAGGUGAUCAACGUUACAAUGCCAAAUUGGUGAUCAAUCAUCUCAAGGUGGGGUGCAUGAUCUCUGAUGAUCAGUCGAAAUUGACUUAAAAGGAUGAUAUAGUGAGUGGUAUAGAAAAGCUUAUGAGUAGGGUUGGGCAAAAUAUCCGACCCGAUCCGAUCCGAUCUGACCCAAAAAAUAUCGGGUUCAGAUCGGAUCGGAUUGUUAACAAAAUCCAAUCGGAUGUAACUUUGCCAACCCGAUCGGAUCAUGAUCGGAUCGGAUGAAACCCGAUCCGAUCCGAAAACCCGAUCGGGUUGGCUUAAAAAAAAAACUGUGUAACAAACUAACAAAGUGGCAAACACAACAAAAUCGGAUUCACACCACACAAAAAGCAAAUCUUAGAUCUAAAUUAAAAUAAUCUGUAAGUGCACACACACACACUCACAUCACACACGGUCACACACAAAUAGAGGUUUGGCCUCGGAGAUCGGAAAUGUUGAGAUGCCAAACAACGAAGCAGCAGCCAACAGAUUGGAGAUACAACCGCAAGAAGCAGCAACCAGCAGACCGGAGAUGCGGCCGCGCGAAGCCGCGAACCAGCAGCCAGCAAUCACCGACGUGAUCGUGCGAAGCCAAACCAUCGGAGAUCGGAGAUGUCAGCGAAGCAGCGGUGAGCAGAUCGGAGAUGCAACCGCAAGAAGCAGCAGCCAGCAAAUCGGAGAUGCAACUGCGUGAACCAGCAGCCAUCAGUCACCGACGCGAUCGUUCAAAGCUAAGCCAUCGCUGCAACCGCAACGUGCCGAUGGAAUCUACUACACCUCGACUGCUACCGCUUGCUGCCACUAGCUUCACCGGUUACCACAACUGCUACAACUAAAUUCACCUCCACAUUCACUGUCACCAAGUUUUUGGUGGUAUUGACUAUAUUGUUUUAAAUAAUUUAAUUUAAAAAGCUUAAAACAAAACUAUAUCUUGAGAAAAGGUUGAUUGUUUUACUUGAUUGCUUCUGAAAUUAACCCAGAAAUAUAGAAUGGAUAUAUAACCCGAAUGCUUUUAAAUCUGAAUCUAAUCCGAAUUAAUCCGAAUUUUCGAUCCAAUCCGAUCCGAAUUAUAUUCGGAUCGGAUUGGAUCGGGUUAAUAAUUCGGAUUGAGUUCGGAUGAUUUUUUCCCCAACCCGAUUGAUCCGAAAUUGAUCAAAUCAACCCGAACCCAAUCCGAAUCCGAUUUUGCCCACCCCUACUUAUGAGUGAUCAAAGAAAUUGAAAAACGAGCUCACAUGCUUCGCCGUGUAUUUAAUCAUGGCUUUCUUAUAAGUCAAUGACUUCUUUAAUAUAGUGUUUACUUUUUGGAGUGAGAGUGAGGAGUGUGGAUUCCUCUUACUCCAGUGUUUACUUACAAUUUUCAAAGGGGAAGUGAGAAUUCCACUCCGUGGAUCCCACCUAAUUUUGGAGUGGGGGAGUGAGAUUCCCACUCCCAUGGAGGAAGGUGGGAGUGGAAAUUCACUCGCCUCUCUUCCUUUUUCACCCUUAUAUUUAAUAAAAUAAAAUAAAUAAUAUCAUAUUUAUUUAACUUAUAUUAUUAUUUUAUUUUAUAAAUUACAUUUAUUAAAAAUAAUAAUAUUAAACAUAUUUAUUUUAUUAAAUUUAAUAAAAUAAGUAAAAUCAUAUUUAUUUAAAUAAUAAUAUUUUAUUAUUUUAUAAAUUAAAUUUAUUAAAAAUAAUAAUAUUAAACAUAUUUAAAAUAAUAUUAAUUUUUUGGUUAAAAAUAAUAAUUUACAUUGAUUCUAAGUUAAAAUUACUUAAAAAUAAUAUCAUUAUAUUCAUAAAGAAUUAAUAAUAUUACUAUAUUCUAUUUUUAUUUGAAAAUAUAAUAUUAUUAUACUUAUUUAAAAAUAAUACUAUUAUAUUUAUUUAAUAUUAGUAAUUAAUAAUAAUAAAUAUUUUAUUCUAAAAAAAUUAAUUUUGUACUAUAUUAUCAAUAAUAAUGUUUCAUUUGUAUUGUUGUUAUUAAUAAUUUUUUAUUUAUAUAAUUAAAAUUAAAAUUAAUAAAAUAAUUGUGAUUUACAUAGUUAAGAAUAUUAAUAAUUAUUAUUAAUUUAAAAAUAUAAUUUUUAUUAAUUUUGUAAUUAAUAACUAUAAUUCUUUAAGAGUAAAGCUGUAAUUUAAAAUCAUUACUCACAAUCUAAGACAAUGUAAACAAAUAAAUUGGAUUCUGAUUUCAAUUCCAUACUUCCAUUUCAGUGUAAGUAAACAACAUACUUCGACUCCCACUCCACACUCCUAAUCCCAGGAUUCUCACUUCUCACGAUUCUCACUCCAACGCAAAAUGUAAACGCUACCUAAAUGCUUUCAAAUAUCUUGUUAACCAGAAAUCAAUUUAACAAAAACAAUUACCGUGUAUAUUAUUAACGAAAAGGCUUUGAUUCCGUUGGCUUGGGUGUAAAUAAAUCGACUUUAUCAAGAACAGACAUCUCAGCAACUACAUAAUAAUAUAUGUAAGCUUUUGUUAAUUGACUGCAUUAAAUCAUUAAAUCAAAAGCCUUACAAAGCAUCUACAAUAAAAAGAUGGCACAUCCUCCAUCCAAACGACAAAAACAUGGACUCGCAACGCAAUUCUUGCUAAUUAAUUAAUAGGUAGUCAUAUUCCUCCGAGCAACAAAAUGAACAUCAAAUUGUUGAUGAGGCACCAUAUGCACAAAAUGUUGAUAUUGUUUAAUGUUUAAUAUUAUGGGAAAGUUUUAAUAGAUCUUCAUUUCCCUUACAUAUUGUGAGCUUAUAACCAAAAAUGGGACUAUAUGGUUGUGUGACAAACAAAAAGGGAAAUUUUUUACUAUUCGGCUAAAUUUUAAUGUCAAUAAUAUAGGAUCUGAAUUCACUUUAAUAUGAUAUCGACAUGUGUAGAAAAUUCCUUAAGUAAAUAGAUUUUGCAUAAAAGGUAUCGACCCAGAGUCAGAGGAAAAUUAAAUAGAAUGUCUUUUAAUACAACAAUCACUGGUGACCCUGUUUGGGCAUAGUUUGAGAGUACUAAAAUAUCUACUGCCAACUCUAUUCUAGUUGAAAGGCUAUCAAGGCAAAUUGGUCGCAUUGUUGAUGAUGAGGAAAUAGAGGUUGGAUUCAAGAAGAAGAAGAUUAUGGUAGUAAUGUUCUUGAAGGUCGAGAGAUGGAGAGAUUGAGAAAUAAUAGUGCAGCAAGUUUAAUGAGUGGAUAAUAUUAUGGUCAUAUGUUUUUUUUUUUUACACACAUGUAUAUAAUAUUAUAUUUCUAUGAACUAGUUUGAUUACAAUGAUUUUAUGUACAUAAAAGUUUAUAUAAAGAUUAAAUUUUUGCAUUUUCUUUUUUGCACUUAAUUUAUUAAUCAAACUAAUGAUAUGUUAGUAUUUGUUAUAUCACGAACUACAUAACAAAUUUUUUAGUUAAAAAGAUAUUGAAGUUAAUUUUAUUGCAAAUUAAAAUAGUUAAUAAAAAAUUAUUUAAAUAUGUAAUAAAGAAAAUAGAAUAUGCUCUUAAAAAAUCUUGUAAAUAAAAAAAGAUUUAAAUAAUAAUAUUCUAAAUAAAUUACAAACAAGUAAACAAGUACAUUUUUGUCAUUGUACAUGAACAUUUUACACUUUUAAUUUUCAUUUACCAGAUUUGUAUAGUAAACCGUUUAAAAAUUGAUUGUCAAAUAAUCAUCAUUUACCAAACACCCUAAUAGAUUAUUUGUAAAAUUAUUUUUUUGUUCAGAAUCAAGGUAGAAAUUAAUUCUUGGAAAGUAAAGGAAAUCUCAAACAUACCCUCAAUCAACCAUGGGAAGUUAUUUAAGUUGUAGUAUCUAAUAAGUUCUAUUAAUAGUGAGCGCACAUAUCAAAUAUAUAAAAAUAAGUAUUUUAGUUAUUAUCCACCUGUUCCCUUGAAAUCAAUCUCAGUUUUUUUUUUCUUUUACCUAAAAUUCCAAGAAAAAUAUAUAAAAGAAGAAGAACUUUUUUUUGGGGGGGGGGGGGGGGGGGGGGGGGCGGGGAUUGGGGUGGGGGAGGGGGGAGCUCCUCUGUUUUCAUUCCAUUGUUUUGAAAUUAUCUAUCAUCAGUAUAAAGUUAUACUUUUGAAUCAAUAUGCUUUGUGACUCGAUAAUUUAGCAUAAUAAAAAAAGAAAAACACACUUACUCACAUCCCGAUUGAAUCUUAUCUCUAAGGAUAAGUAAAAAAUUAUUGUUCCUCUUUUUCUUUUACGGUUUGUUUACGAAAAGAAAACACUCACACCUUCAAGAUAUUUAUAAGUAGAACACUUAAGUUUUAAGAAUAAUACACCCUAAUUUGAAAAAAAAUGAAUACAUGUAUCAUAUUUUAUGUUUUUUUUUUAAAAAAAUUAUUUGAUGACAUUAUGAGACUCUAUAUGCCAAGAUCUAUGUGAUGGUGAGAAUGGUUUCAUAAAAGAAGCAAUAGUAUAACCGCACACAUGGCAUUGUUUGUAAUGACUAAAAUUAGAAGAGAGUCUAUGUAUCUACUCCUGAAACAUUAAGAAUUUAACUAUUUAUUAAUUAAAUCAAAAUUUCAAGAUCAUAGUGUCGUUUUACAUAAAGAACCCAAAUACUAAAUCUAGCUAAUAAAGGAGAACGGUUUAGAUUAGUUGCUUGGACUUCCUUGUCUCGGGGCUGUGUGGUCAAGCCUGUCCAUCAGGCGGAUUCAGAUUUUGAAAGUUAUCUGAAUCUUCUUCUCUAUGUAAGCCUAUACAAUGAUUUUGUGAAAGACAUAUGCAAAAACAGUACCAGUAAGCAUAUUUAUUUAUCAAAGAUGUCAAGCUCUGAUGCUCAGAUAUGGAUAUCAAAGAGAGAGAUUGAAAAAGAGAGAGAGAGAGAGAGGAUAAUCAGGGACUCGUCUGUUAUCAUUCCCCUGUUUUUCAGUUUGGUGAUUGGAAGUAACAUUAUUUGCGUGUACUCUUUAUUUAAUUUAUUUUUCAAUUUUUUAAAAAUUAAUUAUUGUUCUUCUCAAAGCGUUUAGUAAAUUAUAUGAUAAUCUGAUCAAAUCUCUAACAUUAAUGUCCGCAUAAUCUAGUAAUGAAACUUAUAAUUUUAUAAUAAUCAAAUUGAAGAUUUCUUCACGCUGUUUUGUAUGAUGACGAGUUUUUAUUUUUCUGUUAAACAUAAGAUCAUUUUCUAAUAAUGUCCAUCUGGAAUUAGUAAUAACGAAGCAUCAUUUGUGGACAGAACAAUUGAAAUAUCAAGUCACUAUUGAUCCCACUUUGAUGAUUGCACUUUAGUUUCUUUCUAAAAUGUCAUUCUUCAUUCAAGCUUUUACUUUAUCUUUUAUCAGGUAUCUUACAAAGCUUUUCCCUCCUAAUAAGCUCUAAUAAACCAAUGUGCUUUUCAAUUUCGCAGGAUACAAGUAACGUAUAUGCCAAAAUUAUUCAAGCACAACAAGUAUUUAUUCGUCGAAAACUUCAACUUAAUUAUUUCAUUAGAAAAUAUGAAACGCAGAGCCAUAAACUAGUGUUUUCUUCAACUUACUUGGGUUAAAUAAAAUUUUUUCAGUAUUUUUCCCGAUCCAUUUCUUGUAUCUCACUGCAUGCUUUAUUAAAGCUUCGUCUUUGUUCUUGAUUGUGAACUUCAAGAUUAAAUCUUAAAAAUCGGGUAUAAAAGGGGUGCUUGAUUAAGUCUUCUUCUUUUGCAAUUCAUUGUUACGGCUCUUUUCAGCUUUUUACUCACAAAUUCCUCUGACGUUAACAGUGAUCUAUCGCUCACUAAAAUUGUUCUUCAUAAUUUCUUUCAAUACCAGUUCUUAAUAUUCAAGGCGAAUAGAGAGCUCAUCAACUCUCUGAUCCCAAAUAAUUAAAGAGGUACACAUGCUCCUAAAUCCUCUAAUAAUUUCUUUUAACAGCAGUUCUUAUUUAAUUUAAUUUCCGUCUAUUUUCCAAGAAAAAUUUCUCCGGUUUGUCUUAAUCUUAUCAUUUAUUUUGCUUGAGUUGUAAGUUAUUGUUCAUUUGUAAGGUCUGUGUUCUUAUUACUAGCUUUGGUUAAUUUGAAUCUAUCUUCCCCAAUAAAAAAAAAAAAGAAGUUUUUAAAAAAAGCGCGGGUUUUUAUUCGGACCCUUAAAACCUCUCUGUUAAUAGCAAAGAAAGACUCUAAUCCUCGAGCCAGGGGGAGUAAAAAAAGAACAAAGAAUUCUCUGUUUAAGUAUCAAUUGUCUCAAGAUCAACAUUGUUUUUUUUCUUUUUCUUUUUUUUGUUAAUUUGUUUGUUAUUUUAUUAGAUUUGCUUUUAAUCUAAUUGUGCUUGAGGAUUGAAGAUGAGUGAGAAAUACCCUUUUUUUCUGAAGCAACCUACAAAUUUUAGAAUAGGGUAAGAGUAUUAGAGAUUCAAUUAAUCAAAAAAAGUUAUUUACAUUCGUCAUUUGCAAAAAUGUUUGCAUUAGAAUUUUUCUAGCAUUCAAGAGCAUUACAUAUCAUCAUGUCACAAAAUAGCCUGAAAAACAAGAUAAAUCAAUUAGAGCAACUUGCUCUUUAUUGAAUUUUUUUUUUUUUUGUUUGGUUUGCCCGAAAUCCCAGGGAAAAUAUUAUAUAAGAACAAGAGUUAAGAUCAAAAAAAUGUAAAACAAGUUUCCUCUGUUUUCGUCCCCCCCCCCCCCCCCCCCCGGUUUGAUGAUUGAAAUUUUUUUUAUCUAAAUUUUAUGAUUUUCCGUUGGGGUUUUAUUAAAUAAAAAAUAAUUAGAAAAUGUAAUUCUAGAUUUACCCUUGUGCAUCGAGUGAUUAUUAUUAUGUUCUCUUAAGAUUUGAUAGUGCAAUUUUGUGUGAUGUGAAUUUCAUGUUUCUGUUAAUCAAUACAAACACAAUUUGUAAGUAAUGGCCAUGUGGAACUUAAUUAUAACCAAGCAUCAUUUGUGGAAAGAACAAAUGAAAUAACAAAAAAGCAGCGUUGGCAAUACAAUAUCAAACUUUAUUUAUUUAUUUAUUUUUGUUUUUGUUCUUGAAUAUGCAUUAAUCAAAUCAUAUAUUGUUGAUCUUACUUUGAUGAUUUGCUGUUCAGUUUCUCUCUCAAAUGAUUUUUGUGUGUUUCCGGUAUCUGCUUUUAUGAAAGAAGCCCUAAAGUGCAUGUGGAUUUUUAAAAAAAGAUUGCAUAUAAUUAUCCUAUACGUGCGUAAACAGGGCAACAAUAACCAAAUACAUGAUAUAAAAAAGGGGUGCUUGAUUAAUGCUUUUUCUUCUGCAAGUCAAUGUUAUUAUUCUCAUCAACCCUUUUCUUACACAUUCCUCGGCAGUUACCGGUGAUCUUUUUGCUCUUUGAGGUUGUUCUUAAAUAUUCAAGGCCAAAUAGAGAAUCUCACCAACUCUCUAAUCCCAGAUAAUUAAAGAGGUGCACAUUUUCCAAAUCCUCUAAUGUGUGUGUUUGUGUAUAGUAGAUCUUUGAUCUUGACAUCUGUUCUUUCAUAAUUUCCAUCUAUUUUCCAAGAAAAAAAAUUUCUCUGGUUUGUUUUAAUAUUGAAUUUACUUUGCAUGAGUUUUAAGUUAUUGUUCAUUGUUAAAGCCUGUGCUCUUAUUAUUUCGUUUGGUUAACUUGCAUUCUUCCCCCCCCCCCCCCCCCCCCCCCCCCCCCCCCCCCCCCCCCCAAAAAAAGAAAAAAGAAAAAAGAAAAAGAAAGUUUUUAAAAAGAUUAUAGGUUUCUACUCAGACCCUUGAAACCUUUUAGCUUUCCGGUAAUACCAAAAUCUCUAAUCCUCCAACAAAUGAAAGCUAGGAAAAAAAUGUCCUAAAGUUUAAUAUCUGUUGCCUUUGUAUCAAUAUUGCCAGUUUGUUGUCUUUUAUUAUAUUGCUUGUUUGUCAUUUUAUUUGAUUUACUUUAUAUCUAAGUUUACUUGAAGAUUAAAUAUCAGUAGGAAAAGCCCUUUUUCUAAAGCAACAUACAGAUUUUAGAAUAGGGCUCAGCCACAUGAAAAUGUUUACAUUGUAGUAUCUCAUAUCAAUAAUCUAAAAACAGCCAAUCCAACAAGUUCAAAUUCAGUCAAAUCUAAAAAUGAUUGCUUUUAAGGAGUACAUGAUAGCUAUUAAAAAGAUCUUUUAGGCAGAAUUGAAAUGCAGUCAAUCGUAAAUCAACCAAUCCAACGAGUUCAAGUACAGAGUCAAUUGAACAAAUUCAUCACUUGCAGAAUUAAGCUUAUCUUCCGAAAUUGAGUUGUUUCCAUUAGAAAUUUUCCCAUAGUCACGAGCACUAUCAUCAAAACAAGAUUAUUUGUAUAGGAACAAGAGUUAAGGAAAAAAAAAAAAAGGUAAAACAAGAUUCCUCUGUUUUCAUUCCCAUUUUUUUUCCUUGGUGAUUGAAAAAUUUUAUCUCUAAAUUUUUAUAAUUUUCCAUUAAGAUUUAUAUUUAAAUAAAGAAUUAAAAAAAUCUAAUUUUAAAUUUAUGCAUUGAAUGAUUAUUAUUAAAUUCCCUUAAAAUUGGUUACAAUAUCAAUUAAAUAACGCAUAGAGUUAUUGAUCACUUUGUUAAAAAUGAUCAUGUGUUCUAUUUAUAUAAUAAAACAAAAGAUGGGGUCACACUUAAGUCUUGUUCUUUUACAAUUCAUUUGUAUUACUCACUCUCAUGAACUCUUUACUUACAUUCGUCUGCAGUUAAUAUUCAUCUUCUGGUCGUUCUUAUAUAUUCAAGGCCAGCAGUGAAGGUCAUUAACUCUUUAAUAAUUAAAUAGGUACAAUUGUCCAAGAAAAAAUAGCCCUUGUUUGUUUUAAUCUUGUCAUUUAAUUUUCUACGUACUGUUCAUUGUUAACUUCUGUGUUCUUAUGUAAUAUUAGCAAUGGUUAAUCUGCAUCCAUCUUACAAUUUUUUUUUUAAAUUGUUGGUUUUCCAUUCAGGCCCUUGAAACCUUUUUUUAAAAAGUUGUUGGUUGUCAUUUCUUUCUCCGUCUUUCCCCUAGUUCAUUUUAAUUUAUUUGAAUCUAAUUUUUCCAACAGCUAAUAUAUAUAUAUAUAUAUGUAUGUAUGUAUGUAUGAAAGCAACAGGCUAGGCAAUGGCUGCAGACCUGGUUUCCACUACUUUUUCCGGCAUUGUAACAGAAGGUGCAAAGGCAUUGUUCGAACCGAUUAUGCGGCAGAUCUCUUAUGUGUUCAAGUACCAGAGCUACAUAGCUGAGCUAAAAGUUCAAGUGAAGGAGCUAGAAUAUAAAAGAGAAAGGGUGGGAAUACCCGUUCGUGAGGCUACUCAACAAAGAGAUGAGAUUUACAAGGAUGUUGCAGACUGGCUUAAUAACGUUGAUGAAUUCAUCAGUGAAGGGGUUGCAAAAUCCAUCAUUGAUGAUGAAGAUAGAGCUAAGAAGUCCUGCUUCAAAGGAUUUUGCCCCAACUUGAUUUCUCGUUAUAAACUUAGUAAACAAGCAGCAAAGGCCGCAGAAGCUGCCGCUAGUCUCGUGGGAAAAGGCAACUUCUCUAGUGUUUCCCACCGUCCUGCUCCAGAGAGUACAGAACAUAUGCAAGCGAAAGAUUUCGAGGCCUUUGAUUCAAGAAUGAAAUUAUUUCAAGAUGUUGUGGAGGCAUUGAGGAAUGAUAAGCUCAACAUAAUUGGGGUCCACGGUAUGGGCGGCGUGGGUAAAACCACGCUAGUCAAGCAAAUUGCAAAGCAAGUUAUGGAAGAUAAGGUGUUCGAUAAGGUCGUUAUGGCUGAGGUAACAGAGAACCCAGAUGUUCAGAAAAUUCAAGACAAGCUCGCUUCCGAUUUAGACUUGAACUUUGACUUGAAUGAUAGCAAACCCCACAGAGCAAAACAACUUUGUCAAAGAUUGACGAAAGAGAAGCGAGUCCUCAUUAUAUUAGAUAAUAUUUGGAAAAAACUUGGGUUGGAAGAAAUUGGAAUUCCUUUUGGGGAUGUUGAUGAGAAAGAUAGAAAGCAAGAUCUAAGGAGACGCAUGAUAAUAUUGACGUCUAGAAGUAAACAUUUAUUGACCAAUGACAUGAAUUCUCAGAAGAUUUUCCUAAUUGAAGUUUUAUCAAAGGAAGAAGCAUUGCAAUUUUUUGAAAAGAUCGUGGGCAAUUCCGCAAAAGCAUCUGCUUUUCAACCUUUAGCAGAUGAGAUUGUUGGAAAAUGUGGAGGAUUGCCUGUUGCACUGAGUACAGUUGCAAAUGCUCUGAAAAAUAAGAAGCUUCCCGUUUGGAAGGAUGCGUUGACUCAGCUGCGAAAUUCUAAUCCAAGAGAAAUUCAUGGAAUGGAUGCAAAUGUCUGCUCUUCCAUAGAAUUGAGUUACAACUUCUUGGAAAGUGAUGAAGCAAAAUCUUUGUUCCUUCUUUGUACUCUAUUUGGUGAAGGUACUCCUAUACAAGUUGCUUCCUUGUUGAGAUAUGGUAAGGGUUUGUUUAAAAAUGUUCGCACAUUGGAAAAUGCAAGGAAUAGAGUGGACGCAUUGAUCGACAAUCUCAAAGCUUCAUGCUUAUUGUUGGACGGCGAUGCUGAAGAUGAAGUUAAAAUGCAUGACGUCAUUCAUGUUGUUGCCGUAUCAAUUGCCUCAGAGAAGCUCAUGUUUAGUAUCCCAAAUGUUACCAACUUGAAGGAAGAGAUAGAAAAGAUCAUACAGAAAGGUGCAAUUGCUAUUUCUAUACCUUAUGGAGAUAUUCAAGAGCUUCCCGAAAGGUUGGAAUGUCCCCAACUCAAGUUAUUACUGUUGCUUGCAAAUGGUGAUAGCUAUUUGGAAAUUUCACACCUCUUUUUUGAAGGGACGGAAGAUCUCAAAGUUUUAAGUCUUAGCGGAAUUCAUUUCUCUUCAUUAUCUUCAUCACUUGGUCACCUCAUUAACCUUCAAACAUUGUGUUUAGACUGGUGCCAACUAGAAGAUGUAGCGGCAAUUGGACAGCUAAAGAAAUUAGAGAUUCUUAGCUUUCGAUAUUCCGACAUUAAGCAGUUGCCACUUGAAAUUGGUCAAUUGGCGCAGUUACAAUUGCUAGAUUUGAGCAAUUGUAGCAGCCUUGUAGUGAUAGCACCAAAUGUCAUAUCAAAAUUUUCUCGAUUGGAAGAACUAUAUAUGGGUGACAGCUUUCCGCAGUGGGAUAAGGUUGAAGGAGGAAGUAACGCCAGUCUUGCUGAAUUGAAGGGGCUGUCAAAGCUAACUACUUUGGAGAUACAAGUUCAGGAUGCCCAAAUGCUGCCGCAGGAUUUGGUCUUUGUCGAAUUGCCAAGAUAUAGGAUAUGUAUAGGAGAAGCGUGGGGCAUCUGGCGCGCUAAUUCUGAAACAUCAAGAUUGGUGCAGCUCCAUGGGUUAGAAAAUGUUAGCACUCUUUUGGAGAAUUAUGGGAUGAAAAUGUUGCUGAAGUUAACUGAAGAUAUCCGUCUAGAGGAACUGACGGGUGUUCAGAAUGUUGUUCAUGAAUUAGAUGAUGGGGAAGGUUUUCCACGAUUGAAGCAUCUUUGGGUAGAAAGGUGUUCUGAGAUUUUACACAUUGUCGGUUCAGUUGGACGGGUUCAUCGCAAAGUCUUCCCCUUGCUGGAGUCAUUGUCUCUCUAUAAAUUGAUCAAUUUGGAGGCCAUAUGCCACAGCCAACUCAGAGAAGAUCAAUUUUUCAGCAACUUAAAGAUUAUAGAAGUAGAAUCCUGUGAUAAAUUGAAGCAUCUUUUCUCAUUUUCCAUAGCCAGAAACCUACUGCGGCUUCAAAAGGUCAAAGUGGCUUCCUGCAAUAAACUGGAAAUGACUGUUGGUAAGUGUUGAAAUUAAGUGUUGGUGGAUUUAUGGACUUCGCCUCAAUUAUUUUGAAAAAAAAAAGACAACGACAAAGAUUAAUUAUGUAUAUUGUUUUUGUUUGUUUACAGGACCCGACAGGGAGAAACCAACAACUUCUUUGGGAUUCAACGAAAUCAUUGCUGAUGAUGAUACUGCUCCAAAGGUGAUAAUUUUCUGUUCAAUAAUUAAUUGAUUAAUUUAUUAUCACGAUUAAUCUUCGAUCAUCAACAGAAUAUUAUACUAGACGGUUGUACUUGAAGGAACAAAAAUGUACGGCUUUUCUUUGCAGGUUCUUCUUCCGAGCUUAGAGGAAUUGAAUCUCACGGAAUUAAGAAACAUCAAAAAAUUAUGGGCCGAUCAUAAUCAAGGAAUGUACUGUUGUCAAAAUUUAACAAAGCUGUACGUGAGAAGUUGUGAUCGUAUGAAGUAUCUGUUUUCGUAUUCUAUGGUUAAUAGUCUUUUGCAACUCCAACAUCUUGAAAUAUGGUCUUGUGAGUCAAUGGAAGGGGUAGUCGACACCACGGGGUGGUCAGAAAGAGAUGAAGGAAAGUUGAUUGAAUUAAAGGUUUUUCCUAAACUACACUCCCUGCAGCUCUAUUGGCUUACAGAACUGACAAGCUUCGCCAAUACAGGACAUAUUCAUUCAGAUUUAGUUGUUGAAUUCCCUUCUUUGCUAAACCUCGAGAUUGGUAAUUGCAGUAAUAUGUUAAGAUUCAUCUCUACGAGCUCACCAGAAGACACCAAUCAUUCUGAAAUGCAACCUCCUCCUCUCUUUGACGAAAAGGUUUUUUUUUUAAUAAAUAAAAUUAAUUUUAGUCACAAUACUUAAUUUGUCUUUUCCUUGAGUCUUCAAAUUUAGUUAAUAUCCGCCUCUAAUUUAGUUAUCAAUUGAUUAUGCCAUUAAUUGAUUAAUUAGUUAUUUAAUCUUUAACUUCCAGGUACGACUUCCUAGGUUGGAGGUAUUAGAUAUUAGCUGGAUGAAUAAUUUGAGAAAAAUAUGGCACCACCAGCUUCCUUCGGAGUCUUUCAGCAAAUUGAAGAAUUUGGAGAUAUAUAAGUGUCAUAACCUAAUGAAUAUUUUUCCUCCAUUGGUAAGGUCGUUGUAUUCAUUUCGAAUCUUUUUUUUUUUAAAUUACAUCCAACAAUAUUUUAACCAUUUUUGGGUUUACAAAUGAUAUUCAGCCACUGAUUAUUUAUUUCAAGUAUUGUAUUUCGAACCACCACUCUCAAAUCUACAUUUUAAGUCCAUUUUUUAGGUUCGCCAGCAUUAGAAUCAACAAUAUAAUUUUUUUAAUCACGAUUCAACAUCAUAAUAUAAUUCAAUUUAAUUGUUUCUGCUCAUAUCUUAAUAAGUACAAUUUUCAAAAAUUAAAGGAUAGUCACUCAUCUUAUAGGUUCACAAAUUCAUCUAUAUAUUUCUCUUUUCCUUAAUUCUUCACAUUUCGAUUGGAAAAAGAAAAAAAGAAAAGAAAAGUCUUCAAAUUUAAUUAAUAUCUCUUGUUUAGUUACGAACUGAUUAUGCCAUUAAUUAACCACAAAUUCACGAUUAUUUACAACUGAUCCUUGAUUGUAAAGAAAUUUCCUCGAGUCUGGAAGUACUUAAUAAAGAUCCACUUUAAUUUUGUUUCCAAAAUUAAAUAUACAUAAAAAAAAGGGACCAAGGGAAAAGGGAAAAAGCGGCAUUUUGGUUGAUUUUUUUUUCCCAAAAGGAAUAGUUGAAAUUUGCAAAUUUUGUUUAAAAACUGGCAUCAAGAUGCAAAAUAAGUCUAAAAUAUUUAGAAAUUGCCUUAAAUUCUUCGUACGUUCCUAAUACUAAAUAGUGUAAAUGCAUUUAAUAUCUUUGUUUAUCUGGCUUUUAUUUAUUUAUUUAUCUUGUUGCUUUUUUUGUUUAACAAAAAAUUAUCUUGUAGACAUUUCAUGGUUUGUUAUCUUUAUAAAACGUAUAAUUGUAUGAUUAAACAUACUUUGAACCUAGUUGAAUGAUAUUCUUACAUUUUUACUUUUUUAAUAUACACACACUUUUGCUUAUUUUCAGGUUGGAAUUCCUAGUAGUUUGGUGAAUCUUAAAGUAUCGAAGUGCCAAAAAAUAGAAGAAAUCGUAGGACAUGUUGGAGAAGAAGUGAAGGAGAAUCGUAUUGCUUUCAGCGAAUUAAAAGUUUUGAUACUUAAUUAUUUAUCAAGGCUUACCAGCUUUUGUUUGGAGAAUUACACUCUUGAAUUCCCAUCACUGGAACGAGUUUCUAUGAUACGUUGUCCAAAUAUGAAGACUUUUUCUCAGGGAAUCUUAUCCAUUCCAAAGCCAUGCAAAGUGCAAGUGACUGAAAAGGAAGAGGGUGAACUGCACCAUUGGGAAGGCAAUAACCUUAAUUCCAUUAUGCAAAAGUAUUACAAAGAAAUGGUAUGUGUUAAUCGAUUCACCCAAAUUGUUUAUGCAUCUCCCCUGCAAUUGCACAUUUAAGCAUAUACCCCGGUCUUGUAUAUAUAUUUUUAGAAGUUAAAACACAAAACAUGUAAGUUUAAUGUGUAUAUAUAUAAUGCCUUUCAAAAAAAAAAUUGUAUAUAUCCGGUGCAAUUGUUUUGGUUUGUGCAGAUUGGAUUCCGUGACAUAUGGUAUUUGCAACUCUCACAUUUUCCACGUUUGAAAGAAAUAUGGCAUGGCCAAGCACUGCCUGUCAGCUUCUUCAACAAUUUAGCACGGCUGGUGGUGGAUGACUGCACGAAUAUGUCGAGUGCUAUUCCUGCCAAUCUGCUACGAUGCUUGAACAAUUUGCGACGGCUGGAAGUGAGGAAUUGUGAUUCACUAGAAGAGGUGCUUCGUUUGGAAGAGCUAAAUGCUGACAAAGAACAUAUAGGCCCCAUGUUUCCUAAGCUUUCCAAUCUAAGGCUCAUUGAUCUUCCAAAACUCAAAAGAUUCUGCAACUUCACUGGGAAUAUAAUUGAACUGCCUGAGUUGAGAUAUCUAACUAUUGAGAAUUGCCCUGACAUGGAAACAUUCAUAUCCAAUUCUACAUCUGUAUUGCACAUGACAGCAGAUAAUAAGGAAGCUCAAAAAUUAAAAUCAGAAGAGAACCUCUUGGUAGCUAAUCAAAUACAACAUCUCUUCGAUAAAAAGGUAAUCAUUAUUAUUAUUUUUCCCUUCACUUUCAUUCGCAUAGAUGUAAUUUCAUUAGAAUCAAAUCAAAUUUAAUGACUUAUCUUUUUGCACGUCGUCUUAAUUUAUAUCUGAUUUAACAAUAUAAUUGUAGUUAUUAACUAACUUUAUAGUAUGAAUUAAAAAAAUGUCUCAAAUUAAUUAGAUGCCUAGUGACAGGAGGUGAUGAACUAUAUCGCAUAAAUUAUGCGUGUUAGAUCUUUGUUUUCCUAGCUAAUUCAUAUUGGAUUUAUGAUCAGAUUUCAUUUAUGUGUUUCAAAGGGUAAUCGAUUUGAUACUUAUAUUUGGGAUCCUACUGCAAAGCAUACUAAUUUGGAAAUAAAAUAUAAAAUGCCGUGAUUAAUCUUGUCCAUAAAAUAUGUAGGGGAAGACUGUAGAGAUUGGAUACAUAUUUUCAUUUACAACUUAAUUUUGUUGAUUUUCAGGUUGCAUUCCCUCAAUUGAUGAAGUUAAAGCUAUCUGGAUUACACAAAGUGCAGCAUCUCUGGAAGGAAAAUGCCGAAUCCAACAAAGUGUUUGCAAACUUGAAAAGUCUAGAAAUAUUUGAAUGUAGUAAGUUGCAGAAAUUAGUACCAGCUUUGUGGCAUUUGGAAAAUCUUGCGACUCUGGAAGUAUCGAAGUGUCAUGGGUUGAUAAAUUUAUUGACACUCUCAACAUCUGAAAGUCUAGUGAAUCUUGAAAGAAUGAAGAUAACUGAUUGCAAAAUGAUGGAAGAAAUUAUACAGUCGCAGGUUGGAGAAGAAGCGGAAGAUUGCAUUGUUUUCAGGAAAUUGGAGUACUUGGGAAUUGAUUGUUUGCCAAGCCUAACAAGCUUUAGUUUGGGUAAUUACGCUCUUGAGUUCCCGUCCUUGGCACACGUAGUUGUGAGACAAUGCCCAACGAUGAAGAUUUUCUCUCCAGGAGUCGUAGACGCACCAAAGCUAAACAAAGUGAAACCCACCGAAGAUGAAGAUGGUGAUGAUGAAGGAUGUUGGGAAGGCAACCUCAAUGACACUAUAAAAAAAUUGUUCAAUGAAAUGGUGAGUAUCAAUGAAGUGUUGGCACUAUCUAGUAAAUUAUUUCUAUUUAAUGUGGCAUAAUAUGAUUGCUUGACUGAAAAUAUAAAAUAAUAAUAAAUAAAUUAUGAGGGUCAUGUUAUGUUUUUGUUUAAUCAAUCAUAUUAUGUCAUAUUAGUUUGUACAAUAUUAUUUGUGCACAAGAGGCUGUGGUCGUAUCAUUACUCUUGCCUUAUUAUUAUUAUGGUUGUAAUGUAUGCUUGCUUACACGAGUAAUUACAAAAUGUGCAGAAUUCUAAAGAAAAGAUUGAGCCAACCCUUCAGGUACUGUGAAGAAGCUAUCUCGAACCAGGCCAACCUCUUGUACAUGAUUCAACUUGCUUGUUCUCCUGUACUUGAAUAAUCUAAACGCAUUUACAAUUAUUUACAGACAUGCAAGACACUUUGGAUUUGUUUGAUGCAUUCUCUGUUUAAGGAAGGACUUGAAUUGAUGUUUCAUGCUUCAUGCAAUUUUCAAUUAGAUACUGUUUAAACUUCUGCAUUAUUCAUUCAAUUGGUGUUUUAAGCAUUUGAUUUCUAACUAGUCCUAAUAGAAGAUUAUUGGCUGAAGAAAACAUCAUAACAUUUGUGGCAUUAUCAGAAUAAUAAUAGUUUUACGAGUAUAGUAAAAUUAACUCGACCAUUAUUAAAAGGAAUUAAUCCGUCAAAUUAACUUUCUCAGACCAGAACCCUUUAAGUUAAAAGAAUUUCGUGAAGUCAAGACCAUGUUAUAGAUCUUGUGGAAAUAAGUGAACCCAUAAAUGUUUUCACAGCAUCAUAAGAAAAUCAUUUUUUUAGUUGUUGAGUUUUAAAAGUAGUAGGCUAUUAAACAAUGACAAUUAGUGCGGUCGCAGUUGGGGAUCGAGUAGUUCACUUGAUUGCGAGUAGAAACCAACUUCAAUACUAUUACACUCAUUCCAAAAAUAGUAACUAAAGAAUUAUUAAGUUUCCUAUUAAGUAUUCUUUAUUUUUUAAUGCAAAAUUCCUAUUCGAAAACACCAGUGACUUUCUUUCAAAGUAAAUGAGAAAUUACAAUGAAAACGGGAUCAAAAUACAUGUAUGCAUACCUAAAACAAAUGAUUUUUUUUUUCAAUUAAAAAAAAAACAGUUGAGGUGAAAUGAAACCAGAGUCAUGAUGUCUCUGGUUCCAACUUUGGGACAAUAGCAGACUUGAGUUCUAUAUAAGAAACACGUACAGCUCCAAUCAGCCGCUCCGGUAAUUCAUCUGUAGUAUUUGCCUGCAUACACGAAGCAUUAUACCAUUCUGAAAAUGAUUCUUGAGUUACUAUUCAAGUAUGCAAAUAUGCAAAUUGCAGUACAAUAUCUCAAAAUCAUGUCUCUUCCCUCGUGUCAUUUAGAAGUGGGGGAAAAAAACAAUCAUACAUACCUGCACAAGGAAAGCCAUGUCAACCACCAAUGCCGUAAUUACACCAAUUACAAGGCCCAAAACUCCAUUAGCAACUCUAGAAGAACACGUCAACAUCAAUCUACAGAAAGAUGAACAAUGUUAAACCAUGUUAAUGGUAUUGAACAAGCUAUUUGAAAGGGAACACAUCCCAUGUACUAUAGGAAUUCGAAGAGCAUUUAUUUCUAACUACUUAGGACCGCGGAUAUAGUUACAAUCAACUGCUUUUCCUAAUAAACAAGGGGUGCUUCCAUCACUCUGGUGCAUGAUCCAUGACUAAGCCCUAUAUUUAAGUCAUAUUGAGGAAACAUAAGAAAAAAAUUCCAGAAAAAGUAUCAGCUAAGAAUUAAAAUUAAAUUCAUCAAAAUGAUCUCAAUCACUAGAUUUUUUACUGUCACAGUAUGUUUAAAAACUUGCAGAAGGCCCAAAGAGAACUUAGGACUGAACCGAGGGAAAAACAAGACGGUGUAUUUAUUUUAUUUCUGAAUGCCAACAAUUACAUUGGGAUACAGAAAUUUUAGGUAAUUUCCUCACAUAUUACAUCAGAAGAGAGGAAAGGGGAAAGAAGAACAAUAAAUGUUCUAUUCUGACCAAAGCAUAAAUGAGAUGAUUGAAUCAAGAGACUAUUACAUUGGAAGCCAGUCCAGCUGAAGCCUAUGAUAGAGAAUAGCCGUAUGACCAUCUACCUCUUCAACUAAGCUGCGAUACAGAAGACUACAAUCCCACCUGCACAAAACAUGAAAAACGGUGUACGUGCGGCAAGAACUUUGAGAAAGGUACAUAAAAAAGAUCUGAUGGCCAAGAAAUACAACAAUUGUACAACCAAAAGAGGUAGAAAUCCAUGUCUAGUACACUGCCCUCUUCAAGACCUCUAAAUACUGAGUCAAAUUGAUAGGAAUUUCAUGGAAAUAACUAUUCGACAAAUGAUCAGCCUUGCUGGCCUUUAUAAGCCAACGCACAGAGAUUAUGGAACAAUGCAAUGGUGCAAACCAAGAAUUAUUAGGGUACAGACAGUAAAAUUAAAUAGAAUAAUUUGAACACAUUACUAGCAAACCUUGCCAAGAGACUUGUUAAAAUCUAAUUCGCAAACCAGCUAGAUUUGCUAGGAAACAGGUAAUUUCAGGCAGCACGCCUUCUCCUGUUUUAGAACACUCUUUUAUGUAAUAGUGACUUCAAAAGUGUAACAUGUUUCGAAAAAAAAAAAAAAAGAGGAAAGAACGUAUUUGACACUUCAUGAAAUGGCUAAGAUACAAGCUUUAAUCUAGUACAACAAAUUAAUAUAACUAACUUCAACCAUCAAUUGAUCUAUAGUUCAGCAACAAAAAAUAUAGAUAGCUACAUCUAUUUUGUCUUCAUCAAAUACCAUUAGCUAAGUGGAGAAAAGUUAUAAAAAUGAGUCCUAGUCUUUCUUUAUUAAUGAAGCAAUCCAUCAAACUUCAAAAGCUAUUUUCAUUUCCACAUUCUUCAUAUACUUAAGCAACAAAAGUUUGUAAUAAUCUUUAGAAAGCACCAUGCAGAUUAAUUAAAUAUAUUCAAAAAGGCACAUACAGAAUCGGGACUGGAGACAAUGUGAAUUUCACAGCAUACAAGAGGAAAUAUAAUACUCAGCUUACACAGACAGCCAAUAUAGUCUUGAUUAUGUUAAAGUAACUAAAAAUAAAAAAUAGAAAAGAAGCAUACUCGUAUCGUGUCCCAUCCAUGCUCAUUACAAGUUCAAAUAUUUCUUCACAGCUGGCCUUCAUAACACCAACAGCCUUCAUUGCUCUACUACAGCUUCUCGGCAGCAUUAAGUAAACUUUAGAUGAUGGUUCUGACCUAAACAAAAUCACAUCCUGAGCAUAGAGUAAAGAAAGUGGCAUACAUGGUAAUCAACUUCAAGAAGCUCUUCAGAAAUACAUAAUUCUGUUGGGGAGAAAAGAAAAAAGAAAGAAUACAAAUAAAAAGAAGUCACAAACAAUUCAUUUCCUGCACUACACAUCAGCAGCAGUUUUUCGGGAACACAAAAAUGUUAUAAUAACUUUUCUUGAUUGCCACCCACAUGCUAAACUGAUCAAAUACAAAACAGGAUACAGAAAAUCUCUAACCUUUUUGGCACUGAAGAAGACGCCAGUGCUUUCAAAAGAAAAUGCUUGAUUGUUGGCAUUCUGGUUUGAAAAAUAUGAGUCCAAUUCCUGUGUCCAGUCAUGUACCAAAUCAGGACGACCUGCCAGUCAUACAAAGAUGACAAAAAUACACUAUAAAUUGCGUCAAACCAAUUCAAGUCAAUUGGAGAAGUAAAUCAAGGACCAUUUGCAAUAGUUGUUCUCCACAUCAAAUUUGGGUGUCCAUCGUCUUCAUCCUCUUGUGCACUGAACCUGAGAGUCCACGAGAAAUACAUAUAAAAAUUAGCCAUGAUUGAAAUUGAUAGUAGUACAAAAUGGAUAUAAACAUCACGAUGAACAAAUUAAAUUGUUCCAUGUCAGACAAAUCCAGCCUGCAAGCUUAAGCUCUUAAGCUAGACCAAAUCACACUGCAAAUAACAAUACAUAAGGCCAAAAAAAGAUAAUAUGUAUCAUUCAUAUGCUUCGCCCUAUAGAAAUGAUUUGAGUCUACAUAAGAAAAUUUUUUGAGCUUCCCGAUCCACGAAUAAUAAUAAAUCUCCUUAAAAUAAUCUUUUGUAAAUAAUUUUAUUUUUCUUGACACAUGACAAGCACCUUCAUAUAGAGAAGAAAGGAGAAUCUCAAAUUCCACCCGCUCUCAGAACACCACAUCAAAGCUUCGUAUCAGUGAACAUGGAAGAAGAAUAAAAGAAGUAGCUCAAAUCCUGUAAAAAAGAACCUUGGACUUCGACUCUUGUCAAACAGUUGACUCCGACUGAAUAUAGGAAGAGUAAUUGAGCAAGCAUAGAUCGGCCAAGCUUAAGCAAGCGCAUAGAUCGGCCAAAUUUGAGCAAAGCCGAGAGAGAGAGAUGAUUGUGGUCAAUUUACAGCCGCAGUUGAUCGUUGCCGACUCGUGCCGCCGUUGAUGGCCGUGGAACAAGAAGAGAGGUGAGGUGAGGCGAGGGAGUGGUAAGGCGCGUGACGCGAGGGCGUGGGAGUGGGAGUGGGAGUGGGAGUGGGAGUGGUGGUUUUUGUGCAUGUAUCAGAUGCACGCAUGUAUUAUAGCAGAGUUGAGUUCAAUACGAAAAACACGUACAGCACCAAUCAGCCACUUCGAUAAUUCAUCUGUAGUUGUGAGAUGAUGAAUCAAGUUUGGUUCCCAGAAACGGCUGCGUUUUGAAGCCGUAAAAGCUUCAUUAGCUCACGUGCUGUUCAGCUGAUUCUUAACAAAAAAACGAUUUAGUGGAAACGACAUGGAUGGAGCACGUUUUACAUAUCAAUUUAAGUAACCACGUGAGGAAGCAUGUGAUGAAGGUUGUUCCGAGUUCGUUGAAGGUUGUUAAGCACGUGUCAAAACAAAGUGUUCAUGCUGGAAAGAAACAAAAUAUUAAUAAAUAAACCCUUAAAAAGAUUCUCUGAAAAUUAUGUUUAACUAGAACAAUUAUCUAGCAGUUUGAUAUAUUAAAUGAGCCUGUUAAUUAUUUCACUUACUAUCUUAUAAAUCCUCUCAAAAUUACACCGCUGCUCUGACCCCAAGUUCCAUUAUCAAUUAUAUCAUUCCCUAUCUUAUAGUAAAGGUAAAAGAAAAGAAAAGGUAUAUUGCAUUAGAGUUCGUGUACUUCUACCUUUUAGUUUAUUCUUCAUUUUAUUAAAAUGACAGAUUCCUCAUUAAAAAAGGUCACUCUACAUAGUAUGUGGGUGUAUGUUCUUUUAAAAAGGACUGAGAGAAAAUACAGUAGCACGUAAAAAUGUGCACCCAGCAGCAGAACCAUAUUAAUCCACAACAGCGCAAAAUAAAUGUGAAAAACAAGUAACAUCUGAAGAAGACAGUGAUGCCGAAACAUUGACGACCAAUAUAGUGUCUUGAUUUGGUUAAUUAAAUAUAUUUUUGUUAUCAUCCACCUGUUUGCUUUAAAUAAUUUUCAAUAUUUUUUCGUAUGCCUGAAAUUCCAAGGAAAAAUAUUUGUAUAAGGACAAGAGUUAAGGGGGACAAAAAUGGAAAAAAUAGGGCUCCUUUGUUUUCAUUCCCCUGUUUCUCCGUUUGGUAAUUGCAAAAAUUUAAAUCUAAACUUAUGAUGCAGGCUACAAGGUAGCUGGUGGACGAUUAAUAGGGUCUAUCUUUUGUUGUUAAUUAGGAAUUUAAUUUGGAAUUUGUAGUGUGCGCCUUAUCUAAGCAGACUUCCUAACAGUAAUUAAAUAAUCUAAAUUUAUGAUGCAUUAGGAUAUGAUUGUGAUAAAUUAGCUUUUUUCUCUGUAUUCUAUGAGGCUGAUUAUUAUUUUAAUUUAAGCCACACCUUUAAAUUCAGUUUUCGCAAAACUGACAGGUAGCUUGGGUGUAAAUGAAUAUACAUUAAUGAAGAACGGACAUGUGGAGUACCGAUAUACUAGCAUAAGUAAUGUUUAAUUUUAAUGUAUAAAACAAUGGUGCAUUUAGAAGGUACUACUGUAGAAAUAAAAUUUGUGCUUGCAACUCAUUUUUUAAUUCCCCUUUUUAAUAAUAAUCAAAAGAAAGCAGAGGAGAAACAGGGGAUUUUCCAGUUUUUUAUUCGGUGAUUUUUAACUUUAUCAUGGAAUUGUCAAUUUUUAGUUGAAACUUAUCUAAAUCGUCCUCUCUAUAUAAGCGAAUACAAUAAUUUUGUGAAAGAUAUAUGCAAAAACAAUACUAAUAAGUAUAUUUAUUUAUCUAAGACGUAGAGCUCUAAUGCUCAGAUAUGGAUAGUCCCAUUUUUUGUUAGAGGCAUCUCUUUCCAUGCAUUGAAUUAUUGCAAGCAAAUCGCUUCUCGCAAUUACAAACCUACCCUCAUCAUUGUCUCUCACGUAUCCAGCACCACAGUUACCCAUUCCUCUCCUCACCAAGGCACACAGAUUACAGGACAAUGCAGCGAUGCCAACCAAGAAUGCUUAGGGUAAAGACGGAAACAUAAAACAGAAUAAUAAAAAAAAAUCUAUUCCGUAAACAUAAUAAUUAAACAGAAAGUGGUACGUUCAGACAAAACACCUGCUCCUGUUUUAGAAAAGAGCUCCUCCGUUUUUAUUUCUCUGUUUUACUGUUUGGUGAUUGCAAAAAUUUUUGUCUAAAUAAUGCAUAGUAGAGUCAAGAAUAAAUUUAUGUUAAAACAAAGAAACAUCAAAGAUCCCCUGAUAUUAUUAUCCAGAACAAUAUGUUUAUUGGGCCGAAAUGGGCUAACAUACAUGGGUUCAAGCUUGCAAAAUCCACAUUUAUGUAUAAUUAUAUAGUAAUUAAAUACUGAACUUGAACUCAUACAACUCUUCAAUCAUUUGGAUUUCGAAUCUGUGUUAAUUGAACUAAAUACUGUCAGGCAUUCGAGUAAACACAUAAAGAAUUCAUGAUUUAAUGUCGUUCUGAAUUUUGACUUCAUAAUAUUCCAGCUACCGUUGCAGUUUCUAUUAUUGUGUGAUAAAUAUGAAUGAUGUCUUAGUAUAAAGACAUGUCUCAUUAAUUAUACCUUAUAGAAGAGAUAUCUUUUUAUACUAAAACUAUAUAGUGAAAAGGGGUCCGCCUAAGUUACGUUAAACGUAACUUACGGCCUGGCUGUAAAACUUCAUCCAGCCCCCUAUAUUCGAUAUUAUUUAUAUUAUAUUUGUGAAUAUUAUAAAAAUUUUUGAUUUGAAAAAUUUCGUUUAACCCCUUACACUCAAUUUUAUUUUAUUAAAAUCCUAGAGUACGAAUUUGCCUCCUAUAAUUUUAAAUUCUCAAAAUAACCUCAUUUAAUUAAAAAAUAUAAUUAUUAUUAAUUGAAUUAUAAUUAUAACUAUUAUUUUAUUAUAAUUAUAAAUAUAUUUAUAUUUUUUAAAUAGAUUAUUGUUAUUAUUAAUAACAAGAAUAAAAAGUAUUACAAUUAAUUAAUCUAUUAACAAUAAUUAAUAAUUUUUUAUUAAAUUGUUAAUAAUAAUUAAUGAUAAUUAUUAUUAAUAAUUAAGUUUUGAAUAAUAAUAAUAAUUAACAAUUAUCAUUAAUAGAUUGUGACUGACUCUGAACAAGUUGUCCGAUAUUUUAUAUCAUAUUGUAUGCAUUCACUUCUGGCUACAAAAAAAAUUAAAGAAAUAGCUUUCUCUUUAACCAAACAAGAGAUUUAACAAAAUCAUAAACACACGUUUCUCAAAACUAACAAGGACUUGGACAAUUAUGGCACUAAGUAGUACUGCAAUUAAUAUCAGUGAUGAGAGUAUGUUGCUACUUUGCUAGCUAAGCCUAGGUGGGCAUUGGCAUUCCUAGGACUCUGAACAAUUAUCGUUAAUUUUUAAAAAUCAAUUAUUAAUAAUAAUUAUCGUUAAUUACUACUAUUAUUAAUUUAAUAAAAACUAUUAUUAAUUAUUGUUAAUAGAUUAAUUAAUUGUAAUACUUUUUAUUCUUGUUAUUAAUAAUAAUAAUCUAUUUAAAAAAUAUAAAUAUAUUUAUUAUUAUAAUAAAAUAAUAAUUAUAAUUAUAAUUCAAUUAAUAAUAAUUAAAAUUUUAAUUAAAUGAGAUUAUUUUGAGAAUUUAAAAUUAUAGGGGGCGAAUUCGUACUCUAGGGUUUUAAUAAAAUAAAACUAAGUGUAAGGGGUUAAAUGAAAUUUUCUAAAUAAAAAAGUUUUAUAAUAUUCAUGAAUAUAAUAUAAAUAACAUUGAAUAUAGGGGGCUGGAUGAAAUUUUAAAGCCAGGCCGUAAGUUACGUUUAACGUAACUUAGGCGGACCCAGUGAAAAGAUAUCUCUUCUAUCAGGUACAAUUAAGUAUGGUUGCUUGCAAAGAAAUGUAAAUAUAAGUCAUAAAACAAAGUCUCUAUUAUUUGAAGUACAAUUUCAUUCACAUGUUGCACAUGAGACUUGAGCAACCACGAUGUGCAGAAGACACUUUACAAUGAUUUUGCUUGUUUUUUUCCUAAUCAUUUCUGUAAUUGAUUUUGUUAGAAAAUGUUAGUAAUGAUUAAAUUACUUUAAAAAACACACUCACACAUCUUAACUGUAAAGGUUCAGAAAAUAUAUCGAUAAAGGUCAGAAGUAUCUAAUAAAAGUUGGCCAUAAACUUCAAUAUCCAAAAUUGCUUUAAUAAAGUAGCUGCAGUAAACAAAAGUCAGUAACCAUAGGCGACAAUAAAUCACAAUCAGCAACUAGGUCUCCAAAUCAAAAUAUAAUGGAUUUGGUUAAGUCUUCUUUCGAAAAGCUCUCUCUCCUUUAGAGAGGCUUGAAUGGAAGUAUUGAGGGGUCGUAAGGACUCAUGUGUUCACUCCCUGUGAGUGGAAGGUAAUCCAAAAAAAGUCAGCUUUUGGGGUUGGUGAGCUGGUUGAGAAAGCUUCGAAAGCAAAGUUCGUGUAGAGCGUUGGGGCACGAUUUAAAGCUAGUGAGCCUAAAUAACUUACUACCUAUCCAAGCAUUAACUACCAUGGAUACUGAAGAGCUAAUUCGUAAGUGUCAAGCAAUAACUAUCACAGAGGAAGACAAAGCCAAAAUAACGCUGGAGGUGAAUUUGGAAAAAAAGAAAGAACAAAUGAUGGCAGGAUGCUUAGUGGGCAAAGUACUUCUCACAAAGGGAGUAAAAAAAGAUGGACUUAAGGUUGCGUUACAGCAGGUGUGGAGGACUUUCAAAGAAGUCAAGAUCGAAAGCGUGGGAAACAACAUCUUCAUGUUCAAAUUUGCUGAAGAAGCAGACAAAAAACGAGUUCUCAAAGGGGGACUAUGGCACUUCGACAGGGCCUUGAUUGUUCUCGCUGAGCCAAGGGGGAUUGGGGAAGUCGCAAAACAAUCUUUUAUUCACACAUCCUUUUGGGUGCAUAUUCGUAAUAUCCCACUGGCGUGUAUGGAUAAAGAUUUUCUCCGAGACUUGGGCGGGAAGAUUGGAUCAGUAUAGGAGGUUCAAACGGAUGAUAAUGGAGACUGUAUUGGGGAAUUUUCCAGAAUAAGAGUCUCAAUUAACAUAACACAGCUGCUAGAGAAGAUUUUAUUUCUAAAGCAAGAAGGUGAAACUGAUAUCCCAAUGCCGGUGGUAUAUGAACGCUUGCCAGAUUUCUUUUAUUGCUGCGGAAUUAUUAGACAUCAAUACAAAGAGUGUGGCAAGUACCAAGACCAACCAAGAGAAGAUCUACCAUUUAGGAGUUGGAUGAAAGUGAUUACGGUAGGGGGUUUUACAAAGAGGAAUUGGAACAAGGAAAGGUGGAACUAUGGGGCUGGUAAAUCGGAUGAAAAAUCAACAAGCUCAGGAACUCACAACUUCCCGCAACAGCAAGGGCAAAACCAAGAAAACUCGAUAGGGGCAAACGGGUCAGUACCCAUUGAGAAAGAAAUGGGGCAAACCAUGAAGCAUGCCAAGAAGGAUGUUAUAGGAGGAGUAGCUGAGCAACAAUUAAUGCGAAGAGUGAUACAAUCAGCGGAAAAAAAGUAAAAUGAUGGCAACAAGCAAGCUGGGGAAACUGGCAAUGCAACAACCCCAAGGAAAAUGGGCACACAAGCGGGAAAUGGCAUUCCAAAAGAGAGGGAAAAAAUGCAGAUAAGUCAUGAAGAGGAAGCUGAAAUAAACAAUGGGCCGGAAGUAUCUCAACUACAGCCCAAUAAAAGGAAAUUGAAGUAAUUAACUAGAGAUCUAAGCGAGGGGGGGGGGGGAAAUUAAGUUACGAGUUCAAAAAAGGCCUAGGGGGAAAAAAUUUGGGCAAAGCCCAAGGAAAAAAACAAAGCUCUCUAGCCCCAAUAAGCUUGAGACUAAAAACCUGGAGCAUGUCUCUCCAACAGCAACGCUUCAGCUGGGUUAGGAACUGUUGGUACUGGAAGAAGUGGUAGUCAUGGAAGCAAACAAUAUGGAGAUAUCGGCGGAGGCUGGUGGUCAGCCCCCCCGGAAGCUAUGAAUAUUCUCAGUUGGAAUGUUCGGGGUCUGGGGAAUCCCCGAGCAUUUCAAGCCUUAAGAAAAAUCCUCCAAUUGCAUGGUGCUCAGCUAGUGUUUUUGUGUGAAACAAAGGUAUCAACCAUGCAAAUGAAUGUGAUUGCAAAUAAGCUGAGUUUUGAGAAUUGCCUCGCGGUGAACUGUAAAGGAAGAUGAGGCGGAAUAGCAAUGCUCUGGAAGUCAGAUAUUGGUGCAAAUCAAUUCAUACAGUCAGCACCACAUUGAUGCCGAAACUCAAAUGCCAAAUGGAAAUCGAAUGCGAGUUACAGGAGUGUACGGACAUCCGGAAACAAGACAGAAAAAACACACUUGGAUGCUCCUCAGGCGGCUGGCAGUUUUAUCUUCUAGCCCUUGGUUGUGUUGUAGAGACUUUAAUGAAAUUUUACAUCCAGAUGAGAAGAGUGGCGGCAAUGACAGGAAUGUGAAUUUAAUUAAUGAUUUCAGAGAAGUUUUGAGAGAUUGUGGCUUAAAGGAUGUUGGGUAUCGGGGGUACGCUUUUACUUGGAAUAAUGGAAGAUAUGGGUAGGGAUUCGUGGAAGAAAGGUUGGAUAGAUUUGUUUGCAAUAAAGCUUGGAGUGAUAGAUUUGUGGAUUAUGCAGCAAGCAACCUUGACACAUGGACUUCGGAUCAUUGUCCCAUGCUGAUGGCUGUUUAGGAGAGAAGUGGGGGCAUGAACCAAAGGGGUAGACAUUCCUCACGAAUCCAUUAUGAGGAUAUGUGGAGCUCGUAUGACUUGUACAAAGAGAUAAUCAAGGAGGAAUAUAAUUUGUAUAGAAAUUAGAAUAGUGAAAAUCCAGCCCAAUCCUUUCGAAAAGCAACAAAAGAUUCGAUGGGUAGGCUGUUGGGGAGGAGCAAGUUGGUGAGGAAAUUCGGAAGGUGGAGAAGCAAAUCCAAAAUAUCCUCAUGGAUGAAGAAAUCUACUGGAAGCAGCGCUCAAGAGCAGAUUGGCUCAAGGAGGGGGACAAAAACACAAAAUUCUUUCACGGCAAGGCAUCGACUAGAAGGAAAAAAAAAAACAAAAUUUUGGGGAUUGAAGAUAAUUUCGGGAGAUGGAUUGAAAAGCCAAAAGAAGUGGAGCAUGAGUUUUGCAAUUAUUUCACCAACCUUUUUACAUCAACCCAGCCGAGACAGGAUCAAAUUGCAGCAGCCUUGAAAGGAAUAACUCCGAGAGUUUCAGCCAGCAUGAAUGAGAGUUUGGAGGAACCGUUUACAGCCGAGGAAGUCUUGGAAGCUUUGAGUCAAAUAAAGGCUUCGGGGCCGGAUGGUUUUCCAGCAGUGUUUUACCAAAAGCAUUGGCAUACGGUUAAGGAGGGAGUGCUCACCACUUGUCUGCAUAUCGUCAAUUCACAAGGUACCAUAGGCCCUCUAAAUCACACUUACAUUGCUUUGAUACCAAAAAUCGGGAAGCCUAGGAAAGUGACAAACUUUAGGCCUAUUAGUUUGUGCAAUGUUAUCUAUAGAAUUGUAGGUAAGUCAGUUGCUAAUAUAUUUAAGCAAAUUCUGCACAAAAUCAUCUCUCUAUCGCAAAGUGCCUUCAUCCCCAAUAGGUUGAUCACUGACAACAUCAUAGUUGGCUACGAAUGUUUGCACAAGAUAAGGCAUUGUAAAGGAAAGCGAAAUGGAUUAAUUGCAUUAAAGCUUUAUAUUAGUAAAGCUUAUGAUAGAUUGUAAUGGAACUUCCUAGAGCAAACUUUAAAACAACUAGGCUUCUCGCAUCAAUGGAUUAGCUUGAUCAUGGGGUGCAUUAGUUCAGUUUCCUUCUAUGUGUUAAUAAAUGGCUCAGUGAAAGGCUUAAUUAAACACCAAAGGGGCAUAAGACAAGGUUGCCCCCUCUCUUCGUAUUUGUUUAUUACAUGUGCAGAGGCUUUUUCUUCCUUGCUGUAGCAGGCUGAGCAACAACGGCUUAUUCAUAGGCUAUCAUUUGGAAACGAUUUGAAGAUUUCGCACCUUCUAUUUGCUGAUGACAGCCUUAUCUUCAGCAGAGCUUCCAUGGCUGACUGUCGAAAUCUGAAGAUGAUCCUUGAGUGCUACUCCACAACUUUCGGUCAAAUAUUUAAUUUCGAGAAAUCUUCUCUUUUUCUUAGUGGCAAUGUACAACAAGAUCAAGCUGAGGCAAUUGGGAAUCUCUUUUAGCUCAAUAUUGUGUAAAGACAUAAAAAAUAUUUAGGCUUGCCGUCUAUGAUCGGGAGAAAGAGAAGCAGCUUCUUCAAUGACAUCAAGCUGAAGGUUUUCAACAAGAUCUCAAGCUGGCAGCAUAAAUUUUUUUCUUGUGGAGGGAAAGAAGUCUUAAUCAAAGCUGUUGUGCAAGUCAUCUCAGCCUACGCAAUGAGCGUUUUUAAAAUUCCGAUGGGAGUUUGUGAUGAUAUUUAAAAAAUGGUGGCAAAGUUCUAGUGGGGCUCCAAGAGGGAAGGGAGGAAUAUUCAUUGGGCGAAGUGUGAAAAGAUGAGUCAAGCUAAGUGUAAUGGAGGGAUGGGAUUUCGUGAUUUUUCAAGCUUCAACAGAUCCCUUCUAGCAAAGCAAGGCUGGAGGAUUCAGCAAUGUCCAAACUCGUUGGUGGCUAGGGUCUUGAAAGCCAAGUAUUUCUAGUCAAAAAAUUUCUUGGAUGCAAAGCUCAACUCAAACCCUUCAUAUAUUUGGAGAAGCAUUCUUUGGCGAAGGAAAAUUAUUUGCUCGGGCUCUAGGUGGAGAGUUGGCAAUGGUCAGAAAAUUCAUAUUCAUAAGGCUAACUAGAUUCCACAACCUUCAACAUUCCAGCCAAUGGUUAAGCCAACUUUUCCUUCGAAUGCUAUGGUCUCUGAAUUAAUCAAUGAGGCAAACUACUGGGAUGAGAAGAGGAUUUAUGAGCACUUCGAAAAAAUGGAUGCUGAUUUAAUUACUAAGAUUCCUCUGCCUAGAAGACCAAGGAAGGAUGAGCUAAUUUGGCAUUAUGGAAAAAAUGGCCAGUUCUAGGUUAAAAGUGGGUACCAGACAACUCUCCAAAUAAAGUUUCUAGCCAUGCCUUCAAGCUCAGUGGCUUCAAAAAAUGAAUGGAAUAUUAUUUAGUCUCUUGCUUUGCCUCAAAAGAUCAGAAUUUUUGCAUGGAGGGCAGCCAAAAACCUACUCCCCUCAGCUGAGAAUUUGUGGAAGAAAAAGAUAAUCCAGGAACCUACUUGCCAAGUGUGUAAAAUGGGAAUGGAAAAUGUAUUUCAUGCUCUAGUGGCCUGCAAAUCGGCUAAGAAAGUAUGGAGGCUAAUCUAUUUUGAAGAUGAUAUUAAUGCUGCUCACAGUCAAGAUAUCUUCAGUUUGCCGCAUGCUAUGAAAAGAAUGAGAAGCAAAGUUGACCUGGAGCUGUUGGUAACGAUUUUUUGGGUUAAAUGGAAUGCUCGGAAUCAGUUGCUAUUCAAAGGAAAAAUGGAGACCCCCCAUGUAACACCCUAGGCGAAUCCCAUAUCGGCAAAGCACAGGAGAGAUGCUGGGUUUAUAAGAAGUGAUCCACACCUUAAUUGGCAAGACGCGUUUUGGGGUCUAUGGGCGCCCCAAGAACAAAUCCGUGCAGGCCUUGUUAAGGCCCAAAGCGGACAAUAUCUUGCCAGGUCAUGACCCAACCCAGACCUGGCAAGAUAUUGUCCGCUUUGGGCCUUAACAAGGCCCGCACGGAUUUGUUCUUGGCGUGCCCAUACACCCCAAAACGCGUCUCAUGCUCCUUCUUACUCUUAGAGUAAAUUAAUAUGUCAUCAAUAAAGACAAUGACAAACUGGUCAAGAUAAGGUUGGAAGAUCCUAUUCAUCAAAUCCAUGAACGCUGCAGGAGCAUUAGUUAAUCCAAAAGGCAUAACUAAGAACUCAUAGUGUCCAUAACGAGUUCAAAAAGCUGUCUUCGAUACAUCCUCACUUCUUAUUUUCAAUUGAUGGUAGCCAGAUCGUAAAUCAAUUUUAGAGAAUACCGCUGCACCUCGUAAUUGGUCAAAGAGGUCAUCAAUUCGAGGAAGAGGGUAUUUAUUCUUGACAGUAACCAUAUUCAACUGCCGGUAGUCAAUACACAACCUCAUUGAACCAUCUUUCUUCUUUACGAACAAAACGGGAGCACCCCAAGGCGACACACUAGGACGGAUGAAACCCUUAUCUAGUAACUCUUGUAGCUGGACCUUUAGUUCUUUUAAUUCAAUGGGUGCCAUCCGAUAUGGCGCCUUGGAUGUAAGUGUAGUACUAGGAACUAACUCUAUAGUAAACUCAACCUCUCUAUCUGGGGGUAGACCAGGAAGAUCCUCAGGAAAUACAUCAAUAAACUCCCUUACAAUAGGUAUGUCUUCAAGGCACGCCCCAUCAGGAUGGUCAGCAAUUAUAUACGCUAAAAAUCCUUCACACCCCUUCUUUAGCAUUUUCACUGCCGUCACCAUAGAAAUCAAAGCUUUAUAACUCUUAUGAUUCCCUUGAAAAUGAAAUUCUUCCUCGCCAGGUAGGCGAAAAAUAAUUUCCUUAGCAAAACAAUCUAUUGAAACAUGGUAAGGUCCUAACCAAUCCAUCCUCAAAAUCAAAUCAAAAUCAUGCAUCUCUAAUGGUAGGAGAUCCACAAGGAAUUCUCUAUCACACAAUCUGAUCACACAUGACUUAUAGACAUGAUCUAUUAACUGGCAAUCCCCCAUAGGGGUACUAAUUGUCACGUGAACACCGAGUGGCGUGAUAGGCACAUCAGCAUAACGGGCAAACACACAAGAUACAAAUGAAUGUGUAGCACCAGGAUAAAAAGGAACUUUGGCUUCUCUAGAGAAUAAGGACAAUGUACCUGAUACUACAUCAUUGGACACCUCAGCAUCUUUCUCCGUUAGCGCAAAAACACGCCCUUGCACCUUCGGUUUCUUCCUCUGCCCUUCGUUAGUCGGAGUAUUUGUAGUCUCGCCACGUCUCUUUGGGCAAUCCAUAAUCCUAUGCCCAGAUUCUCCACAAGCAAAACAAGCUCCAGUUUUCCAAUGGCAUUCACCAGGGUGCCUCCUUUCACAAUGUCGACAAAUGGGGUAAUUUCUCCGAGCAGUGUCACUAGUAACACCCUUGUUAUCCCAUUUGUUACCUCCACCAUUAUACUUCUGGGAGUGAGUGCCUUGCCUAUAGGAACUUCCAUUUCGCGGUCCACCUUGUUGAUUCUUCUUAUUUCUCUGAUACCAUAAUGUCAUGACCCAACCCAGACCUGGCAAGAUAUUGUCCGCUUUGGGCCUUAACAAGGCCCGCACGGAUUUGUUCUUGGGGUGCCCAUACACCCCAAAACGCGUCUUGCCAAUUAAGGUGUGGAUCACUUCUUAUAAACCCAGCAUCUCUCCCGUGCUUUGCCGAUGUGGGAUUCGCCCAAGAACAAAUUCGUGCGGGCCUUGUUAAGGCCCAAAGCGAACAAUAUCUUGCCAGGUCUGGGUUGGGUCAUGACAUUAUGGUAUCAGAGCGGCUCCGCGUGUCCUCUUGAGCGAUGGUGGGGCAAACCUCAGCGAGGACGCUGAGUCCCCAAGGGGGGGUGUAUGUAACACCCUAGGCGAAUCCCACAUCGGCAAAGCACGAGAGAGAUGCUGGGUUUAUAAGAAGUGAUCCACACCUUAAUUGGCAAGACGCAUUUUGGGGUGUAUGGGCACCCCAAGAACAAAUCCGUGCGGGCCUUGUUAAGGCCCAAAGCGGACAAUAUCUUGCCAGGUCUGGGUUGGGUCAUGACACCCCAUAUUAUGGUAGCUAAAGUUGAAGCUAUGAUUGCAGCUUAUAAGAGGGUGCAUUCUUCAGUUGAGGCUUCCAGUGAAACAGAGCAGAGGGUACCUCUUCAGACAUGGAAUCCCCCUCAAGAUGGUUUUGUAAAAGUCAACAUUGAUGCAGCUAUCAACUUCAAAAAGAACCUUGUAGGGCUGGGGGCAGUGAUUAGAGAUGAUUCGGGGCAUGUUACAGCAGCUGCAAUCAAGAUUUCCAAGUUUCAUGGAGAUGUUUCUUAUGCUGAGGCAGCAGCUAUGGAAUGGGGUAUGUUGGUGGAGAGAGAAGCUAAAGUGAAAGUUGUAAUCGUGGAAUCAGAUUCUCAAGGUGUGGUCAGUUUAGUUAACAACAAGCAGGGCUGCAGAUCUGAGAUCUAUUGGGUUGUUUCGGAAAUUCAGAAGUUAGCGGAAAACUUCGAGUGUGUUAGUAUUAAGUAUACAGCCUAGAUCUUGUAAUGUUAUUGCCCAGUCUUUAGCUAAGUUAGCUCUAGAAAAACGCGAGACUGUUGUGUGGAGGGUUCAUACCCUUCACAAGUGAUGUAUUUCCUUUCAUCGUUGUUUUAAUUGAAAUCUAUUUUCAAAAAAAAAAAAUCACAAUCAGCAACUACAAUGAUCCAAAACCAACAUAGAAAGACCUAGAAAUAGUAAAAAAUAUUGCAAUAUAUUAAAGAAGAUUAAUUCAUCAGAGUGCCCACAACAUAUAAAUGGAUCUAAAGAAUAGAUUAUAUAAUAGCUUGUUUCUUAUGAAUGAUACAUGGGAUUCCACAGAUAAAAAGAAAAUAAGAAUCAAGUACGUGAAUUAAAAAAAUACCUAACCAAUAGGGGUUAGUGAGAUAUUUUAGCUAAAUAUCAGUUGACAGAAUCUGACCCACAAUAAAAAUUGCUAUCUUAUCACAAUGGGAAUCUGAAUUAUAAAAUUACUGAACAAAACUUUUAACACCUACAAGUCCAAAUAAUAUCAAAUAAAAUGCCUAACCAGCUAUUAAAUAUAAAAUGUCCUUGUAGGACUAAAACCUUGUGGCCAAUCCUUCAAAGUUCCAAGCAACAAUAUGAUAAAAACAUAAUGCAUAAUAUAUAAGGAGCUUAUCUGUAAAACUUCCAUACAGUACUUAUCAUAUUAAACAAUGUACCUAAUGAAAUAUUGGCUUAUUUCUACAGAAUAUUACAAUAUAAGUACACCAAUUUCUCAAGCAAUGCCAUAUAGAAAGAUACCGAAGAAAAAAGGAAAAUAAAAAAUCGAAGCAUGUUAGUUAUGAUUUCAACUUUUGAACUCAAAGUCUGUGACAAAUUUUGCUUCGGGAAAUACUAACAAACACUUGAGAAAAACUAAAGUGUAUCACACUUGAACCGUAUAUAAAGCACAAGAAUAAAAACAACAAUGGGCAAAAAGAGGCUAGAUGUAUCAUCUUCAUUAGUUAAACAACAUAAAUAGAAUCAAAAUAUUAAUGCAUACACCAAAACCUUCAAAAUUCUCUAAACAUUCAAUUUUUUUCAGAUUAAGAAAAUAAAUUUAUAAGAAAAUCGAGAACGCGUAUUUGUUGCGGUAUUUUAUCAAGCAAUUGGCAUGCAGCAAUGUAAAUGACAAUUAAAACAUGUAAAUCUCUGUACAUUGAAAGCUCACCUUCGUUAUUCAUCCAAAGAGAGAUAUAUAGGGCAUGUAAGCUCCUUCUUUGAUAUUUAUAUAUUUUGUCAUAAAAGAUUAUAUAUUGUCCGAAAAGAGCUAACUUUGGACAGGCUUUUUAUGCCAAAAAAAAAAAAAAAAUUCUUUUGUGACUAUUAUAAAGUUCGUCAAAAAGAAAUUGAAACAGGGACCAAGUAAUGUCUCAAAAAGAAAAAAAAAUGGUUAUCAAAUAUAAAAUUAUUCAAGACAAAACAUUCAAUGACUAUUGUUUAAUUUUGUCACUGUAGGUAAUUAUAUAUGAUAAAAAAAAAUGGUCUUAAAAUUAGCCAAAAGAACAAUAAUUUUGGCUACUAAUAUUUUGUGUCAUAGAUUGUGUAGUCAAUUUUACACCCCUCUUUUAGUUACCAAAUAAUUUGGUCGCCUAUAAUUAUAUUUCGUGACUAUUUAUUUUGUCAUAAAUAGUGAAAUAUUGUCUCAAAAUAAUCACUUUUGGAGGGAAGAUUUUGCGCCAAAAAAAUAUCUUUUGGUGACUAAAAUAAUUUUUGUCAUAAAAAAAAUUAAUUAAUGACCAAUGAACAAGUCUCAAAAUAAAAAUAAUUGGUUACAAAAAACAAUAUAAGUUAGGACAAGACUAUUAGCUACGAUUUUAAAAAUUUGUCACAAUAAAUACCAUUUUGUGACCAAAUUUAAAGUUGUAAAAAAUAUCAUCUUAAAAAAUCAAAUUUCUUAUAGUGGCCGAGGCCUAUGAUAGAGCAUAGCUCUAUGCCCAUUUACCUCUUCAACUGCCAUAGAGAACUAGAAUCCCACUUGCACCCAAAACAUAAAAACAAUGUACACUUGGCAUGAACUCUGAGAAAGCUACGUAAAAAUGAUUUGAUGGCCAAGGAUUACAACAAUUGUACAACCAAAAGAGGUAGAAAUCCAUGUCUAGUAUAGUGCCCUCGUUAACACCUCUAAAUACUGAGUCAAAUCAAUAGGAAUUUCAUUGUGGGAAAAAAAAAACUAUGCUACGAAUGGUCAGCCUUGCUAGCCUUUAUAAGCAACGCACACAGAUUAUAGAACGAUGCAGUGAUGCAAACCAAGAACUAUUAGGGUAUAGACAGUAAGAUUAAAUAGAAUAAUUUGAUUCCAUUUCUAGCAAACUUUGCCUAGAGACUUGUUAAAAUCUAAUCAGUAAACCUGCUAGAUUUGACAGGAAACAGGUAAUGUCAGGCAAAUCGCCUUCUCCUAUUUUAGGGCACUCAUGUAUAAUAGUGACUUUAAAAGUGUAAACAUAUUUUGAACAAUUUUAAGGAAAUUAAAACUAUAUUUGACACAUCACGAAAUGGCUAAGAUACAAGCUUCAAUUCCAGUACAACAAAUAUAACUUCAACUGUCAAUUGAAGGAGCGAGAUAAAGAGGAGAGACACGAAGCAAUAUACCAUUAUGAGAACAUUGCAGCAUACAAAAGUGUAAACGGCAGAGCAAUAUCUCAAAAUCAUGUCGUUUCCGAUGUGUGCUCAUUUGAAAGUGCAGAAAAACCACUCAAACAUGCCUGUACAAGGAAAGCCAUGUCAGCCACCAAUGUCGUAAUUACACCAAUUACGAGGCCCAAAACUCCAUCAGCAACAGUAGAAGAACCGAUGUCAACAUCAAUCUACAGAAAGUUUCUAGCAGUCACGAGCAUUAUCACGAUCAUCGUGCCGCAGAUUGCCCUAAAAACAAGACAAAUCAAUUUGAUCAGCUUGUUCUUCCUCUAGAGCUGCGAAUAAUUGAAAAAAAAAAGAUUAAUUCCAUAGAAAUCCAUUAAUGAGGACAUUAAUCCAAUAUAUAAAAAUGAAUAUUUAAGUUUGAAGCUCCUAGCUUGAAGCUUUCCAAAUAUAAAGUUACAUAGUGAAGGACAACAUUUGUCCAUGAGGUUUCUAAAAUGGCAACUUUUGCACAGUAAAAUUAAAACGGACGGCGGAAGCUCUAGAAACCUCGGAUCGGCUUCAUUCAAAAACGAAAAUCACGAGGAAAGAUUUAAGUUUAAUUAAAUCACUUUUAGUUUCAAAAACGGCUUCGUGAAGUAGAAGAAAAAGACUGAAAACAGCACGCUACGAACACUGUCCAGAAAAUAGAGCUCUGCACGAACAGCUUCUGUUUUGCCACGAUUUGAGAUCCUUAAAGCACCCCAAUUGUGAUGCCUCUAAUUAUUCCACACUUAGAAAUGUUCUAGGAGUUCAUAGGAUUUGGAAUCUCGAAAUUUCGUUUAGAAAUGAAAGAGAUAAUGAAAAAACAUGAAUGCUAGUUCAUGAUGAUUCAUUCCAUCAAAUAAAGCUACCAUUAUCUCUAAUAAUGGCACCAAACAUUAUCAUGUGCUAGACCCACCCACUUAGUUAUUAUUUAUUGAAAGUGAUCUUAUCACUUAAAUAAAUUAUUUAAUCAAAUAAAUAAAUAGCUAAAUUAAUUAAUUUCGUAAUUAAUUAAUUAACCCCAUUUUGAUCAAAUCAAAUGGUUAAAUGUGGGCUCAUUUUGUGACAUGUUCUAAUGCUUUCUCUUAAUCCAUAUUAGAUCUAAUAAAAGCCCAAAAUUCUAAACCCAAAAUUGGUCUAGAAGUCCAUAAUCAUAUAUGAACCGGAACAUGUCCAAAAUGGUCAUUUUACGUGCUUGAUAUUGCAUAAUGUUUAAUGGGGAUUUAUGAAAUUUAUUUUGUUCCUUAAACUAUUUAUGGAACAUCUAAAUUUCUAUCUUAAAUCAUAUUUAAGAUAUAUUUAUAUAUAUAUUCAUUCUUAAUGAAUUAUAAUAUAAAUAUUGAUUUUCCUAAAAUUAGGAAAUUUAACUUCUCAUUUUCUAGUAACUCCUUUUUCAUUUCUAUUUAGUGUGUGACCUUUCAGGUUCUUAGUUAUAAGGUAGUAGAACUAUUUUAAUGAUAACUCUUUAUUCAUUAAAUGAUGCUAAACUCUUUAGUAAUCAAUUAGAACUUUUCUAAUGACCUUAAGAUGCAUAGCUAAUAGGCUUUACCAAUAUUGAUCUUAAGGUUUCUAUAAGUCAUGAGUGACACCUAGCAGUAUAUCACAACUAUCCAAAUAACAAGAAUUGUUGGAUCUAUAAAACCUAUUUUAUUGUAUCUCUAUGUCUUGGUCUCUUCAUCAUCCAUGUCUAGAGAAAAGCACGGCUUAUGGUUUAUUAUGUUAAGCAGUUAUGAUUUAUCUCAAAAUAAAUCUAAAUGAACUUAACAUGAAAAUAUAAUUUGAACUCCUUCAAAUAUAUUUCACCUUGGCCAAGGAUUUCUCAUGCCAAUUCAUAUUAUCUCAUAGGGACAUCCUUUUUGUAUAUUACAAAGUGAUUAAUUCCAUAUUAGCCAUACACUUGUCUUCAUACAUAACCAACCAUGACAGCUAUUGCUAGAUCUCUUCCGUGAUUAGGAAUCCAUGAUUAUGCUUUCACAUAUCAGAGAUGUCUAUGUAUAAGACAUCUGUUAUGCCUCAAGUCUAAAGACCAUUAUUAAACAUAGUGUCUAUUACAAUGUAUAAUAAGCCAUUAACACUCAAAACCAUAUGACUUACUAUAUUUGGUCAUGUUCAGUAAACUCGUUCUCUCAACAAGUACCUAUGUGUUUGACUUGACAUGUCAUGUCAAUGAUAUGAAACUCACCAUCCAUUUUAGUAUCACAUACCAUAAGGAGUCAUAACACAUACUAGUGUUUAUAGGAAUUUAUAAUGUCCAAUCAUAAAUCCACCACUAGGAACUAUUUUAGAAGUAUAGUACAAAGGAUGCACGUUUCAUACUCUCGACAAACUCGAGAAUGUGUUCCUUAACUAUUUUACUUCUUGGACUAUAUUCAUUAAAUUAAUUUAUGAAUGUUGAUAACUUUGCCAUUUUAUAAAUAUCAAAAUGCUAUUCAAAUACAAUAAUUCCCUAAACAAACAAACACCAUUUGAUUGGCCUUUAGGGCAUAUUACUAACACAUAGCCCUUAGAAGGCCGAUUGCAAACAUCACCUUUCCCGGGGAUGGAGAGGAGGACGUCCUCAAGGAUAUUAUAAAGGGUUCUUAGUUUGAGUAGGUCAGUAUGGGUAGUGGCACACUUGAGGUAGUCAAUGGGAUAAGAAUCGGCCUCCAUCCUAUAGCCGAGGUUUCUUUUCUUAGAGGGUCGGCUCGGCUCAGAACUAUUCUCCUUGUUAUCACUUUCUUUUUCAGGGAUCCCAGCCCCCUCAGAACUGUGAUUCUCACCAGAAGCCGAUGCUUGUCCACCGCGAUUUCCCAUAGGUUCACAAUCAGAAGGAGGCAAAAUGGCCUUUGGACGGGGGUACUCAAGGGUAUCUCUAUUAUAAGAGGGACCUAUGUUACUGGAAGGAUUUUGGGGAUCAGUGGGUCUUAAUAAAUUGGGGUAUGAAUCUAUCUCUUCAUCACUCUCAUUUACAAUUAUUUUUCCCCUUCGUCUUGACAUAGUGAAGUCUUAAGAGAAAAAUAUAACAAAUUUAAGUAUAUGGGUACAAAAGUGUUGAGUGCGGAAUGCAGAAUCAAGCACACCAAAUAAUUAUAGAAAAAUAAUUGACACAAAAUUUAUGUGGUUCAGUAAUUAAACCUACAUCCACCGGAGCAAGAGAAAAAUAAUUGUAUUAUUAACAAUUAUUUGAGUACAAAUUUGAGUAAAGAAAUCUUACUUUCCCAUAACCCAAAUACACCCAGUACUCUCACACACACACUCUCCAAUUGCUCACACUUUCAGAACUCUCAAAAGCUUAAAAACUAAUAAGCUUAACAAAUUUUUUGGGAUACUUUAGAAUGAAGAAAUGACUUUAAUUUAUAGGCUUCAAGCUUGCACUAUUCCACUUAAUCCCUCUGCAAUUUGUCAAUCUUCAUCUCCAUCAAUUUGACAAAUUUUGCUAAAUUUUCCAUUUUUCUUCAUUUAGUGCAGGAUUGUCAAAUGCCAAAUAUUUUACAGCUUGCAGUUUUGGUGCCGACUUUGAAAAAACAAAAGCAAUGCAUGUGGCUCACUUUUCUUUUUCAACCAAUUUGAAAACACUCAUUGACUUUUCAACAAUUUUCCACCUCGGCGAAGAUUUGUUCAAAUAUGAGCCGACUCCCAACCAAUCAUCAUCCCCAAAGUGGCUGCAUCUCUGUGACUGCUACGUACACAAAAUUUGGGAUCAAGCCAACCGUAGUUCAAAAUUCCUGAAGGACAUAACUUAACAUAAUCGAAGGAUUUGAAUUAGUCUCAAGCAUUGUUGAAACUUAACUCCAGAAAUCACCUUUGUCAACAUAUCUGCUGGGUUAUCCUUGGUAUUGAUCUUUUUCAACAACACAUCACCACCCUCGAUAAUCUCUCUCACAUAAUGAUAUUUCACAUCUAUGUGCUUCGACCGAGCGUGAUAUGUUUGAUUUUUCGCGAGGAAUAUCGCACUUUGGUUAUCACAAAAGACCGCAAUGUUCUCUUGGAUUACUCCCAAAUCACAAAAUAAGCCUUUCAACCAGAUAGCUUCCUUUACAGCUUCAGUUACUACCAUAUACUCUGCUUCCAUAGUGGAUAGAGCAAUUGUCGAUUGUAGAAUCGACCUCCAGCUAACUGAUCCUCUACCCAAUGUGAAUACGUAGCCAGUUGUUGAUCUUUGCUUUUUAAGGUCUCCGGCGAAAUCAGAAUCACAAUACCCAACACAUUGUUGACCACAAUCCUUUUUUAACAAUAACCCAACAUCAACUGUCCCAUAUAGAUAUCGGAGAAUCCACUUUACCGCAAGCCAUUAAUUUUUACUCGGAUUGUGCAUGUACCUACUAACCAUUCUCACUGCUUGAGAUAUAUUGGGCCUUGUGCAUACCAUAACAUACAUAAGACUACCCACAACACUAGCAUAUGGAACACGAGCCAUGUAAUCGCGCUCCUCUUGAGAUUUAGGACAUGAAGAAGAGCUUAAUUUGAAAUGAGGAGUUAGAAGUGUACAUACCAGUUUAGUUUUGUCAUCCAUACCGAAUCUUUUUAGCACUUUCUUCAAAUAAGACUUUUGAGUCAACCAUAUGCUCCCAUUCUUCUUGUCUCUAUGAAUUUCCAUCUCAAGUAUUAUAUGUGCAUCACCCAAGUCUUUCAUCUCGAACUCAGAAGCCAGCUGCUUCUUUAAUCUUUCGAUCUCAUCUCUAUUCUUCAAAACUAUAAGCAUAUCGUUGACAUAGAGUAACAAAUAGAUGAAAGCUCCAUCUAUUAGUCUUCUAAAGUAAACACAAUGAUCGUGUUCACUUUUGGUGAAUUUCUGCCCUUGUAUAAAUUAAUCAAAUCUUUUAUACUACUGCCUUGGCGAUUGCUUCAGUCCGUAUAAAGAUUUAAUCAACCUACACACAUGAUUCUCCUUUCCAGUAACUUUGAAACCACAAGGCUGAAUCAUAUAGAUUUCCUCCUUCAAAUCUUCAUGUAAGAACGCCGUCUUAACAUCCAACUGAGCCAACUCUAACUCAUAUUCUGCAACUAAGGCAAGUAGGAUACGAAUGGAAGUAUGUUUUACAACUGGAGAGAAAACUUCAUUAUAGUCAAUACUUUCCUUUUGAGCAAAACCUUUUGCCACGAGUCUUGCCUUGUAUCGAGGAGUUGAUUGAUUUGGAGAUCCUUGCUUUUUGGUGUAGACUCAUUUAUUGCCAAUAGUCCUUUUCCCUUUUGGUAACUUUACAAGUUCCCAAGUCUGGUUUUGAUGGAGAGAUUUCAUCUCUUCCUCCAUGACUAACUUCCACUGAUCACUUUCACUGCUGCGUAAUGCUUCACCGAAAGUGUUGGGGAUGUCAUCAUCAAUAACUGAAAGUGCAUAGACUACCACCAUAUCUUUAGUAAGCCAUCCGGGUUUCUUUAUCUCUCUUCUUGGUCUCCUUGUUACUAUAAAAUCAUCAUUAUCUACAGCAUCAAUUGUUUCUUCAUUUUGUGGGACAUCAGAAGAAAUAACAUAUUCUUCAACUCUAGGUAUCACCUCCAUAGUUGAACCCUUAUUUGAUGUAGAACUAACUGGUACAUAUGGAGUUGUAUCAAACUUCACCAGCUGCAAUACCUCUUUGGUUUUGUUUUCCAUUUGCUGAGAACUUGAAGUUUUCAUCAUUGAAACUUCAUCAAAUGUGACAUCUCUGCUACACACAAACUUUUUGUCUUUGAGAUCCCAAAACUUAAAGCCAUUUACUCUACCUUUGUAUCCCACAAAAAUAGCUUUUCUAGCACGAGGAUCCAGUUUACCAUCUUUGACAUAAUAAUAAGCUAGACACCCGAAUAUACGAAGGGAAUUAUAGUCUUGUGCAUGCUUUCCAGACCACAUUUCUAUAGGAGUUUUACCUCCAAUUAUAGCAUAAGGCAACUAGUUUACCAAGUGACUUACGUAGUUCACAGUUUCAGCCCAAAACUUUUUAUCUAAACCAGUAUUAGAUAACAUACACCGUACUUUCUCCAGUAAAGUACGAUUCAUACGCUCAGCUACACCGUUCUAUUGCGGAGUAUGUCUCACUGUGAAAUGUCUUUUAAUACCGUCGUUCUGGCAUACUUACAAGAAUGGAUCAGAAGUAUAUUCACCCCCAUUAUCAGGUCGUAAUACUUUGAUUUUUCUGUCAGUUUAAGUCUCCACCAAUUUCUUCCAUUUCACGAAAAUCUCUAGAACCUCAACCUUUGCUCGCAUGGUGUACACCCACACACGUCUAGAGAAAUCAUCAACAAAUGUAACAAAAUAAUGGCUUCCACCAAUUGAUGUAGUCUUGGUUGGUCCCCAUACAUCACUAUGAACAUAUUCAAGGAUUUCACGAGUAUCGUGAUUAGCUGUACCAAACUUGACCCUUGUUUUCUUGCCUACUACACAAUGCUCACAGAAAUUUAAUUUAUAGGUUUUGGUACCUUUUAAGAGUUCGUGCCUCAUCAGAGUUUGCAAAGACUUUUUGCUAGCAUGUCCUAGUCGUACAUGCCAUAGCUUGGUGGUGUCACUAUGCGCCUCAAUAAUAUUUGCUUCAUCAGUUGUACCUCCCUUCAAAUAGUACAGAUUGUGACGCCGAACCCCUUGUAGAAUCACCAUAGCCCCAUGUGUAAACUUCAUUAUACUAUUUUCAAUGGUAGCCUUGUAGCCUUUAGCUUCUAGAGCACCCACAGAAAUUAGAUUUUUCUUUAAAACUAGAACAAAUCUAACCUCUUUGAGUUCUCUGACCAUUCCAUUAAACAUUUUGAGCCGAAUUGUUCUUAUCCCCAUUGUGCGACAAUGUUGAUCAUUCCCUAUCACAACUGCACCGGAUUUUAGAUUACGAGUAUUCGUAAACUAUUCCUUAAUAGGACACAAAUGAUAGGUUGCUCCAGUAUCAAGUAUCCACUUACUCGAACUAGCCACGUAUGCUGCAAGAGUAAUACUUAGUGAAUAAUCAGAAUCUUCAUCUUUCGUGCCAUGUUUGCUGCUGUUGGUUUUUUCCCAUCUCUGUUUUGAGCUUUUAGACAAUCUUUCCUCCUAUGAACCUUUUCAUGACAAAAGGCACACUCGUCUCGAGCUAUAUCUCUGCUUCUCGAUUUGGAUCGAGAAUUCUUUCCACCACCCUUUUUCUUUUUCUCCAUCGCCCAAUCUUUACUCACCAAAACUUCAGACGAUACUCGUUCAGAAUUUUUAUUAUUAUUCUGAAUCUCCAAGUUAGUCAAUGCUGUGCAAACAUCUUUGAAGAUGAUCACGCUUUUCCCAUAUAUCAAGGUAGUCACAAAAUGGCUAUCUUCCUCUGGUAGUGAGUGUAACAGAAUCAUAGCCUUGACUUCAUCCUUAAUAUCUUCAUCAAGAUUCUUCAAAUCAGCAAGUAACUUUUCAAAUCUCGAGACAUGAUCGUGCAUUGAUACCCCAGGCUUCAUUCGAAAGCCAUAUACUUGGCUCAUUGCAUGAAGACGAUUUUCAGGACUUUUCAGCCUAUACUUCUUCUCUAAUGUAUGCCACAAAGUCACCGCACACUCCUCAACUUUCACCAAGUAUUUUACCUCCUUGGUCAAAUAAGAUCUGACCUGACCACAAACUUUCUCGUUCAUACGAUCUCAAAUUUCUUCAUCAUACAAGUGUAUUUUAUUUUUCAAAACAAUAUCGAGAUCGAUUUGAAUAAGGGCAUCCAUAACUUCGCGCAUCCACAUGCCGAAAUUGAUUUUCCCAUCAAACUUUUCAACAUCGAUCUUCUGGCCUCCUAUAACAGGUGCUGAAUAGCGAUUUUACAAGUCUCGUCUCCCACUUGAAGUGUCUUCUAAAAUAGUCUCGAUAGAUCUCUCCUUAAUUCUGGAAGUUUCACCUUAUACCAUUUUCUCAACGAACUAUUUCCACUUGAAAAACAGCCUCUAUGAUGUUAAUUUCGCGUGAAUAAAUGUCCCAGGAAAGUUCCCUAAAGACUAGACGGGAACUCGGUCCUAAUUAAAAAUCGGAAUCCUUAGACUCUUAUCGCCUUUGUUGACAGAACUUUCAUAGACAUGUAAAAAUACACACUACUUACAAUAGACUGUCUCCCAAGUACAAAUGGCCGCCUCCACCGUAUUCGUGAAUAGUACUGUAUAUGUGAACAAUACAGUAUACUGGAAUAGUACUGUAUAUGUGAAUAGUACUGUAUCCCCCCAAGUACGAACCGUCGGCUCUGAUACCAGUUGUUGAGUGCGGAAUGCGGAAUCAAGCGCACCAAAUAAUUAUAGAAAAAUAAUGGGCACAAAAUUUACAUGGUUCGGUAAUUAAACCUAUAUUCACCGGAGCAAGAGAAAAAUAAUUGUAUUAUUAAUAAUUAUUUGAGUACCAAUUUGAGUAAAAAAAUCUUAUUUUUCCAGAACCCAAAUACACCAAGUACUCUCACACACACUCUUGGUAGUGUGUCUUUUAUGGGCACGAUCUGACUAGAAAAGAUACCGACCAGAAGUUCAUACUGACCAGGUACUUGUCACUCAAAGAGAGGACGUGAUCUCACAAACACGCGACAAUUUCACCACGCCCCAAACCGCUGGGAAAACACGACGCCCCACGAUUACCCACGUUCGGUUGUUGAAGACCCAUUAAGGCCCUUAACCACCCAAAUAUGACGAGCAUGGAAAAUACCCUGAAAAAGUGGGAUGAUUGCCUAUAAAAAGCGGAGAAAUCAAUGAAGAGGGGGAGAGACAAAAAGAGAGAGAGGGGAAACUCUGUCAAAUUGACUCCAGGCAUUGUUACAUAGCCACCUUAAAUACAUUUUAUCUUAAGAACAUCGCAAUGAAUGUGUGUGAGCAUAAAUCAUAUAGUUUUCCCGUAAAUUCCAUUUCCUGACUUAAGUAUCGGAGGGUUUAUGCCGGAAAAACCAUCAGCGUCUCUGAUUUGUUUUUGUGAAUGCAGGUUUAGAAAGAAAAGGGAGAGUGAUUCGGUUCCCAGGAGCUCGGGCAAUUACUAUAGCUGGUGGAGCGCAACCUCUUCUUCAUUGUCAACACACUUGUUGAUGAUCCCAUCUGGUCGGGCAAAAGGCGACUAGAUUUCAGCAUCAACAGUACGUUCAGACAAAACACCUACUCCUGUUUUAGAAACGGCCUCCUCUAUUUUACUGUUUGGUGAUUGCAAAAAUUUGUCUAAAUAAUGCAUAGUUGUAGAGUUAAGAAAAAAAGUUAUGUUAAAAUAAAGAAGCAUCAGAGAUCCCCCGAUAUUAUUAUCAUCCAGAACAAUAUGUUUAUUGGGCCAAAGUGGGCUAACAUACAUGGGUUCAAGCUUGCAAAAUCCACAUUUAUGUAUAAUUAUAUAGUAAUUAAAUACUGAAUUUGAACUCAUACAACUAUUCAAUCAUUUGGAUUUCAAAUCUGUGUUCAUUGAACUAAAUACUGUCAUGUAUUCGAGUGAACAGAUAAAGAAUUCACAAUCUGUUCUCAAUUUUGACUUCAUAAUAUUCCAGCUAUGGUCGCAUUUCUAUUACUGUAUGGUAAAUAUGACUUUUAAAUAAUUUUUUUGACAAAAUUAGUCAAGGUGCCAUAUGUGUAUCAAAUAAUAGUUGAUAAAAUCAUCUUAUAUUUUGAACUACAGAAGUAAGUAUUCAUCAAACACUUUAUAAUUGUCAGUCAAUGUUUAUGUGAACGUGACCGAAAAUGGUUACUAAGUGCAUGUUUGGGAGUUAGGAUUAAGUAUGGGAUUAGAAUAACUUUGGUAUUAAAUAUUUUAUCCCAUGUUUGGCUACUUUGCUUGGAUUGGAUUAAGGAGGACUAAAUUUAAAUUUAGGGCUUAAAUCAUGGGAUUAACAAUCGCAAUUUAUAAGUGGAUUUAGAUGGGAUUAGAAUAAGAGAAAAAAAUUUUGUUCAUGUUUCUUUCAUAAAUAACACUAUUUUUUAUUUGAAACCUAAAAUUUAAUUACUUAAUUUAUUAUUUUAUUCAUGAUUUACAUGAAUUUAUUUUUUAUUUUAUUUUUAUAGUCUAAUUACAUUGGUACUUUACUCCAACAAAAUUAACUAUUUAAUAAUUUGUUACAAUAAUUGAUUGUAUUAAAUUCAAUAAUCAACUAUGUAAUAUUAAAAAUAAUCAUAGAAAUUAAUAAUACAAAUAAAUAAUUGAUUUUGUAUAUACAUUAUUUGCUAACUUUUUGAUAAAAUAAAAUAUAUCUAAAAUAUCCGAUAAAAAUUAAUUAAAUAAUUAAAUAGUUUUAUUAAUUUAUAUUUGUUUAUUAUGAAUAUGACUACCCAAUAACUAAUUUACUACAUAUUUAAUGCUAUUGUUAAUUAUCUUUAAAUUAAUUUUAAUUAUUACUUUUAAAUAUUCUUAACUUUUUUUUUGUAUUUAAAUAUGAUUUAACAUUGUCUAAUUCGAUAUUGUACCAAACAUAGUACAAUAUAUAAUAUAAUCUAGCUUAAUCUAAUCUAACUUAAUCCAGUCCAAUCUUAAAAAUUAGCCCAAUUCAAUUCUACGUGUCAAGCACAACCUAAGAGUUCCUAGUGUUAAAAAUUUAACAUACCCACGAUCCAUUAAUGGGAUAAUUUAUUUUAUAAUAAUCAAAUUGAAGAUCAAUUUGUACGAUGAUGAGCUUUCAUGUUUCUGUCAAACAUGAAAUAAUUUUGUAAACAAUGGCCACGUGGAACUUAUAACCAAUCAUCAUUUGUUGAUAGACAAGUGAAAUAACAAAAAAGCAGCGGGUUUGGGCUUUCUCCAGGAAUCGGCUUAACACAAACAAUGUGGGGUUUCUUGAUCUUCUUAAAGAUCAAGCAUAUACGUAUACAUGUUCUAUACCUAUCAAUCAUUCCCCUAUUCUUCGGUUUGGUGAUUGCAAAUAACAUUCUUUGCAUCUACUCUUUAUUUAUUUAUUUAUUUUUAACUCAUUAAUUCUUGUUCUUCUUAAAGCGUUUAGUAAAUAUAUCAUCACCGGGUCAAAUCCCUAACAUUAACGUACACAUAAUCUAUUAAUGAAAUUUAUUAUUUUAUCAUAAUCAAAUUGAAGAUUAGUUCAUGCAGUUUUCUAUGAUGAGGAGUAUUCACUUUUCUGUUAAAUACAAGAACGAUUCGUAAAUAAUGUCCAUUUGGAACUAGUAAUAACGAAGCAUCAUUUGUGGACCGAAUAAAUGAAAUAACAUUUUAGUUUCUCUCUAAAAUGUCAUUCUUCAUUCAAGCUUUUGCUGCAUCUUUUAUCAGGCAUCUUAUAAAGCUUUUCCCUACUAAUACUAAUAAACUUUGUAAAUCAAUAUUCUUUUCAAUUUCACAGGACACAAGUAAUGCAUAUUCAAGCACAACAGGUAUUUAUUCGUUAGAAACUCCAACUUAAUUAUUUCAUUGGAAAAUAUGAAACGCAGAGCCAUAAACUAGUGCUUUCUUCAAUUUAAUUGGGUUGAACAAACUUUUUAAUGUAUUUUCCCCAAUCCAUUUCUUUUAUCUCACUGCAUGCUUUAUUAAAGCUUUGUCUUUGUUCUUGAUUGAUGACCUUCAAAAUUAAAUCUUAAAAAUCGGGUAUAAAAGGGGUGCUUGAUUUAAGUCUUCUUCUUUUGCAAUUCAUUGUUAUUGCUCUUUUCAGCUUUUUACUCGCAAAACUUCUUACUCACAAAUUCCUCUGCAGUUAACCGUGAUCUUUUACUCAUUAAAAUUGUUCUUAUUAAUUCUUUUUUAUAGAGAGAGAGAGAGAGACUCAAAGAGAAUUAAAAAAAAAGUAAUUCUAAAUUUUUGCUUGUGCAUUGUGUGAUUUUUACCAUUUUUAAAGUUGGUGAUUUGUAUUGAAUAAAUAAAAUAAUAAAUAGAUUUAUGGACUACUCUUUUUUGUUAUAAUAAACAUCAGAGGUCCUUUCCUGAUGUUUCAUUCCAUAAGAAUAAAUUAUAAUUUUAUUGAUAUAGUAACGUCAAUAAUAGAAAUCCUAACAAACAUACAAACUUUAGAUUAUGGAUUAAAGCACUACAAGGUGAAUGGAUCACAACAAAUUAUUUAUACUACAAGGUGAAUGGAUCACAACAAAUUAUUCUGACGAAAGCAUAAACAAGAUGAUUGAAUCAAGAGACUAUUACAUGGGAAACCAAUCCAGAUGAAGCCUGUGAUAAAGAAUAGCCGUACGCCCAUUUACCUCUUUAGCUAAGCUGCCAUACUGAAGGAGGCAAUCCCACCCGCACAAAACAUGAAAAACGAUGUACACGUGGCAUGAACUUUGAGAAAGCUACAUAAAAAUGAUCUGAUGGCCAAGGGAUACAACAGUUGUACGACCAAAAAGGGUAGAAAUCCAUGUCUAGUACACUGCCCUCUUCAAUACCUCUAAAUACUGAGUCAAAUUGAUAUGAAUUUCAUGGAUGAAACUAUGCAACAAUCGAUAAACCUUGCUGGCCAUUAUAAGCCUAUGCACACAGAUUAUAGAACGAUGCAGCGAUGCAAACCAAGAAUUACUAGGGUAUAGACAGUAAGAUUAAAUAGAAUAAUUUGACUACAUUACAAGCAAACUGUCACGGACCGCAAUCGUGGCACCCAAGAUAUGCGCUUGUACGCUAGUGUCGAUGAUGGUUGUUGAUGCUGAAAUCUGCUCGCCUUUUGACCGACCAGAUUCUUUCACCAACGUUUGUGUUAUCUACUGUUGCUCGUUCACUGGGAUUGGAUUCGUCCUCCUUUCUCUCAAUAGACCUGCGCUCACUAAAAACGGAUCAGAGACGCCGGUGGUUUUGCCGGCGUAAACCCUCCGAUGUCUAAGUUAGCUCAAGGUGUUUACGGGAAAACAGUGCAAUUUAGAUCUCAAAACGGUUUCUAAAUUAUUCGGAGUUUAUAAGAAAAUGGCCUGAUUGUAAUUUGGCAGCGUUUUCCCUCUCUCAAUUUUUUCUAUCCCCAUCUUCAUCGAUUUCUUCCUCUUUUAUAGCCGUUGUCCCCACGUUCCCAUUUGCCUUUCACCCUACCUUUUUCGGGUAGUGGCAGCCUCUCAUGGAACUCUAACCGCUGCAUUACGGGCAAACGUGGGAUCUCGCAUCCUCCGCAACGGUUCUGGGAACAGCGCAACUACCGCGAUUCUGUGGGAUCUGUUCCCGCUUUUUGGGGGACGGGUACCGGCUCGGUAUAUACCUCUGGUCGGUAUAUUUCCCUGGUUGGUAAUCGCCUCUGGUCGGUUCAUGCUUGUCCCCGUGUUCUGCUCGCACCAUUUGGCUAAGAUGAUCCAUGCCGGGGUGGAGAUUAGUAGCAUGGCCGACCUGGUGCUUUUAUUUACUUAACAAUGGUUGUGCUGAUUGUUGGAGACGUGCUUCAGGGGCGUGCGUGUUGGGAAUACAAUGCCCUAGACUCUUUGGAGUUCAGGCAGGCCGACCCGGUUGAGUUUGGGGAGCUUGUCGCUAGUCAAGGACUUAACGCUGAAGAGGGGUCUAGGAAAAUCCUGACGCACACUGGUUGGGAAUUGAAGCCGUUCUCCUGAUGAGCCCAAGGCAGGGCGAAACCAGUUGACAUUGUGUCACUUCCUCUAGGCUUACUCUCGUAGUAUGGGAUGCGGGAGUGCCGCACGGGCUCGAAACCUCUCGUCCCGUGACAAAUGGUAUCAGAGCCGCGCUUGUCAUCUCUCGAAGCCCUCGUCGCGAGCUCGCCAAGCGCUCCAAUGCCGCACCACGCGGGUCCCCACCCUUUCAGAUACAAGAGUUGACAAGCGGGACGAACAGGCGGGUUCUCACACCCCCAAGCGUUCGCACCAAGUGGAUGGUGUCUCCAUGCGGGUCCUCUCCAUGGAUUGAGGACGUGCAUGUAGGCAGGGAGUUCAUGGGUUGAGUUUGGCAAGUCGAUCUUCACAUUUUUGCGUGGAAGUGCACACUUGCGAGGCGUACUCCUCAUGCACGAGGACGUGCAUGGUUAUGGCGGUGGGAGAAUGUCACGGACCGCAAUCGUGGCACCUAAGAUAUGCGCUUGUACGCUAGUGUCGAUGAUGGUUGUGCUGAUUGUUGGAGACGUGCUUCAGGGGCAUGCGUGUUGGGAAUACAAUGCCCUAAACUCUUUGGAGUUCAGGCAGGCCGACCCGAUUGAGUUUGGGGAGCUUGUCGCUAGUCAAGGACUUAACGCUGAAGAGGGGUCUAGGAAAAUCCUGACGCACACUGGUUGGGAACUGAAGCCGUUCUCCUGAUGAGCCCAAGGCAGAGCGAAACCAGUCGACAUUGUGCCACUUCCUCUAGGCUUACUCUCGUAGUAUGGGAUGCGGGAGUGCCGCACGGGCUCGAAACCUCUCGUCCCGUGACAAAACGCUGCCUACAGACUUGUUAUAAUCUAAUCAGUAAACCUAUUCGACUUGCUAGGAAAAAAAUAGGGCUUUUUUGUUUUCAUUCCCCUUUGGUGAUUGCAAAAAUUUAAAUCUAAAUUUAUGGUGCAGGCUACAUGGCACCUAGUGGAUGAUUGUUAGGGUUUGUCUUUUGCUCUUAGUUAGGAAUUUAAUUAAGAAUUUAUAGUGUGCGCCUUAUCGAAGUAGGUUUCCUAAUAGUAAUUAAAUAAUCCAAAUUUAUGAUGCAUUAGCAUAUGAUUGUGAUAAAUAAGCUUUUUAUGUAUCCUGUAAGGCUAAUUACUGUUUUAUUAGAUUCUCUUGUUAGUCUUGUGAAUCAACGAGAUUUAAUUAGUAGUAGAUAAUACUUUAGGCUUCACAGGCGCACUAUUUUAUCCGCUAAAUCAAUUUUUUUUUUAAAUUAAAAACAAUUCAUCAAACACUUUAUAGUUCUAACUUUUAAGCUGGUAAACACUUUAAGCCACAACUUUAAAUUCAGUUUACGAGAAUUCCUAAUAGUCACAGUGGCUUGGGUGGAAAUGAAUAUAAAUAAUGAAAUACUAUCUAAGCAACUCAAGGGCGGUGAAUUGAGUUUCUAAAAAUUUUGUAAAACUUAAUUCAAAUAUGAAACGAAUUAAAACAACAGUAAGUAAAUCAACCAAAAUAUAAAAAGAUAGGGGAAGAGAGAUUCAAACACAGAGAUUUUUAUGUGGUUCGGCCAACCUCGCCUACAUCCACGCCUCCAAGCACACCGAGCUUGAGGAUUCCACUAGUCAUGCCUUUAAGGCUUCAAGAACACCUACAAUUGACUUCAAAGAUGUCAAUCAACCUUUACACCAAGAAAUUAUCCUCAAUCUCUUAACCCAAGUGUAUCCUAACACUUACAAUUUCUCAAUUUGAUUUAAAAAUAAAUACAAAAUAAAUCUCUCUCACACAAUGUGUUUGAUUACAAAUGAAAUUCUAAAGUGUGAAUAAAUGAGAUGUAUACAAGAAUUUAAAACUCAAUGAAAGUUGUAUGCUCAAUAAUUUGCUCAAUGAUAAUGGUUGGAAUCGUUGUUAUUUGAAUUUGAUUGAACUUAUUUAUAGUUGGAGCUGAAAUAUAGUCGUUAUUGACUUUUUGCUCAAUGUUGGAUUGCCGUUUUGACUAUGAGCAAGUUACCGUCGGACAAAAUUUUAAAUUCUCGGACCGUCGAUUUCAAGAUGUCGAAUCGCCGUUAAUGUCCAGAGGCUGCUCUUCAAUUCUGUUCAAUGUCGGCUAGCCGUUAUCAAGAGAUCGGUUAGCCAUUUGCUACAAUGACUGCUACAGUGAACUAUUUCUAAAAUUAUAAUUUGGCCCCAAAACUUUAUAAAAUUUACUAUGACCGAUAACUUUAUAAAAUUUUGUCAAAUAAGUCCAUUUCCAAAAUUUUAAGCAAUAUUUGCUAAUUUCAAAGUUCUCAAAACUUUUUCAAUUUAAAUCAUUAACAUGAAAAUAACUAAUAUCAUAAAAUUACUUUUCAUUGAAUAUAAAGCCUUAAUAUGAAAAAAAAAUAAUUUGAGCUUUUAAAUCAAGCUUAACCAAGUUUGUUAUCAUCAAAAUCAAUAUUAAAGAAAUAUUUAUGUUGACAAAUAAUGUUUAAUUUUAAUGUACAAAGCACUGGUGCAUUUAGAAGGUACUACUGUGUAAACAAAAUUUGUGCUUGCAACUCAUCUUUUCAUUCAACUUUCUAAUAAUAAUAAAAUAAUACAGAGGAGAAAUAGGGGCUCUCUUUCCGUUUCCCAGUGUUUGUGUUUGGUGAUUUUAACUUUAUCAUGGAAUUGUCAAUUUUUAGUUGAAAGUUAUCUAAAUCUUCUUCUCUAUAUAAGCGUUUACAAUGAUUUUGUGAAACACAGCAAAAACAAUAAUAAUAAGUAUAUUUAUUCAUCUAAGAGGUCAAACUCUCAUGCUCAGAUAUGGAUAGUCCCAUUUUUUGAUCAGGGACAUCUCUUUACAAGCGUUGAAUUAUGCAAGCAAAUCGCUCCUCAAAAUUACCAAUCUACCCUCAUCGUUACCUCUCAAGUACCCAUAACUAUAGUUACCCAUUACUCUCUUCGCCAAGGCACACAGAUUAAAGAAUGCUUAGGGUGAAGGCAGUAACUGUCCUGAAAUAUGACUUUUAAAUUUUUAUUUUUUUUUUACGAAAUUAGUUAAAAUGCCAUAUGUGUGAUCAAAGUUGUUAAAUAUCUUAUCUUUCAAAUUAUAGGAGUAAAUAUUCACCAAACACUUUAUAAUUUUUAGUCAAUGUUUAUGAAAACACGGCCGCAAAAUGGUUACUAAUGCUAGGGAUCAAUAAUCAAACUGAAGUUUGUACGAUGAUGGGCUUUCGUGUUUCAGUCAAAGAUGAAAUAAUUUGUCAAUAGUGGCCAUGUGGAACUUAAAACCAAGCAUCAAUUGUUGACAUAACAAAUGAAAUAACAAAAUGGCAGCGGGGUUGGCGAUACAAAAUCAAAUCUUUUUUAUUCUUUUGAUUUUUGAUUUUUUCUAUUGCAUUCUGCUUUCUUAAAAGUUUGGUCCAAUUAAAGAGAAUACGGAGCAAUGACUUGUAUCAUCUGUGGAAUAAUCCAUAGAAAUAUAUAUGUGAAGCACGCCAAAGAAAAUGGCGCUGAUGACAUACUCCUAAGAAUUGUUCAUACUGAGUCAUCCAUCAAUCAACGGGUGGAUUAUUAUCUCACUGUAGAUGAAAUUCAACUGCAGAAGUAAUCGGAUGUGGGAUCCCAAUUUUGGCGUGACCAAUUAGAGGUUAUCAAUAUUAUAAUGCGAAAUUGAUGAUCAAUCAUCUUAAUGUGGGGUACAUGAUUUCUGAUGAUCCAUCAAAAAUACAAAGUUGAUUCAAAAGGAUGAUACGGUGAGUGGAACAGACAGGCUGAUGGGAAAUCAAGCUAUUAAAAAACGAGCUCACAUGCUUCAUAUUGCAUUUGAUCAUGGCUGUCCUAGAAGUUCAGUGGCUGCUUCGGAUGCUUUCAAAGUUCUUAUUAACCAGAAAGCAGUUUAACAAAAACAAGUAUUGUGCAUAUUAUUAACCAUAUGCUUUCAAAGAUCAUGUAUAAGCAUAUCAGAGAUCUUGUUGGCUUGAAGAUCUUCUUUGGAUGCUUUCAAUACCUACACUUAUACUACCAUAUGUAAAGCCUUUGUUACUGAUUGCAUUCAAUUAUUCAAUUAAAAGUCUUACAAAGCAUCUAAAAUGGAAGAUGGAACAUCCUCCAUCCAAAAAACAAAACGGAAGUCAAAACGUUGAUAUUGUUUUAUGUUUAAUAUCAUGAUACUAGAACUUUUUAGGCUAAAGCACCUACCUGCUGUGAGCUUUACUACAAAAAAAUGAGACUAUUUAGUUGUGAGACAAAUAGAGAGGGAAAGUUUUUACCAUUUAGCUAAAUUUCGAUCUUAUGCAAAAUAAUAUAAUUCAUUUGUUAUUAUGACCUAACCAACUCAAAACAAAAAGGAUUAUUAUGGCCUAACACAGUUCAAAAUGCAUGCAACAAUGGUGUAUUUAAAAUGGAACUAAUGUACAAAUAAAAUUUAUGCAUCUCUUGGAGGAAGGCCUUUAGGCCAACAAAUGAAAAUAGUGAGCUCGCAUUUUCUAUUAUCAUUUUCACCACUUGAAAAAGAGAGGGAAAAAAAUUGAGAGGAAAAACAGGGCUCCCCUGUUUUCAUUUCCCAUUUUUUCAGUUUGGUAAUUGUAAAUAACAUUCUUUACUUCCCUCUUUAUUUUAUUUUUUUUUUAUUUUUAACUCAUUAAUUCUUUUUCUUAUUCUUGCUAAAGCGUUUAGUAAAUCUUAUGAUCAUCUGAUCAAAUCCCUAACAUUAACAUACCCAUAAUCUAUUAAUGAAAUUUAUUUAUUUUAUAAUCAUCAAAUUGAAGAUUUGUUCAAUUUUGUAUGGCGACCAAUUUUCAUUUUUCUAUUAAACAUAAGAAGAAUUUGUACAUAAUGUUCAGGUCGAAACUCGUAAUAACGACGCAUCAUUUUUCGACAGAACAAAUGAAAUAACAAAAAAGUAUAAAUCAAGUCAUUAUUGAUCCUACUUUGAUGAUCGAACUUUGGUUUCUUUCUAAGAUGCCAUUCCUCAUUCAAGCUCUUGCUUUUCUCUUUUAUCCGACAUCUUACAAAGCCUUGUCCCUACUAAUAAGCUCUGCAUAUCAAUAUUCUUUUCAAUUUCGCAGGAUACAAGUAAUGUAUAUGCCAAAAUUAUUCAAGCACAACAGGUAUUUAUUCGUUGAAAACUUUUAACUUGAUUAUUUCGUUAGAACAUAUGAAACGUAGAGCUAUAACUUAGUGCUCUCUUCAAAUUAACUGGGUUGAACAAAAAAUUUUAAAGUAUUUUACCCGAUCCAUUUCUUGUAUCUCACUGCAUGCUUUGUUAAAAGCUUCGUCUUUUGGUCUUGAUUCUGAACUUCAAAAAUUAAAUCUUAAGACUCGGGUAUAAAAUGGGUGCAUGAUUAAGUCUUCUUCUUUUCCAAUUCAUUGCUAUAACUCACACCAACAUUUUACUCAGACAUUCCUCUGCAGUUAACAGUGGUCUUUUACUCAUUAAAAUUUUUCUUAAUAAUUUCUUUGGAUACCCGUUCUCACUUAAUAUUCAAGGCGAAUAGAGAAGCUCAUCAACUCUUUGAUCCCAGACAAUUAAAGAAGUACACAUGUUCUAAAUCAUCUAAUAAUUUCUUUUAAUAGCUGUUCUUAAUUUCCAUCUACUUUGCAAGAAAAAAUUUAUCUUGUUUGUUUUCAUCUUGUCAUCUAUUUUGCUUGAGUUUUAAGUUAUUGUUCAUUUGUAAUGUCUGUGUUCUUAUUAUUAGCUUUGGAUAAUUUGCAUCCAUGUCUUUUCUUUGUUUGUGGGCUUUUAUUCAGACCCCCUGAAACCUUUCUGUUAAUAUAAAAACUCUAAUCCUUGAGCAAAAGGUUAAAAAAAGAAAAAGAAAGAAUUCUCUGUUUAGAUAUCAGUUGGGUUAAGAACAAUGUUGUUUGUCUCCUGUCUUUUCUUUGUUUGUUUGUUUGUUUAUUUUGUCAUUUUAUUAGAUUUGCUUUGUAUCUAAUUUUACUUGAAGAUUAAAGCUGAGCGAGAAAUGCCUUUUUUUUUUUUCUGAAGCAACCUACAAAUUUUAGAAUAGGGCCAAGAGUAUUAAAGAUUCAAUUAACCGCAAAAAGUUAUUUACAUGCAUCGCUUGCAAACUUAAGCUUAUCAUCCCAAAUUGAGUUGCUUGCAUUAGAAAUUUUCAUGCAUUCACGAGCAUUAUCAUCAUAUCACAAGAUAGCCUGAAAAACAAGAUAAAUCAAUUUGAGCAACAAGUUUCCUCUGUUUUCGUUCCUCUGUUUUCAUUCCCUGUUUAUUGAUAUUUUUUUUUUUUUUUGGCCUGAAAUUAAGAAGAAAAAAGUGGUAAAACAAGUCACCACUGUUUUUAUUCCCCUGUUUUUCGUGGAAAGAAUAAAUGAAAUUGAAAAAAAAAAAAGCAGCGUUGGCAAUACAACAUGAAACUUUAAAUUUUUAUUUUAUUUUUAUUUUUGAUUUUGAAUGUGCAUAAGUCAAAUCAUAUAUUAUUGAUCUUACUUCGAUUAUUUGCUGUUUAGUUUCUCUCUUAAAUGCUUUUUGUUUGUUUCCGGUAUUUGCUUUUAUAAAAGUUUUAGUCCUCAAUCAUUCGUUCAAGGAUUUGCUUUCUCUUUUAUUAGGCAUUUACAUUGCUCUGUCGAUCAAUAUUCAUUUGAAUUUCACAGUACACAAGCAAUGUAUAUACCAAAACUUAAUUAUUUCUUUAGAAUAUAUGAAAACGUAAGAGUUGUGAACUACUGCUUUCUUCUUCAACAUGCGUCAACAGGGCAACAAUAACCAAAUACAUGAUAUACAAAAGCGGUGCAUGACUAAUUCUUUUUCUUUUGCAGGUCAUUGUUAUUGCUCUCGUCAACUUCUUUUCUCACACAUUUCCCAGCAGUUACCAGUGAUCUUUUUUCUCCUUCAACUUGUUCUUACAUAUUAAAGGCGAAAUAGAAAAGCUCACCAACUCUCUAAUCCCAGAUAAUUAAAGAGGUGCACGUUUUCUAAAUCCUUUAACUUUUUUUUUUUUUUUUUUUAUAGUAGAACCCCUGAUCCUUGAUCUUGACAUUUGUUCCUUCAUAAUUUCCAUCUACUUUCCAAGAAAAAUUUCUCUGGUUUGUUUUAAUAUUAUAACUUAUUUUGCAUGAGUUUUAAGUUACUAUUCAUUGUUAAAGCUUGUGCUCUUAUUAUUUCCUUUGGUUAACUUGCAUGCUUUUCCCCAAAAAAAAGAAAAAAGUUUAUAAAAAGAUUAUAGGUUUUUACUCAGACCCUUGAAACCUUUCUGAUAAUACCAAAAACACUAAUCCUUUAACAAAAGAAAGCAAGAAAAAAAAAGGUCCUAUAUUUUAAUAUCUGUUGGCUUUGUAUUGAUAUUGCUUGUUUGUUGUCUUUUAUUUCAUUGUUUGUAUCUAAGUUUACUUGAAGAUUAAAGAUCAGUAGGAAAAGCCCUUUUUAUAAAGCUAACAUACACAUUUUAGAAUAGGGCUCAACCGCAUGAAAAUAUUUACAUUGUAGUAUCUCAUAUUAAUAAUCUAAAAAAAACCAAUCCAACAAGUUCAAAUUCACUGAAAUCUAAAAAAGAUUGCUUUUAAGGAGUACAUGAUAGCUAUUGAAUUUUGGUUAAAGAUCUUUUAGGCAGAAUUGAAAUUCACUCAGUCAUAAAUCAACCAAUCCAACGAGUUCAAGUGCAGAGUCAAUUGAACAAAUUCAUCACUUGCAGAAUUAAGCUUAUCUUCCGCAAUUGAGUUGUUUCCAUUAGAAAUUUUCCCGCAGUCACGAGACUAUCAUCAGAACAUGAUUAUUUAUAUAAGAACAAGAGUUAAGAGGAGAAAAAUAAGGCAAAACAAGAUUCUUCUGUUUUCAUUCCCUUUUUUUUUUUUUUGUUUGGUGGUUGAAAAAUUUUAUCUCUAAAUUUUUAUAAUUUUUCGUUAAAGUUUAUAUUUAAAUAAAGGGUUAAAAAAAUCUAGUUCUAAAUUUAUGCAUUGAAUGAUUAUUAUUAUUGGUUACGAUAUCAAUUAAAUAACAAAUAGAGCUACUAAUCACUUUGUUAAAAAUGAACAUGCGUUCUGUUUAUAUGACAGAGCAAAACACGGGGUGCACGCUUAAGUCUUGUUCUUUUACAGUUCAAUUGUAUUACUUACUCUCAUAAACUCUUUACUCACAUUCCUCUGCAGUUAACCGUGAUCUUUUGCUCAUUAAAAUUUUUCUUAUAUAUUCAAUGCCAAUAGUGAAGCUCAUAAACUCUGUGAUCCUGAAUAAUAAAAGAGGUGAACUUGUUCUAAAUGAUAGCUAUUCAACUUGGUUAAAGAUCUUUUAGAAAGAGUUCAAAUUCAGUCAAUCAUAACUCAACCUAUCCAACAACUCCAAGUCUAGAGUCGAUUGAGCAAGAUUCAUCACAUGCAAAAUUAAGCUUAUCAUACCCAAAUUGAGUUGUUUCGGUUAGAAAUUUUCCAGCAGCCAUAAGCAUCAUCAUUGUGUUUCCGUUAGGAAAUUGAGUUGCUUAUCAUACCCAAAAUAUUUAUAUAAGGACAAGAGUUAAGGAAAAGAUCCCUCAAGGAAAAGGUCCCUCUGUUUUCAUUCCCCUGUUCUUUCGUUUAGUGAUUGAAAAAUUUUAUAUCUAAAUUUUAUUAUUUUCCAUUGAGGUUCAUUUAAAACAGAAAAGAAUUAAAAAUGUAAUUCUAAAUUUACCCUAAUUCACGGAGUGAUUAUUAUUAUGUUAUCUCAAAAUUGGCCAUACGAAUUAAAUGACUAAUAGAGUUAUUGACAAUUUUGUUAAAAAUGAACAACCGAUAAGUCAUUAUCUUUUGCACUUCAUUCUUAUUACUCUCAUAAACAUUUUAAUCACAUUUCUCUGUAGUUAACAAUGAUCUUUACCCAUUAAAAUUGUUCUUACAUAUUCAUGGCAAAUGAAGAAGCUCAUCAACUCUGUGAUCCCAGAUUAUUAAAGAGGUGCACAUGUUCUAAACCCUUUAAUAGUUUCUUUUGAUACCAUAAUCUAAUCCUUGAUCUUGAUAAUAGUGCUUUCGCAACAUCCAAGUAAAAAUUUCUCUUGUUUGUCUUAAUCUUGUCAUUUAGGUUUCUCGACUUUUAAUUUAUUAUUCAUUGUUGACUUCUGUGUUCUUAAUAUUAGCAUUCGUUAACUUACUUAAAUCCAUCCUUUUCAACAGCCAGAAAAAUAUAUAUUGUUAAGCAACAGGAGAUGGCAGAAGUAUGUCUUGCUAUUUUUUCCUGCGUAUCAGAAGGUACAAAGACAUUGUCUGAACCGAUUAUAGGGCAGAUGUCUUAUGUGCUCAAGUGCCAGAGCUACAUAGAUGGGCUAAAAGACCGAGUAGAGGAGCUGGGACAAAGAAGAAAAAGGGUGGAAAUACUGGUUGAUCAGGCUCCUGGACAAGGAUAUAAGAUUUUUGGGGAUGUCACAGAGUGGCUAGGGAAAGUUGAGCAAUUCACUCAAGGGUAUGCAAAACACAUCAUUAAUGAUGAAGAUGAAGUUAGGAAGCCCUGCUUUAAAGGAUUGUCCCCAAAUUUGAUGUCUCGUUAUAAACUCAGUAAACGAGCAGUGAAGGCUGCAAAAUAUGCUGAAACUCUCUUGGCAACAGGCAACUUAUGGAUCAUGAGUAAUGUUUCCCACCCUCCUUCCCCAAAGAUGAGAGAAUUUGGCAACAUGAAAGAUUACGAUAUCUUUAAUUCGAGAAAGAAAAUAUUUCAAGAUGUUAUAGAGGCGUUGAAAGAUGAUAAGCUCAACAUAAUUGGGGUCUGCGGAAUGGGCGGCGUGGGUAAAACCACGCUAGUCAAGCAAAUUGCAAAGCAAGUUAUGGAAGAUAACGUGUUCGAUAAGGUCGUUAUGGCUGAGAUAACAAAGAACCCAGAUGCUCAAAAAAUUCAAGGAGAACUCGCUUCCGAUCUAGGCAUGAACUUUGACUCGAAUGAUCACAUAUACCACAGAGCAAAACAACUAUGUCAAAGAUUGAAGAAAGAGAAGCGAGUCCUCAUUAUAUUAGAUAAUAUUUGGACAAAACUUGAGUUGGACAAAAUUGGAAUUCCUUAUGGGGAUGUUGAUGAGAAAGAUAAAAAUGAUGAUCCGAGAAGAUGACGAUAAUAUUGACGUCUAGAAGUCGAGAUUUAUUGUGCAUUGAUAUGAAUUCUCAGAAAAUGUUCUGGAUCGAUGCUUUAUCAAAAGAAGAAGCAUUGCAGUUAUUUGAGAAGAUAGUGGGUGAUUCCACAAAAGCAUCUGAUUUUCGACCUUUAGCAGAAGAGAUUGUUGGAAAAUGCGGAGGAUUGCCUGUUGCACUGAGUACAGUUGCAAAUGCUCUGAAAAAUAAGAGUCUUGCCAUUUGGAAGGAUGCGUUGAAUAAGCUGACAAGUUCCAAUCUAAGAGAAAUUCAUGGUAUGGAUGCAGAUGUGUAUUCUUCUAUAAAAUUGAGUUACGACUUCUUGGAUGAUGAAGCAAAAUCUUUGUUCCUUCUUUGUGGUCUGCACCGUGAAGGUCGUCCUAUACACGUACAUUACUUACUGAGAUAUGUUAUGGGAUUGAGAUACGAUAAGGGUUUGGGUCUAUUUAGAAAUGUUUACACAUUGGAAGCAGCAAGGAAUAGAGUGGAUGCAUUGAUCGACAAUCUAAAAGCUUCAUGCUUAUUGUUGGACGGUGAUGCUGAAGAUGAAGCUAAACUGCAUGACGUCAUUCAUGUUGUUGCUGCAUCAAUUGCAGAAGAAAAGCUUAUGUUUAAUAUUCCAAAUGUUGCUGACUUUGAGAGAGAGAUGGAAGAGACAAUACAGAAAGGUCCAAUUGCUAUUUCUUUACCUUAUAGAGAUAUUCAAGAGCUCCCUGAAAGGUUGGAAUGUCCCCAACUCAAGUUAUUUUUGUUGUUUGCAAAGUACGAUAGCACUUUGCAAAUUUCAGACCACUUUUUUGAAGGGACGGAAGAACUCAAAGUCUUAGAUUUUACUGGAAUUCGUUUCUCUCCAUUACCUUCAUCACUCGGUCGCCUCAUUAACCUUCAAACAUUGUGUUUAGAUGGUUGGCGACUAGAAGAUAUAGCAAUAGUUGGACAGCUAAAGAAAUUAGAGAUUCUCAGCCUUCGAGGUGCCGAAAUUAAGCAGUUGCCACUUCAGAUUGGACAAUUGACAAGGUUACAGUUGCUAGAUUUGAGCAAUUGUAGCAGCCUUGUGGUGAUAGCACCAAAUGUCAUAUCGAAAUUAUCUCGAUUGGAAGAACUAUAUAUGGGUGACAGCUUUUCACAGUGGGACAAGGUUGAAGGAGGAAGUAACGCCAGUCUUGCUGAAUUGAAGGGGCUGUCAAAGCUAACUACUUUGGAGAUAGAUGUUCGGGAUGCUGAAAUGCUGCCGCAGGAUUUGGUCCUUGGGGAAUCGCUAAGAUAUAGGAUAUGAAUAGGAGAAGUGUGGGGCCGCUGGUCUGUUAAAUCUGAAACAUCAAGAUUGAUGAAGCUUCAGGGGCUAGAAAAUAUUAGCAUUCUUUUGAGGAAUCAUGGAAUGAAAAUGUUGCUGAAGAAAACUGAAGAUCUCUAUCUACAGGAACUGAAGGGUGUAAAGAAUGUUGUUCCUGAAUUAGAUGAUGGGGAAGGUUUUCCACGAUUAAAGCAUCUUCAUGUAGGAAAUUUUGCGGAGCUUUUACAUAUUGUCGGUUCAAUUCAUUGCAAAGUCUUUCCCCAGCUAGAGUCAUUGUCUCUUUUUGGUUUGCUUAAUUUGGAGAAGAUAUGUUACAGCCAAAUCACAGAUCAAUCUUUUAUCAACUUAAGAAUCUUUAGCGUACGUAAUUGUAACAAAUUGAAGCAUCUCUUCUCAUUCUCUAUGGCCAAAAGCCUAUUGCGGCUUCAACAAAUAAAAGUGGGUCUUUGCAACAACCUGGAAAUGAUUAUUGGUAAGUGUUGGAAGUAUUUUGAGGAAUUAUAAAAAGCUACUAUUACUUAAUGACAGAAGUUAAUUAUUAAUUUUGUUUCUAGGACUCAACAAGGAGACAAGUAAUUUCGGUUUUAAAGAAAUCAUUGCAGAGGAUGAUCCUGUUCAGAAGGUGAUAAUUUAUGAUCCUGUUCAGAAGGUGAUAAUUUUCUCUUUAAUAAUUAAUUAAUAUAUUAUCAUGAUUUAUUUCAAUCAUCAAAAGAAUAUUAGAGAGAUAGGGAGGGGGAAAAAAAAAAAAGCUUACGGUUUUGCUUUGCAGGUCAUUCUUCCAGGCUUAGAGGAGUUGGAACUUGAUAGAUUAGCAACCAUUGAAAAAGUAUGGCCGGAUCAGUUUGAGGGAAUGUCUUGUUGUCAAAAUUUAACAAAAGUGACCGUGGAGAGGUGUCAUCGCCUGAAGUAUCUAAUAAAUUUGUUGACAUUCUCAAUGCCUGAAAGUUUUGUGAAUCUUGAAAUAAUGAAGAUAGUUGAUUGCAAAAUGAUAGAAGAAAUCAUAAAAUCACAGGUUGGAAUAGAAGCGAAACAUUGUAUUGUUUUUAGGAAAUUGAAGUACUUGAGGCUUGAUUGUUUGCCAAGCCUGACAAGCUUUUCUUCGAGUAAUUACACUCUUGAAUUCCCCUUCUUGAAACAAGUAGUUGUGAGACAGUGCCCAAAGAUGAAGAUUUUCUCUCAAGGAGGACUCUUACACACACCAAUGUUGAACAAAGUGCAACUCACUGAAGAAGACGAUGAUGAAGGGUACUGGGAAGGCGACCUCAAUAAUACCAUACAAAAGUUGUACUACAAAGAAGUGGUGAGUAUUAAUUAAGCAUUGGUGCUAGGCCACUAGCUUUAUUUUAUGAAUAACACAGGAGCCCUAACCACAUAAAAAUUAUCUUAUAUAAAGUGGUGAAAUAAUAUGGUAGGUUGACAUAUAUAUACAUGUAUGUAUGUAUGUAUGUAUCCACGUAUAUGGCCCAUGUUUUGUUUUACAUUUAACCAGUCAUAUUAUGUUACAUCAAUUUUUAUAACAUUAUUUAGAUAAUAGUGUCUGAAACUGUAUCAUUAUUCUUGAUUUAAUUUUGUUAUUAGUUUUUUUUUCUAUUAUUAGUAUUAUCAUUAAAAGGUAAACGUUUUCUUACCCACCUCAUAAAUUAGCAUGCUUUAUUUUGUCUUUAACUUAUUGAAAACAUUAACCCACGCCCAUUUAGCGUUAAAAGUACAAAAUGUUUGCCGAAGAAUAUCAUCAACACAGGCCCCUAUUCACGCUAUUCUUUUGGAUAGUAAAUGGGGGUGCGUUGAUGUUAUCAUUAAUUUGGUAGACAUCGGGAAACUGUAAUAAUAUAAAAAACAAUUGUGUGUGUCUAGUGAAUUUUUUUUUGGUUUGUGCAGGAUAGAGUUCGUGAAAUGACGAAGUUGGAACUCUCAAACUUUCCACGUUUCAGAGAAAUGUGGCAUGCCCAAGCACUGCCUGUUAGCUUCUUCAGCAAUUUAGUAAAGCUAGUGAUGGAUGACUUCAAGAAUAUGACUACUGCUAUUCCAGCCAAUCUUCUACGGUGCUUGAACAAAUUAAAAAUUCUGGAAGUGAGGAAUUGUGAUUCAUUAGAAGAGGUGCUCCAUUUAGAAGAGCUAAAUGUUGAUGAACAUUUUGGCCCUCUGUUUCCUGUUCUUGUCCAGCUAGAGCUCAUUAAUCUUCCAAAACUCAAAAGAUUCUGCAGCUUCAUUGGGAAUGUUAUUGAACUGCCUGAGUUGUUGAAUCUGAACAUUGAGAAUUGCCCUAAUAUGGAAAUAUUCACUUGCAAUUCUAUAUCUAUAUUGCACAGGACAACAAAUAAAGAACCUCUGGAAAUAACACCAAAGGAGAACUUCCCGCUAGCUGACAUACAGCCUCUCUUUGAUGAAAAGGUGAUUGUUAUUAAGUUUUUUUUUUUUUUUUCCUUCGCUUUCAUUCACAUAGAUGUAAUUCUCAUUAGAAUUAAAAUUAAUUUUAUUUAAUGAUCUUUCUGUUGUCUUUACUCUUUAUAUCUAAUCUAACGGUUCUAAUGCAGUUAUUAACUAAAAUUUCAGUAUACACUCAUAAAAAUGUCAUCAAAUUAGUUAAAUGAUUGGUAACAAGGGGUGAACUCUAUCCAUAUUAUCUCUAUUCAGAUUUGAUUUAUGUGCUUCAAGGGUAACUAUUUGAAUUUUAUUUUUUGGUUCCUCCGCAACUAAAUACAAUUUGGAUAUAAAAUGCUGUCGUCAAUCUUUUCCAUGAAACUGCUUACGAAGACUGCCGACGUUAGAUAUAUGUUCUCAUUUACAACUUUUUUUUUUCCAGGUUGCAUUCCCCAAGUUACAUAUGUUGAACCUGUCUAGAAUACCCAAGGUGUCGCAUCUAUGGAAGAAAAUUUCCGAAUCCAACGAAGUUUCCAAGUUUUUGAAUACUCUAGUAAUAUCAGAAUGUAGUAAGUUACGAAAAUUAGUACCAUCUUUGUUGCAUUUGGAAUAUCUGGCGACUCUAGAAGUGUCGAAGUGUCACGGGUUGACAAAUUUGUUGACGAUCUCAACAACUAAAAGUUUAGAACAUCUUUUAGUAAAUCUUGAAAUAAUGAAGAUAGCUGAUUGCAAAAUGAUAGAAGAAAUCCUACAAUCACAGGUUGAAAAAGAAGAAGAAAUCCUACAAUCACAGGUUAAAAAAGAGGAAGAUUGCAUUGUUUUUGGGAAAUUGAGGUACUUAGGACUUGAUUGUUUGCCAAGCCUAACAAGCUUUUAUUCGGGUAAUUACACUCUUGCAUUCCCAUCCUUAGAAGAAGUAGUUGUGAGACAGUGCCACAAGAUGAAGAUUUUCUCUCAAAAAGGGCGCUUACACACACCAAUGUUGAACAAAGUGCAAUUCACUGAAGAAGAUGAGGAUGAAGGAUGCUGGGAAGCCAACCUCAAUGAUACUAUAAAAAAAUGGUACUACAAAGAAGUGGUCAGUAUUAAUUAAGCAUUGGUGCUAGCUUUAUUUUAUCAAUAAUACUAGAGUCUCAACCUCUUAAAAAUUAUUUUAUACAAAAUGAUGUGAUAUAAUAUGGUAGGUUGUGUGUGUGUAGCCCGCGUUUUGUUUUUUGUUUAACCAAUCAUAUUAUUUUAUAUCAGCUUUAUAACAUUAUUUAGACAAUAGUGUUUGUAACUAUAUCUUUACUCAUUAUUUAAUUUUGUUAUUAGUUUUGUUACUGUUAUUAGUAUUAUUAGUAGUAUUAUUAUUAAAUGGUAAAUGUUUUUACCCAGUACCCACCUCAUAAAUUAACAUUCCUUAUUUUUGUCUUUAACUUAUUGAAAACAUUAACCCAUGCACAUUUAGCUUUAAAAGUACAAAAUGUUUGAUUAAGAAUAUCAUCAACACAGGCUCCUAUUCACUAUAUUCUUUGAAUAGUAAACGGGGUGCGUUGAUGUUAUCAUAAAUUUGAUGGACAUCUGGAAACUGUAGUAAUCUAGAAAACAAUUGUGUCCAUAUAUAUAUCCACUACAGUUUUCCUCUUUUUUUGUGGCUUUUGCAGGAUAGAGUUCGUGAAAUGAUGAAGUUGGAACUCUCAAGCUUUCCACGUUUGAGAGAAAUGUGGCAUGCCCAAGCACUGCCUGUUCGCUUCUUCAACAAUUUAGUAAAGCUAGUGAUGGAUGACUUCACGAAUAUGACUACUGCUAUUCCAGCCAAUCUUCUACGGUGCUUGAACAAAUUAAAAAUUCUGGAAGUGAGGAAUUGUGCUUCAUUAGAAGAGGUGCUCCAUUUAGAAGAGCUAAAUGUUGAUGAACAUUUUGGCCCUCUGUUUCCUGUUCUUGACCAGCUAGAGCUCAUUAAACUUCCAAAACUCAAAAGAUUCUGCAGCUUCAUUGGGAACGUUAUUGAGCUGCCUGAGUUGUUGAAUCUGAACAUUGAGGAUUGCCCUAAUAUGGAAAUAUUCACUUGCAAUUCUAUAUCUAUGUUGCACAGGACAACAAAUAAAGAACCUCUGGAAAUAACACCAAAGGAGAACUUCCCGCUAGCUGACAUACAGCCUCUCUUUGAUGAAAAGGUGAUUGUUAUUAAGUUUUUUUUUUUUCCCUUUGCUUUCAUUCACGUAGAUGUAAUUCUCAUUAGAAUCAAAAUCAAUUUUGUUUAAUCAUCUUUCUGUUGUCUUUACUCUUUAUAUCUAAUUUAACGGUUCUAAUGCUCUUAUUAACUAAAUUUUCACUAUACACUUAUGAAAAUGUCAUCAAAUUAGUUAGAUGAUUGGUAACAAGGGGGAGAACUCCAUCCAUAUUGUCUCUAUUUAGAUCGGAUUUAUGUGUUUCGAGGGUAACUAUUUGAUUUUUAUUUUUUGCUUCCUCUGCAAAUAAAUAGAAUUUGGAUAUAAAAAGUUGUGAUCAAUCUUUUCCAUGAAACAUGCUUGUGAAGACUGCCGAUGUUAGAUAUAUAUUCUUAUCUACAACUUUUUUUUUUAUUUAAUUUUCAGGUUGCAUUCCCCAAGUUAUAUAAGUUAAAACUGACUAGAAUACCCAAGGUGUCGCAUCUAUGGAAGGAAAUUUCCGAAUCCAACAAAGUUUCCAUGGUUUUGAAUACUCUAGUAAUAUCAGAAUGUAGUGAGUUACGAAAAUUAGUACCAUCUUUGUUGCAUUUGGAAUAUCUGAUGACUCUAGAAGUGUCGAAGUGUCACCGGUUGACAAAUUUGUUGACGACCUCAACAACUAAAAGUUUGGUGAAUCUUGAAAUAAUGAAGAUAGCUGAUUGCAAAAUGAUAGAAGAAAUCCUACAAUCACAUGUUCAAGAAGAAGGGAAAGAUUGCAUUGUUUUUCGGAAAUUGAGGUACGUGGGACUUGAUUGUUUGCCAAGCCUAACAAAAGCUCAUGCCUUGUUGAUGGAUGCUGUAGAAGAAGGACUAUAUUGUUGUAGCAACAAGCCUGCAGAAAAUCACAGAAUACUUAUCUGUAUAUGAACAAAAACAAGUCUGAACCAGAGAGAAUGUUGUAGUAACUAUUGCAAAAAUCUAGAUCAAAUACAAACAAAACUGUCUAGAUUGUUCAUGUGCUAACUAAUAAAGUCUACUGCAGUCGAUACUGAACUACCACUAUCAUGUGCAGACAACAGAGUGGCAGGCAGCACAAAAGGGAAUGUGCUCCUAGGAUGCCAAAAAACACAAGUGUCCUAAUGCUUUUUAGUUGCCCAAAUCCCAAGAUAUAAAAGACCAUAUUUUAAGGAAAUACAUCAUCCACGACCGACACAUGCAAAGAGAACAGAAAGAGAGAUUUCAGAGUUGCAAUAGAGGCAUUUUUCGUGUUGAAAAAUGAGAGAUAAUAGAAGAUCAAAGCAUGACGUUUUGGGUCUUUUGUAUCUCAACGUUUUUUCUUGUAUUUGUUUAUUUUGUUCUCUCUCUGAUAAUGUAUUUAAUGGCAGACACUUGUGUUGUUACUGUUUCAAAGCUCAUCAUGAGCUAAACCUUAAUUUAGUUGGGUUUUGAAUAUGCUUAAUGGUUAUUUAAUUUACAUGUGUAUGUUGCUCAGAACCUGUUAUAGCAUUUUGUUUUAACUUUACUUAUUGUAAUUGCCUACCUCGGUUGACUACCUAUUUAGUGGAUAUUAGAUAAGAAGGAGCCUAAAAGGUUUGACUUAGUGGAAUAAAUUAAGAAAUACAUGGUUCUAGAUUAGGAUUCCCAAGUUGAGUUAAUCUCGAUUUGAAUAGGGCCAUGCUUAAUCUAAGAUUAGUGAAGAACUAGAUUUAGGGAUUCACCUUGUAGGGCAAAUAGAGUCUAAAACAUAAAAUGCUAUGUCUAAUGUUAGUUUAAUAACUAAUCACUAUUAGAUUACAUAUAGAUAUAAGAUAUCCAAAAAACGACAGUUGAAGACGCUAUAACAACUGUGUCUCAAUUGAAAGAUAUUCAAUAACCAAUAAGUGAGUUUAGAACCCGACUACCCUUUUGCCAUUUAGUAUAUUUUUUUGUUUGACUUUAGAUUCUCUUUAUUGCAUUCUAUUUGUUGCAUUGUUAAUUUCAUUAGAUCAUUAAUAUCAUCAUUUAUUUUCUUUUAUUUAGUUUAUUAAAAUUGCACUGUUAAGAUUGCUAUAGUAAGUCCUAUAACAUCAAUCCAUGUGGAGACGGUUUUGAUACUCAUCAUUAUAUUAUUUCUUGUGUACACUUGUAUAUUGACACUUUACCAAGUUUUUGGCGCCGUUGCUGGGGAUUGAGUGUAACACCCCAGUCUGAAAUCCAAGGGCAAAUAUGUCCAUAACUCACAUAUGAAUUUAAAUAACCCUUUACAAUCGAAAAAAAUUCAAACCUCCAAUAUAAUAGGCAGCGGAAUAAUUUGAAAAUUUUGUCAAACCAUCUAUCAUCCUCAAUUCAAGUCUACCUUCUCACUCAUUACGAAUCAUUCCUGACUUUUGGAAACUGAAUCACAAUAAACUAUAAUGAGUACAAAACUCAGUAAGCAAAUUAGUUUUCUUAUACUAAAAUACAUCCAUACUUAUACAUAAUGCAAAUGGAUGAUAUGUCAUGAUCUUUUGGAAAUACUAUAAAACAAAUUCAUAAAAGUCUCUUUCUGUCGCUUUCAAACUUUCUCAUUUUCUUUCAAUAAAAUACGUAUCCUACAAUGUGGCACUUUGUGCUGUGCGUGGCACUUUGCACCAUGCGUGGUACUUUGCGGCGCUCUGGCCCUCAAGAGGUGGCCCCCGCAUAGUCUCAAGAGGUGGCCCCCAAUGUAAAAUCUCAUAAAACAAAAAUUCUGUUUGCUAAAAUUCACUUGUUCAUUCAUAGAAAACUCAAUGCAUUUUCGUGCUCAUGCUAAUGAACCAUCACACAUACAUAUGCCCAUGUACAUAAUCAUGCCCAUUACAUAACAACACAUCACAUAAACACAUGAGCAGAGACAUAUAAAUCCAUAUUCGUACAUAUCAAAAUAGGUUUUUCAUACAAGUCAAACAUAUAUAUUAUUUAUUGUGAUUCGUUUUAAAGUCUAGUUUACUUACCUCUUGGUAUCCUCAUGCAACAAAUGCAUAUUGAUAUCAUCAACCUUAAAUCAUCAAUAAAUUUCUCAUAAGAUAUAAUCAAGUCUCAAUCAUAAACUCUAAUGUCCUGAAGUAUCUCAAUUUAAAUGUCCUCAAUAAUCGGCCCUCAAAACAUAACAGUCCAUAUUUCUCCGAUUUUUAAUAAACUAUUCUCUUAUUGGAAGAAUCUAAAAUUUUACCGACCAUAUGCUGACACAUUGAAAGUUCAUUGAUAAAUAUUUCGUAACAUAAUUCCUUCAAAAACUAUUGAAAAUAACUGACGUUUCAGACAUCAUCAAUACUGUCAAACAGUUUUCUAUUUUGAACACACUUGCUUUAAAAAUACAAAACAAUUUAUUGCUUUAUCAUAAAAUCAUGAACAUUUUUAGAAUCAUACUAUACAUAUAUAUAAAUCAUUGGUCCAAAUUUCGUAAUUGUUGAAGAAGUCUAGCUAUGGUAAAAAUAAUUUCGUAAUUUACGUUAUUCACUGAAAUCAUAAAUUUCCAGGUUUUCAGGCUUGAAUUUGAAAAAUCGUAAUUAAUUGAAAUCUUAUCUGAUUAACUUGAAACAAGUUUCAAAACAUUCUAAACGAUAUCUAGUUUAACAUACCCAAAAAUCAGAAUCAAAAUCAACUUGUACAAAUUACUAUGAUUUCCGUAAUAAUUCACUGUCAGCAUAUUUCUGCAAAAUCUUAGAUUUCUACUUCUAUUGCAAUAAUGCUUCUCCACAACAAUUUAAUAGAGACCAAUAAUUAAAACUUACCUCCAAAACUUCUCCCAACAAUAAAAACUUAAUUCCAUGUGUUGCCUAUGGCAGAACUAAGAAGAAGAAGAAGACUUCUUCUUUUUUUCUUUUCUUGAUUUUCUCUCUUGUCUCUCCAUCUCUCUCUCUCUCUCUCUCUCUCUCUUUUCUGUCGUUUUUUUUUUGCAACCGAUCCCUCUUUUCCUCUCUCUCUUAUAAUAAAAAAGACAUCUUGUUCUAUUUAUACUAGGGCAAAAAAGGAUCACUAAAAAUUAAAAAGAGUUAAAUACCCUUAGGAGAUUUGGAAUAUUACAUUGAGUGCAUAUUGUGAGUUUUUAAGUUAAUUUUUUUUCUUUUAAUUUGUUUGUUGUGUUAACAUAAUGCUUUAGCAACCCUUGCAUGCUCAAGUAUAAACCUGUUGAAUUUUAGUUUGAUCCAAAAAUUGAAAGAACUGCAAGGAGGCUAAGAAAAGAGCAUAGAGGUUUAGGAUCUGUUGCAGACAUGGAUGGUUUGUAAAAUGUGGGAGAUUUGAAUCCCCAAGGAGGAAUGAAUCCAAUUAAUGUUCAAAGAGAUAAUCCUCUUCCCAUUUUAGAUCUAGUUAAUGCACAAAGAGUUCAAGAAUGUCAGUACGGGUAGAUUGGUCAAGGGCAACUAGAGAAUAACAACAUUUUCUGCAUGACAGUUGAUAAAGAAAAUGUUGUUAGGGACUAUAUAGUGUUAACCCCUCAAACUAUAAAUCCUGGAAUAGUCAAACCCAAAGUUCAGGCUGCUCAUUUUGAGCUCAAACCAGUAAUGUUUCAGAUGUUACAGAAAGUAGGAUAGUUCAAUAGACUACCAUCAGAAGAUCUUCAUCUUCACCUUAAACUAUUUUUGAGGUGAGUGAUGCUUUCAAGAUUGCUGGAGCAUCACAUGAGGCAUUGAGGCUAAUACUCUUAAUUUUCUUUGAAGGAUCGAGUAAGAGAAUAGUUGAACUCUUUACUACAUGAUUCAAUCUCUACAUGGAAUACCUUAGCUGACAAAUUUUUGAUAAAGUAACCUACCAAGAAUGCAAAGUUGAGGAUGAGAUCACAUUUUUCCAUUAACUUAACGAUGAAAGCUUCUAUGAUGCUUGAGAAAGAUUCAAGGAGUUGUUUAGGAAAUAUUCUCAUGAUGGUAUCCCUUGUUGUAUACAGUUGAAAACUUUCUAUAAUUGUCUAAAUUCAAGCACUAGAUUGAUGGUAAACACUUCAGGAAGUGGGGCCUUGUUAUCUAAGUCUUACAAUGAGGCUUAUGAUAUUUUGAAAAGGAUAGCCAAUAACAACUAUUAGUGGCCAUCUACCAAACAAACUACAAUAAGAAGAAUAAUAGGAGUUUACAGUGCAGAUGCCUUGAUAGCAUUAUCAGCCUAAGUAACCUUAUUGAUAAAUAUGGUAAAGGAUAUAUCCACUGUUCCAGCAACUAUCAACAAAGUUGUUAAGGCAUCAUGUAUUUAUUGUGGAGAAGGAAAUUUAUUUGAUAGUUUUCUUAGAAAUCAUGCCUCAGUCAACUAUAUGGGCAAUUAUAACAGACAGAACCACAUCAACCCUUAUUCAAACACUUACAACCCUGGAUGGAGGCAGCACCCAAACUUUUCAUGGAGCAAUCAGAAUCAGAAUCAAUAUGUUGUAGAAUCUAGUGGACAAAAUAGACUUGCUCAACCAUUUAGAUUUCAUCAGCAAAAUCAAGGGCGAAGAGACACCAACAAUGAUCAACCCAACUCCCUUGAAGCCUUAAUUAAGGAGUACAUUGUGAAGAAUGAAACAUUUAUCUAAAGUCAAGCUAUUUCCUUAAGAGACCUAGAAAAUCAGAUGGGACAAGUUACUAUAGUAUUAGGUAACAGACCUCAAGAUAAUUUACCAGGCAAUACAGAGGACCCAAGAAGAGAAUGGAAAGAGCAUUGCAAAGUAAUUAACUUAAGAUCUAGAAAGGAUGUUCACAUUCUAGUUGGUGUACUAAAAAAAAGAGUUGAGCCCACUUCAAUCUAAGAAAAAACUCAAGUUGAAGAAGAUCCAUAACCCUCUACUUCACAGUACACAGGUGAAAACAGCAAAGCACACCAAUCCAAUACUUUACAAAAAAUGAUUAUCGAAUACCUAUUGAUGAAGAUCUUGCACACUAACCACACCAAUCCAGAACAUGGCAAAAGUGAAGCAGUUUGCACAACCUUCUACAACUCAGCCGUUUAGGCACCCACCACCCUUUUCUUAAAGGUUCAAGUGACAGAAACAUGACAAGCAGUUCAGUAAAUUCUUUGAAGUGUUGAAGCAAUUGUAUAUCAACAUCCUUUUUAUGGAAGGUCUAGAGCAAAUGCCAAAUUAUGUGAAGUUCUUGAAGGAUAUUUUGACAAAGAAAAAAAGGCUAGAAGAACUUGAAAUAGUUUCUCUAACACAAAAGUACAACCACAUGCAUCAGAAUAAGAUACCUCAGAAAUUGAAGGAUUCAGAAAGCUUCACAAUUUCAUGCUCUAUAGGCAAUAAAUACAGUGACAAGACACUUUGUGAUUUAGGAGCCAGCAUUAAUCUCGUGUCCUUAUCUAUAUUUAAGCAAUUGGGUGUUGGAAAGGUCAGACCAAUAAUAGUUACCUUACUACUUGCUGAUAGAUCUCAUGCCUAUCUAGAUUGAAGAUGUACUGGUGAAAGUAGAUGAGUUUAUUUUUGCAGUUGACUUCAUAGUAUUGGAUUUUGAAGCAGAUAAAGAAGUGUUUAUCAUUUUAGGUAGACCUUUCUUGUCUGCUGGUAAGACUCUAAUUAAUGUGUAAAAAGGAGAACCAACCGUGAGGGUUAAUGAUCAGUAAGUUACAUUCAAUGUGCUAAAUGCCAUGAAGAGUCCUGAUGAUGUUGAAGAUUGUAAUUUUGUUAAUGUUGUGGAUUUUACUAUAGUAGAAAGAUUAAACAGUUGCUGCAGCAGAAAGAUUAAACAGUUGCUGCAGCAAAGAAGAAAUCAAGGUUGCAAGAUUUAAAGAACUUGAUGAUAAACCUCAAGGCCUUGAAACAACUGACAUAACAUGGCUAGAAGAAAAACAACCCUUCAAAACUGAGAAGCAAAUUAAAUAUCUUGACCUUCAAAUAGGGAUAUAAAAUAUUCUAUUUCUUUUAUUAAGUCCUCAUAUUUUAGAAUUAAAACUUUUACCUUUACACUUGAAAUAUGCUUAUCUUAGUGACCGUGAUCAACGUCAUGUAAUCAUUUCAUCAUCUUUGAAUGCAGAACAAGAAAAUAGCUUAGUUUUUGUAUUAGGGAAACAGAAGAAGGCCAUUUGAUGGACCAUGACAGAUAUCAAAGGAAUCAGCCUCUCAAUAUGCAUGCACAAGAUUCUACUGGAGGAUAGUUAUGGCAAUUCUCUAAGCAAUUGAAAAGAUUAAAUCCUAUCAUGAAGGAAGUUGUAAAGAAAGAGAUCAUCAAAUGGCUUGAUGUUGGAAUCAUCCACCUAAUAUCAAACACCUCAUGAGUGAGCCCAAUACAAUAUGUUCCAAAGAAAAUUGGAGUGACAGUUGCAGAAAAUAAAAAGAACGAGUUUAUUCUUAUAAGAACUGUAAAUGGAUGAAGAGUCUGUAUAGACUACAUAAAGCUAAAUAAGACCACAAGGAAGGAUCGCUUUCCACUGCCUUUCAUAGAUCAGAUACUGGAUAGACUCGCUAGAAAGGAGUAUUAUUAUUUCUUAGAUGGAUACUCAGGAUACAACCAUAUUGACGUAGCACUAGAAGACCAGGAGAAGACAAAAUUCAUUUUUCCUUAUGGAACCUUUGCCUUUAGAAAGAUGCCAUUUGGCAUGUGCAAUGCUUCACCAACUUUCCAAAUGUGUAUAAUGUCCAUCGUUUCAGAUAUGAUUGAGCAAAUACUUGAGGUAUUUAUGAAUGAUUUGUUUCAGUUUUUGGGGAAUCAUAUGAUGACUAUUUGUAUAAUUUAAAAAAUAGACUUAGAAGAUGUAAAGAGACAAACUUAGUAUUGAAUUCGGAAAAAUGUCAUUUCAUUGUACAAGACGAGGAUAGUCCUAGGCUAUAAACUCUCUAAAAAAAUGAUAGAAGUGGAUAAGGUAAAAAUAGAGGUGAUUAAUAAACGUCUAUUAUCCACUUCAGUUAAAGGCAUAAGGAGUUUCUUGAGGCAUGCUGGAUUUUAUAGAAGGUUUAUUAAGGAUUUCUCCAAAAUAUCAAAACCUUUAUACAUGUUGUUGGAGUGUAACAAACCUUUUAAUUUUGAUGAUGAUUGCUUGAAGGCCUUCGUUGAGUUAAAGAGAGCUUUUGUUACAACACAAGUUGUUGUAACACCUAAUUAGAGUAUGCCUUUUGAGUUGAUGUGUGAUGCUAAUGAUCAUUCGGUUGGAGCAGUGUUAGGGCAAAGAAAAGGCAAGACUUUCCAUUCCAUUUAUUAUGCCAGUAUGACUCUAGCUAAUGCAAAUUCAACUAUACCACAACUGAAAAUGAGAUGCUGACAAUUGUAUUUGUAUUUGAUAAAUUUAGAGCCUAUUUGGUUGGCAGCAAAGUGACUGUUUACAUAGAUCACUCAGCCAUAAAAUAUUUGACUCCAAAGAAAGAUGUCAAACUAAGGCUAAUCAAGUGGAUUCUCUUCCUACAAGAGUUUGACUUAUAGAUCAAGGAUAGAAAAUGAACGGAGAAUUAAGUAGCAAAAUAUCUUUCAAGGCUUGAAGUAGAUGCAAGCACUUUGACCAAGCAGGAUAUCAUAGAAAUAUUUCCUUAUGAGCAAUUGUUCAUAUUGCAGCAUGCACAGAUGCUGCAGUAAUCUGAAUUUCCAUGGUUCACGGAUUUUGUUAAUUUUCUAGAAAGUGGAUUGCCACCACCUAACUUGAGCUACCAGCAAAAGAAGAUAUUAAUUUAUCCAUGAUGUCAGAAGCUAUUAGUGGGAUGAGCCCUACUUGUACAAGAUGUGUUUGUUAACAUAUAUGUUUCCAUAAUAUUGAUUUUGAUGAUAACAAACAAGAUUAAGAAUGAUUAAUCUUUUAAGCUCAAAUUAUUUUUAUACUUUUUAAAUAAAUCAUUAUUUUUACAUUAUAAAAGUUUUAUAUUUAAUGGAAAAAUGAUUUUAUGAAAUUGAUUGUUUUUAUUCUUUUUAAAUAAAUCAUUAUUUUCACAUUAUAAAUGUUUCAUAUUUAAUGGAAAAAAGAUUUUAUGAAAUUGGUUGUUUUUCAAAGUUUAUGGUUUAAUUGAAAGAAUUUUGAAAACUUUGAAAUAAACAAGUAUUGCUUGAAAUUUUGGAGAAGGACUUAUUUGAAAAGUGUCAUAGCUUUUUGGGCUAUAUCAUAAUUUCAAAAAGUUUUGGGAUUAACAAAGCAUUACUUAGAAAUUCUGAAAUUGGACCUAUUUGCAAAGUUUCAUGACGUUUUGGGCCAUAGUAUAGUUUUAUAAAGUUUUGGGGUCAAACCAUAAUUUCAGAAAAUAGUGCACUGUGAAGGUUACUGUAGCAUCCGGCUUAUCGGAUAUAAAAACCAAAAAACUGGAUACGGGGCAGAAUGUAUCCAGAACGUAAACGGCUUACCGGAUUUCGUAACCGGCAAGCCGGAUAGGCAAAAUUCAAAUUUUUGCCUUAAUGGUAACAUAAAUCCGGCUUACCGGAUUCCAAAAACGGCAAACCCGAUACGUCCAGAAUGUGCAUAACGGCUAGUUUUUGAGUUCAAACUAUAUAAACUCAAAACCAAUUCAUUUUUCGUAAUCCAAGCAAGCAAGAACAAGUGCACACAACAUAUAUUAAGCUUCAAUUUCGUAACUCAUCAUUUAUUAAAUCAUCUUUGUUCUUCAAUUUGUAUAUCCACUCUUAAAGAGAGAUUCAUUGUUGUAUUUUUCAUUUCUCAUUAAAUUGUGAGUGUACAAGUGUGAGAAACACUUGGAGUGAAGAGAUUGGAGAGAUAAUCUCUUGUUGUAAAGGUUCAUUGACACCUUAAAGUCAAUUGUAAACGUUUGAAGCCUUGGAAAGGCUUGGAUAGUGAAAUCCUCAAGCCCGGUGUGCUUGGAGGCGUGGACGUAGGCGGGGAUUGCCGAACUACGUAAAAAUCCUUGAGUUUGCUUUCUCUUCCCUUGCUCAUUUAUUAUUGUGCUUUCAUUGAAUUUAUUGUUUUCGAAUUUAUUAAGGAAUUAGAUUGGAUUUGUGUGUGGUUUGCUUAGCUUAAUUUUUAAAAAUCCAAUUCACCCCCCCUCUUGGAUUGCCUAGUUAGUAUUUCAUUUGGUAUUAGAGCGAGGUGCUCUUGUGUAAACUUAACCGUCUAGAGUUAAAGAUCCAUGGAAACCCAUAAUGACUCAAUCUUUAGGGAAGGACAAUCCACAAUUAGACCACCGUUCUUUGACGGUAAUGACUACCCAUAUUGGAAAACUAGGAUGAGAAUUUAUUUACAAGCUUUAGAUUAUGAAAUUUGGGAAAUUGUUUGUGAUGGUCCAUUUAUGCCUUUGACUAAAAAUGAAGUCGGGGACGAUAUUCCAAAACCUUCACAGGAAUGGAAUGAAUUGGAAAAGAAAAAAUCUACUCUAAAUUCCAAAGGUAUGAAUGCCUUGUUUUGUGCACUAGAUAAGAAAGAAUUUCAUAGAGUUUCUAGUUGUGAGAGUGCUAAUGAAAUUUGGCACAAACUUGAAGUUGUUUAUAAAGGCACAAAUCAAGUGAAAAGAGUCUAAAAUUAGUAGGUACACUCGGCAAUAUGAAUUAUUCCAAAUGGAACAAAAUGAGAGUGUGUAUUCUAUGUAUACUAGAUUUACGGACAUAGUGAACACUCUAGGAGCCCUAGGAAAGACUUUUUCAAAUAGCGAUAAGGUUACGAAAACUAUUAGGUCGCUACCUAAGGAAUGGAGACCAAAAAGGACUGCUAUUGAGGAAGCUAAGGAUUUAAAUAUCUUACCUAUUGAUGAUUUAAUUAGUUCUCUUAUUUCUUAUGAGGAAGACUUGGCAGCCGAAAGAGGCAAUAAGGAGAAGAAGAAAAACAUUGCUCUCAAAGCCUCGAAACAAGAGAGUGAUGAGGAAAGCGAGCUGGAUGAGGAGGAGAUGAAUAUGUUGGCUAGGAGGUUCAGAAAACUCUUUAAGAAAUCCGGUGAGCGAAGAAAAUUUAAAGACCUCAAGAACUGAAAGGAGAAGAAGGAAUUAAUCAAAUGUUAUGAGUGCAAGAAGCUUGGCCAUAUAAGAACGGAAUGUCCUCUUCUCAACAAGCUCAAGAAGAAAGCAAUGGUUGCCACAUGGGAUGAUAGCGAUGAGGAAACAAGUGAUGAUGAAGAGAAUCAAGAAAUGACAAAUCUAGCUCUCAUGGCAAUUGGAGAUGAAUCGGAUGAUGAACUUGAUGAGGUAAAUGAUCUUUUUACUUAUGAUGAAUUAUAUGAUGCUUUUAAAGAAUUGCAUGAUAAUUGGAUAAAAAUUGGUAAAAAGAAUGCAUGUCUUAAAAAGAAAAUGGUAGAGCUCAAAAAUGAAAAUGAAUCUCUAUGUGCAAAGAUUACAUGCCUAGAAUUAGAGAAUAAAACAUUGCAUGAUAGAGUUGCAUUAUUUGAGAAUUCUAGCACUUUACAUGAGCACUUAGAGUCACACAUGAAUGACUUGAAAAAUGAGAAUGAAAUGCUUAGAAAGAAGAGCAAUGAGUUAAAUGAGAUUGUUUUAAAAUUUACAGAUGGACAAAAGAUGUUGGAUAACUUGAUUAAUUCUCAAAAAUGUGUGUUUGAUAAAGGAGGUAUUGGUUAUAAGCCAAAUUUGAAACAAAAAUAUUAUAAAAGUUAUUUUGUUAAAACUACCUCCAUUAAUAAUCAAAUUGUAUGUCAUUAUUGCAAUCAAAAUGGUCAUAUGAAGAAUAGAUGUCCAAUUAAAAGAAAUGUGUAUUAUGGAGUAAAAUGUGUUUGGGUUCCAAAAGGAACCAUUGCUAACACUCAAGGACCCAAGAGCAUUUGGGUACCAAAGGGCACAACUUGAAUAUUCUUUUGUAUGUACCACAAACAAGGAAUGGUGGAGAGUUCCUUGAUGAAGCUUGUGAGGAUAAUCAUUUGAGCAUGAUCUAGGAGAAAAAGAUGAGGCAAGAUGAUUUAAUUGUUUUGGUAAUAAUUCUUGCCAUAUUAAUUUUGUUGAAUGGAUCAUGAUAAAUGGAUAAUAGCUUGAAUUUGUGAAAGUAUACUUGUAUGUUUACAUGAUAGAAUUAUCAUUGUGUUUAACAUUGAGUGCUUUAUCAUAAUGCAUGGUUAUAUAUAUAAGAUGAUAGCUUGUCAACUCAUCAUGAUAGCUUUGUUUGAUUUUGAUGAUUAUGUAAUGCCUAAGCUUGAUAAAUGAAUGAUAUGCUUGAAUUAUUAAUCUUUGAAUGCUUAUAUGUUUCAUGAUUGUGUAAAAUAUAUACAUGAUGAAUGAAUUAUAUGUGUAAAUUCUUGUGUCGUUAAUUGUGUUAUAUCAUCAUUCACUUAUAAAAUUGACAUCAUUGGUUGAUAUGAUUUCAUAUGUUUGGUCUUGUAUGCAUUUAUGUCUCAUGUAUUAAAUGACUUAUUGAAAAGUUUUAAAUCUCGAAAUGAUUUAAAAUUAAUCAAUUUUUAAAGCCAAAAAUAAAAUGGUGAGUGUAAUACAAGUAUAAGAGCUAGCCAAUAUUCAAUUAGAGCCAAAUAGAUUUCCAAGUCCAAACCGGUAAGCCAAAUCAUCUUUUGUUGCUCUCGGGUUAUCAUUCGGAUAACCGGAUUUUCAAUCCGGAAAACCGGAUUUGCUAAGCCUUCUCUCUGCCUCAAAACCGGAUAACCGGUUCUUAAAAUCCGGAAAACCGAAUUCAAGAGGAAACUUUUUGCCUCAAACCGGACUACCGGUUAGCAAAACCGGAAAGCCGGAUUCGCUUGAAAAGCUUACUGGAACAAAACCGGAUUUCCGGUUAUGCAUAUCCGGCACGUCGGUUUCGGGUUUCAUCUUUCUGCUCACAACCGGCUAGCCGGUUAGUGAAAUCCGGCAAGCCGGAUUCGUGAGCUUUUAGCUUUGUUCUUCCUCUUCCUCUCAUUCGGCUUUCCGUUUCUCUCUCUCUCACUAAAAGCUGAUUACUCCUCACUUGAUUUCAUUCCAAAAUCCAUCAAUCUCAUCCUUUUUCACUUCAAAUCCUUUAUGCUUGUAUUUGAACACACCAACAUUUACUAUUUUUUUUGGAUUAUAUGGAUGUUUGCUAUGAUUUUGGAUUAUAUGUCUAUUUUGAAUUAUAUGGAUUUGAUAUAGUUAUAUGUUAUGUUCUUUACUUAUGUUUUGGAUAAUAUGCAUUUUGAAUUUUUUUGUUGUCCAAAGGGGGAGACAAAAUAGUAUAUCAUUUCGAUGUUAUCAAAAGGAGGAGAAUAAUAUGCUUUUUGAGUAAUUGUUUUGAUAAUUGGUAUUUGAUUAUGAUGAUGAUUUUGAUGAAUUUGAGAUAAUGAUGAUUUGAUUACAUGGGUGUUUUAUAUGAUAAUUUCAUGUUAUGAGUUGUUGAUUUGGUAAUUAAUGGAAUAAUGGUUCAUGAUAUUUUAGUGUGAUUAUUUGUGUAUGGAGUUGGCUUUUAUCAUGAUUUAUAAUAAUUUGGAUGUGAUAUUACUAAUCUUGUAUUUGAGGUGAUGCUUGUUGUUAGGGAGAGAUUUUGUUGAAAUUUCUAUUCGGACAACAUUGGUAACAAAUUUGCUACUCUUAUUCUUUUCCUUUAAGUUUUAUUUUUGAUGAUGAAGGGGGAGAAGAAUACAUGUUUUUAAAUUUAUAAAAAUUUACUACUCUUUUUUCUUUGCCAAUUAAGUUUUCUUUUUGAUGAUGAAGGGGGAGAAAAAUCCAUGUAUUUAAAUCGUUAAUUUAGCUAAUUGGCAAAUUGUAAAAGAGGAUUAUAUUUAGGGGGAGCAAUUGUGGAAUCAUUCUUUAAAUACAUGAAAUGUUUGUCAUCAUCAAAAAGGGGGAGAUUGUUAACAUAUAUGUUAACAUAAUAUUGAUUUUGAUGAUAACAAACAAGAUUAAGAAUGAUUAAUCUUUUAAACUCAAAUUAUUUUUUAUACAUUUUAAAUAAAUCAUUAUUUUUACAUUAUAAAUGUUUUAUAUUUAAUGAAAAAAUGAUUUUGUAAAAAAUGAUUGUUUAAAUACAUGAAAUGUUUGUCAUCAUCAAAAAGGGGGAGAUUGUUAACAUAUAUGUUUCCAUAAUAUUGAUUUUGAUGAUAACAAACAAGAUUAAUAAUGAUUAAUCUUUUAAGCUCAAAUUAUUUUUAUACUUUUUAAAUAAAUCAUUAUUUUUACAUUAUAAAGGUUUUAUAUUUAAUGGAAAAAUGAUUUUAUGAAAUUGAUUGUUUUUAUUCUUUUUAAAUAAAUCAUUAUUUUCACAUUAUAAAUGUUUCAUAUUUAAUGGAAAAAUGAUUUUAUGAAAUUCGUUGUUUUUCAAAGUUUAUGGUUUAAUUGAAAGAAUUUUGAAAACUUUGAAAUAAACAAGUAUUGCUUGAAAUUUUAGAGGACUUAUUUGAAAAGUGUCAUAGCUAUUUGGGCUAUAUCAUAAUUUCAGAAAGUUUUGGGAUUAACAAAGCAUUACUUAGAAAUUCUAAAAUUGGACCUAUUUGUAAAGUUUCAUGACGUUUUGGGCCAUAGUAUAGUUUUAUAAAGUUUUAGGGUCAAACUAUAAUUUCAGAAAAUAGUGCACUGUGCAGGUGACUGUAGCAUCCGGCUUACCGGAUAUAAAAACCAGAAAACUGAAUAUGGGGCAGAAUGUAUCUAGAACGUAAACGGCUUACCAGAUUUCGUAACCGGCAAGCCGGAUAGGCAAAAUUCAAAUUUUUUCCUAACGGUAACAUAAAUCCGGCUUACCGGAUUCCAAAAACGGCAAACCCGAUACGCCCAGAAUGUGCAUAACGGCUAGUUUUUGAGUUGCAUAACGGCUAAUUUUUGAGUUCAAACUAUAUAAACUCAAAACCAAAUCAUUUUUAGUAAUCAAAGCAAGCAAGAACAAGUGCACACAACAUAUAUUGAGCUUCAAUUUCGUAACUCAUCAUUUAUUAAAUCAUCUUUGUUCUUCAAUUUGUAUAUCCACUCUUAAAGAGAGAUUCAUUGUUGUAUUUUUCAUUUCUCAUCAAAUUGUGAGUGUACAAGUGUGAGAAACACUUGGAGUGAAGAGAUUGGAGAGAUAAUCUCUUGUUGUAAAGGUUCAUUGACACCUUGAAGUCAAUUGUAAACGUUUGAAGCCUUGGAAAGGCUUGGAUAGUGAAAUCCUCAAGCCUGGUGUGCUUGGAGGCGUGGAUGUAGGCGGGGAUUGCCGAACCACGUAAAAAUCCUUGAGUUUGCUUUCUCUUCCCUUGCUAAUUUAUUAUUGUGCUUUCAUUGAAUUUAUUGUUUUCGAAUUUAUUAAGGAAUUAGAUUGGAUUUGUGUAUGGUUUGCUUAGCUUAAUUUUUAAAAAUCCAAUUCACCCCCCCCCCUCUUGGAUUGCCUAGUUAGUAUUUCAGUGUUCAGACUAGAUAAUUAGAAGAUAUGUCCCUGACGAAGAGAUUUCAAGCAUUUUAUAGUCUUAUCUUGCUGCAGUAUAUGGUAGACACUUUGGAGGACACUAAAUAGCAGUAAAAGUUUUUCAAUCAGGUUAUUACUAGCCCUCCAGCUUUAGAGAUGCUUACAAGUUUGUUAGUGCUGUGAUAGUUGUCAAAGAGCAUGAACCAUUUCUAAAAAACAUGAAAUGCCACUGACCAAUAUUUUAAAAGUUGAGCUUUUUGAUAUAUAAGGGAUAGACUUUAUGAAGUCGUUCUCACAAUCUUUUAGAAACUUAUAUAUCUUAGUUGUUGUGGACUAUAUGUUGAAAUGGGUAGAAGCUACAGCAUUGCCAACAAAUGAUGCCAAGGCAAUGGCAAAUCCUUUAUAGGAAUAUUUUCACAAGAUUUGACACCCCAGAGUUGUCAUCAGUGAUGAAAGAAGCCAUUUUUGCAACAGGAUAUUUGCUGUAGCAUUGGCUAAGUAUAAGAUCAAGCUUAAAGUUGCUACAUCAUAUCAUCCACAAACGAGUAGUCAGGUAACAUUGUCCAAUAGGGAGAUCAAAAAGAUUUUAGAAAAAGAAGCGAAUCUUAGUAGAAGGGAUUGGUUUACUAGACUAAAUGAUUCUCUAUGGGGUUACAGAACUACUUACAAGACAUCACUUGGCAUGUCUCCAUACAAACUUGUUUAUGGCAAAGCUUGCUAUUUGUUGUUAGAACUGGAGCAUAAAGUAUAUUAGGCAGUUAAACAACUGAACAUGGGUAUGCAUGCUGUAACAGAGCAAAGGAGGCUACAACUUUUUGAGCUAGAUGAGUUGAGGUUAUUCUUCUAUGAAAAGGCAAGAAUCUAUAAGGAGAGAACCAAGCAAUGGUAUGACAAGAAAAUCCAGUAAAGAGAACUCAUUACAGGCCAACAAUUAUUGCUUUACAACUCUAGACUGAAGCUUUUCCAUGAAAAUUUAAAGUCUAGAUGGUUAGGAUGCUUCAAACUCGUCAAGGUUUAUCUUUAUGGAGUUGUUAAUCUUAAAGAUGAAAGAACUGGUUAAGAAUUCAAGGUUAAUGGGCAUAGAGUGAAGCAUUAUAUGGGAGCUAAGGUGAACAACCUAAACGAGGAUCCGGUUUGAGUAAACAAGGAAGGUGAGAAUGAAGAACCUAAAACCAAGUGCUAAUUAGAAGGGAACUAAAUGAGGGGAAGUUUAUUUUGAAUUUUUAAUCACUUUAAUUUCACUUUUGUUGUUAUUAAGUUUAUUUCUCUAUUUUGUUUUAAUUUAUGCGACUAAUUUCUAUGUUUUUUUUGUCCUUCUCCCUCUCUUUUUGAAUGUUUAAAAUUUUUAAAAUCUUUAAAUUAAUUUUAUCUCUUUCUCUCUCUAUUAUCUUUCUUUAUAAAUUUAAGCUUUUCACUGUUUCACUUUUCACUACCAAUCUCUCUUCCUCUACUGUAAUUUUUAAAAUUAUGCUCUCUAUUUCUCUCUCUCUCUCUCUCUCUCUCUCUCUCUCUCUCUCUCUCUCUCUCUUACACACACUCAAAGUCCCAAUCUCUCAUUCUAACGAAACUCCUUUAAGUGUUGCAGCAAUACUGAGAGUCAAGGCACCUACUAAAAGGUUGAAGGACUAAAAAAGAUUCCAAAAUCACAAAGUUGAAGAGAAGUAUAAUAAGUCCAUAAGAUCUCGUAUAAUUUUAGAAGAGAAUGGUUUUGAAAUUUGUUGAACAACCCACUGGCCUUAUCAGCAUCAUUCUCAUAACUGCUAUAAAAAGGGGGUGGAUCAAAUGAUCCAAGUUGUAAAGGAAUUUUAUUCUAACUUGCUGGAGCAAAUCCAAAUUCCUUAAGACUCUAGGGUGAUAAAUGUCUUUUAUGGUUUGCCCCUACUAUUAAUUGUGAAUACGCUGAAUUUAUUAAGAGCAUAACUAUUAAGAAAUAGAGGGAGAUGUUUAAAGCAUUAAUUGUGGAAGGAAGUGAGUAGGUUAAUGAAGAAGCUGGGAUUGUUAAUAGGAUUGGCCUUAAAUUGAUUAUAAAGGUUUGGGUGAACUUUAUAAAGUCUAGGCUUAUGCCCACCACGGCACACCACAACAAUGUCAAUGCUAGAGUGAAAGGAUGGACAAUUGAUGUUGGGAAAGUGAUUGAGCAAGAAAUUAGAGACUGUGCUACAAAAAAAAAAAAAAAAUCAGCUGUCUUUUUAUUCCCCUCACUCAUCAUUGGGAUUUAUGAGGCCUUUGGUGUCAAAAUUUGUUGACAAUGAUGAGAGGGUUAAAAAUGAAAUGGCCCUCACAGUAAGAAGAAUAGAGAAGAUUGUAGGAGAAUCAACUGGUACAACAACCCAAAGCAUCCAGUUGUAAGAAAAUUAAUAAAAGCCACUACAUUUGGGAAGAUUCUGAAAGAUUUGAGUGACAACUUAAAUGCAUGGAGAGAAGAUCCAAAAGAGUUAAAUCAGAGGCUUUAGGCUUACUUGCUGCAUCAAGAAGCUCAAAAACACCAGUUUGUAGUUUAUAUACAGAGCAAGAAUGUAAACUUCCCAGAGUCUCUAUUGUAGCAGUACAAUUUCCACAAAGCAACAGAGACUGUUCCAGCAAAUGAUGAAAAGGAUGAAAGUGAAAAAGAGGAAAAAGAUGAAAAAGGAGAAAAAAGUGAAAAAGAUGAAGAUGAAGAAGAGACUGAUGAGAAGUAGGAAGAGGAGCUACCAGCAAUAACUCCUAAAAGCUAUGGCAAACAGAAGAUCUUGCUUGAUGAAAAUCAAAAUGAUAAUGAUGCGGCCAUUUAAGAGACCAUUAACAAGUCUGCAAUGACAGAAGGAGAAAAGAAAAGGUUAAAGGAGCUCAAUGUCUACAUAACUGCUAAGGAACUUGCAACAACACCUCGUUCAGCAUUAGCAACAAAGAAGUCUCCCAAGAAAUCUCUAGUCAAAAUUCCCACAAUCUCCAAUAAAAGAAAAAGAGCACAAAUCACUAAAGUAGAGAUAGUUUAUGGAUAAGGGUUGAAAUUCUAUCAUAACACUUAGAUUUGGAUUAAGUUUAAUGAAUAUGUUGUAGCAAACCAAGCUGGGUAGUUUAGAAAAAUUUUCAAGAAUCUAAGGAUAAAAAUAGCUCUAGUUUGGGGGAAAUUAGGAAAAUUUUCAAAGUUAUUGCAAAUUGUACUGGAAGUAGAAUAAUUUUUUCUUCAAUGACUUAGUUGCUGAGUAACCAGGGCUGUGUUUGUAACCCAUAUCCAAACUUGAGUAAAAAGACAGUAAGAGUUAUGAGCAUUGCUGUAGCAACCCAAAAAGAAGAAAAAUCCUCUAUUUAGGAAUCUGAAUAGCUAGGUCUGUUCAUGAACCUCAUAUUCAGCCUUGAGUUAAAGAUAUAUAAAGAUAAGACCAUGGUUGUAGCAUCUUAGAUGCUUUUGUUGUAGCAGCUCUGAUUUGUGUAUUGAUUAAGUAAUUGGGUUCCAUCAUUACAAGUGAUAGGCAUUCGCAUAAAAAGAUUGAUUUUACUCUGAUGGGCCUCAUAAUAAAAAAAAAUUGAUGAAUGUUGUAGCACAAUUUGUAGUUCUUUAUGACCCUUGUCCCUUAUAAAUAAAAAUGUUUUUAUUGUUGUUAUGUUUGAGAUGCAUUUGAUGCUUGAGUGAUUCUGAAGCAACUCUGAAACUUGAUCAAAGUGACACAGACACACACACUGGAUAGAAUGAAGCCUAAGUCUAGAACUAGAACUGUUGAUGGUAAUGUUUAAGAAUGAAGUCUGAGGGUUAAUGAAUUAGAGUAAUCUAAAUAGCAGAGCUAAGUAUCCUCAUGCUUUUUGGUCCUUAAUCCCAAGAUAUAAAAGAGCACAUUUUAAAUAAAUGCAUCAUCCAUGACCGUCACAUGCAAAGAGAAUAAAAAGAGAGAUUUCGGAGUUGUAAUAGAGGUAUUUUUCGUGUAGAAGAAAAAGAGAUGACUAAAGAUUAAAGCGUGACAUUUUCAGUCCUUAGUAUUUUAACUUUUCUUUUAUUUGCUUGCUUUGUUCUUUCUUUGAUAAUUUAUUUAAUGGUAAACACUUGUGUUGUUACUAUUUCAAAGCUCAUCAUGAGCUAAACCUUAAUUUAGUAGUUAUUUAAUUUACAUGUUUAUGUUGCUUAGAAUCUGCUGUAGUAAUUUGUUUUAACUUUACUUAUUGUAAUUCCAUAUUUCACGUUGACUAUGCAUUUAUUAGAUACUAGCUAAGAAGGAGCCCCAAAAUAACUUGACUUAGUGGAACAAAUUACGACAAUACAUGGUUUUCGAUUGAGUUUUCCAAGUUGAGUUAAUCUCGAUUUGAAUAGAGUCAUGCUUGAUUUAAAAUUAUGAAGAACUAGAUAUAAGGAUUCAUCGUAUACAACAAUAGAGUCUAAAAUGUAUAAUGCAAUGUCUAAUGUUAAUUUACCAAAUAGUCACUGUUAGAUUGCAUAUAGAUAUAAGAUAUCCAAAAUGCGACCGCUGAGGAUACAUUAUAGAUUCUGUCCAAUUGUGUAGUAGAUGUUGUAGCAACUGUGCCUCAAUUAAAAGAUAAUCAAUAACCAAUAAGUGAGUUUAGAUCCCAACUACCCCUUUGCCAUUGAGUAUAUCUUUGUGUUUGACUUUAGAUUCUCUUUAUUGCAUUUUGUUUAUUGCUUUAUUAGUUUCGUUAGAUCAUUAAUUUCAUCAUUAAUUUUUUUAUUUAAUGUAGUAAAAUUACACUGUUAAAUUUACUAUAGCAAGUAAUAUAACAUUAAUCUCUAUGGAGACGAUCUUGAUACUCAUUAAUGUGCUCCAAAGUUUUAUUUGUGCGUUUGAAAUGCAAGAAACCAAAGUCUCAACAGUUUAAGCCUGCCAACUUUUGAAAUAUGCAUUUUUAUCAAUAGUACGUCAAGAAACUAAAGCAUGCCAACAUUUGAAAGAUGCAUUUCCACAGUUAAGGUUGCCAGUAGUUCGACAAAUUGUCCGCUGGGCAAAUUAUUAACCAUUGUGUUAACUCCACAAAAUUCUUGUUGGACUAGAUAUGACGCCAGUCCUUUUGUUGACUCUUUCAAUGCAAUGUUGGGUCCUUUAGAAAAAAGCUAUUUCUACUUGUUAACGCAACUGUAGAAAGAAGUUUUUUGUUCCUGGUCUUGAGGUCCCAACAGCAGACAUUAAAUUAUUGCCUUUUCAAUUCUGAGUUGUCUUCAAUUAGAUGCAUUAUGCUAGACUAGUAAUUGUUUUAAAAAAGAAAGCUUCAUAGUGAGAAGCUGAUUUUUUAAGGAAGGAUAAGUUUAUUCUUACCUGAAAGUGAAUGUUCCACUGAAGAAAACACGGCUGGUGCCUGGAAGGAGAGCUAGUUCAGGAUGAAAGACAGGCAAUGAUUAUAUAUUUGAAAAGAGAGAUGAUAAAAUCAAGUUUGCAUGGGGCAGGUAAAGCAUGGCAUUAAUCAGGCUCUCUGCACUUUAGGAGUGUAGAUAAUCAAUCAAAGGCCAUCAAUCAACUCUAUUUUGUUUUUUUUAAUAUUAUAAUCAAACAAAUGUUAGCCUUUAAUUGGCAUCCAAUUGUUCAUUGUCUUAUAUUAGGAUAUAAGCUAAAUUCAUAAGAGGAUCCCUCUACAUAUAUAUUUCAUGUGCAUAAGGUGUAUGAAUAAUGUUUUCUGUAUGCUUUUGCUACUCUGUUAGUAGUCUGUUUAAGGCCCAUUUCUGAUUAUCUAAUAUCUAUGUUCAUGAUUUGUUUCGUGAUGUUGGUCUGUCAUUUGGUUUUUAGUUUUUCCCAGAGGCAAAUGAAGUCAAAUUUGCAAGAACAUCGGUCUUUGAAGGAGCAUCAUUUAAGUUGGACUCUCUAACAAAACCUUCAUUCUUUGAGAAUUUUGGAUUCACUGAGAAGGUCAAAAUGGCAGGCCGUGUGAAGCCGGAAGAUGAAUUGUUUCUAGUGGCCUAUCCAUAUUUUAAUGUCAAUGGUAGUCUUACACCUUGUCUUCUCAUUGAUAUUCAUUCCUUAAGGUCAUUAAUUUUGCUUUUCUUUUGUCUUGUAGAAAUGCUUGUGGUUGAAGAGCUUUACAAAGAAGCUAUAUUCAAUACUGCCCGGAAACUGAUUAUAUUCAAUGGAGAACUUGACCAGAUAAUGUCUGGGUGUAUUAUUCACCAUUCUUUCAUUCUUAUUGUACUUUCUGUAAAUUUAGUAUGAUUUUGAUGCUAUAUAAUAGUUUCUAGAUGCCCGCCCAUUGAAUUGCUUAUUUACAACUUUUUGGUAUAUUAUAGCAGAUUUGUUUUAUAGCUUAUAGCAGAUUUUUUUUAUAGCUUAUAAAAGAUCAACUUAUGUGCUGAGUUCAAUCAUUAUUCCAUAAACUUUUUCUGUACCUAUUUUCACAUGGUAUCAAAGCUAGACUCCCUUUCUUUUUGAUCUCUUUCCCACCAUGUCUGACUAAUCUUCUAAAACCACAGUCACCUAAAAAAGACUAGAACAAAAAAUUUUUGAUUCUGAAUCUCAUUCUGUCCAUAUUACAACUAUCCGGCUGAAUGAAGGAAAUUUUCAAAGAUGGUCUCAGUCAGUUAGAAUGCAUAUUAGGGGAAGAAGGAAGAUUGGUUAUCUUACUAGAGAUGUUAAGGCUCCUGAAAUAUCUGAUCCCUCUUAUGGUGUAUGGGAUGACGAAAAAUCCAUGAUUAUGGCAUGGUUAGUCAACUCCAUGGAUGAAGACAUUUGUGCAAAUUAUAUGUGCUACUCUACUGCAAAGAACUCUGGGAUAAUGUGAGUCAGAUGUACUCUGACAAUGGAAAUUAGUCUUAAAUCUAUUAGUUGCAGCUUGCUCUUGGAGAUAACCAUCAAAGAGAUUAUAGGAUAACAAAAUACUUCAAUACUCUAAAGAGAUUGUGGCAAGAUCUGGACUUAUUCAACAACUACGAGUGGAAGAGCACGGAAGAUUUUAAACACCAAAAACAAACUAUCAAUAAUGAGCGAAUCUUGAAGUUCCUAGCUAGGCUCAAUGUUGAAUUGGUAAGAGGAAGAAUUAUUGGGAGAAAGCCACUUCCUACUCUUGAGGAUGUUUUCUCUGAAGUAAGGAGAAAAAAAAUUCGUCGAGGUGUUAUAUUGGGAAAAAGGAACUCCAUUGUCUUUGUGGAAAAAUCUGCCCUUGUUACAGCAGAUGCUAAUGCUACCUGCUCCUUCACUCAACAGCAACAAAAACCUCGAGUAUGGUGUGAUUACUGUAAUAAACCAUGUCAUACUCGGGAGGCUUGCUGGAAACUCCACGGAAAGCCUACAUAAUGGAAAAACAGCAAGCAUAGCCGUGCGUCUACCAAUAAAGUGGAGGAUAUAGAAAAAAAUCUUAACGAGGAGCAAAUUGAUCAUCUCAUAAAGCUGCUGACUUCUAAUCCUCCACCUGGUACUCCUAGUGGUUCACUAGCCUAAACAUGUAGUAUUAUUAAUGCUCUAUUUAGCCACUCAUCUACUGCACCAUGGAUUAUUGAUUCGGGUGCUUCUGAUCAUAUGACCAUCAUUUCUAGUUUAUUUGAUUCCUAUUAUCCUUGUCCUAGUAACAAAAAGGUAAGAGUUGCUUAUGGAAACUUAUCUUCCAUAACUGGAAAAGGAUCAAUAAAAAUCUUUGAAACCAUUGAGCUUAAUAAAUGUGCUACAUGUCCCUAAACUUUCUUGCAAUCUGUUACUUGUCAAUCAAUUAGCCAAAGAUUCUAAUUGUUGUGCUGUCGUUUUUUACUCCCAUUGUGAAUUUCAAGACAGGGAUUUGGGGACGAUGAUUGGCAGUGCUAGUUUGCGAGAAGUUCUUUACUAUUUUGAUGACUACUUAUCAAGGAAUAAACAAGCUCAAGGUUUGAGCAAUAGGAUUAGUUCAAACUCUGCUAGGGAUCAAAUAAUGCUUUGGCACCUUAGACUAGGACACCCUACCUUUCCUUAUUUGAAAUAUUUGUCUCCAGAUUUAUUUAAAAAUGUUGAUUGUACUACUUUUCAGUGUGAAAGUUGUUUUUAAUCUAAAAGUCAUCGAGUUUCAUAUAAAGCACUUACUUAUUGUGCCUCAAAACCAUUUUAUUUAAUUCAUAGUGAUGUUUGGGGACCCUAAAAAAUCAUUACUUUAACUGGCAAAAAAUGGUUUGUAACAUUCAUAGAUGAUCAUACGCGGCUUCAUUGGGUUUAUUUAAUGAGAGAAAAAUCUGAAGUUGAGGGUUAUUCAAAGAUUUUUAUAACAUGGUUGAAAAUUAAUUUCAAACAAAAAUAAGCCUACUCGAUACAGAUAAUGGUCUGAAUAUUUUAAUAAUUAUCUAGAGGUGUUUUGUAAGGAAAAGGGUAUAAUUCACACAUCCACUAGUCGUGAUACUCCACAACAAAAUGGAAUUGCGGAAUGAAAAAACCGCCAUUUACUUGAAGUUAGUCUGGCUAUCAUACUCUCUAUGCAUGUUCCUAAAUAUUUGUGGGGUGAUGUUGUUUUAACAGCAUGUUAUUUGAUUAAUAGGAUGCCUACCCGUGUUUUAAAGUAUCAAUCACCUUUAGAAUACUUUACACUUAUAUAUCCUUCUAGUAGGAUUACCUCGAAUAUUCAGUUAAGAGUCUUUGGGUGCACUGUAUUUGUUCACCUUCCUAACCAUCUUAGAUCUAAAUUGGAUCCUAGAUUUGAAAAUUGUGUUUUCUUGGGCUAUGCUCCUAAUAAAGAGGCUACAAAUAUUUCAAUCCUCAAACAAAGAAAUUCCAUGUCAGUAUGGAUGUUAUAUUUCUCGAAAAUCAACCUUUUUUUGGCCAAAAUUCUCUUCAGGGGGAGAAAGAAAAUAGUGAAGAUCAUUUUUGGCAUACUUAUACACCUAUGCCUAAUUUGUUUUUACCUGAUCUGAGCACUUCAAUUCAAACUCAAAAAACUAAUAUUUCUAAUAAUGAAAACUUAGGAAACUUUGAACUACAAGAACCAAGUGUUAAUGUACCAGAGACAGGGGGAGAAAUAUUACAAGAUAAAAUUCCACCACCAAAGCUUCGUGUUUAUACUCGACUAAGGUAUCAUCACAGCAAUAAAGACCCUCCCAUAAACUUGGUACAACCUCAAUUGUCGCCUCCAAGCACUGAUUCCUCAUAAAAUUUAGGUAACAUUUCUUCUCCUAAAAAUUCCAGCACUUUUUUUUUCCUGAUCUUGACUUACCCAUAGCACAUAGGAACGAAACCCGAACCUGUACUAAGCACCCCAUUGCUGGAUAUGUUUCCUAUGAAAAGUUUUCCAAUAAACGAAGAGCCUUUACCACAAAAAUCUCUCAGAUACCAAUUCCUAAAGCCAUAAAAGAAAAAUUGGACAAUGGUUUGGUCUGCAUGCUGAACAUUCCUACAGAUGAGCAAAUUGCUAAUAUACUCACCAAGGGACUACCUAAGAAACAUUUCGAGAAAUUGGUUUGCAAGCUAGCCUUGAAAGACAUUUUUAUACCAGCUUGAGGGGGAGUGUUGAAAGGUUGACCAAAUCAAAUUGAUUUGGUUUCCUUAUAUAUUUAGGUGUAUAUUAGGCGUAAAUAUAGAGUUAUUGCUUCCUAGAAAUCAGUGUGUAAUAUUCUGCUUUAAUUUUUUCUUUCCUUUCUUAGUCUCUUGUAUCCCUAUAUUAAGACUGUAUACAGUCUCAUGAAGAUAUGAAAAAGAGAAUUAUUCCAUAAACUUUUUCUCUACCUAUUUUCACACUUCCACAUCAUACGGUGAUUAAUAUGUCAUCUCUACUCAAUUUAUUUAGCAUCAAAUUAUCAGAAGAUUUUGUUACUUAAAUAGAUGGUUUUCAUUUCAACUUCAAUGUUUUUUCAGGCCUAAAGCUUCAUAGUGCUUGUUUAUAUUGUUAAUCAAUAUAUAUAAGUUUACUUGCAGGCAAUAUCAGGCAUUUUCGAAAUAUGCGUAAGUAUGACAAGGAAAUCUCAAAAAGAAACAAAAACUUAUUGCUUGGAAAAAUUUAUUUAUUUGGGGGAAGCCAUUAUGAGUUUUGGGCUCCUUAAUAGCUUUAGUAAAUUUUGGACCAUUAUUUUGAACUAUGACCCAGUUUCCCUUGUUUACACCACAGAAAAUUAGCAACACUCUCUUAUGUCUCAACUCUCUCUGUCUCAACCAACAAAAUCAACUCUGUUAGUAGUCUGUUUAAAGCCCAUUUCUGAUUAUCUGAUAUCUGUGUUCAUGAUAUGUUUCGUGAUCUUGGACUGUAAUUUGGUUUUUAGUUUUUCCAGAGGCAAAUGAAGUCAAAUUUGCAAGAACAUCGGUCUUUGAAGGAGCAUCAUUUAAGUUGGACUAUCUAACAAAACCUUCAUUCUUUGAGAAUUUUGGAUUCACUGAGAAGGUCAAAAUGGCAGACCGUGUGAAGCCGGAAGAUGAAUUGUUUCUAGUGGCCUAUCCAUAUUUUAAUGUCAAUGGUAGUCUUACACCUUGUCUUCUCAUUGAUAUUCAUUCCUUAAGGUCAUUAAUUUUGCUUUUCUUUUGUCUUGUAGAAAUGCUUGUGGUUGAAGAGCUUUACAAAGAAGCUGUCUUCAAUACUGCCCGGAAACUGAUUAUAUUCAAUGGAGAACUUGACCGGAUAAGGUCUGGGUGUAUCCUUCACCAUUCUUUCAUUAUUAUUGUACUUUCUGUAAAUUUAGUGUGAUUUUGAUGCUAUAUAACAGUUUCUAGAUGCCCACCCAUUGAAUUGCUUGUUUACAACUUUUUGGUCCUUCAAUUGGUAUCAUUUUGCAAAAAUUGAAAGUAAAGUGGGUUUUUUGCUUUUAUUUUUUAAUACAAUAAUUUGAAAUUCACUCCCAGAAAUCUAAAGGGGAAUUAAUAAGGAUGAUCGUGUUAUAUCUUUCACUAAAAUGUCGCAAGGAAGACUUUUUUUAAAAAAAUAAAUAACAAUGACUUAACCAAACUAAUUAGUGACUUGGUUGUAGUAUAGUUGUUUUGGAAUGUGCAAUAAAAGGAUCAGAGAGGAUUUCCUUAAAUGAGCAGAAGAUUAUCCAUCGUUCUUCUACCCUAAGCUGGCUGCACUAUCCAGAACACUUUUUCCUGUGAUGGAGACCAUAUAUUACAUUCACAACUUUAAGGGUGGCAAUGGAGGAACCCUUUUCAGGUUUGCCAGCUAGUUACCGACGCGUUUCCUGUGGCAACAUAUUAAUGCUUGCCUAGUAUCACUCACUGUUUUCCUGCUGUUUAACUUAUAUUUUACAUGUUUUUCUUUUCCACUUCCUGUUAGGUGCUACCCAGGUUCCUGGAAGGUCCUGAAGAAAGUGAGUAAUAAAUAUAUAUGUUUGCAUCAGCAGGAAGUGAUGCCUUCCCUUAAGGAGGUUGCUUUGGAUAUCCUUCCCUCAGCUUGAGUUUCACCAAAAUAUUUGUCUGGUGAUAAAUCCCACUUUCUUAUGUUAUAGCAGAUUUGUUUUAUAGCUUAUAAAAGAUCAACUUAUGUGCUGAGUUCAAUAAUUGGUUCAUGAUUUCUAGUUUGUAGGUCUUAUGCUGAGUAUUUUGAUACUAAUCUGCCAGUGUUUGAAAGAUCUUAUUCUUAAGAUGAAUAUAAUCAUAACUUCCACAUCAUAGCGUGAUUAAUAUGUCAUCUCUGCUCUAUUUAUUAAGCAUCAAAUUAUCAGAAGAUUUUGUUACUUAAAUAGAUGGUUUUCAUUUCAACCUCAAUGUUUUUUCAGGCCUAAAGCUUCAUAGUGCUUGUUUAUAUUGUUAAUCAAUAUAUAUAAGUUUACUUGCAGGCAAUAUCAGGCAUUUUCGAAAUAUGCGUAAGUAUGACAAGGAAAUCUCAAAAAGAAACAAAAACUUAUUGCUUGGAAAAAUUUAUUUAUUUGGGGGAAGCCAUUAUGAGUUUUGGGCUCCUUAAUAGCUUUAGUAAAUUUUGGACCAUUAUUUUGAACUAUGACCCAGUUUCCCUUGUUUACACCACAGAAAAUUAGCAACACUCUCUUAAGUCUCAACUCUCUCUCUCUCAACCAACAAAAAUCAACUCCCUUUCCAAUCUAUAUCACAAUGCACGCUAUUUCAUCAAACCCAAGACUUACUUCAACUUAGAUUCAUAUAUGUUAUUUGAUUCAUGAUUAAGAAACUGUGUUUUUUUUCUUUUUUCAAAGUACGCUUGGAGAAUAAUAAAUAAAUUUACCAACCAACACAAAAAAAGUUUAUGUGAGGCUUGGUUGACAAUUUUAUUGUGGUAAUAUGUCGUUUAAAGAUAAAUGUUGUUGAUUUAUUGAUUCUUGUGUUGACUUGGAUGGAAGAUAUGUUGAAGAAAAAGAAACCCAAAAAUUACAUAUGCAGUUUUUUUCGUCAUUUCUGACUUUCAUGAUUUUGUACAAGAUAUAAGUUUUGUUUUCUAGACUUUGUUCUAAGUAGUAUUGGAAAACUUUGCAUUGCACAUUGUAGGUGUCCUCAAAUCUAUUAAAUUGGAUUAGGCAGUCUGAACACAUUAUUAGGGUUGUAAAGGGUCCAUGCAGUAUAAUUUUCUCUUGAUGCUUUCAUAUUUUUUGGCUGUACAGAUUUGAUGCAUCAUUGAUUCUUUGAUUCUGAUGUCUAAUGAAAAUGUAUGUUUAUAUUGCAUCGAUGAAUUUUUUAAUCCGGGAAUUGUAGUAAUUGUCUGUUGUAUUUCCAUGCAGUUGAAACCUUCUUGAUUUUUUGAAAAAGGAAAAUUACUUAAUUUGAUAAAGAAGAAUAUAUGAAUUUCUGAACAAUAAAAACUGUAGGAAGCAAAAAGAUAUCCUUGUGGCAUUAAUGAGUUGCUGGAAACAAGGUUUAAGAAUUUUGUAUGCUUUUGUUAAAGCUAUAAAAUGCUAUUUAUUAUCUGUGUUGUUACAAACUAAAGUACUUUUGUGCUUUAUGCAAAUUUAAAAAUGCUAUGCUAUGCGUUAGAGCAAUAAAGUUGUUAAGAAACAGUGAAGGCUUUUGUUGCUUUACUUAAGAUGAGGUUCAAGAAUAUUAUAUAACUUUAGUGAAUGUUUGCAUGGUGGCUUUGAUCUUGUUGCUGCCCCAAACUGACUGAUUGAAGGAGAGAAUUUUACAGCUAGAUCAAGCUUCUUUCCCCAGAUUAACUUCUGACAUGGACCAAUCAAAUGGCUGUCGCAUUCUUAAAAAAAUGGUUCAAGUUUUCCAUAGUUAUGGUCCACUUAUACAGAAUCUGGAGAAAUGAAUAUAUGAAUUGUGACUUAUAUCAUCUGUGAAGGCAAGGAAUAAUCCAUGGAAUUAUAUAAGAAGCAUUGAAACUGCUUUGUUGAUGGCCUGAGGCCAGAGAAAAUGCCGAAAACAUAUUCCUAAGAAAGUUGUUCCUUCUAGUUCAGUCCGGUCCAUUAAUUAAUCCUGGCUACAGCCCUCCAAGUAGUCGGGAUUGAGGGGCUUCUGUACGUGUAAGAAUGCUCUUGUAUUUUUUUUUAAUUCUUUUUAAAUUACUAAUUGUUGAAUUGAUCAAAUUUCGCGCCAUGUUUUCAGUUUAUAACAUGGAAGAGUGCUUGCAAGUUAAGUUGGAAAAAUUAUCACCAUUGCCCUCAAACUGCUGCAUCUACAGAGUUCCGGAGCGAUUACGUCAGAUAAAUGAAAAGGCAUAUACACCUCAGGUAGUCUCAAUUGGCCCUCUUCACCAUGGCAAAGCAAACUUACAGUUCAUGGAAGCUCAUAAACAGCGGUACCUGCGUUACUUACUUCAACGGACCAUAAUAAGCUUUGACGAGUUUGUUCAAUUUAUAAAGCUCAGAGAAGCAGAAUUAAGAGGUUCUUAUGCAGAAAAAGUCGAACUAAGUAGUGAUAAAUUUGUUGAAAUGAUUCUGCUGGAUGCUGCCUUCAUCAUUGAACUCUUAUUGAGGUAUCAUUUUCGUCAACUUCAAAAAAAAGAUGAUCAUAUAUUUCAUAAACCAUAUUUAAUAGAGGAUAUAUGGUAUGAUAUGUAGUUGCUUGAGAAUCAGCUUCCUUUCUUCAUUCUUGAGGAUCUUUUUGCUCUAGCUGCAAUUGAAAUCCCUGAACAACAUGAAAAUCCAACCAUCAUCACAGUCACAUAUGAGUAUUUCAAGGGUUUAGAGGCAGUACAAGGUAAUCGGCAAAAAUUCCCUCCUUACACUGAGGUUAGGGUACAGCAUUUCCUUGAUUUUCUAAGGAUUUGUCAUCUACCAUCAUCGAGGAAUCAGGAAAAACAAGAAGGUCAGCAAUACCACAAAGGUAAAACCGCACCAAGUGUGACUGAGCUCCACCAAGCUGGAGUCCACUUCAGUUUGAGCAAGAGCAAUGAUUUGUUCGCCAUAGAAUUCAAAAACAGGACAUUGCAUAUUCCGAAACUGAAGCUACAGCUGGAAACAGAAUCCUUAUUUCGUAAUCUCAUUGCCUUUGAACAACGGCAUUACUCAGAGAAUUACAUAAAUGAUUAUGUGUUCCUUAUUCAUCAUCUCGUGAACACAGCGAAGGACGUCGAGUUGCUUGUUCAGAACGGAAUCAUUGAGAACUGGUUGCGGGAUAAAGAGACUGCGUCAAUGCUUAUAAAUAACCUUUCUAGAGGUACUACUCUGCUGUCUGAUAGCUUCUAUUUUUCUGGGCUAUGCAAAGGAUUGAAUGAUCACUGCAAAAGAACGUGCUACAAAUGGAGGGCAAACUUGAAACAAAAUUACUUCAAUACUCCAUGGGCUGGCAUUUCGGUGUGUGGCGCCGUUUUCCUUCUUAUUCUCACCGUCAUUCAGUCUGUAUGCUCUGUUAUACAAGUGUUGUCUCAACCCAAAAAUAUCUCGUGACGAAAAACCUCUGUGCGGUAUUUGUAUGUCGUUUUUGAGUUGCUGUUUUCUUUUUUUUAUUUUAAUUCUUAUUCUCAACCAAUUUUAUCAUGGAAUUGUUAAUUUUACUUGAAUGUUGAACCAAGCCUUUAUUUUUUAAUAAUGAAAUGAAAUAAAAGGUGGGGGUAUACCCUUCACAAUACCCUCUUCACUCCUUAUUUAGUGUUGCAUUUACCGCAAUAAAAAAUAAUUUUUAAACGAUAAACAUAUUUACUUGAAAACAAAAAUUAGUUUAUGCUAUUUAUUUAUCUUAUAAUGUUGGAACUUGAAAGUUAAUUUAAAUUAAUGUAAUCCUACCAACUUGAUUUGGUUUUCAUAUUGGUUGGUUUCAUGUAUCAUGCGAAUUGUUAGGCACCGACUAACUCAAGCGUAUGUUACUCAAACAUCACGCUUGAAUAAUAGUUUAAGGAAUGUUGAUUUGGAUGGUAGAUAUUUAAUCAACUAAAACUAACGUUCUCAACUCAAAGCUCAUCUACUAGUAAAAGUAAAACCCUUCUCCGUCAACUUAUCUUCUUCAUUAUAUAACAAAAGAUGUUCAAUGAAAGAAUGAAAUAUAUAUAUAUAUAUAUAUAUAUAUAUAUAUAUAUAUAAUUAAGUCAAAGUAGUCAAGAUCCAGCCACUCGGCUUGAGGGCUUGAGUUCGAACCCACAAGAACUUAUUUCAAUCCUUAUUUUAUAAAUAUGAGAUUAGGGAUAGAUUUAUCUCUAAUUAUUUAUUUAUCGAGUAAUUAAUUUUAACAAUAUUAUUAAUUGUAGUUGAAACUGGAAUGAAUUUUCUGAAAGAUGCUCUCUCAUAACUAACCAACUAAAACUAACAAUCAAAUUAUCAAACUCAGAGCUCACCUACUAGUAAAACUGUAAAACUAAAACACUUGCUUCUCCAUUAAGUCAUCUCUUUAUAUAUAAAAAAGAGUGUUUUUAUGAAAUAAUCAGUAACAAUUAGGUAUCAAAUAAUUCAUAAAAGAUGUCAAGCUCCGUUGCUACUGCUGCUGAGGCCGAGAUUUGGAUUGUCCCAUUCUUCGGUCAGGGACAUCUAUUUCCAUGCAUUGAAUUAUGCAACCAAAUCGCUUCCCGUAAUUACAAAUCUACCCUCAUCAUUCCCUCUCACAUUUCCGCCACCAGCAUUAUCCCAUCCUCGUUUCACCAAUAUCCUCUCUUUGAAGUUACUGAAAUACCCUCCUUCGCCUCCUCACCCCCAUGUUGUCGUGCACAGCCAAAUGCUUCAAGGCCUUCGAAACCUCCUUUCAACCCGGGAACCCAAAAGCCGACCCGUUUGUGCAGUCAUCGACGUUAUGAUGGGCUGGACGGCUGAUGUUUUCAAGAUUUUUGAAGUUCCCAUUGUUGGGUUCUUCACUUCUGGUGCUUGCUCAGCGGCUGUGGAGUGUGCCAUGUGGCAGGCUCACAUCCAAGAUGUCAAACCAGGAGAGGCCCGUUUACUUCCUGGGUUACCCGAGGAUAUGGCUUUAUUUGAAUCGAAUCUUAAACACAGGCCUCAUGAGCCCCCUCCUGGUGGUCCACCACCUCUGAGAGGUGCACCCGGUUCCGAGAAAAUAGGUCCACCAGAAGCCGGUGAUCAACCACACUGGAUGAAGGAAGUGGAGGGAUCAAUGGCGUUGAUGUUCAACACGUGUGAUGGUCUUGAGGGACCAUUUAUUAAUUAUUUAGCCAAUGAAUUGGGAAAGCCGAUGUGGGGAGUGGGCCCACUGUUACCUGAACAAUUUUACAAAUCGGCCGGUUCAGUGCUUCAUGAUCAUGAGAUGAGAAUCAACCGGUGGAGUUCUAACAUGACGGAAGAUGAGAUCAUUCAAUGGUUGAAUUUGAAAUCAUGCGGAUCUGUGUUAUAUGUGUCAUUUGGUACUGAAGUGGAUCCGACCUUAGAUGAGUAUUUAGUACUAGCCAAUGCUUUAGAAGCAUCAAAUCGACCGUUUAUUUGGGUAAUUUAAGGUGAUGCAAGUAGAUUGGAUCCUCUAUGUCAUUUGGACAAAACAGUAGAAGGCAGUUAUUUUCGUUAGAUGAGUUUAGUGUUGUUGACGAGGCACCAUAUGCACAACAUAGUGAUAUUGUUUAGUGUUUAAUAUUAGAGUAAUGAUAUAGCCACAAACUCUUGUACAAAUUUAUUUUGUACAAACUUAUGUGGCAUGAUAAGAUUGGUUGAAUUAAAUAUCACUUGGCCCACAUGAUUUGUUUUCAUUAUUUUAUAUUUUCAUUCAACCAAUGAAUUAGUGCCACGUCAGUUUGUAUAAAAUAAGUUUGUACAAUAGUUUGUGGCUGUAUCAUUACUCUUAAUAUUAUAGGGAAGUUUUUAAUAGAUCUUCAUUUCCGUGCAUAUUGUGAGCUUAUUGCCAAAAAUGAGACUAUAUAGUUGUGGGACAAACAAAAAGGGAAAUUCUUUACCAUUCGGCUAAAUUUUGAUGUCAUGCAAAAUAAUAUAGGAUCUUGAAUUCACUUUAAUUGGAUGUCAGCCGGGUUACCAUUCAGAGAAACGGGUCUGAAUCCGACCCGUUUCAACUCCUCCCCCCAUCUCUCCACUUUCACCUCACCCGUCCUCUUGGGUCCACCAACCGCCACUAUGUUCCUAAUUUCACACCCAAACAACUGCUGCUCCACCGUAUGCCUCUCUAUACUGUCAGCACCCAGUCCGUCCCCCAGCACAGUGACGGAAAAAAAAAAAAAAGAACACUCAGAAUAAUAACAAUAUAUAAAACAAAAAAAUACAUAAAAAUAUUAAGAAAUGGAAAAAGAAGCCAACUUCUCUUGUUCGACGAGAUGGACCCUUUCGAUCAAUAAAUUGCAGUAGCCUUCCAUCAUACCAAAAGCAUCCAACAUAUUUUGCUCCUUCAUCACAUGCUCAACCUGCAAAAACCAAACCAGGUCAUUAGACAAAUGCAAUUGAACUAGUCAAUAAUUAUAACGAAUCAAACAGAAAAAGAGACCAUGCAUGAGCGACUUUGAUUCUUCAUGCAUGUGCAUAUGUCUUACGCGAGGAGAGCACGCUCUUGAAAGCCUUGUUGGAGGAACUGAACGACGUCGGAGCGUGCUUGGGAGCACUUGACUUGGCGUUGGUUUUUGAGAACGGCCAGGCGAGAGAUUGCAAGGUUGACCUGCGGCUUGAAUUUGUAGGUCUUGAAGUUGUUUUCUCUAAGAAGAAAAUCGAGUUUCUUUCCCAUGCCGCCGCCUGCUCUUCUGAUGAGUAACUGAGCUGAUCACGCUUCCAACUCAAUCACCCAACGCACAGUGACGGAGAGAAGGAGAAGAAACAAGCAAACGAAGGCUUGUUUACUCCUUUUAGAGAUGACGAGUGAUUGCGUUGUUAUUUUAUAGUUUCAUUAGCCUGAAACUUGGACUGAAGUUGUUAUUGCUGGACAAAAGGAAAAAGAGUUCAAUCACUUCAGUACCGUUAUUAUUGCUGGAUUCAUCUCCUCUCUCGGCAGCAAAAAUCACUUCCAUAUUUUGGCAACUACUCACUUCAAUGGACUGAAGUUGUUGAAGGCCUCCGCCAAUGACCAAUGGAAAUACAUUUUUCAAUUUAUCACACCCUUCCACCCUUAUGGUCUUUAGUUUGCAAAAAGACUCUGCUGUGAGUGGACCACGACAUAUUUCCUGUAGAUUCCUUAAAUCUCUCAGAAAUAAUGACUCCAAAAGGGGGAAUGCAGGCGUCGGAGCUGGCGUACAAUCCAUUGUGUCAACAACACAAGAAAGGUUGCCAUUAUGUUUGAUUUUGUUAAGGAAGUUAAGGAAGCUCAUAUUUGUAGUCAAGCAGAGGAUCACAGCAGCUUCUAUAAUCAGUUGCAAGUUGAUGACAUGUACUGCCAGCUGGCACCAGGUGGUUAUGUAGCUGCUUGUACUCAUACAUGUGAUAAGUUUGUUAAUCAUUUUUUAAUUAGUUAGUUAGUAUUGUAACCUUCAGCUGAGAAGCAACACUUGUAUAUAUAUGCUUGUAAUCAUUCAGUAGCAUUUUAAGCUUGAGAAAAUAAAAGAAGAAAGUUUUCUAGAUCUCAGUUUAUUUUCUUAUUAGCCAAACACUCAUUUUCUGUUUUCUAACUUGGUAUCAGAGCUAGUCAUGGCGUCUCUGAAUAUUGCCUCAUCAAAUCACACUUCGAAUAUUCAUACAAACUCAACAAACUUCUCAUUCACAUUCAAUACCCCUGUGAAACUGGAUCAGGCAAACUAUCUGAUCUGGAGGUCCCAAGUUCUAGCUUCCAUACACGGCAAUAGGCUAGAAAAGUUCAUUGAUGAAAAUGUCACUCCUCCUCCAUCUCAUAUUGCUCAAAGGAUUGACGAUGAACUUAGAUCUGUUGAGAAUCCAGAUUCAUCAAGCUGGAAAGCACAAGAUCAAGUACUUCUUGGCUGGUUGCUGUCAUCGAUGAGUGAAGGUAUUAUAAGCCUGGUGUUUAAUCUGGAAACUUCUCUUGAGGUAUGGAAAGCUAUUGAAACUCAAUUUGGAUCACAGUCAAAAUCCAGACUCUUACAUUUGAGAUAUUUGAUGAAUUCAACUAGGAAAGAUGAUCUGAAAAUCAAUGAGUAUUUCAUUAAAAUGAAGAAUAUUGCUGAUAACAUGGCUGCGGCAGGAAGUGCCUUAAGCAGUGAUGAUUUAAUUUUGCAUGUACUGUCAGGACUAGGACCAGAUUAUAAUGUUGUUGCUACUUAUAUUACUGGUCAAAUAAGUGGUGAUAAAAUGAAUUUGAAUGAGGCUUAUGCUAUGUUGUUGACUCAAGAAGCUAGAAUUGAGCAACAAGCACAUAUGCUUUCUGGAAUGGAUGUUAAGCAUAAUUUUGAAGCUAAUUUUGCUCAGAACAGAGGUUUCAAGAAAGGAAAUUUCUCAGGUGGUAGAGGAUCUGGUAAUCAUAACUAUUUUACUGGAUUAGAUAAUGCUGGAAAUUUUGGAAAUAAUUACAGAAGUGGCUAUAGAAGAUCUGGUUUCUUUGGCAAUGGUUUUGGAAAUAAUCAUAGUAACCAGUUCAGAGGAUUUCAAAGUGAUAAUCAAAGGGGAUCAGGCUCAGGAAAUUGGAACAAUGAUGGGGGUGGUAACAAUAAUUCUAUCAGGCCUCAAAUGAAUCCAAAACCUCAGUGGAAUGCUUCUAAACCUACUUGUCAAAUCUGCUUCAAAACUGGUCAUACUGCAAAUGUGUGCUGGAAGCUUGAAGAAUUCUUUACCUCUGGUGCUUACAAACCUCCUCCAAACAAAAAUCCCAAAGCUACAUAUCUAGCUGAUAUGGAUGGUGCAGCUGAUCCCAACUGGUAUCUGGAUAGUGGAGCUACACACCAUCUUACCAAUGACAUGAGGAAUAUGACUAUGGCAGAAUCCUUUGCAGGUAACUCUAAACUCAUCAUUGGAAAUGGUACUGGUUUACACAUAACACAUGUUGGAAAUGCUGUGUUAAGAAUGCAUAACUCUUCUGCUCAUCAUACACUCAAAUUAAACAACAUGCUUCUUGUUCCACAAAUAUCCAAGAAUCUUAUUAGCAUAUCUCAGCUUACCAAAGAUAACAACAUUGUUAUUGAAUUUACUGAUAAAUCCUGUUUUGUGAAGGACAAGGUGAGGAAUUUGAUCAUACUGUAGGGCAAAGCUGAAAAAGGUUUAUACAGAUUGCUAUUGUUUCCCUCUAAUAAAGUCUCUUCUCAAUCAUGUCAAAGGUCUCUUGAAGCCACUCAAUCCAAAAUUUCAGAUGUUCCUCUGUUUAUGUUUUCAGUUGUUCAGUCAGUUGUCAAUAAUCAAACAAGUCCCUGCUUGCAUACUGCAGCAGAAUCUUGUAUCGGUCUAAAUUGUAUGCUGAGUGUUUCUGUUUUGCAUCAGAAACUUGGUCAUCCUAAUUCCAAAGUUUUAAGUCAUGUAAUAAACUCUUGUUCAGCUUUCAAGAAUUUAAAUGGAAGUAACUUUCUUGAUUCAUGUGAUGCAUGUAAAAUGGGAAAAAUGCAUAGAUUACACUUUCCAGUUUCUACUACCAAAACAAAGCAUGUAUUAGAAGUUUUGCACACUGAUUUAUGGGGACCUGCCCCUGUGCUUUCAGUUCAAGGUUAUAGAUAUUAUGAGUUUUGUGGAUGAUUUUUCGAGGUUCACAUGGAUAUUCCCAUUAAAAACCAAGGAUGAAACACUAGUUGUGUUUAAAAUCUUUAAGAAACAAAUUGAGAAAUAGCUAGAUAGAUCCAUUAAGUGCAUUCAAUCAGAUUGGGGUGGAGAGUAUAGAUCAUUUGUUAAUUUUCUUCAUGAGGAAGAUAUUCAAUUCAGGCACUCAUGUCCCUAUACUCACAAUCAGAAUGGCUUAGUUGAGAGAAAACAUAGACACAUAACCGACCUAGGUCUCACCUUACUUGCUCAAGCUACUUUGCCUCUCAAAUUUUGGUGGGAUUCCUUCCAUACAGCCACCUAUAUUAUCAAUAGACUUCCCACACCCAUACUAUCUAUGCAGUCACCUUAUGAAUGUGUCUUCAAAACCAAACCUGAUUACAAAUUUCUCAAGGUCUUUGGUUGUUCAUGCUUCCCUUUCUUAAGGGAUUAUAAUACUCACAAAUUUCAUUUUCAUACCUCAAAAUGUGUAUUUCUUGGUUACAGCCCUUUACAUAAGGGUUACAAGUGUAUGCAUUCUUCUGGAAAGAUUUUUAUAGCCAGUCAUGUGUUAUUUGAUGAAACUUCUUUUCCUUACACAUCAAAUUCACAAUUUUUAACUUCAUCAUCCAAACCCUCUGAUUUCCAUUACAGUCUUAUUCAAUCUUAUACUGUUUCACUUCCCAAUAGCAAUCAAGAAACCUGUGAAGCUAGCUCUGCAGAAGAUGAAGCUCCAUAUCAUCAUUUCAGUGAUCAUUCCUCACCUGACAGUCAUAAUACAACCUUUGAUGUUUCACCUUCUCAAAUACAUCUUCAACCCUCUACCAUAGCUACUUCACAAACACAACAGCCAUCAUCAUCUACUAUUCAAUCCACACAACCAUCCCAACAUUCUCUGCCAAAUCAUCCCAUGAUUACUAGAGCAAAAGCUGGUAUAUUCAAGCCUAAAGCAUUCUUAACAUCACAUAACAGCCUGGAACCAUCCACUGUUGAUGAAGCUUUGUCUGAUUCUAAGUGGAAAGCUGCAAUGCAAUUAGAGUUUGAUGCUUUAACCAGAAAUAAUACCUGGACUCUAGUACCUAUGACAUCUCAGCACAAGUUGGUUGGUUGUAAAUGGGUCUUUAGAACCAAGUACAAUACAGAUGGUACAGUUUCUAAACACAAAGCAAGAUUGGUGGCCAAGGGCUUUCACCAGACAGCAGGAGUGGAUUAUAAGGAAACUUUUAGUCCUGUGGUAAAGUCUUCUACAGUCAAAACUAUACUAAGUUUGGCAGUGAUGAAAUGUUGGAAAGUCAGGCAAAUCGAUAUAAAUAAUACUUUUCUUAAUGGAGAUAUUUCAGAGGAUAUAUACAUGACACAACCAGAGGGCUUCAUCACCAAAGAGGGCUAUGUCUGCAAACUUAGCAAGGCUCUUUAUGGCUUGAAGCAAGCUCCUAGAGCUUGGUAUGACAAACUCAAAUGGUGUCUUACAAGCUGGAAUUUCUUCAACUCCAAGGCUGAUACAUCCCUGUUCAUCAGACAUGACACAAGAGGUAUCAUUCUUGUUCUUAUCUAUGUGGAUGAUAUUCUCAUUACAGGACCAAUUCUUCCAUGUUGGAAACAUUCAUCACUAAAUUCAGUAAGGCUUUUGCCUUAAAAGAUUUGGGAUUGGUAUCCUAUUUUCUGGGUGUUGAGGUGUGUUAUACUGAUAGUGGGAUGCAUUUAUCACAAACAAAAUAUAUUAAAGAGCUCUUAAGUAGAGCUUCAAUGCAGAACUGUAAAGGUUUUGAUACACCUCUCAGCACAGGUCAAAAGUUAGAAAAGGUAGCAAAGGGCUGUUUGGGGAAAGAAUUUGAAGAUCCAACUCUCUAUAGAAGUAUUGUUGGAGGGCUCCAAUACUUGAUACUCACCAGACCUGAUAUUGCAUACUCAGUUCAUAAGCUCAUUCAAUAUCAGAGUGCUCCUACACUUCAGCAUUGGCUUGCUUGUAAGAAGGUACUUAGAUAUCUUCAAGCAACUGUCACUCAUGGAAUAUAUAUUCAAAAGGAAGGAGAGCUUGAAGUUACAGGUUUGAAUGGAUACUCAGAUGCAGAUUGGGUUUGUGAUACAGAUGAUAGAAAGCCCAUUGGAGCAUAUUGCAUCUAUCUUGGCAACAAUUUAAUUUCAUGGUCCUCUAAGAAACAAGCUAUAGUGGCCAAAUCCAGCACUGAAAGUGAGUAUAGAGCACUAUCAUCAGCAAGUUCAGAAAUCUCUUGGCUUGAAUCUCUAUUUUCUGAGCUCAACAUUGUAAAGCUGCCAACACCAGUGCUUUGGUGUGAUAAUCAGAGUGCUGGGGAAUUAGCCAAAAAUCCUGUGUUUCACUCCAGGUCUAAGCAUAUCGAGUUGGACAUUCAUUACAUUCGAGAUAAGGUACUUCAAAACCAAUUAGAAGUGAGAUACAUUCCUACAGAUGAACAAGUUGCUGAUGUCCUCACCAAAGCUUUAUCACUUCCAAAAUUCAGCUACUUCAGGUCCAAGCUCAAUGUCAUUAGCAGACCCUUGAGCUUGAGGGGGGAUGUUAAGGAAGUUAAGGAAGCUCAUAUUUGUAGUCAAGCAGAGGAUCACAGCAGCUUCUAUAAUCAGUUGCAAGUUGAUGACAUGUACUGCCAGCUGGCACCAGGUGGUUAUGUAGCUGCUUGUACUCAUACACGUGAUAAGUUUGUUAAUCAUUUUGUAAUUAGUUAGUUAGUUUUGUAACCUUCAGUUGAGAAGAAACACUUGUAUAUAUAUGCUUGUAAUCGUUCAGUAGCAUUUUAAGCUUGAGAAAAUAAAAGAAGAAAGUUUUCUAGAUCUCAGUUUAUUUUCUUAUUAGCCAAACACUCAUUUUCUGUUUUCUAACUGAUUUGGAGACGCUUCAGUUUUGGAAAGCCUUCUCUGUCUGAUCCAAAAAGAACAUUCUUCAUGUCCGGCAAUCCAUCUAAAGUUAGGUCUUCAAUACCCUUCAAUUUCAUGAUAUGCGCCCCGUUCAAGCAAAUGUUGGCACCACUGGCGAGCUUCAGUGUGAACGUUCUAGAAAUCCCAUCCGAUGGGCCAUACCGCCGCCGCCGAUCUCCUAUCAAUAUUCUGUACCUUUGCAGCAUUUUGAAGAACGACAAGUCACUUGGUAGAUUCAUUGCAUCCGGGAUGAGUAUUUCUAAAGAAGUCAAUUUAGAUAAAUGAUUCAACUCAUGAAGGCUGGCAUUUCUUCUUCUACUGUUGUUAGGUCCCAGUCAGAGACAGCCAAUGAUCACGCAUAACACAAGUGAUAUUUUUCUGCUUAUGGCGAGAAAGGACUAAAUAAUUGUUGUUUAGAAUUCUCAAUACUUUUAUUCAUAUUCUGGAGCUUAUUUAUAAUAACAAGACUUUGGUUUCCAUCCUACAAUUACGGCUAAAUAAACGAGUAUAACAACUUAGCUAAAAAUUCGAAACCGAAAGAUAAUCGAAAACAACUUCCGUGUCUUAGCUUCCCUCCUUACUCGCUGCACAAUUGUUGACAAGCGUAUUCCUAGAUCACGGCUCCAGCUCCAGCACGUAUCUUCACGAUCUCAGCACAUGCAUGUUUCAUGCAUGGCUUGCAUGGGACUCAUGCCCUUACGUAGCAAACUUAGGAUUUGGCUUUGGCAUUUCCAGAUCUUCGUGGCUCAUGCAUUUGCUGUCUAUCAUUACCCCAUCCUCGAAGAAUACCCUUGUCCUCAAGGGUCAGAUUGGGAAACUGUUGGUGCAGCAUUAUGGUGUCCUCCCAUGUUGCUUCUUCAGCCAACAUUUUUUUUCCAACGGACUAGAUUCUGCUCGAUCACUUUACCUCCUCUCUUCACCCAACGUGUGUCAAGGAUAGCUUCAGGGUCCAUGAUCACCAAGCCUUCAUCAUCCACAGGUGGUAAAUCGACGCCGUUGCUAAGGAAAUCACCCACAGCUUUCUUAAGCAAAGAGACGUGAAACACUGGGUGAAUUCGAGCAUUCUCUGGUAAUUGUAGUUCGUAGGCAACGGCUCCAACUUUGCGAAGAACUAAAUACGGCCCAAAGUACCUGCAAGUUAAUUUCUGAUGUGCCCUUCUGAACACUGAAGUCUGCCGAUAGGACUGCAACUUUAAUAACACCAUAUCUCCCUGUUUGAACUCAACGUCGCGGCGACCCUUGUCAGCUGUUUGCUUCAUCCUGUUAGCUGUUGUGGCUAAGUUUUUCUUUAAUUGUAAGAGCAGUUCAUCACGCGAAUGUAAGGCUUGAUCAACCUCAUGCACCGGCGAGGAACCAAGUUGAUACAUGGGCAUGGCUGGAGGUGGUCUUCCAUACAAAGCUUGGAAUGCAGUCAUUCCGGUGGAGACGUGGAAUGUGGUGUUGUACCAAAAUUCUGCCCACGGCAAAAAAGAAUGUCACUUUCGCAGCCACUGGUGAACAAAACAUCUCAAGUAUUGUUCCAAGCAUCGAUUAAUUACCUCCGUUUGGCCGUUGGUUUGCGGGUGGUAUGUGUUGAGUGUUAGAAAAUGCAUAUUUAUAAAGGAGAAAACCGUCAUUUUACAUUUCAAGUCUUACUAACAACCCUUACUUUUAUGUAUUUAACCUUCUUGUGAUUUAAUUACAUGUGUUUUAUUUUAAUUAAGUAUUUUAUGUAUUUUAGGGGCAUUAUAGUCAUUUCACAAUAAAGGAGAGAUUAGACGGCAAAACGGACAUCACUUUUGAACUCAGGACGGUCGAAAACCUUAGGAGGAGCAUAAAAGGAAAAAUGGAACUAUUCACAUGUACGGUACUAUUCACGUGUACGGGACUGUCUAUGUUACUGUUCACGACACUGUUCACAUAGACGGAUCGAUGACGUGGCAUUGACCGAUGAUGUGGCAUUGACUGAUGAGGUGUCACGAUCCUGUUGGGCUAAAAUUCUUAUGUACUGUUGAUGCUGACGUGGCAGCAUAUCAGUGGACGAAAAAUCUCGCGUACGGUACAUGCAUCACACAGGAUUAUUUUCAACCAAACUGCGUUACUGUUCAUCCGGGUCAAACCGUAUUACUGUUCAUCCACGUUGUCAAACCGCGUACUGUUGACUGAUGACGUGGUGCAAUCCUGAGCGUCCAAACUGUUUUUAAUCUGAUGGCCAUGAUUUACUCCAUGUAUCUAUAAAAAGGGGGCCUCUCCCCCUUAAUUUGAUAGCUCUGAAUCCAUUUUUGGGAUCCAUUUUCUAUAAUUCCCUCUCCAUCUUGUAUUUUCUACGUAUUUUAAUAAAUUCCCAUUUUGCCCCUAGUUCAAUUAUGAAUAGCUAAUUUUCUUUCAAGCUUGGGUUGAAGGUGAAGUCUCAACAUGUGUCAUGGGCUUAAUUUGGUAAAUUUAUUUUCUCUUCCCCUUUAGUUUUUGUGGAUGUUUUGACUUCUCGUCGACAAAUAAUAAUAAUCUUGUCUAGAUAUCGUCUUGGUUACACCGGCUCUCUAGUAUAAGGUUAUUAUUAUUUGGCACGAUAAGCCCUUAGCACCAUAUUGAUUAGAGUGUGGUUCAUAAGGUGUGGAUUCCCCCCUCAUGAUUUAAUUGGUAUUAAUAAGGAAUAUUUAGCCCAUGGUGCAUGUUGAUACGGAUCCAAAUACCCAAGUACGUCAUUUCAAUAGAUUUCUCUUCAAUUUAUUCUCGCCAUUUAAAUUCCAAUUUUAGAAUUUAUUCUCGCCAUUUUAAUUUAAGUUUUAGCAUAUUCCAAAUCAUUUCCAUCACAAAUCCAAUCACCCAUUUACAAAAUUAAUUCUACACACAAUUAAAAUCCACCUCCUCGUGGGAUCGACACUCGUCACCAUUGAUCUAUACUACAAUAGAUUCGUGCGCUUGCGAGUACAUUAAAAUUUGCACAACAGUAUGGUGAGCUCAUUUUGAGUUUGGUGCCUGAUAAAUUAAAGAACUCUUGCCAAAAUUUGCUGAUGAAUAUGGGGUCACGAUCGCUGAUGAUUGACUUGGGCAUACCGUGCAGCCUCACUACUCCUUCACUUUCUUCUCGAACUGGCCGCGGUGAACCAAUGGUUUCGUUGGUGCCGUGGCUAGUGGUGUCUUUGGAUGCAUUGAAAGUUUCUGCUAAUUUGCUAAUGGUGUCUUCUAAUCGCUGAAGCUUGUCAUUGAUCCCAAUCUCCAUGCGUUCCAUUCGGCUCUCCAUGCUUUUCAGAUCAGCUUCAAUUCGCUCAAUACGUUCUUUGUUGGUCAUCAUUGUUAACCCGCUCUGAUACCAAUGUUAGGUCCCAGUCAGAGACAGCCAAUGAUCAUGCGUAACACAAGUGAUAUUUUUCUGCUUAUGACGAAAAAGGACCAAAUAAUUGUUGUUUAGAAUUCUCAAUACUUUUAUUCAUAUUCUGGAGCUUAUUUAUAAUAACAAGACUUUGGUUUCCAUCCUACAAUUACGGCUAAAUAAACGAGUAUAACAACUUAGCUAAAAAUUCGAAACCGAAAGAUAAUCGAAAACAACUUCCGUGUCUUAGCUUCCCUCCUUACUCGCUGCACAAUUGUUGAUAAGCGUAUUCCUAGAUCACGGCUCCAGCUCCAGCACGUAUCUUCACGAUCUCAGCACAUGCAUGUUUCAUGCAUGGCUUGCAUGGGACUCAUGCCCUCACGUAGCAAACUUAGGAUUUGGCUUUGGCAUUUCCAGAUCUCCGUGGCUCAUGCAUUUGCUGUCUAUCAGUUGGUCCUUUCACGCUUCCCCCACUCAAUGGGACUCUCACCAAUGUACAAUUCUUCUAAUCGUGAUAAGCUUGAUAUGACAUUUGGUGGAAUAACUUUUAGAUUGAAACAGUUGCUCAGAUCCAACAACCUCAACUGAGUCAGCCGGCCUAUUUCUUCAACCAGUUUCUGCAUAUUAGAACCUCGAAGUGUAAGGAUUUCUAAUUUCUUUAGAUCUCUAAUAAUAGCGAUGUCUCCGAGUUGGCAAUCAUCGAGAGACAAUGUUUGAAGGUUUUGUAAGAGACCAAGCGAUGGAGGCAAAGGCAACAAAUGCAUCGUAGUGAAAUCUAAAACUCUAAGCCCUGUCAUCCCAGUAAAAAGGUUAUCUGGGAUUCUCAAAGAUGGAACAUUAUCAAUGGUGAGGUAUUUAAGUUGCGGACAUUCAAAAUCUUGAGGAAACUCACUAAUAUUACACCUACAUAAGGAAAUAACUUUGCAAACCUUCAGUCUCUCCUUAUCUGGCCAGCUGGUCAGCGGAAUAACCUCGUUUUCCACCGCAAACACAUGUUGGUCUCUAGAUGCAAUUGAUAUGGCUACAUCACGAACAACAUCAUGCAUAGAAAACCAUUCACUUGUAUUGCCAUCAAGCAACAAACAAGAUUUUUUGAGUUUUUCAACCAAUUCAUGUGCUCUAUCCCGCGCCUCUUCCAACGUGUUGAUGUUUUGAAACAGACCCAAACCCAUUCCAUAAAAGAGCACGUCUUCAACGCAAGAGAUGAAGGCGUACCUUAUUAGCAAAAAUGUACUCUUGAGCUCCUCCCCGUUUAAAUGACUGUAACUUAGCUCUAUACUUUUAUAUGCCACCUCCAGUGUUCCACUGAAGUUCCUCAAGGAAGGCCUUCUUAAUUCUAGCAAAGCAUCAUUCCAUUCACACAAUCUCUUAUUUCUCAAUGCCCUUGCUACGGGUACAAUGGCAAUGGGCAAACCAGCACAUUCCUUGACUAUAUCUUUUGCUACCGAUCUCAAUUCAUCAUUUUCUAUGCAAUCACCUGUCGUCUUCGUAAAAAGACUACAAGCUUCUCCUCCAUUCAAAACAUCAACACGAAAAUUCUGUUGACAAUCAAUCUUACAGGACAACACAUCUACACUUCUUGAUGUCAGCAGAACUUUACGUCCGCUGUUAUCAUCUGCCAAUGGAAUUCCAAUCGCCUCCAAAUCAAGACUCCCCCAAAUAUCAUCCAAGAUUAUAAGGAUCUUCUUCUCUACUUUCAAUCGUUCAUAUAGCCUCCCUGCUCUUACAGUUUCAGUCUCUUUAACUAAUCGCAAGCCCAUCUUCUCUGCAAUUUCUUCACCAGCGUCGUCUUUCCAACCCCACCCAUCCCGUAGACCCCAAUCAUGUUGAAUUUACGGUUGCUGAGUGCGUCUAGUAUCUCCUUCAAAGUGCACUUCCUCGAUUGAAAGUGCACGAAACCCUGGGUAGACUUAAGCCAUGGCUCUUCUGGAAUGGUUCGAAAAGAAACACUGUCCAAUCUCCCUUUUUCAAGGAGUUCAACAAUAGCAUUCACCUCCCUCACUGCUUUCUUGCUAAGCUGGUACCGAGUCUUCAAAUCAGGGCAUAACCCCUUCAAACACCGGUUGUUUGAAUUCUCUUUGUAUCCAAUAAGUUCUCCGACUUCAUUGAUGAGCCUGUGCGCACUAAUCAGCCACUCCGCAACUUUCGGUAGAAUUCCAUCCCCAUUAUUUCUGGAAUCAUCAACUUUAUGCUGCACACUGUCUCUAGCAUUCUUUAGGUUACCAACUUCAUUCUUCAGCUUCUCGAAGUUGGUCUUGUAGCUGCGGCAGUAAGUAAAUGGGUGAAAAAUGGGACCAACCAAGUUCUUUGAAGCUUUUGUAACAAUGGAGAUAACAAUUUCCAUUAUCCUUUUUUUUCCCCCCGCUUUCAGAAAACAGGGAAAAGCAAAACUAAUCAAACUAAGCAGAGCUAAUCAAUCGGCUGGGAAUUUGGAUAAAUUGCUGAAAUAAGAAGUUGUCCGAAUGAAAUUGAUGAAACAAAUAUUUAAGGGAGAAGGAGGGGAAAGGAGUGAAAAAUCUAGAGAUGAAGCGAAGAGGAGACAAAUUAAAAAGUGAGUGCAAUGAAAGAUUUGCAAAGAAGGUAUGGGAGGACAAGGAUGAUUCAGACAAGGGAAACAGAAUAUGAAGAAAGGGAUUUCAGAGAACUCUAAAGAUUAGGGAAGAAUGAUGAUUAGGAAAAUGAAGAGGCAGACAGUUGUGAUCUCGAGACUCAAGGGGUAAACUGAAUCAUGCAAAAAUGCCAAACUAAAUUCAUACAAGGAGAAGACUCGUGCUUCCAAGUCAACUAGAUUCUCCAUAAGUAAAUAGCGUUAAAGUCGCAGGUUAAAUGCUAAAUGGCAUUUUGGCAUUUCGUUGAAUUUUCUUGUUACCAGUAAGUGCUGUGCUGCCGACAUUUUUCAACUUGUAAUUGUAAGACUUUCCAAGCAAUUUUUGUGGUAGUUUUAAUUAAUUUUAAUUGUAUAUCAAAUAUUUUAUUACUGUAAUUUAAAAAUCACAAUUGAUAAACAACAAUAGUAGAGAGAACGUUAAAUAGUUUGAGAAUGAUUUUUUAUUUAGGGCAUGUUUGUGAUUGCUUUACGAACAAUCAAAAUGCUAAUUCUAUUAGCCAAUAAACACAAGCGCUUUGUCAAGAACAUUACGCGAAGAACCCUUUAUAUAAAUAGCAAUCAUGUAAUUACGGAAGGCUUAUCCUAAUUACAUUUUAGUUACAUUCAAUAACAAAUUAACAACAAUAUUACUUAAAAAUUUUCGUUUGGCAAUGAGUAUAUUGGAGGUAGCAUAAAAAAAUCUGAAAACUUUGCAAACUUUUUAUGAAAAUGCAUUAGAGUUGUUAUGUUCUUUCACUGUUGAUAAUGGAAAUAUAAUGCAGGCCAAGAGACCCAAAGUGAAAGUGACCCAUGUGCUUUUCUAAUUACUCUGCUAUAAAGCCAAAGUUUGCGGACUUUAUGAUUUUUUUUUUCAGAAAUAGAUAUGCAAAUAAAUUGAAAAGAAAAAAAAAAACCCUGUUGCGUGGUCAUGUGGGUCCUCGAAAUCAUUUCGGCAUUUAAUCGAACAGUUGGAUGUACUCGGCAAGACGGCAACUAUACUUCCUCGAAGGUUCCUGGAUGUUGCAAGUGCUGCCGGCAUUUUCAAACUCGGAAGGUUUCAAUAAUUUUUUUUCUUUGAAAUAAAGGUUUCAAUAAUUAGCUUUGAUUAUUGUGUAAUAUACGAUAAUCUAGUGAUGAUGGUCACUUAUAUAUGUGAUUAAAAGCUAAGCUGGUUGAUUUGUAAGUAAGAACACACGGCAAAGUAUUUGAGCAAGCAUUUUUAUCUUCUUAUUACCACAUUCUUCUAACCAAUUUGCUUUCACCAACAAAAUAAUUAAUAAUUUGUAAAUAGUUGGAUCUUAAGCUCAGAUUUUGACAAUACAUGAAUGAUAAUAUAUACUUAUUUUCCAAGAGUAUACUCUAUUCAAGAGAGGAUCUCAAAUUUUUAUUAGAGAAGAUCAUAUUUAAAGCUCAAGUGCAAGAAUAAUAAUGGUUGCGUUGACUGGAGAACAUCAAAUACAAACAAAGACCAUGCUAAAGGAAAAGCAAAAGCUGGCGAGAUUGAUAAAGAAAGACUAAUAAAGCUUUCCUUUCAGCAUUAAUCAUGAUUAUUGGAUGAACUAGAGGUGAUCACUGUUUUAUAUUUUUAGUGCAAAAUAGAAUACACUGCAAGAGCUGAUGGCUUUCUUUGUUGUCCUCUUAUUGUCACGUAUUUUGUAGCUUUCUCAUUUUGAUUAGUUGUUCGCUCAAUAACCUAAAUGGGUCAGGGUUUUGAUGAAUUGAAAUUGACAUCAUUUCUGUUAAGAGUAGUUUGUUAUAGUUAGUUAUAGCUGCUGACUUAUGCUGACGUGUUAGAUGAGCUAAUAAUUGUUAGUUAUAUUGGUUGUAGUUUGUUAGUAAUCUUUUAGCACAUGUAUAAGCUAAGCUCAGCUCGCGUGAAUUGAUUCCAGAAUAUUCAAGAGCUUAGUAUAAAUACUCUUGUAACAAAUACAACAAUUAAUUCUAAGCUCUCCAUUCUUCUUUCAAACUUUCUUUCGUUUUCUCUGUUUUUCUCAGAUGCUAAACACUUUUCUUAUAUUUUAACUUGGUAUCAGAGCUUCAAUCUUCAAUUCUCAUGGCAUCAUCAAGCUCAAACUCAAACACAAACUCAAUUAUUUCAUCAUUUACUUUCAUCUCACCGAUCAAACUUGAUCGUUCAAAUUAAACAAUCUGGAAGUCUCAAAUUCUUUCAUUUGUUCAAGCCAAUGGUCUAGAAGAUUUGCUUGAUGGAUAAAAAACCUAUCCAGAUCAAUUUCUUCAAGGUGAAACUGAAAACGCCUCUGCUAAUACUCAGCUAAAUCCAGCAUAUACUACAUGAGAGGGAAAGGGUCAGUUGCUACUGAACUGGUUGAUGUCAUCUAUCAGUAUUGAGAUUCUGAGUCUUGUAGUAAACUCUGAAACUUCUCUAGAACUUUGGACUAGUUUGGAACAACAGUUUGGAUUUGAAACUUUUGCUAAGAAAAUUCAUCUAAAAAAUGAUGCUUAAUAACCUUAAAAAAAGUUCGAUGACAGUCACUGAAUUUUUUGGCAAGUUAAAAACAAUUACUGAUGAGUUAGUCAUUACUGGUAAUCCAAUAAGUUCUCUGGACUUUCUUACACACCUGAUUUCUGGAUUAGGUCAGCCUUAUUAUCCUGUUGUAGUUUAUCUUGAAGCAAAUCUUGUUAAGAUCUCUAUCAAUGAGGCAUAUUCUAUGUUAUUAACUCAUGAAGUUAGUCUAUAGGCAAAUCAGUUAAGUGCAAGCAAGGAAGUUAAGUUGAACUAUACUGCAAAUAUUGCUCAAACUGGAUCUAGAUCUAAUAAUAACAAGAAACAAGGUGGUCAAUUCAAUAACAAUUGGACUGGUGGUCAAUUUAACAAUAAUUGGAACAAGAAUGCUAGCUUUAGAGGUGGAUAUGCUGGAGGCAAAGGUGGUUAUGGUAGAAAUUUUUCACAAGGAUAACGAAGAGGAAACUGGAAUGGUGUGCCAUUUGGAAAUUUUUCACAAGGAGGCAAAGGAAGUAAUUACAAUGGCAAUCCUAGUCAAAAUGAGGGAUUUACUAGUGGAUUUACUAAUGGCACAGGUGUUAUGGAUCAGGCUACUGCCACUGUAAUUUGCCAGAUUUGCUUUAAACCUAAGCGCACUGCAGCUGAGUGCAGAAACUGAUUCAACAAGGAUUAUGUUCCUUUCAACAAUCCAUUUCAGAACUCAUCAAGAAUUGCCCAUCUUACAACUUCAGAAGGGGCAAUAGCUGAUCAAGGAUGGUAUAUCGAUAGUGGUGCCACAUAUCACAUCACUAACAACUUACAAAAUCUACAAAUUGGAAGUGAGUAUUCAGGUAAUCAGCUGCUCCUUGUAGGUAAUAGUCAGGGUUUACAUAUUUCACAUAUUGGCUAUGCAUAUCUUCAAACAUCAUGCAAUACAACUUUAUACUUAAGAGAUACUUUGUGUGCUCCUAAACUUACUAAAAAUCUCAUAAGUGUUUCGAAAUUGCUUGAAGAUAACAUUGAUGUAACCAUUGAGUUUGUUGCCAAUAUGUGUUUUAUAAAAGAUAAGAGGAAGGAACGACAUCUGGCUCAAGGGAUUGCUAGAGGAGGAUUGUAUCUGUUGUUGUCAAAGAAUGACUUUGUUUCGAAUUCUAGUUGUCUCACUUAUGCACCUAGCUCUAUGCUUUCUGUUUUGAAUAAUUCAGCUUGUAAAAUUUUUGAUACUGCUACAAAUAAAGUUUGUAAUCCACAAUGUCAAAUGAACACAACCAAGAUAACAAACUUGUUUCAUCAGAAAUUUGGUCAUCCUAAUAAACAUGUGUUGAAAUCCAUUUUAUCUUCUCUUUCUAUUGAGUACUCAUCUAUAUCAGCACCUGAUUUUUGUGAUGCCUGUCAAUAUGGUAAAGUCCCUCAAAUGCCCUUUUACACAACUAGAAUCAUAACUAAAGCUCCUUUAGAGCUUAUCCACACUAAUCUUUGGGGUCCAACACCCUUACCAUCUCUACAUGGCUAUAGUUAUUACAUUAGCUUUGUAGAUGACCAUAGUAGAUAUUGCUGGAUUUUUCCAUUGACCCUCAAAUUAGAAGCAUUAGGCACUUUCAAAUUCUUCAAAACCUUAGUCAAAAAAUAGUUUGGCUACACUCUAAAAUCACUGCAGUCUAAUUGAGGGGGUGAGUAUAGAAGCUCUCAAAGUUUCCUUGAAGAAGAAGGGAUAAGGUUUAGACAUAGUUGUCCUCACACACACCAUCAAAAUGGUGUGGUUGAAAGAAAACAUAGACACUUGGUUCAAACAGGACUUACCCUUCUGACACAAGCCAAAAUGCCUCUGUCUUUCUGGUGAGAAUCAUUCCAUACAGCUUCCUUGUUAACAUAUAUGUUUCCAUAAUGUUGAUUUUGAUGAUAACAAAUAAGAUUAAGAGUGAUAAAUCUUUUAAGCUCAAAUUAUUUUUUAUACAUUUUAAAUAAAUCAUUAUUUUUACAUUAUAAAGGUUUUAUAUUUAAUGGAAAAAUGAUUUUAUGAAAUUGAUUGUUUUUAUUCUUUUUAAAUAAAUCAUUAUUUUUGCAUUAUAAAUGUUUCAUAUUUAAUGGAAAAAUGAUUUUAUGAAAUUGGUUGUUUUUCAAAGUUUAUGGUUUAAUUGAAAGAAUUUUGAAAACUUUGAAAUAAACAAGUAUUGCUUGAAAUUUUAGAGAAGGACUUAUUUGAAAAGUAUCAUAGCAUUUUGGGCUAUACCAUAAUUUCAAAAAAUUUUGGGAUUAACAAAGCAUUAUUUAGAAAUUCUGGAAUCGGACCUAUUUACAAAGUUUUAUAAUAUUUUGGGUCGUAAUACAGUUUUAUAAAGUUUUGGGGUCAAACUAUAAAUUUGGGAAAUAUUUCACUGUAGCAGUUACUGUAGUAGCUACUGUAGAAAACGGCGAUCCGACAUCUUGAUAACGGCUCGCCGAUAUCUAACAGAGUUGAAGAUUAGCCUCUGGACCUAAACGGCGAUCCGACAAUUGUGAUAAACGGCUCGCCGAUAUUUAACAGAACUGAAGAUCAGCCUCUGGACCUAAACGGCGAUCCGACAUCUAGAAUAAACGGCGAUCCGACAAUUUGAAAAAUCAGCCCAACGGUCAUAUUGACCAGUCAAACGGCGAUCCGACAGUGUGCAGACAGUCUAUAACGGCUAGUUUUCAGCUGCAGCUAUAAAUAAGCUCAUUCAAAUUCAAACAAAGGUUAAUCACAACACGACUAUUGAGCUUAUAUCCGAGAAUACAAUCUUCAUAGAGCUUUAAACACAUUCUCUCUUCAUCUAUUCACAUAUUGGGCAUUGAUUUGUAAUCUUAAAUAUUGUGUGAGAGAAAAACAAUUUGUAAUCUUUUACUUUGAGUGAUUGUAAGUGUUGGGAUACACUUGGGUUAAGAGAUUGGGGAUAAUCUCUUGUUGUAAAGGUCCAUUGACACCUUGGAAGUCAAUUGUAAGCGUUUGAAGCCUUGGGAGGCUAGCUUAGUGAAAUCCUCAAGCCCGGUGAGCUUGGAGGCGUGGACGUAGGCGGGGAUUGCCGAACCACGUAAAAAUCCUUGAGUUUGCUUUCUCUUCCCUUGCUCAUUUAUUAUUGUGCUUUCAUUGAAUUUAUUGUUUUCAAAUUUAUUAAGGCAUUAGAUUGGAUUGUUGUGUGGUUUGCUUAGCUUAAUUUUUAAAUCCCAAUUCACCCUCCCUCUUGGGUUGCCUAGUUAGUAUUUCAUUUGGUAUCAGAGCGAGGUGCUCUUGUGUAGACUUAACGUCUAGAGUCAAAGAUCCAUAGCAACCCAAAUUAGCUCAACCAUCAUGGAAGGCCAAUCUAUCACUAGACCUCCAUUUUUCGACGGAAAUGAUUAUCCUUAUUGGAAAACUAGGAUGAGAAUUUAUUUACAAGCUUUAGAUUAUGAAAUUUGGGAAGUUGUUUGUGAUGAUUUACUCAUUCCUAGAAAGAAUGCUUUAAGUGAGUUGGAUAAGAAAAAGAUGUCUUUAAAUUCCAAGGCUAUGAAUGCUUUAUUUUGUGCCUUAGAUAAAAAGGAAUUUCAUAGAGUUUCAAAUUGUUCUAAUGCUUAUGAAAUUUGGAGAAAACUUGAAAUUGUGUAUGAGGAGACUACAAACGAGGAGAAUUUUCAUGAAGUGUCAAAUUUGGCACUUAUGGCAAUUGGAGAUGAAUCGGAUGAUGACCCAUGUGCUUUUCUAAUUACCCUGCUGAAAACUAUAAAGCCAAAGUUUGCAGAUUUUAUUAUCAAUUUUUUUUUUCAAAAUAGAUAUGCAAAUAAAAAGACAAAAGAUGAGACUUAUUAUAGUACCAGUGGCGGGCCCCCUGGGUCCUCAACUUCUUCAAAUGGGCAUUUUAAUAUAUUUACAUAUAAAUAAAUGAAUAUCUUAUGUAAUAUUCACUCCAUCAAGCAUGAAGUAUAUAAUUAAUUGAAUGUACAAGCAUCGGCAUUAGUUGACAGGAAAAGAGCUCGUUAAUAAAUUAUAUGAGUGAUAAUACUACUUGAAUCAAACUCACGUCCAAAGUUGGGACUCGCCUAUUGUGCAACAGUGGCACCAUGCCACCGUUUUUGUCUUUUUCUGUGUAAAAUUUCAUGAAGCCCUUUCACUUAUUCUUAUUUGAACUUUGCUUCACAAAUAUUAAGUUCAUUUCUCCCAAACUCGUGAAUCCUUCAACGGCCGAUCAACGGCAAAUCGGCUCCUCCAAUGGCUGUGGUUGGUCAGAAAAGACAAAGGGAACUGUGGAGAACAAAACCCAAGUGGUGGUGUCACCGGAAACCGGAGAAACCGCAGUGAAUUGAAGCGGGGAUUCUGUGACUUUUUGCGGCUUUGAUCAACAGCUUUCCGAAUGCUUUACGGCAACAAGGAUGGCAUGAAGAUGACCAGCGUCGCACGAGCUUCCGAUCGGUACCAACCUUGGCUGGUGGAGUAGGCAGAAACGUAAAAAAAAUUUGGGUCGGGUUCACGAGUCAGGUUGACUCAGUUAUUUUUGCGACAAGGAUGGUGUGGAGAUGACCGGCAUCGCAUGAUCUUCCGAUCGGUACCAACCUUGGCCGGUGGCAUGGACGAAAAUGGAAACGAAAUUCGGGUCGGGUUCGUGGGUAUUUGUGAUAAAGAGAGGGGUAUUGUGAUAAAAGGUGCAAUAUAGAAGGAAAAUGUAUAAAUAGGAAAUAGUAUAAGGUGCUAAUUAUAAUGUUUAUAUGGAUGCAAUAGAAAUUAAUUUAAUAUUUAUGAGGUAAAGUUUAAAUAAAAAUGAAUGAAAGUGGUUCAAUGAAAUUUUACAACAAUGCUGGCACAAAAGACAAAACCAGUGGUACGGUACCACGGUGGUACCGUAGCUGGAUCCCCAAAGUUGAUAAGAGUUAAAUUAAAUAAAGCUUUGAUGAUUUAAUGUGCAUAAAAUUAUAAAUUUAUAAUCAUCAAAUGGAUCCACCUAUGUCACAAUAGUUGCACCAUACCACACUUUUUGUCUCUAUUUCGCAGAGCCGUAAGAUGUUUUAUUGUUCAAUCUAACUAUUGAUGCCAAAAUCGGCUCGUCCUUGGACCGACCAGAUUCGUUCACCAACGUUUAAGUUAUCCACUGCUGCACGAACCGCUAAGGCUGGAAUUACCCUCCUUUCUCUCACUAGACCUGCGUUCACCAAAAACAGAUCAGAGACGCCGGUGGUUUUGCCGGCGUAAACCCUCCGAUGCCUAAGUUAGCACAAGGUGUUUACGGGAAAACAGUUAAAUUUUGAUUCAACAGUGGUUCUAAUUUGUUCGAAGUUUGUAAUAAAAUUGUCUGGUUUCAAUUUGGCAGCGUUUUCCCUCUCCCAGUUUUGUUAUCUCCAUCUUCAUCGAUUUCUUCUUCUUUUAUAGCUGCUGUUUGUCCCACGUCUUCCGCUUACCCUCUAUCCCCCCUUUUCUCGGGUUGUGGCAGCCCCUCAUGGGGCUCUGACUGUUGCAUUGUGGCAAACGUGGGAUCUUAUGUGUCCUUCAACGGUUCCGGGAAAGGCGCAGCAGCCGCGAUUCUGUGGGAUCGUGUUCCCGCUUUUCUGGGGAGUGUGUAUCGGUUCGGUAUUAACAUCUGGUCGGCAUACGCUCCCGUGCUCUGCUCGUACCCACGGCUGAGGUGAUCCAUGCCGGGGUGGAGGUAGUAGCAUGGUCGACCUGGUGCUUUUAUUAACUUAACACCAGUCCCCCAGUUUCUGGUCUUGCGAGUGAAAUGAGUUAGGAGUAGAAACUGAUAGUCAAAUCUUACCAACCUGGGGAGCGUCUCGCCUGGUCUUCCGCUUACCAGGACAGAUCUCAGGUACCAUUUUCCUUCUAGGGAGAUUCCGACCUGAGCAUGGGCCUAAAUGAGCCUGUCCGUUGCAUAUCUGGGCUUUCAUCUAACCCGGUCUCUUGUAACGGUUGGUGACGUGGUGCUUCCCGACUCUUCGUAUUUGAAAUUUGAAACGACGGGCUAUCCGUCCUCGAUAUAUGGGGGGGUGAGCUGGCAUAUCCCAUCACUUAAAUGCUUCCAUUUCCCCCUUUUCGUUUUAAAUCCCUAGACUGGAGUCUUCACCAUCUUGUUACUCGUUUCUCCGCCGUUAACCAAAUUUUCUCUGAACUUUGCUCACACUUCCAGCGUCCGGAGUAUCCAUUUGCUGGGUGUUUUCUCUGUUACGGCAGCGCUAUCAGUGUCAGUCUAUUCCAGGUAUAGCCUUUAACCUUUUCUUCGGCUGUUGUUGAUUGGGUUCUGUGUUGCCCCUUUGUGUCCAUAUACUCGAGUUUUCUCUGUUUUCUUUUGGGAUUCCGGUAUGUCAAAUCGGAAGAGGAAGUUAAUUGUUGAUGAGGGUGAUGACGAAUCAGGGGAUUCAGGCCUCAACGUGCCAAUACCCACCGAUUUUUUAGGUCCCUCCAGUAGUGUAGGUCCUCCCCAUGGUAGGGAUACCCUUGAUUACCUACGCCCCCUGGUUGUCUCUCCCUCUCCCGAAUUAGAGCUUGUAGGAAAUAGGGGUGGACCUGCGUCGGGCUCUGGUGAGAACCACAGCUUUGGUGGGGUUGGGAUCCCUGAAGGAGUUGGUGAUGGUGAGGGGGAGCAGUUCCGGACCGAGCAGACCUGCUCAGAAAAGGAACCUAGGCCAUAGGGUGGAGGUUGAUUCCUACCCUAUUGAUUUCAUGGCUUGUGCCACCACCCCCACCGAUCUAUUUAAACUUAGGAAUCUCUACAACAUCCCCAACGAGGUUCUUCUUGUAGUUCCUGGAAAAGGUGAUGUCCCUAGUCGGCCUCCGAAAGGGUAUGUGACGAUGCACUUGGAGAGUUUCAGACUAGGAGCUCGGCUGCCCCUUCAACCUUACUUUGCCAAGAUACUGGGCGGUAUGCACCUGGCCCCAGGUCAGCUACACCCAAAUGGGUGGAGGGUUCUCUCGGCAAUGUUUGUGUUGUGGGAGAGGUGCGGGUCGGAGGAGCCUUCUCUUGUUGAAGUGAAACAUCUGUACCAGUUGCGGAGUAGCCCGAAAGAGGCAGGCUGGUACUAUUUCAUGUCCAGUUCCGCAAAGAGGAAACCGAUCACUGGGUUUCCAUCUUCAUGUAAAAAUUGGAAGAAUAAAUUCUUCUUUGCUGGAGGGAACUGGUGUCCAGCGGUUCGGUCGCUUGGUGGGGAGAUUUAUCUUCCCACCCAUUUUGUCACCCCAGGUCGUUCAUUUUUUGCCUAUAUUCUUUCUCAAAUUGACACUCAUUGGGUUCUUUAACCUUGUUUGUUUUUUCAGAAUCGUGGGGUUUGGUGAAGGACCUUGAAGACCGACCUUUGCUUCAGGUGGAAACUGCUCUGUUGAACGCGUCUACUUGCCAAGACCUCCUGUCGCCAACAAACUUGGUCGGUUCCCGCUUAGUCGAUAUUGCCGCUGGAAUGGAUAACAAGAUCCUCAGCGCGUUGAGCAGAAAGCGUGGUCGGGCUCCGAGUAGCUCCAGCAACCCUCCUCCUCCUCCAAAGAAACCCAGCGUCGGUCCUUCCAAGGUGCCAGUUCCUGCUCUGCCCCCUCCUCCACCUCGUAAGAGUGGUGGGGAUAAAACCUCCGACAAGAGUCCUGAGGUCAGCUUGCAGUCUGGGGACCGCUCUUCUCCUCUUCCAUCUCGGGAUCAGGGUGACUACCUAAGCCCAUAUCAGAAGGAUUAUAGAAAAUCGGUUGGGCCCAAGAUGGUGAAGGACAUCGAGAGCAUGAGCCUCUCCGAGUUAACUGCUUCUGUUCAAAGAGUCUCCUUCAGGCUGGCCACAAUGGUCUCGUGCUACAAGACCGGGUCCGCGCGUCAUGAGAGGAAGCUUCAAGCUGAUAACCAGGAGUUGAAAAAGAAAGUUGAAUCUGCUGACCGCUCCAAGGAGAAACUGGCCGAGCUGAACAAGCAGCUUACGGAGCUUGAGGAGAAAGUUGCUGUUGCUGAGUCCACUUCCUCCAAGCUUGAGGGUGAGUUGGGUGAUCUGAAGUCCGAUCUUCAGGCUACCCAAAGUGAAAAGGAUACUCUGAGGAUCGCCCUUGAAGGAGAGAUCAACUUCCUGAAGGACAGCUGGCUGAGGAGAAAAGCAAAUCCGCUGACGUGGAUGAUCGGCUGGAUGCCGAGUAUGACUCCGGGGUUGCUUUCAGCUAUAAGUGCAUCAUGUCUGUGCUUAAGGAAGAAUACCACGAGCUCGACAUGAGCAAGCUGGAAUCUGGGGUGGAGAGGUAUAUGGCUGGGGCCGGCCAGGGAGAUAAGGAGCAGGUGGAGGUUCCUUUUGAUGAGGUGCGGGAGGGAGGAGCUGGUCAGUGUGUUUUUUAAGUGGGACAAGGGUCUGUGCCUCCUCCUCCCGUUAUUGCUGAUCUUCCACCUCCCGAGAUAGCCGACCCUUCUCCUACUGAGGCCGUUGACCUUCCUAAUCCUUAGGUCUAUUUUUGUAAAAACUCUAGAUUGUUAUUCGCUUUGUAAACAUUUGAACAUUUAUAAAUUUUUAAAUGCUCUCUAUUGGCUUUCUUGUCUGGUUUUGCUCACGGGUUGCUUCUGCAAAACAACUUGGCAAUUUAUCUGAUUUUGCCUGUUGGUUCUUUAGUGCAUUGAGCAGGAAUAGGCAUCCGUUUGCCUUAGCGAAAUUUUCGCAAAAUUGCCUGCUGGUCUUCGGUGACCGAGCAGGAUUGGACACUUAUUUGCCUUAGUAGAAUUGUCGUAAAUUUAACUGCUGCUUUUCGUUGACCGAGUAGAGGUAGGCACUUGCCUUAGUAGAGUUUUCGUAGCUUUAGCUGCUGAUCUUUUACUUCACCGAGCAGAAGUAGGCACCGAUUUGCCUUAGUAGAAUUUUCGUAGCUUUAGCUGCUGGUCUUACGUUGACCGAGCAGAAGUAGGCACUGAUUUGCCUUAGUAGAAUUUUCGUAGCUUUAGCUGCUGGUCUUACGUUGACCGAGCAGAAGUAGGCACUGAUUUGCCUUAAUAGAAUUUUCGUAGCUUUAGCUGCUGGUCUUACGUUGACCGAGCAGAAGUAGGCACUUAUUUGCCUUAGUAGAAUUUCCGUAGCUUAAGCUGCUGGUCUUUCGUUGACCGAGCAGAAGUAGGCACUGAUUUGCCUUAGUAGAAUUUCCGUAGCUUAAGCUGCUGGUCUUUCGUUGACCGAGCAGAAGUAGGCACUGAUUUGCCUUAGUAGAAUUUUCGUAGCUUUAGCUGCUGGUCUUUCGUUGACCGAGCAGAAGUAGGCACUGAUUUGCCUUAGUAGAAUUUUGGUAGCUUUAGCUGCUGGUCUUUCGUUGACCGAGCAGAAGUAGGCACUGAUUUGCCUUAGUGAACUUUCAAGAAUUUAGCUGCUGGUCUUUCGUUGACCGAGCAGAAGCAGGCACUGAUUUGCCUUAGUGAACUUUCAAGAAUUUAGCUGCUGGUCUUUCGUUGACCGAGCAGAAGCAGGCACUUGCCUUAGUGAAAUUUUUAUUGAUCUUGCUAGCAGGGGGAUUUCAUGUUGAAUUCAUCUUUAUUGAAAUUUGAAUGUAUUACAAAAAACAUAGAAUAUAUGCAUGUGCGACAGGCCAUCGGGCAUUGUAACAGAAAUAACUUGCCAGAGUGAGGAUUUAAUAGAGCAUUUUGCUUACUGGAAAUACUUCUUCAGGUGUUCGGCGUUCCAUGACCUCUUCACGUCUCGUCCGUCUUGGCACGCUAAUUUAUAUGCUCCUGGUCCAGUGGCUCGUAUCACUCGGUAUGGGCCUUCCCACUUUGGGCCAAGAGCGCCAUGGUUAGGAUUCCUGGUGUUCUGGUUCACCUUCCUAAGUACCCAAUCUCAUGCUCGGAACUGCCUCACGCGUAAAUUCUUGUUGUAAUAACGCAUGACCCUUUGCUGACAUUGGGCCACUUUCUGCGAGGCCUCUUCCCUUUUCUCCUCCAGCAGGUCUAGGCUUAAGCAGAUCUGCUCGUCAUUUUGCUCCUCAACGAAAUGUUCUGUUCGAUGUGUCCCCACUCCAAUUUCCGCUGGGGCUACCGCCUCAUGACCAAAAGCUAAAGCAAACAGGUUUCCCCUGUGGCGGUUUUGUGGGUUGUCCGAUAGGCCCAUAAUACCCCUGGUAGUUCGUCAACCCAAGCUCCCUUCUUCUCUCCCAAUCUAGUUUUCAAGAGCUUCUUUAUUACUUUGUUAGCUGCCUCCACUUGUCCGUUUGCCUGGGGGUGCGAGGGGGUGCAAAACUUCAGGUCCACCCCCAGAUUCCGACAAAAUUCUCUGAAGUUGUUGUUGUCAAAUUGCCUCCCAUUGUCGGUAAUAAUGGCAUAAGGGAUUCCGUAUCUGCAGAUGAUAUUCUUCCAAAUAAAAUCUGUUGUCUUUCUUUCCGUGAUUUGGCUGAGGGUCCCCACUUCUAUCCACUUGGUGAAGUAGUCUAUUGCUACAAUCGCAUGGGUUGCCGCUCAUCGGCCUUUCGGUAACGGACCAAUCAGUUCUAUUCCCCAUUGAGCAAAUGGCCAUGGGGAUGUCAUAGUAGUCAGCUUUUCUGGGGUUGUGUGGGAACCUCUGAAAAGCUUUGGCAGAUAUUGCACCUCUUUGUCAUCCAUUUUGCAUCCUGGUGCAUGGUCGGCCAGAAGUAUCCUUGCCGGAGUGCCUUGAAGGCUAAAGCUCUGGCUCCUGAAUGAUUUCCACAUAUCCCUUCAUGAAUCUCCCUUAGUACAUAGUUUACCUCCUCGUCAUCCAAACAUCUCAAAAGGGGUAAGGUGAACCCUCGGCGGUAUAACACUCCAUCUAGUAGCGUGUACCUCGCUGCUCGGCAUUUUAACUUUCUUGCUUGCCUUUUGUCUUUCGGUAAAACUCCGUCGCGGACAUACGCGCAAAUCGGGUCCAUCCAGGAUUCUCCAGCGCUUACUCUCAUCACCUCUACUUCCUCCCCUAUACUCGGCGAGGUCCUCACCUCUAGUGGAACCGACUUAGGUAAUUUUGGAUCUGCAAUUGCAGCCAUCCUAGCCAACAUAUCCGCUCGGUAAUUCUCAUUCCGAGAUAUCUGCUUUACUUCCACCUCUUGGAAAAGCCCGACCAUCUGCUUCGCUUUUUUUAAAUAAAGACCCAUCUUCUCUCCCCUUGCUUGGAACUGAUCAUUGAGCUGAUUACAUACCAAUUGGGAAUCUGCUCGGAUUUCUACCCUUUCUGCUCUCAAAGCGUGUGCAAGCCCGAGCCCGGUGAUAAAGGCUUCAUACUCAGCUUGGUUGUUUGUGAGCUGAAAUUCGAACUUCACCGCAUAUGUUAUCUCGGUUCCCUCUGGGCUUCGUAUUACAACUCCUGCUCCGGAUCCUUGCUCACUACAUGAUCCGUCAACCAUUACCAGCCAUAUCCCCUUUGAAUCAUGUUGCUCUGCCGGUUGUUCCUCUUGGACCUCUUCCCCCGGUUCAACACGGUCCACCAUAAAAUCUACCAGGGCUUGGGCCUUGAUUGCUCCUCGGGGCCUGUAGGACAGGUCAAAUUCGCUCAGCUCCAUGGACCAUUUUACUAACCGACCAGACACAUCUGGUUUUUGAAACACUUGCCGAAGUGGCUGGUCAGUCAUCACAACGAUCUGGUGGGCUUGGAAGUAUGGUCGGAGUUUGCGUGCUGCCGUUAUCAAAGCCAGCGCCCACUUCUCCAUUAGCGGAUAUCUGGUUUCUGCAUCCACCAGGGCCUUGCUUGUGUAGUAUACCGGGUGUUGCUUCCCUUCUUCUUCCCUGACUAAGACCGAGCUGGUAGCCUGCUUAGAGAUUGCCAAGUACAAGAGCAGCUGAUCACCCUCUCUCGAAGUUGAUAGUAACGGGGCGCGGGCUAGGUAUUCCUUCAGCUGUCCAAAUGCCCCCUCGCAUUCCGGUGUCCAUUCUAGCUUCUUCCCUUUCUUUAUGACUUGGAAGAAAGGGUGGCACUUAUCAGUGGCUCGCGAAAUGAAUCGGUUCAAUGCUGUCAAUUUCCCCGUAAGGCUCUGCACCUCCUUAACUGUUCGUGGGGACCUCAUUUCUAUUACCGCCCGUAUUUUUUCUGGGUUGGCUUCAAUACCCCGAUGGCUCACCAGGUAUCCCAAAAAUUUGCCCGAGCCGACCCCAAAUGCACAUUUCUCCGGGUUCAGCUUCAUUUCGUACCUCCUCAGCAAUUCGAAAGUCUCCUCCAAGUGCUUCACAUGAUCUCUCGGGUCUCUUGACUUGGUGAUCAUAUCGUCCACAUAUACUUCCAUAGUGUGACCGAUCAAUGGUUUGAAGACCUUGUUCACUAACCUUUGAUAGGUAGCUCCUGCAUUUUUCAGGCCAAAGGGCAUCACCCUGUAACAAAACAGACCCAUGUUAGUUAUAAAGGUGGUGCUUUCCUCAUCCUGCUCGUUCAUGGGUAUCUGGUUGUAUCCGGAGAAGGCAUCUAUGAAACUGAGCAGACUAUGACCCGCGGUUGAGUCCACCAACUGAUCUAUUUUUGGUAGGGGAAAUCUAUCCUUCGGGCAUGCCUUAUUAAGGUCCGUGAAGUCUACACACAUUCUCCACUUCCCAUUGGCCUUCUUUACCAGUACCACAUUGGAAAUCCACUCCGGGUACUUGGCUUCCCUUAUAAAUCCUGCUUUUAGCAGCUUUUCCACUUCGGCAUUUAUGGCCUCGUACCUUUCAUGAUUGAAGCACCUCCUUUUCUGCCUCACCGGCCUUGCCCCUCUCUUGACCGCCAGCUUGUGACAAGCUAUCCCGCGGUCAAUACCUGGCAUAUCCUCAUGAGACCAGGCAAAUAUGUCUGCAUGGGACUGUAGACACUUCACCAGCUCGGCCUUUAUUGCUUCGCCCAAUUCUGAUCCGAUCUUAACAACUCUGCUAGGGUCACUCCUGCUUACAACAACUUCCUCCAGCUUCUCAACAGGUUCCUGACGACCAUUUUUUGAAUCCCCUCGGUUAUCUAGAGAGGUAACCUGCAGCGUUUCCUUGGCCGCUGUAGCAUAGCAGCUCCUGGCCAUUCUCUGGUCGCCCUUUACCACACCCACAACUCCAUUUAUUCUGUACUUCAUCGCCAGAUAAUGCGUGGACAUUACACAUUGGCUUAUCCUCAUGAACGGUGUCCCCAAUAUCAUCUGGUAAGGACUUCUUUCCUCUACCACUACAAAGUCCAACAUCAUCGUUCUUUCAAAUGGCUUUGUCCCCACAGUAAUCGGGAGUUCAAUGACCCCCAUGGGAGUUAACCGUCCCCCUCCAAAUCCCUUCAAGGAUGUAUUCGUUCGCUCCAGCUUGAAGUCUAAAAUCCCCAUAUCAUCUAGGGCCGACUUAAACAGAAUGUCUACUGAGCUGCCCGUAUCUACCAGUAUUCGUCGCAAUUCUGUACUGGCCACCAAUGCUUUAAUCACCAGUGCAUCCUCGUGAGGGUACAAAAUGCCCUCUUCGUCGUCCUCUGUCCACAUAAUAGGAACUUGCCGCACUUUUGCCCUAUUGGCUACUGGCAAAUUGAGAAGCACUUCCUUGCCAGUCAUGGCAUAUCUCCUAUAGUUUUUUCGUGCUCUGUUUGAAUCCCCGGCCAAUGUUGGCCCUCCUGCUAUCACCUGGAUAGUCGGCUGUUCUCGUUCCAAACCCCUUUCAACUCCUUCAUCCUGUGCAUAUUGCGACUCACUGACGGGCGACACUCUAUCUACGUACUCACCCAAGUACUGGUUCCUCACCAAAUCCUCCACCUGAAUCCUUAGGUCACGGCAUUGGCUGAUGGUAUGACCGUGAGUAUUGUGAAAUUUGCAGAACCUGCUCUUAUCACGCCGGUGAGCGGGUUUCGUUAUAGGGGCCGGAGUAUACAGCAGUCCUCGUCCCUCGAUCCUUUCAUAUAGUUCCUCCAUGGAGAUUUUUAAUGGAGUAUAUUGUCUAUAUGCCGCGCUCUGGUCAACCAACUGAACUGCUCGGCUAUGAUGGAUGUCACCUCGGUCUGGUAUAGCCGGUAGCUGCUCUGGUCGGCCAGACCUGUAAUUAGUUGCAUUUACCGCUCUGGGGGUGCUGUGAUAAGGGUGAGCAGUCAUCUGCCUGAAUUCUCGCUGCCGCUCUGGGAUCGGGGGGCGCGGAGGUUGAGCCCGGCUGUGUUGGAACUGUUGUGCUCUCUGAGCUAUGGGGUAAGGGCGAGACCGAACUGAUAUUCCGCCCAUCCCUGAAGAUUCUCCAGUUCGCUUUCCCGACCCGCUCCCUUUCGGGGCUCUCCGUUCCCUUCGCCUCAGCUCUUCUAGCUGUUCACUUUUAAUUCUUGCUGAUUUCUCCUCUUCUAUUUCUAUAUCUCAUCUCGCCUGCUCAUACCCCGACGAGUAAUUCUGUACGAGGGGGCUUCUUAAGUUAUACCACAAUCGGCCGAUUCUUACACCUUCUUUUAAUCCCCUCAAUGCCUGCGGGUGAUUAAAAGCUCCCAAAUCCAGCACGGCUCGGUGAUAUCGUUUUACGAAAUCUCGAAGGGAUUCAUUCUCCUCCUGCUUCAUCCCCAUCAAUUCCAUCAUGUCAUCCUCUGGGGCCACUGCCCCUCGGAACUGCUCGGCCAACUCCUGGCACAUCUGCUCAUACCCCUUUAUUCCUCCUCGGGGCUGCUUGCGGUACCAUUCUCGGGCUCGUCCCUCUAGUGUCAACGGGAACACCCUGCACCUCUGAGCUGGUGUCAGCCCCUGCACACCCGUCAUGUCGUUGAAACGCUCAAUGUGCACCAACGGGUCACUUCGCCCGGAGUAUUUGAGGUCGGGGAAGCGGAAAUCUCUUGGGAUUAUGGUACUCAUGAUCUUAGUUGAUAACGGGGAUUCUUCAUCUAGCAUUAUCCUCCAGCUCGGGGGCUUUCUCUUGCCCUGCAUCUCCUCUAUCACCUGCGCCAAUCUGCGCACCUCCCCCUCCAAUUCUAUAGCACGAUCAGGAUCAUGUGCAGCUAUCUGGUCUCGCUCCUGCUCGACGUUCUGCAACCGCUGUCUGAGCUCUCCUUCAUCAACACUGGCCCCUCGGCCAUUUAUUUCCAGUACCCGUCUGGGGCGAGGUUGGUCUCUCCCUUCAUCCACGUGUUCCCCUGGGACCCGACCAGUACUUCGGUGAGGAUGCACUCCGUUAGGUUGGUCUGCGGGCGGGGGGAUUUCCCCGACCCUACGCCCCCGGAGGCUGGGUUCUGCUCCAACUCCAUCUCUUCCCACGGGGGUUUCACAAUCCCUUCUCUGCUCGUCCCUCAGCUCAAACAAUACAGCCGCGAGAGUCUCCAUUUGUUUCUCCAUCUGCUCCAGUCUAUCUUGCAUCAUCCUCUCUCGGGCUUCAUUUGCAAUCUCCCGGAGAGUGAUUGUCUCCACCGUUUCAUUGCCCUCCCUUAAAGUAUCCUUUCUUGACGCAUCCAUAUCCAAUCGUUCGCUGCUUCUCCGGUACUUACUAAUUUGGUGGUAGCUUUUUAUUCAGCUCCCCACAGACGGCGCCAAAAUGUUGAUGCCAAAAUCGGCUCGUCCUUGGACCGACCAGAUUCGUUCACCAACGUUUAAGUUAUCCACUGCUGCACGAACCGCUAAGGCUGGAAUUACCCUCCUUUCUCUCACUAGACCUGCGUUCACCAAAAACAGAUCAGAGAUGCCGGUGGUUUUGCCGGCGUAAACCCUCCGAUGCCUAAGUUAGCACAAGGUGUUUACGGGAAAACAGUUAAAUUUUGAUUCAAGAGUGGUUCUAAUUUGCUCGAAGUUUGUAAUAAAAUUGCCUGGUUUCAAUUUGGCAGCGUUUUCCCUCUCCCAGUUUUGUUAUCUCCGUCUUCAUCGAUUUCUUCUUCUUUUAUAGCUGCUGUUUGUCCCACGUCUUCCGCUUACCCUCUAUCCCCCCUUUUCUCGGGUUGUGGCAGCCCCUCAUGGGGCUCUGACUGUUGCAUUGUGGCAAACGUGGGAUCUUAUGUGUCCUUCAACGGUUCCGGGAAAGGCGCAGCAGCCGCGAUUCUGUGGGAUCGUGUUCCCGCUUUUCUGGGGAGUGUGUAUCGGUUCGGUAUUAACAUCUGGUCGGCAUACGCUCCCGUGCUCUGCUCGUACCCACGGCUGAGGUGAUCCAUGCCGGGGUGGAGGUAGUAGCAUGGUCGACCUGGUGCUUUUAUUAACUUAACACUAACGACUACAAAUUUUUUUUAAAAAUCAAAUAGCUACUGAUCAACUGUGCAAUUGCUUUAUACAAUUAGGGUUCUUGCCUUAAUGAUGUCAUGGAGAUGGGUGAAUCAAUGGCCACCAGGCACCAAAUUCAUGACCAAUCAAUGACCAACAAGCACCAAAGUAAUGCCAAGCACACCAACAACCACCGAUUAAUGGCAAGCUUAGUGUUUAGAAUUUGGAGAAGCACUUGGUACUGUAUCGAGGUAUUAAAUCAUCAAAAACCAAUUUGGUUUGGACUCUUCAAUUUCAACUUGACUCCUACACCAAAGCCGCCCAACAACAACUCAACAACCGAAUCACUCGUCCUAAUAGCAUAACAAUCCAGUCGUCAGUUGCCUGCACAUGAGAGACCAUUUUCUAAUUUAUGAUCGAAAUUGUUGAAUUAAUUUUACAAUUCUCUUGUACCAAUUUUCAUCAUAUAUGUUGCCUCAAGAAGUGAAGAUUGAUGUCGGAAUCACUUUCAGUUUCAAUUACAUGAUGUUUGCGAUCUUCUUAUACCAAUUCGGUUUACAGUUGCCUUAAGUAUCCAUGUCCGUCAAAUCUUAUCUAUAUUAAAGUAACCGCCUAAACUGUUAACCAGUGGCUGUUUGAUUUUAAAAAAAUAUUUGCAGCCGUUAGAUUGAACAAUAAAGCAUCCGACGGCUCUGCCAAAUAGAGACAAAAAGUGUGGUAUAGUGCAACUGUUGUAACAUAGGUGGAUCCUCAUCAAUAUAUCUCGAGACUUUGUAAAGUUACUAUGAAAAUCCAUCACAGCUGUAGUUAUUAUGAUUUAUUUGGUCCAAAUAGUCUAAUGCCAGUGGCGUGACCUCGUGGGUCCUCAAAUUAUUCAAAUGGGCAUUUCAUCGAAUAGUUGAUAUACUCGGCAUCUGCAAUUGGAAGACACGUUCAAAAACUCUAAAUCAUGUUAAAGUCAACCAGAAAGACGAAACAUAGAAAGCAACAAUCCAACAACUUGUUUAAAAUAUUCGCUUCAACAAAUGGUUGCGUUGACGUGUAUUUUGGGGGAUCAUCAAAUAUAAACAAAGACCAUGUUAAAGACAAGCAAAAGCUGGCGAGAUUGGUACUGAUAUACUAAAAGAAAGACUAAUAAAGCUUUCCUAGCGGCAUCACUCGUGAUUAUUUGAUAAACUAGCGGUAAUAAAUGAUUAUAUUUUUAGUGGAUAACAGAGUACGUUACAAGAGCUGAUAACUGAUCGCUUUCUUUAUUUUUUGUCAAUAUUCAAGCAAAAAUACAAGUCAAUCAAAAUAACGUACCAUAUUAACAUUAAAUAAACAGAGAGGGAUAAGCUGGGCCAAGUCUUUAAAUCAGCUACGUCAUGGAAGAUUAAAAAAAUAGAUCAACUAGAAUAUAAUAUAAUGCUCUCACAUUUAAUUAAUUAGGAGGCUAAUGCACUAUAACUCAGCAUUAAUCAAAAUUAUUUCAUAAACUAGUAUAUACUGGAUAUCUCGAUCGGUGCAAAACCGAGUACUGAGAGAUAAAAAUUAACCUGGUGUCUUUGGCAGGUCUUUAAUAUAAUUGCUAAGCUUGCCCCAUGCCAUUGCCAACUUUGGCCAUCGGCUAGCUGCUACUUAUGAAGCAACUCAAGGAAACAUAAAGCAGCCGUCGUAAGAUCAAGCACAACAAGUGUGAUCACUGAUCAUGCAUCCAGGACAAUUUUAUAUUUAUUCAAUUUCAAUAAUCAUAAUAUACUAUUGAAUUAUAGACCAGGAUUUCUAUUUUUAAGAAUAUAAGACACAAGCACGAGCAUAUUCGCGCAUCUUUAAUAAAUUUAUUGGGACACACUAUUUCUGCUUAUUGAAGAAAAUCAAGAAAUGCUGAUUCCACCGUGCAUGGUUUAAUGUUAAUUAAAGUUUAAAGGGAUCAGAUUCAUAUUCAUUAAUAUGCUUUUAUACGAAUCGUUCUGUUUGAAUAUAAUAAUGGUUUCAGAAAUGCAUACCUGUUAAUUCUCCAUUUCUUGUCUCCGAGGAAAGUUUGACUUCAAGCAAUGUUAUAAGAGGUUUAAUUGUGGGUCAAUUUCUUGCGAGCAUUUCAACAAACAGGUGAUAUGCAUGCACAUCUCCUACGCUAUCACUGCCAUACUUGCCCUGUAGUUGCUUCCAGUUGUAACAGGAUGCUGACAUGUCAUCAUACUUGGACAGAUCUUUAGAGGCCAUUCUUCGAAGCGCUUGAUGAUGCAAACACGUGAGGACAAAUCAUGCACGUAUGAUAUGUGUUUAUUAAUUAAAUAUAACUAUUAAUUACAAGAUUAUUUUUUUAAAUAAAUACAUACAUGUCAUGUAUCUAUUAAUUAUAUAGAAAUAGAAUACAACAAAAUAUUUUUAGAAUCUGUGGGUGAACACAAUGUAAUUAUUAUAAUAAAAGAAAAACUUUAGAGCCUUUGGUGUACUCAUUAGUGAAAUUUGAGCAAAAGAAAAAUUCAUGUUUGUAAACCUCGAAACCACAAUAACCUUAAAUUUGAGAUCAUUAAUCAUUGAAUGUUUUGUUUGUAAUAUCAGUGGCAACACGUUUAAUGAUUUGAUUAAAUUUGUGUUUUGUUCUAUGAAUGAUUUCAUUCAUUUUUAUGAUUUUUUUGGGUUGACUCAACGGAACAACUAAUAAUUACCCAGUUCCAUAACCGUAAUUAUAACAGCGGCAAUUAGAUUUUUUUAUUGUUAUUAUUUUAAUGUGUAUUUUAUAGAAUAUAGAUAUUUUAGGCUAAUGAUAUUUAAGGGUGUUUUAAUUUAUUUUUUUUUUUAAGUUUCAAAUCACUUAACUUUUUUACCAAUCUAUUAAGGGUCCGCCUAAGUUACGUUUAAUGUAACUUACGGCUUGGCCCUAAAAUUUUGGCAACUACUCACUUCAAUGGACUGAAGUUGUUAUUGCUGGACAAAAGGAAAAAGAGCGGGUUCAAUAGAUGAGUUGUUCCCAUUGAAGCUAUCAAAGAAAGAAAAGGAAAAAGAGCGGCUGCAAAAGGGAGGAAAGUGGGAGGAGUUGAAAGGCUGUCACAGUAAAUUGAUCGCCUUGUUGAUACUGUGGAAAUGGAGGUCGAAUUCAAGAAGAAGAUCAUGGUAUUAAUGUUCCUAAAGGUAAAGGUCGAGAGAUGGGGAGAUUGAGAAAUAAUAGUGCUGCAAGUUUAAUGAGUGGACAAUAUUGUAGUUAUAUAUAUAUAUUUUUUUACACACAUGUAUAAAAUAUUUUAUUUUUAUGAGCUACUUCGAUUGCAAUAGUUUUAUGUACAUAAAAGUUUACAUAAAGAUUAAAUUUUUGCAUUUUCUUUUUGCACUUAUUUAUCAAUCAAUUUAAUAAUAUGUUAGCAUUUGUGCACAUUACAAACUGCAUAACAAUUUUUUUAGUUAAAAAAAAAUUAAAGUUAGUUUUAUUGCAAAUUAAAAUAGUUAAUAAAAAUUAUAUAAGUAUGUAAUAAAGAAAAUAGAAUAUACUCUUUAAAAAUCCAGUAAAUAAAAAAAUGAUGUUAAUAAUAAUAUUCUAAAUAAACUACAAAUAAACAAACAAGUACAUUUUUAUUAUUGCACAUGAAUAUUACACUUUGAAUUUUCACUUAUCAAAUUUGUAUAGUAGAUUAUUUGAAAAAUGAUUGUCAAAUAAUCAUCAUUUACCAAACACCCUACUAAAUUAUUCGUGAAAUUAAUUAUUGGGAAGUAAAAGAAAUCCCCAAUGUACCCUCAAUCAAUCACAAGAAGUUAUUUAAGUUAUGAUAUCUAAUGAAUUCUAUUAAUAGUGAGCGUGUUUAUCAAAAAUAUAAAAAUAAAUAUUUUAGUUAUUAUCCACCUGUUUUCCUGAAAUCAUUCCCAAUUUUUUUUCGUUUGCCGAAAAUUCCAAGGAAAAUAUAAAAAGAAGAAGAGUUGGGGGAAAAAAGAAAAGGAAGGAAAAACAGGUUCCUCUGUUUUCAUUCCCCUGUUUUGAAAUUAUCUAUCAUCGAUAUAAUUUAAUCCCCCUGUUACUAAAGGAGAAUGGUUCAGAUUAGUUGCCUGGACUCGCUUAUCUUGAUCUGGGUGGUCAAACCCGCCCAUCAGGAGGAUUCAGAUUUUGAAUUACCUGUCAUAAUUUGUUUUCCCACCUAAGCAUCUUGAGCAUGCUUAUUAAAAGAAUUGUUGUUCCACUCGUAUAGUCAAUGGAUUCCCACCUACGCGUUUGCUUAUUAAAAGAAUUAAUCUUGCUUUUCUAGGAAAAUAAUGCAAUACGCAUGACGGUACGUGUCCAUGUGAGAAAGUUGAUGAAAUCUUCACUUUCAGUGUUGGAACUCCACAAUCGAAACAAUCAAUACGACAAUUUUUCUCCAUCGUUUCAAUCUUAAUUAAAUAGAAAACAAGUACGGUCAAAUAAAUUCUGGUCUACCAAUUUAAUUAGUAUAAACAUAUGGAUCCCAUCAUUAAUAUUAUAAAUAUGUGGGUAUUUUUAAUUAUUACAUUAUAUGACUAUUUACAGAUUGCUUUCAUUAUGUCAUAUUAGGUAAGGAGAUUCCCCUUAAAAAAACAAAAAGAGGGAGAGAUUCCCUCUUCGGCGAAUGAAAAUAAAAGAAAUUAAAAAUAAAAUAAGACUUGGUAAAUUUCGCUCUUUUUUUCUCUUUUUGCUGUUGGCAUUUUAUUCAUAAAAGAAAUGAUCACAAGUCAUUCAAUAAAUAUUAAGGGCUGCAUGAUUAAGUCUUCUUCUUUUCCAAAUCAUUGUCAUUACUCUCAUAAGCUCUCUAUAAUCACAUUCCUCUGCAGGUAACAGAAAUUUUUUGUUCAUUGAAAUUGCUCUUAAAUGUUCAAGGCGAUCACAGAGGCUCAUCAACUUUCUGACCCCACAUAAUUAAACAGGUGCACUUGUUCUAAAACCUUCAAUUAAUUUCUUUUAAUAGCAUAAUCUCUAAUGCUUGAUCUUUAUAGCAUUUCUUUCUUAAUUUCCAUCCACUUUCCAAGAUAAAAAUUAUGUGGCUUGUUUUGCUUGAGUUUUGUAGUUAUUGUUCAUUUAUGGUAAAUUUAUGGUUGUUUUUUUUUUAAGACGCUUGAAGUAGGUUUUGUUAAUAGCAAAAACUCUGAUCCUUAACAAAGAAGAAAAAAUGUUGCGAUACUGUUUACUGUCUUUUCCUUUUUUGUCUUUCCCUCUAGUUCAUUUUAAUUUAUUUGAAUUCCUUUCUUUGACAUUUUAUUAGAUUUGUUAAGCAGCAGGCAAUGGCAGAGGUGGGUCUUGCAGCUCUCUCCAGCAUCGUAUCAGAAGGUGCAAAUUCACUGUUCAAAGCGAUUAUACGGCAGAUAUCUUAUGUGUUCAGGUACCAGAGCUACAUAGAUGGGCUAAAAGAUCAAGUGAAGCAGCUGGGAUAUAAAAGAGAAAUGGUGCAGCAACCAGUUAAUCAUGCUAGGCUACAAGGGGAUGAGCUUUAUGAGGGUGUCACAGACUGGCUACAUAACGUUGAUGAAUUCAUCAGUGAAGGGGUUGCAAAAUCCAUCAUUGAUGAUGAAGAUAGAGCUAAGAAGUCCUGCUUCAAAGGGUUAUGCCCAAACUUGAUUUCUCGUUACAAGCUUAGUAAACAAGCAGCAAAGGCGGCAGAAGCUGCCGCUAGUCUCGUGGGAAAAGGCAACUUCUCCAAUGUUUCCUACCGUCCUGCUCCAAAGCUGGCAGAACAUAUGCAAGUGAAAGAUUUUGAGGCGUUUGAUUCAAGAAUGAAAGUAUUUCAAGAUGUUGUGGAGGCAGUGAAGGAUGACAAGGUCAACAUAAUUGGGGUCUAUGGGAUGGGCGGCGUGGGCAAAACCACGCUGGUCAAACAAGUUGCAAACCAAGUGAUGGAAGAUAAGUUGUUCGAUAAGUUCGUUAUGGCUGAGAUAACACAGACCCCAGAUUAUCAUAAAAUUCAAGACAAACUUGCUUUUGAUUUAGGCAUGGAAUUUGACUUGAAUGAGAAUGAAUUUCAAAGAGCUUCUCGACUGUGUCAAAGGUUGAAGCAAGAGAAGCGGCUCCUCAUUAUACUGGAUAAUAUUUGGACAAAACUUGAGUUCGAUACAGUUGGAAUUCCUUAUGGGGAUGUUGAUGAGAAAGAUAGAGAGGACGAUCGGAGAAGUCGCACAAUAAUAUUGACGUCUAGAAGUCGAGAUUUAUUGCGCAAUGAUAUGAAAUCUCAAAAGGAUUUCUCAAUUGAAGUUUUAUCCAAGGAAGAAGCAUUGCAAUUGUUUGGAAAGAUAGUGUGUAAUUCUGCAAAAGCAUCUGCUUUUCAACCUUUAGCAGAUGCGAUCGUUGAAAAAUGCGGAGGAUUGCCUGUUGCACUGAUUACACUUGCAAAAGCUUUGAAAAAUGAGAGCUUUGACACUUGGAAGGAUGUGCUGCGUCAGCUAAGAAGUUCCUGUGCAAAAGAAAUUGAUGGAAUGGAAAGAAAUGUGUACACCUCCAUAAAAUUGAGUUACGACUUGUUGGGAAAUAAGGAAGCAAAAUCUCUGUUCCUUCUUUGUGGUCUAUAUACUGAAGGUGAUGUCAUACACGUUUCUGACUUAUUGAGAUAUGGUAUGGGUAUGGGCUAUUUUAAAAACGUUUACACGCUGGAAGAAGCAAGGAGUAGAGUGCAUACGUUGAUCGGCAAACUCAAAUCUUCAUGCUUAUUGUUGGACGGUGAUGCUGAAGAUGAAGUUAAAAUGCAUGACAUCAUUCAUGCUGUUGCUAUAUCAAUUGCAGAAGAGGAGCUCAUGUUUAAUAUUCCAAAUGUUGCCUACGUGGAGAAAAAGAUGGAAGAGACAAUACGGGAUGGUCCAAUAGCUAUUUCUUUACCUUAUAGAGAUAUUCAAGAGCUUCCCAAAAGGUUGGAAUGCCCCCGUCUCGAGUUACUUUUGUUGUUUUCAAAGCGUUAUAGCUCUUUGCAAAUUUCAGACCUCUUUUUUCAAGGGACAGAAGAACUCAAAGUUUUAGAUUUUACUGGAAUAUUUUUCUCUUCAUUACCUUCAUCACUUGGUUGCCUCAUUAACGUUCAAACAUUAUGUUUAGAUGGUUGCCGACUGAACGAUAUAACUGUAAUUGGACAGCUAAGGAAAUUAGAGAUUCUCAGCUUCCGAGAUUCUGAUGUCAAGGAGUUGCCACUUGUAAUUGGACAAUUGACGAGAUUACAGUUGCUAGAUUUGAGCAAUUGUAGCAGCCUUGUGGUGAUAGCUCCAAAUGUCAUAUCAAAAUUAUCUCGAUUAGAAGAACUAUAUAUUGGUAACAGCUUUUCACAGUGGGAGAAGGUUGAAGUAGGAAGUAACGCCAGUCUUGCUGAAUUGAAUGGGCUGUCAAAGCUAACUACUUUGGAGAUACACGUUCGGCAUGCCGAAAUUCUACCGCGGGAUUUGGUCUCUGUGGAAUUGCAAAGCUAUAGGAUAUGUAUAGGAAAUGAGUGGUGGAGCAGCUGGUCCGUUAAAUCUGGAUUAUCAAGAUUGAUGAAGCUCCAGGGGCUAGUAAAGUUUGGCAUUCUUUUGCAGAAUUAUAGGAUGAAACUGUUGUUGAAGAGAACUGAAUAUCUCUAUCUAGAAGAACUGAAGGGUGUUCAGAAUGUUGUUCAUGAAUUAGAUGAUGGGGAAGGUUAUCCACGAUUGAAGCAUCUUUCUGUAGAAAGAUGUUAUGAGAUUUUGCAUAUUGUCGGUUCAGUUGGACGGGUUCGUCGUAAAGUCUUCCCCUUGCUGGAGUCAUUGUCUCUUAUUGAUUUGAACAAUUUGGAGACAAUAUGUGACAGCCAACUCACAGAAGAUCAAUCUUUCAGCAACUUAAGGAUUAUAGAAGUAAAAUCCUGUCACAAAUUGAAGCAUCUUUUCUCAUUCUCCAUAGCCAAAAACCUAUUGCGGCUUCAAAAUGUAGAAGUGGAUGAUUGCGAUGAUCUGGAAAUGAUUUUUGGUAAGUGUUGAAAUUAAGAAUUGGUGGGAUAAUGGACUUCGCCUCAAUUAUUUUGAAAAAAAAAAACAACAAAGAUUAAUUAUGUAUAUAUUGUUUUUGUUUGUUUAUAGGACCCGACAGGGAGAAACCAACAACUUCUUUGGGAUUCAACGAAAUCAUUGCUGAUGAUGAUACUGCUCCAAAGGUGAUAAUUUUCUGUUCAAUAAUUAAUUGAUUAAUUUAUUAUCACCAUUAAUCUUCGAUCAUCAAAAGAAUAUUAUACUGGACGGUUGUACUUGAAGGAACAAAAAUGUACGGGUUUUCUUUGCAGGUUAUUCUUCCGAGGUUAGAGGAAUUGAAUCUCGCGCAUUUAAGAAACAUCAAAAAAUUAUGGGCCGAUCAUAAUCAAGGAAUGUACUGUUGUCAAAAUUUAACAAAAGUGACUGUGAGAUGGUAUUAUCGUCUGAAGUAUCUGUUUUCGUAUUCUAUGGUUAAUAGUCUUUUGCAACUCCAACAUCUUGAGAUAAGUUAUUGUUCGUCAAUGGAAGGGGUAGUCGACACCACGGGAUGGUUAGGAAGGGAUGAAGGAAAGUUGAUUGAAUUGAAGGUUUUUCCUAAACUACACUCCCUCAAGCUCUCUCAUCUUCCAGAACUAACAAGCUUUGCCAAUACGGGACAUAUUCAUUCAGAUUUAGUUGUUGAAUUCCCUUCAUUGCUAAACCUGAAGAUCCAUUGUUGCACUAAUAUGUUAAGAUUUAUCUCUACAAGCUCACCAGAAGACACCAUUCAUUCUGAAAUGCAACCUCCUCCUCUCUUUGACGAAAAGGUUUUUUUUUUUAUAAAAAAAAUAAUUUUAGUCACAAUACUUAAUUUGUCUUUUCCUUGAGUCUUCGAAUUUAGUUAAUACCUGCCUCUAAUUUAGUUAUCAAUUGAUUAUGCCAUUAAUUGAUUAAUUAGUUAUUUAAUCUUUAACUGCCAGGUACGACUUCCUAGGUUGGAGGUAUUAGAUAUUAAGUGGACGGAUAAUUUGAGAAGAAUAUGGCACCACCAGCUUGCUUCGGAGUCUUUCAGCAAAUUGAAGAAUUUAGAGAUAUUUGAGUGUAAUAACCUAAAGAAUAUUUUUCCUCCAUUGGUAAGGUUGCUGUAUUCAUUUCGAAUCUUUUUUUUUUUCAAAUUACAUCCAACAAUAUUUUAACCAUUUUUGGGUUUACAAAUGAUAUUCAGCCACUAAUUCUUUAUUUCAAGUAUUGUACUUCGAACCACCACUCUCAAAUCUACAUUUUAAGUCCAGUUUUUAGGUUCGCCAGCAUUACAAUCAACAAUAUAAUUUUUUUAAUCACGAUUCAACAGCAUAAUAUAAUUCAAUUUAAUUGUUUCUGCUCAUAUCUUAAUAAGUACAAUUUUCAACAAUUAAAGGAUAGUCACUCAUCUUAUAGGUUCACAAAUUCAUCUAUAUAUUUCUCUUUUCCUUAAUUCAUCUAUAACAGUCCCAUGUUGAUGGCGUUGGGAAGUGUUUUCCAGAAAUGUUUUCCAUUUUUAAAAGCAUGAAUAUCGGGAAAAAAUGUGAAAUACAGCGUUUUAGUUUAGUUAUUUUAAAAAUAGGCAUGUUUGAAAAUUAAAUUUUUUUAAAAAACUAGAAUCAAGAUGAAAAAUGAAUUUAGAAUAUUUAAAAAUUACCUGAAAUUCUUUCUCCGUUCCUAAUACUAAAUAGUGUAAAUACAUUUUCAUUAUCUUUGUUUUUCUGGACUUCUAUUUAUUUGUUUUUGUUUUAAUUUUUUCCUUUUUUCUUUAACAAAAAAUAUCUAGUAGACAUUCAUGGUUUGUUAUUUUUCAUAAAACAAUUGUAUGAUUUUGACAUACUUUGAAUCUAGUUGAAUGCUACUCUUUAUUUUCAGGUUGGAAUUCCCAAUAGUCUGGUGAAUCUUAAUGUAUCGGACUGCAAAAAAUUAGAAGAAAUCGUAGGACAUGUUGGAGAAGAAGCGAAGGAGAAUCGUAUUGCUUUCAACGAAUUAAAACUUUUGGAACUUGAUGAUUUACCAAGGCUUACCAGCUUUUGUUUGGAGAAUUACACUCUUGAAUUCCCAUCAUUGGAGCGAAUUUCUAUGACAGGUUGCCUGAACAUGAAGACUUUUUCUCAGGGAAUCGUAUCCACACCAAAGCUGCACGAAGUGCAGGUGAGUAAAAAGGAAGUAUUAAGUUUUAUAUGAAACUGUGAUGUUGUUUGGUUACUAAGAAAAUAGGAAGAAAGAAAACUUCUGUAAGCUGAGAAUUCUGUUAUUAUUGAUCUAAUGAAUCUGGAAAUUACAAGCCUUUUUAUAUGUGCAUAGAAGAUUCUACACACAUUGCACACACGCACAGUUUACUACUAACAACCUUUAGCUGACUCAGCUGCCAUGUCAGCAUACUCAUUAACUAACUAAUUCUAUUCUUAACAGGAAGAGGGUGAAUUGCGCCGUUGGGAAGGCAACCUUAAUUCCACUAUACAAAAGUGUUACAAAGAAAUGGUAUGUGUUAAAUCGAUUCGUCGAAAUUACUUAUGCAUCUCCCUUGCACUUGCACAUUUGAACAUAUACACCUGCCUUGUAUAUAUAGUUUUAGAAGUUAAAACACAAAACAUGUAAGUUUAAUGUAUAUAUAUAUCUAAUGCCUUUCAAAAAAAAAAUUUAUAUAUAUCCAGUGCAAUUGUUUUGGUUUGUGCAGAUUGGAUUCCAUGACAUACAGUAUUUGCAACUCUCACAUUUUCCACGUUUGAAAGAAAUAUGGCAUGGCCAAGCACUGCCUGUCAGCUUCUUCAACAAUUUAUUUAAGCUGGUGGUGGAUGACUGCACGAAUAUGUCGAGUGCUAUUCCUGCCAAUCUGCUACGUUGCUUGAACAAUUUGGAAUGGCUGGAAGUGAGGAAUUGUGAUUCACUAGAAGAGGUGCUUCAUUUGGAAGAGCUAAGUGCUGACAAAGAACAUAUAGGACCCCUGUUUCCUAAGCUUUCCGACCUAAGGCUCAUUGAUCUUCCAAAACUCAAAAGAUUCUGCAACUUCACUGGGAAUAUAAUUGAAAUGCCUGAGUUGGGAUAUCUAACUAUUGAGAAUUGCCGAGAUAUGGAAACAUUCAUAUCCAACUCUGUAGUGCACAUGACAACAGAUAACAAGGAACCUCAAAAAUUAACAUCAGAAGAGAACUUCUUGCUGGCUCAUCAAGUACAACCUCUCUUCGAUGAAAAGGUGAUUAUUGUUAUUAUUAUUAUUAUUUUUCCCUUCACUUUCGUUCGCAUAGAUGUAAUUUCAUUAGAAUCAAAUCAAAUUUAAUGACUCAUCUUUUUGCACGUCGUCUUAAUUUAUAUCUGAUUUAACAAUAUAACCUCCGUUAUUAACUAACUUUAUAGUAUGAAUUAUAAAAAUGUCUUAAAUUAAUUGGAUGCCUGAUAACACGAGGUGAUGAACUAUAUUAAUUAUGUGUAUUGCAUCUCUGUUUUCCUAGCUAAUUCAUAUUGGAUUUAGCAUCAGAUUUCAUUUAUGUGUUUCAAAGGGUAAUCGAUUUGAUACUUAUAUUUGGGAUCCUACUGCAAAGCAUACUAAUUUGGAAAUAAAAUAUAAAAUGCCGUGAUUAAUCUUGUCCAUAAAAUAUGCAGGGGAAGACUGCAGAGAUUGGAUACAUAUUUUCAUUUACAACUUAAUUUUGUUGAUUUUCAGGUUGCUUUCCCUCAAUUGGGGAAUUUAAGACUGUCUGGAUUACACAAAGUGCAGCAUCUCUGGAAGGAAAAUGACGAAUCCAACAAAGCGUUUGCAAACUUGGAAAGGCUAGAAAUAUCGGAAUGUAGUAAGUUGCAAAAAUUAGUACCACCUUCGUGGCAUUUGGAAAAUCUUGAGGCUUUGAAAGUAUCGAAGUGUCACGGGUUGAUAAAUAUGUGGACGCUCUCAGCAUCUAAAAAUCUAGUGAAUCUCGGAAGAAUGAUGAUAGCUGAUUGCAAAAUGAUAGAAGAAAUCAUACAAUUGCAGGUUGGAGAAGAAGUGAAAGGCUGCAUUGUCUUCGAGAAAAUGAACUACUUGACACUUGAUUGUUUGCCAAGCCUAACAAGCUUUUGUUCGAGUAAUUACACUCUUCAAUUCCCAUUCUUGCAAAAAGUUGUUGUGAGACAGUGCCCAAAGAUGAAGAUUUUCUCUCAAGGAGUCAUAGACACACCAAAUCUAAACAAAGUGAAACUCACCGAAGAAAAAGAUGAUGAUGAUGAAGGAUGUUGGGAAGGCAACCUCAAUGCACCAUAAAAAAAUUGUUCAAUGAAAUGGUGAGUAUCAAUUAAGUUUUGGUGCUAUUUAGCAAAUUAUUUUAUAGAAACUAAUGUGAUAUAAUAUGAUUGGUUGACUGAAAAUAUAUAAUAAUAAUAAUAAAUAAAUAAAUAAAUUAUGAGGGCCAUGUAAUGUUUUUGUUUAACCAAUCAUAUUAUGUCGCAUUAGUUUAUAUAAUAUUGUUUGUGCACAAGAGGUGGUGGUCAUAUCAUUACUCUAGCUUUAUUAUUCUUAUGGUGGCAAUGUAUGCUUGCUUACACGAGUAAUUUACAAAAUCUGCAGAAUUCUAAAGAAGAGAUUGAGCCAGCCCUUGAGGUACAGUGAAGAAGCUAUCUCGAACCAGGCCAAUCUCUUAUACAUGAUUCAGCUUGCUCGUUCUUCUGUACUUGAAUAAUCUGGUUCUAAACGUAUUUACAAUUUUUUGGUCAUGCUACAGACUUGCAAGACACUUUGGAUUUUGUUUGAUGCAUUCUCCGUUUAAGGAAGCACUUGAAUUGAUGUUUCAUGUUUCAUGCAAUAUCCAAUUAGAUUCUGACUAAAUUUCUGUGUUAUUUAUUCAAUUGGUCUUUUAAGCAUUUGAUUUCUAACCUGUCCUAAUAGAAGAUCAUUAUCUGAAGAAAACAGCAUAACAUUUGUGGCAUUAUGAGAAUAAGAAUUUUUUUGAGUAUAGUAAAAUUAUCUCGACCAUUGUUAAAAAGAAUUAAUCCGUCAAACUGACCUUCUCAGACCAGCACGCUUUAAAUUAAAAGAAUUUUGUGAAAGUCUAGACCAUGUUAUAGAUCUCGUGGAAAUAAGAAAACCCGUAAUUUUUUUCACAGCAUCAUAAGAAAAAAUCAUUUUUUUUUUAGUAUUUUUGUUAGCUGUUGAGUUUUAAUAGUAGUAGCUAUUAAACAAGAACAAUAUGUGUAUAUUAAAAAGUUGGAAACUGGUUGAUAGCACUUGGGAGUCGAGCAGUUCACUUGUUUGCGAGUAGAAACCAACUUUACUACUAAUUACACUCAUACAAAAAAUAGUAACUAAAGAAUCAGGAAAUUUCCUAUUCACUAUUCUUCAUUUUUUAAUGCAAAAUUCCCAUUCGAAAACACCAAUGACUUUCAUUCAAAGUAAAUGAGAAAUUACAAUGAAAAUAGAAUCAAAAUACAUGUAUGUAUACCUAAAACAAAUGAUUUUUUAAUUUAAAAAAAAAAAAACCCGGUUGAGGUGAAAUGAAACCAGAGUCAUGAUAUCUCUGGUUCCAACUUUGGGACAACAGCAGACUUGAGUUCUAUAUGAGAAACACGUACAGCACCAAUCAGCCGCUCCAGUAAUUCAUCUGUAGUAUUUGCCUGCAUACAAAAGAGCAAGAUAAAGAAGACACACACGAAGCAUUAUACCAUUCUGAGAACAUUCAAGUAUGCAAAAAUGCAAUUUAAAAUGCAAAUUGCAGUGCAAUAUCUCAAAAUCAUGUCUUUUCCCUUGUGUCCAUUUAGAAGUGGGGGAAAAAAACAAUCAUACAUACCUGUACAAGGAAAGCCAUGUCAACCACCAAUGUCGUAAUUACACCAAUUACAAGGCCCAAAACUCCAUUAGCAACAGUAGAAGAACCGAUGUCAACAUUAAUCUACAGAAAGAUGAACAAUGUUAAACCAUGUUAAUGGUAUCGGACGCUAUUUGAAAGGGGAACAAUUCAUCUGUAGUUACAAUCAACCGCUUUCACUAAUGAACAAGGGGUGCUUCCAACACUCUUGGCGCACGAUCCAUGACCCCUGCAUGAUUCAGUGCUUAAAAUCAAGAACAAGUGCAAAACAAAUUCAAGAGGGUAAAAUGGACAUGAAGUUUGAAGGUACAACCCAUCAAUACAUUUACACCUAAAUGCAUGCCUUCUUUGGACAAAUUGAAGUGUACCAUGCAGUAAAGGGUUAGUAUACGUUAAUAUAGUCCUAAUACAUGAAGGCCAAGAUGGAUACCUUAGGAACAGAUGGAAUCAGUUUCAACCUACUAUUGCGAAACUCAUCAUCGCCAUCAACAAACCGUUGCAAAAGUGAUCCCAUAACCAAUUGCCUUGCGACUAAAUAAAAUACCAUACUAUAAUGUGUUGAUCCAGGAACCUGCAGAUGCUUAGGUUACAACUAUACAACCUCCCAAUACAAUAAGUUUGAAACUUAAUACCUUCUGAAAUGAAACAAACUUACUUGAAGAUUAAAGAUCAGCGAGAAAAGCCCUUUUUCAGAAGCAACCUACAUUUUUUAGAAGAGGGUCAGUGUGUUAUAGAUUCAAUGAACCAUGAGAAGUUAUUUACAUUGUAGUAUCUCACAGGCAGUAUUUUCUCCUAAUGCAUCAAUGGAAAAGGAAAAAUAAAAAGAAAAGAAUAGUUACUUGUGCAGCACAGCCUUGACGCCUAGCUACAUGGUCCAUUCUCUUUGUGUCUUUGAACCAAUCAACAGCAACAAGAUCCAUUAAAUGUUUUCCCGCAGGUAUCUGCAGUUACAAAUUGCACAAAGCACAAGAAGAGCCAACCAAACUACAUCAUAACCUGUCUACCUAGCCUAUGCAGGAUAUAUAAAUACCAUAACAAACAAACAAAAUAUGGGGGAACCUUUGUUUUGUCAUAACAAAAAUGCUUGCUACGAACUCUAAAGUUAUUUCCAUCAGAAAGUUUCCAGCAGUCACGAGCAUUAUCACAGUCAUCGUGUCGUAGAUUGCCCGAAAAACAAGACAAAUCAAUUUGAUCAGCCUGCUCUUCCUCUAGGGCUGCAACUAAUUGAAAUUUUUUUUUAAAAAAAAAAGAUCAAUACCAUAAAAAUCCACUAGCCAAAUAUACAAAAAUGAAUACUUAUCAUCCACCUGUCCUCUUGAAAUCAUUCUCAAUCUUUUUUUCAUUUGCCUGAAAUCCCAAGGAAAAAUAUGUAACUAAUACUUCCCAUUCAUGAAUAUUGUCUAUCGUAUAAACAUGACAUUUUUAAUUGGAAUAAUAAAAUUAUUUAAUUAUUUUAAUUAAAUGUUAAUCCUACAAAUUAUUUUUGUUAAAUCUAGCAAGAAUAACUAAAAUUUCUUUAAGAUAUAUUUUGGUGGUAAAUUAAAAAAAAAUUAAUUAUUUGGCGGGAAUUAUUGAAAUUGGAGCCAUUUUUUUUGUGGGAAUUGAAAUAUAUUCUUUAAAUUAUUACAUAAAUAGCAAAAUGUACAUACACACACAUACAUAUAAUUCAUAUAUAAAAAUUCUCUAAUUUGUUCACAAGUACCAUAGAUUAUAAUUCAGUUAUGAAAUAAAAUAACUACAAUAAUUAUAGUUAAAUGAAUACUUCAUUAAUUCUUAAUUUGCUUCCUAACAUUAAAUGAACAACUUGAGUCAGCCACCUGAAUUAACCAGUAACAAUGCCUGAGUCAACUAUCUGAAUAAACCAGCAACCCUAGCUGAUUCCAGCACCUGCAAUUAACAUCAGCACAACAGGAACAAUCUUAAAUCAACACCAAGAACAGACCAAACUGCCAUCAAAUGUCACAAAACCAAACAGUCUGCUACUGCCAUCAAAUGCAAGCAAACAUAUGCAACAAAACCAGAUGCAAGUGAAAUUCUGGAGAAUAUCGGAUAAACCAAACCAAAUAACACACUUCUAGUAAUUAGACUAGAUGCAGUGUUCAAUUAAACUAAAUGUAGUCUCAUAUUACAUUCAAAAUUUCUAAAAGAAGCAGUGUUCCAUCAGAGAAGCACCAAAACCAAACCAAUCUAAUCCAGCAUAAUUACCAGCUCAACCCAAAACAAUUACACAUUAUAUUGACAUAUCAAAAUUCGCUAUCAAAACAUAGCCAAAUAAAUGAAAAUAAACUCAAAACAGACCCAAACCAACUGAUGUUGCGGCCCUAGUAGUCGUUGUCCGUUCCACUGCCAUGGGAGCGAGGGUAGGCUCCGUUGUCGAUGAGUGAGUAAGAUAAGGCUCCAAAUCAAUAGUUCCACCUCCUUUCUGCAAUUCAAAAAACAGAAAUUCAUAUAUGUAAAACUAUUAAAAAGUGUGAAACAACCUGUAAGUAUUCAACUUCUGUCAACUCAAUAGCACUUACUAAAGUUUUUAUACAGAAGAAAAAGGCAUUUUAAGUCCAAAAAAUUAGAAUUAUUGGUUGAACUCCAACUCCAUCAAUCCAUGCAACCAUCCAAUCUUUAACGAAAAAUGAAGCAUAAUUAACCAGACAUCUGAAUCAGAAAGAUUGUGCUUUCAUUUGGCACGAGGUGUUGGAAACAACUUAACAAAUCUAGACACAAUCUAUAACCAUCAUGUCCAAACAAAAGUCAGGAUCUAAAAUACUUUGAAAAAUCAGAAAAACAGUUUCAAUUUCUUUUUCAUCCAUUGUAAGCUCAAACUAAAGGUAGCCACGAUACCUUUAAACAUCAUUUGGGCUUAUACAUGCGACAUUUGCUCAUGAACAACUAAAGUUGAAUAAGAUUUUUAUAUGAAACAGAAUACAAAAGUCAAAGUAGAAUAUGACAGGAGCUACAAUAUAUUAUUCAGCAUCAGCAUUAUGUAUAAAAUAAAUUUAGAGGCAUUAUAUUCAUUCACAAUCUUGCAGAGGUAACACCAGAUUAUGGCACGCAUCUCUUGAAUAGCAGAUAAAGGAGGAGAUGCAGUGGGAAGGUAGUAACUUGCUUGCAUGAGAACUAGAAAGUAAUAUCCCAAGAUCAAUUAUAGAUCUCAUAAAACAAAAACAGUGAGGCAAACACAAUUAUACAAUCCAUCUGUCAAAAGGCUAAGCAAAUGAAUAUACAAUCAACACCAUUCUUCCAAACGAAUAUACAGUCAACACCAUUCUUCUAAACACAAACAAAGUUUGAACGUAUGACAGAUUUUUAGCCCUUUAAUAUUCCAUCAAAGAUAAUUAGAUAACACCUACCAAGGAUUUUUGAAAAGAAUGCAUUCUCAUCUUAAGCAGCAACCUCACCAGUAACACAUUUUCAUACCCUGUUUCCACCUCUGGUCGCACCACCAAAAAAAUUCAGUACUAAUUAGCUUCAACAGAAUCUAUUUUUUAAUUUCCUUUUUUUUUUUUCAAAAUAAACCUCCAUUCUUAUACAUAAAAUUAAAAUAUCAAUUAAAUAAACAAAGUCUAUGCUUACUAGUAAAACACGUCCAUUUUUAGGUAGAGGCAGAUAAUAAAAGAAAAUUGAAACUGAGAUAAAAUAAGAAGAGCUUACUAGGUGCAUUUGAUCAACAAUCCAAUCCUCAACGAUGGAAUCGAUGCCAUCAAAUAAACAUGACUUAAUCUUGAAACCACAAACUGCACUAAGCAUAGCACCAAAGCCAGAGCGUGACUAUAAAGAAGAAGAAAAAAGAAGGCAAAGAAGAAUUAAAUUAACAUGAAAUUCAACUGGAACAAUACAAAAUAUGAAAUUUUUAGCAAAUCUUACUAGCGUUAGGGUUAAGGCUUACCAUAGGGAACUGGAUGGCGCUAACUAAAUGACAAGUUGAAACGGCAUCUGCAAUCGUAUUGAAUGACAUUGAACCGCGAGGUAGGGUUUAAAUGAAUACCGAGCAGAGAUAAAUUGGUGUGGUGAAUUAGGGUUUUGUGGCUACGUUUUAUUUCGAUUGAAAAAAGGAAUUUGAGCUUUUGCUUUAAUACAACGGUGUCGUUAAUUUAAACAUUCAUUUUAGGUUGCAGUGGCCAGUGGAGAGAGGGGGAUUCAUUCAACGCUUAGCCAAAAUUUGGCUGUAAGUGUUGAUGUGUUUUAAGUUAUACAGAACGGUGUCGUUAAUUUAAACAAUACUGUUUUACAAUCUUAUAAGAUCACAAAACCUAAGCAUGACUUAUAUGUAUCAUUUAUUUAGGACGGUUAAGUUAUAAGUCAUGAAUAUGUCAUAUAUUCUGGACAUAUGAAUAUAUAUUAUGAAUCUAUUAUAUUUUUAUGACACAUUCGUGACACAAUGAUAUAUGUCAUCAAAUUUAUGUCAUUAUUUAAUAUUUUUCUAGUGGUGUCAGAUUUUUGAAACAUUUUUGUUAAUAGCAAAAACUCUAAUCCUUUAGCAAAAGACUAAAAAUUAAAAAAAAAAUCUGUUUAAAUAUCAGUUGGCUCAUGAUCAACACUUCAAUACUGUUUGUUGUAUUUUCUUUCUUUCUUUCUUUGUCAUUUUAUUAGAUUUUUUUUGUAUCAUAGUUUGUUUUGCUUAAGUAAUUGUUCAUUGUUUAUGUCUGUGUUCUUACUAACAGAGUAAAAGAUUUUGAGAGAAUGAAUUGCACCCUUUUCCAUUGAUUGUAAGACUUUUAUAUGCAGCAAUAUAUAUAACAACUGUGCCUAUUUUAAAGAGAUAAGAUAACAGAAAGAUAUACUUUACAUUUGAAUUAGUUUGAAUGAGUAAACUAGAUAGGUCCCAUAUUCUAAGAGGAGAAUCUGCUGACACUUACUGGCUUUUGAUAAUUUAUGGUUGGUUUUUUAUUCAGACCCUCGAAGUACCUUUUUGUUAAUAUUAAAACCUCUGAUCCUUAAGAAAGAAAAAGAAAUUCUCUAUUUAGUUAUUAGUUAGUUCAAGAUCAAUAUAGCGAUAUUGUUUGUGGUCUUUUCAUUCUCUAUCUUUCCCUCUAGUUCAUUUUAAUUUAUUUGUAUUCCUUUCUUUGACACUUGUAUUUAUAUAUAUAUAUUGUUAAGCAACAGGCAAUGGCUGUUGAAGGGUGUCUCCCUGCUUUUUCCAGCAUUGUAUCACAAGGUUCAAAAGCAUUAUUCGAACCGAUUAUGCGGCACAUAUCUUAUGUGUUCGAUUACCAAAGCUACAUAGAUGGGCUAAAAGAUUGAGUGAAGGAGCUGGAAUAUAUAAGAGAAAGGGUGCAAACGCUGGUUAGAGAGGCUACUCUACAAGGAGAUGAGAUUUAUAAGGGUGUCUGAGACUGGCUAAAUAGAGUUGCUGAAUUCAGUGAAGGGGUUGCAAAAUCCAUCAUUGAUGAUAAAGAUAGAGCUAAGAUAGAGCUAAGACUGAGCAUGAUUGCAAAUGCACGAUUGCAAAUGCAUUGGAUCAAUUAAGAAGUUCCAAUCUAGGAGAAAUUCAAGGAAUGCGUGCAGAUGUAUAAACCUCCAUAAAAUUGUUACGACUUGAAGGAUUGUAUAUAAGCAUUAAAUUGAUCUAAUUUAAUUUGUAUGUAAACAUUAAAUUGUAUAUAAAUACACAGAACAGAACCAUAUCAGUGUUGGAAAAAAAAAAAAAGAAUCCAGAGUUAUAUAAAUUCAAUUAAAAAUUACUGAAUUUUUUAUUACUAACUUUGAACACUCUAAUUUCAAUAAAAAAAUUAUAUUACUAAAAUAGUCUUAAUUGAAUUUACUAUUAAAGACAUUAGAAUAACUCAACACUAAUAUUCUAAAAUAUAUUUCUCUCCAUAGUCUAAUCUAAUCCAUUCUAAGAAUCCUAUAGAAAAUAUAUUAUUUACUUUUUCCUUAUUAAACACAAAAACAUGUCAUUUUGUUGCUAACUAAAAUUUUGGAACUAACAACAUCAGAUUAACAAAAUUAUCAGAAAAAGAAAUCAAACAAGAUUUUAAUUGUCGUCAUCUUCACUCUUGUCUUUUUCUUUUUCUUCACACAUGUGGCUUGCACACGCAUUCCCCUCUCUCAUCCUUAGGGCCGCCCUUCAACAAUAUCCAAUCAUCGAUUAUAAUUAUUUAGAUUGACCAAAUCAAGCAUUGAUCAUAUAUUGGUUGAGGUUAGAAAUAGGCAGGCAGCAGCAAUAAUACUACUAAUUAAUAUCUCAUGAGAAUUUUAAAGAAAAAUCUAACGUUGUCAAAUUCGUUUGAUUUCAAUGAAGUCUUUCUCCUACUUAUACUUUCACAUAUUCUCUUUUAUUUCCAAAGUUAAGGUUAUGGAUGUUGUAGAGUAAAAAGAUGAACAUUGCUAGGAAAGCAAUAAAAGGAAAUAAAUAAAAAUUAAAAAUAUAAAAAGAGUUAAGUCAUUUUUUUUUCUAUUAGUGUUUUUGUAUUUAAUAACGAAAGAUAAAAAUAAAGUAGAUAUUAUCUAUUGGAUUAUUAAAAUAACACAGGUAUAACACAUGUCAAAAUCUCGUUAUUAUAAUAUUAGAAAAGAUUAAAUUAGGAGAAUAUUCAAAUCGGCGAAAUAAUUAAUAAAUCGUAUUUAUUAAUCAUCCACCCAAUUCAUGCAUACCCAAAUGGCCGUCAACGAGCUAACCAAAUCCCAGCUUGUUGUAAUCUGGGUUGGGCUUUUUGGGCGAUAAUUAACUGCCCGAGCUGCUCAUCUACCCCAAUAGAGCCUAACAAAAAUUUUCGCCUAAGCUUCACAAAAAUGUUCAUAAAUCUUUUUUUUUUUGGUAUCAUAAAAACAUAAAUUUAUUUCAAACACUUUUGGAGCUUAAUAAAAAUUUCCCAACAUUUCAUCUGACAAAGGUAGUUUAAAAGUGUAUUCGUUAAAUUCUAAAAUACAUACUUAAAAUCUUUUAGUGACAAUCUAAUUAUAAAUUAAGGAUCUAUUUGGGAUUGAGAUUGAACAGUUAAAAUGUUAUAGUUGUUGUAGUUUAGAAGUUAAGAUGAUUUGAUUUUACACUUAUAUGAUAAAAAAUUUAUUAUAUCUUUUCUAAUUUUAUCAAAAUUAUUAUUAAAAAAUUAUAUUUAUUAUAUACUAUUAACUUUUAUUUUAUACUUAAAACUUUUUUUUCUUACGGCAAAAGUUUUAGCACCUCAAUACCCAACCAAGUCUAAAACUGCACAAUAAUAAUUAUGAGUGCGAAUGUUAAAAUCUACACACAUUCGUACUUGAUAAUUUCAAUCAACAGUGUUACAAACUUAAUUAAAAUAUUAUAUCUGAAAUUAUUGAGGGGAAAAAAAAGAAAAAGAAUGUUGUUUUCAUGAUAGUGACAUGUGUCGUGCACAUUUUGCUGUUGGCUCUUUGGUCUCUAACCUAGCGAAUAGGUUGUUGUGUCCUCGUUGUUAGAUGCCCGAACAGCAGCGCAAGAACUUUGUACUAUACCAUAUAUUUUAUGAAGGUGGUGAUGUUACAAAUAAAGACGAGUAAUAAACCAAACGGCGUCGCUUUGCUAGCCUGUUAGAACUAUCAACGCGCUCUGCCGCCCUCUCGUUCCAUUUAUUCAUUUAACCCGGUCAGGGGAUUGGCGAAUUAAAUAAACAACAACAGUCGUCCGAUCCACACAGAUCGCCACUCAUAUUUAAUCCAACGGCUGGGAUAUGAACCCCUCUAUAACUUUUAUUUGUCGAAUCAGCCGCUCUCUCUAUUUAAAUUAAUUUUUUUUUCAACAGCCGACGAGUGCUGACGUAUCAGAGACGCCCCAUCAAUCAAUAAAAAAAUCAAUUGAAAAGGACGGUAUAGUGAGUGGAAGAGAAAUGCCAAUGGCAGAUCAAGGGAUGAAGAUACGAGCUCACUUGCAACGAGGUAUAGUUCAUCAUGGCUUUCCUAUAAGUUCAGGUCCUUAUGAAUACUUUCAAUGAUCUUAUUAGUCAGAAAUUCAACAAUAAUUUUUACUUUUUACAUCCAGGAACAGUUUUAAGCACAAGCAACUCAGGUGGUCAAUAGGCCUCAUAUGUUAGCAAGGUCUCCGUUUUGGUCACUUAAGUCCCAUAUGUUAGGAAGACUCCCUUUUUAUUUUUGGUAUUACUUAUAAUAGCAAAUCCUCUUUUUUAGGCCUCUUUUUAUUUAGUAAUUAUCUUAUAAUGAAGAAUUUUGUUACACAUUUUAUAUUUGAUAACCUUAAUAUUAAAGAUCUCUAAUUGAUAGUAUUAUCUAAUUGUUAAUUUAUUAUUAGUUUUUCCAAAAAAAAUAAAUUCUUUAUCUAUUUAAAAAGGUUAAUUAAUUAACAUUAUAAAAAAUUUUGUGAUAUUCUCUACACAGAAAAUUAUUACAUUUAUUACUUCACUUCUGAAUUAAAAAAAAAAGAUUUAUUGAAAUAAUAGUUCUAGAGGAGGUAAAAAAGAUAUCUUCUUGAUUAUUUUUCUUUUUUGAACAUUUUAACUAUCUUGUUGAUUGUUAAUAUUCACGAUAUAGUUAAAAAUUGAUUGAAUUCUAAGCUCUUUUAUGUUUCUUUAGGUGUUGAAGCUGCUGAAUGUAGGGAGCCCUCGUAAAACAAUUCCCAUAAUGCCCCUAAUACUCUAAGGUCGACCCUGUGUAUAUCAUAUUAUUGAAAAAAAAUUGCUUCAAUACAGUAUGUGGUAAGGUUUAAUUUUAUAUGAAUUUAAGCUGAAGUUGGUACCUUUUAUUGUUUAAUACCGUGACAUCAGGGAAAUUUUUAAUAGGUCUUCAUUUUAGGCUAAAGUACCCGAACAAUACUUCCCAUGCACUUUGUGAUCUUAUUACAAAAUCUUAAACUAAAUAGCUGUGGAAGUAACAAAGAGGGCAACUUUUUACUAUAAUGUGAUGAAAAUAAUUCAUUUGUCAUCACGAACUAACCAAAUCAAAACAAAAAACUAAUGAUCAUAUGGUUCAAAUCUGUGCAACAAUGGUGCAUUUAAAAGGAAAUAAUGUACAGAUAAAAUUUGUGCUUGUAACAAGAACUCUUCUCUUCAAGCCAACAAUUCCACCUAGCAGAGAGAAGUGUUUUAGGCGACACUUUCCAACUAAUGAAAGCAGUGAGCUCUCAAACUCUGUUAUCAUUUUCUACUACUUGAAAAAGAGAGAAAGAGAAACGAGAGGAAAAACAUGGCUCCUCUGUUUUCAUUUUGGUGAUUGCAAAUAACAUUUUUUUUUUACUUUUACUCUUUAUUUAUUUAAUUUUAAAAAAAAAACUUUUAGCUCAUUAGAUCUUGUUCUUGUUAAUGCUUCUAGUAACUUAUAUGAUGAUCUGAUCAUAUCCGUAAAAUUAACAUACCCAUAAUCCAUUAUUUUAUAAUUAUAAAACUUGAAAAUUCGGUCAUGCAAUUUUGUAUGAUGAACAGUGUGUUCAUUUUUUCUGUGAAACAUAAGAACAAUUUGUAAAUAAUGUCCAUGCGGACCUUGUAAUAGCGAAGCAUCAUUAUUGAUCUUACUUUGAUGAUCGCACUUUAGUUUCUUUUUAAAGUGCCUUUUGUUUAUUUUAUCGGCAUCCGCUUUUACAAAAGUUUUGGUCCUCGUUCAUUCAUCAAAGCUUCUACUUUUAUCUUUUAUUAGGCAUCUUAUAAAAAGCUUAAUUUAAUUGGAAUCAUGUUCGGUAUGAAGAUUGUUUUACUUACUUCAGCAAUCUUUCAAUCAACCGAAUUUAUUCUUUUCUGAUCUGGAAAUUAUUCAUGAAAAAAUAGGCGCGUCAGUAGGACAACAGGGACCAAGUACAUAAUAUGAAAAUUCAUUUGUAUUGCUUACUCUAAUAAGCUCUUAACUCACACAUUCCUCUGCAGUUACCAGUGAUCUUUUGCUCACUAAAAUUGUUAUUAUAUAUUCAAGGUGAAUAAAGAAACUCAUCAUCCCAGAUAAUUAAAGAGGUGAACUUGUUCUAAAUCCUUUAAUAAUUUCUAUUAAUAAUAGCAUAUAUAAUCUCUAAUCCUUGAUCUUGGUAGUAGUUCUUUCUUAAUGUCCAAGAAAAAUAUCUCUCAUUUGUCUUAAUCUUGUCAGUUAAUUUUCUUGAAUUCUGAGUUAGUGUUUAUUGUUAAAUUCGGUUUUCGGUUAGUAGCCAUUGGUUAAUAGCUUCGGUUAAUCCUUGAAUUAAACAUAUUAAAAUCUAAUCAUAAACCCGCCUUUCCCUAUUUUACAACACCCUUUAUGUAAUAGUGACUUCAAAAGUGUAACAUAUUUUGAACAAUUGCAAGGAAAGAACAUAUUUGACACUUCACGAAACGGCUAAGAUAUAAGCUUCAAUUCUUGUACAACAAAUUAAUAUAACCAACUUCAACCGUCAAUUGAUCAAUAAUUCAGUAACAAAAAGGGACAGAUAUCCUAGUCUUUCUUUACUAAUGAAGCAAGCCAUUAAACUUCGAAAGCUAUUUCUAUUUCCACAUUCUUCAUGUACCAAAGCAGGAAAAAUAAAAAAAAAAAGCAACAAAAAUUUGGAAGUAAUCGUCUUUAUUCAGCAGCAUGCAUAUUAAUUAAACAUAUUAAAAAAGAGAUAUACAAUAUCAGGUCUGGAGACGAAAUGAGCCCACAGAGACUACCAAUAAUGUAACGGCUUGAUUAAAAAUAUUAAUCAAGCCACUACAUUAGAAGAACAAGAGUUAAUCAUGCAUAGUAAUUAAAAAUAUUUUUGCUAUCAUCCACCUGUUCUCUCUAAAUAGUUGUCCCUUUUUUUUUUCUUUUGCCUGAAAUUCCAAGCAAAAAUAUAAUUAGAAGAUCAAGAGUUAAGGGUUAAAAAAAUGGAAAAAGAGGGCUCCUCUGUUUUCAUUCCCCUGUUUUUCUGUUCGGUGAUUACAAAGAUUUAAAUCAAAAUUUAUGAUGCAGGCUACACGGCACCUGGUGGAAGACUGCUAGGGUUUACCUUUUAUUCUUAGUUAGAAAUUUAAUUUAGAAUUUGUAGUGUGCGCCUUAUAUAAGUAGGUUUCCUAAUAGUAAAAUUAAAUAAUCAACUUUAUGAUGCACUAGGAUAUGGUUGUGAUAAAUGAGCUUUUUAUGUAUCCUGUGAGGCUGAUUAUUAUUUUAUUACAUUGAAGAUUCAGUUAUCUCUUGGUAGUCUUGUGACUCAAGCGGAUUUAGUUAGUAGUAGGUAAUACUCUGGACUUCACAUACUAAACGGAAUGGAGCAUUAUUUUAUCCCGCUAAAUCAGUUUUUUUUUUUUUUAAUUAAAAAAUAAUUCAUCAAACACUUUAUAGCUCUGGUUUUAACUUGGUAAACACUUUAAGCCGCAACUUUAAAUUCAGUUUACGAGAACUCCUAACAGUCACUGUGGCUUGGGUAGAAAUGAAUAUACUAGCAUAAGUAAUGCUACCCAGGAAAUGUAGUUGAACCUAACCAAACUAAAACCAGAUGAUGAAAGCUUAUAUACACCAAGAGAUUUAUUCGUUUCUGAGUUUGUUUCCAGAAACCCGGAACCUCCCCUGUUUCUACAAACACGGCACCUUUGUUUUCAUUCCCCUGUUUUUCCAUUUGGUGAUUGUAAAAAUCUAAAUCUAAAUCUAAAUUUUUGAUGCAGUCUACACGGCACCUGCUAGAUGAUUGUUUGGGUUUAUCUUUUAUUCUUAAUUAUGAAUUUAAUUUAGAUUCGUAGUGUGCGCCUUAUGAAAGAUUAAAUAGAAUAAUGUGAAAAAAGAAAGAAUGCCUUUCUUAAUUUUGACUUCAUAAUGUUGCAGUAACCGUCCUCUCUUAUCAUUCCCCUGUUCUUUGGUUUGGUGAUUGCAAAUAACAUUCUUUGCAUCUACUCUUUAUUUAUUUAUUUUUUUAAUUUUUAGCUCAUUAAUUCUUGUUCUUCUUAAAGUGUUUAGUAAAUUAUAUGAUCACCUGAUCAAAUCCCUCACAUUAACUCUAAUCCUUUUAGAAAAGACUAAAAAUUAAAAAAAAUAUGUUUAAAUAUCAGUUGGCUCAUGAUCAACACUUCAAUACUGUUUGUUGUAUUUUCUUUCUUUCUUUGUUUGUCAUUUUAUUAGAUUUGUUUUGUAUCAUGGUCUGUUUUGCUUAAGUAAUUGUUCAUUGUUUACGUCUGUGUUCUUACUAGCUUUUGAUAAUUUAUAGUUGGUUUUUUAUUCAGACCUCGAAGUACCUUUCUGUUAAUAGCAAAACCUCUGAUCCUUAAGAAAGAAAAAGAAAUUCUCUAUUUAGUUAUUAGUUGGUUCAAGAUCAAUAUAGCGAUAUUGUUUGCGGUCUUUUCAUUCUCUAUCUUUCCCUCUAGUUCAUUUUAAUUUAUUUGUAUUCCUUUCUUUGACACUUGUAUUUAUAUAUAUAUAUUGUUAAGCAAUAGGCAAUGGCUGCAGAAGGGUGUCUCCCUGCUUUUUCCAGCAUUGUAUCACAAGGUUCAAAAGCAUUAUUCGAACAGAUUAUGCGGCACAUAAAUUAUGUGUUCGAGUACCAGAGCUACAUAGAUGGGCUAAAAGAUCGAGUGAAGGGGCUGGAAUAUAUAAGAGAAAGGGUGCAAAUGCUGGUUAGAGAGGCUACUCUACAAGGAGAUGAGAUUUAUAAGGGUGUCUGAGACUGGCUAAAUAGAGUUGCUGAAUUCAGUGAAGGGGUUGAAAAAUCCAUCAUUGAUGAUAAAGAUAGAGCUAAGAUGUUCUGCUUCAAAGGGUUGUGCCCAAAUUUGAUUUCUCGUUACAAGCUUGGUAAACAAGCAGCAGAGGCCGCAAACGAAGCUGAUAAACUUGUGAAAAAAGGCGAAUUUAACAUCUGUAAUCAUGUUUCCUACCGUCCUGCUCCAGAGAGUACAGAAUAUGUGCAAGUGAAAGAUUACGUAGCCUUUUAUUAUAAUAUCUUUUCACUCUAUUAACUUAAAAAAGAUUGACUUCAAUGUUAAAAAUGUAACAGUAUAUACAUUUUAUAAUAAUUUCAAUAUUUAAAAAAUAUUUGAAUACUUUACAAUCUUAUAUUAUAUUAAACUAAAUUUUAUAAUAAUUAGAAACAUAAUAUUAAAAUAAAUAUAUAAAAUUUUAAGUUAGGCUUAAUAUUAUUUAAAAUAAUUUAAAUAUCAUUAAUAGAUGAGAUAUAUUAUAUUAAUUAUAAAUUCUAUUUAAUCGAAAUAUAUAUUUAAAUUUUUUAUACUAAAAAUAGAUAUAUUAUUAAAAUAAAUAUAACAACUAACAUUUUAAAAAUUAACACUGAAAUUAAAAUUAUAAAUUAUAUUAAUCUACUAGAAAGAUUAAUCUAUUUGACACUAGCAGCGGACAAUGAGGUCACGGCAUAGGACAAGCAGUUAUCGUGACCCAUGGACUUUUCUACUUCUUUUGAAAAAAAAAUCAAAAUCAAAAUCAAAGUCAUUGAAGUGCGUUUGAUGAUUUGCUGUUUAGCUUCUCUCUCAAAUGCUUUUUGAGUGCCUCCGGCAUCUGCUUUUAUAUAAGCUUUUGUCUUUAAUCAUUUAUUCAAGCUUUCGCUAAGAGUGAUGCAGCACAGCACAUAAAUAUAGAAGCAUUGACAGCCGGUCAGGAGCUCUUCGGUAUUUGAAGCAAGAAUGAUUGUUUGGCUUUGUGCAUUGAAAGAGAAAAGAAAAUGAAAGACUUAUUUCAUUAAUACAAUUUAAUUAAUUAAUUUAAAAUAAUAAGCAUAUAAUAAUGAUGAAAUUAAUUAAUAAAAAGAAGAAAAUGAAAAUUGCACGUGCUAUUAGCAUAAACCAAUUGCCGGAAUGAGGUCACUUUGUAGACAAAUGAUUCUGGAAUCAGAACUUGGGCCAGCUUUGGGUUAUGGAUCCAAAAUAAAAAAAGGUGGGCCCCAUGGUCUCUUAUGAUCAAUAAAAAUCGAUUGAAAAGGAUGGUAUGGUGAGUGCAAGAGAAAUUUCGAUGGCAGAUCAAGGGAUGAAGAUACGAGCUCACUUGCAACGUGGUAUAGUUCAUCAUGGCUGGCUUUCCUAUAAGUUCAGGUCCUUUGAAUACUUUCAAUGACCUUAUUAGUCAGGAAUUUAACAAUAAUUUUUAUUUUUUACAUCCAGGAACGGUUUUAAGCAUAGGCAAAUUAGGCCUAUAAUUAAUAGCAAAUCCUCUUUUUUAACAAUUAAACAAUUAGGAAGUCUCCCUUUUUAUUUUUGGUAUUACUUAUAAUAGCAAAUCUUUUUUUUUUUUUUUUUUUGGUUGUAAACCAUCCGGUGUGCCACGACCGCAUUGGGCCUCGAUUAAUCCGGAUUCGGAGUGUAGUCACAGUUAAGGCUCUUUACCCCUCCCAAAUGGUGUGUUUAGUGGGGAUCGAACCCGAGAGCUCUUCCCACAAACUCAGCCUGCACUGCCAACUGAGCCACAACCAUUUGGUAGCAAAUCUUCUUUUUUAGGCCUCUUUUUAGUUAGUAAUUAUCUUAUAAUUAAGAAUUUUUAUACACAUUCUAUAUUUGUUAACCUUAAUAUUAAAGAUCUCCAAUUGUUAAUUUAUUAUUAGUUUUUCCAAAAAAAAAUUAAAUUCUUUAUCUAUUUAAAAAAUUUUAUUAUUUAACAUUAUAAAAUUUUUUGCUCCAUUCUCUAUAAAGAAAAUUAUUACAUUUAUUGGUUCACUUUUGAAUUAAAAAAAAAAGUUUAUUGAAAUAAUAGUUCUAGAGGAAGUAAAAAAUAUAUCUUCUUGGAAAUGUUUCAAACCCAUGAGCUUGGAUUUGUUUGAUAAUUUGUCGAAUUUGCCCACAUAUGAAAUUAGUAUGAUUUUACAGGUUAUAUUAUUUUAUUGGCUACUUCAUUAAAAAAAAAAAACACACACACACAGACACAAGGAUUUUUAUUUGAUGGUAGAAGUUAAGUUGUUUUUCAGUGAUAAAUAAUGUUGUUAACCAAAUUUAAUUGACAUUCUACGCGGCAGUAAUUCAAUUUUAUAGAAGCACGUGGAUUAAAGGACAAAAACACAUCAAGUAUUUAAUAUUGGAUAUGGAUAUGAAUUUUAUCCGUAUAGAUAUGGAGAUCCAUGGAUAUCCACGGAUAUUUUAUUUUUAUUAGGGAUAUUAUCAUUUUCCUACCAAAGAUAUUCUGACACAUCAUGUCAGUACCACGAUUUGGUAAAACCAUCAAUUUACCACUAAAUGUUUAAACUGUUAGCAUUUUCCCACCAUUCCGUUAAAACUCAGUUAAUAUGUAACAGAAAAUUCAUAAAAGGUCAAUUUUACCCCUGAAGCGUAAAAUGCCAUGUAAUUAACCUUUUAUAAAUUUUGUAAUUAAAUCAUCAUUUACUGUUCUUCUUUCUUAAUGGGCAAAAAUUACCCUUUAUGAAUUUUGUAAAAUUGACCGUGUGGUGCUAGGUACUUCAUAAAUUGAUUUAAUUUAUUUAAUUUUUAAAGGGCAAAUUUAUUUAUUUAAUUUUUUGUGUAAAAUUAUUAUCAUCAUAUCAAAGAUUAAAUUGCUUCUUUUGCACAUUCUUUUUUUUCCCUUUCAUAAAUUGAUUUUUAGUAGUAGAAUAAAUUGUCUUUAGCUCGUCAAUUUAAUAAAUAAAUUUAAUUAAAUGAGUGCGGAUUAGGUCAGUGGCAGAUAAAAGAGUCGGUUUUUCCAUUACUAAGCUUUUCAUGGAUGAAAAUUUUAUUUAUUUUUUUUGGUUUUAUAGGGUCUCUGUGAAUGCCAUUAGAAAUGAAAUUGACUAAUUCAAGCUUCCUUUUUCCCCUUAACUGACUGUGAGAGGCCAUCAAUCAGCUCUGUUUUGUAUUUUUGUACCUUUUUUUUUUUCGUAUAAUGAUCAAUCAAAUGUUAGCCCUUAGAUUGCAUCCAAUAUUUACUGAUUGUCUUAUAUUAGGAUAUAAACUAAAUUCAUAAGACAUUCCCUUAUUGAUAUUCAUUCCGACACGUCCUAGUCCUUUGCCUUGUAGAAAUGCUUGUGGUUGAAGAGCUUUACAGAGAAGCUGUCGUCAGUACUGCUGGGAAAUUUAUUAUAUUGAAUCAGAAAACUUGACCAGAUAAAGGCUGUGUGCAUGGGAAUACUUGAGGAAAUAUGAUUUACAUAUACCACUUAAUAUUUUACAAUCUCGUAUUCUAUUAAAUGUAAAUAUGAUUUACAUAUAAAAUAAUUUUCAAUAUCAUAUAAAAUAAUUUUAAUAUUAUUAAAACAUGAGAAAUAUUAUAUUAAUUAUAAAAACUAUUUAACCCAAGGAUUUGUUUAAAAUUUUUAUAAUAAAUAUAUUAAAUUACAUUUUAAAAAUUAAUUAUUUAAAUUAUACAUACUAGUCUACUAGAAAAUUUAAACUAUUUAAAUCAUAUUUACAUUUAGUAAAAAAAUUUGAAGUCAUUUUUUUUUGUGGCUACCAUAAGAGUACUAUAGUCAAAAAGGGUAUUGGUGUUCUUUAUUAAAAUUUUGGGGUCUGCAUGACUAUUUUCUAAAAUUUUAAGGGUGUCAUUUUAUUUUUGGAAAAAAAAUAAAUUUCAUUUAAAUAGCUAAAAUGGUAAAUAGUAGAAUGCUACAGUGGGCGUAAAUAGAAGGUAAAAAGCAAUCAGAUUUUGAUUAAACAUGCAAUGUAUGAAAUAUAUAUUAUGAUUAAACAGAUUUUGAUUAUUUAAUAUUAAAUUAUAUUCACAUUAAUAUCUUAAGGAUAGGUAAUACUCAAAUAAUUUUAAAAAAAAUCAAACCCAAAUUAUAUGCAUUGCUAAUGUGCGUUAUUGUCUAAUAUUUGGAUUUUGCUAAGUCACAACUACUGUAACUUACGGACUCUUCAAACAUAUGUGGAUCCCACCACAUGUUAAAUUUUUUACAUUAUUUUUUAAGGGACUGUAAGUUACAACAGCUUAACCUAACAACACCCUAAUAGUUCACUUUACUUUUAUAUCUUUACAAAACAAUGCCAACAAGACAACAAUGUAUGAAAUAAAUAAAAUAAAUAAACAAAGAACUGACAGCGAAAUUAGGGCUAUCAUUGGUUUCUCGUGGUGUGAACUCUUGACAAUCCUCCCCGAUCCCAUCCAAAACUCCCGCGUAGUGUGAACAUUUGACGAUUCUCCCAUAUCCCUCCAAAAAUUUGUCAUAUUACAAAAAGCAAUGUCAAUUGCAAUGUCGUUUCCAUUAGUCAUAGUGGCAGAUAGGACUAGAAUUUGUUGAAACCCCUGGACUUAUUUUUCCUUUUGAAAAUAAUUUUGUAGAACCUCAUAUCGGGAAUAACAGACAAUAAGACUCUUUUUUUAAUUAUAAUAUAUUUUUUUAAUUUAUUAACUAAAAAAAUUAAUUUUAAUAUUUUAUAAUAAAUAUAAGCAGGAUAUUAAAAUAAAUAUAAUCAUAUGUACAUAUUAAAAUAUUUUAAUACCUAAAUAUAUUUUAAUAUUUUACAAUCUCGUAUUCUAUUAAACCAAAUUUUAAUAAAUAGAGACAUAAUAUUCAAAUAAAUAUAUAAAAGUUUUACUUAUUUUCAAUAUCAUAUCAAAUAAUUUUAAUAUUAUUAAAACAUGAGAAAUAUUAUAUUAAUUAUAAAAUCUAUUUAACCCAAGGAUUUGUUUAAAAUUUUUAUAAUAAAUAUAUUAUUAAAAUAAAUAUAUUAAAUUACAUUUUAAAAAUUAAUUAUUUAAAUUAUACAUACUAGUCUACUAGAAAAUUUAAACUAUUUAAAUCAUAUUUACAUUUAGUAAAAACUUUUGCAGUCAUUUUUUUUUUUUUUGUUACCAUCUACUAAGAGUACUAUAGUCAAAAAGGAUAUUAGUGUUCUUUAUUAAAAUUUUGGGGUCUACAUGGCUAUUUUCUAAAAUUUUAAGGGUGUCAUUUUGUUUUUGGAAAAAAAAUAACAAUUUCAUUUAAACAACUAAAAUGGUGAAUACUACAAUGCUACAAUGGCGUAAAUGGAAGGUAAAAAGCAAUCAAAAUGACCAACAGUCUAACGCCUCAGCAAGGACAUAAGGUCAAAGUUUGUUACAUGUGGUCAGAGCCAUUUAGUCUGUGAGUGGGUCUUUCGUGUCAUUUUUGGUCAUUUCAUCUUCUUUGGCAUUGAAGAUUAAAUGUUGACGACAUUUUCAAAAUUUUGGAAGACCCAUCAUACUUUUGGAUGGUUGUCAUUAUUUGAUAUUAUCAUUAUAUGACGAAAUAAAAUUGGAUGUAACACUUGUUUCGCAUUGUGUGAACUUUUGACAAUUCCCUCAUAUCCCCCAAAAAUCUUUCGCCAUUUUGGGAAGAUGCCAUUUAUUUUCAUUUUCAUCAUUGAUAGUGGCAGAUAAUGGGUUCCGGGGACAGACCAUAAAUUAUUGUGACCCAUGGACUUUUCUAAUUUUUUUCCCUUCGGAUAGUUGUCGUUAUUUGAUAGAAGGAGAUAGAGAUAAAGUUUUUUAAUCAAAUGCCCAUUUUAUUUAACAUGGAAGAAGAUCUUUAAACUCUAAGCGAGACUAUCACUUCAACAUAUGCAGCCUUCAAGAAAGCGGUAACAAGUGAUGAGAUAGACUCAUUAUUGUCUAAUCAAACAAGGACAUCGGUAGAUGUAUCAGGAUCUUAAGUUAGAUUGGAAUUUGAUACAUUAUUGUUGGUAACGUUGGUUCAAACCUUCAAAGUGAGGUUGGAUGCAAAAUGGUUUACACCAAAGAAGUGAUUUAGGAAGUUAAUUAACGUUAUUUUAGAUAAUUUAUAAUUCUAGAAUAUUUAUUAUUUUAUGAUUUUCUAUUUUAGUUUGAGUUAAUUAUGGUAUGUAUCUUAAUCUUUUAUUUCCAUUAUAAUUAUGAUUUAAAUUUUCUUUUUAGGUUAACUUAGGAAAGCGGGUUUCUUCUAUUAUAAAUAAAGAUGUCUGUAAUAAAAAAAAUAAAGAUGUCUUGUCAUUGUUUUCAUAACUUCAAGUUCAAUUAUUAAAUAAAACCCCUCUUUUAUAAUUUCCUCUAGGAUUAUUUAUCAAAAUCUCUCUUGUAGAGUCGUUUGGAUUAGAGUGUCAUCUAAUCUCGUAUUACGCGUUAUUAAAAAUCUCAUUGAGUCAUUUGGAUUAUAACGAUAUCUAAUCACGCUUCGAUUAGAGCGUAAACUAAUCGCGUUGGCUUGGUCUGGUACUAGAACGAUAUCUAAUGUUUCUUACCCUAUCAAUUCUGCUUCCGCUACGCCUCACUCCAUCAAUUGGUAUCAAAAUGAUUAUGUGCGAAUUGCACAUCUUUCCUAGAUACACCAUACCUAUCCAAACCAAAUCCAUCAAAAAAAAAAAAUUUACAAAUUUGAAACCCCCUACCCGUCACAUCAACCUCCACCGUCGCCCACCACCGCCGAUCAGCCAGCCAACACCACCACAAACCUCACUAGCCACCGUUGACCAAGCCUUAGUCAUCGCUGCCUCAACCGUCGCUUGAACAGCCGCAAAUCACCAACCCAAACCCGCGGCUCCACCAAGCAGCCCACCACCAUUCAGCCACUUUCUCCACCAACCACCUCCACCAACAAACUCGCCGGCCUCCGUUGACCAAAAACCGACCAACUUCAGCCCUUGAUCGCCGCCCGUUGUCACCACACGAAACGACACGAGUGCUUCCUAGACGCGCCGCCACCAAAACACCUUCUUUUUCCGUCAAUUUACACCACCACCAUAAUCCUUAGCAUUCGGCAACCGUAAAUCCAGUCUUCCGCCACUGUAAAGCCGGCGUAAACCAAAAGCCACAUCACCAAAAUCAACCGCCAAUUCAAGUCGGAUUUCCCCCAAUUCAAGUUGCUGAAUAUAAAAAGGACUCAUGAAAAUUACCUAAAGUUUCAAAUAUUGUUAUUCAGCAACCACUUUUAGGUUACAUUAGUUUCAACCCAAAUUUUAUAUAAAUAAUUUAUAACUCCCAUUAUUAUCAUAAAAAAAAAAUUGUAGCAAUUGAGGUUAUAUCACAUGAAAAAAAAAAUCUAAUUAAAGAAAUUGACAUUAUAACUUAAGGGAUAGUUGCUCUUUUAAUCAUUAGAAUUUAUGUCAAUUAUCCAGCUUAUCCUUGCAUUCUUAAAAACUAUAUACAAUACCAUUAUCUCUGCUUUUGUAGCUAUUGACUUUGACUUUGACAACAUAAAUAUUUAUUAGCAACAACUUAAAAUUCAAACAAAUCUAAUAUGUAAUGUAUGAAAUACAAAUAAUAAUUAAACAAAUUUUGAUUAUUUAAUAUUAAGAUAUAAUCACAUUAAUAUCAUAAGGAUAGGUGGUACUCAAAUAAUCUUUUAAAAAUCAAACCCAAAUUAUAUGCAUUAUUGUCUAAUAUUUAGAUUUUGUUAAGUUACAACUGAUGUCACUUAAGUCUCUUAAAAAAUAUGUGGGUCCCACCACCUAUUAAAUUUUUUACAUUAUUUUUUAAAAAAUUGCAGUUACAUCAGUUGUAACUUAAUAGCACCCCUAGUAUUUUACUUUACUUUUAUACCUUUACAAAAACAAUAAUGUAUGAAAUAAAUAAAUAAAGAACUGACAACGAAAUUAGGCCUAUCAUUAGUUUCUCGUGGUGUGAACUCUUGACAAUCCUCCCCUAUCCCACCUAAAGCUCUUGCGUGUGUGAACGUUUGACAAUUCUCCCAUAUCCCUCCAAUAAUCUGUCAUAUUGCGGAAAGCAAUGUCAAUUGCAAUGUCGUUUCCCAUUAGUCAUAGUGGUAGAUAGGACCAGAAUUUUUUGAAACCCCUGAGACCCUGAACUUGUUUUUCCUUUUGAAAAUAAGAAAAGAACACCCGUCUGGAGAAAUAAUUUUGUAGAACCUCAUAUCGUGAAUAACAGACAACAAGACUUUUUUUUUAAAUUAUAAUAUUUUUUAAACUUAUAAACUAAAAAAAUUAACUCUAAUAAUUUAUGAUAAAUAUAAAUAGGAUAUUAAAAUAAAUAUAAUAAUAUAUACAUAUUAAAAUAAUUUCAAUAUCUAAAAAUUUUAAUAUUUUACAAUCUCGUAUUCUAUUAAACCAAAUUAUAAUAAAUAGAGCAUAAUAUUCAAAUAAAUAUAUAAAAAUUUAGGUUAUUUUCAAUAGCAUAUAAAAUAAUUUUAAUAUUAUUAAUACAUGAGAAAUAUUAUAUUAAUUGUAAAAUCUAUUUAACCUAAGGAUUUAGUUAAAUUUUAAAAUAAUUACAAAUAUUUUAUAAAUACAAAUAAAUUAAUUUACAUUUUAAAAAUUAAUAUUUAAAUUAAUUAUUUAAAUUAUAUAUAUUAGUCUACUGGAAAAUUUAAAUUAUUUAAAUCAUAUUUACAUUUCGUAAAACUUUUAAGCCAAUUUUUUUUUAUUACCACCUACUAAGGGUAUUGUAGUCAAGGGGAAUAUUGGUAUUCUUUAUUAAAAAUUUGGGAUUUACAUGAUUAUUUUUCUAAAUUUUAAUGGUGUCAUUUUAUUUUUGACAAAAAUAAAAUUUCAUUUAAACAGCUAAAAUGGUGAAUAAUACAGUGCUACAGUGGCGUAAGUGGAAGGUAGGAAACAAUCAAAAUGAACAGUCUAACAUCACAGCAGGCAUAUAAGGCCAAAGUUUGUUACAUCCCAAUACAACAAGUUUGAAACUUUGCACCUUCUGAAAUGAAACAAACUUACUUGGAUAUUGGCGAUCAGUGAGAAAAACCCUUUUUCCAAAGCAACCUUAGGGUACCGAGUGUUACAGAUUCAAUGAACCACAAGUACUUAUUUACAUUGUGGUAUCUCAAAGGCACCAAUUUCUUCUGAUCCGUUAAGGAAAACAAGAAAAAUAAAAAGAAAAGAAAAAGGUUACUUGUGCAACACAACCUUGACGCCUAGCUACAUGGUACAUUCUCUUUGUGUGUUUGAACUAGUUAACAAUAAUUGUGCCUUUACUUCUUGGAUUGGGGAAUCGGAAUCCGAAAUCAAAAUCAUUAAUGAUGGAGGCAGGGAUCCAAAUCAGAAUUAUGGGGCCACCCAAAUUUAGGAAUGAGGAAUGGAAGAUUGAUUCCCAAGGAAGGUGGUGGGAAUCAAUCACCCGUUCCCAAGAUUGACCAUUUUGCUCCCUCUCACAAACUAUAAAAUGUCUAUUUUGUCCUCAAUUAAAAAAUUAUUAUGAUUAAUUAAUAUAUGUUUAUAAUUUAUUAAUAUAACUAUUCUAAUCAAUUUAUACAUUUUACAUUUAUUACUAUUAUUAAAUAAUUAAUAUAUUAUUAUAAUUAAUUAAUAUAUUUUGAAUUUUUAUUAUUAUCAUCAUCAUCAUUAUUAUUAUUGUUAUGAAUGAUAAAAAAUUUUACAAUUAAUUAAUAUAUUAAUAUAUUAUUGACAAUAAUUAUUAAUAAUAAUAAUUUUUGAAUAAAUAAAAAUGUAUAAUUAAUUACUGAAUUUGAACAUUUUACAAUUAUUCUAUUAUUUGGACUUAUCGUACAUGCAGAGUAGCUAGUUUGCUAGCAUAUAUGUAAGGUUUAAUUUGAAUGCAUGCAGCAUUGAGAAGAGACAACGCAGAAACAAAAUUUCCGCUUGCGAUCUUUUCAUUUCCCUGUUUAAUAACAAACAAAACAGAGGAGAAACAGGGGCUCUCUUUUAAUUCCCCUGUUUUUCUGUUUGGUGAUUUUAAAAUGGGUCAUUCUAUAAUGCCGUAACUAAAUUUACGGCAUUGAUGCCGUAAUGGACGUGGACCGUUAGAUUUGAAUAAAAAAUCUCUACCAUUAAUUCUAAAUAAAUAAGUAAUAUGUUACCUAAAUAGCAGGUAAUUACUCUUUUUUGUUCAAGUUUCAGGUUACAUUUACUAAUUUUAUGUGUGAUUUACAAGUUUUAUGAAACUUUUACAAGUUAAUGCUGAUUUACAAGUUAUAUGUAACAUUUACAAGUUUUUGUUUUGUUUACAAGUUCUUCUUACAAUUUACAACUCUAACAUUAAUUUACUAGUUGUAUGUGUGGUUUACAAAUUUUUUGUUUUAUUUAACACUUAAUGUCAAUUUACAAGUUCUAUGUAAUUUUUCUAAAUUUUGGUUUUGUUUACAAGUUCUUCUUACAAUUUACAACUCCAACAUUAAUUUAUUCAUUUUUCCAUCAAUUUACUAGUUUUAUGUGUGAUUUACACAUUUUUUGUUUCAUUUCACAAUUAAUGUCAAUUUACUAGUUAUAUGUCAUUUUUAUAAGUUUUUGUUUUGUUUACAAGUUCUUCUUACAAUUUACAACUCUAACAUUAAUUUACCAAUUUUUCCAUUAAUUUACUAGUUUUAUGUGUGAUUUACACAUUUUUUGUUUCAUUUCACACUUAAUGUCAAUUUACUAGUUGUAUGUCAUUUUUCUAAGUUUUUGUUUUAUUUACAAGUUCUUCUUACAAUUUACAACUCCAACACUAAUUUACCAAUUUUUUUCAUUAAUUUACUAGUUUUAUGUGUGAUUUACACAUUUUUUGUUUCAUUUCACACUUAAUGUCAAUUUACUAGUUGUAUGUCAUUUUUCUAAGUUUUUGUUUUGUUUACAAGUUCUUCUUGUAAUUUACAACUCCAACAUUAAUUUACCAAUUUUUUCAUUAAUUUACUAGUUUUAUGUGUGAUUUACAUAUUUUUUGUUUCAUUUCACACUUAAUGUCAAUUUACAAGUUCUAUGUCAUUUUUCUAAGUUUUUGUUUUGUUUACAAGUUCUUCUUACAAUUUACAACUCCAACAUUAAUUUACCAAUUGUUCUAUCAAUUUACUAGUUUUAUGUGUGAUUUACAUAUUUUUUGUUUCAUUUCACAAUUAAUGUCAAUUUACUAGUUGUAUGUCAUUUUUCUAAGUUUUUGUUUUGUUUACAAGUUCUUCUUACAAUUUUCAACUCUAACAUUAAUUUACCAAAUUUUUCAUUAAUUUACUAGUUUUAUGUGUGAUUUACAUAUUUUUUGUUUCAUUUUACACUUAAUGUCAAUUUAAAAGUUCUAUGUCAUUUUUCUAAGUUUUUGUUUUGUUUACAAGUUCUUCUUGCAAUUUACAACUCCAACAUUAAUUUACUCAUUUUUCCAUUAAUUUACUAGUUUUAUGUGUGAUUUACAAAUUUAUUGUUUUAUUUCACACUUAAUGUCAAUUUACUAGUUGUAUGUCAUUAUUCUAAGUUUUUGUUUUGUUUACAAGUUCUUCUUACAAUUUACAACUCUAACAUUAAUUUACCAAUUUUUCCAUUAAUUUACUAGUUUUAUGUGUGAUUUACAUAUUUUUUGUUUCAUUUCAUACUUAAUGUCAAUUUGCAAGUUCUAUGUCAUUUUUCUAAGUUUUUGUUUUGUUUACAAGUUCUUCUUGCAAUUUACAACUCCAACAUUAAUUUACUCAUUUUUCCAUUAAUUUACUAGUUUUAUGUGUGAUUUACAAAUUUAUUGUUUUAUUUCACACUUAAUGUCAAUUUGCAAGUUCUAUGUCAUUUUUCUAAUUUUUUUUUUGUUUACAAGUUCUUCUUGCAAUUUACAACUCUAACAUUAAUUUACUCAUUUUUCCAUUAAUUUACUAGUUUUAUGUGUGAUUUACAAAUUUAUUGUUUUAUUUCACACUUAAUGUCAAUUUGCAAGUUCUAUGUCAUUUUUCUAAUUUUUUUUUUUUGUUUACAAGUUCUUCUUGCAAUUUACAACUCCAACAUUAAUUUACUCAUUUUUCCAUUAAUUUACUAGUUUUUUGUGUGAUUUACAAAUUUAUUAUUUUAUUUCACACUUAAUGUCAAUUUACAAGUUCUAUGUCAUUUUUCUAAGUUUUUAUUUUGUUUACAAGUUCUUCUUGCAAUUUACAACUCCAACAUUAAUUUACUCAUUUUUCCAUCAAUUUACUAGUUUUAUGUGUGAUUUACACAUUUUUUGUUUCAUUUCACACUUAAUGUCAAUUUACAAGUUCUAUGUCAUUUUUCUAAGUUUUUGUUUUGUUUACAAGUUCUUCUUACAAUUUACAACUCCAACAUUAAUUUACCAAUUUUUCCAUCAAUUUACUAGUUUUAUGUGUGAUUUACAUAUUUUUUGUUUCAUUUCACACUUAAUGUCAAUUUACAAGUUCUAUGUCAUUUUUCUAAGUUUUUGUUUUGUUUACAAGUUCUUCUUACAAUUUACAACUCUAACAUUAAUUUACCAAAUUUUUCAUUAAUUUACUAAUUUUAUGUUGAUUUACAUAUUUUUUGUUUCAUUUCACAAUUAAUGUCAAUUUACUAGUUGUAUGUCAUUUUUCUAAGUUUUUGUUUUGUUUACAAGUUCUUCUUACAAUUUUCAACUCUAAUAUUAAUUUACCAAAUUUUUCAUUAAUUUACUAGUUUUAUGUGUGAUUUACAUAUUUUUUGUUUCAUUUCACACUUAAUGUCAAUUUACAGGUUCUAUGUCAUUUUUCUAAGUUUUUGUUUUGUUUACAAUUUCUUCUUAUAAUUUACAACUCCAACAUUAAUUUACUAGUUUUUUUCUAUUUUUUAUUUUUUUAAAUUUUGUAGACCAAUUUACCACUCUAACGUUGAUUAUUGGCAUUUUAUGAUUUAGAUAGAAUGAUAUAAGGGUGGGCAUGAGUUGGGUUUGAUAGGGUUAGUGAAAUUCUAACCUGAUCUACUUUUUAAUGAGCUGACAUAAAAUCCAUCCAACUUAACUAAAUAAACUUGUUUAACCCAAUUCUACCCAAGCCUUAUAUCGUCUGGUUAAGUUGAUUAGGUUGAAGGUCAAAUCAAAAUUUUAAUUUGAACAAUGAAAAUGAUAUGAAACUUGAAAUGAAACUUAUUAAAAUCAAAUAUAAAUCUUUUAUAAAAUGAAAUUUUCAUUCACUAUCUAGUGUACGUAAAGAAAGUUAAUAAAUUAACUAUCUUUAAAUUAAGAAAAUUUCCACAAAAAGCAUAUAGACUUUAUUUCUCCUACAUCUCCUUUUCCAAUUCCAAAUUCAGACUUUUUAGAUAAUUAGCUAGCAUCAUAUACAAAAAUAAAAUGAAAGUGAUAUAUAAUUAUAUGCCGUUAAGUAUUCACUAAAAAAAUAAAAAGAAAUUAAAACCAACUUACUUUUAUAUUAAUCUUAUAAAAUAAUAAAUUUACUUAUAAGAGAGUGUGAUUUUGGUUUUGGAAUUGUAGUCUAGAGCAACAUGUAGGUCCCGAACCCUGAUUUCAAUUUAAUUGGGCUCUAAUAUUUAGGCCCGAGCCUAACCAUUAAAUUCGAGUCAAAGGAUAGAAAAUUCAGGUCAAGUCAAUUAGACUAAAAGUCGAUCCGAGUCUUCCUUGCAUGUAUAUAUGUUUGCAUCUUGAUUUUUUAUUUUUAUAUAUCAUAUAAACUCUUCUAUAAAUUUAUAGGUAUAUAUAGAAUGCUGCGUUUACUUGUCAUUAAUUGGAAUAGGUAAUGAGAAUCAGAAUAAGUUGUUUACUUGAUCUACAAGAAUCGAAAUCGGAAUGGACUGGAACCCCAUUAAUGUGUUUAUUUUAUCUUGGAAUUGGCUUCGGAAUGAGUUAAAUUGUAACAAAUUACUAAAAAGUACUUAAUGGAUUAUUAUCAUAAUUAUUAUUUUAUAUUUUAAUUAUAGUGAUUAUUUAUUCAAAAAUUAUUAUUAUUAUUAUUAAUUGUAAUAUAUAUUAAUAUAUUAAUAAAAUCAUAAAUCUAUCAUUUUUCUUUAAAUUAGUUUAUAAAAAUCGACAUUGUCCCUUUCCCGAAUGAGAAAUUGGGUAUAAAAUCAUAAAUUUAAAAUUUAACUAAAAAUCAUAAAUCUAAACCCCAAAAAAGUCAUAACAUAAGUGGUUCUAUAUAUAUUUUAGGUAUAUAUAUAAAUGUUUGUGUGUGUGUGUGUGUGUGUCUCUCUCUCUCUCUCUAUAUAUAUAUAUAUAUAUAUAUAUCUUAUUUUUAAUGAAUUGUCAUAUUACUGGAAUUACUUAGUAUGAUGUCAUAAUUAUAGAAUUAAGUCACUUUUAUGGCAUAAACAAUAUAAUUUUCUAAAAAAAAAUUAGGUUCAACUAAAGAUUGAUAUGUUACUAAUUUUUUUUUUUUUUGGAUGGACCUCUUUACUAGUUUAAAAUCGAAUCAUUGGCAUGUUUAAUUUAAACCUUAUGGUCCUUUUUAGUUACAAUUUUUUUUUUAAAUAUCAAGGUAUUUUUUAAUCUGCUAUCAAAUUUCACUUAACACUUUUACACUCUUUUUAUUUCAAUUUUUUUAAAAUAAAUAUUACAGUACUUUUUUCUUACAUUCACGACAAAUUAUGUAAUCUCAAUAGCUCCAACUAAAGAUUGUAAUCUCACGACAAAUUAUGUCAUAUUUAUAGAAUUAAGUCACUUUUUUCCUUGUUCCCGUAAUAUUUUUGCUUCUUGCUUGCUGCAGUCAAUUAAAUAUUUUGAAAAAAAAAUAUAAUCAGUGCACUGUCACAUUAUUAUGCUUGACUUUACUAAAUAUUCAUAAAUUUACCAACAAUCAAAUACGUAAUAUUUAAUGUAAUUAGACUUACAAAUACUUAACGAAAGACCGAUUAUUUCUUAAAAUUUCAAUUUCUUGGUUCACGUUAUCCUUGAAAUCAUUCUCGUUACCCUUAUCUACAUUUUCAGCCAUUUUCGAGUUUAUAACAAGAACCUGUACAUGAAGAUAUUAGGCACAAAAAGAAAUGUCAAAGAUCACAAGUUUUGGAUCCUGUAAAAAUAUUUUACAGAUAAACAUUUCAAUUCAAAAUUCAAUCGCCCGAGCAAUAAUUAGGAACACCUGGAAAGUUAAACUGGUAUUUGCUUCCAUAACAGUGACAAACAAUAACCAUUCACAACAUUAGUUAUAAUCCUUAAAAAGAAAUAACAAACUUCAAAAAAAAAUAUAUAGACGUUUUACAAUGACUGUUGGCUUGGCACAUCAAUCUAAAGCUCACAAGCAGUUUGCAUUUCUCAUCAUCUCUUUCUUCUUCCCUCUAUUAUCAAUGGAUUGUAGAAGCUCAAAUGAAGCAAGUAGCAGCAGGAACAACACAAGCAACUUUUACUAUCAAUCCCCAUCCUUCUCCAUUCAAAAUGCAUCAUGACCAUUUUCCGGCCAGCUCCAUACACAAAAACAACAGUAAAUAUAUCCGGAAACAACAAAAAAAUUAACCCAAAAGUAGUAGUAAAUUUAUACAAAAACAGAAAAAAAUUUAACUGAAAUACGGCAGCAAAUUAACCCAAAACCAGCAGAAUUUUAACACAGAAAUAGCAGCAACUGAAGCCCAAAACACCCGAAAAUUUUACCCAAAAACAGCAGUAAAUUUAUCCAGAAACAGCAGAAAAAUUAAUUGAAAAACAGCAGCAAAUUUACCCAGAAGCAGCAGAAAAUUUAACCCAAAAAUAGCAGUAAAUUUAUCUAGAAACAGCAGAAAAUUUAAUUGAAAAACAGCAGCAAAUUUACCCAGAAGUAGCAGAAAAUUUAACACAAAAACAGCAGCAAAUGAAGCCCAAAACAGCAGAAAAUUUAACCACAAAACAGCAGAAAAUUUAACCCAAAAACAGCAGUAAAUUUAUCCAGAAACAGCAAAAAAUUUAACUGAAAAACAGCAGCAAAUUUACCGAGAAACAACAGAAAAUUUAACACAAAAACAGUAGCAAAUGAAGCCCAAAACACCAGAAAAAUUUACCUCCAAACAGCAGAAAAUAUAACCCAAAAACAGCAGUAAAUUGAUCCAAAAACAGCAGAAAAUUAGACUAAAAACAGCAGCCAAUUUACCCAGAAACAGCAAAAAAUUUAACUCAAAAUCAGCAGCAAAUGAAGCCCAAAACACCAGAAAAAUUUAACCCAAGAACAACAGCAAAUCAUUCCAAAUACAGCAUAAAAUUUACCCAGAAAAAAAAAGCAUAUCAAAUCAUCCCAAAUACAGCAGCAAAUCAUCCCUACGUUUCAAACAUGCUUCUCUAGGCUAACUCUAGACUUAAUUUUCCCUUCAUUACCACAGUGGAACUCAUUCUAACUGGUAAAUUUAUUUGUAUAAACAAUAAUUCACUUUCUAUUGAACUAAGAGUUGAUGAAAUUCAUUGAUAUUGAAAUUAUUUGCAGUUGAUGAACCUCGUAUUCUAUUAAACUUCCAACCAAAAUCAAUGCACAUGAGAAUACAAAAUCAAGGGCACAACAAUUAACGAAAUUUACUUUUAAUUUCGUCCAAACCUAUACAUCGCACCAAAUUAAGGUUCAGUUUCUAUUUCUUCAUUAACCCAAGUGACACAAAACAAUUCUAUUAAAUUUUAUGUUGAAAUUAUUUGUAGCAAACAAACAAAUAUACCAAAAAUAGGCUUACUUGGUGGAAUUAACAACAAUGCAAACGCGGUGGAGGGGAAUCAGUGGCUGGAACUUGCCUUGCCUUCUCUUCCAAUCAAUAAGAUUGAGGGCAGCAGCAACAACUUAUGAUCAACACCUGGUACUCCGCUUCAGGCACUGUCAAAUCUCAUCAAAAUUUCUUUAUCCCUUAAUUCUCUUGGAAACCAAACAAAAUACCACAACCAAUCCAGAUGCACAGUAUCCAAAAAUUAUAAAAAAAUCCACUUAAAAAACUUAAAAAAGGGUUAAAAAAAGUCUUAAGAAGAGUUUACCUCCUGAAUCACUGAUGCCCAGCCGGUAUCGUUGUUCCAAAACCCCUUGACGAAUACGAACACAGCCUGGUUCUCCUCAACCAAGUUGUUGUAGAGCUUCUUCUUGUCCGAUUAAAUAAUCUAUUGGUAUUUAGUGAUGGAUUUAAAGAGGAACGCCUUGGCGAUGGGCAAAUUUCAAAUCCGCUUCUGUUUUGCUGCAAGCAGAUUUCAAAUCGGUGAUGGGCAGGAACACAAACUCAGCCCCUUCACCAACAUGAACCGUUGUAGAGCUUCUUAUUUCUCGCUUCUUUUUGGCUUCAGGCAGUUUUCAAAGCGAUGAUUGGCAGGAAAAGAGGAACGAUUGAGGAAAACAAAAUUUGGGUUAGCCAGCAAGCACAAUCGCUUCGAAAAUACAAGAUCCGGCGUGCUGCAAUUUCUUAGACUCGAUGUUGUGCCCUUCGAAUUAUGAGAUUCUAUUUGGAUUUUUGUAGAUUCGGUUUUAAAAAAAUAUAUAUAUAUAUAUAUAUGUAUGUAUAUAAUUUUGAAAAUUUUAACCAGUUAAUUUUUUUAAAUAAAUGUUUAGCCGGUUAACAACCGGUUAAUGAAAAAAAUUUACAAAUUUUUUUAUUAUGUUAUAGUUAUUGCAUGCUGUUGAUUUAAUCCAACGGUGUACAGUAAUUACGGCAUUAAUACCGUAAUUUUUAUUACGGUAUUAUAGAAUUUUCCUUUUAAAAUUUUAUGUCUAUAUUUAUCAAAAAAAGUUAUCCAGAAUUAUUAUCUAUUUUUGAUACACAUUGAUUUAUUAAAAAAACAAUUAAAAACUGCAAUUCUAAACUUAUCGUUGUGCACUGUGCUUUGACCUUGGGGUGGUUUUUUUCUGUUUUUUUACGUAGGCCAGAACCUUAAUGAAGAAAGUUUUCAUCGUUAAUUGCUUUUGACCUAGGAGAAUUUAUUACUUGGACAAAUUAACACCAUUGUCCUUUGAUGCGGCUCCUAGAUAUCUAUGCAAUUUGUGUCAUUUACUUUUGCUUUGUAUUCUUUUUUAAAUGAGUCCUGACUGGUUCAUUGGCAGAUAAAUGAGUCGGUUUUUCUGUUUUUAUUUUUUAUUUUUUAUUUUUUGAAAGACGGUUUUUCUGUUACGAAACUUUUCAUGGAUGAAUUUUUUUUUUAAUUUUAUAGAUUCUCUGCGAAGGCAGUUUAGAAGUACUAAGUUUUGUUAGGUAGAAGGGUAUUUAAGUAUUUUCAUUUCAUAUUUUGACAUUUCCUUGACCUUUGAAGUAUUGAAUCAUUGUGUUGGUAUUUAAGUAAAUCUGCCCACAAUGAGGAAUAUAUAGUUCAGAACAGUUGAGGAAGCAUGAGAAUACUUGAGGAAAACCUGAUCUGCACUCUUUCCUCUAUAUGUGUCUUCAAUAUAAAUGGCUCAAAUAUAUGCGUUAUGAUCUUUUAAUAUUUCGCCUCUGAUAUUGCCCACAUUGCUUACUGCAAUAGAUAAAGCACUUCGUUUACCCCAAAUCCUGAUAGGGAAGUAUAAAUAUAUGCUUCCGAAAUAGCGCAACUCUCCAUAAUUAUUUAAUAUGCCUCUCAAUGAAGCAAUCACUUCAUUUACAAUUCUUCGAUUAUUAAUCCUACAUACACGUGUUUCUUUUGUCUCUAAAAGUAUUCUCAAUUAAUUUACAUAAUUUAAUAUAAUAAGUACCUAAGACUAGACAAAUUACCAUUACAAUAAAAUGAAUAAAUUAUAAUAGUAUUGACACAAUAAUGUCAAUAAUAAAUGCCUUAACAAACCUAUAAAUUUUAGAAUAUGGCUCAGAGUGCUACAAUGAACCACAACAAGUUAUUAUAUUAUCUAUAAUCAAUAUUCCAAUGAUAAUAGAGCUUUUCUAUUUUCAAUCCGCUGCUUUUCUGUUUAGCGAUUGCCAAAUUUUAUAUCUAAAAUUCUUCUAAUUUUACACUAAGGUUUAUUUAAAAAAAAAAAAAAGGGGGUAGGAGAGAGAGACUCAGAGAGUAUUAAAAAAUGUAAUUCUAAAUUUUUACUUGAGCGUUGUGUGAUUUUUAUCAUUUUUUUUAAGUUGGCCAUUUAUAUUGAGUAAAUAAAAGAAUGAAUAGACGUUUGGACCACUUCUUUUCUGUUAUAAUAAAACAUGAGAUGUCUUUUCUUGAUGUUUUCGUCACAAAAGAAUAUGUUUAUGUCAUCAUAGGCUUAAAUGGGGUAAGUAAAUUAAGAUCGAGGAAAAGUUUGUUUAAGCACUAAAGUCGCUAAAUAAACGAAAGGCUCAUAUAAAAAUUACCUAAAGCACCAAAUAUUGUUAUUUAGCUACUUCUUUUAUGUUACAUUAGUUUCUACGCAAAUUUAUAUAAAUAAUUUAUAACUCCCAUCAUUAUUAAAAAAAAAAAAAAACUGUAGCAAUUGUGGUUAUAUCACGUGGUGUGAUCUUUUGACAAUUCUCCCACAUCCCACCAAAAACUCUUACGCGGCAUGAACUUUUGACAAUUCUCCCAUAUCCCACCAAAAAUUUGUCAUGUUGCGAAAGGCAAUGUCAAUUGCAAUGUCAUUUCCAUUAGUCAUAGUAGCAGACAAUGGAGGUCCCGGGAUAGGACUAGAAGUUUUUGAAAUCUUGGACUUAUUCUUACUUUAUUUUUUCUUUUGAAAAUGAGAAAAGGACACCCGUUUGAGGAAAUAAUUUUGUAGAACCUCAUAUCGUGAAUAGGGGAUAAUAAGACUUUUUUUUUUUUUUACUUCACUGCAAUAUUCUUUAAUUUUAUUAAUUUUAUAUUUUAUAAUAAAUAUAAAUGUGAUAUUAAAAUAAAUGUAAUAAUAUAUACAUAUUAAAAUAACUUGAUAUUGAAAAAUAUUUUAAUAUUUUACAAUCCCGUAUUACAUUAAACCAAACUAUAAUAAAUAGAUAUAAUAUUAAAAUAAAUAUAUAAAAGUUUAAAUUAUUUUGAAUAUCAUAUAAAAUAAUUUUAAUAUUAUUAAUAAAUCAGAAGUAUUACAUUAAUUGUAAAAUCUAUCUAAUCCAAGGAUUUAUUUAAAUUUUUUAUAAUAAAUUAAAAAUAUAUUAAUUAACAUUUUAAAAAUUAAUAAUGAAAUUAAUUAUAUAAGUUAUACAUAUUAGUCUACUAGAAAGAUUUAAACUAUUUCAAUCAGAUUUACAUUUAGUGAAAAUUUUUGAAGUUAAUGGUUUUGGUUAUCGUCUACUAAGAAUCUUGCAGUUAAAAGGGGUAUUGACAUUCUUUAUUAAAAAUUUGAGGUCUACAUAACUAUUUUUUAAAAAUUUAAGGGUGUCAUUUUUAUUUUUAACAAAAAUAAAAUUUCAUUUAAAUGGCUAAAAUGGUGAAUAAUACAAUGUUACAGCUGGCGUAACAUUGUAUUAUAUGUUAAAUUUUUUUAAAUAUUUGUAUAUAUUGUUAUAUGAUAUUAUAAUAUUAUAUUUAUAUUUAUUAAAAUAUAAGAGUUAAUAUUUUUAAAUUAAUAAAGACAAAAAGUAUUAUAAUAAAAAAGAAUUCUUUUAUUAAAAAUAUAAUCAUUCUCCCAAACUUAUCCUUGUCCCUUUUUGAAAGGAAAAAAUAAAUUAGAAAAGUCUUUGGUCAUGAUAACUUCUAGCCUUGUCCCAUGGGACAUGGCUACGGUGCAGAAGCUGAAAGUAACAGCUUCGAACUUUCCCAUUUCCAUCACCUUGCAUUGGGACCUCUUUCUCUCUCCUCUAGCACCAGUGGAAGUUCCCCAUUGGCCGCUGUUACUUACAGAAGCUGUAACAUAGACUUCUAGCCAUGUCCCGUGAUGUCCAUUGUCUGCCACUAUCAAUAAUGGCAAUGACAUUGCAAAUGAAACAUUGAAAAUGUAUUUUCACAAUAUGACAAAAUGGGAGGAUUGUCAAAAGUUCACUGAAACUAGAGUUAGAUCUAAUUUCAUUUAUUUCAUAAAUUAGAAAAGUCUAUGGUCGUGAUAACUUCUAGCCAUGUCCCGUGAUGUCCAUUGUCUGCCACUAUGAAUAAUGAAAAUGACAUUGCAAUUGAAACUUUGAAAGGUAUUUUCGCAAUAUGACAAAGCUUUUGUUGGGAUACGGGAGGAUUGUCAAAAAUUCACACCACGUGAAACUAGCGUUAGAUCUAAUUUUAUGUCGUCAGUUCCUUAUAUAUUUAUUUCAUUUAUUUUAUACAUAGCUGUUUUAGGGUGAUAUUGUUUUGUAAAGAUAUAAUAGUAUGGUACUAUAAAAAGAAAAGAGGUGUGUGUAUACUUCCCAGUGUAAUAAUUAUAUGUAGAAGAAAACUAACAAGAGGAAAAAUGACAAAGAGCAAGGCGCUGGUUGUGGGGAGAAGAGGAUAGAGAAGGCAAUCUUAGCUUGUUGAUUGAGGGCUCAUUUUCUGAUCAUCGUAGCCUUGUUGGAGCUGUCAAACAAGUCGAUGUUGUCAUUUGCACCAUGUCGGGGGCUCAUUUAAGGAGCCACAAACAUUUUGAUGUUGCUUAAACCUGUUGAGUCCAUCAAAUAAGCUGUAAAUAUUAAGGUACGUAAUCCUUAAUUUUUAUGUAAUUUUAAUUUCAGAUCCAAAAUUGCAUGCAAGUCAUUAAAUUUCUUUCCUUUUUUUAUUUUUUAUUUGAUGAGUUACUUGAUUUGGUCGGGUGCCUUUUUUUUUCCUUUGGUUUUUCUUUUUCCAAAACAUAAAUAGACCAAGCACAUCUCCAAAUCGGGUUGGAGCGGGGAUUCUAACUCUACGAUGGCCAUAUUAAAAUUUAAAAUUUUUUAAUUUAUUUUUUCUUUUAUAACUACAUCUCAAUAUUUGAAAAAAUGAUUAUAUAGAUCUAUAUAUUAUCGAACCCAAAAUUAUAAUAAUACAUGUAAUUAUUCUAUACAUGCGUCAACAAGGCAACAGUAACCAAAUACAUGAUAUGCGAAGGGGGUGCAUGAUUAAGUCCUUUUUUUAUUCAAUUCAUUGUUAUUAUUUUUCAGCAGUUACCAGUGAUCUUUUUGCUCAUUAAAAUUAUUCUUAAAUAUUCAACGCCCAGAAGAGAAGCUCAUCAACUAUCAGAUCCCGGAUAAUUAAAGAGGUGAACUUGUUCUAAAUCCUUUGAUAAUUUCUAUUAAUAGCAUAAUCUCCUUGAUCCAAGAAAAAAUAUCUCCUGUUUGUCUUAAUCUUGUCAUUUAAUUUUUUCAACAGCAAAUAUAUAUACACACGCACACACACAUAUUGUUAAAAAGUGCAGAAAAACCACUCAAAAACGUGGAGAAAAACCACUCAAAUUUAUACAUGCGUCAACAGGGAAACAGUAACCAAAUACGUGAUACAAAAAGGGGUGAAUGAUUCUGUCUUUGCCUUUUGCAAGUCGCUGUUAUUACUCUCAUCAACUCCUUUCUCGCACAUUUCUCAGCAGUUACCAGUAAUAUUUAAAAUCGCUGUGUAGAUAUGCAAAGUUCCGUAAGUGCAUUAAUAAUUAUUUGCCAGAAAAAAAUAGUUGCGUCAAUAUUAAAGGAAUUGACAUCCAGGGGACCCAAUUUAGUUGCUUAAUGAUUAUUUAAUUAAUUAAUUUAUAAUAUAUUAAUCUUUUAAGUUGAAUAUUUAAAAUCUUAGACCCGAAACAAUAAAUCAUCUGAGGCAAAUAAAAGAGAAAUUAUCAUCCUUUUUUCUUUUUUUAACUUCUUGUAGCUUAUAAAAGAGAAAUUAUCAGUCAUUUACUCAAAGUUUAUUCAAUUAUUAAAAUUAUUAUAAAAAUUUAAAUUUAUUUAAUUUUACAUCCAAUGUAUGCAAUUUGUAUGAAACAUCUGUUAAAAAUAUAAAGUUAUUCGUUCAAAGUGACAAAAUAGAAGCGAACACAAAAUUGUAGUGGUGAUUAUGUUUUAGGAGUAACUUUAUUUUUUUAGUAAACAGUUGAUACACAUUUUAUAACUUUUGGAUAAUAAAAUAAUUUUUAGGUGGAUGAUUGAAAAUUUUUCUUUUCAAAAUAUUUUGAAAACAAUACCAAAUGUACCAAAACAUUGUUUACUUUCACUCUCUCUCUCUCUCUCUCUAUCUAUCUAUCUAUAUAUAUAUAUAUAUAUAUAUUAUUUCUUAACUCAUUCUUAUCCUUAUUCUUUCUAACAUAUCCACAAUCUGUCAAUGAAAUUUACUUUUAUAAAUUUAAAGAUUUUUUCAUGCAAUUUUGUACGAUGAUGAGUUCUCAUAUUUAUGUUAAAAAAUAAUUCGUAAAUAAUACAAAUGAAAAAAACAAAAAGUAGCAGGGCUGGCAAUACAAAACCAUAACUUUUUUUCUUUGAAUUUUGCAUAAAUAAAGUCAAUAGUGAUUUGUCAGCGCGAUCUUGAGAGCACGGCUUGGAGUCUCAAUAAUUAUUGACACUCAUAUUUGAAAACUUUCGAAAAGAUAAAAUCCAAUAUGAAAGGUGAAACGUUAUAAUCAUAGUAACUAGAAAAUUGAUUGAUUUACAAAUAUCAAUUUAAACAAUUUUCAUGUUGAUCGACAAUUUAAGUAGAUUGACAAAGAUUGAAGUAAUUACUGUUGGUGAUGAUUGACUUUGUCCUUAUCCUUGCCUUCUUCUUAUCAAAAAUCCAGUGUCAAUUAAAUUGGGCCAGGGUUUCUGAUUGCAACUAAUGGACUUCAUAUACGCAUAAUGGUCCCUACGUAUAUGCGUACCAAUAUUUGAUUGAAAAAGGGGGUGCAUGCUUAAUGCUCAAGUCGUCUUCUUUUGGAAAUUCAUUGUUAUUACUCUCAUCAACUCGUUCCUCACAUUCCUCUUUAGUCAAAACCUGUAAUAUUUCUUCUAUAUUCAAGGUGAAUACAGCAGCUCAUCAACUCUUAUCCCAGACAGGUAAAGAGGUGCACUUGUUCUAAAACCUGUAAUAUUCUUUUAGUAGCAGAAUCUCUGAUACUUGAUCUUCAUAGCGGUUCUUUCUUAAUUUCCAUAAACUUUCCUAGGAAAAAAAUUCUCUGGUUUUUCUUAAUCAUAUCAUUUACUUUUCUUAAGUCAUAUCAUUUAUUUUUAGUAGCAGAAUACUUGAUCUUGAUAGCCAUUCUUUCUUAAUUUCCAUCAACUUUCCUUGAAGGAUACCUUUCUGUUAAUAGCGAAACCUCUGAUCCUUAAGAUAGAAAAAGAAAUUCUCUACUUAGGUAUCAGUUGGUUCAAAAUCAAUAUCGCGAUGUUGUUUGCGGUCUUUUCUUUCUCUGUCUUUCCCUCUAGUUCAUUUUAAUUUAUUUGUAUUCCUUUCUUUGACAUUUUUAUUCAUUUUAUAUAUAUAUAUAUAUUGUUAAGCAAUAGGCAAUGGCUGCAGAAGUGGGUCUGGCUGCUUUUUCCAGCAUCGUAUCAGAAGGUGCAAAGUCACUGUUCAAACCGAUUAUACGGCAGAUCUCUUAUGUGUUCAAGUACCAGAGCUACGUAGAUGAGCUAAAAGAUCAAGUGAAACAGCUGGGAUAUAAAAGAGAAAUGGUGCAGCAACCAGUUAAUCAUGCUAGGCUACAAGGUGAUGAGCUUUAUGAGGGUGUCACAGACUGGCUACAUAGCGUUGAUGAAUUCAUCAGUAAAGGGGUUGCAAAAUCCAUUAUUGAUGAUGAAGAUAGAGCUAAGAAGUCCUGCUUCAAAGGAUCGUGCCCAAAUUUGAUUUCCCGUUACAAGGUCAGUAAACAUGCAGCAAAGGCCGCAGAAGCUGCCGCUAGUCUCAUGGGAAAAGGCAACUUCUCUAAUGUUUCCUACCGUCCUGCUCCAAAGCGGGCAAAACAUAUGCAAGUGAAAGAUUUCGAGGCCUUUGAUUCAAGAAUGAAAGUAUUUCAAGAUGUUAUGGAGGCGUUGAGGGAUGAUAAGCUCAACAUAAUUGGGGUCUACGGGAUGGGCGGCGUGGGUAAAACCACGAUAGUCAAGCAAGUUGCAAAGCAAGUGAUGGAAGAAAACUUGUUCGAUAAGGUCGUUAUGGCUGAGGUAACACAGACCCCAGAUCAUCAUAAAAUUCAAAACAAACUUGCUUUUGAUUUGGGCAUGGAAUUUGGCUUGAAUGAGAAUGAAUUCCAAAGAGCUGAACGAUUACAUAAAAGAUUGAAGAAAGAGAAGCAGCUCCUCAUUAUAUUAGAUAAUAUUUGGACAAAACUUGAGUUGGAUAAAAUUGGAAUUCCAACCGGGGAUGUUGCUGAGAAAGAUAGAAAGGAUGAUCAGAGAAGAUGCACAAUAAUAUUGACGUCUAGAAAGCAAGAUUUAUUGCGCAUUGAUAUGAAUUCUCAGAAAAAUUUCCCGAUCGAUGCUUUGCCACGAAAAGAAGCAUUGCAGUUAUUUGAGAAGAUAGUGGGUGAUUCAACUAAAAUAUCUACUUUUCAAAGUAUAGCAAAUGAGAUCGUUGAAAGAUGCGGAGGUUUGCCUGUUGCACUGAGUACAGUUGCAAAUGCUCUGAAAACUAAGGAGCUUGACUUUUGGAAAGAUGCAUUGAAUCAGCUAAGAAGAUCGGAUGCAAGAGAAAUUCAUGGCAUGCAAGCAAAUGUUUACACCUCCAUAAAAUUGAGUUAUGACUUCUUGGAAAGUGAGGAGGCAAAAUCUUUGUUUCGUCUUUGUGGUCUAUACAGUGAAGGUAAUGUCAUACAAGUUUCUAACUUAUUGAGAUAUGGUGUGGGUUGGGGUUUGUUUGAAAAUGUUUACACAUUAGAAGAAGCAAGGAGUAGAGUGCAUCGGUUGAUCGACAACCUCAAAUCUUCAUGCUUAUUGUUGGGCGGUGAUGCUAAAGAUGAAGUUAAAAUACAUGACGUCAUUCAUGUUGUUGCCGUAUCAAUUGCCGCAGAGAAGCGCAUGUUUAAUAUUCCAAAUGUUGCCGACUUAGAGAAAAAGAUGGAAGAGACAAUACGGAAAGAUCCAAUUGCCAUUUCAUUACCCCAGAGAAAUAUUCAAGAGCUCCCUGAAAGGUUGCAAUGUCCCAAUCUCCAGUUAUUUUUGUUGUUUAGAAAGGGUAAUGGCCCUAUGCAAAUUUCAGACCUCUUUUUUGAAGGGACAGAAGAACUCAAAGUGUUAAGUCUUAUCAGAAUUCCUUUCUCUUCAUUACCUUCGUCACUUGGUCGCCUCAUUAACCUUCAAACAUUGUGUUUAGAUGGUUGCGGACUAAAAGAUAUAGCAAUAGUUGGACAGCUAAAGAAAUUAGAGAUUCUCAGCCUUCGAGAUUCUGAUGUUAAGGAGUUGCCACUUGUAAUUGGACAAUUGACGAGAUUACAGUUGCUAGAUUUGAGCAAUUGUAGCAGCCUUGUGGUGAUAGCUCCAAAUGUCAUAUCAAAAUUAUCUCGAUUAGAAGAACUAUAUAUGGGUAACAGCUUUUCACAUUGGGAGAAGGUUGAAGGAGGAAGUAACGCCAAUCUUGUUGAGUUGAAGGGGUUGUCAAAGCUAACUACUUUGGAGAUACACGUUCGGGAUGCCGAAAUUCUACCGCAGGAUUUGGUCUCUGUGGAAUUGCAAAGAUACAGGAUAUGUAUAGGAAAUAAGUGGUGGAGCAGCUGGUCCGUUAAAUCUGGAUUAUCAAGAUUGAUGAAGCUCCAGGGGCUGGAAAAGUUUGGCAUUCUUUUGCAAAAUUACAGAAUGAAAAUGUUGCUGCAGAGAACUGAAGAUCUCUAUCUAGAAGAACUGAAGGGUGUUCAGAAUGUUGUUCAUGAAUUAGACGAUGGGGAGGGUUAUCCACGAUUGAAGCGUCUUCGUGUAGAAAGUUGUUCUGAGAUUUUACAUAUUGUCGGUUCAGUUAGACGGGUUGGUUGCGAAGUCUUUCCCUUGCUGGAGUCAUUGUCUCUUAUGUUUUUAACUAAUUUGGAGACGAUAUGCUACAGCCAACUCAAUGAAGAUCAAUCUUUCAGCAACUUAAGGAUUAUAUACGUAUAUUGUUGUGACAAACUGAAGCAUCUCUUCUCAUUCUCUAUGGCCAAAAGACUAUUGCGGCUUCAAAAAGUAGAAGUGGAAAACUGCUAUGAUUUGAAAAUGAUUAUUGGUAAGUGUUGAAAUUAAUUAUUGGUAGGAUUAUUGACACUGACUAAUUCUUUUUUUCUUUUUUUUUUUGGUGAAAAAAACAACGGAUGUUUAUAAUAUAUUGUUUUUGUUCAUUUAUAGGGCCCGACAUGGAGAAACCAACAACUACUGAGGGAUUCACAGAAAUCAAUGCAGAGGAUGAUCAGGUGAUAAUUUUCUGUUUAAUAAUUAAUUAAAAAAUAUAUUAUCGCGAUUGAUCUUCAAUCAUCGAAAGAAUAUUAUAUUAGAAGUUGUAGUUGAAGGAACAAAAAUGUACGGUUUUGCUUUGCAGGUUAUUUUUCCACACUUGGAGGAACUGAAACUUGGCCGUUUAAGAAGCAUCAAAAAAUUAUGGCCCGAUCAAUUUCAGGGAAUGAAUUGUUGUCAAAAUUUAACAAAAGUGACCGUGUGGAGAUGUGAUGGUCUGAAGUAUCUGUUUUCAUAUUCUAUGGUUAAUAGUCUUGGGCAACUCCAACAUCUUAAAAUAAGUUUUUGUAAGUCAAUGGAAGGGGUAGUCAACAACACCACGGGGAGGUUAGGAGGAAGAGAUGAAUUUAAGGUUUUUCCUAAACUACACUCCCUGCAGCUCACUGGUCUUCCAAAACUAAGUAGCUUUGCCUCACCAGAAGACGUCAUUCACACUGAAAUGCAACCUCAAUCUUUCUUUGAUGAAAAGGUUUUUUUUUUUUUAAUUAAUUUUAUUCUCAAUAGUUAAUUUCUUCUUUCGUUGAGUCUUCAAAUCUAAUUGUAUUGAAUUUUUAACUUCAGGUACGACUCCCAAGUCUGGAGGUAUUACAUAUUGUUUGGAUGGAUAAGUUGAGAAAAAUAUGGCACCACCAGCUUGCUUCGAAGUCUUUUAGCAAAUUGAAAAAAUUGGAGAUAUCUGAGUGUGAUAAUCUACUGAAUAUUUUUCCUCCAUUGGUAAGAUUGCUCUAUUCAUUUUCAAUUUUUAUUUCAAAUAACAUUCAACAAUUAUUUUAAUCAUUUUUGUGUUUACAAAUAAUUUUCAUUCACAAAUUAUUUAUUGCAAGUAUUGUACUUCAAACUUCUGGAGGGAAAAAAAGUAUUGUACUUCAAAUCACCAUUCUGAACUCUGCAUUUUCAAUCUAAUUUAUAGGUUCACCUGCAUUAAAGUCAACAAUAUAAUUGUUUUAAACACGAUUUAACAGCAUAAUAUAAUUCAAUUUACUUGUUUUUUUUCUUAAAUCCUAAUAAAUAAGAUUUUCAGAAAUUAAAAGAUACUUAGUUACUCAGCUUUUAAGUUCACAAAUUCAUGAUGGUCAUUUUGAAUCGAUCGUCGAUUAAAAAGUUUCCUCAAAUAUUCACUCUAUAACAGUCCCAUGUUGAUGGCGUUAGGAAGUGUUUUCCAAAAAUGUUUUCCAUUUUUAAAAGCAUGAAUAUCGGGAAAAAAUGGGAAAUACAGCGUUUUAGUUUAGUUAUUUUAAAAAUAGGCAUGUUUGAAAAUUAAAAUUUUUUAAAAACUAGCAUCAAGAUGAAAAAUGAAUUUAGAAUAUUUAAAAAUUACCUGAAAUUCUUUCUCUAUUCCUAAUACUAAAUAGUGUAAAUACAUUUUCAUUAUCUUUAUUUUUCUGGACUUCUAUUUAUUUAUUUUUGUUUUAAUUUUUUCCUUUUUUCUUUAACAAAAAAUAUCUAGUAGACAUUCAUGGUUUGUUAUUUUUCAUAAAACAAUUGUAUGAUUUUGACAUACUUUGAAUCUAGUUGAAUGCUACUCUUUAUUUUCAGGUUGGAAUUCCCAAUAGUCUAGUGAAUCUUAAUGUAUCAUACUGCAAAAAAUUAGAAGAAAUCAUAGGACAUGUUGGAGAAGAAGCGAAGGAGAAUCGUAUUGCUUUAAGUGAAUUAAAACUUUUGGAACUUGAUCAUUUACCAAGGCUUGCCAGCUUUUGUUUGGAGAAUUACACUCUUGAAUUCCCAUCAUUGGAACGAAUUUCAACGACACAGUGUCCGAGCAUGAAGACUUUUUCUCAGGGAACCUUAUCCACACCAAAGCUGCACGAAGUGCAGGUGAGUAAAAAGGAAGUAUUAAUUUACCAAGCCUUUUUAUAUGUGCAUAGAAGAUUCUACACACAUUGCACACACGCACAGUUUACUACUAACAACCUCUAUAACAACCUUUAGCUGACUCAGCUGCCAUGUCAGCAUACUCAUUAACUAACUAAUUCUAUUCUUAACAGGAAGAGGGUGGAUUGCGCCGUUGGGAAGGCAACCUUAAUUCCACUAUACAAAAGUGUUACGAAGAAAUGGUAUGUGUUAAAUCGAUUCGUCGAAAUUACUUAUGCAUCUCCCUUGCACUUGCACAUUUAAGUAUAUACACCUGCCUUGUAUAUAUAGUUUUAGAAGUUAAAACACAAAACAUGUAAGUUUAAUGUACAUAUAUCUAAUGCCUUUCAAAAAGAAAAAAAUUUAUAUAUAUCCAGUGCAAUUGUUUUGGUUUGUGCAGAUUGGAUUCCAUGACAUACAGUAUUUGCAACUCUCACAUUUUCCACGUUUGAAAGAAAUAUGGCAUGGCCAAGCACUGCCUGUCAGCUUCUUCAACAAUUUAGUAGUGCUCACGGUGGAUGACUGCACGAAUAUGUCGAGUGCUAUUCCUGCCAAUCUGCUACGGUGCUUGAACAAUUUGGAAUGGCUGGAAGUGAGGAAUUGUGAUUCACUAGAAGAGGUGCUUCAUUUGGAAGAGCUAAAUGCUAAGGAAGAACAUAUAGGCCCCCGGUUUCCUAGGCUUAACAGACUAAGGCUCAUUGAUCUUCCAAAACUCAAAAGAUUCUGCAACUUCACUGGGAAUAUAAUUGAACUGCCUGAGUUGAGAUAUCUAACUAUUGAGAAUUGCCCUGAUAUGGAAACAUUCAUAUCCAACUCUUUAGUGCACGUGACAACAGAUAACAAGAAACCUCAAAAAUUAACAUCAGAAGAGAACUUUUUGCUGGCUCAUCAAGUACAACCUCUCUUCGAUGAAAAGGUGAUUAUUAUUAUUAUUAUUAUUAUUAUUAUUAUUAUUAUUAUUAUUAUUGUUAUUAUUAUUAUUAUUAUUAUUAUUUUUCCCUUCACUUUCGUUCGCAUAGAUGUAAUUUCAUUAGAAUCAAGCCAAAUUUAAUGACUCAUCUUUUUGCAUGUCAUCUUAAUUUAUAUCUGAUUUAACAAUAUAACCGCAGUUAUUAACUAUCUUUAUAGUAUGAAUUAUAAAAAUGUCUGAAAUUAAUUGGAUGCCUGAUAACACGAGGUGAUGAACUAUAUUAAUUAUGUGUGUUACAUCUCUGUUUUCCUAGCUAAUUCAUAUUGGAUUUAGCCUCAGAUUUCAUUUAUGUGUUUCAAAGAGUAAGCGAUUUGAUACUUUUAUUUGGGAUCCUACUGCAAAGCAUACUAAUUUGGAAAUAAAAUAUAAAAUGCCGUGAUCAACCUUGUCCAUAAAAUAUGCAGGGGAAGACGGCAGAGAUUGGAUACAUAUUUUCAUUUACAACUUAAUUUUGUUGAUUUUCAGGUUGCAUUCCCUAAAUUGUGGGGGUUAAAGCUGUCUAGAUUACCCAAUGUGUUGCAUUUCUGGAAGGAAAAUGCCGAAUCCAACAAAGUGUUUGCAAACUUGGAAACUCUAGAAAUAUCGGAAUGCAGUAAGUUGCAAAAAUUAGUACCACCUUCAUGGCAUUUGGAAAAUCUUGCGACUCUGGAAGUAUCGAAAUGUCACGGGUUGAUAAAUUUGUUGACGCUCUCAGCAUCUAAAAAUCUAGUGACUCUUCAAAGAAUGAAGAUAGCUGAUUGCAAAAUGAUAGAACAAAUCAUACAAUUGCAGGUUGGAGAAGAAGCGAAAGGUUGCGUUGUCUUCGAGGAAUUGGAGUACUUGGGACUUGAUUGUUUGCCAAGCCUAACAAGCUUUUGUUUGGGUAAUUACGCUCUUGAAUUCCCGUCCUUGAAACAAGUAGUUGUGAGACAGUGUCCAAAAAUGAAGAUCUUCUCUCAAGGAGUCUUAGACACACCAAUGCUAAACAAAGUGAACGUCACCGAAGAAGAAAAAGAUGAUGAUGAAGAAGAUGAUGAUGAUGAUGAUGAUGAUGAUGAUGAUGAUGAUGAUGAUGAUGAUGACGACGACGACGACGACGAUGAAGAAGAAGUAGAUGAUGAUGAUGAUGAUGUUGGGAAGGCAACCUCAAUGACACCAUAAAAAAAUUGUUCAAUGAAAUGGUGAGUAUCAAUUAAGUUUUGGUGCUAUUUAGCAAAUAAUUUUAUAGAAACCAAUGUGAUAUAAUAUGAUUGGUUGACUGAAAAUAUAUAAUAAUAAAAAAUAAAUAAAUUAUGAGGACCAUGUAAUGUUUUUGUUUAACUAAUCAUAUUAUAUCGCAUCAGUUUAUACAAUAUUGUUUGUGCACAAGAGGUGGUGGUCAUAUAAUUACUCUAGCUUUAUUAUUCUUAUGGUGGCAAUGUAUGCUUGCUUACACGAGUAAUUACAAAAUCUGCAGAAUUCUAAAGAAGAGAUUGAGCCAAUCCUUCAGGUACAGUGAAGAAGCUAUCCCGAACCAGGCCAAUCUCUUAUACAUGAUUUAGCUUGCUCGUUCUUCUGUACUUGAAUAAUUUGGUUCUACACAUAUUUACAAUUUUUUGCUCAUGCUACAGACUUGCAAGACACUUUGGAUUUUGUUUGAUGUAUUCUCUGUUUAAGAAAGGACUUGAAUUGAUGUUUCAUGUUUCAUGUUUCAUGCAAUAUUCGAUUAGAUUCUGCCUAAAUUUCUGUAUUAUUCAUUCAAUUGGUCUUUUAAGCAUUUGAUUUCUAACCUCUCCUGAUAGAAGAUCAUUAGCCAAAGAAAACAGCAUAAAAUUUGUGGCAUUAUGAGAAUAAGAAUUUUUUUAAGUAUAGUAAAAUUAUCUCAACCAUUGUUAAAAAUAAUUAAUCCGUCAAACUGACCUUCUCACACCAACAUGCUUUAAAUUAAAAGAAUUUCGUGAAAGUCAAGACCAUGUUAUAGAUCUCGUGGAAAUAAGUAAACCCGUAAUUUUUUUCACAGCAUCAUAAGAAAAAAUCAUUUUUUAAAAGUAUUUUUGUUAGCUGUUGAGUUUUAAUAGUAGUAGCUAUUAAACAAUAACAAUUAGUGUAUAUUAAAAAGUUGGAAACCGGUUGACACCACUCGGGAAUCGAGCAGUUCACUUGUUUGCGAGUAGAAACCAACUUUACUACUAUUUACAAUCAUACCAAAAAUAGUAACUAAAGAAUCAGGAAAUUUCCUAUUCACUAUUCUUCAUUUUUUAAUGCAAAAUUCCCAUUCGAAAACACCAAUGACUUUCAUUCAAAGUAAAUGAGAAAUUACAAUGAAAAUAGAAUCAAAAUACAUGUAUGUAUACCUAAAACAAAUGAUUUUUUUUAAUUAAAAAAAAAAAGCACAGUUGAGGUGAAAUGAAACCAGAGUCAUGAUAUCUCUGGUUCCAGCUUUGGGACAACAGCAGACUUGAGUUCUAUAUGAGAAACACGUACAGCACCAAUCAGCCGCUCCGGUAAUUCAGCUGUAGUAUUUGCCUGCAUACAGAAGAGCAAGAUAAAGAAGACACACACAGAAGCAUUAUAUCAUUCUGAGAACAUUCAAGUAUGCAAAAAUGCAAGUGGCAGUGCAAUAUCUCAAAAUCAUGUCUUUUCCCUUGUGUCCAUUUAGCAGUGGGGGAAAAAAACAAUCAUACAUACCUGUACAAGGAAAGCCAUAUCAACCACCAAUGUCGUAAUUACACCAAUUACAAGGCCCAAAACUCCAUUAGCAACAGUAGAAGAAUCGAUGUCAACAUCAAUCUACAGAAAGAUGAACAAUGUUAAACCUUUUUAAAGGUAUUGGACGCUAUUUGAAAGGGGAACAUCUCAUGUACUAUAGAAAUUCCAAGAGCAUUUACUUCUAAGUACUUGGGACCGCGAAUAUAGUUACAAUCAACUGCCUUCCCCAAUAAACAAGGGGUGAUUCCAACACUCUGGCGCACUAUCCAUGAACCCUGCAUGAUUCAGUGCUUAAAAUCAAGAACAAGUGCAAAACAAAUUCAAGAGGGUAAAAAGGACAUAAAGUUUGAAGGUACAACCCAUCAAUACAUUCACACCUAAAUGCAUGCCUUCUUUGUACAAAUUGAAGUGUACCAUGCAGUAAAGGGUAAGUAUACGUUAAUAUAGUCCUACUACAUGAAGGCCAAGAUGGAUACCUUAGGAACAUAUGGAAUAAGUUUCAACCUACUAUUGCGAAAUUCAUCAUCGCCAUCAACAAACCGUUGCAAAAGUGAUCCCGUAACCAAUUGCCUUGUAACAAAAUAAAAUACCAUACUAUAAUGUGUUGAACCAGGAACCUGCAGAUGCUUAGGUUACAACUAUACAACCUCCCAAUACAAUAAGUUUGAAACUUAUACCUUCUGAAAUGAAACAAACUUUCUUGAAGAUUAAAGAUCAGUGAGAAAAGCCCUUUUUCAGAAGCAACCUACAUAUUUUAGAAUAGGGCUCAGUGCGUUAUAGAUUCAAUGAACCAUGAGAAGUUAUUUACAUUGUUGUAUCUCACAGGCAGUAUUUUCUCCUAAUGUAUCAAUGGAAAAUGCUAGUGAAUUGAAUGAAGCUAGAGCAGAGCAUGAUGUUGCUGUGUAGCUGACUUUAGCAGAUCAACUCACUAAGCUGACCUGGCAAAGUUAUUUAGCUAGUUGAGCUGAUGUGUCAAAUUAGUUAUGCAGCAAAUGGUUAUGUGAUGUAACAAACUCGUGUGUGUGUUGAGCAAAUUGUAGCUUAAUAUAAAUAUCAGUCUAUAUUCAUUCAGUUGUAAUGCUAAAGUAAUAAAGGUUCUACAAACUUCUUUACAGAGCUUUCUUUUAUUUUCUUCAUUUUCUAGCUUGCCAAACAAUACAAAACUAAGUUUCUUUCAUGGUAUUAGAGCCAUAAAUGGCGAAUACAGUUCAAAAUAACAACUCUUUUAGUUUUGUUACGCCUGUAAAGCUAGACCAAAACAACUUCAUUUUAUGGCGCGCACAAAUUUUAGCAUCGAUCUAAGGAAACGGUCUGGAAGGGUUUAUCAAUGGUGAUCAAGAAUGUCUUGAGCAGUUUCUUUCUUCUGGAAACAACAAUGGAGCUGAAAUUUUAACUGAAUCUGAAUCCAAAUCUAUUAAUCCAGAGUUCAUAGCUUGGAUGAAGACUGAUCAACUUCUGUUGAGUUGGAUGAUGUCGUCGAUACAGCAAAAUCUACUUGCUACUGUGAUUGACUCCACAACUUCAAAACAGCUCUGGGAGACUCUUACUAGUAUGUUUAUUUCUUAUCUUAAUCACAAGCUAGAAUUCAAACACUUAGAAUGCAGAUUCAAACUAUUAAGAAAGGUGCAAUGCAUAUGUCUGAUUACUUUGCAAAAGUAAAAUGUAUAGCUGAUACUUUAGCUCUAGCUGGAAAACCUGUUGAGUUAAGUGAUCUUGUGAUGCAUGUAUUAACUGGUCUUGAUUCAUCAGAUUAUGAAUCUUUAGUCACAGCUGUUUUAGCUCAAGGUGAGAAGAUAACAUUAGAUGAACUAUAUCCUUUGCUAUUGAAUCAUGAAAAUAGAGUUGAGCAAAAGAAAGGAAAAAUUGCUGGUGAUGUGAUGCACAAUAUGACAGCAAAUAUUGCUCAGAAGAACUCAUAUGCUGGAAAGAAUAAUGGCAAUUUUCAAAAAAAUUAUGGAAAUAAUUCUGGAGGUGGAAAUAAUUCUAGGUAUGGAGGUUUUAGUGGAUAUGGAUAGGGUCAGUUUAAUAAUGGUGGUAAUUCCUCUGAAAUUGUUUGUCAAAUCUGCUUCAUACCUGGUCAUGCAGCCAAUAGAUGCAAAAAUAGGUACAAUUCAUCUUUUGUUCCACAGAGAAACUAUGGCAGAGGUAAUAUGAAUGGUGGCAGAGGUUUUAAUCAAGGGCAAUAUGGUAGAGGAAGAGCUUUUAAUGGUAAUGGUGGCAGAGGUUUUGGAGGUUUUGGUUUAAAUGCUGGUUUUGGCUAUGCACCCAGGGGUUUUGGCUAUCAAGGAAAUAUAGUGUAUCCAGAUAGUAAUCCUUCUGCUUAUUACUCAUUCACCCCUGGACCAUCUACUUUUGUUUCUAGUCAAGGAAAUAAUAAUCCUGGACAGUCAAGUGCUUCAUCUUCCUCAGCUAUGCCUUCUUCACUUCCACCAGAACACAUUGAAGAUCCUUCAUGGUAUAUUGAUAGUGGGGCAACAAAUCACAUUACAAAUGAUCUAGGUAAACUUCUGGAUUCACAAGUUUAUACUAGUACUGAAAAAUUGUUUGUUGGAGAUGGAAAUGCAUUAGCUAUUACACAUGUAGGAUCAGUUGUGCUAAAUACUUCAACUUCUAAACCUUUAAGAACCAUGUUCUUCAUGUCCCUUUUAUUACUAAGAAUUUGCUUAGCAUUUCAAAAUUAUUGGCUAACAAUCCAGUUACUGUUGAAUUUCUUAGUGAUUUGUGUUUUAUAAAGGCUAGGAACACAGGGAAAAUUUUACUUGAAGGUGUUGCUAAAGGUGACUUGUAUAGAGUCUCUUCACAUGUUGCUGCUCAUUCAGUCUUUCUCAAUUCAGUUGGUCAAAAUAAAGUUCACUCUCUUUGCUUGUUCUCCUGUUUUCAAUUCUGAUCAGCUCACUGCUGUUAGUUCUUAUGAAUUGAAUAAAAAGUCAUGUCUGUCAAUUGUUACAAAGAGUUCUAUUGAUGUAAAUCUUCUUCAUAGAGAAAUUAGGACGCCCAGCAUCUUAUACUCUCAAAACUAUACUCAAAACUUGUAACAACUCUACUGCUUAUAAUAAAAUUGAAAGCUUGAAAUUUUGUUCAGCAUGUCAAUAUGGGAAAAAUCAUAUGCUGCAUUUUGAUUCAGUUGAAACAAAAACUUCAGCACCCUUAAAAGUGAUAUAUGCAGAUCUUUGGGGUCCUUCUCAUGUAUGUUCUACCCAAGGAUAUAAUUACUACUUAUCAAUCUUAGAUGAUUAUAGUAGAUUUACCUGGAUAUUUCCAUUGUCAGCCAAAUCUGAUGCUCUUGAAGUGUUUACCAAUUUCAAAAUUUUUAUUGAAAAGCAUCUUCAACUUCAAAUCAAAACUGUCCAAACUGACUGGGGAGGAGAGUUCAGAACAUUUUCCUCAUUACUCAAUGCUUCUGGUAUCCAUUUUAGACACCCUUGCCCACAUAUUCAUCAUCAAAAUGGAAGAAUUGAGAGGAAACAUAGACACAUAGUUGAUGUAGGUCUGACCUUAUUAGCUCAAGCACAUUUACCACUCAAAUUUUGGUGGAAUGCAUCCCACACAGCUGUCUAUUUGAUAAACAGACUUCCAACUCCAAUUCUAAACAACAUUUCUCCUUUCCAAAAGUUAUUUCAUCAUCAACCAGAUUAUUCAACACUUAAAACCUUCGGUUGUGUUUGUUAUCCAACACUCAGACCAUACAAUAGACAUAAGUUUGAUUUCAGAACUACAAGAUGUAUAUUCAUUGGCUACAAUUCACAACACAAGGGAUAUCAGUGUCUUCACUCUUCUAAGAGGGUUUACAUUUCAAAUCAUGUCACCUUUGAUGAAAAUUCUUUUCCUUGUGAGUCUGGAGCAGAUUUUCUUCACUCUCUUCAAGUUGUCAGUCAACAAAAAAUUAUAAGUCUUCUUUCAAUUCCUCUGUUCCUUCUGUUACUCAGUUACAAGCACCUUUAGCAGCAUCAUCAGAACACCAUCAAAAUGUUCAUCAUUCAGAUGCUCCUACUCCCUCACCAAAUUCUACUCCACUUUAUUUUUCUGAUAAUUCCAACUCAGCUUCUUCUUCUUCACCACCACAUAAUUCACCUCCACAUACAUUGCCACAACCUGCAUCAACUGGUCAUCCAAUGAUAACCAGGUCAAAAGCAGGUAUUUUCAAGCCAAAAAUUUAUUUGUCAGCUUUAUUAGCCUAGAAAUCAGAACCAACUUCUGUUUCCCAAGCACUUUCUAAUCCUAUGUGGUAUAAGGCUAUGCAAGAAGGGUAGCACUUAAAACUAAUCACACCUGGGAUUUAGUUUUACCUGCUACUCCAGUGAAGAUAGUUGGCAGCAAAUGGGUGUUUCGAAUAAAGUACAACUCAGAUGGUUCAAUUUCAAGAUAUAAAGUCAGGCUUGUUGCAAAGGGGUUUCAUCAAACACAUGGGAUUGACCAUACAGAAACUUUUAGUCCAGUGGUUAAAGCUUCAACUGUUAAGAGUUAUUCUUAGCUUAGCAGUAUUGAAUCAAUGGGUGAUUAGGCAAGUAGAUGUUAAUAAUGCCUUUCUAAAUGGCAUUUUAAUUGAAGAGGUGUACAAGGCUCAACCUGAAGGUUUUGUUGACUCAACUAAACCUAAUCAUAUCUGCAAGCUGAAUAAAGCUUUGUAUGGCUUAAAACAGGCACCUAGAGCCUGGUUUGAUAGAUUCAAGGAUGCAAUGAUCUCUAAACGGCAUUUCCAACAUUCAAGGUCUGAUAACUCUCUGUUUCAUGCCUGGAACAGUGGUCAUCUAACUCUUGUUUCGGUCUAAGUUGAUAUUAUCAUCACUAGUUCCAGUCCAACACUAAUUCAGCAAGUUAUUCAGAGUAUGAAUCAAGCCUUUGCUUUAAAAGACAUGGGGGAACUUAGCUAUUUUCUGGGGAUUGAAGUCAGCAAGUCUUCACAAGGGGUUUCCUUGACACAAGCAAAGUAUAUUACUGACAUUCUGGAUAAACAUGGCAUGACAGAUUGCAGUCCUGUGCCUACUCCAAUGUCUACUGGUUAUUAUCUCACAAAAGAAUCAGGAGAGCUAAUUGAUAAUGUUUCUCAAUAUAGGAGUGUUAUAGGAGUUCUUCAAUAUGUUACUCUUACCAGACCUGACAUUGCUUUCUCUGUAAACAAGCUAAGUCAAUUCCUUUCAAGUCCUAGAACACAACAUUGGGAAGCAUGCAAAAGGUUAUUGAGGUACUUAAAAGGCACUAUAUAUCUUGGGCUGCAAUUUAAUAACAAAGGAGCUUUGCAACUACAUUGUUUUUCAGAUUCUGACUGGGCUUGUGAUCGUGAUGAUAAGAAGUCAGUGGCUGGCUUUGCUGUUUACCUAGGCCCUAAUCUAGUCUCAUGGUCAUCAAAGAAACAAGCUGUUGUUUCUAGGUCCAGCACAGAGGCUGAGUAUAGAUCUCUUGCUCAUGCUGCUUCAGAGGUUCCCUGGAUAUAAUCUUUACUUGGUGAACUUAACAUCAAAUUGAGCUCUACUCCUAUGAUGUGGUGUGAUAAUCAAGAAGCAAUUGCUUUAGCUUACAAUCCAGUCUAUCAUGCUAAAACUAAGCAUGUCGAAUUGGAUAUACAUUUUAUCCGAGAUAAAGUUACUGCUAUAGAGAUUGAAAUAUGUUUUGUGCCCAGUCAAGAUCAAACAGCAGAUGUGUUGACUAAGGCUUACUUUCAAACAGUUUAGUUACUUAAGAAGGAAGCUGAAUGUUCAUCCUAAACAUUUUAGCUUGAGGGGGGAUGUUAGUGAAUUGAAUGACGUUGGAGCAGAGCAUGAUGUUGUUGUGUAGCUGACUGUAGCAGAUCAACUCACUAGGCUAACCUGGCAAAGUUAGUUAGCUGGUUGAGCUGAUGUGUCAAAUUAGUUAUGCAGCACUUGUGUGUGUGUUGAGCAAAUUGUAGCUUAAUAUAAAUAUCAGUCUGUAUUCAUUCAGUUGUAAUGCUAGAGUAAUAAAGGUUCUACAAACUUCUUUACAGCGCUUUCUUUUAUUUUCUUUCAUUUUCUAGCUUGCCAAACAAUACAAAACUAAGUUUCUUUCAGAAAAGGAAAAAUAAAAAGAAAAGAAUAGUUACUUGUGCAGUACAGCCUUGACGCCUAGCUACAUGGUCCAUUCUCUUUGUGUCUUUGAACCAAUCAACAGCAACAAGAUCCAUUAAAUGUUUUCCCGCAGGUAUCUGCAGUUACAAAUUGCACAAAGCACAAGAGCCAACCAAACUACAUCAUAACCUGUCGACCUAGCAUAUGCAGGAUAUAUAAAUACCAUAACAAACAACCAAAAUAUGGGGGAACCUUUGUUUUGUCAUAACAAAAAUGCUUGCUACGAACUCUAAAGUUAUUUCCACCAGAAAGUUUCCAGCAGUCACGAGCAUUAUCACAGUCAUCGUGUCGCAGGUUGCCUGAAAAAUAAGACAAAUCAAUUUGAUCAGCCUGCUCUUCCUCUAGGGUAGCAACUAAUUGAAAAUUAUAAACCAAAAAAAAAAAAAAAAUCAAUACCAUAAAAAUCCACUAAUGAGGACAUUAGCCAAAUAUACAAAAAUGAAUACUUAUCAUCCACCUGUCCUCUUGAAAUCAUUCUCAAUCUUUUUUUCAUUUGUCUGAAAUCCCAAGGAAAAAUAUGUAACUAAUACUUCCCAUUCAUGACUAUUGUCUGUCAUAUAAACAUGACAUUUAAUUGAAAUAGUAAAAUUAUUUAAUUAUUUUAAUUAACUGUUAAUCCUAUAAAUUAUUUUUGUUAAAUCUAGCAAGAAUAACUAACAUUUCUUUAAGAUAUAUUUUGGCGGUAAAUUAAAAAAAAAUUAAUUAUUUGGCGGGAAUUAUUGAAAUUGGAGCCAUUUUUUUGUGGGAAUUGAAAUAUAUUCUUUAAAUUAUUAUAUAAAAAGCAAAAUGUACAUACACACACAUAUAUAUAAUUUAUAUAUAAAAAUUCUCUAAUUUGUUCACAAGUAUCAUAGAUUAUAAUUCAGUUAUGAAAUAAAAUAACUACAAUAAUUAUAGUUAAGUGAAUACUUCAUUAAUUCUUAAUUUGCUUCCUAACAUUAAAUGAACUUGAGUCAGCCACCUGAAUCAACCAGUAACAACGCCUGAGUCAACCAUCUGAAAAAACCAGCAACCCUAGCUGAUUCAAGCACCUGCAAUUAACAUCAACACAACAGGAACAAUCGUAAAUCAGCACCAAGAACAGACCAAACCGCCAUCAAAUGCCACAAAACCAAACAGUCUGCUACUGCCAUCAAAUGCAAGCAAGCAUAUGCAACAAAACCAGAUGCAAGUGAAAUUCUGGAGAAUAUCGGAUAAACCAAACCAAAUGCCACACUUCUAGUAAUUAGACUAGAUGCAGUGUUCAAUUAAACUAAAUGUAGUCUCAUAUUACAUUCAAAUUUUCUAAAAAAACCAGUGUUCCAUCAGAGAAGCACCAAAACCAAACCAAUCUAAUCCAGCAUAAUUACCAGCUCAACCCAAAACAAUUACACAUUAUAUUGACAUAUCAAAAUUCGCUAUCAAAACAUAGCCAAAUAAAUGACAAUAAACUGAAAACAGACCCGAACCAACUGAUGUUGCAGCCCUAGUAGUCAUUGUCCGUUCCACUGCCAUAGGAGCGAGGGUAGGCUCCGUUGUUGAUGAGUGAGUAAGAUAAGGCUCCAAAUCAAUAGUUCCACCUCCUUUCUGCAAUUCAAAAAACAGAAAUUCAUAUAUGUAAAACUAUUAAAAAGUGUGAAACAACCUGUAAGUAUUCAACUUCUGUCAACUCAAUAGCACUUACUAAAGUUUUUAUACAGAAGAAAAAGGCAUUUUAAGUCCAAAAAAUUAGAAUUAUUGGUUGAACUCCAACUCCAUCAAUCCAUGCAACCAUCGAACCUUUAACGAAAAAAUGAAGCAUAAUUAACAAGACAUCUGAAUCAGAAAGAUUGUGCUUUGAUUUGGCACGAGGUGUUGGAAACAACUUAACAAAUCUAGACACAAUCUAUAACCAUCAAGUCCAAACAAAAGUCAGGAUCUAAAAUACUUUGAAAAAUCAGAAAAACCGCAAACUAUCAGUUUCAAUUUCUUUUUCACCCAUUGUAAGCUCAAACUGAAGGUAGCGGCGCUACCUUUAAACAUCAUUUGGGCUUAUACAUGUGACAUUUGCUCAUGAACAACUAAAGUUGAAUAAGAUUUUUAUAUGAAACGGAAUAUAAAAAGUCAAAGUAGAAUAUGACAGGAGCUACAAUAUAUUAUUCAGCAUUAGCAUUAUGUAUAAAAUAAAUUUAGAGGCAUCAUAUUCAUUCACAAUCUUGCAGAGGUAAUACCAGAUUAUGGCACGCAACUCUUGAAUAGCAGAUAAAGGAGGAGAUGCAGUAGGAAGGUAGUAACUUGCUUGCAUGAGAACUAAAAAGUAAUCUCCCAAGAUCAAUUAUAGAUCUCAUAAAACAAAAACAGUGAGGCAAACACAAUUAUUGUGAACAAUUAUUCAUAGAACCACAUACCAGCAACAAGAUCAAAGUCAUCUGUGUAUAAAUCGAUUCCCCACAGCUGACUGCCUCUGACCUAAACAUAAUGAAAUUACAUAAAUAAGAAGUAGAGUCAUAAAAUAUGCUGCUGUAACAGCUAUCAAUAAAUUUCCAGACAAAUGGAAUUUGAUAUGUAAGGCUAUAACUAGCAACACUUCAAAAUAAUUUGAAGUAGCAUGAUCUUACUUUAAGGAUCAAUACUACAAUCUUUCAGAAAAAUUAAAGUCUAACCAAAAUUAAAACCUUAAACAUACUAAAAUCUGGUAAAUAGACCUAUAGGAAUUCCAAUGACCUCCAAAAUAUUUGAAAAAAAAAUUAAUUUACAGCAAAAAAUGUUAAAGAUUUGUAAAAUGGAGGCCCACACUACUAUUCAAAUUACAAAAGAGGAAAGGGAGCUGGCCAUUAAAUGAUAAAGGCAUGCAUAAAGAAAUACGAGCACCACAUUAAGUGAUAAAGGCAUGCAUCGAGAAAUACAAAAAAUAUGCCCAUAAAGACGUCCACUCAAGCCUUAUAAGCGGCUUUAUGCAAAGGAAAGCCAAUUAGUUAACAGUAAAUGAAUUUCAAGGUGCAAUAAUUAAACUCCCUGAUCAGCACAUUUAAGGUUCAUGCAUUUCUACAAAACAUGUAAAUCAUAAGAACUUUUUUGGUCCAAAUGCUAACCAGUAAUUAAGUAGAUUAUCAAAGUUGUCACAGAACAAGCACCACAUUGAUUGCUAUGCAAAAGAUGAAAGUAAAAGUUAAUACUUUAUUUUAUUUUACUUUUCGAGAGUUUUGAUCAUCAUGUGCAAAAUAGUAGUAUAACUUGCUCAGUGUUAUCUCAAAAAGCUUGCUUAAAAUACCUAUUAGCACCAGUCCAAGUUGUCAAAUAAAUCCUUAUCUAUCCAUUCAUCUCUGACCUUGCCAAAAAGAUUUAAACGAGCAUCUAUAUUCUCACUCCAAUCUUUCACAAUCAUAGGCUUUAACUUAGACCAGUUCUUCAAUAUCCCUUCCACUGUGAGCCCCUCGAAAACCUUGUAAAUUGAAUCACAUUUAUCAUCAGUUCCAAAUCCAUCUGUCAAAAGGCUAAGCAAAUGAAUAUACAAUCAACACCAUUCUUCCAAACGAAUAUACAGUCAACACCAUUCUUCUAAACACAAACAAAGUUUGAACGUAUGACAGAUUUUUAGCCAUUUAAUAUUCCAUCAAAUAUAAUUAGAUCACACCUACCAAGGAUUUUUGAAAAGAAUGCAUUCUCAUCUUAAGCAGCAACCUCACCAGUAACACAUUUUCAUACCCUGUUUCCACCUCUGGUCGCACCACCAAAAAAAAUUCAGUACUAAUUAGCUUCAACAGAGUCUAUUUUUUAUUUCUUUUUUUUCCGAAAUAAACCUCCAUUCUUAUACAUAAAAUUAAAAUAUCAAUUAAAUAAACAAGGUCUAUGCUUACUAGUAAAACACGUCCAUUUUCAGGUAGAGGCAGAUAAUAAAAGAAAAUUAAAAUUGAGAUAAAAUAAGAAGAGCUUACUAUGUGCAUUUGAUCAACAAUCCAAUCCUCAACGAUGGAAUCGAUGCCAUCAAAUAAACAUGACUUAAUCUUGAAACCAUAAACUGCACUAAGCAUAGCACCAAAGCCAGAGCGUGACUAUAAAGAAGAAAAAUAAAAAGAAGGAAAAGAAGAAUUAAAUCAACAUGAAAUUGAACUUUUGUUUUAUCUUCCACAAGCAAGAAAUUCAACUGGAACAAUACAAAAUAUGAAAUUUUUAGCAAUCUUACUAGCAUUAUGCACAAAUCUCAAUUCACGACAAAUAGGGGAAUGAAUCACUAACAUCACUCAAUUCAUAUAUUCAAAUAAUGUAUCCCCACUCCUAACAAGCAACGUGCUACCACAGUCGAUUAGUUGUUAGGGUUAAGGCUUACCAUAGAGAACUGGAUGGCGCUAACUAAAUGACAAGUUGAAACGGCAUCUGCAAUCGUAUUGAAUGACAUUGAACCGCGAGGUAGGGUUUAAAUGAAUACCGGGCAGAGAUAAAUUGGUGUGGUGAAUUAGGGUUUUGUGGCUACGUUUUAUUUCGAUUGAAAAAAGGAAUUUGAGCCAGGCUUUAAUAUGUAAAUUUUCGCUUAGUUGAAACAGAGGAAAGCUUUUGGGUUAUUAAAGUGAAAGAUAUGGAAUAAUACAAAAAAUUAUUGAAGUGAAAGAGCAGGAAUACAAAAAAUCAGCAGAUGAGAUCGUUGAAGAUGCGGAGGUUUGUAUAUAAAUAUUAAAUUGAUCGUUGAAAGAUGUAUAAACCUCCAUAAAAUUGAGUUACGACUUGAAGGAUUGUAUAUAAACAUUAAAUUGGUCUAAUUUAACUUGUAUGUAAACAUUAAAUUCUAUAUAAAUACACAGAACAGAACCAUAUCAGUGUUGGAAAAAAAAAAUCCAGAGUUACAUAAAUUCAAUAAAAAAUUAUUGAAUUUUUUAUUACUAACUUUGAACACUCUAAUUUCAAUAAAAAAAUUAUAUUACUAAAAUAGUCUUAAUUGAAUUUACUAUUAAAGACAUUAGAAUAACUCAAUACUAAUAUUCUCAAAUAUAUUUCUCUCCAUAGUCUAAUCUAAUUCAUUCUAAGAAUCCUAUAGAAAAUCUAUUAUUUACUUUUUCCUUAUUAAACAGAAAAACAUGUCAUUUGUUGCUAACUAACAUUUUAGAACUAACAACAGCAGAUUAAAUAAAAUUAUCAGAAAAAGAAAUCAAACAGGAUUUUGAUCGUCGUCAUCUUCACUCUUGCCUUUUUCUUUUUCUUCACACAUGUGGCUUGCGCACACAUCCCCUCUCUCAUCCUUAGGGCCGCCCUUCAACAAUAUCCAAUCAUCGAUUAUAAUUAUUUAGAUUGACCAAAUCAAGCUUUGAUAAGAUAUUGGUUGAGAUUAGAAGUAGGCAGCCAGCAACGACAAUACUAAUUAAUAUCUCAUGAGAAUUUUAAAGAAGAAUCUAACGUUGCCCAAUUCGUUUGAUUUCAAUGAAGUCUUUCUCCUACCUAUACUUUCGCAUAUUCUCUUUUAUUUCCAAAGUUAAGGUUAUGGAUGUUGUAGAGUUAAAAGCUGAACAUUGCUAGGAAAGCAAUAAAAGGAAAUAAAUAAAAAUUAAAAAUAUAAAAAGAGUUAAGUCUUUUUUUUUUGUCUAUUAGUGUUUUUGUAUUUAAUAACGAAAGAAAAAAAUAAAGUAAAUAUUAUCUGUUAGAUUAUUAAAAUAACACUUGUCCAAAUCUCAAUAUCAUGAUAUUAGGGAAAUUUUUAAUUAAUAGAUCUUCAUUUUUAAUUAGUAGAUAUUGUUUAAUGUAUAAUAUCAUGAUAUUAGGGAAAUUUUUAAUGAAUAGAUCUUCAUUUUAGGCUAAAGCACCCAUACAGUAGUCCCCCCUACGUACUGCGAGCUUACUACAAAAGAUAAGACUAUUUAGUUGUGGGACAAAUAAAGAGGGAAAGUUAAAUAAUAUAAUUCAUUUGUUAUUAUGAACUAACCAACUCAAAACAAAAAGGAUUGAUAAUACAGUUCAAAAUGCAUGCAACAAUGGUGUAUUUAAAAUGGAACUAAUGCACAAAUAAAAUUUAUGCAUCUCUUUGAGGAAGGCUUUUAGGGCAACAAAUGAAAAUAGUGAGCUCGCAUUUUCUGUUAUCAUUCUCACCACUUGAAAAAGAGAGAAAAAAAACUGAGAGGAAAAACAGGGCUCCCUUGUUUUCAUUCCCUAUUUUUUCAGUUUGGGAAUUGCAAAUAACUUCUUUACUUCUCUCUUAUUUUAUUUUUAAAAUUUGUUUUAACUCAUUAAUUCUUUUUCUUGUUCUUGUUAAAGCGUUUAGUAAAUCAUAUGAUCAUCUGAUCAAAUCCCUAACGUUAACAUACCCAUAAUCUAUUAAUAAAAUUUAUUUGAUUUUAUAAUCAUUAAAUUGAAGAUUUGUUCAUGCAAUUUUGUAUGGUGACCAGCUUUCAUUUUUUUCUGUUAAACAUAAGAACAAUUUGUGCAUAACGUCCAGGUUGGAACUCGUAAUAACGAGGCAUCAUUUGUGGACAGAACAAAUGAAAUAACAAAAAAGCAUAAAUCAAGUCAUUAUUGAUCCUACUUUGAUGUUUAGUUUCUUUCUAAGAUGUCAUUCCUCAUUCAAGCUUUUGCUUUCUCUUUUAUCAGGCAUCUCACAAAGCUUUCUCUCUACUAAUAUGCUCUGCAUAUCAUUAGAACAUAUGAAAGCUUUUGCUUUCAAGCGCAAAAGGUAUUUAUUCGUUGAAAACUUUUAACUUGAUUAUUUCAUUAGAACAUAUGAAAUUAGUGCUUUCUUCAAGUUAAUUGAGUUGAACAACAUUUUUUAAAGUAUUUUACCCGAUCCAUUUCUUGUAUCUCACUGCAUGCCUUGUUAAAGAUUCGGCUUUUGGUCUUGAUUCUGAACUUCAAAAAUUAAAUCUUAAAACUCGGGUAUAAAAGGGGUGCAUGAUUAAGUCUUCUUCUUUUGCAAUUCAUUGUUAUUACACACAUCAACAUUUUACUAGGACAUUCGUCUGCAGUUAACAGUGAUCUUUUACUCAUUAAAAUUUUUCCUAAUAAUUUCUUUGAAUACCCGUUCUUACUUAAUAUUCAAUGCGAAUGGAGAAGCUCACCAAUUCUCUGAUCCCAGACAAUUAAAGAGGUACACAUGUUCUAAAUCAUCUAAUAAUAUCUUUUACUAGCAGUUCUUAAUUUCCAAGAAAAAAAUUUCUCUUGUUUGUUUUCAUCUUGUCAUUUAUUUUGCUUGAGUUUUAAGUUAUUGUUCAUUUGUAAUGUCUGUGUUCUUAUUAUUAGCUUUGGAUAAUUUGCAUCCAUUUUUCCCAAAAAAAAAAAAACAAUUAGAGAAAUUGUGGGCUUUUAUUCAGACCCCUGAAACCUUUCUGUUAAUAUAAAAACUCUAAUCCUUGAGCAAAAGGUGGUUAAAAAAAUAAAAGAAAAGAAUUCUCUGUUUAAAUAUCAGUUGGCUUAAGAUCAAUGUUGCUUGCCUCCUGUCUUUUCUUUGUUUUGUUUGUUUGUUUGUCAUUUUAUUAGAUUUGCUUUGUAUCUAAUUUUACUUGGAGAUUAAAGAUGAGUGAGAACUGCCCUUUCUUCUGAAGCAACCUACAAAUUUUAGAAUAGGGCCCAGAGUAUUAAAGAUUCAAUUAACCGCAAAAAGUUAUUUACUUGCAUCACUUGAAAAUUGAGCUGUUUACAUUAGAAAUUUUCAUGCAUUCACGAGCAAUAUCAUCAUGUCACAAGAUAGCCUGAAAAGCAAGUUUCCUCUGUUUUCGUUCCUUUGUUUUCAUUCCCCUGUUUAUUGAAUUUUUUUUUUUUGGCCGGAAAUUAAGAAGAAAAAAUUGGUAAAACAAGUUGCCUCUGUUUUCAUUCCCCUGUUUUUUGUGGAAAGAAUAAACCAAACUUUAAUUUUUUAUUUUAUUUUAUAUUUUGGUUUUUGAAUAUGCAUAAAUCAAAUCAUAUAUUAUUGAUCUUACUUCGGUUAUUUGCUGUUUAGUUUCUCUCUUAAAUGCUUUUUGUGUGUUUCCGGUAUUUGCUUUUAUAAAAGUUUUAGUCCCGAAUCAUUCGUUCAAGGAUUUGCUUUAUGUUUUAUUAGGCAUAUACAUUGCUCUGUCAAUCAAUAUUCAUUUCAAUUUCACAGUACACAAGCAAUGUAUAUACCAAAAUUACUCAAAACACAACAGGUAUUAUUCUAUGAAAACUUAAUUAUUUCUUUAGAAUAUAUGAAAACGUAGAGUUGUGAACUGGUGCUUUCUUCUUCAACAUGCGUCAACAGGGCAACAAUAACCAAAUACAUGAUAUAGAAAAGCGGUGCAUGACUAAUUCUUUUUCUUUUGCAGGUCUUUGUUAUUGCUCUCAUCAACUCUUUUCUCACACAUUCCUCAGCAGUUACCAGUGAUCUUUUUCCUCUUUCAACUUGUUCUUAAAUAUUGAAGGCCAAAUAGAGAAGCUCACCAACUCUCUAAUCCCAGAUAAUUAAAGAGGUGCACGAUUUCUAAAUCAUUGAAUUUUUUUUUUUUUUUGAUAGUAGAAUCCCUGAUCCUUGAUCUUGACAUCUGCUCUUUCUUAAGUUCCAUCUACUUUCCAAGAAAAAAUUUCCUCUGGUUUGUUUUAAUAUUGUAACUUAUUUUGCAUGAGUUUUAAGUUAGUAUUCAUUGUUAAAGCCUGUGCUCUUAUUAUUUCUUUUGGUUAAUUUGCAUGCUCUCCCCCCCCCCCCCCCAAAAAAAAAAGGUUAGAAAAAGAUUAUAGGCUUUUACUCAGACCCUUGAAACCUUUACUGAUAAUACCAAAAACUCUAAUCCUUCAACAAAAGAAAGCAAGAAAAAAAGGUCCUAAGUUUAUUGUCUUUUAUUGGCUUUGUACCAAAAACUCUGAUCUGUUGGCUUUGUAUCAGUAUUGCUUGUUUGUUGUCUUUUAUUUCAUUAUUUGUAUCUAAGUUUAUUUGAAGAAUACAGAUCAGCAGGAAAAGCCCUUUUUCUAAAGCUAACUAUACAGAUUUUAGAAUAGGGCUCAACCACAUGAAAAUAUUUACGUUGUAAUAUCUCAUAUUAAUAAUCUAAAAACAACCAAUCCAACAAGUUCAAAUUCAGUCAAAUCUUAAAAAAAAUUGCUUUUAAGGAGUACAUGAUAGCUAUUAAACUUUGGUUAAAGAUCUUUUGGGCAAACGUGAAAUUAAGUCAAUCAUAAAUCAACCAAUCCAACGAGUUCAAAUUCAUCACUUGCAAAAUUAAGUUUUCUUCCGAAAUUGAGUUGUUUCCAGUAGAAAUUUUCCCGCAGUCACGAGCACCAUCAUCAAAACAAGAUUAUUAAUAUAAGAACAAGAGUUGAGGAAAAAAAAAUAGUUAAAACAAGAUUCCUCUGUUUUCAUUCCCCUGUUUUUUUUCGUUUGGUGAUUGAAAAAUUUUAUCUCUAAACUUUUAUAAUUUUCCAUUAAGGUUUAUAUUUAAAUAAAGAGUUAAAAAAAUCUAAUUCUAAAUUUAUGGAUUGAAUGAUUAUUAUUAUAUUCUCUUAGAAUUGGUUACAAUAUCAAUUAAAUAACGAAUAGAGUUAUUGAUCACUUUGUUAAAAAUGAACAUGUGUUCUGUUUAUAUGAACACGGGCUGCACGCUUUAAGUCUUGUUCUUUUACAAUUCAAUUGUAUUGCUUACUCCCAUAAACUCUUUACUCACAUUCUUCUGCAGUUAACAGUGAUCUUUUGCUCAUUAAAAGUUUUCUUAUAAAUCGAAGGCCAAGAGUGAAGCUCAUAAACUCUGUGAUCCUAGAUAAUUGAAGAGGUGCGUUUGUUCUAAAUACUUUAAUAAUUUCUUUCAAUAGAAUAAUUUCUAAUCUUUGAUCUUGAUAGCAGUUGUUUCUUAAUGUCCAACAAAAACUAUCUCUUGUUUGUCUUAAUCUUGUCAUUUAAUUUUCUUGAGUUUUAAGUUACUGUUUAUUGUUAACUUCUGUGUUCUUUUGCAGUAUUAUUAAUGGUUAAUUUGCAUCCAUCUUCCAAAAAAGUUUUCUUUCCUCAAAAAAUUGUUGGUUUUCCAUUCAGGCCCCUGAAACCUUUUUCUAAAAAGUUGUUUGUUGUCGUUUCUUUCUUUUUCUUCCCCGGUAGUUCAUUUAAUUUAUUUGAAUCCAUUUUUUUUUCAACAGCCAAAAACUAGAUAUAUAUUGUUAAGCAACCGGCAAUGGCUAUAGAAGCGUGUCUGGCUUUUUUAACCAACUGCGUAUCAGAAGGUGCAAAGUCACUGUUCAACCCGAUUACACGGCAGAUAUCUUAUGUGUUCAAGUACCAGAGCUAGGCUACAAGGGGAUGAGCUUUAUGAGGGUGUCACAGACUGGCUACAUAGCAUUGAUGAAUUCAUCAGUGAAGGAGUUGCAAAAUCCAUCAUUGAUGAUGAAGAAAGAGCUAAGAAGUUCUGCUUCAAAGGAUUGUGCCCAAAUUUGAUGUCCCGUUACAAGCUUAGUAAACAAGCAGCAAAGGCCGCAGAAGCUGCCGCUGGUCUCGUGGGAAAAGGCAACUUCUCUAAUGUUUCCUACCGUCCUACUCCAAAGAGCACAGGACUUAAUGACGGGAAAGAUAACGAGGCCUUUGAUUCAAGAAUGAAAGUAUUUCAGGAUGUUAUGGAGGCGUUGAAGGAUGAUAAGCUCAACAUAAUUGGGGUCUACGGCAUGGGCGGCGUGGGUAAAACCACGCUAGUCAAGCAAGUUGCUAAGAAAGUGAAGGAAGAUAAGUUGAUCGAUAAGGUCAUUAUGGCUGAGGUAACACAGAACCCAGAUCCCCAGAAAAUUCAAGACAAGCUCGCUUCUGAUUUAGGCAUGAAAUUUGACUUGAAUGAUAGUAUACACCAUAGAGCUUCUCGACUGCGUGAAAGGUUGAAGCAAGAGAAGCGGGUCCUCAUUAUAUUGGACAAUAUUUGGACAAAACUUGAGUUAGAUGCGGUUGGAAUUCCUUCUGGAGAUGUUGAUGAGAAAGAUAGAGAGGAUGUCAAGAUUGGGUGUCUUGAUAUUCAAAGUUUGAAUAUCAAAAUCAAACUUCUAGAUAUUCAAACUUUGAAUAUCAAAUUCAAAAUUCUAGAUAUUCAAAGUUUGAAUAUCAAACUUUGAAUUUUGAAAUUUUGAACAAUAAUAAAUAAUUAAAAAAAUACGUGAAUAGUAGCCAAGAUUUUGGCUAUAAAUAGAGGGACUCAUUCCCUCAUUUGUUCAUCCAAUUUUGAGAAGAGUUUUCUUGUAUUUAGAGAGAGUUUAGAGAGCUUGAAAUUAUAAGCUUUUGUUUUAGUGUUUUGAGAGUUUGGGUGUAUUGGGAUUUUGGGAAGUGAGCUAAAAUACUACAAUACUUGUAACUCCUUUUCACUAGUAAAAUAUUUCCUUCUGUCUUCGCCCGUGGACGUAGGCUAAAAGUCGAACCACGUAAUUUCUAGUGUCCUCUUUUGUGCUUGUUCUUUAUUUUCUUCCAAUUUUACUUUAGCUGCGUGUCUGCUUCACCCACCAAUUUCCUAACAGUGGUAUCAGAGCUAUUGGUUGUAUUUUUGGAGUCGGGUACUGUUCACGUAAGGGGUACUAUUCACGUAUACGGUACUAUUCAUAAGAAACGGUGGGAGCGAUCCAAGAAUUUUGUGGUGUAAAGCAGGGAAUAGUGGUGUGAGUAAAACAACUGUGUGGUUUUGUACAUGUCUAGGAAAGUUUUGUCACAAAGGCGAUAAGAGCUUAAGGAGUCUGGGUUUUAAGUAGGACCAUUGUGACCCCUCCAGUCUUUCUUGGGAACUUUCCUGGUGUACAUUCUCACACAUACUCACAACUAUUCAAGGAGGUACACUAGCUUGUGUGCGGUAUUUAUCAACAAAAUGGCGGCAAAGUAUGAAAUUGAGAAGUUUAACGGAAAUAAUUUUUCGUUGUGGAAAAUGAAGAUGAAAGCUGUAUUGAGGAAAAAUAAUUGCUUGGCAGCAAUUGGAGAAAGGCCCACGGAGAUAACUGAUGACAAGUGGAACGAGGUAGACGGCAACACCAUUUCUGAUCUACACUUGGCACUUGCAGACAGAGUAUUAUCCAGUGUGGCAGAGAAAAACACAGCGAAGGAAAUAUGAGAUACUCUCACAAAAUUGUACGAGGCCAAGUCACUACACAACAAAAUCUUCUUGAAGAGAAAACUCUAUACUCUUCGAAUGGCGGAAUCUACAAUGGUGACCGACCACAUCAACACCUUGAAGACUCUAUUUUCACAAUUCACAACGUUGAGUCAUAAUAUAGAGGAAAAUGAACGUGCAGAGCUUCUACUUCAAAGUCUACCAGAUUCAUAUGAUCAACUCAUCAUCAACCUGACAAACAACAAUCCAGCGGACAGUCUAGUUUUCGACGAUGUUGCAGCCUCCGUAUUAAAUGAGGAGAGCAGGCAGAAAAAUAAGGAAAACAGACAAGCAAGUUCGCAGCAAGUGGAGGCACUAUCAGUGACGAGAGGGAGAUCAACGGAACUUGGCCCCAGUGGGAGUCAAAAUCAGGGUAGAUCAAAAUCCAGAAGUAAAAUGUUAAAUGCUACAAAUGUGGCAAUUAAGGGCACGUCAAGAAAGAAUGUUGGAGUAACUAGAAGAGAAAAGAGGGCAAAGAACCUGAGUCAUCAAAUGCUCAAGGUUGUGUAGCAAGUACCUCGGAUGAUGGCGAAAUUCUUUACAGCGAGGCAACAACUGUUUCAGAAGGCAGAAAACGACUUUCUGAUGUCUGGCUUAUAGACUCAGGAGCUACCUGGCACAUGACCUCUGGGAGAGAAUGGUUCCACACAUAUGAACCUAUCUCAGGAGGAUCUGUAUAUAUGGGAGAUGAUCAUGCCUUGGAGAUCGCCGGUAUUGGUGCUAUCAAAAUAAAAAUGUUUGAUGGUACAAUUCGCACAAUUGGAGAGGUACGACAUGUCAACGGCCUGAAGAAAAAUCUAUUGUCUUUGGGACAAAUGGAUAGUCAUGGGUACAAAACUCAUGUGGAGAAUGGAAUAAUGAAGAUCGUUAAAGGCGCGCUUGUAUUGAUGAAGGCAGAAAAGAUCGGUGCUAAUUUAUUCAUGCUUAAAGGAGAAACACUACAGGAGGCUAAUGCGUGUGUCGUGUCAAAUGGAGAAGAAUCAACGAUGAUGUGGCAUCUCAAACUUGGCCACAUGUCAGAACAAGGCUUGAAGAUUCUCUCUGAGUGAAAAUUGCUUCCGGGGCUCAAAUCGGUAAGUUUACCAUUUUGCGAGCAUUGUGUUACAAGUAAGCAGCAUAGAUUAAAAUUCAGUAGAUCUAUUGCUAGAAGUAAAUGCAUUUUAGACUUGAUCCAUUCUGAUGUUUGGGAAUCACCGAAUAUAUCCAUGGGAGGUGCAAAGUACAUGGUGACUUUCAUUGAUGAUUAUUCCAGAAGAUGUUGGGUGUAUCCAAUUAAGAAAAAGUCAGAUGUAUUUCCUGUGUUUAAAGAAUACAAAGCGCGGGUGGAACUUGAAUCUGGUAAAAAGAUCAAGUGCUUGAGGACAGAUAAUGGUGGAGAGUAUACAGACGGUGAGUUUCUUGCUUUCUGUAAGCAAGAGGGUAUUCAGAGGCAAUUCACGGUGGCAUACACUCCUCAACAAAACGGAGUGGCAGAGCGGAUGAACAGAACUCUUACAGAAAGAAUAAGAGCUAUGUUGAGGACUGCUGGUCUACCCAAUUCAUUCUGGGCAGAAGCAGCCAAAACUGCCUGUUAUAUAGUAAAUCGGUCGCCAUCUACAACUAUUGGGUUGAAGACGGCGAUGGAGAUGUGGACUGGAAAGCCAGCUGAUUAUUCCUACCUACAUGCAUUUGGAUGUCCUGUGUACGUGAUGUACAAUGCCCAAGAAAGAACAAAGCUGGAUGCAAAAUCUAGAAGAUGUAUCUUCUUGAGGUAUGCUGAUGGAGUAAAGGGGUAUCGUUUGUGGGACACCACUGCCCACAAGAUCGUCAUCAGCAGAGAUGUUAUUUUUGUAGAAGAUCAACUGCAAAGAAAAGAUGGAGAUGAUGACACUGUAAAAGAAAAGUCAGAGACUGUGCCGGUAUAUGUCGAAAAUAAUCCAGAAGAUUCAGAUUCUUUUGAAGCAGCACUAGAGCACGAAGAACAAGAACCAGUCGAGUCUGAGGCUCCAGAAGUUCGUCGGUCAACUCGUGAGAGACGACCGCCGGUGUGGCACUCGGAGUAUGUCACAGAGAUCAACGUUGCAUACUAUCUUCUAACAGAGGAUGGAGAGCCUUCAACUUUCCAUGAAUCUUUAAACAGCUCAGAUGUUGCUUUGUGGAUGACAGCAAUGCAGGAAGAAAUUGAAGCUCUAUACAAGAACAAGACAUGGGAACUUGUACCACUACCACACGGAAGAAAAGCCAUUGGAAACAAAUGGGUCUACAAGAUCAAACGUGAUGGCAAUGAUCAAGUGGAGCGGUAUCGUGCGAGAUUGGUGGUGAAAGGAUAUGCUCAGAAAGAAGGUAUUGACUUCAACGAGAUAUUUUCUCCGGUGGUUCGACUCACAACAGUCAGAGUAGUCUUGGCGAUGUGUGCUACAUUUGACUUACAUCUUGAGCAGUUGGAUGUGAAAACUGCAUUUCUUCAUAGAGAACUUGAAGAAGAAAUAUAUAUGCUCCAACCAGAAGGUUUUGUAGAAAUAGGAAAUGAGAACUUGGUUUGCAGGUUGAACAAAUCUCUAUACGGUCUCAAACAGGCGCCGAGGUGUUGGUAUAAGAGAUUUGAUUCCUUCAUCAUGAGCCUUGGAUACAACAGACUCAGUUCAGACCAUUGUACAUAUUAUAAAAGGUUUGAAGAUAAUGAUUUCAUCAUUUUGUUGUUGUAUGUGGAUGACAUGUUGAUAGCAGGUCCCAACAAAGAUCGAAUCCAAGAAUUGAAGGCACAGUUGGCUAGGGAGUUUGAAAUGAAGGACUUAGGACCAGCAAACAAGAUUCUAGGGAUGCAAAUUCACCGAGACAGAAAUAACAAGAAGAUUUGGCUUUCACAGAAGAACUACUUGAACAAAAUCUUGCGGCGCUUCAACAUGCAAGAUUGUAAGUCAAUUUCUACCCCACUUCCUGUUAAUUUCAAAUUAUCCUCAAGUAUGUGUCCUAGCAAUGAAGCAGAGAGGAAGGAGAUGUCUCGAGUACCGUAUGCAUCAGCAGUGGGAAGUUUAAUGUUCGCUAUGAUAUGUACAAGACCGGACAUUGCACAAGCAGUGGGAGCAGUCAGUCGAUACAUGGCGAAUCCUGGUGGAGAGCAUUGGAUAGCUGUGAAGAGGAUUCUGAGAUACAUCAGAGGAACCUCAGAUGUUGCAUUAUGUUAUGGAGGAUCAGAGUUUAUUGUCAGGGGCUAUGUGGAUUCAGAUUUUGCAGGUGAUCUUGAUAAAAGAAAAUCCACUACUGGUUAUGUGUUUACACUUGCGGGAGCAGCUGUAAGUUGGGUUUCGAAGCUGCAGACUGUUGUGGCUUUAUCUACAACAGAAGCAGAAUACAUGGCAGCUACACAAGUUUGCAAGGAAGCUAUUUGGAUACAAAGGUUAUUGGAGGAGUUCGGGCACAAACAAUAGAAAAUUCCUGUGUUUUGUGACAGUCAGAGUGCCUUGCACAUUGCAAGGAAUCCAGCCUUUCAUUCCAGGACAAAGCACAUAGGAGUUCAGUAUCACUUCGUUCGAGAAGUAAUGGAAGACGGAAGUGUGGAUUUACAGAAAAUCCAUACGAAGGAGAACCUAGCAGAUGUUUUGACCAAGCCGAUAAAUGCUGACAAGUUUAUCUGGAGUAGAUCCUCUUGUGGCCUAGCAGAAACGUAAGUAACCUGACAAUGGCGAAGCAGAAAGGAUGGUGUGGAGAUUGAUUGGUUCUCAAUCAAAUCUCCAAGUGGGAGAAUGUCAAGAUUGGGUGUCUUGAUAUUCAAAGUUUGAUUUUGAAAGUUUGAAUAUCAAAAUCAAACUUCUAGAUAUUCAAAGUUUGAAUAUCAAACUUUGAAUUUUGAAAUUUUGAACAAUAAUAAAUAAUUAAAAAAAUACGUGAAUAGUAGCCAAGAUUUUGGCUAUAAAUAGAGGGACUCAUUCCCUCAUUUGCUCAUCCAAUUUUGAGAAGAGUUUUCUUGUAUUUAGAGAGAGUUUAGAGAGCUUGAAAUUAUAAGCUUUUGUUUUAGUGUUUUGAGAGUUUGGGUGUAUUGGGAUUUUGGGAAGUGAGCUAACAUACUACAAUACUUGUAACUCCUUUUCACUAGUAAAAUAUUUCCUUCUGUCUUCGCCCGUGGACGUAGGCUAAAAGUCGAACCACGUAAUUUCUGGUGUCCUCUUUUGUGCUUGUUCUUUAUUUUCUUCUAAUUUUACUUUAGCUGCGUGUCUGCUUCACCCACCAAUUUCCUAACAGAGGAUGAUCAGAGAAGAUGCACAAUAAUAUUGACGUCUAGAAGUCGAGAUUUAUUGUGCAUUGAUAUGAAUUGUCAGAAAAUUUUCUGGAUCGAUGCUUUAUCGAAAGAAGAAGCAUUGCAGUUAUUUGAGAAGAUAGUGGGUGAUUCAACUAAAAUAUCUUAUUUUCAAAGUAUAGCAAAUGAGAUCGUUGAAAAAUGCGGAGGUUUGCCUGUUGCACUGAGUACAGUUGCAAAUGCUCUGAAAAAUAAGGAGCGUUACUUUUGGCAAGAUGCAUUGAAUCAGCUAACAAGAUUGGAUGCAACAGAAAUUCAUGGCAUGCAAGCAAAUGUGUACACCUCCAUAAAAUUGAGUUAUGACUUCUUGGAAAGUGCGAAGGCAAAAUCUCUGUUCCGUCUUUGUGGUCUGUACAGUGAAGGUGAUGCCAUAGAAGUUUCUGACUUAUUGAGAUAUGGUGUGGGUUGGGAUUUGUUUGAAAAUGUUUACACAUUAGAAGAAGCAAGGAGUAGAGUGCAUCGGUUGAUCGACAAUCUCAAAUCUUCAUGCUUAUUGUUGGACGGUGAUGCUGAAGAUGAAGUUAAAAUGCAUGACGUCAUUCAUGUUGUUGCUGUAUCAAUUGCUGCAGGGGAGCGCAUGUUUAAUAUUCCAAAUGUUGCUAACGUGGAGAAAAAGAUGGAAAAGACAAUACGGAAAGACCCAAUUGCCAUUUCAUUACCCCAGAGAGAUAUUCAAGAGCUCCUGAAAGGUUGCAAUGUCCCAAUCUCCAGUUAUUUUUGUUGUCUGCAGAGGGUAAUGCCCCUAUGCAAAUUUCAGACCUCUUUUUUGAAGGGACGGAAGAACUCAAAGUUUUAAGUCUUAUUGGAAUUCAUUUCUCUUCAUUAUCUUCAUCACUUGGUCACCUCAUUAACCUUCAAACAUUGUGUUUAGACUGCUGCCAACUAGAAGAUGUAGCGGCAAUUGGACAGCUAAAGAAAUUAGAGAUUCUUAGCUUUCGAUAUUCCGACAUUAAGCAGUUGCCACUUGAAAUUGGUCAAUUGGCGCGGUUACAGUUGCUAGAUUUGAGCAAUUGUAGAAGCCUUGUAGUGAUAGCACCAAAUGUCAUAUCAAAAUUUUCUCGAUUGGAAGAACUAUAUAUGGGUGACAGCUUUUCGCAGUGGGAUAAGGUUGAAGGAGGAAGUAACGCCAGUCUUGCUGAAUUGAAGGGGUUGUCAAAGCUAACUACCUUGGAGAUACAAGUUCGGGAUGCCCAAAUUCUGCCGCAGGAUUGGGUCUCUGUGGAAUUGCAAAGAUAUAAGAUAGGUAUAGGAGAAGCGUGGCGCAUGUGACGCGUUAAUUCUGAAACAUCAAGAUUGGUGGAGCUCCAAGGGCUAGAAAAUGUUAGCACUCUUUUGGAGAAUUAUGGGACUAAAAUGUUGCUGAAGAAAACUGAAGAUAUCCAUCUAAACGAACUGAAGGGUGCUCAGAAUGUUGUUCAUGAAUUAGAUGAUGGGGAAGGUUUUCCACGAUUGAAGCAUCUUUCUGUAGAAAGAUGUUCUGAGAUUUUGCAUGUUGUCGGUUCAGUUGGACGGGUUCAUUGUACAAUCUUUCCCUUGUUGGAGUCAUUGUCUCUUUGGUUUUUGAGCAAGUUGGAGACAAUAUGUGACAGCCAACUCACAGAAUAUCAAAUUUUCAGCAACUUAAGGAUUAUAGAAGUACAAUUCUGUGACAAAUUGAAGCAUCUUUUCUCAUUCUCCAUAGCCAAAAACCUACUGCGGCUUCAAAAGGUAGAAGUGGAUGUUUGCGAUGAUCUGGAAAUGAUGGUUGGUAAGAGUUGAAAUUAAGUGUUGGUGGGUUUAUGGACUUCGCCUCAAUUAUUUUGAAAAAAAAAAAAAAACAACGACAAAGAUUAAUUAUGUAUAUUGUUUUUGUUUGUUUAUAGGACCCGACAGGGAGAAACCAACAACUUCUUUGGGAUUCAACGAAAUCAUUGCUAAUGAUGAUCCUGCUCCAAAGGUGAUAAUUUUCUGAUCAAUAAUUAAUUGAUUAAUUUAUUAUCACGAUUAAUCUUCGAUCAUCAAAAGAAUAUUAUACUAGACGGUUGUACUUGAAGGAACAAAAAUGUACGGGUUUUCUUUGCAGGUUAUUCUUCCGAGCUUAGAGGAAUUGAAUCUCAGGGACUUAAGAAACAUGAAAAAAUUAUGGGCCGAUCAUAAUCAAGGAAUGUACUGUUGUCAAAAUUUAACAAAGCUGUACGUGAGCAGUUGUCAUCGUAUGAAGUAUCUGUUUUCGUAUUCUAUGGUUAAUAGUCUUGCGAAACUCCAACAUCUUGAGAUAAGCACUUGUUGGUCAAUGGAAAGGGUAGUCGACACCACGGGGUGGUCAGAAAGAGAUGAAGGAAAGUUGAUUGAAUUAAAGGUUUUUCCUAAACUACACUUCCUGCGGCUCGAGAAUCUUCCAGAACUAACAAGCUUUGCCAAUACGGGACAUAUUCAUUCAGAUUUAGUUGUUGAAUUCCCUUCUUUGCUAAGCCUCGAGAUUGAUACUUGCAGUAAUAUGUUAAGAUUCAUCUCUACGAGCUCACCAGAAGACACCAUUCAUUCUGAAAUGCAACCUCCUCCUCUCUUUGACGAAAAGGUUUCUUUUUUUUUUAAUAAAAAAAUUAAUUUUAGUCACAAUAUUUAAUUUGUCUUUUCCUUGAGUCUUCAAAUUUAGUUAAUAUCCACCUCAAAUUUAGUUAUCAAUUGAUUAUGCCAUUAAUUGAUUAAUUAGUUAUUUAAUCUUUAACUGCCAGGUACGACUUCCUGGGUUGGAGGUAUUACAUAUUAGGUCGAUGGAUAAUUUGAGAAAAAUAUGGCACCACCAGCUUGCUUCGGAGUCUUUCAGAAUAUUUUUCCUCCAUUGGUAAGGUUGCUGUAUUCAUUUCGAAUCUUUUUUUUUUUCAAAUUACAUCCAACAAUAUUUUAACCAUUUUUUGUUUACAAAUGAUAUUCAGCCACUGAUUAUUUAUUUCAAGUAUCGUACUUCGAACCACCACUCUGAAAUCUACGUUUUAAGUCCAGUUUUUAGGUUCGUCAGCAUUAGAAUCAACAAUAUAAAUUUUUUAAACACGAUUCAACAGCAUAAUAUAAUUCAAUUAAAUAGAUUUUGCUCAUAUCUUAAUAAGUACGAUUUUCAAAAAUUAAAGGAUAGUCACUCAUCUUAUAGGUUCACAAAUUCAUCUAUAUAUUUCUCUUUUCCUUAAUUCUUCACAUUUCGAUUGGAAAAAGAAAAAAAGAAAAUAAAAGUCUUCAAAUUUAAUUAAUCUCUUGUUUAGUUACGAAUUGAUUAUGCCAUUAAUUAACCACAAAUUCAUGAUUAUUUACAACUGACCCGUGAUUGUAAAGAAAUUUCCUUGAGUCUGGAAGUACUUAAUAAAGAUCCACUUUACAGCAGCAGUCCCUUGUUGACAAUAUUGGGAAGUCUUUUCCAAUUUUUUUUUCCAUUUUUAAAUGUACAUAAAAAAAGGGACCAAGGAAAAGGGAAAAGGCGGCAUUUUGGUUGAAUUUUUUUUCCCUAAAAGGAAUAGUUGAAAUUUGUAAAUUUAUGCUUAAAAACUGAUAUCAAGAUGCAAAAUAAGUCUAAUAUAUUUAGAAAUUGCCUUAAAUUCUUUCUACGUUCCUAAUAGUAAAUAGUGUAAAUGCAUUUUUAUUAUCUUUGUUUAUCUGGCUUUUAUUUAUUCAUUUAUCUUGUUGCUUUUUUUGUUUAACAAAAAAUUAUCUAGUUGAAUGAUAUUCUUACAUUUUUACUUUUUUAAUAUACACACAUAUGCACACACUUUUGUUUAUUUUCAGGUUGGAAUUCCUAGUAGUCUGGUGAAUCUUAAUGUAUCGAAUUGCCAAAAAUUAGAAGAAAUAGUAGGACAUGUUGGAGAAGAAGUGAAGGAGAAUCGUAUUGCUUUCCGCGAAUUAAAAGUUUUGAUACUUGAUUAUUUACCAAGGCUUACCAGCUUUUGUUUGGAGAAUUAUACUCUUGAAUUCCCAUCAUUGGAACGAGUUUCUGUGACACAUUGUCCGAACAUGAAGACUUUUUCUCAGGGAAUCUUAUCCACACCAAAGCUAUACAAAGUGCAAGUUAGUAAAAAGGAAGAGGGUGAAUUGUACCAUCGGGAAGGCAAUAACCUUAAUUCCUUUAUACAAAAGAGCUACGAAGAAAUGGUAUGUGCUAAUCGAUUCGUCCAAAUUACUUGCACAUUUAAAAAUAUGUUACAAAAAGAUGGUCUGUGUUAAUCGAUUCACCCAAAUUGUUCAUGCAUCUCCCCUACGCUUGCACAUUUAAACAUAUACACCUACCUUGUAUAUGUAGUUUUAGAAGUUAAAACACAAAACAUGUAAGUUUAAUAUGUGUGUGUGUAUAUAUAUACAUAUAUAUAUAUCUAAUGCCUUUCAAAAAAAGAAAUUUAUAUAUCCAGUGCAAUUGUUUUGGUUUAUGCAGAUUGGAUUCCGUGACAUAGAGCAUUUGCAACUCUCACAUUUUCCACGCUUGAGAGAAAUAUGCCAUGGCCAAGCACUGCCUGUCAGCUUCUUCAACAAUUUAUUUAAGCUGGUGGUGGAUGACUGCACGAAUAUGUCGAGUGCUAUUCCUGCCAAUCUGAUACGGUGCUUGAACAAUUUAAGGUACCUAGAAGUGAGGAAUUGUGAUUCACUAGAAGAGGUGCUUCAUUUGGAAGAGCUAAGUCCUAAGGAAGAACAUAUCGGCCCCCUGUUUCCUAGGCUUUUUAGCCUAAGGCUCAUUGAUCUUCCAAAACUCAAAAGAUUCUGCAACUUCACUGGGAAUAUAAUUGAACUGCCUUGGUUGUCGACGCUGACUAUUGAGAAUUGCCGAGAUAUAGAAACAUUCAUAUCCAACGCUGUAGUGCACGUGACAACAGAUAACAAGGAACCUCAAAAAUUAAAAUCAGAAGAGAACCUCUUGGUAGCUAAUCAAAUACAACAUCUCUUCGAUGAAAAGGUAAUCAUUAUUAUUAUUUUUUCCCUUCACUUUCAUUCGGACAGAUGUAAUUUCAUUAGAAUCAAAUCAAAUUUAAUGACUCAUCUUUUUGCACGUCGUCUUAAUUUAUAUCUGAUUUAACAAUAUAACCGUAGUUAUUAACUAACUUUAUAGUAUGAAUUAUAAAAAUGUCUCAAAUUAAUUAGAUGCCUAGUGACAGGAGGUGAUGAACUAUAUCGAUUAUGCGUGUUACAUCUCUGUUUUCCUAACUAAUUCAUAUUGGAUUUAGGAUCAGAUUUCAUUUGUGUUUUAAAGGGUAAUCGAUUUGAUACUUAUAUUUGGGAUCCUACUGCAAAGCAUACUAAUUUGGAAAUAAAAUAUAAAAUGCCGUGAUUAAUCUUGUCCAUAAAAUAUGCAGGGGAAGACUGCAGAGAUUGGAUACAUAUUUUCAUUUACAACUUAAUUUUGUUGAUUUUUAGGUUGCAUUCCCUCAAUUGAGAUAGUUAAACCUGUCUAGAUUACACAAAGUGCAGCAUCUCUGGAAGGAAAAUGACGAAUCCAACAAAGCGUUUGCAAACUUGGAAAGUCUAGAAAUAUCAUAAUGUAGUAAGUUGCAAAAAUUAGUACCACCUUCGUGGCAUUUGGAAAAUCUGUGGGAACUAGAAGUAUCGAAGUGUCACGGGUUGAUAAAUGUGUUGACGCUCUCAGCAUCUAAAAAUCUAGUGAAUCUUCGAGGAAUGAAGAUAGCUAAUUGCAAAAUGAUAGAACAAAUCAUACAAUUGCAGGUUGGAGAAGAAGCGAAAGAUUGCAAUGUUUUCAAGGAAUUGGAGUACUUGGGACUUGAUUAUUUGCCAAGCCUAACAAGCUUUAGUUUGGGUAAUUACGCUCUUGAAUUCCCGUCCUUGAAACAAGUAGUUGUGAGACAGUGUCCAAAAAUGAAGAUCUUCUCUCAAGGAGUCUUAGACACACCAAUGCUAAACAAAGUGAACGUCACCGAAGAAGAAAAAGAUGAUGAUGAAGAAGAUGAUGAUGAUGAAGGAUGUUGGGAAGGCAACCUCAAUGACACCAUAAAAAAAUUGUUCAAUGAAAUGGUGAGUAUCAAUUAAGUUUUGGUGCUAUUUAACAAAUUAUUUUAUAGAAACUAAUGUGAUAUAAUAUGAUGGGUUGACUGAAAAUAUAUAAUAAUAAUAAAUAAAUAAAUAAAUAAAUUAUAAGGGCCAUGUUAUGUUUUUGUUUAACCAAUCAUAUUAUGUCGCAUUAGUUUAUACAAUAUUGUUUGUGUACAGGAGGUGGUGGUCGUAUCAUUACUCUUGCUCUAUUAUUAUUAUGGUUGUAAUGUAUGCUUGCUUACACGAGUAAUUGCAAAAUGUGCAGAAUUCUAAAGAAAAGAUUGAGCCAACCCUUCAGGUACAGUGAAGAAGCUAUCUCGAACUAGGCCAAUCUCUUGUACAUGAUUCAACUUGCUCGUUCUCCUGUACUUGAAUAAUUUGGUUCUAAACGCAUUUACAAAUUUUUAGUCAUGCUACAGACUUGCAAGACACUUUGGAUUUGUUUGAUGCAUUCUCUGUUUAAGGAAGGACUUGAAUUGAUGUUUCAUGUUUCAUGCAAUUUUCAAUUAGAUACUGUUUAAACUUCUGCAUUAUUCAUUCAAUUGGUGUUUUAAGCA
RNAcentral lists this long non-coding RNA (515583 nucleotides) under Citrus maxima (pomelo). Its description in RNAcentral is "long non-coding RNA (CMAX_LNC001420)". The stretch from base 132002 to 132138 matches the Rfam family "Small nucleolar RNA Z247". Lineage: Eukaryota; Viridiplantae; Streptophyta; Magnoliopsida; Sapindales; Rutaceae. The record is from RNAcentral.